RNAcentral lists this long non-coding RNA (411345 nucleotides) under Olea europaea (common olive). RNAcentral's name for it is "long non-coding RNA (OEUR_LNC005336)". Lineage: Eukaryota; Viridiplantae; Streptophyta; Magnoliopsida; Lamiales; Oleaceae. The record is from RNAcentral.
GAUGUAGAUCGAGUGGCCUAUAAUUUUAUUGAGAAGUAUGAGAGGAGGCUUGAGAAACAGGAAUAUUAAUUUUUCCGUUAUUUCUUUAUUAUGUCUGUCAAAUUAAGUUUCCUUAUUAUGUUGUCUAAGUUUCUGUUAUUAAAUUAUUCUAUCACUUAUUUUAGGUAAGUUGUCUGUUUAGGGUUUACUUAGUUUUCAUAUAUAUUUGCAGUCUUCUGUAGCCGCAGACAGUUUUCUGGAGUUAUUAUGUUAUCAAUAAAAACUCUCUGCAAGAGCUUUAUUUGUUCCUGCAAUUCCUAGUCCCGAUUUCUAAGUUUGUGGAAGACUUGUGAAUUUAUUGUGUGCACAGAUUCUGCUUCUGUUCUUUCCGCUGCAUCAUUAGGGAUGGUCGUUGGUUGCUAGCUAAACUUUGAAGGGUUUUUUUGAGAUUCUCUUGUUGCUGAAGAUGUGUGAUGCUUCUCAUGUUUUAAAUUAUAUACAAUGUCAAGGAAUGCAUUUCUGAUUUCCCAGAUUUUUUCGUUAUCUUUUGGUAAUGUAAAUGUUCAUUAUGUGAUCUGAUGUAUUGCAUACUUCAUGGGAUCUUGCACGUGAAAUGGUACCAAUUGAAGUGUCGAUUGUGUCCAAUUAUAUCGUAUUGCACAUGCAGCUGACAUUUAUGUUUUUAACCUCAAUGAAAUCUCCAUUGGUCUAUUUUUGUAGCAUAAUUAGUUUCGUCUAGUGUACUGGCAUGUGCAUUUUUCAAGAUUGAGCAUUCUUGCGACCAUUGUCUUGACGACAUCGAAUCAAAGUUUUUUCUUUAAAAAAAAAAAAACAUUUACACGUGUGACAUUACCGUUGUAAUGGAAUCAUUUUUUUUUCUUAAAUAUAGUUUAUAUGUGUGAAAUUACCGUGUAAAAAACUUGUAAUGUAUGGCAUUCUGAAAACAUCAAUACACAAAUCCAUUGCUAUAAGCUCCCAUAAUAAACGGUAGGAUAUAGUAAGGUUAUAUGCCUUGACUCAAUGGAGUAUACUAAUAGUGCACUCUAAUGUUCACAGUACAUCGAAUUUGCAAUAUUUAAAGGUCUAUUGUUCGCCAUAGAUCUGGUUCUAUUUCCGACUUUACUAUCGUAUAUAGUCAGAAUGAUAUCUUGAUUUUUACAGGUUCACGUUUGCAUCACACGAGACUCCAUAGUAUUACAGAUUCAGACCAUCGAAUUCCAUUUUUUUAAUAUAUAACACACGUCACAUUCGCACAUUCGAAAUAAGAUUGAUGCAGGUAGAUGUAAUUUACUAAUUUUGCAUAGAGACGAACACAUACUGACUAAUUUUAAUGUGGCAAAAAAUAUUCAUGUUUCAUUCAUAUUUACAUUGAUAUUGUAACGAACGCAUAUUUUCACUUACAGGUUUUCCCAGUGAUGAUUAAUCGUUUAGCAACCUCACAGCAAGAAGUUAUAUUUCACGUCCGGUGAAUUGAGUGCGUUAAAGGAGCUGUCCGGCUAAUAAAGCAGAAAUCUGUAAUGGGAAGGUGUUGUGUCACAUUUAUUCAAUAUACCAUGUUUCGGAAUUCACAAUUCAAAAUUUAAUAGGCAUCCAGCUGUAAAUGUUUUUCCUUUAAUAUCAUGCUGUCACGGUUACCAUAAGUGUAUAUGGAAAGUUUAGGUUACAGUAUAUUUGGUGAUUUUUCUAAAUGUUCCACAUGUAGUAUUUUUUAAAUUCUGGAAUAUUCAUUUGUAAUUAUUUUAAAUUUCUAAUGCAUUUGCGAUGUUUUCCCAUUUAUGAAUUGAAUAAAACCAGCAAGGUAAGCAGGCUUUGCAUGUUGGAUUGAGUAUUUGGGCCUAAUUUUAUUUUUAAUUUUUUAAACAAGAACCCCAAAAGAAAAAGGUUCGCAACUUAAAAAAAAAUUUGGCCCAAAUCACUUGUGUUCAUCUUCAACAUCACUCACAUUCUUCCGCCAAACUGUACCUACAUUUCAACCUUAAUCUUCAAGAUUUGUCCAUGACGACGCGGUGACUGUAGGUUCCGACAGAGCCAGCACGCAGGGUCGAGCCCUCUUGCUGGGUGCUAGCUCCACCACUGGUCUUGGUGGUGCAGGGGAUGAUGACAUUUAUAAGGUCAUGCAUAGUCCCAGAAGAUUUUCUUGAUUGUAUUACAACUAGUCUUUGGAAAAAAAAAAAAAUGAUGGAAGAGAAGUAUUUGAAUGUAUUUGGUCAAUAGCUAACCCAGAAAUCUUUGAUCUACAUGAAUCCAUGUUUUUACUUCAAAAAUGGAAGGCAAAUGGAUUUUUCUAAAAUGUGUUUAGAAAUAAAAAACGAAAAUUUUCAUUUUUCAUUGGACUCGAAUGGAAUAUAAGAUGCUAGUCUACAUCCUUAGAGGACUAAACUCUUAGAAGAGGUCCACUAUGAGAAUUUCCCUCGUUAAUUGGUGGACAUUUGCACAUUUGGGUUCACACGAAGCAAGGGUGUAAGCCUCUUGGAUAUGCAAAGACAUAAUAAGCAUAGAGGUUUGUAGUUUUUUUAUUUUUUAUUUUUUUGGGUAAUAACUAAUCAAAGUUGAACGUGCAUUGCAUGUUAUUCUGAAAUACUUUCUAUGUGUUGAAAGUAAUUUUUGAUAUCAAUUUAUUUGGAGGAUUUGAUGAGUCUCAAAUGAACUAAAAAAAGCAUAAAAUUUUGGAUAGAAAUUUAGGAGAAUAAAAUUGUGUUCUUGAAACUCAACUUCUAUGAUUCAAGUUUUUUAUGAUGAUGAAAUACCAUAAAUGAACAAUGUUUUUAUACUACAAUUGAUAUAUAAGAAUAAAUAGCUAAUACGCAAAAUUAAUCACCAAUUAAAAAUUUCUAGAUACGUGAAUAGAAAUAAAUUCAUCUAUAAUAACACGAAAUUCAUAUAUGACAAGAAUUUUCUAGUAUUUAUUAUAUAUUAAAAAAAAUGAAAAUUGGGAUAUUAUUAAAAUAAUUGAAUUGUAGCAAAAUUAAAAUCUUCCAAAAGAUGAUUCUUACUAUAUUUGGUAUAUUAUAGAUGUUUAACAUAACAGUAUCCACCAUCAAACAUACUAUAGGUUGAUAUGACUUGAUAGAAUUCUCUUCUUUCUGGUUAUUUAAUAAAUACAAAUUAAUCAACUUGUUAAACCAAAAAAUAAAUUAAUAAUAAUAUUGUGUAGCACUAGGGCUUAGUGGUGAUCAACCGUGGUUUAUGUAACAAUUAUAUGUCAUUGUCACAUUAAUUUUUUUUUUUAAUCUAUCUUACCUUUGUAGCUGUUAUUGCUUUUGAUUUGAUUUGACUUGCACUUUUAAGUCAAUGACUAAAAAUCCCAAAUUGAGUCGGAAACAAUCGUGAUUUACCAACAAGUAGCAAAUUGCGAUUAAGAGGGACUUUAUGUCCUCAAAUUCACUACAGCCGCGGCCUCAAAUGCAAUUUGAAGCUAGGGAUAAGUCACUCAAAUAUUGAACAAUUAGUCCCUCAAUUUUUAAAUUUUAUCCAAUUUACUCUUUUAAAUUUUAGGGCCUACUUGGGAGAUUUAUUUUCACUGGUUUUGAGUGAAACCGUUUAUGAGUGGUUGGAGAAACCAUGUUGUUAGUUUUUUAGUAACGCCCAAAACCGGUGUAGUGUAUUUUUGAGCGGUUCUUCCAACCGGCCAAAUCGGCGGGUUUUGGCCAUUUCUCUUGUUCUUUUCUUAUUUUACCCUUUUAUAAAAUAAUUAUUUCCAACCAAUAUAUUUUAUUUAAAACUAAAUUACAAAUUAAAAUAAAUUAACUAAAAAAAUAAUUAUAAUUUAAAAAAAUUAUAUUAUAAUUAAAUUAUUUAUAAGUAAAAAAUCACUUUUAUGUAAAAAAUUAUUAAAAAUAAAAAUACUACUAAUAAGAUAAAAAAUAUUUGUAAAAUGUAAAAAAGUUACUUAUAAGAAAAAAUUUCACUUAGAUUUAUUUAAAAUUAAAAAAAAAAUAAAUAAAUUUUGACUUAUAAUUGUAAAAGUUACUUAUAAGAAAAAAUAUAAACUUAAAAUUUUAAGUAAAUAUUAAAAUUUAUUUAAAUUAAUAUUUAACUUAUAUGUGAAAAAAAUUAUUUAUAAAUAAAAUAUCACUUAUAAGUAAAAAAAUUCAUAUAAAAGAAAAUUUUACUAAAGGACAUAUAUGUGAUCUUAUUAUUUUAAAAAACUUUCGGAACUGGCGGAUAAUAAACUCCCAGGUUUUAAAAAUCUCUACUAAAAUCACUCAAAACCGCUCCGCUCAUAAAUGCUCAAAAUUGCUACUUUAAAAAACGCCCAUAACCCGUACAACGAAACUCCCAAGCAGGCCCUUAACCUUGUUCAUUUCAGCCGCUGAACUUCUAAUGUGACCCAAAUUGGUCCCCCAACCUUGGAUUUCUUCAAUUUUGAUCCUUUAAAUUCUGAGACUAUUCAAGUUGAUCCCAAUGUUCUAAUUUCAUUUUUGAUCCUCACGAGAUUUUCCAAAUGCCAAAUAUGAUUCUCAGAAGUUGUGAAUUUAUAAAAUUAAUUAUUCAAAGCUUACAAUCAAAUCCUCAACUUCCCGGUGGUUAUAAAAUCCACAAUUGUUGCUCCAAUUAAGCUCUAAACCUAUCCGUUUUGGGUGAUUCAUCUUCAAGUCAGGGUAUUUACCCUAAAAAAAAAAAUAUUAAAAUAAGAAGGAUUUUAUCGAAGUAACAUUUAAGUAACUUUAAGAGCCUAGAUAAAUGUGUGAUAUUCUCUUACGAGUUAUAUUAUACAAUCAAUACAUUCAAACACCUUCUAGGUUGUGUUAGACUAGAUAAAAACCUAAUAAAAAUUUUACCCUUAAAAUGUGGAUGUGUGCAUCUAUUUGUCGGUAGUUUAGAUGGGAUCCAUAAAACAAAAAUCUUUGCUACUACAUUUAUAACAGUUCACAAUGAUGCUAACCAAAUGUGAAAGUUCAAUGCCCAUUAUUGCAGAAACACGAGAUUACACUUGGAACCUCGAAGGGGUCCAUUUAUUUGACUAUAUUGACUAAAAGUUACAGCAUUACUUUAUUUCUUUGCUGACAAGAGAAUAAAGGACGAAACUAAAGAUACGUCAAGCAUGCAUCCAUGCUUGCAUUAUUCAACACAACAUUUUUAAAUUAAUUAAAGUAAGCAGUAAUUGUUAAUUUAAACAUUGUUUCUUUUUGGCCUUUUUGCAGAACUGUUCGUUUUUCUUGAGUUUUGACAUCCUGUAGCCAUGGAGUCCUUUUAGUUUUUCAGGAAAUCCUUCCACCACUUAGCUGAAUUUUUAGGGUGUCUUUCCAAUUCUUUCUCGUUCUUGAAGUUUACAUAAUGAACUCCAAAUCUAACAUUGUACCCUUGUGUCCAUUCAAAAUUAUCAAAAAAUGACCAUUUGAAGUAACCUUUCAAGCGUACACCAUCCCUGAAAAUGAAAGACUAGUUGAUUAGUUUCAAAAUUUACAAUUUUACUUCGAAUUUAACUACAAUAUGUGAUUAAAAAAAAAAAAAAAACAAUGACGUACUCUAUUGCCUUUCUAAGUUGGUUAAGAUGGUCCUUGUGAUACUUAACCCUUUUUUCAUCUUUAACAGCCUCUGGAAUUGUUAGUUCAUCGUUUUUCAAUUCAUCCAGCCCUACAAGAGAUUAUAAAAGAAUUCAACAAAUCACUAAAUGCUCUGAAAAUUUAGUAUUUGUAAUGUAUAUUCUUGCUAUAUACAUAAAUAAACAUGACUAUAUACCAUUCUCUGUAAUGAAAAUCUCAGAAUUAUAAUGUGUCUUUAUAUAAAGCAUUAUCUUGUAAAUUCCCUCUGGAACUAUGUACAACCAUGACGAACCACCCUGACACGAAGUAAAAAAGAUUUGUAAUUACAUUAGAUUAUACGUAAGCAUCGAAAAUAAUGUAAACCAUUAUAUCUAUUUUAGUUCAUUGUGCUCGUAUAUUAGGAGUCUAUGACAUAAUCAUAUUUCACCAAAAAUUGUUGAUAUGCCUAAAUUGUUAGAAUAAUCCAUUCCAUUGUCUAUAUUCUUUUUCUAAAUGACUCACCUUAUCACCAAUCGGCUUGCCAUAGCGAUCAUGAGCUAAAAGAAUGAAAAGUAAACAUCUUGUUAGAAGUAGUGUCCAUUUUUUGUCAAGGUAAAAAGUUAUAACUGAACAUGAGAAAAGGUCCCACUACUUACUCCUCUCAUCAACAUGCAGAUCAUUCUCAAAAUGUGUUUUUGAAGAAUCUCGAGGUACAUUUUGGGCAUAACGAGCCGUGUAAUAAUUUAUGCCUAAGAAGUCACAGGAACCUUUCACUAGUGCAACCUCAUCUCGUUUAAACUUGGGAAGACGUUCUCCUACAUUGAUUCUCAUGGAUGGUGGAUAAUCACCUGUUAUUACAGGGGCUACAAACCUGAACAGGAGAUGUGUUAAAAUUAGAAUUAUUAUCGAUGUACUAUAUACCUGAACAAAAAUAUAUCUAUAAUGUAUUCUCUUAAUAAGGCAUAAACAAAAAUGCAUAAACAGGCUAAAGGAUAAAAAGAAUAGAAGAGAAGAAACUUCCGAUAAUGGAUUCCAAUUUAACGAACUUCCCAGGCACUAAUUUCAUUGGGAGAUUCAGGAAUUUAUAGAGAUGCAGAGUAAUUGCUCGUGGUAAAGAUAAACUGCUCUAGCACAAGUAACAAUUACCAUCCUAACAAAAAAUCAAGUGCUCUCGAAGCAGCCUCGACAUCCUCUUUGCUUUCUUCCUUAAAAGGAUAAUACCACAUUGAAACGUUUGUCAUCCCUAUUUUGCCUUCUUGGCUUCCCUGUAUGUACAGAUGUAUUAAUAUUUGUAAAAUUUCAAAAGUGUGUAUUUACCUAUUUAUUUUUGUACGUGUGUGAAAUGUUAAAAUAAAAACCUGAUAUUUUUUCCGGUAUAUAUUAACCGCACGUGCAUGAGCAAGGAUCAAAUUGUGUGCCACUAUAUAUGGUUCUGUUCCCGGAUCUCCUUUCGAGUCCAGAACUUGAGGGGAUUGUGUCUUAGAAGUUAGAAUGACCCGAUCUCCUUUCGAGAAAGAAACUACUUCCUCUCUGACUGAAUCUCCUUCAGAGGAAGUACUAUCUUCAAAGGAUGCAGUGUAAGGCACAUUGAGUGCCUCAGCAAUUACUUUUCUCGCUGCAUUUCGUUCAGAGGAAGGAACGUUGUCCAAAUUGUAUGCGCUAUCAACUAGUUCACUGAUCGGAUCUCUGGCCAUAUAUCCUCUUGAUGAAGGAAACAGAGGAACAUUGAUGCUGCUUCUAUGCCUAAGGAUCGAGGAACGACACAUUCGUUCCAAUGAUUCUCGAGUGUGAUCCAAUGCCAAUGCUCCAAGAGGAUAACCUCGACGAGGGGGAAACCUUGGAUGCACAUAUCCAUAAAAAGUAAAGGACCAUGGCUCAUUAAGCGUGACCCAAUGUUUCACUCGAUUACCAAAUUUCGAAAAGCAUAUUUCGGCGAACUCACAAAAAUGUUCCCUAUUAUGGCAAUGUGAAACAAGUUAAAUAUCAACAUAUAUGUCUGUAAAAAACCCAUAGAUGGUAAAAAAAAAAAAUAAUAAUAAUAAAGAAAAUAAAAAAUUCACCUAUGACUUUUAUCUUCGUACAAGAGAUCAAUCUGCUUAUUAUUUUCCAUUUUCUUUGAAGAAAAGAUUUCUGCCUUUUCCUUUAAUAUAUAGUGUUUGAGAAAAUGACUUUGCUUAAUUCAUCUAUUAAACAUCUAGCACACGAUGUUCCAUGCGAUGCAAGAUCGAUUACUUACACAAUUUGAUGAUCUAAGAAGCCGCCAUAUAUAUCUUCCAAUUUUUGGGGAACGUCCCAAUGGAAGAGAGUUGCACAGGGCUUAAUGCCUACACAAAAUAAAUGAAGAGAAAUUGAGGUACAUAAUAUCUUUAGAUUUUAUAUUUUAAUUUAUAGGAGAAGGAAUGAUUUCAAAGGCAUAUCAAUUUGAACUUCCAAUCAUGUACUAAUUAAAUAAAAAAUGAGAAUCAUUUUCUUAAAGACACAAUAAACACGUGAAUUCAAAGAAGUCUAACCUUCUUUCACAAGUUCGUCUAUAAGAUUGUUAUAGAAUUGGAUUCCUUCUUCGCUUAUGUCAUCGCAUAGUCUACCACCUAAAAUAUCAAUAUAAAUUUAUACUCAUAUUAAGAUAAAGAACUAAUUUAGUGGUACAUAAUGGAGUGUACCUAAGGGUGUACACCCCCCUCACAUGGAGUCUGGGGUCCACCCGAAUAAGUGUUUUUUUAUUCAGGUGAAUCCCACACCCCAUGUGAGAGGGGUGUACACGUUUAGGUACACCCCUAUGUACCACUAACACCACUGUAAAAUAAAGUCAAGAAACUUUUACUGAUAUCCAAUAUUGAGGAAAUUGCUUGGUGAGGUCUCACAUUAGAGACAACUUCUGGCUUUCUAAAUACUUCUAUUUUUCAAAAUAUUUUUACAUUUGUUCUAACGAUAACAUUUUCUUGUCAAAAGUUUUUCUACAAUUUUCUCUUCCUUUUCUCUAUGUUCGACUUGAAAACUAGGCAAGGUUUAUGAGGCUUUCGAGCCAAUUUAGACUACCUAGUCAAACUUGUCAAUGUAGACCAUGAACUCUAUAUUGUCCAGAAUCUUUUCAACUUUGCCUAGCCCUUUAUAAUCAUUUAAAAAAUUUUAAGCAGAAAACAUCACUUUAGCUUAAAAAUUAAAUAAUGUACAAACGCUACAUCUUUGACGUUUCAUUAUUGAAGUGAAAAAAAAGAAAAAGAAAAAAAAAAUUGUCUUUCUAAAAUCAUUUAAGCACAAUCUGGUACCUGGUAAGAUUCUGGACCAUGAAAUUGAAAAUCUAUAAGAAUCCAAACCAACUUCCUUCAUCAAAGCCACAUCGUCCUGCAACAUUAUUGACAGUGAGUACAAUAUACAUUCAAAAAUAUUAUUCUUGGUGGCUUAAAUUAGAAUACAAUCAAUUUUAAUUGAUUUUUUUCUUUCUUGUUUCUUCCACUUUUUUAAAAAUUGAACUUUUUGACUUCAAGUGCCAACAAAGUAUCAACUCAUUUUGAAUGCUAUGUUCCAGUUAAUAGCAUUUUUCUUUUCAUUAAUGGAUCAAAAGAGUUAUUUAAUUCAUUUACAGCUAUUAGUUCAAUUCAUUUUUCACUUACUUAAAUAUUGUAAGGGAUCAGAUGAGCCUCGCUUAAUGCUUGAAUAGAUAUAGAAUUUUGAUACGGUAAUAUAAAUGAAUUAACAUCACUAUCUGCUACGAAAAAUUAAAUAGCUGAGCGCAUUUACCUUGAACUUGUUAUAGUGAUCGAUUGCCACUUGUCCACUUGAACGAUCCGCAAUGCUAUCUGCCACACAGACAUUUUAAAUUAGGAGGGCACACUCAAACCUUGUAUAGAUCGAAUACUUUAUUCUUAAUUUUUGAAUGAUUCAUACUUGACUCGAAAAAAUAAGAUUUACGUUUAAAAAAAUCCCUUCAUUAAUAUUUUGGUCAUCAUUUUCAUUUAUUUGAUUUCAAACCGUCAUUUUAUUAAUAUUUUGCUCAUCACAAAAGAAUAUAUAUUUAUGUUUAAAAAAUUUAUAAUGUAUUUGAAAUUUUGAUGCAAGCAAUCAAUUAAAACGAUUAAUUCAAAUAGUCGAAAAGAAAAACUAUUUAACAAAUAUUCAAUACUAAAAAUCAAUCAAAUAAACAGAAUUCAUUAAAUAUAAGUAAAAUUGGACAUAAUCAUUUCAGACCCGUUCUGUAUACACAAUUUGAUAGAAAAAAUAAUCUAUAGCAUUUAAUUAAUUGAAAAAUUGAUUGGGAAGUGAAGAAUUGUAAUAUAUGUGAUAAUCUAUAGAAAAAUUAUCGAUAAAUGUUUAAAAAAUUAGAAGUUAAGAAUUUGAUAAAAGGCAUGAGGGAGAAAGUAGCUAAAGAGAAAGAUAAAGGAAAAAAGUUCAAAUCUAUUAUGAUUUUGCCUCCGUUUGGUAGAGAUUAAAAUCAGAUUUUUAAUAAAUUUUGAUAAAAGUUAAAAAGUUGUGGAUUUCAUGAAAUAUUCUAUUAAAAUUAAUUGUUAACUUUGAUUCAUAUUAAAAUUUAAAUUUUAAUUCAUACCAAACAUGACUUUAAAAAAAAAUAAAAAAAAUCCCAAAAAAAAACCCCAGGACCCCGUCUCCACCACUGAAUGUACAUGUGUGUGCGUGUAAAUUAAUAUGUUCUAUCUUAAAAUGAAAACUUUGGUAAAAAGAGUUACACAAGCCUUCUUUUGUUGAUUGAUAUAUUUAACUUAUAAGAGAUUAUACACUUAACAUGCCUCAGCAGGAUAAUGACUUGUUAAAAAACAUCAAUCCUUGAAUUCGAACGCUUGUUUGAAUUUGAGAUGGAUCAAGUUACUUUUUUGAGCUUGUUGGACGAUGAUAAAAUAAUGAGAAUGGAGAUUUCAUCUCAAAUGCACAACCUAAUAUAUAGGAGUAGCUGAGAUCUUUUAUGUUAAUUUAUAUUUUAUAUUUACUGAUUUUAAACACACAAGACUAGAAAGAGAGAGAUUGAAGAGACCAGGAUGCUUUUCUGUCAUAUCAUCCCAAUUACUCGGGCCUUUACCAUCUACAUUCCAAGCACCUUCUACCUGAAAUAAAUUAUACAUCCACAAAUUAAGAACUCAAGAAAGUUAAAUUGCAUGUGAUGGACCGUCUAACAUAUACAUUCCCACAUGAUCGUUUCAGCAAAUCUUCAUUAUUCUAAACUAUAAUGGAUUCUUUUAUAAGGUACAUUUAAUAGUAUUUCACAUUAUUAACGAAUAGUACGGUUUGCCCAUUUUUCUGUGCAAAUAUACAACAUACUAAAACAUACCAAUUACUCACUUGAUAUGCCAGUGUUAGCACCGAAAACUUGAAAAAUCAGUUGCAAACCUGAUAUGCCGAUGUUGCACCACCAAAUAUAAAAUCCUUGGGGAAAUCAGAGCGUUUGAUCUCGGUUUGGGAUGUAGCCAUUUGAAUGAGCAGGAUGAGAUAUUAUAGUCAGUUGGGAGAGGUGUGUGGUUCCUCUUGUCCAUUCACUCUAUUUAUAGACUAUGAGUUUCAAAUACUUGUAUCAUACUAUUAGACAACAAGCAUAAAGUAAGUACAAUAUAUUGGGAAAGGUAUCAAUACUUUUCUUAAAGGUUGAACUCCAACCUUGAAGGCCCCCAUCGCCUCGCCUCUAGAGCUUUGUGAGGGAGGUAAAUCGCAGGAUGUGCCCCAACAGAUCAGGAAACAAGAGCUGCCUGUACACUGUGCCUAUAAAGAGUUCAAUUCCAUGUCUUAGGAAUCGAACCCCCACACUGCAACUGCCAGCAAGACGUGAGAUAAUCUCUCUCCGGUCAUUUACACCACUAGGCUAUGCUCCAGGGGGCAUAUUCAUACUUUUCUUUAUUCUACUUAAAGUAAAUACAAGUAUAUGUAAACCUUUAAGUAAUUCUUUACUUCCUUCUCAUUACAUCUCAAGACAUUUCUUUGAUUCUGCACCUUUAAGUCAUUCUUUACUUCAUUCUCAUUAAAUCUAAAGACAUUUCUUUGAUUAUCCAUAUUAUACCUCUUGAGUUAAUUACGAUUUUUGUGUCUAGAUAUUUUUCUAUUUGGGUUACUAUUAGUAAGAAUAACUCUUAAGUUUGUAAGGGACAAAAUAAAAAACUUAAUUAAUACAACUUUUUAUUAAUUUAAUUGGCAACACAAAGGGGGAGCAAUCAAAGUCAAAUUUUUUAUCUAAUUGCUGAGAUGUAUUGGAUCUGUAAUUAUUGAAUUAAACGUGCGAUUUCACUUGUUUAGUGGAGCAGUUUUCGAAAUUAAUAUUCAAGCCCGAGUUUAAAAUAAGAUGAUUUGGAGCUUGAAUUGUGUCAAGUCAUUGGCUUUGAUGAAGCCACACUAUUGGGUUGAUAGAAGGAUGAGAUUCAUAAUAAGAUGACAAACCUCAUGGGAUAUAAUUAAGAUGAUUACUUUUGUACUUUAAGAUGAUUUCAAUCUCCGUAAUCUUAUUUCUUUAGAUUUGCACGGUAAAUACUUACUCUUAAAUCCAAUUAAUACACUGACAUGAGGACACACCACUUUGUUAGUAAAGAUAGGAGAGACGCUCCAGGUAUACCAAGGGUAUAGUAAUUUCAACAUUGUCAUGGAUAAAUCAGUAAAUGACGAAAUCCUUGGACAACCAGCCAUGAAGCAUGCAAAUAUAAUCAUCUUCCUCCAUCAAUUGCAUGUGAGGUAUUCCAUGAAUAAAGGUGAAAUGUUCUUAAAGUAUAAUCAAAGAAACCUGCUUACGAACCACAAAAUUAAUAAAAAAUGAGACAUGAAAGCUUUUCCGUUAGCUCAGCAGAUGCAAGUAAAGCUUUAAAAAUUGGCAAGGAAUUGAGUGAACCCAUAAAAGGAUUGUUAAAAAACAUCCUAGUUGCUAACCUAGGUAUAGUCCCUUGGAAACGUGCUGAAAUUAUGAGGAUAGAUCCCAAAGUUGCUUCAAUUGCAUGUGAGGUACUCCAUGAAUAAAGGUGAAAUGUUCUUAAAGUAUAAUCAAAGAAACCUGCUUAUGAACCACAAAAGUAAUAAAAAAUGAGACAUGAAAGCUUUUCCGUUAGCUCAGCAGAUGCGAGUAAAGCUUUAAAAAUUGGCAAGGAAUUGAGUGAACCCAUAAAAGGAUUGUUAAAAACAUCCUAGUUGCUAACCUAGGUAUAUUCCCUUGGAAACGUGCUGACAUUAUGAGGGUAGAUCCCAAAGUCGUUUCUAUGCAAAAAUUAAGCCUAAGAUGCAAAGCUGGAUGGAAAAAAAAAAAAAACCUCUAAAAAAAACCUAAUUUAAAAAAAAUAAAAAAAUAAAAUUAUAAUAACACCUAGAAUCCUAGUCUAAAAGGAAACUAAUAAUAAACCACUAAUUAACAUCCAAAUUAACUUAAAGAUAUUAAAAAUAUUAGAAUACUAAUCAAAUAAGGGGACAACUAUUAAAGGAUCACCCAAACUGUCGGCCAUAGGGGUGGGCACGGGUCGAGUCGGUUCGGUUCUGAACCGAAAUUUUUGGGUAUCUAGUAAAUGGAACCGUCGGGUCCAAAUAUAAUUAUGGAACCGUUCGGGUUCGGUUCCGUUCAGUGCGGUUUGGUUCCAUUCGGUUCCGUACUAUAAUUAAAUUUUUUAAUAUCUAUAAAAACACUAUAUAAAUACAACUAAUGACAUAUUCAAACAUAGUUUUACAAAUUAACAUAGUCAAAUUUAAUAACAUGUAAAUAACAAGUUGUCCAACAACAUUAAUUUACAAAUACCAAAGAGUAGAAUGAGUAGAUACUCAUACUAAACUUCAACUAUCCAUCAAUUACUUGACUUAUCAUACUCACUAUUAAGAAACUCUGCAAGAAAAAAAUUGAAAAAGCACAAUUAACUUGUUAACAAUCAUAAAUAAAUUCAAAUGUGUUCAACUAAUAAGAUUUAAUAGUGUGUGUGUGUGUGUGUAUUAUUACUUGUCUCAAUGCUCUCAUAGAACUUCGUCUCUUCAAUGCAAACUCUAUCUUGAGAAACUUUCAAAAGUCUAGAUUCUUCCCUUAGCCAAUUUUGUGUACAAAUCAAGGCCUCAACUGUUUUAGGAGUUAAAGAACUCCUAAAUGGAUCAAGAAUACGCCCUCCAGUACUAAAUGCUGACUCAGAAGCAACUGUAGAUACAGGAAUGACAAGAACAUCCCUUGCAACCUCAGAUAAAAUUUCAAAUAUUGAUUUAUUGAUCUUCCACCAAUUCAAAAUGUCAAAAUUUUCAUCACUAGCAUCUUCAGUGGAUUCCAUUAGAUAUCGUUGUACCUCAUCUUUUCCAGAAAAAUCCAUUUUGGUAGUUUUCAAUUUCUUGUACCAAAAAUCAAAAUUGCAAUCAUCCCAAUCAUCAUCAUCAUUCAAGUCCUCCAACAAAGUGACUCCAUCAUUAGAUUCAUCACCCCCAUUUCCGCUUCCACUCGGUCCAUUGUUUGAUCGUUGCCAUCCCUUUUGUUGGUUAUAUAAAGCAUACAGUAAUUUCAUGACCUCGUUUUUUGUAGCUUCAACUUUAACACUGUCAUACAAAAUACCAAUGCAAUGUACAACAAACUCCAACUUAUACCUAGGAUCAAGCACGACUGCUACAAUCAAAAUCUUAUUCAUUUUAUCAACUUUACCCCAAUACUUGUCAAACUUAAUUUUCAUGCUAUUUGCUAUACUACUUAGCAAAUAAUUUCGCUUCUCACCCAUUUUCUUCAAAAUUUGCUCAAUUUUACAAACUUCAUGGAAGUAAAUAUUGGAAGUAACACUCAAUGAAGCACUAAACUUCAAUGUGACAUCAUAAAAGGUUCUUAGAAACUUGACAAAUUUUCUAGCUUUCUCCCAAUCAUAACUUGUAGGUGGCCCCUCUUUUUCUUUUCCACCUUCAUUUUCAUCAAAAUAUUUACAAUAAAAUCCGUCCUUUUCCUCCAUUCUUUCAAAAGCUUUUUCAAAAUUCAAUGCACUAUCCAACAUUAAGAAUGUUGAAUUCCAUCUAGUAGGAACAUCUAAAAUAGCAAGUUUUGUGCUUGCAAUCUUUUCCCUUUCAAUACAACAUUUAAAUUUUGUCAACCAAGAAGGAGAUGAUCGAAAAUAUUUUACCGCAUUGUGAAUACUAUCUAUAGAUGGAUUAAACUCUUUCAACCCUUCUUUAACAAUCAAAUUGAUUAUGUGUGAUGUACAACGUACAUGCAGAUAAGAGCUACCUAAAAUCAUAGUAUCAUCAGGUUUCCUAUUCUUCAACUUGUUUUUCACAUAAACGAUCGCUGCAUCAUUUGUGUUUGCAUUAUCUACAGUAAUGGUACCCACACACUCUAUUCCCCAAUCAAGCAGACACGUCUCAAUAAUCUUCACAAUUGUCUCCCUUUUAUGAUUUGGAACCACAGAAAAACUUAAUAUCCUCUUAUGCAAUUUCCAAGUUCUAUCAAUAAAGUGUGCUGUGACUACCAUAUAAUUGAUGUCCAACAAUCAGUGGUUAAAGAAAUCCUUUAACUAUCCUUAAUAAAUUUAAUCCUCAAUGAUUCCUUCAUCAAUGACUUUUCGUCCAUCUCCCUUCUCCAUUAAAACAGAACAUUCUUCCAAGAAUAUAGCAUACAAAUAUUCUAAACCAAAUGUGAUCCACAUAUGUCAAAUGCAAAAGCUACCACAAAAAAUAAAGACACCCAAACUGAAAAUAAAACAUCCAAAUUCAACGACUACUGGACUGAAAAGUGAAAAUGAACGGCACCGACGCACCGUGAAAGAACUCACCAAAAUUCGAAAUCAGGAAGGCAGCAAACAAAAUCGGACUGUCUGAGAACUCAGGAUAAGUGAUUGUAUGGGUUUUCUAGGACGGCAACAAUAAUUGUACGAAGACGUUGAGCUGUAGAGCGCAGAGACGGAGGCUAAUGGUUAUGCAAUCUUUAGGUUGUAUCAAGGAUUCAAGAUUCAAGAGUAGGGUUAUUUUACUUAUUUAGUUGGACUUGGGUAGUUGUAUCAUGUUGAUUGUUGGGCCAAAAAUUAUAAAAAUUAGAAAUCAAACAAUAAAAUGGGUUUGGCCAAAAGCUAAAAAAUUAGAAAUGAAAUAAUUAUUGGGCCAAAAUUGUUUUUUAGAAAUUGUUAAUUUGUUUGAAAAAAAUUAAAAUAAAAAACAUUUUAUUUCUUCAAUAAAAAAAAAAAGUUAGAAAGAUUCAGUUCUCAUUCGGUUCUUCGGUUCUUGGUACAGAAUCGAGAAUCGAAUUGUACCCGUCGGUUCUCAAUUCAGAUACUCGUCCAGAUAUUUAAUUCGACAAGAACCGUCGGGUUCGAUUUAGUUCGGUUCGAGUUCGAUUCGGUCGGUUCGGUUCGAGAGAUUUCCCCAGCCCUAGUCGGCCAUAUAGAAUUAUGUCAAUUUGGUAACUAGCGCCCAAUUGAAACUUUCCGCCUUUGGUAUAACUGUGCAAUUUUGGAAUAAAAUCUACUUCGGACUCCUCUGUGCGACGACACUGUUACCUGUAUUGCGGUCGCAUGGUUCACAUGUUGAGCCUCCAAAUUUUCCCUGCCAUGUUUGGUGAGACCGCAAGUCUUGGAGAGCUAUGCGGUCGCAUAGCUCUUGGUUUUUGGCUGUACUUUCGGCUGGAAUUAACAAGCUGUUCCCAAUUGAUUUGGAGCUCGGUUCCUUCUUCAAACUUACUCCUUGACUUGUGAAAUUCAUGGUUUUGGAUCCCGUUGAUUGAAUAUAUAAGUGACUAGCAUUAUUAGCUCCUUUGAAGUCUCGACUUGACUCAAGUCCUUCAACGUUUACACCCACAUAUCUCCAACCGGUUUUACCAUUCAUGCCCAGCAUGAAUUGUGACAUUUGGCUCAAUAACUUCAACAUCUUGAAUUCCAUAGCUUGAUCUGGAGUUUUGCCAGCUUGAUUAACCCCAAUUGGCCUCCAAAUGAACGAGAACUUUGGUAUCGAUCGACCUCCAGCAAUCGCCAAAUAAUUGAUAAUUAGUGGCGUAACCCAAUUUAUAUCAGGACAGCUCUCCUCUCCCCGGAAUUGAUCGGCUAGUAGAUGCCACUGCGGGACAUGAACUGUUAUUGACCUGACAAGGAAUAUACCGCAUUUGUAAUAGAUCAGGGACUAUACUAUUUAAUAUUAUGUCAUUUGAACUAAAGAAUAUUGGGACUGUGUGCCAAAGAUCAGUGAAAAGAACGUUCCUAGAUCGAAUAGAAAAAUGGUGAAAGUAUACAUUGAUGACAUACAUGUGAAAGACCUUCAGGUUGGAGACUGUUUAAAACAUCUAGAAGAGGCUUUCAACAUAUUAGGACAAUAAAAGAUGAAACCUUAUCCGUUGAAAUACUCCUUCGGAGUUGAAUCUGAUAAAGUUCCACACUUACAUGUCAAUCGGCGAGGUAUAGAAGCGAACCCCGACAAAAUUUAGGCCCUCAUAAAAAUACGUCCCCAUCUAAAUCAAAGGAGGUACAAAACCUAAAGGGAAGGAAUCUUCACAAAUCAAUUUCUAAUUGCACAAGGCACAUUCCAGAUUUUAAGCCAGAGUUUAAGACUCAUUUUUGGAAUAGUAAAAGUUCGAAUUAGAAAAAUUCUUCUAUAAGAAUUAUAGCCCUUUGAGUUAGCAUUCCAACACAUUAUAAAUCACCUUAAUUGGAUAUUGGAAGAGAAGGUUAUAUCCAAAAUAUUGAUGACUAAGCAGAGACAUAAUCAUGCGUGCACAAAAGACAGUUUUCAUAUGUGAUUGCAACUCUUUUGGGAGCCAAUUUGGACAUGACUUUUGGCCUAAUUUUGCCAUAUAGAAUACAUAACAUAAGCAUCAAUUAAAAGAUCUCUCUCUUAACUUUCAAAUUACAUCCCUAUCAAAAAAUCAUUUAAGAAUGGUGGGUAAAUUCAAUAUAAGUUGGAGAGUAGAAUAAAUCUUGUAAGAAAUUGAAUCAAGACCCAUCAAAAACUUGAAGAAUCAAAUUUUGAGGUUGAUAAUUAAGAACAAGAAUUGGACCGUGACAAUUUUUUAUUUUUUUUUGUAUUUAUAAAUUUCAGGUGAUGUUCUUCCAUUCUUCUUAUUGUUUUAUCAUUAGAAACAUAGUUAGCUAGAUUUCUUUGUGUUGAAUGAAAUUGAACUUUAUUAUUAUUUAUUUUAAAUUCAAGUACCGAGUUAUUUAGUAAUUUUUUUCGUGAUUGAUCUCAUAUGCCUGCUGCAUUAUUUGAUUACUUGAUCACCAAUUAAAUAAUUAAUUACUUGUUGUAGUGGUGGGAUGCUCACAAUAGUUUUAGAAAACUAAAAUUUCAACACACUGGCGAUAGAUGUUAGGAAUAGCAUGUAUGUCAUAUGAAAUCUUGUUGACAAUCAAGUGACUGAAUAAGUGUUAUGCAUAUAAAUUUGGAAUAGGAAGAGGAUUUGGUCGUGUUUAGGAUAUAAUUAACUUAUCUUGGAAAAUAAAGUUAAAUAAAAUUGAAUUACUGAUUGUCAUGUAUGCACAAAUUAUGUUAAAAUAUAUAUGUAGAGAAUUGAAAAUAAAAUAAUAAUAGGUGAAUUAGAAUUCCAACACAUACAACCCAUAUUUAAUUAGAAACAAUUGUAGAUAACUAGUAGAUAAUUUAGCUUUAAUCAAAACAUCCCUUUUGUUAUUUACUUUCGAAUUUGAUAGCGAGUUGAUAAAUGUCAAUAUAACGCUUAUUUCUCGUUGGACGAUACUCUUAAUUUACUUAAUACAUUACUUGUCAACGACCACGUAUACUUGCGGAGUUUUGUCUGAACGAGUCUUUGGAGCUGUUGCGCAAGAAUAAAGUUUUUAAAUUCAAUUUAUUAAUUUGAACUGGAUUUAUUUUAUUAUUUUGUUAAUUUUAGCUAUACAUUCUGAUCUCUCUUGUGUUUGGUGGUUUUUAGAUACUAUUCAAUAGUAUAUGUAUGAUUCUAACAAUUACAAGGGAGUAAAAUAGUUGUAAUAAGCAAUCUCGACAUGGAUGAUAAUAAUAUGCUUGUAGAAGAUAUUUAUUGUGAUCUUUUUUUAUAAGAUGCAUUAUACUAAGCACUGUUUAUAUACAUGCCAGACUCUUGCAAGUUAAAGCUUCUGUAGUUUAUACAAUAUCUAAGAUGUCUAAAACAAGUAAUUGACAAAUCUAAUGAAAUCUACAUGAUUGUGGGAGAUUAUGCAUCUAUUGAUUGUGAUGAGGAUAUCAUACUUGUGGGAGAUGGUCCUCCUUUGUCAAAGAAAAAAGUACUUACAGAAUAUUUUAAUAAACGUACCAAGUCGGAUGAUAGCAACAUGCAUGUGGGAGAUGGGAUAUACCGGCUUUAAUUUAAGAAGAAGGGACAUAAUUCACUUGAAAUGGUUGAAAAUAAAGAGUUAUCACUGCCCAUGGAUUUAGACUGGGAACCGACUAUUCAACCCUAAGGAACGUCAACUAUUAAAAAGAGCAUAAAGAGAAUGAUAAAUUAUUCACAAAGGAACUAAACAAAUAAGUGAUAAUUAAUGAAGAUAAAAUUAACAAACAUUCUUUUGACUUCAUCGAUUUCCCAACAAUUGAAUUUAUGAUUAAGUUUGAGGAGGAGGUACAAGUAUACAUAGUUGAUUUUGAAAUGGAUAGAAUAGGCAAGUCUUAUCACAUUGAAAUAGGUAGUGUUUUAUUUGGAGAAUCAACGAAAAGUGGAUCAAAGUCAAAAGAAGCAAACUGUGCAAGGCAUUAUAGGCUUUCUUUAGAAUUUCAUGAUACAGGUUGCCAAAGUCAAGCUAAUGACUACAAACAAGCGUUUAUUGGGAAGCGACCUGAUUUUCUUCCCUUUUAUUUAUUAUAGUUUCUAAAAUAAUAGGUUGAGUUAUUCCAUUUUACGAGAUUAUUUUACUAGAAUCAAAUCGCCAAAAUGAGUUGGCAAAUUGUGAUUGGAUGGUUGAAAAAUAUUUUUGGCCCAACUACCCAUGAAAUGCCGCUAGAUGUUAAUGUGGGUCAAUUCUAGUAAAAUCAAUCUAGUAAUGUAGUAUAACUCUAAUAGGUUAGAUAUUUUUUUAUUGAUUUUGUGUGUUAGUUAGUAAUUUAAGUAUCUUCAUCCCUAUAUUGUCCUAUAGAUUGUGUUUGAGCUUAUUAUAAAUUAUUUCAUAUUAUUAUGAUUGAUUUCUCUUUAUUAUGUAGGAACAUGACAAUUGAAAAUGUAAUAACUAACAAUGGAUAAGGAAAAUAUUAAUUGAUAUUUAUCGAUGUGAAUUUUGACACUCUUUAAGUUUAGCAUUAUAAAGGAAUGAAUUGAUUCAUAUUUGAUAGGUUGAAAAUAAUGGACCUUAGAUGUUGAACAAAAAAUUCAGUAUAAUAUAUAUCCUUAAACAAAUUUUAGGAUGGUUUAGAGGUGAUUGAACUAUUGUAGGAAGAUAUUGAGAUGAAUCGGGAUUUUAUGUGUACAAACUCUUAUGUGAAUUGUCUAAGGCCAAUAAUAUGAAAAGUAGGUUAAAAUCUUGAGUUAAAGACUGAUUUAUGAGAAUGAGGGUUUAAUAAGGGGUAUUGUAUUGAUCAUUAUAUGGAAAGGGAAAAAACUACCAUGUCGUGAACCUACCCUGUAAAAGAUCCCAAAUGAGGACACUUGUUGAAAACACCAAAAAGAAAACUAAAAAAGGGGAUCAAGUUUGUGCAUGAAAUAGAAGACCUACUAAAUGUCUUGAUUAAGCCCUAAACAUUUAUUUGAGUGAAUUAGACAUUUGAAUAGGAAUUAUUAGAUUAGCUUAUUCUUAAAGGCUGAAACAAUCAAAAUAAAAAAGAAUCCCUAUUUCUUGAGAUAUUGACUUGCCAUUAGUAAGGUCUAUCCAAAUUUGAGAGUGUAAGAAUUAGUAUAUAAAUUCAUCCUUAGAAUAUAGCUUGGAAAUGUGAGUCAAAAGAAUAAUUUAUCUUAAGAGUGAUAACCAAUAUGGGUUGUUAAAUGAAGCAACUUAUGAAUUUAUGAUGUUUAACUUAAUUUUCCAUAUGCAUACAUCAAUUUUACAUUGGAUAAGUAGAAAUUGAUUUAUGUAUUGUGAUUUUGAAGUUGUUCAUAAAUUUAAUACAAUGAUUAAAAAUAAGAGCAAAUGACAGGCUGUUGAUUGACUAGCCACCAUUACGUAAUUAGCAUUGCAUGCUUGUUCAUUGAUAAUAGUUUUUUUUUUUUUAGUACUUAAUAGGCCAUUAAACUAGGAUAUUUUGUAUUGCUUUUGAUAAAUAUAGUGUAAGCUCUUUAUUUUUCAUUUAUUAGAAACAACUCAAUGAUUUGAAGUGAAUUUGGAAGAAUGAACAUAAUAUUGGUGAAAAUGGAUGAAAUUCAAAGUUCACGGAUCAAAUUGCAACUAUCUAUAGUUGAUUUGGAUCACAAAUCGAUAAUGGAGAUUGUUUGGGUCAAUUGGAUGCAACAAAAAGUCAAAAAGGAAUGAAAUAUAAUAAAAGGAUCUUCAAAAAUCAAUUUCCAACCUAAUUUACAAAUCAAUUUCCAACCUAAAUCAAUUUUUAAAUGAUUCACUUGAUCAGUAAGAAAUCCAAUUUGACUAACAAACACCUAAUUCUUGUUCCUUUUCAAGUUCAUGUUUUUUUCUUUUGUUUGAGUACUGAUGACAUCUAGGGCGGAUAUAACCUAACUCACAACAAUGAUAGCAUGUAAGGAUAAACCUAGGACCUGUGUUAUCUGAACGUUGACGCCUAUUCCUAGGUCGACUAGAUCUAUGCUGUCUAGUAGACCUCUGUUCUACAGAUCCUUUAUCUUUAGGUUCAGGGUUAGGUACAUGUUCAGGUUGGUUUGUGGCAGGGACAAAUGUGAUCUUGGAUGUGCUAGCAACAUUAUGGUUUUUACACUUAUAUCCUAGAUUUCCCUUAUUGCCAGUCGGCUUACCCAUUCCUACAAUAUUAUCUAACUGUAAUGAACCACUAGUGAAGGCAAGCGUUGAGACUUAGAAUGUCCUAGAUCGCUCACAAGGUUUUUAAACUGGAUUUCUAAAGUCUCAUUCUUGGUGGUCAGCUCAUUAACUUUCCAAGAGGGCCUCUUGAGCUCACUGGGAAGAUUCUUAACCUGAGAUUCUAAGGAGUCAUUCAUCGUUUUAAGUUCACUCACGAUUGUGGAAGAUUCCUUAAUAUAUGCUACUAACUUUUCUUUCUCCAACUGAAGCUCCUUAACUAUCAUACUUAAGGUGUUGUUCUUACUAAGAAUUUUAAGACUCUACUGAUACAUUUUCUCAUAUACCUCUUUAAUAUCUUCCUCAUUUACAGACUCGUCACCAAAAUCCUCGCCACUAUCUAUGUCCUCAUCCCUGUCAUUCCCCUAUUCGGAUCCACUCUUAACUCUAGCAAUGAAAGCAACAUAUUUUCCACUUUCCUCACGAGUGGAUUUUUCGCUCUGAUUGUCCGAGCUAGACUCGUCAUCAGUGAGAGUAGUAUUCAUAGGCUUCUCUUCGACUCUCUUACCAUUAGGACACUCUUUCUUAACAUGACCUAUACCUUGACAAUUAUAGCACCUCAAAAUUUGGAUCUUGUCCUAGAUUCAUUCGCACCACCUCUCUAUCUCUCUUGCAGUGUCUUAUUCCUAAGCAUCUUAUGAAAUUUUUUAGCUAGGUAGUCAUCUCCUCAUCAUUGGGUAAAUCUAAGUUAGAAGAUUCGAUCUGAUAAUUCAUGGCAGAUUUCAAGGCCAAGGGCUUUUCCUUAGGUAGGUUGCCUACAGCCAGCCCAUAGGUCUGGAUGGAUCCAACUAGCUCUUCUAGCUUGAUAGUCUCUAUCUCCUUACUUUCCUCAAUUGUCGUGACUUUAGGCCUAAAAUGCUCGGGUAAGCAUCUAAGGACUUUUCUCACUAUUUUAGGCUUGGGGAUUUUCCCACAUAGGUUGAAAGAUGAAUUCACAAUGUCAUUUAGGCAUCCAUAGAAUAUAGCAAGGUCUCAUCCUCUCUCUCAUCCUGAUCUCUUCAAAUCUAGUAGCCAGUAUCUACAAUUUCGAGUUCUUAACUACUUGUGUUCCCUCAUGUGUGGUUUCUAAAAUAUCCCAAACUUUUUUCGCUACCUCACACAUGGACACUCUCUUAAAUUCCUCAGGAAAAUAGCCAUAAAAAGGGUAUAAAGGGCUUUCCUAUUCCAGUUGCAUCUAUCUAGUUCAGCCUUACACCAAUUUGUUAUGGGGAUGGGAGUAACGACAUUGCCAACCGUUGUACUAGGGACAGACCUACCAUUAACUACGCUCAACCAAAUCCUUUCAUCCAUAGAUUUCAAGAACACCCUCAUCCUAAUUUUCCAGUAGGCAUAAUUACUACCAUCAAAAUAGGACAGCACACUCAACAGGAUACUCAUCUGGACAAUGAAAGGUUAGGAAACAUGUUUAGACACUGAUACCACUUUUGAGAAUUUGUAACGUUCUAAUAUCACUUUAAGUUUUAGAGUUACCAAGUUUACGUUCUAGAUUACCGAUUAGUUUGACUUUACGUGUGGAAUUGACUAAUUAAAGCAAACACGUCACUUCUAAUUAGUUUCUAGAUGAUUAAGCAUACAAUUCAAUUAAACCUAUGUUUGAAUACAAUAGUUUGUAAUAAAUUACUGGAAAGUAAAGAAUACAAAAUUUGAUGACGGAGAAACACAAUGUGGCAAAAACUCCGGGAUCAAGCCAGUUACAUCCACUAUAGACAGUUCAGGGGAUAUACAACAAUUUCAACUCUUGUAUCCACUAAGACCCACUGUCACAGUCUCACGAUCUACUGCCAUAAAUACCUCUAGCAUACUGACCUCCUGUAGCCUCCUGCUAGACUUCCUAAUCUACCUCCUGCACUGAAUGUCUCUCCAAGUGGAACACUAUGUUCUUGUGCUUGUAACUGUGCUUCAAUUCAUCUCUCUCACUUCUCCAAUGAGAGAGUCCAUUCCUCAAUCAAUUAAGGAAGCACGGUGUUUUGUAUUCACGAGCCUUGAUGUUUUCCCAUUUCUAGGUUACUAGAUCACAAGAUGAAUGUGUUUGAUUCUUCCAAUUGAAUUUUGUUCCAAGAUCAUAAUGAUGAUAUGAAAGCUAUGGAGAUGAAGAAUAAUGUGGCAAAAACCCUCUCUCAUAUCCCAGACUUUGCUUUUUAUACCUGGAGGUAAAUAAGUGUCUUGGGCCGAAUAAAAUUAUCCAAAACACGGUCUAAGGUUUGGCCAUGUAACACUAUCGUUCGAGCAACACUUCAGCAAGAAGCAAACGAUAGCUUCUUCGCUCGAACGAUGCCUGGACGAACAAUGAGGGACGAUGGUUCUGAUUCCUCCGCUCAAGCAACACCUUGGCUACCAGCUUGCGAAAAAAUCGGCGAAUCUUCUACCUUGUUCCAAACUAAACCCUAGCCUAAACCAUCUAUACAAAUUGCAAUCCAAGUCACUGACUUUUACAACAUGUUCAAUUUUGUCCCUUUUGUUCAUAGAAUUACCAAUUACAAUAUAAAACCUAACACUCUUACCUUUCAAGUUACAUCCAUAUUAUAAAAUCACUCAAGAAGAAGGGCAAAUUCAAUAUAUAUUGGAGAGAAGAACAAAUAUAGCACGGGAUUGAAUCACAAAACAUAAGGAACUUGAAGAAUCAAAUCUUGGGAUUGAUAAACAAGAACAAGAAUUGUACCAUAACUUCUCCUUUUUGUAUUUAUAAAUUGGAUAACCCUUGUGGUGCAUCACCCUUGGUACACAAGGGUGUCCACCCCAAGGUUGAUGUACCCAUAGACCAACCCUUAUAAAUUUUGGAUGAAGUUCUUCCAUCAUUCUUUUUGUUUUAUCAUUAGAAACAUGUUUAGCUAGACUUAUUUGUAUUGAAAGAAGAUGUAGAACCCCAAAUAAUUCUAGAAACCUUAGUGGCACUAAGACAUGAAUAUUAGAUGACUAAAGUAUACUUCAGAUUUUUACUCUCAUUUGAGACCCAUUUUUGACAUAGGAAACAUUCGAUUUGGAAAAUAAUAUCUAAAUAAAAGUUGUGACUCUUUGCGUUAGCUUUCCAACGCACUUUGAAUUACCUCAAUCGGAUAUUAGAAGAAGAAGUUAUGAUAGAAAUACUGAAGGCUGUGCAGUGUUAACCGGACUGCAACUGGUCGACCGAAACUGCCUGAAAUGAAAAUUCUCGUUUUUCUCUAAAAUUUAAAUUAUUAUUUUCAUCAAUUAUUUUCUCAAAGGGCCACCCACGUUUUAGACAAUAAAAACCCCCACUAAAUUGAAGCAUUUAACCUCAAACUUAAAUGGCAUCCAUGUUUUCUCUCUUAAAUGAAAUUUGAUCCUGAAUUUGCUUUAAGUUAUAGGAUAUUUACCUAUAAAUAGAGAUCUCAUUUCACUCAUUUUUUCUCACACCAAAAGCAAGAGCUUUUACAUACUAAAGAAAGAGUUUCCAAAAGAAAAAAAGAGAGGGAGGAAAACUAUUUUUCCUAGAAGUUUAAGAAGUGUUUUCAAGCAUCAAUUCUCAACGGUUUUCAAACAUCCAAGGAGUGCAUUUCUUUCAACGCCGAAGUUUCAUCGAAGUUUUCAAUCAAAGUUUUCAAAGUUUCAAAAGCAUCAAUCAAAGUAGAUAGAGAUGCAAUGUGUUUAAUCCUGUUAAGUUAUAAGUUUCGAUUCAUGUUAAUGUUUGUAUGUCAAAUGGUACUCCGGUAUGGUAUAUCUCUCUAUGUUAAUGGUUGUAUGUCAAAUGGUACUCCGGUACGGCAUAUCCCUCUAUGUUGAAGAAAUGUUCCUAUGUCAAAUGGUGCCCUCGGGUACGGCAUACCCCUUCAUGUCAAAUGGUACCUCCGGGUAGGGCAUGUAUGAAAAGUUAUAAAGUUAAUGUUUUGAAAUGUUAGCUUGAUCACAAAUGCACCUCUGACACCUAUUGAGUUUUUCAACUCACGGGUUUAAUCCCAUAUCUACAAAUUCAAGGAAUUCUAUCUCGGGCAUGGAUGGAGGAGAAGAUGGAGAGUGAUGCAACGAGCCCAUGGAAAUCCGGUGAAUAAGUGAUUUGGAUUUAUUUUUAUGAAAUGUUUUCCAAUGUUAUUUCUUUAAAGUUUUGAAUAACGCAUAAUGCGAGAACAAGUUAUGUUUUCUUCAAAUAAAUUACAUUUUGUUGUUUUGAAAAAUGAUUCAGUGUCUUUGUUUAAAGUAUUUGAAGUAUUGUUAUUUAAAUUAUUAUCUGAAGAUGUAAGCUUCCGCUAAAAUGUAUACACUUGUUACUAAACCACCAGUUAAGCUAAGUAAAUUAAGUAGCGUUCUGGUACACUAGGGGUCAGGGCGUUACAGUGUGGUAUCAGUGCAAGGAUUAGUUGGUUCUGUAGAGCAAGUAUGUUUUUUUUUAACACAAAAGGAAAAUGAAAAGUUUAAGGUAUUCCAUGGCAUCGUGCAUCCAUCCAUCAAUCUCAUCCUAUGGCCCAGGUAUGUUCAUGUUUAAAAUUAAUGAUUAUGUUUAUGUUAUGAUGCUUUUAUAUGAUUUAGAGAUGUGUUAUUUAAAGAUAUGUAAUGGACUUGGGCAAAAGCUAAGGGCUUAAAGGGAAUUGCAUGAUAUGAAAGUAUAAAUAUUUGCAUAUUUUCUUUAAGCAAAGGAAAAGUAUGUUGUAUGUGAAAAUGCAACAGAUAUGGCUCGUAAAACGGCUAGGGCAUAUAGAGAAGCAUUGAACCGUAGAAUUGCUAUUCAUUCCUAUGAAAACUAUGUAACUGAUCUGACCCGACCGCUUAGCGAACCUGUGUAUGACAUUUAUGAGAGAUGCAUGACGGCGGUUAAUGCUGGAAUGGAAAUCAUGCAUAUCGAGGCUAUAAAUAACCUCACACACUUCCUCCCAUCUCAAUGGAGAGAUGGGAGUCACGGUUAGAGAUGAAAUGUUAGAAGGCAGCCCAAACCUAUUCGAGUUUGAAAGGUAUUGCCAUGCCGUGAUUGAUUUGUGGGAUGAUGUAAUCCAUAAGGAGCCUGAGGAGGAACCUUUGGCUGAGGAAAAAGAUCCCGAAGAAGAACCCGAGGACGAUUUAGAGAAUGAUCCUGAGCUUGAGCCACAGGUUGAGAUGGACAUAGAGUUCGGACCUGAGGCGGAAGACUCCUCCGAAAAUGAAGCUCCACCAAAGAAGAUCCGUAGAACUUAUAGGGAUUAGAUUUAAAUCCUUGUAAUAGCUUCCCUUAUGUCAAGAAAUAAAAUACUAUCUUCUUUUCUUUAGUAUUCGAAGAAUGAAACUAAUAAGAACCAUAUGUUUUGUCUAAAGGAAACGGCCCACGCGAACCAAAACUUGAUAAGAGACCUCCUCCGAGCGGUUCAAGACCUAGGCAGGCAAAACCCGAACCAAGCUCAACCUCUACCACUAGCUCCUAAUGUUCCAAACCAUACUUCAGUGGUCGAGCAAUUUCGAAGGAACAAGCCCCCUACCUUCAACGGAGCAACUGAUCCACUUGCAUCUGAGGAGUGGCUUCACAAGUUGGAGCAUAUAUUCCGAUUGAUAGGGUACACGGACGCUCAAAAAGUCCAGUGUGCUGAGUUCAUGUUCUCUGGUGAUGCAAGUCACUGGUGGGACUCAAUGUCAAGGACAAGGACCCCUGAGCAACAAUCAGAAUUGACUUGGGAGCAAUUCAAAGGGGAAGUAAUGGACAAGUACUUUCCCCAGUCCUUGAGGGAUCACAAAGAAAGUGAAUUCCUCCAACUCAAGCAAAAGACUAUGUCCCUGACUGAGUAUGAGAGGAAGUUUGAUCAACUUUCAAGGUAUGCUCCACAUCUGGUGGAUACGGAAGAUAAGAAGGUACGAAGGUUUGAACAAGCGCUGAACUCGGAUAUAAGCAUGAUACUUAUGUCCCAUCGCUUCACCACAUACCAUAAAAUGCUGGAAAGAACUCAUGCUAAUUGGUACCAGAAGACUAGCGCCGAACAACAUGGUCAACUGUUCAAUCAACCGAACAAUGGUAACAUGGGAAAGAGGAAAUGGAAUGGCCAAGACAAGGGAAAAGGCAAGUGGCAGAACAAGAAAGCUAAUAGUGGAGCCAAUGCCAGCAAAAGCAUUGUGCUGGUUAUUGCGCCCUAUUCUAAGUGUGGAAGGACACAUCAUGGUAAGUGCUUGCAAGGGAAAAAUGUCUAUUUUCGAUGUGGCAAGUUAGGACAUAUCAUUAGGGAUUGUCCCACACAUACCCAGAAGAAGGAUGGUAACAGCGACCAAAACCAGAAAGGGAAAGCACGAGUUUUUGCAUUGACUCAACAGGAUGUAGAGAAAAACUCUAAUGUCAUAGCAGGUACUCUACUGAUAGUCAGUACACCUGCUUAUGUAUUGUUUGAUUUAGGAGCUACACACUCCUUUGAUUCAACAACUUUUAUGGCUAAAUCUAGUAUUACCUGUGAUAAGUCGGAAGGUACAUUAGAAGUUAGUAUUCCUUCGGGCAACCCUUUGACAACUGAUAGAAUAGCCAAGUCCAUAAGUAUCGAAGUUAAGGGAAAACCAAUGGAAGCGAACCUAUACAUGAUAAAAAUGAAGGAUUUUGAUGUAAUACUAGGCAUGUAUUGGUUAGGUUGUAAUUACGCCACCAUCCGAUGUAAGGAAAUGGAAGUAUCAUUUCAGAAACCAGGAGAGGGACCAUUUUCGUUCCUUGGAAUGAAGACGAAACCCCUUAUUCGACUAGUAUCGGCUUUACAAGCUGAGAAGAUGUUAAGAAAAGAAAUAUGUCAAGGAUAUCUAGUAAGUAUCUCAGGAGGGAAACAAGAGACGAUAAGGGUUGAAGAUGUACCAGUAGUACGAGAAUUCGUAGAUGUGUUUCCAGAAGAUCUAUCUGGUAUUCCACCCGAUAGAUAAGUGGAAUUCACCAUAGACCUAAUUCCGAGGGCGGCACCAGUAUCUAAGGCCCCAUACCAAAUGGCCCCAAAGGAACUACAAGAAUUAAAGAGCAGUUGCAAGAACUCCUAGAUAUGGGCUUCAUACGACCAAGCGUAUCUCCAUGGGGGGCGUCGAUGUUUGUAAAGAAGAAAGAUGGAAGUAUGAGAAUGUGCAUCUAGGGAGAUAAAUUGAUUAACCAUCAAGAAUAAGUACCCACUCCUACCAUCAACUGAAAGUAGAGACAAAGGAUAUACCUAAGACAGCUUUUAGAACUCGAUAUGGACACUACGAGUUUACGGUGAUGCCAUUUGAGCUAACCAAUGCACCUGCAGUGUUCAUGGACCUGAUGCAUCGAGCGUUUCAUCAAUACUUGGAUCAGUUUGUCAUAGUCUUCAUCGAUGACAUUUGAUAUAUUCCAAGAGUAAGGAGCAACAUGAAGAGCACUUGAGAAUGGCCUUAGAGGUAUUAUGCAAGGAGAAGUUGUAUGCCAAAUUUAAGAAGUGUGAGUUUUGGCUUGAGCGAGUUGGAUUUCUUGGACAUGUAGUUACUGUCCAAGGGAUUAAAGUAGAUCCAGCAAAAGUAGAAGCAGUAACCAACUGGAAAGCACCAACAAAUGCUGGCGAAGUACGGAGUUUUCUAGGAUUGGCUAGAUAUUAUAGGAGAUUCAUAGAAGGAUUCUUCAAAAUAGCUGGGCCAAUGACGCAGCUUACAAGGAAGGGAGUAAAAUUCCAAUGGAUGGAAAAAUGCGAACAAAGUUUCCAAGAACUUAAGCAGAAGUUGAUAUCAGCACCAGUAUUAACAAUACCUGAAGGUACGGAAGGGUUUGUUAUAUACAAUGACGCAUCCAAGCAAGGAUUGGGAUGUCUACUAAUGUAGAAUGAAAAAGUGAUAGCCUAUGCUUCAAGACAAUUGAAGAAACAUGAGCAGAACUACCCAACACAUGAUUUAGAACUUGCAGCGGUAGUACACGCUUUGAAGAUAUGACGACACUACUUGUAUGGAUGGAAGUGUGAUAUCUACACAGAUCACAAAAGUCUCAAGUAUUUCUUCACACAGAAGGAAUUGAAUAUGCGACAAAAAUGAUGGUUGGAAUUGGUGAACGAUUACGACUGCACUAUUCACUACCAUCCGGGUAAGGCUAAUGUUGUGGUCGACGCUCUAAGUAGAAAAUCAAUGGGACAAUUGACGUCACUACCCACCUCUCAAGUGGAGUUAGUCAAGGACUUGAAAAAGUUGCAGAUCGAAGUGGCUACCACACCAGGACAAGUCACUGCUCGUCUAGCAUCUUUAAUAAUUCGACCUACUCUUAGAGAUCGAAUUAUAGAAGCACAAAAUAAAGACUCAUUUUUGUAGAAGCUUUAGAAUGAAGUUGGUACCAAUAAGAAAAAAGACUUUGGAAUAGCUGAGAAUUAGGCACUGAUAUUUAGAGAAAGAACUUGCGUACCUAAGGAUGAAGUCUUGAGAAAUGAGAUAUUAAAAUAAGCUCAUUCCACCCCGUACACCGCACAUCCCGGUGGUACGAAAAUGUAUCGAGAUCUUCGAGAUACAUUUUGAUGGAGAAAUAUGAAAAGAAGUAUAGGGCUGUACGUACAGAAGUGCAUGGUAUGUCAAUAGGUUAAGGCAGAACACCAAAAACCAGCUGGAUUGUUAAAUCCACUAGAUAUACCUAAAUAGAAAUGGGAAAAUAUCACGAUGGACUUUGUGGUUGGAUUCCCGAAGUCAGCAAUAGGAAAUAAUGCUAUAUGGGUAGUAGUGGAUCGACUAACGAAGUUAGCUCAUUUUUUUCCAGUGAAAAUGACAUUCAGUUUAGACCAAUUGGCACAGUUGUACAUUAAAGAGGUUGUGAGAUUACACGGUGUACCUGUAUCCAUUGUGUCUGACAGAGACCCAAGGUUCACGUCCAAAUUUUGGAAAAGUCUACAAGGAGCUAUGGGAACGAAGCUGAACUUUAGUACAACAUAUCACCCUCAGUUCGAUGGUCAGUCUGAAAGGACCAUCCAAACUUUGGAAGACCUGCUGAGAACAUGUGUUUUGGAUCUAGGAGGUAAUUGGGAGUCAUACUUACCUCUAGUAGAGUUCGCUUAUAAUAACAGUUUCUAAGAAACUAUUGGAAUGGCACCAUACGAAGCUCUCUAUGGUAGAAGAUGUAGAUCCCCUGUUCAUUGGGAUGAAGUCGGAGAGAAGAGAGUUUUAGGACCAGAAAUAGUUGAAAGGAUGGCCGAGGUAAUCGAUAAGAUCCAUGCAAGAAUAAAGGCAGCACAGGAUCGACAAAAGAGCUAUGCAGAUACAAGGAAGAAGGAUUUAGAAUUCCAAGUUAAGGAUAAAGUGUUUCUGAAAGUAGCACCGAUAAAAGGUGUACUUAGAUUUGGAAAGAAAGGCAAGUUACGACCUCGGUAUGUCGGACCUUUCGAGAUACUUGAUAGAGUCGGAAAUGUGGCUUACCGACUAGCUUUGCCACCUGAAUUAUCGGCAGUGCACAAUGUGUUCCAUAUAUCGAUGAUAAAGAAGUAUGUACAUGAUCCUAAUCAUGUAGUGAGUUAUCAAACCUUGGAGGUACAGAAAGAUUUGUCGUACGAGGAACUACCGAUCAAGAUAUUGGAUCGAAAAGUGCAUAAACUAAGGAAUAAAGAGAUUCAGUUGGUUAAAAUACAGUGAAAUCAUCACGACGUAGAAGAAGCCACUUGGGAAAAAGAAGAAGAAGCCAAAGACAAGUAUCCAACACUAUUCGCCCAAUCAGAAGGUAAAUUUCGAAGACAAAGUUUUAAUUAAGGUGUGGAGGAUGUAGAACCCCAAAUAAUUCUAGACACCUUAGUGGCACUAAGACAUGAAUAUUAGAUGACUAAAGUAUACUUUAGAUUUUUAGUCUCAUUUGAGACCCAUUUUCGACAUAGGAAACACUUGAUUUGGAAAAUGAUAUCUAAAUAAAAGUUGUAGCUCUUUGAGUUAGCUUUCCAACGUACUUUAACUUACCUCAAUCGGAUAUUGGGAGAAGAAGUUAUGAUAGAAACACUGAAAGCUGUGCAGUGUCAACGGGACUACAACCAGUCGACCGAAAUUGCCUGAAAUGAAAAUUCUCGUUUUUCUCUAGAAUUUAAAUAUUUAUUUUCAUCAAUUAUUUUCUCAAAGGGCCACCCACGUUUUUGGCAAUAAAACCCCCCACUAAAUUGAAGCGUUUAACCUCAAACUUCAAUGGCACCGAUGUUUUCUCUCUUAAAUGAAAUUUGACCCUUCAUUUGCUUUAAGUUAUGGGAUAUUUACCUAUAAAUAGAGACCUCAUUUCACUCAUUUUUUCUCACACCAAAAGUAAGAGCUUUUACAUACUAAAGAAAGAGUUUCCAAGGGAGAAAAAGAGAGGGAGGAAAACUAUUUUUCCUAGAAGUUUAAGAAGUGUUUUCAAGCAUCAAUUCUCAACGGUUUUCAAACAUCCAAGGAGUGCAUUUCUUUCAACGCCGAAGUUUCAUCGAAGUUUUCAAUCAAAGUUUUCAAAGUUUCAAAAGCAUCAAUCAAAGUAGAUAGAGAUGCAAUGUGUUUAAUCCUGUUAAGUUAUAAGUUUCGAUUCAUGUUAAUGUUUGUAUGUCAAAUGGUACUCCGGUAUGGUAUAUCCCUCUAUGUUAAUGGUUGUAUGUCAAAUGGUACUCCGGUACGGCAUAUGAUGUGAACCCCAUAGUAAUGGAAACUACGAAACCCACAACGAGAUUGAUGCGGAACCCAAGAACGCCAAUACUAACCCGAUUUUGGAUCUUGAACCCUAAGAAUUGAACCAAAAAAUCCUAGAUUAGCGAAGAACCUAAAACCCCUUGAUUACAAUUGAAAGAACCCACAAUCUGAUUGAUAGAACGCCACAAGAAGUUGAAUCCUGAUAAGUUCCAAGAUUUUUCAAGAAGAACAAUUAAAUUGAAAGAAUAAUUCUCUCUCUAUAAUAUUAAGCAAUAGUCAAAGUUCAAAAAAGGUCUUUACAAUGAAAAAAUAUUCUCCUAUUUAUACUAUUCCUCGAAUAGGAGUCAAAAAGGAAAUAUAAUUAUGAUAAUCUAAUAAAAUUCCUAAAAUAUUUGCCCAAUAUGGUAGGAAUUUGAUUAAGAAUGAAAUUCUAGUAAAAUAAGGAAAAACGCGGAAAAAAGGAAAAUCACGCCCAGAAAUGAACCAUGCGGUCGCAUGGUUAUAACACGUGCGGCCGCAUGGUGAUAAGAUUUUGGCCAAUUGAAAUCUCGGUCUCAUGCUGUGCGGCCGCACCGUGGCCGCAUGGUUACACUGCACACUCUCAUCUUCGGCUGCUUGUAACGCAUUGAUCCAUUUUGUUUCGGCCUUCGACCCGAACACGAAACUUGUCCCAUUUUGAGUCCCGAACAUGGUUCCAUCAAUAGUUUCUUGAACGAGCAAUCCCAUCGCUUGUUUCACUUGCUUUGCCCUUGAUCGCGUCAUUGGUCCGCCAUCAACUAUCAAAGGGUCUCGUCUCGCACUUGCCUUCGUCGGGCUCGACUCCUGGAUCAUAUCAUCCCCUCUCUCUUCAAAAGGAUUCAUCCUCGAAUCUGAACCUACAUCAAAAAGAGAGAGAUCAGAUACAUUAAAAGUAGCCGAAACAUUGUACUCACCUGGUAAAUCCACUUUGUAUGCAUUGUCAUUGAUCCUCUCGAUGACUUGAAACGGUCCAUCGCCUCGUGGUUGCAAUUUUGACUUCCUCUGUUCUGGAAAAUGCUCUUUUCUGAAAUGCACCCAGACCCAAUCUCCAGGAUCAAAUGUAACGCGUCUUCUUCCUUUAUUUGUUUUUGAUGCAAUCAGCUUUCCUUUCUCUUCGAUCUGCAUCCUAACCUUUUCAUGGAGUGUUUUCACCAUCUCGGCUUUUCGUUUCCCAUCCAAGCUAUCUCGUUCAUGCACAGGCAAAGGCAUUAAAUCCAUAGGUAUUAGUGGAUUAAAACCAUAAAAAAUUUCAAAGGGAUAAAACGAAGUAGUAGAAUGUGUUGCUAGAUUAUAUGCAAACUCUAUAAACAGUAAACACUCUUCCCAUGAUUUCAGAUUUUUAUUGAUUACUGUCCUAAAUAGUUGAGUCAUAGUUCAAUUAACUACCUCAGUUUGUCCAUCUGUUUGUGGUGACAAGUUGUAGAAAAUAAUAACUUAGUUCCUAACUUACUCCACAGAACACGCCAAAAAUGACUCAAAAACUUCACGUCCCUAUCAGACUCUAUACUUUUAGAUACUCCAUGUAAACGUACUAUUUUCCUAAAGAAUAAGUCUGCAAUAUUAGUAGCAUCGUCAGUUUUAUGACAUGGUAUGAAGUGCGCCAUCUUACUAAACCUAUCGAUAACUACAAAUAUUGAAUCCCGACCCCUUUUUGUCUUAGGCAAACCUAACACAAAGUCCAUAAAUAUGUCUACCCAAGGUUCACUAGGUACAGGUAAAAGAGUAUACAAACCAUGGGAUUGAACCUUAGACUUAGCCUUUUUACAAGUUUUUGUUCUACGUCAUGUCGCAUUUUAGGCCAAUAAAAAUGUUCCCCUAACAUGUCUAAAGUCUUCUGAACCCCGAAGUGUCCCACUAAACCACCCCAAUGUGCUUCCCUUACCAAUAAUUCACGCAAAGAACAAUUAGAAAUGCACAACUUAUUUUCCCUAAACAAAUAUCCUUCAUGCCUAAAUAAUUUAUCAAAUGCACCUUUAUCACAUGAAGCAUAAAUACUAGAAAAAUCACAAUCAGAUUCAUACAUGCUCUUAAUAUGUUCGAAACCAAUUAAUUUAGUACUUAAUGAAUUUAAAAGCACGUACCUUCGAGACAACGCAUCAACAACUAUAUUUUCGUUACCUUGUUUGUACUUGAUGACGUAGGGAAAUGUCUCGAUAAACUCUACCCAUCUCGCAUGUCUUUUGUUCAACUUACCUUGACCUCGCAAAUUCUUUAAAGAUUCAUGAUUGGUGUGUAUCACGAAUUCCUUUGGCCAUAAGUAGAGCUGCCAAGUCUCCAAUGCUCGAACAAGUGAAUACAACUCCUUGUCAUAUGUCGGAUAAUUCAAUGCUGCCCCACUCAACUUUUCACUAAAGUAAGCAAUAGGUCUCCUUUCCUGCAUUAACACUGCUCCUAUACCUAUUUCUGAUGUAUCACACUCAACUUUGAAUGUUUUAUCAAAAUUUGGUAAUGCCAAAAUAGAUGCUUUACAUAGCUUAUCCUUAAUUGUGUUAAAUGCAAUUUUUUGAGAUUCUCCCCAAUGAAAACCUACGCUCUUCUUUACUAUUUCAGUCAACGGUGUGGUGAUGGUGCUAAAAUCUUUUACAAAUCUCCUAUAAAAACUAGCCAAUCCAUGAAAACUCCUAACUUCAGUUAUAGUCUUAGGUGUUGGCCAUUCUUUAAUAGCUUUUAUCUUUUCUUCAUCGACUUCCACCCCAUUAGCACUAACCACAAAUCCUAGGAAAACAACUCUAUCCAUGCAAAAUGUGCACUUUUUGAAAUUAGCAUAUAGUUGUUCCUUUCGCAACAUAACAAGCACACAAUUUAAAUGUUCUAAAUGCUCAUCUAAGUUUUUGCUAUAGAUUAAGAUGUCAUCAAAAUAAACUACAACAAAUUUCCCAAUAAAAGCACGUAAAACAUGGUUCAUUAAAUGCAUAAAAGUGCUCGGUGCAUUAGUGAGUCCAAACGGCAUAACUAACCAUUCAUACAAUCCAUACUUAGUCUUAAACACCGUUUUCCAUUCAUCACCCUCCCGCAUGCGAAUUUGAUGAUACCCACUCUUAAGAUCAAUCUUACUAAAAAUGCAAGCACCAUGCAACUCAUCAAGCAUAUCAUCUAGCCUAGGUAUUGGGUGACGAUACUUUACCGUGAUAUUGUUGAUAGCUCGGCAAUCCACGCACAUUCUCCAAGUCCCGUCCUUCUUAGUCACCAACAAGACAGGUACAGCACAUGGACUCAUGCUCUCCCUGACAUAACCUUUGCUCAUCAACUCCUCCACUUGCUUUUGAAGUUCCUUCGUCUCCUCGGGAUUGCUUCGGUAAGCUGGUCGAUUCGGUAUGACAACUCCGAGUACAAAGUCAAUCUAGUGCUCGAUGCCUCUGAUUGGUGGCAAUCCACUUGGCAUCUCCUCAGGAAACACAUCGUUGAACUCCUGCAAUAAAGACUUAACCAAACUAGGGAGGGAUGUGUUAGAAUACUCAAAAUUAAGGAGGGACUCCUUGUACACUAACAAUAUCAUUUACCUAUUAUCGCUCAUAGCUUUUUUCAACUCACUCUCUUUUGCAUAGAAGUUGACCUUUAGCUUUUCUCUCCGCUCAGCUGACUCUUUUUCUCUCCUCUCAACUGACUCUUUUUCUCUCUGCUCAUGUGGCUUCUCUCUCUUUUCUCCACUCUCAGCCACCUCACUAUUUUCUCUCUUAGUGAUGGUUUCACUAUUGCCUCUCCUUUUUCCUGACUCUCUUAUUCUCUCGUCUUCCUCACUUUUCAGCUUGAUUUGAUUUCCAUACACUUGUGCCGGUGUUAAUGGUGCAAGAGUAAUAGUCUUCCCCUCCUUGACAAAGCUAUAACGAUUUCUAUAACCAUCAUGUGUGACCCUUCUAUCAUAUUGCCAUGGCCUUCCUAAUAAGAUAUGACCCACAUGCAUAGGCACCACGUCACAUACUACUUUGUCACUAUAACUCCCAAUUGAGAAAUUAAUUAAAACUCUUUUAUUCACCCUAACUUCUCCACUUUCAUUCAACCAUUGCAACUUAUAAGGCCUAGGGUGUCUUAACAAUGCUAGUCCUAAUUUCUCAACUAAAGCUGUACUAGCUACAUUCGUGCAACUCCCACCAUCAAUAAUCAUACUACAUACCUUAUCGUUGACGUAACAACGUGUGUGGAAUAUAUUUUCUCGCUGCUGCUCCGAAUCAUCCACUUUGACUUGAGUGUUAAGAGCUCUCCUUGACACCAACGAUUCUCCAACAGCAAACUCCAAUUUUUCUUCUUCUUCAACGUCCUCCAGCGCAGGCAUGUCCUCAAACUCUCCUUCACUUUUACUCACCACUUCUCCAUUAUCCAACAAAACCAUUACCCCUUUAUUUGGGCAUUGAGAAACAAUGUGCCCUGACCCCAAGCAUCUAAAACACUUGAUGUCUCAAUUCCUUGAUGGUUGUGAAUCUGUUUAGGUGCUGUUUUGCUAGCACUUUCUUCUUUUCCUUUCUGCCACUCAUUCCUACCUUUAGGUACUACUUUAUCACCUUUGUUGUUGUUAUUCCACCCUGGCUUCCAAGAUGGAUUAACACUCGAAGUUCCUAACGGCUGCCUAGCUGCCCCUUUCCUCUUCAGCUGUCUCUCUACCUUCAUAGCCACAUGCAACAUGUCUUUCAACUCCACAUAAUGUUGCAACUCCACUACAUUGGCAAUUUCCCUAUUCAACACAUUCAAGAAUCGUGCCAUGGUAGCCUCCCGAUCUUCCACCACAUUGGCCCUAAUCAUGAGUAUUUCCAUCUCCUUAUGAUAGUCCUCUACACUUUUCGACCCUUGAUAUAGACCUUGCAGUUUUUGAUGGAUCUCUCGAUAAUAGUGGCUAGGAACAAACCUCUUUCUCAUCAAUGACUUCAAUUCCUCCCAAGUGCUAAUUGGUCUUCCCUCACUCCUAUGUUGUGAAGUAAUCACUUGAUCCCACCAUGAAACUGCAUAGUCACUGAACUCCAAAACUGCUAACUUCACCUUUUUCUCCUCCGAAUAGUUAUAACACUCGAAGAUUAUUUCAACCUUCCUUUCCCACUCCAGGUAUGCCUCGAGAUCACUCCUUCCUUUGAAUGAAGGAACUGUCAUUUUUAUAUUUCCCAAGUUUCCAUCCAACUCCUCCCCGCGAUCAUUUCGACCUCGUCUGUCGAACCUAUCGCCUCUAUUCCUCGUCCUUCCCAUCUCAACACCGUGAAAUUCAUCUUCGCCCAUGUCACUCCCAUAUCCACAUCUUCGCCCAUGUCACUCCCAUAUCCAUACUCCUCUCGCCUUUCCCUCUUAGGCUCCCAUCUAUCCGUUCCUCUGGCAUUGGAUACAUCCACUCUAUGCCCCCGACUAAGAUUAGCCACCGAUGUAUCUAAUCUAUUCAUCCAAGCCUCCUACUUCUCCAACCUAUCUCUCAUAUCUCCAAACGCCCUCUCAAACCUCUGCACUAAAUCCUCCGUUGCAUUGCUAUUAUUAUCCGGUUGGCUUAAGUUUGAUUCUGUCCUUUCUAACAUCCUAACACUAAAAUUUUAUUUUACUGCCUCACCAAAAGUCACUCGAAACACACACAAGGCUUUUACCUUCUAUUAAGCUCACCUCUCUGCCUUUUACCACUCAAUUCUUUCAACAAUUGCUUCUAGGAACAAUCAAUGAACUUAAUCAAUCAAUUCUUGCAGAAUUUCCCAAACCGGAUGUGACUCAAUAAUUGUAACAAAGGACUCAAAGAAAACUUUUAAAACUUGAUUUGAAUGAAGGAAUGGAGUGAUUUAAUGUGUCCAAGUAAUUUAGAAACGAUAAUGAAUAAUAAAAGUUGGUAUUUGACGGAUCAAUAAUAUUCAACAAGUUUUUUUUUAUUGUAAGGAUGAACAGUAAAUUUUUUUUCUUUUUAGAUCCGAAAAUCAAUAACAAAACCAACAAAGAAAACGAAAACUGAUUUGGACGAAAAUUGAGCCCAAAAACGGAAUUUGAAGAUUUUUUUAUGAAACUUUUGGAUCAAGGAUCAAGAAAAACCUUCUAGACACAAUAACACAAGAAAUUGAAAAAAAUUAGAAAACAAAGGAUAUAACCUGAUUAAAUUGGAGCCAAAGCUCUGAUACCAACUGAUGCGAACCCCGUAGCAAUGGAAACUACGAAACCCACAACGAGAUUGAUGCGGAACCCAAGAAUGCCAAUACUAACCCGGUUUUGGAUCUUGAACCCCAAGAAUUGAAUUAAGAAACCCUAGAUUAGUGAAGAACCUAAAACCCCUUGAUUACAAUUGAAAGAACCCAAAAUCCGAUUGAUAGAACGCCACAAGAAGUUAAAUCUUGAUAAGUUCCAAGAUUGUUCAAGAAGAACAAUUAAAUUGAAAGAAUAACUCUCUCUCUAUAAUAUUAAGCAAUAGUCAAAGUUCAAAAAAGGUCUUUACAAUGAAAAAAUAUUCUCCUAUUUAUACUAUUCCUCGAAUAGCAUACCCCUCUAUGUUGAAGAAAUGUUCGUAUGUCAAAUGGUGCCCUCGGGUACGGUAUACCCCUUCAUGUCAAAUGGUGCCUCUGGGUACGGCAUGUAUGAAAAGUUAUAAAGUUAAUGUUUUGAAAUGUAUAGUUUGAUCACGAAUGCACCUAGGACACCUAUUGAGUUUUUCAACUCAAGGGUUUAAUCCCAUCUCUACAGAUUCAAGGAAUUCUACCUCGGACAUGGAUGGAGGAGAAGAUGGAGAGUGAUGCAACGAGCCCAUGGAAAUCCGGUGAAUAAGUGAUUUGGAUUUAUUUUUAUGAAAUGUUUUCCAAUGUUAUUUCUUUAAAGUUUUGAAUAACGCAAAAUACAAGAACAAGUUAUGUUUUCUUCAAAUAAAUUACAUUUUGUUGUUUUGAAAAAUGAUUCAGUAUUUUUAUUUAAAGUAUUUGAAGUAUUGUUAUUUAAAUUAUUACCCGAAGAUAUAAGCUUCCGCUAAAACGUAUACACUUGUUACUAAACCAUCGGUUAAACUAAGUAAAGUAAGUAGCGUUCCGGUCCACUAGAGGUCGGGGUGUUACCGAAGAUGAACCUUAUUAUUAUUUAUUUUUAAUUCAAAGACCAAGUAGUCUAUUAAAUUUAUUUUCUUGAUUGAUCCUAUAAGCUUAUUGCAUUUUUUAAUUGUUUGAUCACCAAUUAAAUAAUUAGUUGCUCGUUGUCGUGUUGGAAGUCUAUCAAUAGGUUUAGAACACAAAAGUUUCUACGAAUGAGCAAUAUAUGUUAGAAACAAAUGUGUGUUGUGUGAAAUCUUGUUGAUAAUCGUAUUAUUAAAUGCAUGCUAUGCAUAUAAAUUCGGAAUAUGAAUAGAACCGGGCUGUGUUUAGCAUAUAACUAGCUUAUCUUGGAAAAGAAAGUUAAAUAAGUUUGGAUUAUCGAUUCUAGUGUUUACAAAAAUUAUGUUCAAUUAUAUUGGUCAAGAAUUGGAUAUUAAAUAAUAAUAGUUGAAUUGGAAAUUCAGCACAUACAUCCCAUGUUUAAUUAGAAACAUUUGUAGAUAAUUAGUAGAUAAUUUGGCUAUAACCAAAUCAUUCAUUUUGUUAUUUACAUUUGAAUUUGAUAACGAGUUGAUAAAUUUCAAUUUGAAACUUAUUCUUCGAGGGAUGAUACUCAUAACUCACUUAAUCUAUUACUUGUCAACGAGCCCGUAUGCUUGCGGGGUUUUGUCUGAACAUGUACUAAAUAAGUCAAGCCCUUCAAAAAGCCGAGGCAAGAUAUAUGAAUAUUGAAAAGACGGCCCUCGUCUUAGUUAUAGUGUUGCAAAAGUUUUGACCAUAUUUUUGGAGUCACAACAUUGAAGUACUAACUAAUUUCCUAAUCAAGCAAGUAAUGCAAAAGCUUGAUGCAUUAGGGAGAUUAUUGAAAUAUACUGUAGAGCUCAGUCAAUUUGAAAUAAGAUACAAAAGCGAUCCGCAAUCAAAGAACAAGAAUUAGUUGACUUUAAUGUGGAAUUGUAAAUUGUUACCGUUCUUGAGGAAAAGUCUGAAGAGUGAAUGUGAAAUUUAUUUGAGGAUAGAUCAUCAGGAGAAAUCGAUUGUGGAAUAGUCAUAAUCUUGACAAGCCGAAAAUGACAUAAAAUGAAUCGUGUAUUAAGGUUGACAUUUUAAAGAAAUCAACAACGUGGCUGAAUAUGAAGCUUAUUGGUAGGCUUACAACUGGAAAAAGAAAUGUAAGCUAAAAAAGUAAAAUUAAAAAAUGACUCAAAAUUGGUAGUAAAUCAAGUGAAAUGAAAGUUUACAGCCAAGGAUAAAAUAAUAGUUGUUUGCUGUGUAGAAGACAUAAGAUCAUUUCAGUGUUUCAACAAGUUCAAAUUUAAUUAAAUCCAUAGAGAAGAAAAUAAAUACAUGAUGCCUUGUUGAAAUUGGCAAGUUCAGAGGACGCUAACUAUUUUAGACAGUACGUGAUGUGAACCCGACCAGCAAUGUUGCAAUCGAGCCCACAGAAGAAUGACUCAAAUCCCAAAAAAGAUAGAAAACAAAGUUUACGGAAUUGACCCACAAAUAAUGAAUCAAACAACCAACACAAUCACUAGGAUAUGCUGACCUUUUGAUUACAAUAUUUAUGAAAAUCAAAUCCAAAAUUUAAAGUUUGAGUCGAAGAAUUAAAUGAACCAAAAAUCAAGAAAAUUACUAUAAUACCGUGACUCCAUGAUUGCACAACCCACGAAUCGUACUUUGAUUGUUGAACCCCACGAGAGAUUAUCUCAAUAAGUUUGGAAUUGUUCGCGAAGAACAAAGAAAGGAAGCAAACGUGCCUCUGAAUUAAUUCAAUUGUCAAAAGUCUGAAUACAACUGGAAACAAAAUCCUAUUUAUACUAAGCCAUAAAAUUAAUAGAAAAAUGUGCAAACGGAGUCCUAAAAACUAUAAAGUUGCCAAAAUAGGAAAUUUAGUAAAAUUAAAAGUCUCGCGAAAAAAUAAAAAUCCUAUUUAAAUAAGUUGCUCAAGCGACGUCGAGCGAGAAGCUAAUGACGCUAUGUCGCCUGAGUGAAACCUUGGCGAAGAGCAAGCGAAGUUGAUUAAGCUUUUCUCGCUCGAGCGAGGUUCCAGCGGACGGCGAGCGAAAAUUUGGCAAGUUUUUAACCUCGUUCCAAAUUGUUUUAAUUACUUCUUUGACCCUCGAACUUUCACUAACUUGCCUCUUAACUUGUAAACUUCAUCUCCCUGAAUUCCAACACCCAAACAAGUAAUUGUACGGCUCGUACCCCCUCUAAUUAGCCUCGAUCGUGCCCUCUAGCUUCUCCAUGAACACUGAAUUCUUGAUCACCUUCAGCCUAGCCCAGAUCACAUCAGACCCUCUCUCUUCAAGAGGAUUCGUCCUUGAAUCCGCACCUGGUUCAAAGACUUUGCAACUUCCAUCUUCUUGGCCAUAACUUAGCUCUUGAUUGUGACUUUGAUAUUCCACCAGGUUGUAGUAGAAUGAUUCUCCCAUGCUCAUAAAAUCCUCCAAUGGCAAUGCAUCAACUGGAUAUUCAAAUGGGGAUAUUCCUUUGGUAAAAUCCUCAUGCAAUAACAUUUUAUAAUCCUGUAACAAAGAAUUAUGCAAACUAGGGAGGGAUAUGUUAGCCUUCACCAACUCAUUUCCACCACCAAGCCCAGUCUUCUUUACAAAUAAGCUCUCCUUUCAUUUGUCUUUAACUUUUCCCUCAUUGCCUUUCAACCUUAACUGAUUAUCAUACACUUGUUGUGGUGUCAAAGGUACAAGUGUAAUGGUUUUCUCACCCAUGUCAAAACUGUACCUAUUUCUAUACCCAUCAUGCUUCACCUUCCUAUCGUAUUGCCAAGGCCUACCCAAUAAGAUAUGCCACGCAUCCAUUGGCACAACGUCACACAACACCUCAUUCUUAUACCUCCCAAUUGACAAAUUAACCAACACCCUCCUAUUAACCUUAACUUCUCCUAUAUCAUCUAACCAUUGCAAUUUAUAAGGUUUUGGGUGUUUUAUCAUCUCUAAUCCUAACUUCUUUACAAGUGUAUAACUAGCUAUAUUCAUACAACUAUCCCCAUCAAUAAUCAAGUUGCAUACCUUAUCAUUGACGUGGCACCGUGUAUGAAAGAUAUACUUUUGCUGCCCCUCUCCAUCAACCUUGAUUUGUGCUUUGAGUGCACGCAUCAAGACAAGCGCUUCUCCUUCAACCAGAUACUCCACUACGUCACCACUACUAACUUCUUCCAACUUAGGCAUUUCUUCCUCAUCACUAUCACUCACCACUUCUCCACUAUCCUUCAAGGUCAAAGCUCGUUUGUUUGGACACUGAGAAGCAAUGUAUCCUGUUCCCAAGCACUUGAUGUCCCGACUCCUAGGUUAUGGUGGUUCUGCCUUCGAUGCAACCUUGCUGGCAUUUUCAUCCUUUCUUCUAGGUUGUUCAAUUUUAUUGCUGCCACUAGCCCCAUCAACCUUCUCUUCAUCCCACCUAGACCUCCACUAUGAAUUAGGCCCUGUUUGACCUCUAGCUUCUCCCUUUCGCUUCAACUGCCUUUCAACCUUCAUCGCCACGUGUAACAUAUCCUCCAAUUCUACAAAAUGCUGUAAUUCAACAACAUUGGUGAUGUCUCUGUUCAACCCAUUCAAAAAAUGAGCCAUAGUGGCUUUCCUAUCCUCCUCCACAUUAGCCCAAAUAAUUAGAAUUCUCAUUUCUUUGUGGUAAUCUUCUACACUCCUCGACCCUUGGUACAACCCCUGCAACCUUUGAUGAAGCUCUCUAUAAUAGUGACCAGGUACUAACCUCUUCCUCAUAACUUCUUUCAAUUCAUCCCAUGUACAUAUUGGUCUCUCUCCAUUUCUCCACCGUGAAGUGAUCGCCUGAUCCCACCAAGUGAUGGCAUAAUCAGUAAACUCCAAAACUGCCAACAUCACUUUUUUCUCCUCCGAAUAGUUGUGGCACUCAAAUAUCAACUCCACCUUCUUCUCCCACUCAAGAAACGCCUCUGGGUCACUCCUAUCCCAAAAUGUCGGAAUGGAAAUUUUUAUGCUGCCCAUACUUAACAUCACCUCUAACAUCGUUCCUAUCCAUUCAUCCCAACCUAUCACCCCUAUUCCUUCUCAUUCCCAUGUCAACUCCUUCAAACUCAUCCUCAUCCCAUUCACUACUAUACCCAUAUUCAUUUUACACCUCCACCCUAGGCUCUCACCUAACCGUUCUCCUAGCAUGUGGUAUGUCUGCCCGUUGCCUCCAACUAAGGGCCCUGUCCAACUUGUUCUCCAACCUACUUUCCAUGCUUAUCAUCAUCUGCUCAAACCGCUGUAUUAAAUUAUCAUGCAUGUGGGAUUGAUUUCCCAUCCUACUCGAAUUGGAUGCUUCACGUUCUAACAUUCUCACAAUUUUCUGCCUCACCAAAAUUUUCACUCAUGAAUCACACAAUUUCAGGCUUUUACCCUUAAUUAAACUCACCACUGAACCUUUUACCUCUCAAUUGUUUCCUGUCAGUGUUCUCAAAAACAAUUUGUUGCUUUGAACUCGUGGAUAACAAUUAAUUGUGCAAGACUCAAUAAAGUUAGAGGGCUAAAACAAUAAAUAAAAUUUUUGGAGGGACUAAAAAAAAUUUUGUUUUGACAUAUGAACAGUGAACAGUACUCUUUUUUUAUACCAAAAACACAAACAAUUAAACUAACAAAGGAAUUUUAGAUCUAAGACUCAAACUGACUGAAAAAGCACGAAGAACACGAAGAAUACAAACAAGACUCAAAACAAAAAAAAUCAAAGGGAUAUAACUUUGAAUCUGGCGCCUAAAACUCUGAUACUACCUGAUGCGAACCCGAUCAACAAUGUUGCAAUCGAAACCACAGGAUAUUGAAUCGGAUCCCAAGAACCCCCAAAUACGACCAAGGUUUAGGAUCUAAUUCCCAAAUGUUGAACUAAGCAACCGAAUGUAUAUUAAACCAACGACCUCUAGAUCACAAAGUCUUGAAAUUACACCCAGAUUGUGGAUUUGAACCAAUAAAAGAUGAACCAAAAAACUCAACGGUAACGAUGACGUGAAAGACCCCUUGAUUGCACAAUUCAAUGAUUCAACCCUAUCUUUUGAACGCCACAAAAUGAUUAGUCUUGAUAAGUUCGCCCCAUUCAAUUUAAUGAACAAGAUAAAUUUGAAGCAAAGCUUCAAGAGGAAUUUUAUUAAUUCAACAUAUGAAAAGUCUUCUGAAAAUCAAAUGAAAUAGUCCUAUUUAUACUAGCAAAUAUAAAAAAUAAUUAAAAUCAAGAAUAACUCCUAAAGUAUGGUAAAAACCAUAAAUUAGAAUCCUAAGAAAUAUAAAAUUACCAAAUAAAUAGAAUCCUAAGUAAACAAGGUAACUUGCAAAAUUAAAGAAAAUCUAGAUCACAUCAGUUGUAUUCAUUGAUAUUCCCAAGCAUGAGUGGAUAUAUUAAGAGACCAUUUGGUGCUCAUUUUUUGCAAAAAAUACAUUUUGGAAUAGUGAUGAUAAUUUAGAGCUUGAAUUGUAAAGUUACCUACCGAAUCACAUAUACUUAUUUAUGGCAGGCAGUGAGCCUCGACAUGAUGUAUUAGUAAAAGUAAAAUUUAAACAAAAAAGAAUUACGUAUUCAAAUUUAAUUAAAUAAAAUUGUAUUUAGGUAGUUGAGAGCGCAGUUUGAAUAGAAAAUAAUAUUUUAAAUUUGGGUUAUUAGUCCCUGCACAUGAAGUUCACAGUGCCAAACGUUCCAAUGUUGCAUUUUCUUUUGCAUUUUUAUAUCUGUUUGCCUUCUAUUUCAAAAAUCAUUAUUUUCAUCAUUUUCCAUCCAAAUUCUUAAUGAAAAGCUGGGACUAAUGAAUAUUCACUCCUAUUUAAAUAAAGCAAAAAAGGAAAAAUAAAAAAUUAAUUCCAAUUCAUGCUUUUAAUUUUUUUUUAAAAAAAAUACAAAUGAGUCCCAAAUAAAUUAUAAAAAAAAUUAGAAAUAAAAAACUUCUAUCCCCCCACCCCCACUAACGUUUUUCUCUAUCCAAUCUGACUUACCAGCCACUACCUCCAUACGGAAACUAAGAUCUUCUCCAUCCAAAUUAGAUACAAAUUUCAGCAACUUCUUUGUGGCCACUAACUCCUCCAUAAUAGCCAUUACAAUCUCUGGAUUCUUCUCAUUCAAAGCAGCCGCCGACACCUUCUAUGCCUAAACUUCUUCAACAACUUAUCUUGCUCCGUGAACUUCAAUUUCUUUAGCCUUGUAAUAAAGUAAUCCCCUUCUGUAGGCUUCGUAUUUUUCCCUCGACUGUCGAUUCCACCCAAGACGCUGCAAGACAAGAAUUAGGCGGCGACACUGAGUCAACUACUUGUUCACUAUUUUUAGUUAUUGAAGAUUUGGAUGAGAAUUUACCGAAGAGCUUGACCGUUGCAGAUCCAGAAUUCUUGGAUUCAAUUUUUUGUUUAAUUGCAUUUAAUUGGAUAUCUGGAUUUAAUUCAAUACAUUCAUAAAUCAUCAGUUUUUGUAAGCUGGGGCGGAUUCUGGUGUUUUGCUAUAGUUGUAUAAAAUGUUAUAUAUUUAUGGUAUAAAUAUAAAAUGUGAAAGAAAUAAUCAAAUUAGAUAAAGUGUCAAAGUGGUGGAAAAUGUGACAUUUGUGUGGGACGUCAGGGGUUCGAGUCACUCCCCACGCAGAUAUUAAAAUGUCUUGAUUGGGGCUUUGGAGCCUUGGUCUUCCUUGACUAAAAUAAAUAAAAUUUUUUCCUUUAUUAUUUAAUGGGUAAAACUAGCCAGUAUUUAUAGACUGUUUGUUUUUGUAACAACCCACAAAUAGCUAUUAGAACACCCACUACUCAGUCAUUAAAAUUCUUCAUUAACAUGGUGAAGACUGUUACUUCCAUCUUGCCUAUAUAAACCCAUAUCUCGUUUUGGGAAAAAUUCACACAAAAAGAAAAUAGAAAAAUCAUCUUGCAUCAAUCCUCCUUUUCAUAUUCUGAAUUUCUUAUAUUCGGGAUUUUACAUUUAUUCUGGAGUACAAUUGAAAGUUCUAGAAAAAUCAUUCGUGAUUGCUGCACAAGUGGUUUACGAUCGUUGUAUCCUGUGAGUGAUUGUCCACGGAGGUCGCAGCAAUUAUUGACAGGCAAUUUCACUUUAGGACAUCGUGCUGUCACGAGACUCGAUCGGUCGAUAAGUUUUAUAUUUCUGCAUUAUAUUGUUCUGAUCACUACUGCAACUAAUUAUCUUUUCCAACAAUCUAAAGUGAAAAUAUCUUUAUAAUUAGUUGCCAUGUCUGUCGUAGAUAUAUCUGUUCCUAAGUAUUCUGAAAAGCCUGAGUUGUUUGAUGGAAAGAAUUUUAAGAGAUGGCAAAUGAAACUGUGAUUUUAUUUGACAACACUUAAAGUCGUUGAUGCUAUUGAAUCAGAUAAACCAGGUUUUGCAAUUGCUGAUAAUCCUACUGAUAAAGAAACUGAGGAUUUAGCUAAUUGGGAACAUAAGAAUUAUAUGUGCAGGAAUUAUAUUCUAAAUUGUUUGACUUUAGACUGUAUGAUGUUUACUACUCGUGUAAAUCUGCAAAAGAGUUAUGGAAUUCAUUAGAAAAGAAAUAUGCUACAGAAGAUGCUGGAACCAAGAAAUUCGUUGUGGGAAAUUUUUAGAUUUUAAAAUGAAUGAUGUUAGAACUGUGGUUAGUCAGGUUGAAGAAUUGCAGAUUAUAAUUCACAAAAUUAUUGCUGAAGGAUAUAAAAUCUGUGAGGGCUUUCAAGUGUCAGCUAUAAUUGAAAAAUUGCCACCUUCUUGCAAAGAGUAUAAAAAUAGUUUGAAGCAUAAGAGAAAAGAAAUGUCCUUAGAGGAUCUGAUUAUCAGGAUUAGAAUCGAGGAGGACAAUAGAAUGGCAGAACGUAAAGAAAGGCCAGACUUUGAUACCAAGGCUAUUCUUAUUGAAGGAAGUUCUGGGACUAAGAAACCAAUUGGAAAUUUUACAAGGGGUUAGAAUUUUAAAGGCAGAAACAAGGGAAAAUAAUUUGUAGGAAAGAACAAUCGAUCUAAGCCCAAGUUUAAAAAUAAAAUUGUUGGUGACUGUUUUGUUUGUGCUAAACCAAGUCACCUUGCAACUACCAAGCAUAUUUACUGCACGAGAGGUGCAUUUUCUUCAUUCACUCCUACUAGUGAUGGAGAAUGUCUGUUCAUGGGCAAUGCUUCCUCCUCCAAAAUCAAGAGGAAAGGAACUGUGACGCUUAGAUUUACUUCUGGAAAUAUCCUUAAUUUGAAGGAUGUCCUCUAUGUACUUGAUAUUAGGAAAAAUCUAGUAUCUGGAUCUAUCUUAGUAAAAAAGGGUUUUAAGAUUGUAUUUGAAAGUGGUCAAGUUGUACUGUCUAAGGGUGGUUCCUUUGUUGGGAAAGGGUAUGCAGAUGAGGGUCUGUUUAAAUUCAAUGUCUCUGUGAUCAACAAUAAAGCAUCUAGCUCUUCCGUUUACUUGUUGGAUUCUUAUGAUUUGUGGCAUGCUAGACUUGGACACGUUAAUAAAACUUCUAUUAAAAAAAUUAAUGACUUUGGGAAACAUUCCCAAAAUCGAUAAUUGUCCAAAUUCAAAAUGUGAAACGUGUGUUGAAUCUAAAUAUUCUAAAAAACCAUUUCCUCGUGUUGAUAGGACUACUUCGGUCUUAAGUUUGAUACAUUCUGAUUUAUGUGACUUAAAAGGAUAUGUUACUCAUGGUGGAAAUAAAUAUUUCUUAACUUUCAUUGAUGAUUAUUCUCGAUAUUGUUAUAUUUAUCUGCUUAAGAGCAAGGAUGAAAGCUAUUCAAAAUUUAUUUCCUAUAAAAUUGAAGUAGACAAUCAGCUAGACAAAACUAUUAAAGUUUUAAGAUCUGAUAGGGGAGGAGAAUAUACAGGAGAUUUUGAUAAAUUUUGUGUUGAGAAUUGUAUUAUUCAUUAGACUACUCUACCUUAUUCUCUCCAAUCUAAUGGUGUAGAUGAAAGAAAAAAUUGAACCCUUAAGGAUAUGGUUAUAUCAAUGCUAAGCUCUUCUGGAUUACCUUUUAACAUGUGGGGGGAAGCACUUCUUACUGCAUGUUAUAUUCUUAAUAGAAUUCCUAGUAAGAAAAAUAACAAGUCUCCUUAUGAAAUGUGGAAGGGCAGAACACCUUCAUAUAAAUAUCUUAAAGUGUGGGGGUGUUUAGUUAAAGCUUCUAUUCCAACACCUAAGAGAACUAAACUUGGUCUGAAAACUGUUGAUUGUGUUUUUAUAGGGUAUGCUUUUCAUAGUAAUGCUUACAGAUUUUUAGUUAUUGACUCUAAAAAUAAUUUGAUUGAAAAGAACACAAUAUUUGAAACUAAAGAUGCUGAAUUUUUUGAAAAUAGAUUUCUGUUUAAAGAAAAGUCUGAAGGAUCAAGCAGUUCUUUUAGUAUUCCUCCUAGUGUUAGAGAGGAGCCAUCUGAAUUAGAAGAAGCUGAAAUUAGGAGAAGCAAAAGACCUAGGACCACUGCUUCUUUUGUUCCUGACUUUAUAACCUACUUAGUAGAGGAUGAUCCUAGUACUUUUGGUGAAGCUAUGUUUUCACCAGAUUCUAUAUUUUGGAAGGAAGCUGUAAAUAGUGAAUAUAAUUCAAUUAUGUCUAAUAAUACUUAGGAGAUGGUGUAAUUACCUCAAGGAUGUAAGACAAUUGGGUGUAGAUGGUUGUUUAAGAAAAAUCUUAAACCUGAUGGUUCAAUUGAUAAGUAUAAAGCAAGACUUGUAGCUAAAGGCUAUAAACAAAAAGAAGAAGUUGACUUCUUUGAUACUUAUUCACCCGUUACUAGGAUUACCUCUAUUAGGAUGUUAAUUGCAAUUGCCUCACUGUAUGAUCUUAUUAUACAUCAAAUGGAUGUCAAGACUGCAUUUUUAAAUGGAGACGUAGAAGAGGAGAUUUAUAUGGAUCAGCCUGAAGGAUUUGUUGUAGAAGGUCUUGAGGAUAAAGUAUGUAGACUUAAAAAAACUCUUUAUGGCCUUAAACAAGCUCCUAAGCAAUGACACGAAAAAUUUGAUACAGUAUUGACAUCAAGUGGUUAUGUGAUAAAUGAAGCAGAUAAAUGCAUAUAUAGCAAAUUUGAAAAUAAUUGUGGUGUGAUAAUUUGCUUAUAUGUUGAUGAUAUGCUGAUUAUGGGAACUAGUUUAGAUGUGGUUAAUAAAAUUAAGCAGUUUCUGAACAAGCACUUUGAAAUGAAAGAUUUGGGUGUUGUUGAUGUUAUUCUAGGAAUCAAAAUAGUAAAACAUUCUGAAGGAAUUAUUUUGACCCAAUCACAUUAUGUAGAAAAGGUGCUUAAAAAGUUUAGUCAAUACAACUGUAUUUUUGCUAAAACACCUUAUGAUGCAAGCCGUCAUCUGAGAAAACAUUCAGGUCCUAGUGUUUCCGCUUUAGAGUAUGCCAAAGUAAUCAGCAGUCUCAUGUACCGAAUUCCCUGCUAUACUUGAGGGAUAUUGUGAUGCUAAUUAGAUUUCCGAUACCAAUGAAAGUAAAUCUACAAGUGGAUAUGUAUUUACAUUAGCAGGUGGAGCUGUCUCCUGGAAAUCCACUAAGCAAACCUGCAUUGCUAGAUCUACUAUGGAAUCUGAGUUCAUAGCUUUAGAUAAGAAAGGUGAGGAGGCUGAAUGGUUAAGGAAUUUUCUUAUGGAUGUUCCUUUGUGGUCUAAACCAUUUCCAACUAUUUCAAUACAUUGUGACAGUCAAGCAGCUAUCUCAAGAGCUCAAAAUUCAUCCUACAAUGGAAAGUCUAGACAUAUUCGUAGGAGAUACAAUACUGUGCGUCAGCUGCUUAAGGAUGGGAUUAUAGCUAUUGACUAUGUGAAGUCAAGUGAUAACAUUGCUGACCCAUUAACCAAAGGAUUGGCUAGAGAGCUAAUUCAACAAAUAUCGAUGGGGAUGGGGCUAAAGCCUAUUAUUUAUUAGAUCACCUAUAAUGGAAACCCAACCUUGCAAUUGGAGAUCCCAUGGUCAAGGUUCAAUGGGACAACAAAGUUAUUGGAGUGGUCUGUGGGGGUACUACAUUGGAUUUAUUCCAAACCCCUCCCUAUGAUGCGUAGUACUAACUGUAUUGAUUAGAGGAUGAGUUAAUGCUCUUAAUGCUUACUAAAGCUGAUAUUCAGUGGGGUGUCUAAAUACAGUACACCCUUGAUUGUAGCACCUAUUUGAGUAUGGAAGUGGAGCCGCUUCCUAUGAGAAUUGAGGCGAAUUCUCUAGAGCACUCAAAGAAACUAGGAAAGUUCACGGCCGAAAUGAACACAACCGUGAGAACUCAAUGACUGUUCUAGAAAUCAUGUGUGUGUUCUAUUGUCUCAGUUUGAAACUAUAAUUGUAGAGUUCAAGACAUAAUUCACUCUACAGUUAGUAAGCUCGAUAGAAUAUACAAAGCCAAGGUUCAAGUCGAUAGAUACCUAUGCCUGCAUGAUUUCUACCGUACUCCAGAGUAAUAUUUUCAUUUUUCUAUUUCUUUCAUGUGGGGGAUUAUUAUAUAUUUAUGGUAUAAAUAUAAAAUGUGAAAGAAAUAAUCAAAUUAGAUAAAGUGUCAAAGUGGUGAGAAAUGUGACAUUUGUGUGGGACGUCAGGGGUUCGAGUCACUCCCCACGCAGAUAUUAAAAUGUCUUGAUUUGGGCUCUUGGGCUUCCUUGACUAAAAUAAAUGAUUUUUUUCCUUUAUUAUUUAAUGGGUAAAACUAGCCAAUAUUUUCUGACUGUUUGUUUUUGUAACAACCCACAAACAGCCAUUAAAACACCCACUACUCAGUCAUUAAAAUUCUUCAUUAACAUGGUGAAGACUGUUACUUCCAUCUUGCCUAUAUAAACCCAUAUCUUGUUUUGGGAAAAAUUCACACAAAAAGAAAAUAGAAAAAUCAUCUUGCAUCAAUCCUCCUUUUCAUAUUCUGAAUUUCUUAUAUUCGGGUUUUUACAUUUAUUCUGGAGUACAAUUGAGAGUUCUAGAAAAAUCAUUUGUGAUUGCUGCACAAGUGGUUUACAAUCGUUGUAUCCUAGGAGUGAUUGUCCAUGGAGGUCGUAGCAAUUAUUGACGGACAAUUUCACUUUAGGAUAUCUUGCUAUCACGAUACUCGAUCGGACAAUAAGUUUUAUAUUUCUGCAUUAUAUUGUUCUGAUCACUACUGAAACUAAUUAUUUUUUCCAACAUAAAAUUGGAGCUGAAUUCUUGGAUUCAAUUUUUUUUUAAUUGCAUUUAAUUAGAUUUCUGGAUUUAAUUGAAUACAUUCAUAAAUCAUCAGUUUUUGUAAGUUGGGGUGGAUUCUGGUGUUUUGCUAAAGUUGUAUAAAACUGGCGCUGAAUUCUUUGCAAUGGGAAAAUCCGACUAUAAGUGCGUGAGAGAGUGCCACCAUUGGAGCUGUAAUUGAAUUCUUUGCAAUCGGGCGAACUUUUAGGUAGGGUUAGGGAAGAAGAUCAAGUGGGAUGGGAUGGCAUAGGGUGGGAGUGUAGAAGAAAAUAAAGUUUUAAAGAUUUGAGAUUGUAAUUGGUAUAUAUAAAACAAUUGAGUAUAAUUUGCAAAACAAUAAAAAUGUUGGGACUGCAAGCUUUUUGUUUUAUUUAAUCAUGAGGGUAUAUUCAUAAUUUUACUAUUUUUCUUAAUAAAUUGGAUGAAAAUAAUAAUUUUCGCAAUGAAAUGUCGAAACAUGAGUGAAAUGCAACAUUGGGACGCUUUGCAUAAUGAACUCCAUACGUAGGGACGUUUUUUUUGCUAAUAACCUUUUAAUUUCUUGUCAAUGAGAUUAAUUUUAUUUAACGAUGAUUCUUUAUUUUUAAAAUUCAAUUUAGUAGAUUUGGUCGAUAGUUGAGCGAGAAAUGCCGGAUCUACAUGAGUCUAUGUUUUUACUCCAAAAUUAAGCGCAAAUUGAUUUUUUUUCUAUAAUGUUUUCUGAAAUAAAAGGAAAAACUCUAUUUUACAUUGGACUAGAAUGGAUGAUGAGAUGCUGCUCAACAUCCUGAAGACGACAAAAUUCUUGGAAGAGGUCCAAUCUAUUAUUAAGAAAAAAAAUGGCAAAAAGAAGGUUUUUAUGUGGGGUAACAAUUUUUCAAGGAAAAUGAGUGCCCCAACAGAUGAUGCUUAACGCUGGGACUGGACAAAUUAUUAAGUUAAAUAUCCGAAUAAAAAUUGAAUCUUCCUAUUUUUUUAAUUAAUUUAUUUUAAAUAAGCAAAAUUAUUUUAUUUUUUUCAAAAUAAAUUUGCUAACUAGUUAAUUUAGUUCAAACCCAAAAAUAUAAUUUCAUAUUUCUAAUUUUCAAUUCAAAGCCAACUUAAUCAAAUUGAUCGAAAUUUUAUCCAAAUCUGUUACUCUGUCAUAGUGCUGUUUUUACAGUUAUGGAAAAAUCGAACUGAAGCUCAACAACGCAUCUCUUAUUAUUUUGGGCUCGCUAUCUUUCUCAUCAUAUGAUUUUCACAAUCAAAUCUAUGAAGAACUUAGCAAAGAGAGACACAAAAGAUACAUAAGAUUGGACUACGUUAUUUCGUAAGAGCUAAGAUUGAACAUAUCAUUAGUUGAAUUAAUGAAACUUUAUAAAUAUUAAAAAUUUUAAUUAUAUAUGAAAAUUGGGAACCGAACUUGAACGAUUCCAUAAUUAAAUUUGGACUCGACGAUUCCAUUACUAAAUACCAGAAACUUUCGGGUCGGUUCGAUUCUCGUUAGAACCAGAAACCAAAGAAAAUAAAAAAGAAUAGGAAAAAAGGAAAAUUAUCUUUUGUAUGUGUUUUUCUUAUAGGGUAAAGAUUUUUAAAAAAAAGGUGGGAAGAAUUGAAAAGCGAUUCAAUGAAUGGAAAUAAACAAGGUAAUUAUUAGAAUAGGAGUUGAAAUAAAGAGACUAAAAAUGGAAUCAUGAUGUCUAGGCAUGUGCAAUUAUGAGUAAAUCUAAUAUGAUUAUACUAGUCCACAAUACAUUUCAAUAUAUGAAACUUGUAAACUUGUAAAUUUGAUUUUUAAGUAAGUUGGCAAAGAUUUUGAAAUUGAUUAUUAUCGUAAAACUAUCCAGCAAGAUGAUAGAUCAUAAGAAAGUAAUAUAAUGAUGGAUAAAGUAUCUUCCAACAUAGAUUAAUUAUCUAUUCUAUUUUAUUAAAAGCUAAUUAUAACAUAAUAAGAUAAUUGCAGCCAGUGUCCCAUACUUUCAAAUUGCAACAACUUUUACUCUAACCUUUUAUUUGUUGCACCCAUAGUCCCAAAUCUUUCAAGUAUGUAUGGUUGUAUGACAAAUAGAUGAAUUAUGUCCGUAAGUCUAUCAGUUGACCCCCAAAAAAUUUGAUUUUAACCACAUUAUUAUCUUUCUUCUAAUUUAGUCCUUUAACUUUUGAGUUUAUUCAUUUUAGUCCUUAAACUUCUAUUGUGAUCCAAUUUGUCUUCCAAACUUUCCGUCUCUUCAAUUUUGGUCCUUCAAGUGUGGAUGUGUGCGUCGAUUUGUCGCUAGUUUAGAUGGAAUCUGUCCAACAAGUUCUUUGCUACUAAUUUAUGAAAGGUUGAGAAUGAUGCCAACAAAAUGAGAACGUUUGACUUGUAUUCACACAUUUCAAAAAGGUUAGUUGGACCGCUCCAACUUUCAGAAAUUAAGAUGAACAAAAGUGUAUAUUAAUUAACAAGAACUGAAGCAACUUGGCCUCAAAUCUCUUAUUGUACAAGUGAAAGCAUGAGAAUUACACUUGGACCAUCGAAGGGUUCCAAUUAUUUUAACAAAAUAACUAUAAAUUAUAACAUUUCUUUAUGUCUCAUCCAACAAGAGAAUUAGUGACAAAACUAAAGGAAUGUCCUGCAUGCAUCCAUGCUUGCAUUAUUCAACACAACUUCUCUAAAUAAAUCAAACGAACCAGUAAUUGUUGAUUUUUAACACCAUCGCAUCUUGACCUUUCAUAAUACCAUGUCGUUCUUCUUCAGUUUUGACAUCCUGUUACCUUCUUAGGCUUUUUAAGGAAAUUCAUCCUCCACAUGGCUAAUCUUUUAGGGAAUUUAGUCAAAUGUUCAUUCAAGAAGCCUGCAUAAAAAAUGCCAAAUCUAACAUUGCACUUUGGCCCAUUCAAUAUUAUCAAUCAGUGACCAUAUGAAGUAACCCUUCACACGUAAACCAUAACUGAGAAUAAAAGAAAAUUAAUCAAUUAAUUUCAAAACAUACAAUUUUAUUUAGAAUUGAACUUCCAUAUUUACAAUACAAAUGAUGACUUACUCUAUUGCCUUUCUAAGGUAUGCGAGAUGGUCCUUUUGAUACUAAAUCCUAGUUUCAUCAACACGAGCCUUUGAAAUUGUUAGGGCUUUACUGUUGACUUCAUCCAGCCCUACAAAAGAUCACGGAGGAAUUCAAUAAAUCACUAAACGCUCUGAAAAAUUAGUAAUUUUAAGUAUUCUUUUGUAAUAUAAAUAAACAAAUGAACAUGACUAUAUCCCAUUUUCUGUAAUGAUAAUAUUGGGAUUCUUAUAUUUUUUUCCUUAUAUAAAGCAUGAGAUGGUAAAUUCCCUCAGGAUAUAUGUACAGUCAUGGCCAACCAGCCUACCAUGAAAUAAGAAAGAUUGUUAUUACGUUAGAUUAUAUGUUAGCAUUGGAAAAUAUGUAAACUAUAAUUUGUAUUUUAAUUCGUUGUGCCUCUAUAUUAUGAGUCAUCAUAAUAUUUUGAUAUGCCUAAAUUGUUGUAAGAAUAAUCUAUUCUUUUUUAGAUUUUUCUCACGAAAGGGUAAUCUUAAUGGCUCACCUACUGACCAAUCGGCUUCCCAUGACGAUGAGCUGCAAAAGAAUGAGAAGUAAACAUAUUGUUAAUAGUAGUGUCCAUUUUAUGUCAACAUAAAAGAAUAUAACUGAAUUGUACUUACUGUGAUAUUCAACAUGUAGGUCAUCGUCAUAAUGGGAUGGUGAAUUAGUCUUUCUACGUAUAAUUUUGGCAUAAUAAGCCGUGUAAUAAUUUAUGCCUAAGAAAUCACAAGAUCAUUUCACUAGCGCCAACUCUUCGUUUGAUUUAAAUUUGGGAAGACGUUUUCCUCUUAUAUUAUUUCUCAUGGACAGUGGAUAAUCACCAGUUAAUACGGAGGCUACAAACCUGAACAUGAGAAAUGGCUUAACUAAAGGAUUACGAUAGAAGUACUACAUGAAAUUCUACAAAAAUAUAUCUGAUGUAUUUUCGAAAAGACACAUGAUCUUAUACAAUAUACAAACAACAAAAAUGUAUAAACAGGUUAAGGGAUAAACAAAAUAGAAGAGAUGAAAUUUCGAUAAUGAAAUCCAAUCUAAAGUACUUCCCUAUACACUAAUUUCAUUUGGAGAGUUAGGAAUCAACAGAGAUGAAGAGAAAUUUCACUCGGUAACUAUGAACUACUCAAGCAAGAACAAGGAUUGGAAGUAAAGUCGCUCCUUUGAUUAAAAAAAAAAAAAAAAAAACUCUCAAAUUGUCAAAAAGGUCCAUACAAUGAAAUUAAGUUCAUAUUUAUAUGAGUCCAAGAAUAACCCUAAAAAUCUAAUUAAAAAGGAAAAACAAGUACAAACAGUAUAAAAAUAUGGAAAGACUAGAGUUCUAGGUGAAUUAGGAAACUCGCGCAUUAAACUAAAAUUCUGUCCUAAAAUGACCCUAUGCGGCCGCAUAGAGUAACUCUAUACGAUCGCAUAGAGGAAGAUUAAAGUGCCUGAAAACCCCUGCAUCUGGCUAUGCGAUCGCAUAGCUGGGAGUACUAUGCGGUUGCAUUGCUUCUGGUUGGACUCCCUCUGUCUCCAGUUCGAACCAUGCCUCUUCCAUAUUGUUCCCUUGCCCAUGUCCCACGGAUAUCUUGACUUUAAGCCUAGUUUUUGCAUGAUGUUGGCUUCCAAACUUGAAUGAUUAACUUGGCUUGAAUCAAUCUUGAUUUCCAUGGCCCGAACAUGUGAUUGAUUGGCUUUAUUGUCUCCAUUGGUCUCGGUUUAUGCUUGAAUCUUGUCCCACUGUGCCUUGGAUUUUUGAUAAUUGGUGGUGCACCCCAGAUCGUAUCAAAAACCAUCAUAAACGAAUAGCACAUACAGCUAAAAUGAUAUUUAUUUACAUGUUUUUAUAAUUUCACAACUAUAGAGUAGUCAUUAGAUCAAAUUAAUGCAUGUUCACAGCUAUAUAGUAGUCAUUAAGUCAAAUGAAUUCACAAUUUGUAGUUUAAUAGUCUUCCCAUCCAGCUCCACAGUCCUAAUUUUCUACAUUAAUUAUGGAUAACUACAUUGAACCCUAAUAAAAACAGAGCUAAAGACAUAAAAAUAACUAAACUAUUUUGUAAUCUAAUCAACAUAAAUAAAGGAAUUAUUGGAAUAACACUCACAAAAUCCACUCCAAUGGUGCUAAUAUAGCUAUCAACAUAUGAAUCAUCCUAAGAGCAUCAAAGAACAGUGUCAUGUCCAUUAUACAAUUCACCGAAAAGAAAUUUUAAUAAAAACCUAGAGCUGAAUAUACUGACCCAACCAUAUUUCUACAAGCAACUCUCUAAACUAUAUAUUCAAUUGGCGAUCAAGCAAUUAAAUAAUAAAAAUUAGCAUGCAAGAUUAAUCAAGAAUUGCAAGAAUUUAACUAAACUACAUGUCCUGUAUUAAAAAUUAGCCCUUGUUUGGCCACCAUUCUUUUUCUCAUUUAUUUUAUCUCUCUUAUUUUCAACCAUACAAUCUUCCACAAAAUAAUGUUACACGCAAAUCAAAAACUUUUCAUUCUUUUUCAACCACAAAUUUUUCAAAAAACACUAUUCCAACCAUUAAAAGUUGGAAAGAAUGGGGGCCAAACGGGGGCUAAAUAAUAAAAAAUUUCAUCUUCAUCCAAUACAUGAGAGGAAUUAGCCUAGCAUAAUGUUUGAAUUAAACACAUAAAAGUGAAAAGACAUCAUCAAGAAUUGACGGAACGUGAGUAAUUUCCUUGCAAUUGUUGUAACUUAUCGAAAAGAAUCUGAAAAUAAUUAUUGCUAUUCUCCUUAAUCUCGUGCAUGUCCAGUCUUUCUUUUCCGUUUAUGAUAUCUCUAUUUGCAGCCUCAAUGUUUGACCUCCAAAACGAAACUCACUUGUGUUUAAUCUUCAAAGCAGCUGCACUGGUUGUGUAAUUCUAAUUCCACCUAGCUCGCAGUCGUUUUUCCUGUAGUUUUGUCUCCCUUUGUGAGCAUAUAUAUCGCAAAUUCAACCGCAAUCAGUUUUCCUCAAAGUGGCUGCCGUUUUUCCUUUUUUUCCCAAGGCAGCCGCCUUUUUCUAUGUGUGUAACAUAGUAUUGGGACAACCAAAUUAAAUCAAAAUUACUGCACCUUAAAUAUGUCUAAUAUUUUGUAACUGAAACAUGGCAAUAGCCAUGAAUUUGUAUAUAAUUAAAUGAAUUCCAUGAUUAAUUGGUUUGAUGACAUAAUCAUGAAACUUGCUAUAUCAGAAAUGAAAACUUGCAAUUGUUUAAUCAUGAUCUACGAGGUUAAGAACCUCAGAAGAUAUUUCUUGACAUCUUUGUAAUUCUCAAGAUAAGAACACAUCAUAUAAUUUUUUAUAAACUUAUUUUUUGACAUUAUAUUUAUAAUUUUUAUAAACAUACACUUCUAGAAAAAUCAAUAUGUAAAAUUUCCACUUAUUUCUCUAAUGUGGCAUAGGACAUCUUCCAUUUUAAUAAAGAUCAUUCUGUGUUAUCAGAUUGUUAAGUAUUCAUCCAAUGUUAAUAAAAUAUUGGGAAUUGCAACGUUAACAUCUAUCCUAUUGCUAUACUUCGAAAAAAUCUUCACACCUAUGCCCAUUCGGAAUUUACAAAAAAGCAGAAUGCUCGUCCAUUACUUGUAAACACUCAUUUCAAACUCAAAAACCAAUUUCAUUAACAAUAAGUUUUCAUCAAAAUCAAUAUAUUCGAAUGGAAUACAUCAUGUUGAAUGAAUUUAGCUCCUUAGAAAUUAAAAAAUGCAACUACCUCCAAUCCAACAUAUCUGAUCAAGUCUUAUUUUCAUAUUUUAUUCAGUGGUGGUGAUUGUUUGCAUGCCAUUCUGUCAUGGGUACAACCCCUGUAGCUUACACGUCUCGUUUCUUGAUCGUACUCUUGAUUUGAUUGUAUUCUUUGCCUUCUUAAGUAUCUUCAAUUGUCAUUUGGAUAUGAGAGGAAAUAUUAGGACUAGCUAUAAACCUCAUAAUAUUGAUGUAAAUUUAGUUUCAAUAUCCUAAAUUGGGAACAUUAGACACCGAUUGUGAUAAAUUAAAAUUUCACAAGAUCAAAGUUUUCAAGGAAAAAUAUAGCUUAAAUACCAAAUACAAAUUCUAGCAAACCAUUGGAUUAAUAGAAAUUUGUAGUGCAAAAACAAUCUUUAUGCAUUAUAAAAUUUCAACUAGAAAUUCAUAAAUUUUCAAAAAAGGGAAAAAGAAGAACCAAAAUAGCUUUUUCGAGGGGAAGAUAUACAAUAUAAUUAAUUCUAAAAACAUAAAAAAUAAUAUCCAAUAAAAAGAGAUAAAUUUACGUGGGAUUUAGUGGCUUUCUUCUUCUUUGGAAUUGAAGUUAAAUCUGUGGUGGACGACAAAGAACACAAGAUGUUGAAUCUUGGCCUUAGGGAUUGGGGUUCGGAAAGCAAAAUUUGAACGCAAUUAAAGGAAAUUUGGAUAAAUCAAGGAAGAAGGUAAAGCUGGAAAUUAGGAAUUUUGAAAAGGGAAAGAUUUGGUGAUCUAAUUUAUUGAGCACAAAUCACGGGAAGCAUACAUAGAUUUGGUUUUUCAUUUUUUUAUUACAAAAUGUCAAUAUGUUUGGAGUAUAAAAUGUGGAAAUGUAAGGGUACGGUUGGUUUGCGUUUGUGUUUCCUGUUUUGAGAAACUAUUUUCGAAUUAUAGAAAACGUGUUUGGUUUGUCAUUUUGAAAAACGAUUUCUCAAAACAGAAAACUAGAACGUGCGUUUGAUUUAAAAUUUUUAGAAAUUGUUUUAUGACAUUUAUUUAAUUAAUUUGAUUAUUUAAUAAAACAUAACAAUUUUAUGCUAAUAUAUUACCAGAUAAUAUAUAUUUUAAAUUUGGUGAAUUUACUAUUUUUGCUUGCUAAAAAAAUAAAAUAAUAAAUAAUAAAUUUUUUAGAAAUUGUGUUAUGACAUUCAUCCAAUAAUUUGAUUAUUUAGUAAAAAUCAAAUACAAAUUACAAAUAUCAAAUGUAAAAAUCAAAUACACAAAUAUAGUUGGUCAAUAAUAAAUUCCAAACAACCAUCAAUAUUUUCUUGUAAAAAUAUACAAGUGUAGUUGUUCAAACGGGUACUUUGCCUUUUGGGAUGUGAAUUGGAGCAGUAGGGGCUCUGGUUGUAGGCUGAAGAAGCUGUUCCUUAACUCUUCACCUUCCAAUUCUUCAAGCUCGGCCUCCAAUUCGUCCUAUCAUUAAAAAAAAAAAUUAUGACUUUAAAUUGCAUAUAUAACUUGUGUGUAUUAGCGAGAUAACUUCAAUAUAAAUAAAACUUCAAACAAGUAGAAGAAUUAGAGAUGAGCAAAGAACCUCAUCAAAAUCAGCUGCUGCACCAAUGGGGGUAGCCAAGGCUUCCUAUAUCUGCUUCAUGUUUUCUGUUUGUUCGUUUAUCUCAUCCAUUGUCUUGUCAACAUCAUCAAUGUUCCUAUAUGUAAGCCUUGUCAAAGUUGAGUUGAUAAAGAAUAUACGUGUUGUGAAGAAUACUAAGAUAUCAAUAGUACGCAAUUUAUCUAUACCGGAUUGUUGAAGAGCAAAAUGAUGCCACCCUAGCUGGAUUUUCGGAACCCCCAAAAUAGAGGAGCAGAGAAAUAUUGCAGAGACAACAGACGCAGUCGCCGGCCAAGAAGGGAAGAAAGAAGAAGAUAUGAUUUGAGCAACUUGUGUGAAUUGUGAUGACUUGGGCUAUUGGGCCUUUUUAAAAAAAAAAACAAAUAGAGUGGCCCAAAUCAAUGAAAUCGUCCAUUAAUGAUUAGGGAAAAUUAGGUUUAGUACCCUAAAAAAUUUAAAUAUUUGAUCAAUACCUUAAAACUAAUUUAAAACUAUUAUUACCGUAUUAAUUACAUUCAAGACUCACGAAAAAAACACCCAAAUCUGAAACCCCUGUAAUCAAAAAAACCUUAAGAAACAAGCCUCCAUUGCGGACAUUUUUGUUGAAAUUUAUCACCAAAGGCGCAGUGGAAAGCAACAACACCACCAACAGUAGCCACGGGUAUUGAUUUGGUCGCCGGAGGUAAGAGCAAGAAAACCAAGCGUACUGCUCCUAAAUCCAAUGAUAUUUACCUCCAACUUCUAGUCAGUCUGUGUUGAUUCCUCGUUAGGAGAACUGGAAGCAAGUUCAAUCCAGUUAUAUUGAAGAGACUGUUCAUGAGCAAGGUUAACAAGGCCCCACUUUCUCUCUCAUCUUGUCACUUCGUGAAGGGAAAGGAAGACAAAAUUGCAGUGCUUGUUGGGAAUGUGUCACUGAUGAUAUUCAGGCUUAUGAAGUCCCUGCAAUGAAGGUAACAACUUUUAGAUUCACAGAGAAAGCAAAGGUUGAGAAGGCAGAGAAGAAUGCUUAACUUUUGAUCAGCUAACUCAGAGCUCCUCUUGGGCAAAACACGGUAGUGAAUAUUCCAGUCUUUUUCUUGAUAAUUUUAAUGUUGCAAGAGUUUGAUAUAGUUGGUAGUAUAGAACGGUGGAAAUGAGAUUUUUAACCAAUAACAUGAAUAUCAUUUUGUCAGUGAUUUCAAUUAUGUAAUGAUUGUUGUGUUCACUACUUUGAUAGUUUGAUUCAUUAUUUCCUUUGAACUAGUAUUUAAGGUUUGAUAUGGAUUCUGUUACUCACAAAAUUGCUUUGUUAAAGAUUAUUAUUAUUUUUUUUUUGGCUCAAUGUUCAACUAUUUUGGUCUUGCUCACAACUAUGAUUCUGCUGGUAAAUUGUCAUUUCUGUUUGUGCUACAAAAACCUUGUGCUGUUAUGAAACCUAAAAUAGCUAACUGUUCUAUUUUGAUGCAGGUACUUCUUAGAGGACCCGUGAAGUCUCGUGAGGCAGCGAAGCACUUUGGUCCAACUCCUAGUGUUCCACACAGCCACACCAAGCCGAAUGUGAGAGCCAAGGGUAGAAAAUUUGAGCGUGCUAGAGGUACAAGAAGCAACAGAGGUUUUAAGGUCACAACCAUUAGUUAUUGCCAGGUUGAUGGCUAUUUUUUUUUUUUUUAUUUUAUCAGAUAUUCUAUAAAAUGUUUUGUCCCACUAUGUAUUCCCCGCCCCGAUUCUUUUCUUGUGUUCUCUCAUCUUUUUUUUUUUUUUGCUCUUCGAUGCAAUUGUUAUCACAUUUGCUACUAUAAUGUUACUUGUGAAUUUCUAUCACGUGGAUUGUCCUAGACAUGCUUAUUAUGUUAAAAAUCGCUACUACACUCACGUAAAUUGUACUGAACAUGUUGAUUAUAUUAAGAACAUGAUUACUGGUGCCACGCAAAUGAAUGAUGCUAUUUUGGUGUUUGUCAUUUUUUUAUUUUUAUUUUUAUUUUUUUUUAGUUUGUGUCUUUUUUUUCUUUUUUCUUAAUUUUGUCACUUUUUUUAUUAAAUUUGCCACUUAUUUUAAGUUUCUGUCACUUUUUCGAAUUACAAAAAAAGUGACAAUUUUUAUAAGAGUGGCAUUGCGUCACUUUUUAAUUUUACAUAGUUUAUUUCAUGGGUCACAAAUCAAAAAUUUUAUAGGUCACAAUUUUGUUGGUCACAAAUUAAUGAAUUUUAAGGUUACAAUUUAAUUGUUAGUCACAAAGAACCAAAUAUUUGGUCGUAUACACUAAACGCUCUACCCCACUCUCGAUCUACUAUCAAUACUUGGUCACAAAUCAAUCAAAUAAUUGAUCACAAAACACUCGUCAUCACAUCCCACUGCCGCCACUACAUCGCUACUGCUAACAAUAAUAACAACAACAAAAACAACACAAUGCCACACUAUCAUGUAUUUGUAUUCUUUGUGUUGAUGAACUUAGUUUCAUUACAGAAAAUAUCGUGCACUCAAGGAUGUUGUACGUGCAAUCCAUCAGGACAACAAUUUUGGUGAUUUUUUUCACUUGUAUAUUCAUUAUCUUGUGUCCAUUUGCCUCCAUAACAAACGAAAACAUUAAUUUUAUCCAUACCUGGAAAAAGAUUGCAAAAAAAAUUGUGAGUUUUUUUUUUUUUAAGUGACAGAGUAAUAUGCAUCUAGUUAAUUGCGCCAGUGAGAUACCGUGACUUUUUUAAGAAUGUCACUUUUUCACAUUCUCUUUAAACAAACACGUUUCAUGCAUCAAUGCAAUUGAUUCAAAGUUUUUCUAUUUCAUAUAUAUUACCAGAAAACAGUGCUUGAAUUGGUAUGUUCAAAUUUUCAAAAAAUGCACACGUAUGCAUCUAUUUAAUUGUUCCAAUGAUAUGAUGUGACUUUUUAUUGAAAAUAGUGACAAAAUAUUUUGUCAUUUUUUCAUAGAAAAGUGACAGAAUCACAUUCUCCUUGAGCAAAAGCCUUACAUACACCAAUGUAAUUAAUUCAAAAUUUUCUUUUUUAUAUGUAUUACCAGAAAACAGGAAUUGAAUUGGUAUUACCAAAUUUCAAAAAUACAAACGUAAUCACGUAUAAAAUUACUUAAUUGCUCCAAUGAUAUGGUAAUGGUAUGACUUUUUUUUGAAAAAAGUGACAAAAUGUCACUCUACAUGAGCAAACACCUUGCACGCAUCCACGUACUCGAUUCAAAUUUUUUUUUUCAUAUAUAUUACCAAAGAACAGGACAUGAAUUAGUAUGUUCAAACUUUCAAAAAAGCAUAUAUAUGCAUCAAGUUAAUUAUUCCAAUGAGAAAUGGUGAUUGUUUUGGAGAAAGGUCACAGAAUGUCACUUUUUCGUUUUUUUAGAAAAGUAACAGAAUUUCAAUCUUUAUGAGCAAACACCUUACAUGCAUCCAUGUAAGUGAAUCAAAGUUUUCUUUUUCAUAUAUACUACUAGAAAACAGGCCAUGAAUUAGUAUGUUCAUACUUUCAAAAAAGUACAUGUAUGCAUCAGGUUAAUUACUCCAAUAAUAAAGUGUGACUAUUUUGGAAAAAAAAGUGGCAAAAUGCCGCUUUUUCAUAGAAAAGUAACACAAUGUCACUUUUUUUGAGAAAAAGUCAUAGAAUGUCACACUCUCCAUGAGCAAACACCUUACACGCAUCCAUGUAGUGGAUUCAAAGUUUUUUUUUUCAUAUGUAUUACCAGAAAACAAGGCAUAAAUUGGUAUGUUCAAACUUUUAGAAAAGCACACGUAUGCAUCUGGUUAAUUGCUCGAAUGAUAAAGUGUGACUAUUUUGGAGAAAGGUCACACAAUGUUACUUUUUCGUAAAAAAGUGACACAACGUCACUUUUUUUAAAGAAAAGUGACAGCAUGUCACCCUCUCCAUGUGCAAACACAUUGCAUGCAUCCAUGUAAUUGAUUCAAAGUUUUCAUUUUCAUACGUAUUCUCAGAUAACAGGGCAUGAAUUGAUAUGUUUAAACUUUCAAAAAAAGGACACGUAUGCAUCCAGUUAAUUGUUCCAAUGAUAAAGGGUGAUUGUUCUUGUAGAAAGGUAACGAAUGUCACCUUUUCGUUGAAAAGUGAAACAAUGUCACUUUUUUUAGAAAGGUGACAGAAUGUCACUCUUCAUGAUCAAACAUCUUGCAAGCAUCCAUGUAGUCGAUUCAAAGUUUUCUUUUUCAUAUGUAUUACCAAAAAAAAAGAUAUGAAUUAGUAUAUUCAAACUUUCAAAAAAGCACACAUAUGCAUCCGAUUAAUCACUCCAAUGACAAAUGGUGACUGUUUUGGAGAAAGGUCACAAAAUGUCACUUUUUCUAAGAAAAGUGACAAAAUUCCACUUUCUCACCUUCUCCUAUAAGCAAACACUUUGCAAGCGUCAACGCAAUUGGUUCAAAGUUUUCUUUCUCAUGUGUAUUACCAAAAAAUAUGGCUUGAAUAUAUACAUUCAAAUUUCCAAAAACUCACACAUGUAUAUCUAGCUAAUUGCUCAAGAGAGAUACUGUGACUUUUUUUUUAGAAAAGUGACAGAAUGCCACUUUCUCACCUUUUCCUUUGAGCAAACACAUUGCAAGCAUCAAUGCAAUUGGUUUAAAAUUUUCUUUCUAAUGUGUAUUACUAGAAAAUAGAGCUUGAAUAUGUACGUUCAAAUUUCCAAAAACUCACACAUGCAUACCUAGUUAAUUGCUCAAAAGAAAUGUUAUGACUUUUUUUUCAGAAACGUGACAGAAUUCCACUUUCUCACCUUCUCCUUUUAGCAAACACAUAGCAAGCAUCAAUGCUAUUGGUUUAAAGUUUUCUUUCUCAUGUGUAUUACCAAAAAAUAGGGCUUGAAUAUGUACGUUCAAAUUUCCAAGAACUCACAUGUGCAUGCCUAGCUAAUUGCUUAAAAGAGAUGCUGUGACAUUUUUUGAAAAAAGUGAUAGAAAGCCACUUUUUCACAUUAUCUUUUUGUCAAACACCUUGCAAGCAUCAAUGUAAUUAAUUCAAAACUAAUUUUUCAUAUGUAUUGACACAAUCCACUCAACUUCAACAAUUUUAUUUUCAUACAUGUUUCCAAUUAAAUUAAUAAAAUCGUCAAAAAGAAACUUCAUAAAUAUUAAUUAUACAUUAUGAGAUUUAAACUAAAUCUAAUCAUGAAAUUCAAACGAAAAUGAGAUGGAUAAUGAGCUAUAAUCAUGGAAUCCAAAACAUAGAAAUACCUGUAAUUUUGUUUGUGUUUUUGUGGAAGAUCUCCUCGACUUUUUUUUCCAGAUUUUUCAAUGUUUUUGUGGAUGGUUUCCUUGAUUUGAAGAAUGAACAAACUUUGUUUAUGUAUUUGUGGAAGAUUUCCUCUUUUCCUUUCAAUUUUCCUUUGAUUUUUGCAUAUUGGAGGCUGAUUUAUGAGGAUUAUUGUGAGUUUAGGUUUUGAGCGUAUAUUUUACGUUAAAUUUUAAGUAAUUACCAUUUAAUCCAAGUUUAUAAUUUUUUUUAAAACAACCCAAAAAUUUAGGGUAUUUUUGUAAGUACCCCUAAUGAUUAAUCCAUACCCAUAUCAGUUUCUCCCAAAUGAAAUCCCGUCAGUUAGGCGAGAGCAGAGAGCAAACCCUUGAAUUCUUUCCAUUAUUCACCCCUGAUUCCAUAAUUUCCAUCCCAUAAUUUCCUUCCACAUUUCCAUUCAAAGUGUGAAGUGGGUUGAUUGGGUAAUGGGCUAGUGGCGUGUGGGUUGCGAUUGCGAAGUGCGAGUCGGAGUCGGGCGGUGCAAGGAGCGGUGUGCCGUGCGAGAUUGUGCGAAUUGCAAAGGAGAAGAAGCCGUGUGCAGUGUGGGCCAAGGUCCUUAGGGUGAGUUCAUUGUUCUUCAUACUUGGAAGUCUUGAAUGGUUGAAUUGUUUUUAUUUUUGUUGAAUUCUUUUGGUUCAAAUCUUUCGUUAUCUUAUCUGUUUUUGGUGAAUUGCGAUUGCAAAAUGAAAUCAGGAUCUCUUUUCGUUGAAUUGUUGAAACUUGAAUGUUGAAUUAUUGAUUUGUUGCACUUGUUUGUUGAGACUUGAGAGUGUUGUCUUGCCUGCCUAAUGUAUUUUGGAUUUGGUAGGUAUUAGGUAGAAUUUAUUUAUAAUUGAUAAUAUUAUUUAAUCAAAUUUAAAUAAAUGACCGGCUGCUAGUCGGACCUGACUAUUACGAUCGUUGAUUAUCAACGGUCAACGAUCAAAGUCAACAUCCGCCCUAGAUGAACAUGCAUCCUGGAUUCGCCACUGGAUAUACAAAUGAGUAAGUGCACAAAGGUAAAAGAGUGAUAAUAAUUUCUGCAACAAUGGAAAAAGUAGACAAUAAAAAAAAAAUAAUAUGAAACUCCAUCUUAUCACCAUUAAUAAACGACAAAUUUCAAUAGAAUAGCCCUACUCGGCCCACUUCAUCUUGGAAAUUGUUUGAUGCAAAAAAGAAAAGAAGUAAUAUUAACCUAGAAACACACGAUCGAUAAUGGUGUGGCACUGUGGUGGCGGAAGGCUGAGAGAGAAGUGAGAAGACGGCAUCAAGGCAGACAGGUGGGUUUUGCUGUUUCGGGUUGUUCUCGCACAGGCAUUAGAGGGAUUGAAUGAGGCCUUCCAAUCUGAGUUUUUCAUUUUCAUAUAUUAAAAAAAAAAAAAAAUCAGAGGCGACUUAAAUUGUUAGGUCUGAGGCAUGGGCCUCACUUGCCUUUGCCCAAAACCGGGCCUGCCUCAGAUCCAAUGUAGAAAAUACACUAAAAAAAAUAAAUAAAUAAAUAAAAAAAAAAAAAGGGAAGACACCCUCAACUAAUUAUCCCCAAAAAACUCCAACAUUCCACUUCAAGAAUAUGAUCCCUUCCCAAAACUCAUACCAACCAACAAAAAAUCCAAUAAAGUCAAAAAGGGAAUCUUUACUAUUUUUGGGAAAAUUUUCUAUCUUCUUGAAUGUUCAAUAAAAAAAAAAAAAAAUCACUUAAUUGCAACAUUUUUAGGAAAAAAAAACCACAAACCCCAUUUUCUCAAAAAACAGCACAAUUAAAAAAAAUUAAUAAUAAUAAUAAUAAUAAUAAUAAUAAUAAUAAUAAUAAUAAUAAUAAUAAUUUGGGUUUCUUGAAAUGGAACAAAUUUGUACCUUUGACACCAAAAUCCCUCAUUCAACAAAAACAUUAUUAACAGAAAAUUUUACGAAAAAAUAAUGUAAAGUUCUGAAUAGGAGUAGAUCAGUGGAACAAAACUACUGAAGCAUCCAAUUAACUGAAUUCAGUGUAGAUUCAGCUCAAAAUGGAACAAUUUUAUUUCAUUAUUUCAUAUUUCAAGUGUUAUUUCCCCCAUUAUAGGCUACAACCGAAACGAUAAUUUCAAAUCUAACAUAGAUUUUCAAAGAUUCUCAUAUUUUUAUCAAUGAAUUAUUGAACACAUAAUGGUAAAACUGUAGAAUCAGGUCUUAUUACUAUCUGAAUUAAGCAACAUAUGACGAAUUCUUGAUUUCUAAAGUGUUGCAAACUACGAGAAUUCAAAAUUAAGCCAUCCCAACUUUCACCCCUUAUUUGAUAACUGAAUUUCAAUAAAAAUUAUAGGCCAGUGUUCAUAGACACAAAUAGGUUCAGAAUAAAUUUCUAUAAAUAGUGGGAAAGAAGUACUUACCUGCCCGCCAGAUUGUACGAUUAUACCCAAAAAAAAGAAAAAAAAGUUUUCCAAGCCAGUUUUGAGGAAUAUUACAUACCUCUCGCCAGAUUGUAGGACCUCGUCAGAGUGGUGCUGGACGGAGGACGUCUUCGUGUAGGCUAAUUGGAGAAGGCGUCGAGUGAAGUGAGAUAGAAGAGAGGAAUCGUGAGCAAAAGGGCCAAGUUUCUGUUGUUUUAAUUAGAAAUUUUACUAUAGCGGGUUUGAGCAUGUUUUGGCCAUUUUGAGCAUUGUCAACUAAAAACCCUCAAAUUGGGGGGAAAAAAAACUCAUUUUCCAUUUUCAGUUACAAGUUUUUCCUUAUUUUCGAAAAUGCAUUUUCGGAAAUGACGUACGCCUUUUGAGCGUUUUAGAAAACUAAAAACAAAAGACGGCUGGAAAAUGGCAAAGGGAAUGUCCCCUAAUUUUGGAAGUAAUAUCUUAAAUAGGGUACUUAGUGUAAUUUACACUUAAAAAAUAGAGUUCAAGCCCAUUUGAAUCCAUUCUCAUUGAAGUUCAUAAUUUAGGCCCAUUUAAUGUGAUGCUUGCUUCAAGACCUCAAUUUUUUUAAAAUAGUGCAAUUUAGUCCUUGAUGUAAUCCAUGUGCAACCAAUGUCUUCCUCAAAUUUAGACUUGUGGAGUUUAAGCCCAAAUUAUAGAUUUUACUCGAUUUUUUCCUUCUUCCUUUCCACUUACUUCAAACGAGUCCAACACUAAAAAUAAAAAGAAAAUUAACCCAAGUUAAAUAAUAAUUAAUAAUUUGACGACUUUAAAGUUUAAUAAUGUGGCCUAAAUAAGUGCACAAAUUGCACUUAUCAGUAAGAAUGCUACUUAUCAUUUUCGAAUGAAGCACAUUUGUGUGAAAAUACCACUGGCUAUGGCAAGUAGUGGCGGAACGAUUGAUAUUAUUAGAAAAGAUUCAUAGUGAAAAGAAUCUUCCUGAUAUGAUGACAAAGAUUGUGAUAAGAGGAAAGCUUGAACUUUUUUCCAGACUGGACAGCAUAUAUUCUAUCUAGUUGUUAGAUGAUAAUCUCCUUCCUCAGUGGGUUGGAAGGAGAGAUUGUUAUAUGAGCUUCUAGCCCAUGAGAAAUUAAAUGCCCAAUCCACUAUUAUAUGAUGUGGAAAUUACAUGAUACCCUAGAGUUAAAGCCUAGGGUUCAAAAAUUAGAUUCAAGUUUUUUAUAUUCACAAAUCAGAUAUUGAUUUAAUUAUUAUAAAUCAUUAUAUUAAUAAUAAAUAAUAAUAUUAUAUCAAUUAAUUUAUAAAUAAAAGCCCUAUAAGUCUGUAACCAAAUUAAAUGGCCAAAUCAUUUUCUCUUCUCUCCCAUCACUCUCCACCACCUGUUCUACAUGCAGAUCGUCGUCGUCGGGAUAUGCGAUGGUGUAUAUACAAAUUGCGGCUAUGGAUUUGCAUAUCUUCAUCCCCUCUCUCUCUCUCUCCACAAACUCGCAGCCACCAUUUUCUCCCUCUCUUCAUCUUCUCUCCUCCCUCGAAUCGCCACCACUCACGGUGUCGCCGCUUGCGGCUGAGGCAAUCUGUAGAUGUGAAGAUGUAGUUAGGUAAUCUGUAACGUGGAUCUGCCCAAAUAUGUAGAUGUGAAGAUGUGGUUGCAAUGCUGCUCUGCCCAAAUUAGCAAUGCUGCCACGAUUUUGUUGGGAGUAUUUUUUAUUAGAUCUGUUGUGCGGUGGUAGGCGGUGGUGGUGGUGGUUGUGGCGGGUUGUUUGUGUGUGGGAUAGCAUGGGUGAAUCUGGUGGUUGAUUUUUUGGGGUGUGUUUUUUUUUUAAUCGAUCUACUAUGCGGCGGUCAAGGGCAGUGGUGGUGGCGGCGAUGAUUUGGGGCGGAUGUUAUGGUUGUGAUGCUUUUGGUUGUAGAUCUGAUGGUUUGGUGGUGGUUGGCGAAUCUGGUAUUUUGGUGGUGUUUGGCGGUGGCUAAUCUGGUGGUUGUGGUGAUGGCGGUGGAUCUGGCAGUUUCGAUGUGGUGGUGGUACAGGUGGUUGAUGGCGGUUGCGGUGGUUUUGGUUGUUAAGUGGUGGUGGUGGUUUUGGCACCGAUGAUAGAGGUGGUACUGUUGGAGGCAAUGGAGGUAGUAAGUGUUGGUGGCAGUCACCGAUGGUAGUCACAGAUUAUUUAGUUGAUUUGUGAGCAUUAAAUUGAUUAAUCUGUGACCAUUAAAUAAUAUGUAACCAAUGAAAAAGUUAAAUUGUGACAAAAAAAUAAUGCGUGACUGAAAAAAUUAAUUAACUCAAUCAUAAAUAAAUUUUAUAAAAUAUCUGAUUUUUGAAAGUUUAAACUUAUGUUCUUAAUUUUGAAAUAGGCCAUACUUAUCUUCUUACUUUUGAAUUUUUCCCUUAUAUGAUUGUAGGUCACAUAAGGAGGCUGAAUAGUAAGAAAAAAUAGAGACUACGCAUCUACAAGAGAAAACAGGGACUGUGGCUGCUGAACAUUAAAUAGGGUUGCCGGAAAACAUUUUUCUUUAAACUUUUGAUGUGAUUUUUCACACAGAGCAAAUUGAAGUUUCUUUGAGAUCAAGGUUUUUUGGUGCUUCAUCAACUGAGUUGUGGUGAAUUGUAAUUUUCCUUGAAGAAUUAAAAUUGUUGAUUUUCAAUUUACCUACAUUCAUGUUUUGGGUCUAAACAUAAAUGUUGUAAUCUCUAUUUAUUAUAUUGGAAUUGAUUCAAGUUGUCUCGUGGUUUUUUCCCUCUACGCUAGAGGAUUUUUCCACGUAAAAAUUUGCUGUAUUCUUUCUUUAUUGCUCUUUUGGUAUUUAAUUAAUUGGUUUGCUUGGAUUGUGAACUUAAUCCUGCAAGAAGUGAAAUGGCCCAACAAAUAUUGAUGAAGUCUCUAUAGUAAACAGCUCCCCACUUGUUCUAGCAAUGCAAAUUUCCACUACCCUGAUGUAUGAAUUAAGUUCUGUAAACUUACCGUUUCUCAUAUAAUUGAUGUAUGGUAUUUGUUUUGGUUAUACUCUACAAAAUGAUCCCAUAUCUACCAUGAGUAGAUGUCAACCUCUGUAGUCUUUCUAAUUGAUCAGAAAAAAAAAAGAAUAUUUAAAAAUAGCAUGAUGAGUCUUUUAAUUUUACAUUUAUAUUUCAUUUUGAAUUUACCCGACGUGUCCUCAUGAUGAAUUUUCAGGUUAGACAAUAUAGUUCAGCAUAACUCACCUAUUACAGUGGACUAACUGAAUUGAUUUUAGCACACCAUCAGGGGGGAAUCCAGGAUAAUAAGCAAGUACGGGCGACCGUCAAUCGUCAACCGCAACAAAAUAUUAAGAGCCUAUUUGAUGCCAUUUUUUUUUGCAAAAAUAUGCAUUUUGAAAUAGUGAUUUGAUGGAGAAUGUAUUGUUAAAAAUAAGAAAGUUUUAAAUUUGUGUGUAAUAUUAUUUUUUUAAAGAAUUUGUGGAUAAAAAAAAAGAAAAAAUACAUUUUGAAAAGAAUGAGAAUCAAACAAGGCUUAAAAUUUAAAUAUAACAAUUAUUUUGUUCAAAUUAAACAUAUAUAAUAUUAUUAUAAAGUUUAGUUGUACUUACCAAAUGAUAUUGUGGCCAAGUUUUGAAUAAUUUGAACGAAGAGCACGGUUUCAUAUCUUUUACAAUUACAAUUGCAACCGCUAAAAUUUAACAUAUAUUAUUUUGUUCAAUUUAGUGUCAAAAUCCAACAUUUGUCAAAAUGGUCAAGUUAACGAUAGCUCUAUCAAUAGGCCACGAGUUGGAAUUGGUCCCCUCCCUAUUGAAUUUUGGCAAAAAAAAGUAGUAUUAAAAUAUUGCACAAUAAAUUUAUCAGAAAGGGAAUUCGAACCCAAGACUUGAGCUAUAUACCUUUUCAGCUAUAACCAAGUGUGCUGCAAAAAGAUAUUUGACAAUGGGAUGACUUACCAGUAAUAUAAUAUAAAACUGUAAUCUAUUGUCACAAAAAAAAAAAAAAAAAAACUCCUGCAAAUCCAGCACGGGCAGCCGCCGAAGCUCGCCAUCUGCCACAUCCGCCACUGCACACCAUGUAAACUCCAUUUUUUUUUUUAACUUUGAAAUUCUAGCACUUAAUUUUUUAUUUUAUUUUAUUUUUUGGUGUACAAAAGUUUUAGGCAUAUAUUUACUGUUUCUCAUUAGAAUAAGGCACAACAAAAAAAUCAAGGAAAUCUUGAAAAAAAUUAAGAUAAACACAAAUUUGUACACUCUUGUAAUGUAGGAUAGUGGUGUAAUCUUUUGGUAAAGGCUCUUCCUUGUGCGUGAUUCAAGUACAAUUUCUUCAAUCUAUAUCUCUUUUACACUAAUUUUUUUAUUCUUUCAUAGUGAGUAGUGACUAGCAAAACCGUUUGUCAAGUACCUUUGUAUAUUCUUCCUUUAUAACUUAUCGCUGUUCCUCGACUAUUCUAUGUAUUUCGAUUUUUAAAUUUAUAACUUCAACGGGUUCACAUUCGUAAUUACAUUUUUAUUAUUUGCAUUAUAGCUUUAGAAAUUGAAUGUAUACGUGAUUAACGUACGACUUAUGUACUAUAAUUUUGUUGGUCUUUUGUAGUGAAUUACAAAAUACCUUUUUAUGUUUUUGCUUGAUUACUUUCAAUUAUUUCCCUUGUUCUUUUGUGCAUUUCCAUUGGUGAACUUAUAAGUUUAUUAAGUUUGUGAUUGCUUCCAAAUUACUUACAUUAUGGCCUUAGAAAUAGAUUGAAUAUGUGGAAUGUGUAAUCAUAUUAUAUAUCUUUUACUUGUUCAGUGUUUGGGAGAUAGAGCACUAUAAUCAGACCUUUUUUAAAAUAUAUAUAUAUAUAUACACACACACACACACACAUUCAGUCUCUUCAAAUUAUGUACUUCUCUUCCCAACAUAUAUUUUUUAAUUUCAUUUUAGCCUUCUAUUUCAUGCGAAGUCUCUCAACUGUUGAUUCCUGUGGUUUCUUUGGGUACUCUAUCGAACCGUAGAAGUCAUCCUUUCGCAUUUAAUAAUUUUUUACAUGGAAAGUUGGCUAAAACAACAAAUCUGAAAACAAUAAUGAAAUAAAAUAGUUCCUUUAUUGCAAUGGCUACAUAAAAACAUGAUAGGGUGUGAGCAAAACCACUAAAAUUAGAGAUAUAACACAUGGUUCUUUAUGGAAAAGUCUUUCUUUUCUUACUCUUCAAUAUUUGUUUAGGAAAACCGUUUAGAAAAUAACAAUAGUACUUAUCUUUUAAAAAAAAUCUUCGUUUUAAAAAGUUAUAUGAAAAAGGUAAAUUUUUUCACAUUUAAAUCCUAUAAAUCUUAUUUAAAUUUUAUUUAUUAAAUCAAUAUUUAAGGCAGAAACAUUUAUGUUUAUUACCAUUGCAUUGAAGUUUAUAAUUUUGUGACUAUACUUUAGCUUAUGCACAUUAUUAAUGUUAUGAAAGUGUGGUUAACUUGUAUGUGUCAAUUUUUUUACUGUGGCAAACUGAGUAGUAUUAUUAUUUGUUUUUUUCAUUCAUUCAUUGAGACAAUAAUUUUUGCUUUCAUUAAAUUAGAGGUGAAGAUUUUGUUCUGAUUGUUAUACUUAUUAAGUGGACUAGCCUUUCAUUGAGUCAUUUUUUAAGCCAAUAAUGGGAUGGGCCUUUUUCUUUUAUAAACGCAUAUGGAGGCCCCUACUCUCACCCCACUUAAUAAUAUAUAUAUAUAUAUAAAAACAUGUUGGCGCUUUCACCUCUUAACUGGCAAGCUAAGAGGUGUCGGUUUCAAGAGGGCAGAGAGUAGUUUCUCUCCAUAGCACAGUUUCUUCCAUCUUUCCAGCCUAAGGAAUCUAUGGAAAAUCAAUUGCAAGCUACGGGAGGUAUGAUUUCCUUUGUUAUUGUUGAAUACAUGCUAUGAUAAUGAGAAGAAGAGAUUGUUAAAUCUGUUUAUGUUAACGAUUGGUAUGGAUUCUUCAAAAAUAUCUGCUAAUUGUGAAUUUGGUUUUUGUAACAUGAAAGUACUUCCCAAAGUGCAACUGAAUCAUAUCUGGCCUCCAUUAGCCAAAAAAACACAAAAAGACAGCUAGAUAGGAGGAAUCUAAUUCAAACUCCACGCAUUGAUCGUCGUAAAAGGAUAAAUGAUUCUAUGUUAUCUGAAAAUAAUAAUUCAGGUGCUUCCUAUACUCAUGAAUAUGCAAUACAUCUUAAUUUUAAAGCUUCUACUUUAAAUCAGGAAUCAAUAAAUCAUGUUCAUUCUAAAUUACAAAGAAGUUUUAACCUAUUGAACAUUCCAACCAAUGCAUAUGUAUUACCGACAUUCAUCUAUUGUGAACAUUGUGGUGCACAAAAAUUUAAUAGAGACUAAUAUUAGUAUCAAUUUUCGUUAUUUAGUCAUUACACUUCUUGAGAACAUGUAUAUCUAGUUCUCGUACUGAUUUCAUAAUUCAUUUCAAUAGUUUCUGAUCCUGUUCUACAGAUAAUUUACUUGCAUCCUUGCAAAAAGCCAUAUCAUAUAAUUUUUCAUUUGUCUAUUGAGUGCUGAUAGAGUAUGAUGUCCACAUUUUGAGGAUACUAAUGGCAUACAAUCAACUAUUUCUUUUGGCAGAUUAACAGCUUCAUUAUCUUGUUAGUACGCAAUACCAGUUUAUGAAGGGGAAAAUCAGCAUUCAUUCUUUCGUGCUAUGCAUUAUUCGUGGUGACAUACAAACUAGGGGAUGGGGAUAGGGGUGGAGUUGGAGGUGGAGGUGGGGAUGAUACACGCUUUCUAAUAACAUGCAAUCCCAUGACAUAGAAACACGUUUAAGAUGUAAAAUCUACACAACAGAUCGUAUUAAACAUACCAUUUUUUAGAAGAUGAGCAAAGUGUAUAUGAUGAUGUUAAAACUGCCACAAUAGACUUCGAAAGAAAUGAGGACACAUGCCAGUUGGCAAACGUGAUAACACCUGUUGGGAAUGUAAGAAUGACUUGGAUGGUUGGAAUAUAGUUUAUGCAGAUCUAAAGAAGUUUUCAAUUGCAGGAGUGAAGCUUAAAGGUUAGAAGAAAAAAAUGAGUAAAUUAGUACAGUUUUUAUCUUGCUAUUGUCAUUUUCAUCAUAGUAUAUAUCUCUAAUCAUACUUCUAAUUUAAUUGGAAGCUGUGUGGGAGAGAUAAAAAUGUUAAACCUUUCUAAAAAGUACUAGUUUUUGUAACACAAAAGUCUUUGCUGUGUGUUAAUGCACAUGUCAUUUAGCCUUGUAGGAUACAUGCUUCCUCAUUUGCCAACUAUAUUAGGCUGUAUGCUUCAUUAGGCCAGUCCCCUCUCGUAUGCAUGCUGGGGACAAAACCUUCCGAAGUCAUCAGCUAUACAUUUAUGUAAUCUUUCUCUUUCUUGUCAUCUUUUACUCCUCUUUUUUCUCCCCAGUUUCACUUAUAUCCUGUUAACCAAUUUUAACAGUCAUUCUUGCAGAUUUUAACAAAUGCAAUAACUUCAAUACGUGUUCCUAUGAAACAUGAUAGAGUACAUAAUCAUGACUCGUGUAUUUAUUAUUAUGCAAAUACUUUACUACUUUUUUUUGUUCAAAACAUGAAUACAUUUAAAAUUACCGAUAUCAUCUCAGUCAUUUUCAACCACAAAUUAAAGAUUACUACCUCACUCAAUUUUGAAAUAGAGUAAACGACUCCAUGAACAUAGAACAGGUAAAAUAAUAGGUGAACUCUAAUUGUCCUAUCAUCGAUAAAUUCAAUUCUUGUCUUACAAUAUUGUUCACCUGUACAAUUACAAUUUCAUAUUUAACUCACUCGAUAAUUUCAUUUCAUGUGAUGCAGAAACACAAUGCGACAAGUAAACAUGGUGUAAAAACUUAAAAAACAAAUGAUCAACAAUGCAUAGAACGAACUUCCACUUAAAACUACCAUCUUCGUUUAAAGAAGCAUAUUAAUAACACAUGUUACUAGAAAAUUAGUUAAUACCUGUAUGUUUUCUCGUACUAAUUUUACAAAAAAGAAAAAUAAGCAGCACUAACAAUUGCAGCCUUAUAUAUUUCCAUAGAACUUAAUCCUUUUAUUUUUCUAACAAGUAUAAGAUGACCAACUAAAACAACUUUUGUACAUUAUAAUAUGAUACAAAAUAAGAUAGAUAUUUUACAAUUGACACUUGUAUAUACAUUAAUUAUAAGAGAUAAUACCAACUUUUCAUGAAAGACUUUUCAACUAUAUACAUAAACCAUCUUCACAAACAUUAUUUUAUUGAGCUUACUGAUGAAUAAUUGCCUCAAUAUGUCUGAGUAUUUUCAUCCACAAGAGAAUACAUUUUACUACUGUAUACAUGUAUUAACACUACAAUCCUUCUCUCUAUAAAACAGCUAUUACUCUCUCCCACAUGUUCUAUAAAUACCCACACUUACUCCUUCACCAUCUUACCUCAAAAAUACAUCACAGUUAUCACAGUCCCCAUUUAAAUCUAUCAACACUUUCAAAACUUUGUCUUCAUCUCGUUACUUGUAAGUUCUUUUCACAUUACUACUUUUUAAUUUUAAUUAUCUUUUAAUCAAGAAAAAGCAGUUAUACUAAAUUCUUACAAGAAAAAACUUCAAAAAAAGUCAACUCAGAUUAUAUAAAAAAAAAAUUUCUUAUUAGCAAUGUCAGUAAAAAAAAUUUACAUUGACUUCAAUAUAACUUUCUUAAGAUGGGCUAUAAAACUUUUUCUUUUAAUAAUAUAAGUCAUAGAAUUUUUAUCCAAACAUUAUGAUAAAUCUUGUAAAAGACGUUGAAUUGAGCAAAAAUCAAUGCUUAUGAGCUUUGGAUGGCCUGAAGAGACUAUAGAUAGAUUCCUUCUCUUUUGCAUAAUUAUUCUGUGUACAAAUACAUUGUUCAUAUAUGAUUUGUAGAAAAAAGUGAAAAGCAUAGAGGUUGUAUUCUUGAAUUAUAGUACAUUUUACUAUAGAAAGAUCUUUAGGAACAUUUUACAUAAAGAAUAUACUUGUUAGAAUCGAUUUUCUAAUUCUAUCUUGUCUACAUUCUAUGGUUUUUUCUCUAUAUAGAUAUGUGAAAGAAGCGUAAGAAAAGAAGCUAUUGAACCCAACGAGAGAGAUUAAAGGGCGAAACCUUGUCCUUGACAUUUUCGUCACCAGUGCAAAUAUCAUCUUACCAGAGAUACUAAGGUGUAAUUUCAUCGCUCAUACAUUUUUUAUUUUAUUGAGUAUUUCGGAAGUUGAAUGCAAUUUUAUGUAUUAUAUUUUAUAUUUUCAGGACUUAAAGCAAUUCAGUGGCUAAUCUCUCUUUUUCUCUAAACGUAAGUUUCACAAAAUCUGAAGCUAUUUUCUAGAGGGUUCUAUUAUUUGUAGACAAGCUAUGCAAGGUACUAUUAUUGCUUACCACAUUGCGAAAAUCAUAUGCGAGUGGUUUAUAUAAGUAGUUUAUAAAAUAAGAAAAGAACUUAAAUCAAAGUACUUAAUAACAUGGCAAAACAUUUAUACAAACUUUCUACCCGCCUGCAGGUGUUCCAUUGCUGAAAUCUCCUUGUUUUGGCUGUUUUCACAUAGUUGUAACUUGUCUAUUGCAUAUUCUGGCUUCUGACUUCUAACCUGCUUUUGUUCAAUGUGCAAAUUUUCAGAAUUAGUCAAUUAGAUAUGUGCAAUUCCAUUAGAUACGGCCGAAUUGAGGCUUCAGUUGCAGAAGAAAUCUGUUGCAGUAGCUUUGCCAAAGUAUAAGGGAUUAUUGAGUACAGCUGGUACUAUUGUAAGGGAAGAAGAUUUAUCUGCUCUGGAAAGGCAUUGUGCCAUAGUUACAUCGUCAAUGCUUAUAUGGACGGCUAUGAAUCAAGUAAUAUAAGCCUGUAAGUUUUACAUAAAUUUGUGAAAGUCCAUAAUGCGUGUGUUGCUUCACUGGGUUUUUGAGUGUAAAACAUUCUCAUACUCGUCAGCUUAAAACCUCUUAUGCAGUACAAGAUCACGUUAGAAAUGUACCAUUCUUAAAUGAGAUACUUGUUGCACUAACGAUUGGUGGGGACAUUUAUUUUUUUUUUUUGUCCUUUUUAGUUCCAAAAAUAAGUAGAUAUAUAUGUCUCCAACAUCUUAUGUAGUUAUGAUAUACGUGUUCAUGAACUGUCAAUCAUUAGUUACUUUCUAUUUUGGCAACAUUAAUUGUUCAAUUAUAUAUCAAAUAGGUUUUGUUGCCAUUAAAGUGGCCAAUCCUACUAAUCUUGUUAAAGUAAGACUCCGAGUAGAGGGUAAACUGCCUCCGGGGAGUGCCAAUGUAAUAUUUUGGAGCACUAAAUGCUUACUCUACAAUAGUGAGACAAGUCUUUCUUUGCCUUAUUUCGCGUUGUCCUUCUUGCUUUGGGCUACUUUUGGUCUAGAUUAUUACCUUUUAUUUUUGGGCUUGUAUUAUGUAUUGGGCUAGCCCAAGCCCUUUUUCCUUUGUGUUGUAUUUUAUAUAUGUAGGCAGCCUUUCGUAAGGGAGAGACGGAUACGAUAGAAUUAAUUGAAUUGAGUGUUGUAGGAGUGUUUUCCUUUUCCACCGCCCUUUCUUCUCCUCUCCCCCUUCUCUCCUUCCUCCCGUGGCUGGCUAUCUUCUUUACCUAUCCUUCUCCUCCUAAUUUCUUCAUUCCAUCCUACAUCAACUUGGUAUCAGAGCUAAACCUGGUUCCAACAUCUUCAACUGAAAUUUGGAGUCACAGAAUUGCCAUGGAAGUGAUGAAAAGUUCGGUCAAAUUCCUAUCUUCAGCUUGCUAUUCAACACCAUAAAGCCUUACCCAUAAGGUGACCCAUCCAUCCUCUCCAAACCACACACAAACAUCUAAUUCAUACACACUUAGCCAAUUACACCCAACGCUGUCUCCUCUGGCUACUGUCAACAACUACCAACGAUUCCUCAAACUCCCCACUCAAAAUUACAGCAACUCAAAAAUUGACCCAUCGCCUUUCCGAGCUUGACCCACUCGCGACAACUCGGAGCACCCACCCCGCAACCGCUACCUCCGCUAUCAAAACCCAUGAACGCCGACCGCCAGUCAUCCUCCCAGCAUCGCCUUCACAGUAAAUUCACUCACUGCAACCACCGAUCUUCGUCUGCCUAAGCCACCACGUCGUCAGACCAACACAAAAGGUGAGUCAGUGCCUUCUUCGAGUAGCGCUGCUCGUAAUCACCUUCACUUAGACCCAAUUCUCAUACGGACCGCAUAGAUACAAUGGGGAAAAACAACUGGGCCAAGAUAACAGUGGGCAGUUUAAUUUAAUUGGACUGUGGCUUAGUAAAUAUUCUGGGCUUGGGCUUGGGCUUGUGUGGCUUGGGAUUUAAUUGUAAUUGGGCUUAGUUUUGUGAUUUGGACUCAUUCAUUGCCCUAUUUGUUUAUAUGUAAGUUAGUUUGAUUUUGUAAGUUGGAAAAAAAAAAAAAAAGGACCAAAAAAAAGGACCAAAAAAAAGAAAAGAAAAACGAAAAAAAGGAGCAAAAUAAAUAAAUAAAUAAAAUAAAAUUCUAUUUUUUAACAUCAUUUUGCAGGCACCUCUUCUUAUCCUGUCGAUCAACCCAACUACUUCAGCGAGCAAAAAAGGGAGUUACUAUUUUUAUCUAUAUUUGGUUUAUAUUACUGUUAAUUUAAAAUUGCGUCAAUUAAAUUUUUGUGCUACUAUUGUUCUAUUUUUUUUUAUUUUUUAUUUUUUGCCUAAAUUCAUGUAAUUGAUCUAUUAACUUUGUUAAAUUCCACUUUUACAUCAUUUAUUUUACGUAAUUCGAUUUGACUAGUAUUUUACUCCUUCUUUUGCUAUUUUACAUAUAUCAGCAAUAUUAGCUUAUCGUAUUUGGAUUUAUUUAAUCCCAAAAUCUUAACAAAAAAAUAAAAUAAAAAUCAUAAUUGCUCAAGUCUAUAUUGUCUUUAUGUGCAAUUGUUAUUCAUUGAUCUCCCCAUACAUUUCAUUUAAUCGUUACUACAUUGCAUGCAAUUGCGAGUGGUCAUCUUGUCAUCCCUAGUGCUAAUACUUUGACCAAGGAUCCUUCCCAAUUUGAUGCACUAUCACGACAAUUAGCCCAACUUGUCACUAAUCAACAACAAUUUCAGAGUCAAUUAGCGACUGUCCAAUUCGAUAUAACUGCUACUCGUGAGGAGAGAAAGAACCUAGCUGCUAAAACAAGCCAUUUUAAGUAAAUCCCUCAUUCGACUGACAUUCAUAAAUCUAAAGUGAUCCAUAAUAGACAAUAUCAUCAUCGACAGAGUGAUAAAAAAUACUUCCGACACGAUCGUAUGGAUAGGGAUUAGGUUCGUGAGCAAGAACGAGGUUGUAAUCAUCACAGUACUCAUUCACUUUCUCGUCAUAAGAAGAGUUUCUUUAGAGACAUUAAAUUAGAUACUCCUACUUUUGAUGGUUGCUUAGAUUUUGAAGUUUUUACUCAAUGGAUUGCUCUUAAACAAGGUAAUCGACCAGUGACUGAGUAUAUUGCACAAUUUGAGGAAUUUCGAAUCAAAUGUCAUGUCAUUGAGGAUGAGAUCACGACAUUUAGUAGAUUUAGCAAAAGUCUAAGAAAUGAUCUUAGGCGUGAACUUUUUCUUCGAAGUGUCACUACUCUUGAUCACGCUUAUAAUUUAGCUCGAGAUUAUGAAUUGACUAUUAGUACUCUAUAUGAAAAGCGUGAUCACCAUCGUUCGGCCAUGUCAUUAGUGCCACCUCAACAUAAAUCUGUCAUAGAACCUUUCUCGUCUAGUGUUCCUCCCAUUUGGGAAAAUAAGUGUAAAGGUCGUGAUAGUCCAAGGCCCCUUUCUCCAUAUAGAAAGCGUAUUAACAACCAUUCUUCUGUUUCAUUGGCUCCACUUCCUUUGGUUAAGUCCCUUCUAGGACCUCCCUUGUACAAUGUUCCUCCAAUAUUAGAAAAUAAGGGCAAAAUUUUUGAAAUUCCAAAGACUUCUUCUCACUUGCAAUGUAUUAGCUGUAAGGACUUUGGCCACAUCUCUUCCAGAUGUCCUAAACGAGCCUUAGUCAUAGAAGAACGAAGAAUGUAAUAGAAGAAUCGUUAGUAGAUCUAGUAUAUAAACCUAACCUUGAAGAUUUUGAUGAUGAUGGUGAGGACACCUCAUUAAGUGGCAUCUAGACUCUUCCUGAGACUCUAGAUACUAUAUCCCAUGAUUUCACUAGUUACUUUUCGAGAAUUCAGUCGCCUAUGGUUAGCACUAAAUCGAAAUUCUACACUGCAGACCAACCUCAGACUGAUGGUUAAAAUGGAGUCGUUAACCAAAGUUCUAGCAAUUUAUUCAAGUCUCUAGUCUAGAAAAAUCAUGGUAAUUGGGACUUGAUCCCCCAACUGUUCAAAAUGCAUAUAAUAAUUUUGUUAAUCGAUUUCUAAGUCUAAAUCCAUUUGAAGUUGUUCAUAGUUAUAAGUCUAGGUGGCCGUUAGAUCUUAUUCUCAUGUCCCCGCAUGCUGGUGUAUUGUUGUCAACUAAAGCAUUUGUAUAUCAUCUUUCUUACUUGCAUACUGAGAUCAAUAAGCAACUUGACACAAGUAAUGCAUUAUAUAAACCUCGAUCUGAUUGGCAAUGGCAUAAACAAUCAUUCGAAUUUAACAUUGGGAAUUAUGUUAUACUGUAAGUUUGUAGUGCUGAUCCUUAUAAAAUUUUAAAGUAUGUUUAUUUAAAUGCAUGUGUCAUUGAUCUUUUAUCACAUUUUGGCCACCAUUCUAUUUUAACUGUUAAGAACUUCGUCACUUACAAAUGUUAUUUUAACCCCUCUGCCGAUCCGUUCUACCUCCCAUGGGAAGUCUUACAUUGAAUCUUUUACUAUGUCUACUUCAAUCCUUCCUAUCAUAGCACACAAAGAUAAAAUUUUUGUUAUUUUAGAUGAACAGAUUAUGUUGACCAAUGAUGGAGAGAUUUGGAACUUCCUUGCUUGUUAGGUAAAUCGGCCUAAUUUUGAUUGCACAUGGAUUGUCAAAGAAAAGUUACAACAACUCUGGAUUAAGCUUGAGUUUCGAUCUUUGUUUCUUACUAAAGAUCGUCCCCCUUGGUAAAAGUUCAACCACUCGACAAAGUCGAGUUUUUCCCCACUCUAGAAGAGUUGAUGAGGACAUCUAAUUUUGGGCUAGUUUAGCAUUUUUGCUUUGGGCUACUUUUGGGCUAGUUUAGUAUCUUUUAUUUUUGGGCUUGUAUUAUGUAUUGGGCUGGCCCAAGCCCUUUUUCCUUUGUGUUACAUGUAGGCAACCUUUUGUGGGAGAGAUAUGAUAGAAUGAAUUGAAUUGAGUGUUGCAGGAACGUUCUCCUUUUCCACCGCCCUUUGUUCUCCUCUACUCCUCUCCUUCUUCCUCCCCUGGCUGGCUGUCUUAUUUACCUAUGCUUCUCCUCCUAAUUUCUUCAUUCCAUACUACAUCACAAAGUACACAUCACAUGCACAUCAAUUCUGAUUCUUAUUAUGCAUAUUCAGAAUACACGAUCAGAAGAGAAUAUUCAAAGACAACUAACUAAUGGGAAGAGGCAAAUAAUCUGAAUCCCCAACUUUAUUCUCUAUUUUAUCACAAAAUGAUCUCACACUAGUGUCCAAAGACUUCUUCAAUACCAGAAGAGCAUAAAUCAAAUAUAUGUGGGAUUGUGGGAAUGAUGUCCUGAACUAGGAGGAUAAAAGACUAAUCAUUUCUAUGAAGCAAAGAUGGGGGGAGUAUAGCAUAUAACACUUAAAACUGUGAAGUUUCUCGCAUAAGAUGGUCACACCUUACUCUGACCGGCAUCAGGACUCCUCGGUUUCAAGGUACUGGGAAUGAGAGGCUGCGAUGAGUGCAGCUCCAAUGCCAGAGCUGUCUUUGGAAAGCUCAAUGUUAACGCUCUCUGAAACCUCCUCCCCCAGGAGCUCUUUAAGUGUAUUCUUCAGACAAUUCCUGAAUUCAGAAUACUGCUCAAACAGUCCGCCAUCCAACGCAAUCACUGACCUCUGCUUCUCACCCUUUUUUACAGUAUCUCUUCCCAGUUUUUUGAGAAUUCCAAAGAUUCCAGCAGCCGAAAGACGGGCCCCACGAGUGGCAACAAUUUCACAUACUUCCACAAUCAUUUUCCUCAUUUUUAAGGAAGAAUUAGGUAUCUGUCACAAAGAAAAAUGGAGACAAUGUGUAACUGCAUUAGGUUUUUGCACAAGCAGCCAACUUUAAUUGCUCCUCGGAUGCACCCCAGUCAACAUAGUAGAGAUGCCAAAAUUUGCUAGCUCUACAAAGAGAUAGAUGACCAUUUAUACCACUAUGCCUCUCGAUGAAUACAAAGUAUUUUACCUCCAAGAUAUCCUUUAGUUUGCUCCCAACCAAUUUGAGAUCAGCAGUAUCGUCGUGAUGCAUUGCAGCCAUGACAGGGAUCCUGCACCGCAUUUUUCUCUCAGUAUCUAUAUUACAAAUGAUUUAGCACCUCUUUCAGGCCCCUUUUUUCAGUAUAGAUUUUGUAAAAAAAAGUGAUUUUUUGGAGGAUAUGUGGUUGAAAAGUAGGGAAAUGUUUUCGGUUUACACACAUUAUUUUAUUGGGAGGGUUGAAAAUGAAUUUGGGGAAAAAUCAGUUUUAAAGAAUGAGGCUCAAGCAAGGGCUUCAUUUCCUCGAUGAAACAAUGUAGUAUUAUGAGGAUUUUAUUUGACCAAAGCUAUAAGUUAAACCACAUCCGAUAAUUCGUUAAUAGAACUACGGUUUUAGGUGCAUUUGUUGGACCAUGAAAGGACAAAAAUGUCCAUAAGAUAAAUGCAUCUAAAAAUGAGGAUUUUAAGAUAGAUGGCCAAACUAAAAUGACUAAAUACACAAUGAGAAAUAUGUCAAAGAGUGAAGAGGGCACAAAUUAUGGAGAAAUUAAGGGUAGGAAGAAUUAGAUAGGAUAUCUCGCUUAAGCCUCGGGAAAUGUCCACAAAAGAAAUGUGAAAGAUUUGAUUCUUUGGACCUUUCAGUACAAAUAACACUGAUUGAACUUGUGUAGAUUCACCACGUUUGUUAGCAAUAAGACUAACUUCUUGUAUCACUACUGAAAUUAGAUGGUACAUUAGCUUACAGAGAUUCUCGUAUCCAGCCAGCAUCGCCAUCACUACUCACCUUAUUAUGAAUGGAAUUCUCAGUUUUAUCGGGAUAUCAUCACCAAAAAAGGAUGCUUCUUCUGCCAACCUGCAAAAGACUCGGCGUACAAUUUCUCCCAAAUACAUGCCAGAAAUUAUCUUCUCAAAAAUCUGAAGAAACAAGUUAUGGGUGAGAUCAGACAUAUAACCAAGCAGAAGUAAUAAGAAAAAGCUAUUGAAAUGACCUGCUCGCCAGGGUUUAAACUUUCAGCAUCAAGACUUCGAUCAUACUCUGUUAACGGAAGAUGUGAUGAUCGGAAGUUACCCCAUUCCAUGUUUAUAACUUGCAAAAGUGAAGCAAAAUCUAGUUAAUAAUAUAGAUCACAACGAUGUCCACGCAUGGCUAAAUAAACGGGCGGUGAAAAUUGAUGAAGCAUAAAGGGAGAGAUGAUCAAUGAUGAAAGGACAAUUUAUGCCUUGAUCAACAUUAGAUAACAAUAUACAAUCGAAGGAUGGAGCUGCUAACCAUUUCCCCAGAUUUAGGAAGCGGACCUUGCCACUUUGGAAUAGCAUUUGCCCAUUCUACAUAUGCGGCAUUAGUUCCAGUACCCAAUAUCACCGCAGCAAUCACAUCAGGGUGGUUGUAUUGUCCUCCGGCUAAUGUUCCAACUGUAUCAUUGACCUGCAUACCCCGAGGAAGAUAUUGAAGUUCUAAUUUAUUAGAUAUUCUACAAGUUAAAGUUUGGUGUAAAUGGUCGGCCAAAAGGAGGCCGGACCAAGAUUUUGGUCCAUAGUUCAACCUUCAAUGCUCUCUCACGAUCAUGUGGGGUUUUAAGUUCACAAAGAAGUAAAAGGUUACUUUAAACAUAAGUACAAGAUACUAGUAACUUUGUGUUUCCAAAUAUGUUAGCACAAGUUAUUUUUUUUUUUUUUUUUUUUUUUUUUUAAGUUUUAAAUUAAAAAAUUAUGUAUUUCAAAAGUAAUCCUGACCUUUAGCAUCAAAAAUUAUUAAUUCAAAUUUUUCUGAUUUCAUAAAUAUAUGUUUUGCCAAACAAACCACUUCCAUUGGGCAAGUUCAGAAAAUACAGGUAAAAGAAAUAAUUGAUAAAGUAGACUAUGUGACAUCAAAAAUAUUAUAUGCACAAGCAAGGUGAAAGUAGAAAAAUUUCAUGAUGGGAAAAUCUAGACUUACCAAAGCAGUCACAUGCAUAUCAAGGCCAACUCUUUCCAUUGCUUUAGUCAACUCUCCGACAAUAUCUUGUCCUAUCUAUUUAAAACCAUCAAUAAUAGAUACAUUGGAGAAUUAGAAUCCUAUAAGUAAAUAUGUCUAAUCCUCAGGGAGCGAGCACACACAUGGAACAACAAUCACAGUUCUAUUCAGAUCCAGCAAUUAACCAUCAACAUUUGUCAUAUACAUUUCCUGAGUCAUUAAGGGAUGGAUGGUAAACUAGAAAACAUCAAAUUAGAAAGGAAGGUUCCAUGACAAAAUCAAGAAUCAGGUAGAGAAUGCACAACCACAAAUACAUAGGGAGGAGAGAACUAGCUUAUUUUCUUUACUUAGUUCAUUUAUAGCUAAAGGAGAAGUCACCAGAUAGAUAAGUGGAAUGUGAAAAAGAAAUGACAUAUUCUUACAUAUGACUCACUUAUCUACACUUACUAGUAAUUAGCUAGUACUUCCUUAUAAAUAAAAUUCAAUGAGACCACAGUACUAGUUUACACUAACCAAGCAAAUGAAUUGAUUGAAUCCCAGAACAAACCAAACAUUAACCAGUUUACUGAAAAGAAUGGUUGAAAUCAGAUCAUAGACCUUACAUCAUUAAAACAUCACAUAUAAGUUGACCAACAAGGGUAAAAAUAUUUUGGAGCACAGUUAGUAAGGUUGAUAUGCCAAAUUAUCUAUCACUACAGCUGCAGAAAAAAAAAAAUAAUAAAUAAAUAAUCUGAAGACGAGUGGAUUUUUGUGAAAAUCAGCUUCGGCAAGUGGAUAUAGCUCUCACAUUGAUGUCAAACACUGUAUGUUUGUGUUCUUUGUGCAUUUUCUGAUUCCCUUUCAGAGUUAGAUAUUAAGGUUUAAUCCUAAAAUGAAACCCAAGUGCAAUAGGUAUGCCUCUGCACAGAUAAAUAACAGAAUAAUAAAUGCAAGUUCAACAAAUAAAAAAGAAAGAGAAGAAAGCUAAGAUCUGAAACUAACUGCGUCUUCUAUGAGGAAGCCUUUAGUCCACUUUGUAAGAGUCCCAGAAGCCAAUGAUAAUUGCUUAACUGGGAAGGAAAAGGUGAAACCCAGCUCCCUUUGCCUGCCAGGUGGAUGAACAAAGUCUUCACCUUCUGUUGCAACAAAGUUUGCAAGUGCCGCAGCAAUAAAAUCAAACAAUUCCUGGAAUCACCAUGAAAUGAAAUUUCACAUCAUAAUAACAAUUGAAACAACAUUUAAAACUGAAAGAAUGGCUGAAGACACUUACAAGAGAUGAUCCAACCAUCAAAUGUGGAGGAAUUGAAAGUACUUCAGGUUCUUUUUUGACCACACGGUUUUCUUUUCCACCAAGCUGCACACGCAGGACUCGGAAGUUUGUGCCACCUAGGUCCAAUGCAUAAAAUACUCCUUUUUCAUCGCUGAAGCAGAAAUAUUGACGAACAUAAGCACGAUAAGUGAAGCCUAUCUCCAGGAAGAGAAACAGAGACAAAACUUAAUCAUAUUAAAUUAGUCCAGGAUCUGAUAGAACUAAGGGCACUACAAUCUAGCCGUCCUCAAGAUCAUGGUAGCUAAAGAAAACAGAAUUUUACAGUUCUUAGUAUUCUCUCAGAAUAAUGUUUCCACUAUUUGUAUCUUGUUUACUGUAAGUCCAUUAUAUAGUGAUUGAGAUCAUUCCUCUGAGAACUUCCAUUUCCUGAAUAUUUCAAGAGAAUAAUUAAUAGUCAGCUAGUAGCCCAGUGAUCCAUUUGAGUUUGUUUAUUUCAUGUGUCACUUUGAACAAACUUGUACUGAACCACAGUGAAAUUACGAUGUAAUUCACAGUUAAAACAGAAAGCAAAAUGAUAAAACAACCACAACAUUCAUGACGUCCAACUAUAGAAUAUUUUGAUGUAUCAGAGUAAUGAUAAGUGGUCAAGACAAUCUGAGGAUUUAAGUCAAUAAGUAAGCUAGUUAGCAGUAAUUUUGACUUGAUAAUGGAAAGUAGAAGCUAAUUCAGAAUACAACAAGAAAAUUAUAGAUGCAACUUCAAUAAAAACUCAAAUCUGAAUAGUGUUUUAUUUUGGAAAAAGUGGAGAUAAUUGUGCAAAACUAUAAUAGUAUUCAGAUAGUACAGGUAGUAAAUUAUGCAACAAAAUCAGGUUACAGUUGUAAAAUGAAGAGUUAAUACUAUGUUUGACUAUUCAGGAAAUUGAGUCAACAGAAUUAAAAACACGAUAAAAAGAGAAAAACUUAAAAACAAGAACAGUUAAAAUAAUUUUUAACAUGUGAUGAUAAUGAUGAAGAAACUAAUAAAUGAACCCGAUAAGGAGAAGCGGAAGAACCAAAGAAGUAAAAAAUGUAAAAAGAAUAACAAUGCGUGCUUGCAUGUCAGAAGGUCCACAAAUGAAAGAUUUAUGUGUAUUUAACGCUCGAGUCACUAAGAAAGGCGUAAAAGAGGAUUCAGAAAUAGGAAAGAAAAUAAAGGUCCCUAGUUACGUUUACAACAGACAUUAAAUAAAAGCACAAACAAAUCUUUGUUAAAGAAAAUGUCAAUUGUCUAUUAGCAUAAGAUUGCCAUGAAAUGAGUGAACUCUCAACUCAACCAGAACCUUAAACUGAAAUCAGAGUAUGCCUUAAAAAGUGAAUUACAAUUCAAUGAACUAAUAUCAAAGCAUGUAUGGUCUCUCCAAUAAAGUCAAGGCUAUAUUGCGCUUAUAUGAAUCGUAUUUUCAAAAUAACAGGCUAAAAUUAUUCCCGAAAUAUGAGAAUAAGGUUUCUUAUUCAAUAAACAAUUUUACCUGUUCAACCACACCUAAAAUCAUAUAUUUGCAUCGCCACUCUUUGGUUUAGAUAAAAAUCCGAUUUUUUGUAGAAUUUGACAUAAAUUGAUGAAAUAUGUGGUUGAAAUUUUGAUAAGUUGUGGGUCACACUAUGCUCGUGGUUUAAAAUGAAUUUAAGGAAAAAUGAGUUUUAGAAAAUGAGACCAAAUAGGGGCUAAAACUCAAUAUUAUCAGAGAUAUAAGAAUUGCAGAAGCAAUAGAAGCAAGUUAGUGAUAAUGAGCUGACCGUACACUUGGCAUGUUUUAUAAGUCAAAUUGGACCAUACUCGACAAUAUUAACAAAGAAAAAGUAGCUAAAUAUAAUCUGUCCUGUUCAAUCCAGUCCCAUAGUGCAUUCAAAACAAGUCCGUAUAGGCUAAUAGCAACUAAUCUUCAAGAUUUAUUCAUAUGGGAGCUCAAUUUACUAUUUAAAAAAAAAUAAAAAUAAUAUAUAUAUAUAUAUAUAUAUAUAUAUAUAUAGCUGAUGAGCAUCUUUAGUUUGCUGCCGCCUUCGGAGGCGAGGCCGGCGUGCAUCUCAACCGUCAUGGCGUCAGCCACCUGCAGGAGCAUACCAGUUGGGGUGCCACACUUCUCUUCCAGCUCUCUCAAAAUGGCCUUCGCCUUGGUCCAUUUCCCGGAGCUCUUCAUCCGGUGUCUCGUCACCAGCACAGCUGCGGCACAUACCGCUGCCGUACACACCACCGCUGCCGCCGCCGCCACCUUCCCCAUCUCAGUACGAUGAACAACUCAAAACCCACUAUUCACUUACCCCACAAAAACAAUUCACUCUGUAUGUUUAUUUAUGUCAAAGAUUGAAGCUUUGAUUUGAUUUUUGAGUUAGAAGUAACCAUUCCACCCCAUGUGAGUAGAAAAUUAGAAAAAAAUACCAAUCUCACCCACCUCCCACGUGAGUGUUAUGUAAUGGUAAUGGUUCAGAACCAUUAUUCUAUAGAACAAGGAGUGUAAAAGUAAUUAGAAGAUGCAAAUGGAAAACAGCAACGAAAAUGGUGAAAGCUUACCGGGAUAAUUUUGAGAAUGGCCGGGAAAUUAUUCCACUUUCUCACAAUAGCCUAAUUUGUUAAAAGUACUACUUUACCCUUAUUAAGGUUAUUUAUGAGAUAUAUCCUUUAUCUUUUAAGGUCUUAUCAAUCAGGUCCUAUAUCUAUAUUUUUGAGCCUUUCAAACACCUUUAAAUAUUCUCUGUAUAUUGAAAGUUCUUCAAAAAUUAUAGGUUGUCCUUUUUUAGUUAUGUAUCCUUUAAAUAAGCCUUCUGAAAUUUCUUCUUGUAUAUUUCUAUGUCUAGUUAUAAUAUCUUCUACUUUUCGUAUUUCGUUAUGAGUUCUCACAGAAUCAAAUCCUAUAUUAUUCUUACAACUAUAAUCUAUAUCUCUAUAUAUUUCUUCAAUUUUUUCUUUACCAAUAGGAAAUAUAACAUCAGAUUUUACAUCUAGUUUAAGCAGAAAAGAAACAUCUUUUUCAUCUAAAAAUAAAAUAAGAUUAUUAUCAUCAUUAACAGUGGAAGUGGAUGCUUGUGAAUUGUUCAUUAAAGAUAAUUAAAACAUAAGAAUGUAAAGCAAGUAAGUAACUUACAGUAAUCAAAUGAAUAAAUAGGCUUUCCUUCCAGUAUGUUCUUAUAGAUGCUUUGCAUGUACUUAAUCAAUCUUCUGAAUCAAGUAAAGAUUUAAAAUAUUUUUGAAAUCAUUUGGGUCCACAACUGCUUCCGCAAAAGGCUUUUCAAUUAAGGUUGCAUUUCUCAUUCUAGAGAACUAGUCGUGUUUCCACAGACGCUAUUUCACAGUAUCCAGAGUCUCUGUUUUCACCUUUAUCCAAACUCUUUUCAGAAUCAAGUUCCUACUUGGAACGAAAUUUUAAAAGAUAACUCACACUCAAGGUGCUACAAUUUUUGUUAGAAAACUGCCCUUUUCCCCUAAACCAUUCAUCAAAAACGGGUACUUUAGCAUGGCUAACAUCCAUUCAAAAUCAAUGUUUUGAAAAUCUUUUAAAAUCUCUAUCUGUACUGCCGAGGAAUCAUGAGAAACUUAACGAAAUCCUUUUAUGAAAGCUUUGUUGAACAUAACAAACUUUACUUUGAUAUUCAUAAAUUGAAAUUGUACAUGCUUACAAACUAUAUUUACAUACCUUUGGUACUCACCUUAUGAAGUUUAAAACUCCAUAAGUGAUUACCUUAUUACACGCUUUCCUAUCUUCAAGCUAUCUAAUAUCUUUUUCUGAAUACAAGUGGUGUAUACAGAUUAUAAAGAAUUUUUCUCCAAUGUGUUUUCAGAGGAUAGAGAUAGAUUUUUCGAGAUAUCUUCCUUCUUCCUUCAUGCCUCCUUUUAUAGGAAAGUUUGGAACCUUAUCUUGGACAGGUGUCUUCCACUUUCUUUGUUAGGUAGGAAGGCAUCUUAUCUCCACCGAAUUCUUCAUUGUCUUCUUGCUAUGUGGACCUUUCUUUGAAAAUUAUGUGCCUUAUCUUUAGAGUUUGUCUGCCACUUAUGUCAAUUAGUGGAUAAGUGGUCAUAAUAAUGGAGACUUUCUUAUAUUAUUUCUUGUCUUUAGUAGCCACAGUUUUUCUUUAAUAAAUUUCUUUAUUAAAGUAGUGAUAAAGGGCUACUUCAAUCACUUCACUUCUCCAUUUUUGAAUCAAAGAAUUCUACAGGGAAUUCUUCAUCGUUAAGAGAUGCUUGGCUCAUAUCUUCAACAACACAGUAUUCACAGUGGUGAUCACUGUAAUUCCAAAGUAACUUGCAUAAUUCCUUAGCCAUAUCUUCUGAUCCAUGCACUUGGUUGGAUAUAAUUGCAGAUAAUAAAUGGUCAAGAUAACAAAGAUCUUCCUCUUUAGUGGUUAUCCUUGCACUGAAAUAUAUAAUAUGAUCUUCAGAAGGAUAAACCCAUAUUUUUUCUUUCUCAGUAAUUAUCUGAGUUACAUGUUCAAAUAUUUUUUUGUACCCUUUUGCUCUUCUAUAGGGCAUCAUAUUAAGAAUAUCUUGAUAUCCAUUUUUAACAACCUUUUGAUUGGUUGGUAAAAAAUGUUGAUUUGUAAGUCCCAAUUUUAUCACAUGGAACAAUGGAUGCAUAUAUUCAAGAGAAGGAUCCCAUUCCAUUGUUGCUGAAUAGAAUCUGAUAUAUAUAUUUGUUGUUUUAACAACUUCAGUAUAUCUCUUGAUAGCUUUCCUGAUGUUGGCUGGAAGUUGAGCUAUCUCUUUAAGAUCUUUGCUUGGAUAUAUACAAAGUAUAUUUCCUAUCUCAAAGCAAUUUCGAACCCAAUUGGCUGGUGCUCCUGGAUAGAAAUUUAUCUUGUUGUAUUUUGAAUAGUGGAGAGUCUUCAUCCACUUUCCAAUCUCCAAAUACCAAUCUGAUAGAAUGUUAAAAAUAACAAUAAACAAUGUUACUUCUUCAAAACUAUCUUUUCUCGGCGUUUUUGCUUCAUGGCAUAUUUUGACAAUAUCUUUAGGAUCUAUCCUUUCAAUAGAAAGUUUGGAUUGAGUUUGGCUCUGUGAAGAGCUACCUUCUCUUUUGAUAUUUGGAAUAUCUUCAUUACCAGUAAUAGGUUUGAGUAUUCCCUGUGAAGGGGUUCCUAUUACUUUCUUUUCUUUCCCUUUAUCCUCGGGAAGAGCGCUAGUAUUCACAAGUCCCUGCGAAGGGAUACUAGGCUUGGUACAAGUAUCUUCUACCUCAAGGGCUAUAUUUUUGCCUCGAAGAUUAUCUUGGAUAUUUUGAAUUUGAGCUUCCAAAUAGGAAACUUUUAUUUCAAGUAUCUGGACUUUCGUCCUUAGUUGUUCUAGCUCCAUCCAUGCUAAGAUAAUCAGGAAGAAAGUUAGUUUUACCUUUUAUGUAUUCAAUGUCAAAUUUGAAAUAUGAAAACCAAAUUUGUAUCCUAAUAAUAUAUCUAUUAUUAAUAGAUGGAUCGACAUUAUUCUUUAAAAAUGCUUUAACUUGAGUAUUAUCAGUUCUAAUUAAGAAUUUCUUUGGCAAUAAAUAAUCUUCAUAUUUCUGAACUCCUCUUUUUACAGCAAUGAGUUCUUUUCUGUUCGUCUCAUAUCUGGUUUCAACUUCUUUGAAUGUUCCCGAAGUAUAACCUGCAAGUAUUUCAGGACAAGAACAAUCUUUUUCACAUUUAUAUUCUUUAUGAUUCUUUUUAACUUUUAAAACUGCUCCCCAGUAAUAAUCUGAAGCAUCAGUUUCCAAGAUAAAAAAAUAAUCUUCUUGUGGUAUUACUAGUUUGGGCAAUACCUUCAAUUCUUCUUUAACUUUCCUUAUAUUUUCACAAUAUUUUUCUUCCUAAGACCACAUUAUAUUUUUUCUUAAUUUUGGAAGAAAAUAAUUUUUCAAUUUAGCACAAUUUUCAAUGAAUCCUUCAGCAUAAUUCAAUAUACCAAAGAAACUUUGUAAUUUUUUUUAUCUUUGAUUUCUUUAGGAAUUCUUGAAGUUUUUCACCAAUAUGAGAUUGCAACUGCAAUUCUCCUUCUUUUAUAAAUAAUCCUAAAAAUUCAAUUUCUGUUUUAGCUAUCUCAGCUUUCUUUUGAGAGAGUGUAAUACCAUGUUUUUUCAUGAUAUAACAAAAUUUUUCAAGAUGCUCUAUAUGUUCAUCAAUAUUAUUUGAAUGAAUAAGUAAAUCAUCUACAUAUGCAAUACAAAAAUGAGUAAUUGGUUUAAUUACCUCAUCCAUUCUUCUUUGGAAUAUCUGUGGUGCAUUUUUCAACCCAAAUGGCAUUACAUUCCAUUCGUAUUGUCCUAAAGGAUUGGGGGUACUAAAUGCAGUUAGUGGUCUACUUUCUUCUGUAAGCAUGAUUUGCCAAAACCCUGACUUACAUUCAAAUUUUGAAAAUAUCUUUUUGUUUUGUACUUGUUUAAUAAGGGUAUCCUUAUUUGGCAAAUAAUAUCCAUCAAACUUAGUUACUUCAUUUAAUUUUUUAUAAUUUAUCACCAUUCUGGCUUUUCCUCUUUUUAUCUCACUAUGUUUUCUAACCAUAAAGGCUGGACUGCUAUGUGGGCUUUUACUAGACCUAAUUAGUUUAGCUUCUAGCAAUUCUUUUAUCUGAUUUUUAAAUUCUUUUUGAUCAUCAACACUAUAUUUCAUAGGUUUAACUCUAACAAUAGUAUCUGGAUUGGUUAAUUCUAUUUUUGCCUUUACUUUAUCUAUAUUCCAUUUUUCUAAUGGAUUUUCAGAAUAUGUUUCAGAAAUUUCUUUUUUCAAUUUUUCAAUCCUAUUUUCUGUUGUCAUUUUUAAGACUGUAACUGGUUUAAAUUUUUCUGUACUCCAACAUCCACCACACUGGGUUGAAGAACUCUGAUGGUUUAUUUUUCUAUAUGCAAUUGUAACAGCCUUAUUUAUUUUUGGUGUAAAUAUCCUAUGUGCACAAGGUGUUGUGAACAUAUAUUUAUCAAUAUAUUGUGUAAAUGAUGCAUAUUUUAAUAGGAAAUUUUGUCCUAAUAAAAUAUCACAUCCAAUUGUGGUUGACAUAUAUAUUGUAUCAACAAAUACUUCUCUAAAGGAAAUUAGAAAAGGUACUUGAGUAGCAUACUUACUAUAUACUACCUUAUUUCCACCUACUGUUGUAGCAGUUACUAUCUUCUUCGAGUUGUAUUUUCAGCAUUCAGAUGGUAGUAAAUUUGGUAAACAUAGACUUAUUGUACUUCCUGUAUCUAAGUAAGCAUGGAAUUUAAUUCUACAAUAGCCUUUUACAUUAAGUAUAAUUUCAAUAUAUGAACUCAUGGGAUUAGUACUAAUUAUUCUUUCCAUGAUAACAAUGAUUUCAUAUUUUCACCUAUUCUUGGAAUGAUAAUUGGAUUAUCAUCAACUGUUAUCUUUAAAUAUCAUUGGCAGAUUUUAUAAGGACUAUAUUUUUCAAGAAAGUUCAUUCCUAGUAGAAUAGGUGAACGAUCUACUCCAUAUAANNNNNNNNNNNNNNNNNNNNNNNNNNNNNNNNNNNNNNNNNNNNNNNNNNNNNNNNNNNNNNNNNNNNNNNNNUAAUAUUGCGAACUUGAUGGUUCAGCAAUACUUAGAUUCUUAAGUCUGCUUAUCUUAGAGUCUUGUCUCGAGGAAAAUCUUGCUAUAAGAUUAUCUCCUUCUAAGCUGACACUAUUUCUUCUUAUUAAUUUUCCUUCAGAAUUAAUUUCUCUAGCUUGUUUAUGGAAAUCAAGCAUUAUUUGUUCUGGUAUAGUGACUUCAUAUUCUUGGUAUUUUCUAGGAGGUAUAUAUUGUGCUAACUCCUCAAAAUCUUUAUGUAUGAUAAUAUUAUCAGUUAUUUUUCUUAAAUUGUUAUGAUAGCUAGUACUAAAAGCAAAAAUUGAUUUUAUACUUAUACUAACAGCCUUACUUCUUCGUAACAUUUUCAAGUUACCAAUUCUAUAAUAUAGAUUGAAGCUUUGGUCAAUAUUUUCAUCACUUAAUGAUAUUGCAUAAUUUGGUUUUACUGUAAAUAUUAUCUUUUGAUAGACUAAGUUUCCUACAACUGUUCCUAAUAGAGCAUCUAUAGGAUCUUGUAAGAUUCUAUUAUCCAUACAGUAUAUUUCUAUUGGUAUAUUCAUACCUUCUCUAAAAAAUCCUUUUACCAUUAUUUGGAUUCCUCCUAACUCAAUACAUUUUAAUUUAUUUCUUACAUUUUCUGGGAUUUUGGAUAACUUUUGUUUUACCCAUUCUUUUGUAAUUAUAGGUAUUCUUGCUUUUCCUAUGGUAUCUUCUAUAUUGAUAGACAUUUCUUUAUAAUUCAUACUAACAAUUGUUUUAUUUACUCUUGGUAAAAUUCCUAAGAAUCCUUGAUGGAAUAUACCUUUUUCCUGUAGGUCAAGUAUCUUCUUAGUGAUUCCUGCGUAUUUUUUAAUAUCAAAGAUAAUUUCUUGAUUUAUACCUUCUAUAGUAUCUUCAACUUCUUCAAUUGUUUCUAUUUCUAUUUCUGAUUGUUGUAUUUCUUGAUUCAUAUAUACAAUUUCCUCAUAUUCUUCCUCUGAUGAGGAUGUAUCUAAUUCAUAAAUACUACUGCAUUCACUGUGUUAGAUCUUCAAAAUAUUCAAUUGGUUCUAUAUCACUAUCAUCUUGGAAUUUUUCAUAAAUUCUAAGAGUUUUUAUAUUUUGUCUAUCUUUUUUUUUUUAGGACAUUGAGGGGCAAUGUGUCCUUCUUCAUUACAAAUAAAACAUCUACAUUUUUUAAUGUAUCUUGGUUUAAAUUUCUUAUUCCAAUUUCUUUUCUUGAAAUAUUUUUUAUGUGGUUUAAAAUUCUUUUUACUGAAUUUUUUAUAAUUUUUGAAUUUUCUUUUAUAUUUCUUAUAUGGUUUAUACUUCUUUUUAUAGCAUCCAAAUUGUUCUACCUGGCCAUUAUCUUUGUAACAACAUAAUGAAUUUUUUCUUAUUUUAUAAGCUUUUUUAUUUUAUAGUGCUUCUCUACACCACAUACUUAUCAUUCUUUUUGUAAAUUCAAUUAUACUUCCAAGACUAUCUAUUUCAACUCCUUCCUCUUUUCCUAGAGGCAAUAAUUUCUCAUAUUCUUUUAGUAACUUAAUUCCCCAUGGGAAUGGUAACUUUGUAAAGUAAGAUCUUAAAAUAGGUUUAUUUUCUUGAUAAUCUCCUUGAUUAAGUAUAUAAUAUAAUUCUUCAAAUUUACAUGUAUAUCUUUCUAACUCACACAUAUCACAUAUCUUUAGAUUUUCCAUUGCAAUCAUCCCUUGAUUAUAUUCUUCUUGUGUUCUUUCUUCUUCAUUAGAAGUAUGUCUAUUUCCUAGAAAUUCUAUUCUUAAGAUUUUCUCAAAUCUUUUUAAUAUUUCCUGUAUAUUUUGUUCAUUUAGGGAAUUUCUAUUAUCUAAUACUCCAGUUCUAUUUGCUCCAUAUUUUACACCUCCUUUGAUAAUUUCUGGUAACUUUCUCCACCAUUCAGAGACAGUUCCUCUAAAUGUAUGUUCUAUAAAUCCAAAAGUCGUAUAUGUUUUCCAUUUAUUAAAUUGUAUAGCUAAGUCGGUACUUUUCAUCCAUAUUUCAAUAGCUUUAUUUUUAUCUACACAAUCUAAGUCUAACCAUACUCCUGUUGUGUGGAUUGGUUCAUUAUAAGAUUUCAUUGGAUUUAUUUCUUUUAUGGAUUGUUUUCUUACAUUUUCAGUGUAUCUUUUCUGGGUUUUUCUAUAUUGAUUAAUAUCAACCUUAUCAGAUAUUGGGGUACCAUAAGGAAAAUCUUGUUCUUCAUCACUACUGAAUUCUACUUUUAUAUCUUGACUUGAAGAUGGAUUAGUAUUCAUCUUUAUAUUUUCCAUUUUUUCAGUUAAUUCUUCUAACUGUUUUUUAUAUUCUUCAUACUCUUCACCUGUAGAUUCUAAAAAUUUUUGUUCUAUUUCUUCUACAUCUGUAAUCAUAUAUUGUUUUUCUUCAUGUUUUUUAUUUUUUUUCGUUCUAAAAUCUUGGGGUGGAUUAAUUAUAAUCCUAUCUUUUCCUCUAAGAUUAUUAUCUAAUAAUGCAUUUCCUACUUGUAGAUUAUAUUCUAGAUUUUCUAAUUUUUUAUGUAUAUCCUCAAAAUUUUCAUUUGUAGUAUUUUUAGGUAAAUAGGGAUAACUAGGUUUUUUUUUGUUUUUUAACCUUUUCCAGAAAUUUUUCAAUUAUAUUUUCUUCAUCUACUAUAUUUAUCAUAAUUUUUGGUUCGUAACAUGGCUCUGAUACCAUUUCUUCGGAGUGUGCAGCGGAGGGGUUAAUAUUUUUGAGCCAAUUAAAUUCUUCAUAAGUAUUUAAAAUAUCACAAUAGAAUUUAUAAAAUUCACUAUUUUUUACCAAUAUUUUUUCUUGAAUAAUUAUGUUUAAUUCUUUAAUUCUCCUUCUUAAGUUAAGAAUUAAUUUAUAUAUAUCUUUUUCCAUUUUGAUUGCUUCAUCAUCUAUGGAAUCAUUUUUAUUUUUUAGUUUUGGGUCUAAAUAUUCUAUAAAGAAGUCUUUUAGAUCUUCUUCCAAAUAGGUUAAUUCAUUUUCUGUAGCGUUUUUUAGGUCAAUAAAAUUUUGUAUAAUAUUUGAAUCUAAAUUUAUUAAAGAAUUUUGAUCUAUAUUUCUUUGGGGACUUAUUUGAAGAUUUUUAUACAUUAUAGUGGCUUUGGUUGCAAUUUCUCUAUAAGGGGUAUUUUAGGAAAUAUAAUUUUUUAAAGGUUAUUUUGGAAAUGUUUUUAUUUCUUAGUCUAAUUUGGAAAAUCCUCCUUUUAUUUAGACUAUUUUGAUGUAUUUUCCAAGCUUACCGGAUAUGUUUGGGUGGAAGAUUUUUGUGUAACUAAGCCCUUGGAUCCAUUAUUCCAAAAAAUUAUUUUUCUCUUAUUUUUUUCUAUUUUUCAAUCACACAAUAUAUUAUACGUAAAUAAAAAAAAUUUACAUCUUUUUCAAUCACCCAUUUUUUAAAAAAUAUUAUUUCAAAAAUUAUAAUUACCAUAUAGGAGCCAAACGAGGCUAAAAAAUGUGAAAGAAAAAGAUCUGGAUGAAGUAGAAAGCUUCUUUGAUUUAUUUAUUUAUUUGAGGAAAACUGCUACGUAGUCUCACUCAUUACAACCUUAAUUUAGGUGGUAUUAGUGUGCAAUUAAAUGAUAGGUGGAAUUAUAAUAUCACAUUUCAUUCAACCUAUCAUCUAACGUCACUUAGAUUGGAGUUUGUAAUUCUAGUAGAGUUAAAUAGCAUUACUUUUAUUUGAGAGAAUGUAUAGUAGAAAAUAAGUUUGGAGAUUUUAUUUUUAUUUGUUUAUUUAUUUAUUUUUGGAAUAAUAGAGCUCAAACAAUUGCUAAAAUAUCUAUUGUCUGGAAAUGAGUUUAGGGACUAAACCAUGUUUGGUGGAAAUUAAAAUUUAUAUUUAAUGUAAGUCAAAUUAAAUAAUUAAAUCUUAUCACAUAUUUUAUAAGAUUCAUAACUUUUCAACCACAUAUUUUAUUAAAUUUUAUCAAAAUCUGAUAAAAAAUUUAUUCUAAUCCCCACCAAAUAGGAGCAAUAAAUGAAUAAUAUUAUCUAGUGCAUGUAGUGUUGAGCAUCAUUCUAGGAAUCAGCAUAUCAUAAGUCAUAUUAAAUUGAUUAUAAUUAUUUAUAUUUAAUUGAAUUUAUUAUUUAAUGUCAUAGUGUUGUCAUUCAAAUUGGUAUUAAAUAUUUAUAAAAUAGAUGGAUAAUCCCCAGCAUAUAAGACCAAGUUCAUCGGUUUGAGCAUGUGAUCACGUGACACAAUUUUUCCAAUGGCUCAUCCAUAUCUGAAUUUGGAUCUACCCACACACAAAAGGAUUUGGACUGGAAAUGUCAAACUAAAUAAUAGCAAUUUCUUGAAAAAUAAUGAAACCCAUGACCUUGAAGGUGUCUAGGCUAUAUACACCAAUUUCGUUCCCUCAUUCUACCUCAAAGUCAAUUUGAGAAGAAAAUAAUGAGUAUUGUUCGUGAACAGUAUGGGGUGCAAAGUUUUCUAAAAAUACAUCAAGAUUAUGUCAAUUUCAAGAUUAAUUUAUGUUAUUGCACAUAUUUAAUUACAAUAUACAUUCAAAUGUUGAAUUGAAGUCAACAUUUCAAUCCAUGAUAUUACUCAUCGCAAUUUGGUAUACAUUGUACAACCUGUGAUUAAAUAUACAUAUAAUCUCAUAAAUAAAAUUUUGUUGAUAUCUAAAAAUGAUGUGAUAAAUUUAGAUCAACUUAAUAGAAUUUUGUCGAGUGAUUGCCAAAAUUGAAUUAGGAUAUAGAGCAUUUGUAUUACAUAAAGCUUUUCAAAGGGUGUUGUUUGCUAAAAGUCUUAGGUUGCCUAAAAGGGGACCUUUUGCCCUUAUUUAUAUGCUGGAAGAUCAUGUCACUUGCUUGUUCAGUGUCAUUUCUGCUAUAGCAUCGUCCUAGAAAUGUGUGCCAUCGACAAAAUCCUUUUUUCUUAUUUGGAAUUCAGGGUUGACCAUUCAAUUCAUCAUGAUGCCUAGGCCAUAAGUAUGGCAUCAGGCAAUGAUGACCUAAUAUUGGGUAAUCAUGAGUUACUUAUAACUGAUUGAAAAUUAGGUGCUGACAUCAUAUCCGCUAUGUGUCAUUCUGGGAGUGGUUGGUGUUUAGAUGCAGACGUUACAAUGACAAUGAUUAUGAAUCAUGAUGUUUUUGCUAAUUACGGUGGCCUUGUCUGAGUUGAUCUCAAUAAUAUGGUGUUUGUAUGCAAACUUUUAAUCCAAACUCUACUUAAUGGAGUGUGAGGUUGGACUCCAACAAUAUAAAAAAUGAAAUCUUGCCUUUGUUCAGCCCUAAUUUUACAAAACUCAUCUUUUUUCGAAUUCAUUUUUAAUGUCAAAUUUUAUAAUAUCCACAUUUUUUAUCAACUUUUUAACUACACAUUUCAUCGAUUUUUAUCAAAAUCUAUAAAAAUUUGAUUUUUAGCCAAACUAAACGAGGACUUAAAAUUUUAUACUAUUUUGUUCAAUAUCGUAGGAAUGAGGCUAAUAUACAUAUAUUGAGAGCAUAAAUUUAAAUUCUGAAAUUCCCUCCUCAAGUGUGGGUACCUAAAGAUUUCAUCCACAUUUCUCCUGUGGCAUUAUCAAACGUAAGUCACACUCAACUUUAGGCUAGCAAAAAUGGAGCCAUUUCUCAUCAAUCAUUUAGUCUAGCAUUAUUAUUCCCAUAUCUAAAUUGGCUACAACAUUUACAUGUGACAUGACCAGCUCCAAAACAAAAUUUCAGUGUAAAUUAGGUACUUCUUUCCAUUUUUCUGAACUAGUGGUGCUAACGUUUAAAUGGAAUGAUGUUUUAUAUCUGCACAUGCAAUGCACAAAUAAAGUAAAGGGACAAGGUCAAAGAGUUCAACUGAAAUCGAAACGGAGAUUGCAAAUAGUUUUAUAUACUUGGAAGCUUGUCGAUAGACAAGCUUUUUUUUGUCAUGCUUUGGAGUUUUUGCACUCCUUCAAUUAGAGUACAAAUUUCACCGGACCAUAGAGCCAAAAGCACGAUCAUAAAUUUCUAAAAUGUUAUGCAACAAGAAACUCAAUCAACCCAAGGCUGGUCACCAAUUACAUCUCGAUUUCUUUGAGAUGUACUUUUUCGAGUAUAUAUAGACUUCUGUACUGGUUUAAGAUUUUUCAGAUCAAACUAGCCAAUUUCUAAAAACUUUGCUUCUAGCACAAUGUAUGAAGUCUUAGUAAUUAUAAACCACAAAACAAGGACAGGACAAAAUCGAUUCGUUUAUUUACAAGGCUCUGCUAACAUAUCAAGUAAUGUAUGGAGAAAAAAGGAACUUCUGCUGACUAAUCGUAAGCCUAGGACUAGGUCCAAUUGGAAAAAUUACAACAACGAUACUUCAAGAAGACAAUUACAAUCAUAUAGACAAGUUCAAUCAGAUAAAGACUUUUCUAUUCAACGGUUCUUAAAAAUAAGAUUACCAAAAAUCUAUUCACCAAGGUCUGUAAGAGUAGGAAUCAUGGGAACAAGAUAAUUCCCAUAUGGCAAAUCAAAGAUUAUAAAGUUGCAAGUGUAACCAUCUUGUUGUACCUUGGCUAGUGCAGAAUUCCUCGUCUAUUGAAUCGUGAUGUUGAUGGUGCUAGUUUGAGCCUUAGAAACCUCCACAUUCGUCACAAGCAAGAUAUGUUACAAGUGAUACAAAAAUAAAUGUGAUAAUAAGCAUAACCAAAAACUAAUGAAACUUGGAUAUGGAAAAGGGACAUGUUGGUCCCAAAACAUAUUUGAACAAUAUAAAACAACAAAAUAUUUGCAGAAAUGAAAAAUAGCAAAAAGUAAAAGUAAAAACACAAAGACCUUUCACAACUAAUGGGUUCGAAUGUUCAUGUGCUCUAAACGCUACACAACCAUCGGACAUCUACAAGUAGAUAUUGCUCCAAAUCACUAAAAUUAGCUAAGAAUCAGUUUGUACAAAUGUAUGAGAUUUCUUCAAAUAUUUCUCUCGCCUCACAAAGAUAAGCUUACGAGUUAAAUCUCCACUUCAAACUUAAAUUAUACACUCAGUACAUCAAGAAAAUUCACUCAUGAUUAUAUGCGAUUGAAUAAUGGAAUGAGAGAAAAUAAAGGAUGAAAAUCCUCACAAAACGGCUCUCACACAAAUUGUGUGAAGAAAAUGGCCAAGUGCGUCUUUUAUAUUCCACUACAAAACCAUGGAUCCAACGUCCAAUAUUCAAACAAGUGUAAGGCCAAAUUGUAGCAAAACACCAGCUAAACUUAUUUAAGAAAAGUAACUUGGUACCAAGAUCAGAUGGAUUAAACUCAGUUGGACCUUUUUUCUACCACGUCACUUACAAAAUGAAAUUUUAUAUCAACAUGCUUAGUUCUAUCAUGAUACACAUGAAUCUUAUUAAAGAGAAUUGCACUUUGGUUAUCAAUAUAUAAUCUAAUAACUUCAACUAUAAAACCAAUUUCUUUUAAUAAUCCUCCUUUCUUGAUAGCAUCACAUGCUGCAAUAUAUUCUGCCUUAGUUGAAGAUAGAGCCACAAACUUUUGCAGUUAAAAUUUCCAACUAAUAAGCCCAUCACAGAGUGUGAAAAUAUAAGAAGUAGAUCAUCUUUUCUCUAAGUCAGCUGGAAAAUCAGUGUCUGUGUAUCCCUUCAAAAUUAUACAUUUAUUACACCUUUUAAAAUUUUAGCCCUAAGUCAGAUAAACAUUUUAAAUAUUUCAGCAUCUAUUUUAUACAGGGCAGUGUGUUCACCUGGUUUUACCAUAAAUCUGAUCAAAAUACUUAUGUCAUUAGCCAAAUCAGGUCUAAUACAUACAAUUAAAUGCAUAAUAGAUCAAAUAGUUUUAGCAUAAUAUAUUUGAUUCAUACUUUAAAAUUCUUCAUCUGUUUUAGAAGAUUGUUUACAUGACAAUUUAAAGGUAGUAUAAUAGGAUUGUACUUAAACAUAAAUUUUUUUUCACGUGCUUUAUUCACAUAUAAGCACCGAUUCACAUGAAGAGUGUAAUUAAUUCUAUUUCUUUUAAUUUUAAUACCCAAAAUUCUCUUUGAUUGGUCUAGAUCUUUUAUUUUAAAUUCAGAUUUUAAUUUUGAUUUGAUUAUAUCUAUGUUAGUUUUAUCAUAGCAAGCAAGAAACAUAUCAUCAAAAUUUAAUAGAAGAUAAACAAAUAUUGACCCCCACAAACUUUAUAACAAAUCCUAGAGUUCGAACAUGUAAGUUUAAUUUCUUAUACCAUUGCCUAUGGACUUGUUUUAAAUUAUAGAGGAAUUUUUUUUCAACAAACAAAGCUUCUCAUAUUUAGAAUUAAUUUCAAAAUCUUUAGGCUGACUCAUAUUUAUAACUUCAUCUAGAUCGCCAUUUAGGAAAGAAAUUUUAACAUCAAGCUGAUCCAACUUUUAGUCAAAAUGAGCAGUUAAAGUAAGCAAAAUUCUGAUUGAAGUAUAUUUUGCAACAAGACACAUUUUUAAAAAUAAAAAAUUAUAAUCAAUAUCCUACCUUUGUGUAUACCCUUUAGCUACUAACCUGACUUUAUAUUUCUUAUCUUUAAUACUGGACUCAGCUUCUUUAAUUUUAUGAACUCACUUACUAUCAACUAUUUUCUGAUUAUUAGGCUUGUUAACAAGAAUUCAUGUUUUAUUUUUAAUCAAAGAGUUUAUUUCAUCUUUUAUAGUUUUUUCCCCAAAAAACAGAUUCUUUACACAGUUAACAAAUUCUUCAAAAGUAGUAGAUUCAAAAUUGAAAAAGUCUAAAGUAGAGAAAAUGGUCACAAAAUCAUCGCUGCCAAUUAUAGUAGAGGGAAUUCUAUUCCUUUUACUUCUAUCUCAAGUAAACUGAUAAUUAGUUAUAGUAGGAUUUUGGGGUUGGUUUUCAUUUUCAAUAUCAUUCUGAACCUAAUCUAUUUCAAAUUGAGAAGUCUAUACCUCAAUCUGAUCAUCAAACUCAAUAGGAUUGGUGUUUUGAUAUUCCAAAACUAUUUCUUUAACUAACGAAUUUUCAUCAAAUUUCAAUUUAGAAGAAACAACAAAGGGUAUGUCAUUUUCAUUAAAAAUGACAUAUCUACCUAUAAUGACCUUGAAACCAUUUUACUCUCCAAUCCAAAGUCUAUAACCUUCAGUUUCUUUCCUAUAGCCCAGAAAAAUAUACUUUAAGAACCUAGACUCAAGUUUACCUUCACUUUGAUGAAAAUAAGCUACAUAGCCAAACAGCUUAAGUCUAGAAUAAUCGGAAAACUUACCAAACCACAUUUGUUCUUGUACUUGAAAGUUAAUGGUACUAGAAAGAAUUCUAUUGUUUGAAUAUCUAGCAAUUUAUAAAGCUUCUCCCUAGAAUAGUCUAGGGAGACUAGAACUUAAUAGUAUACAUUUGAAGGGUAUACGUUAUAGUUCCUCGUUAAAAUUUCAGAUUCUUCGAAAAAAGUCAAAUUCAAAAUUAUAGUAUUCAAAACCAUUAUUAGUUCUAAGUGCUUUAACUUUCUAACUAGUUUGAUUUUUAAUCAUCAAUUUCUAUUGCUUAAAGUUUUGAAAAGUAUCAAAUUUAGGCUUUAAUAGAAAAGUUCAUAUUGUUUUUGAAAAAUCAUCUAAUACAAGUAAAUCAAGCUUGAAGCCACUGAGAGCAUUUUCAAAUGCUGAACCAUAAUAUCAACACAUAAAUAAUCAAGAACAGAACAAGAAUAAUGAAAUCUAAUUUUGAAAGGAAAUUUGUUUUGCUUUCCAAUAACACAUUCUUUUCAAAACAUAAGUUUUUCGAUGUUAUCAUUUCCAAAACAUCCAAGUUUAUUAAGUAUUAUCAGUCACUUUUCACUAAUGUGGCCAAAUCUUUUAUGUCAAUUAAAGACUUGUUAGAAUGGAAAUUUGCAGGUGCAAAGCUAUUUACAGCCAAUGUUUUAGCUUGCAGAGUGUUAAUUCCAUUCACUUUGGAAGUAGAUAUAACUUCCUUAACAUUCAUGUUUAUUUGGUAAGAUCUUUAUGAAUUCUUAUAUCGUAUUCAUCAUCUAAUUCACCUAAGGAAAUCAGAUUGCUCUACAGGUCAGACACCUACCUAGUUUAUCCACUCAAGAAUAUGAUCAUUUUUCUGUAAGAGAUUAAGUUUUUCAAUUCUUUUUAUUUGACAACUCAUUUCCUAUCUGAACUUGUCCACCAUUUAAGUCAACAAAUUUAUUAAACUAUUCUUUUAUGAGACACAUGUGAAAGGUACAAUCAAGGUCAAGAACCCAUUCAAUUGUGUUUCUUUUUGGUUGCAGUAACAAGGACCACUUCUUCUAUUUUAGAGUCAUUAUUACAUGCAAUAGCCGCUGAACAAUCAGAGUUGGAUUUCUCUUUCAGUUCAGAAGCUUUCUUGAAACAAGUUCUUAUGAAAUGACCGAUUUUUUCACAAUAGUAGCUUUUCUUGAUCUUAUUCUUAAUUUUUCCUUCGUUCUUGUUAUUGUCUUUGAACUUAUCAUUUUGAAUUUUUCCUUUCUUAUAAAAGUUGUAAUUGCUAAAAUUGUUACUCUUAUUUUUGUUCAAUCUUUCUUUUACAUUCAAUCCCUCACCAUUCCUAGCAUCUUUGAAAUCAGAUUUUAAUUCAAGUUCUUUAUUUCUUAGAGUUGAGGUUAUAAUGUUAAAAGUCAAUUUUUUCAAUACUCUAAAGCGUUUUUAAUUUCCCUAUACAUGUCACCUAAGAAAUUCAACAGUGCUACAACUUGCUGAUCAUCGAACAAUUUCUCAUCACAGAUUGCUAAAUCCUAAAUCAAUUUUGUAAACUUUUCAAUAUUUUCUUUUAGGCUAGAGGAAGAAUCAAGCCUAAAGUUAUAUAGUUAUUUCAAAAGAUAGUAUUUAUUAGACACUGUCUUAGUUGGAUAAAGUAUUUAAACUUUUUUAUAGUUACUCAGCUAACGUAGUUUUCCCAACUUUCCUUAUCACAUUACUAGAAGGAUGAAUGGAAACUGAGCUCCAUGCUAUCCCAUCUAAUUCUAAUCCCCUAUAUGCACUAAUCAGUUUCCCAAACCCUAUCAAGAGCUCUAGUAUAUCUCUUAUUAUAACAAGGCUCUCAUUUUCUGGUGUCAGAGACUAAAAUCUCCACUAAAAUCAUGUUAACAAUUAAAGUCUCAAAAUCACACACACGCACACAAUAUCACAAUUAGGCAAUAUGAAAUAUUCACUGUAUAUGUAAAAUUUCAACUAAGGAAUUACAGUACAGUACUAUUUAUUUAUCAUAAAAUGUACAAAAACUAUAAACUAGAUUAUACAAUAUGACUUCGUAGAAAAUAGAAUUAUAUAAUCACAACUAAGGAUGAUAAAAAAUGUAGUUUAUCAAAUUGAAUUCUUAAUAUAAUCCGCUGCUCCCUCAAAUCCCCAAAUUCUCAUAGGAGAUCUUGGACAAAGGUAAAUAGUGACAAGUCUAUUAUCUUAAUAGCCACAAUAAAAUGAGACAGUGUGCAAUUUGUAAAAUAGAAUUUAAUUAAGGUUUGUAGAAAACUACCACAAUCGAAAACAUUAAUUUUCCGAACAAAGCUGAUGAGUAAAGAAUACCAAAAUUGAACCAGGGUCUCCAAAUAGAGUGAAAGAACUCAACGAUUCAAGAUGAAUCAGUAGAACUCAGGAAUGAGUUAAGAAAUCAGUAGGAACCGGAGCGAGUUAACUCAACUCAAUAGAAACUAGAACGAGUUACACAAAACCCACCAUAACUCAGUAGUGAGUUACCAAGAAUCUCCAAAAAUUAGUGUAAGUUACCAUGAAUCACCAGAAAUCAGUGUAAAGUGUACAAGAAUUUUUUAGGUCAAAAAUGUGUUGCAAGAUUUUUUUAAAAGAAGUUUUAAGAAACCUCAAGAAACUUACAGAGCUCAAGAUCUUUACGGAUCUAAAUCAUAAAACAUAGUCUUUUAGAGAUCCAACCAGAAGUUCAGUCAAAGGUAGAUCAACCAGAUUUCUUUUAGAAGACAUUUUUUUUUUUAACAAUACUUUGAGAUUAAAUGAUUUUUCAGAAAAUGCAAACACUUUGAAGAAUACUUAGCAUCUGUUUGAGUUUGAGCCCCAUUUUUCACAAAAAGAAAUUUGUAAUAGUAAAUUUUUGAAGAACGUGAUUAAAAAAUGGGAAAUUUUUUUUGAUUUACAUACAAAUUAUUUCAUUGAAAAAAUAUGUGGUUGAAAAAUGAGCUUGGGAAAAAAAAAUAAUAUUUUGAAUAAUGGAGCUCAAACAGGGGAUAUGGUUUUUGAAAAAUCACUGAAUCUCUUUCUUGAAAAAUUAGAUUUGAUAUUACUUGCUAGUCCCAAAACGUAUUUGAACAAAAUCAAACAACAAAAUAUUUAUAGAAAUGAAAAAUCAUGGAAACUAAAAGUAAGAAUACAAAGACUUUUACCCACUACCAAGUCCGAAUAUUCAUGAGCUCCAAACAUUACUUACCCAUUGCGUAUCUACAAGUAGAUAUUGGUCAAAAUCACUAAAAUCAGUCAAGAAUUAGUUUGUUCAAAUGUAUGAAAAAAUCAAAGAUUUCUUCAAGUAUUUCUCUCGCCCCACAAAGAUAAGUUUAUCACAGCAAACCUUUACUUCAAACUCAGAUUAUACACCUAGCCACUAUUUGGCAUGGAUUAAAUUUUUGAUCUAAGUAGAAAUAAAUAAUUAAUUUUAAUUACACAUUUCAUAUGAUCCAUGACUUUUUAGUUAUACAUGUCAUCAAUUUUUAUCUAAACCUACUAAAAAUCCAAUUUUAAUUCCCAUCAAAUGGGGGUUUAAUACAUCAACAGAAUCCAUUCUAAAUUACAAGAUAUUGAAGAAUAGAAUGAGAGAAAAAAGAGAGACAAAAACCCUUGCGAGCAGCUCACAUAAUGUGAAAAUGGCCAAGUGUGCCAUUUAUACACCGCCACAUAACCAACAUCUAAUAUUCACCACGUGUAAGGCUAGAUUGUACCAAAAAACAAGCCAAAAGUCACAUUAUAAAAAAUGCACCUUUAUAAAAUAACGGUUAAAGGUUCGAGUCCGAGUCAAAGUAAAAAAUGUGAGGCAAAUUCAAACAAGGACACAUGACAUGGACAUACCAUGCGAAUUAAAGUGAUGAAUUUAUAUUUCCCACCUCUAUGUUUAUAUCUUUUAGCUUUCAUUUUGAAUUUUGCAUGUAAAAAUCUUCACCUAAAACAUAUUUCACAUAAAGUUUUAGAAUUUUCACAUAUUAUUAUUGCUUGUUACACACAUUAUAAUAGUUAAUCUUCGCUAAAUUUAUACUUCCAACUAUACAAAGUGGGGCUUGUUGUGUCCUUCACAUGUCGAGGACAUGUUUGUUGCACAUCAGACAUUGAAACGAUACAAAAAAAUAAGGCAAGGUAAAUCUCAUUGCGCUUACAUGCCCAAGAGAAGUAGAUGAAGUAUCAAGUGCAAUAUGUUAAAAAAAAAAUUAAAAAUAUAUAAAAGAGGACAAUGAGUAGCACAUUCUAAGGAGUUUCAAUGUCCGAUUUGUGUCGAACAGUGAUACUCUAUCCUAAGAAUGUCCAUGCUUUACAGGUCAAAUAAAAUGUGUACCCAUGGUCUAUUAACUGGUGUUGACAUUACAUCCCUCUUCUUUGAUGGUGAGUUAAUCGGCGUGCAAUGAAAAUAUAUCACUGGUGUUAGUAUCUCCACCAUUAUCAGAUUCAUAAAGCAUUAGUAAAUUAGAAAAAUGGGCUAAAACUUUUUUAGUACUCCCUCCAUCCCAUAAAAAUAGCCAUAUUUUUCUUUUUCGCCUGUACCAAAAUACAGCAUUAUUUCUUAUUUGAGAGUAUAGUUAGUAUAUUAGUUUCCUAAUAUAUAUGUGCUUUGUUAUCACAAAUAUAAUUUAAUUACCAUCAAUAUUUAUUGCAUUAAUGUAUAAAUAUAUUAGGAAAAAUGAUAGUAAAAUUUAUUGUUUCAACUAUAUUAACUAAAUUUUCUUAAUUUGUGUGAAAAAAGAAAUAGAACUAUCUUUAUGGGACGAAGGGAAUAUGAUACUCUGUAGUUUUUGAAUUUAGUUGCUACUCAAAAUAACUCUUUAAUCUUUAUAAAAUUAGAGCUGAAAUGUUGCGAGCAUUGAUUUAAGAAAAAAAGAGACCCCUUCAUUUUUUUCGUGUGUGCACGCACAUGCAGUGGCAGAUUUAGGAAUUUGAGUGAGUUAGGAUGAACCCAGAUUUGUUUACAUCCAUGGCAAAGAGAUUCAACAUUGCUAACAACAUAGUAAACAUACUAUAAGGGUUAAAAGCAGUUGACCAGUUCAUAUUGCUUUUCCAAGAUGACACAAUCCAAAAUCAAAUACACACAUUUUAAUUAAUCACUUAGUAAUUCAGAGAAUGACCACCAUCACUUGAGAAAUCAAAUACACCCACAUUUGUUUUAGACAUUCUAACGUGAGACUAUGAAGCUUCUACCUUAGAAUGGAAACAUUUAAACAUUAUUCUUAAUCCUUAUAUAUCUUUCAUAAACUGGUAAUUGAGAUAGGGACAUGUUAGCCUUACCCUCACAAUUAUAUGAAGAAAAGGGAAGAUUAUUAAAGUUAUAAAUACAGAUGUAAUACUUCCAUUAAACAUAUAAGGAUUCCUCUAAUGUCCGUCGCGAAGUCUACUUGUAACCAAAUUUUCGUAAUUUUUCAUUUUUUAAACAAAAAAAGCUUGCUGCAAAUUGUCCUCAACUUCGCUUCCUAUUUAGUUCCAUUGUUAAAAAAGAAUAAUAUUUUUCCAAUAAAAAAAAUAAUUUUUUUAAUAGUCAAAUAGACGAUGUUAAAACAAGAACAAAAUAUUGUAAUUUGAUGUAUAGGUUGCAAUUUUCCCUAGAAAAAAAGGUUCGAAUAUCUUUCAUUUCAAAGACACGUCGCUCCAGAAAGUAUUUUGCCAACUUUUUCUUUUCAAAAAGGCUCCUGCCUCCAGUUUUCGGAUUGGUUAAGAAAAAAUAAAGCCCAUUUUAUCAAUUCACAUAAUCAUAUUCUAUAUGCAAGUGGGGUCCACUUUACAGUAGGCUAUUAAAGCAAUAAAUUAAUAAAAAGGCAAUGCGUCUAUAUCUGCAUGUAGACUCUAAAUAAAGCUGUAAAUCACAUCAUUCACACAUAUUUAUUGAUCAAUUAUUCAAUAUAUCCUAUUCUCAAUGUUGAUUCUCGACUCGAAUAUCAGAACAAAAUCUUCUUGAUUUCAUUGAACAAAUACGUACCAACUCAUUUACCCGACUAUUAGAAAAACACCCUUUUGAGCACUUUAAAAUGUGCAUCAAAAAGUGCAUCGAAAAAAAUUCAGAAUAUCGACUAUUGAAUCAUAUGGUUCGUACCAUCUAUCAUAUGUAUAACCAUGUUUAGAAAUUUUCGUGAUCAUCAUAGAUAAAUUAUUUGGUUUAAUCCAGUACAUAUCACUCUGUAACCACUGACAGCAAAUUUAACGAUUACCGGGUUGCAUUUUACUUUAUUUCCUAACAUUUGCAUGAAAAUUUUCCAAACUAGAAAAAGAACCUUUUUAUGAGCAGAUGUAAAAGUUUCUUUAUAUGAAACUUUAACCCUUUUAAUAGAGAGAGCUGCAUGUAUAAAAUAUAGAGAUGUACGUUUAAUGAAACUCCAUUUCCCUUUCUGAAAAUCAGCCAAAUGGGAAGAGCAACAAGGUGGUUGAAGAGCCUUUUUUGGAUGAAGAAAGACAGGGAUAAGAAACAAAACUCAAAAUAUUCCGGCCAUUCGACAAUAGGGUUGUGCAAUAAAUCAACCACCAUACCGCCCAAUAUUACACAUUCUGAGGUUGAAUGGCUGAGAUCUUUACACAGAGUGACUGAAAAAGAGCAAAACAAGCAUGAAAUUGAAGUGGCUGCCGCCACAGCCGCGGUCGCAGACACAGCCAUGGCCGUCGCCCAGGCGGCAGUUGCUGUCGUGAGGUUUACUGCCAGUCAGGGUAAAAGCAGCCGUGAAAUACGAGCUGCUAUCAAGAUUCAAACUGUGUUUCGAGGAUACCUAGUAAGUAGUUAAUUUGAUAUCAGUGUGUAGAUGACAUGAUUUAAAUAAAUACAUCAUUCUGUCUGUUUUAGCGAAAUGAAUUUGCUUGUAGAUACGAAAAACAGGCAAGAAAAGCGCUAAGGGCAUUGCGAGGAUUGGUGAGACUACAAGCACUAGUGAGAGGCUAUUUUGUGCGUAAGCGGGCCGCGGCCACCUUUCAUUGCAUGCGGGCUCUUAUAAGAGCACAAACAAAUGUCUUGGCCCGAAAGACUCAUCAAUUCAACACUCAACUCAAUGCUCGAAAAUCCGUGGUCAGUCCAUGAAUUUCAAAUUCAUCACAACUAAAACUUAUAAUCUUGAUUGAGAAAUUUGAGAACAAUUAUAUAAAGUGUAAUCUUUCCUCUAGCAGGAUAAGUUUGUUAGUACAGGAAAUGAGCACAAAAUGUCAAUCCACAGCAGAAGGUUUUCUGCCUCAUAUGAAAGCCCGAAAAUUGUGGGGGUUGAUACAGGGCGGACUAGAUCAAGAUCCAGAAGAACUAACACAUGGAUGCCGGGUUCCAACGACGACUUAUUGGGCCAAUCAAUGUCAUCUCCACUUCCGGACAGAUUCCCAAUAAGCCGAUUGAUGCCGGACUCGAGGAAUAUCCGGGGCGUAACUGGAAUCGAAUGCCAAGGUUUUUUCACAACACAAGUCCGGGCUACUCCAAGGUUUGCCAAUUCUGGUGGGUGUGAUGGAUCAAUUACCCCUGCAAGAAGUUUUUGUGUAGAGAGCUAUUUCAGGAACACUGUAAACUACCAAAAUUAUGUGGCUAAUACACACUCAUUCGAAGCUAAGUUGAGAUCCCAAAGUGCCCCAAAGCAAAGGCCCGACCCCAGCCCUAAAAGGGGACUGUCCCACAAAGAAAUUAAGGAAUCAAGAAACAGUCUUGAUGGUGUCAGAAUGCGGAGGUCCAAAGAAGCCCCAAAAAUGCCAUCAAUUUCUACAAAGUUUUGAUGGGAAAUUUUGGUAUAAUUUCAUUUAGAUUAUAUUACAUGAAAAAGAAAAAGAAAAAAAUUCUUAAACCGGGCAUUUCGCUUAAUUCUGUAAUAAUUAUUUUAGCUGAUACGAUCUACUGAUCUUGUAUUUGUUUGAACUUUAUUCAUUUAUUUUUGUAUGAAGUGUGGCAUGUCUAAGCCUAAAAAAAAUAAUAUUCAAAAUCCAACCCAGUUUGUGUAAGUUCUACGAUUUAUUUUUAUUUUUUUGACAGCAGACUAUGGAAUGAAAUAUUGAGCUGAGCUCACUCUGCAUUUAAAGGUCGUCAACAAUUCUUUUUAUUCACAUGUUUAGCUCUAGCAAGUACGGCUAUUCAAAAUAUAAACGAUUCAAAUCUUUUAACACUAUAGUGGAACCAAACUAUCAUGAGCUCCUUUUUUGAGUUGACAGCUAGAAAAUGAUUAGUAAAGAAGUAUUCUUACGAUGAUAAACUCAUAGAAGAGUGAUAUGUUUAAUAUAUCUUUAUUGACCAAUUUGAUAUGCAUAUACACAACUAAAACUAAACUACUUCCCUUCGAAUGAUGAAUCCCUUAAUUCUUAAUUUAAGAAUUAAAGUGGGGUGUGCAGUGGGGUUAUUGCGGCGCGAGCUUAGCAUGUUCUAGCUUCUCUAUUGUCUUGUUGAUCAACCAAGCUAGCUUCAUUCAGUCGGGACCUAAAAGAUCGAAUGGAACAAUACAUAGACAAGUAAAUCCCUUAUGAAUUCCUGGAAAUUAGGAGGCGUUGAAAACAAAGAAAUUGUUGGAGUUCUCAUUUCUAUCUAGUCCCAACACGCUUGAUGUUAAGAAAAGAUCUCUUGCAGGAAGGUUCGGGUAUCUAGUAAAUGGAACCGUCGGGUCCAAAUAUAAUUGUGGAACCGUUCGGGUUCGGUUCUGUACUAUAAUUAAAUUUUUUAACAUUUAUAACAACAUUAUAUAAAUACAACUAAUGAUACAUUCAAUGAUUUUGGAAUGACAGAGAUUAGUAAACUACCUUGUUCAAAUGAUCGUUAUGAUCAAAGUUUCGGUUGGCGAAUGUCACAGCUUCGAUCGGAGGUCACAGUGUCGACCAAUAAUUGUAUAGGUUUUGGAAUAUUAGCGAGGCUGCGAGAGUCGAGACAACGUUAUGCACUUUGAUGUUGGUGUUUAGGGUUAUUUAGUGGAUUUGAUCUUGCUUGGCUAAGAAAUGAAACAAUAAAAUGGGUAAUUGGGCAAAAAAUUAAAAAAAUUAGAAAUGAAACAAAUUAUUGGGCCAAAAAUUUGGAUUUAGAAAUCGUUAAUUUGUUAAUUUGUUUAGAAAAAAUUAAAAUAAUUUGAUUUACUCAAUAUAAAAAAAAUAAAAUUAGAAAGAUUCGGUUCUUAUUCGGUUCUUCGGUUCUAGGUCUAGAACCGAGAACCGAACCGUACCCGUCGGUUCUCAAUUCAGAUACCCGUUUGGGUAUUUAAUUUGACAAGAACCGUCGGGUUCGGUUAGGUUCGGUUCGGUCGGUUCGGUUCGGGAGAUUUGCCCAGUCCUAAUUGUGGUAAAGAAAUGUUAAUAUAAAGGAAAGAAUAUAAUAUCUUAAUCAAUUAAGCCAAUCAAUAUAUAAUCAAAUACUUCUUAUGCUAGUUUAGAAAAAGGAACAUCAAAUACUUCUUUAGGUUUUUAUUGGGACUUUAGUUUGAUCAUGUAAAUUAACCUUGACUGCACAAUUCAAGCUCGCUCACUAGUCACCAUAAAGAUCAAGAAAUAAUAAGAAAAGAAUAUCAUUAGAAAGAAGGAUUUUGAGUGGAUCGAUAACCACAAUAAAUAAGGUGUAAAUUUAAGACUCGAAGGGUCGGCCCAUGCUCUGCAAAAAAAUCUAUCCAUAUGGAACAAAAAAAAAAAAAAAAAACUUCGGGAGAAAGAGCCGAGGACCUAGAUUAGUUCAUGUUUUUCUCAUGAUGACUUCCUCCUUCUGUAUUUUGAACAAGUAUUUUUCAUUUUUCACGAUCAUGUAUGGCUGAUGUCUCGAUCAUGACAAACUCAAAUAGCUCAACAUUAAGAUGAUUCAAUAACUUAACGUUUGGGAUACAUAUUAAACAGGUCAAUGCCUAAGAUGUAUUAAUAUCUCGACGCCUAAAAAUGACUUAAUAGCUCAAUGCCUAGAUUAAAUAUCUCGAUGCCUAGGGUGAAUUGACAACUCGACGCCUAGAUUAAAUAUCUGGACGCCUAGGGUGAUUUGACAACUUGACGCCUAGAUUAAUUAAAUAUCUCGACGCCUAGAUGAAGUUUUAGCCUUGACGUAUGUAUUAGUUAUCUCGAGGACUCAAUUUGAAAAAUCAUUUAUGAACAUUGUGUUGAUCCCAAGCAUCUAUGCAAGUGAUAUAUCUCGAGGACUCAAUUUGAAAAAUCAUUUAUGAACAUUAAGUGUUGAUCCCGAGCAUGUAUGCAAGUUAUCUCGAGGACUCAAUUUGAAAAAUCAUUUAUGAACAUUGUGUUGAUCCCGAGCAUGUAUGCAAGUGAUAUAAUUGUAUCGACCUAUAGCGUGAUUCCUGAGGACAAUAAUGGCCUUUUUAUAAGAUCUCUCACACCAUUGAUUGGGCACUAGUGACCGGGAAUGUUAUUUGACGUGCUUACGCGGGGCAAGGCUUUCUGUUUGCUUGCGAAGGGCAAGGCUUUUUUAUUGUUUGCGCGGGGCAAGGCUUUUUGUUUACUUACGAGGGGCAAGGCUUUUUGAUUGCUUGCGUGGGGCAAGACUUUUUGAUUGCUUGCACUAGGCAAGGCUUUUUGUUUACUUGCGCGGGGUAAGGCUUUUUUGAUUGCUUGCGCGGGGCAAGACUUUUUGUAGCUAGAUCAUAUUUUAACGAAUAGCUUAAUUCUUAUUAUACUUUUUAAAAAUAGACUUGCCACGCAGGCCUGACUACCGAAAACGUGAUCCUUGGCACGCAGGCCUAACUAUCGAAAAAUGAAACUUGGCACGCAGGCCUGAGAAUUGAAAACGUGAACCUUGACGCGCAGGCCUGAGAACAUUGUGUUGAUCCUUGGCACGCAAGCCUGACUGCCAAAAAAUGAAACUUGGCACGCAGGCCUGAGAAUUGAAAACGUGAACUUUGACGCGCAGGCCUGACUACCGAUAACUGGAAGACCAAGUUACUUGUAAUAUAUCUUUAAAUUCUCGGCGUUCCAUGGUCUUGGAAGCGGCCUUCCUGACGUAUCCCUUAAACUGUAUGCGCCUCCUUGGAGUUGUCGUAUGAUUUCGAAGGGCCCUUCCCAAACUGGUCCUAGCUUACCCGGGGCAUGACCUGCUGUUUCGACCUUUCUUAACACAAGGUCUCCUGCUCUGAAUCUCCGCGUCCUCACUUUCUUAUUGAAGUACUUUGCUAUUUUAUCUUGGUAGGAGGCCAUUUUUAAAGUUGCCGGAUCACAAACUUCUUCCAAGAGGUCGAGGUGUUCAGUGGUGCGCCCUGCUUCUUCGGGCUCGAGCCUCCUUUGGCUGGGCAACCUUACUUCAAUAGGAACGAUGGCCUCAAUACCAAAAGCCAACAUGAAGGGGGUUUCCCCUGUAGCAGUUCUGUGUGACAUUCUAUACGUCCAAAGUAUAGAAGGCAACUCAUCAGACCAGGAAUCUCUUGCAUCGCCGAUCCUUGUACAGAGGUCUUGCAAUAUAAUCCGAUUGGUCACUUCGACAAGACCAUUACUUUGAGGAUGGAAAAUCGACAUCAAACGGUGAUCAACCCCUAGGUCGGUACAAAAGUUUUUAAAUUGUGCCUUGUCAAACUACCUGCCAUUAUCAGUUAUGAGGACUUUCGGUAUCCCGAACUUGCAUAUGAUGGAUCUCCAAAUGAAACUUCUUAACUUCGGCUCUGAAAUUGUUGCUAAAGGCUCGACCUCUACCCACUUAGUGAAAUACUCUACAGCCACAGCCACAGCCACAAACUUCAAUUUUCCCCUACUUAUUGGAAAGGGACCAAGGAUGUCAAUUCCCCACUGCUUAAAUGGGGCUGUGCAACUAAUGCUAUUGAGGUCUUCUGCGGGAGGGUGGAUGACAUUGCCAAAUCUUUGGCACUUGUUGCACUUCUUGACAUAUUCCUUGGCGUCUUUCUUCAUGGUUGGCCAAUAAUAUCCAUACCUUAUGAGCUUGAAGGCUAAUGCCCAAGCUCCUUGAUGGUUCCCACAUACACCUUCAUGAACUUCUUCUAGGGCCUGGGAUGAUUCGAAAGGCCUAAGGCAUCUGAGUUAUGGAAGUGUGAGGCUUCCGCGAAAUAAAACACCUUCAAUCAUGCAAUACCUCGGAGCUUUGGACUGGAUGCUUCUCGCUGCCCGAGGAUCUUCUGGAAGGCGGCCAUGUUUUAUGAAGUCCACUAUUGGGUCCAUCCAUGAUGGCUCAUUAUCAAUAUCCAUAACGCCUAUGGUCUGAUUGAUGCUUGGCUCGGUUACAAUUCUGACGUGGACUGUCCUGUCAAGCCCAUCUAUUUCCAUAAACACCAAUCUUGACAAGGCAUCGGCCCUACAAUUCUCAGCCCGAGAAUUUUUUACAAUUUCAUAACUCUUGAACUUUCUGUAGAGAGCAUGCACUUUCAAGCAGUAUAAGCUCAUCUUCUCAUCCUUUCUAUUGAACGUCCCUUUGAUUUGUUCAACCACCAACUGGGAAUCACUAUAAAUUUUGAUAAUUUCAAGCUCGAGAUUUAUGGCGAGUUCCAUGGCUAUGAUGACGGCCUCAUACUCUGCUUCAUUAUUGGUCGCCUCAAAUUCGAACCUUAGUGCACACUGAAUGUUUAUGAGCAUGUUCGGGCUUAUGAUUAUGACUCCUGCGCCCAAGCCCGAGGAGUUUGAUGCUCCAUCUACGAAAAUUUCCCACAUAGAUAUGCUCGAGCUCGAGCUACUAUCUGGCCCCCAAGGCCUUGGGGUGAGUUCUGCAAUGAAGUCAGCUAUGGCCUGAGCUUUGAUAGAUGGUCGGGGCUUGAACUCUAUGUCAAAUUCUUUGAGUUCAAUUUCCCACCUCAGUAAUCUUCCUGAGACGUCUGGUUUCUGAAGAAUAUUUUUUAGAGGCUGAUUGGUGAGCACAACAAUAGGAUGUGAUUGAAAAUAUUGCCGAAGCUUUCAUGCUAUUACUAUCAGUGCAAGGGCAAGUCGUUAUGCUAAAGUAUAUCUUGUUUCUGCAUCAAGUAGGACUUUGCUUACGUAAUAAAUGGGUUGCUGGCCCCUGUUAACCUCUUUCACCAAGACACCACUCACUGCAUUCUGAGAUACGGCUAAGUACAAAUACAGAGUUUCUCCGGGCUCGGGUUUGGUGAGGAUAGGGGGAGAUUCCAAUAUCUGUUUGGGCUCCUGAAAAGUUUUCUCACACUCCUCAUUCCAUUCAAAGCAAUGAUUACCCCUGAGGGCUUUGAAGAAGGAGAAGCACAUGUCCGCUGCUCGGGACAUGAACCUAUUUAAGGCGGCUACCCUGCCUGUCAACUUUUGAACCUCUUUCUUGGUCCUUGGUGAUUCUAUUGCUGCCAAAGCCUAAAUUUUGUUGGGGUUAGCCUCAAUGCCUCGAUGAGUGAUCAUGAAACCUAGAAACUUUCCUGAAGCUACGCCAAAUACACACUUCUCUGGGUUGAGCUUCAUCUUAUAUUUUCGUAGGGUGGCGAACACCUCCUCAAGGUCGAAUAUAUGUUCCUUCACCUUCUUACUUUUUACAACCAUGUCAUCAACAUAGGCCUCGAUGUUCUUCCCUAUCAAAUCGACGAAGACUUUGUUGAUGAGCCUCUGAUAUGUUGCCCCAGCAUUUUUCAAUCUAAAUGGCAUUACCCUAUAGCAAUAUAUGGCUGAAUCAGCCAUGAAUGAGGUUUUCUCUUGGUCUUCUUUGGCCAUGAGGAUUUGAUGAUAUCCUGAGAAUGCGUCUAAGAAGCUGUACAGCUUAUGUCCGGAUGUGCUAUCCACAAGAUUAUCGAUCCUAGGUAGCGGGUAGCUUUCCUUCGAGCAUGCCUUAUUCAGAUCUGUGAAGUCAAUGCAGACCCUCCACUUACCGCUGGGCUUUUUCACCAGAACAACAUUAGCGAGCCAAUCGGGGUAUUGGACUUCCUUUAUGAACCCCGCUCCCAACAAUUUGCCGACUUCUUCCUGAAUGACCACAAGUCUUUCCGGCGCAAACUGUCUCUUCCUUUGCUUAACAGGUUUGGCCCCUGGGCUGAUAUUAAGUUUAUGGACAGCUACUUCUGGGUCUAUCCCUGGCAUAUCCCCCACCUUCCAUGCAAAAACAUCAAUGUUGCGGGACAGACAACUGAUGACCUCCUCCCGGAGGUUGGCCUUCAUAUCCCGACCAAUAGUAAUGGCUUUUCCAUGGUCGACCUCGACCACUUCCAAUUCCUCAACGGGGGCCAAUCUAUCCCUUGGCUCGAGCUCGAGCUCGAGCUCUAUGAGUUGCAUGACAUCAGCACUCAUGCCUCGGAUGCUUGUAACAUAGCACUGUCUAGCCACCGUUUGGUCUCCUCGAACUACUCCGAUGCCAUGACCUGUGGGGAACUUCAUGGCGAGGUGGAAAGUUGACAUAAUAGCCUGGAUCUUAUUCAGUAGGGGUCUUCCCAGAAUGAUGUUGUAGACCAUUAGGGUGUUAACCACUUGGAAUGGUGUGAUCUCCGUUACUUGUGUACUACAAGCUCCUAAUGUAAGCGGGAGCUCGACGAUGCCUUCAGGGAUAAUGAUUCCACACCAAAUCCUUGUAGGUGGGUUUUUACUACUUUGAGCUAUUUGGGAGAGAUUCCCAUUUUGGUGAAAGCCUCCUGCGACAAUAUGUUCGCAACACUCCCAUUAUCAACCAGAAUCCUCCUUACUUCGAAGUUAGCCACAGCCGCAGAAACGACCAAGGCAUCGUCAUGAGGUUAUGAUAUCCCUUCCAAAUCUCUUGUGCCAAAAGUGAUGUCUCUAACUUCAUCACGGAUUCUCUUGGGGUAUGAGCAUAUUGGCGGGCAUACUGCUUUCGCCCACUACUUGUGUCUCCGUCGAACUCUAUACCCCCGACGAUAAUAUUAAUGGUUCCAGCAGUGGGUUAGCACUGCUUCCAGCCCCAGGCUCUUUUCGAUUGUCACGGUCAUUCCUUGGCCGUUUAUCAUGACCAAUGUAAUUCUUUAAAAAUCUUCUUUUGAUAAGGCCUUCAAUUUCUUGCUGUAAAGCAUGACAAUCCUUUGUAGUAUGUCCAUGAUCCCGGUGAAAUUCGCAAUACUUGCUCCUAUCUCUUGUGUCAGGGGGUGACUUCAUCCUUGAAGGCCACUUUAAUUCUUUCAUAUCCUUAACCUCCAUCAAAAUGUUUGCCUUAGAGGUGUUCAACCGAGUAAGAGGUGCUGAUGGUGCCUCGUUCCUGCGCUUAUCCCGGGGAAACUCAUGUCGGGAAAUGGGAUCAUGUUUCCUUUUGUUCUCGGUCUUUUCAUGGAAAGGAUUAGGUCUCCUUGGAUUUAGUGUUUCGUCCAUAUUAAUGUAUUUUUCAGCUCGAGUGAGGAGCUCGAUCACUAUCUGCGGCGGGGUCUUUGAUAAAGACAUCUUGAAAGCUUCACAUCUUACUGCGUAAGUGAGGACGGAGACAGCUGCUGUGAUGUGGAGGUCGAGUAUUUGAAGCCUUUCCUUGUUGAACCUUGUCAUAAAUCCUCGCAGGGUUUCGGUUGGUCCCUGGCGAAGUUGCAUGAGAGAGGCCGCGAUCUUCCUGAUUCGCUUGCUACUUGCAAAGAAGGCUGAGAACUUAUCAGCCAAAUCUGAGAAUGAGGCUAUGGAGUUGGGCUCCAAUGUCAAGAACCAAUCCCUAGCAGCAUUAGUCAGCGUUUGUGGAAAGGCUUUGCACAUAACCUGAUCCGGUGCAACUUGUAAGUUCAUGACAUCAGUGUAUACAUUGAGAUGGUUGAUGGGGUCGGUCGUCCCAUCAUACUCUUUAAUGCGAGGAUAUUUGAAUCUGUCAGGCAAGGGAUAUGUCAAUAUCUCUGGCGUGAAUGGAGUGUUAGGGAUGAAGCCUGUUGCCCCCGAGCAUUACGUUGCAGGCCAGCUGUAAUUCCUUCUUGAAUGAUUCGGGCAAUUUCACCGGAAUCCAUGGCGACCGAUCUCGAGCCCGAGGCCAUAUUAUGAAUACCCGAGGUUCUAACUCCGCCAUUUGCUAGGUUUGGUGGUCUUGCUUGAGCAUCGGCCAUAAAACCGCCAUGCUCCACAUGUGCUGGCGACGGAUGUGAAUUUCUUUGACUUAACAGUUGCGUGAGCAUGGCCACCUGCUGACGCAACUCUUCAAAGGCUUCGAUUGUAAUGACUACUGGCGGAGGUAUGGGCACUCCCGAGGAUUCUUCAUGAGGAGCCGGUUGAUCUUCGGCAGGAUGAGGGAUGGGAGCGGAUGAGCUUGCAGGAGGAAGACCUGAUCGCGUAUUAACCAUGGCUUUUGGUAGAGUUUCCCACAGACGGCGCCAAUGAGGCUACCAAAAAUCGUACCUGCAGAUUUCCAAAAAUAUAUGCACAGGUUAAAAAAAAAGGGGGGGUCCCUUGUCAAGGUAUUCUAGAAUUGAAAUCUCAAUCAGAUCAAUCAAGUACCACUAAAACCACAAGAACAAGCACACGUCGACCGAAUGAGGCCUCCUUGUCUGCUCCAAGUAAUUUCCCAAUGCAUUCGGCUCGAGCAAAUCAGAUAAACUCAUUUUUUAUCUGUUUCUUUGUGUCAUUCAAUGUAUAUGGCUUUACAGUUUCUCACAAGAAGUUAAAUUUCUGUUUUGAUUUCACAUUAUUCCCUUAUACAAAUAUUGGGUAUUCCUUUGAAUUUUAUUAUUUUCCUGACUGAAAUUUUUGAUAGCCAUGAAAUCUCAGUGGCGUCAAUUAUUGAUGUAUCCUCCUUUUUUUCGAUAGGAUAUGAAUUAAAGUCGUAUACAAGCAAAAUGUUAAAGCAAAUGCUGGCAUGUUGCAAGGUGUACAUAUCUGAAAGCCGAAAUAGGGCUGCAUUGGAGUCAAUUGAAAGGGCAGCCAAGCUUUUUCCAGAGGCUCCAAUUGUCAACAAAUUUGAAGACGAAACUUAUAAUAGAGUUGGGUACACCCUUGUGUCCAAAUUGGUUCCAUGUUGUACCCUCAAGAGUGUCGUUCUUGAAAUGGUGAAAGCUGCUUUUGAAUCCAUUGACCUUGAAAUGCACAUUGGGACUCAUCCUAGGCUUGGUGUUGUGGACCACAUUUGUUUCCAUCCCUUGGUUGGUGCUUCUUUGGAUGAUGUUGCAGGGACUGCAAAAUCUCUGGCUGCUGAUGUUGGCUCAAGGCUUCAAGGUUUGUUCUCUUGAAACUGAGAUUUUGAAGUUUUACUCAGUUGGACUAAUUUCAUUUAAUGUGUUAAGAUUAUAUUAUUGUUCGUUUUUCAUGAGGUGUCAAGAGGAAUCUAUAAUGAGUUCUACAGAAGUUGAACAUGAAGAUGUGAUGUGCAUGGAAAAUUAAUUCGGGAAUUUCGUUGGCUGUUAACUACUUGUAUUGAGCAUCCAUAAAAAACACGGCUUUAUGCAUACUAGGGUGACCUUAUUAUCGACCCUGUAGCACCUAAAUUGAAGGUUACUCCUCUUUCUUUUCAAACCAAUUUGUCCACAACUUUAUCCCUCCUGGUUUGAUGAGAUCAAUUUAUCAGGAUCAUGUACCUUUCAUGAUAAGUAUAUUAUGGCAUUGUUUCCAAUAAAGCUUCGGAAUAAGAGAUCUUUACUUGGUUCUUUGAUCAUUUGCUCAAGUGCUUGUAUGUAUGUGCUUGUAUUUGAGGCGGUGGGGAUUUGAGUUCUGGAACUUGUUUUGCAAUGAAGUGACUUGUAAUAUCAGAAUAGGCAUAUCCUUUUUCAAUUGUUAAACAUUCAUAUCCCUGAGGAUUAAGCGAAACACAAUAUUAUCCUCUCUCUCUAUCGGAUUUGUUAAUGAUUUUAAACAUAGCUUGUGCAUAGAAAUUAAUUUGGGAAUUUCAUUUGGCUGUGAUUAAAAUGAGUUCCAAGAAAUUGUCCAAAUGGUCUUCUUCCAUCAUUUUUGCUUUACUGCAGAAGAGGAAUCUGAAUCACUAAUUCAAUUGGUUUUUCAGAUAUGGUAAUUUGGAGAGUUCUUCGUAACCUAUGGCCCAAGCUUUUCUCAAGUUGGGCCACGGGCCGCCAGAACCGACGAGCCAAAUUUACAUCCCUAUACAAGGGUGUUUUUGGAUUUUCCCUAAAAUCUUGUACAGAUAUAUAUAUAUAUAUAUACAUAUACAUAAAUAUAUAAUAUAAUAUAAUAAAAUAAAAUAAAAAUAUAGCCACCUCGCUCUUGCGGACGUAUGUCCAUUGCCAAUUAUGAAUUAAAGUUCCUAUUUAUACUAGAAAUAUAAAACCUAAUUUUAAAAGGAAUGAAAUACUAGGAAAUAAUUUAAAAACGUACUAAAUCUCCUAAAUUAUGGAAAUUACCAAAGAGAAUAGAAUCCUAGAUAAAAUAGAAGAUCUCGCGAAUAUGGAAAAAUUCUAUCUGGGAAAACAGUGGUGCGACCGCAUGGGCAAAACUGGUAAGGUCGCAUGGUUCUGCCGGAUGCUGCUCCAUUAGGCUCGGACCCCUUUUGUGCGGCUACAUGGCUGGGAAGCUGUGCGAACAUGUUUUGCCUCCUUUUUUUUCAGUUGUUCAACCAACUCAUUCUAAAUCUUUUCGGCUCCUAAUCCCAACUUCAAUCUUGAACUUUGGCUCGUUGACUUCAUCAAUUUCUCAAAAUUUCUACCCACCCCCUCUCUUUUUGAAAGGAUUCGACCUCGAAUCUGAACCCUUAUUGCCCAGAAUAUAACCCUUGUCCCCAAUCAACUUAAGCACGUGACAUGGUCCGUCACCUCGAGGAUGAAACUUAGACCUCCUUUGAACCCGAAUCCAUCUCUUGCAUAUGUAAAUCCAAACUCCUAGACAUAGAUCAAAGUGUACUUGCCUUGGCUUCUUCUUGCAAGUAUAUGAUCAUCCAAGAAUAAUUUCAGCUGAUAGAUCACAAUGCAUGUUCCUUGAUUUAUUCGGCCUAGGCAAUUGUAGUAAUGACACUUCAAAUGGCUUCAUUUUUCCCUUCAGAUCAAUGUCUUCAUUCAACCCCUUGCAUAUGAGCUCUUGGCAAAUAAAUUCCUUCCAUUGCUUUUGAAAUUCCUUCGUCUCCUCAAGGAUAACAAAAUCAAUUUCUGGCAAAUAAGAUAUCUCCAAAGAAAGAUGUUGCUGAAUGUUAUCCACCAAUUGAUGCUUAAUACUCGUCUUGUGAAGGAUUCCAAUUGCAUUAAUUUUUGGAAUCGAAUCUUCGUUGACAUGCAAAAUAGAAUUAGCUAAAAUAGGGAGGGAAAUGUUAGUUUUCUCCAUCACCCCUCAACUUCACACUCCUGUUCAUUUAAGCUUACUUCCAAUACUUCUUUUAUCUCCGAAGACUCUUCCUCCUUCUCAUCUUGUAACUCCAAUUCCAUUCUAGUCUCUCGACUUUCUUUUCACUUUCUCAUGGCUCUUCUUCCUUUCUCUCACAACUAACCACCUCAAUAUUUUCUCUCCUUUGCACUUUCAUGUGAUUGAUUGGUGAUUUAACCUUGUCACAAAGCCCUGAUGAUUCUAAUUUGAAUUCCCAACUCGCCAACUCACUUGAUGUACUACGCACAUGCUUCGUCGAUCACGUCAAUCACUCCUAUAAGACCUCAUGGAAAUCUCCCUAAAUUCCCGCUCAUGUCGAUCACUCCUAUAAUAAUAAUUAGGUGCAUAACGUCUCCUCAUAAUUGUCCUCAACUCAUCCCACUUCUCAAUCGGCCUCUCACCAUACCUUCGUCUAGAUGUUUUCAACUUAUCCCACCAAAUUAAAGUAUAAUCCACGAAUGAGCCAACUCCUAACUUCAACUCUUUCUCCUUGGAAUAAUUAUAGCAUCCAAACAUUAAUUCUACAUUUUCCUUCCAUGCCAUGUAUGCCUCGGGAUCUUUCCUACCCUUAAAUUGUGGAAGUGAUAAUUUGCUAUUUCCCAUAUUCUUUCCAACUCCAUACCCAACAUAAUUUCUAUCACAUUCUCCAAGCCUAUCGCCUCUAUUUUUCAUUCCUCGAAAAUCAACAUCAAUGCCACCACCAUCAUCAUAUGCGUUACGAAUUUCAAUCCUACGCUCCCAACUAUCCCGCUUUCGCACAUUAGACAUUUCAUCACAUUGAUCCCCAUGAAUAUUUUUCAGUUUCAUGUCAACCUCGUCUAACUUAUUCCCCAUGUUCUCAAACAUCCUUUCAAACCUCUUCAUCAUCUUUUUCGACAUGUUGUAUGAAUUUGACAUUUUUUUGACUUCUUUUUUUUGACACUUUUUUUACUCAAAUUUUUUUAACAGUAUCGUACGUAGGGGUGGGCACGGGUCGGUUCGGUUCGGUUCUAAAGAGAACCAAACCGAACCAAAAUUUUCGGGUAUCUAAUAGAUGGAACCGUCGGGUCCGAAUAUAAUUAUGGAACCGUUCGGGUUUGGUUCAGUUCGGUUCGAUUCGGUUCGAUUUGGUUCCCUUCAGUUCUGUACUAUAAUUAAAUUUUUUAACAUUUAUAACAACAUUAUAUAAAUACAACUAAUGAUACAUUCAAUGGUUUUGGAAUGUUAGAGACUAGUAGACUAACUUGUUCAAAUGAUCGCUACGGUCAAAGCUUCGGUCGACGGAGGUCACAACGUCGACCGACGAUUGUAUAGGUUUUGGAAUGUUAGCGUGGCUAUGAGAGCCAAGACAACGUUUUGCACUUUAGUAUAGGUGUUUAAGGUUAUUUAGUGGAUUGGAUUGUGUUGAGCUAAGAAAUGAAACAAUAAACUGGGUAAUUGGGCCAAAAAUUAAAAAAUUAAAAACGAAACAAAUUAGUGGGCCAAAAUUUGGAUUUAGAAAUUGUUAAUUUGUUUAGAAAAAAUUAAAAUUAAAAUAAUUUAAUUUACUCAAUAUAAAAAAAAUAGAAAGAUUCGGUUCUUAUUCGGUUCUUUAGUUCUUGGUCUAGAAUCGAGAACCUAACUGUACCCAUCGGUUCUCAAUUCAGAUACCCGUUUGGGUAUUUAAUUUGACAAGAACCAUUGGGUUCUGUUAGGGAGAUUUGCCCAGCCCUAACUGUAUGGAUGAAUAGUAUCGUACGGUGAACAGUAAAAAAAAAUUUUCAACUUUUUUUUUGACUCACUGGAUAGAAAAUCCAAUUACAAAUCCGGCAAAACAAACAGAAGUUGGUUUAAAUACCAAAUCAGCCCAAAAACAACUUUUGAAAUUUUAACAGGAUUUAAACGGAUCAAAGACUCAACAAAAUUGACUGAUCGAAAGAACACGAAAAACAAUAAGGAAAAAAGUAACAACUGACUCAACAAAAAUUAAAAAAAGGGAUAUAACCUUGAUCUUGGUGCCUUAAGCUUUGAUACCAAAUAAUGUGAACCCAAUCAGUAAGGUUACAAUCGAACCCAAAGGAUAUUGAAUCGGAUCCCAAGAAUGCCCAAAUAUGACCAAGGUUUAGGAUAUAAUCCCUAAAUGUUGAACCAACAACCAAAGGUAUAUUAAACGAACGACCUCUUGAUCACAAAGUCUUGAAAUUACACCCGAAUUGUGGAUUUGAAACAAUAAAAGAUGAACCAAAAAACCCAACGAUAACGAUGACGCGAAAGACCCCUUGAUUACACAAUUCAAUGAUUCAACCUGAUGUUUUGAACGCCACAAGAUGAUUAGUCUUGAUAAGUUGCCCCAUUCAAUUUAAUGAACAAGAUAAAUUUGAAGCAAAGCUUCAAGAAGAAUUUUAUUAAUUCAACAUAUGAUAAGUCUUGUACAAUAAUGAAUUAAAGUUCCUAUUUAUACUAGAAAUAUAAAACCUAAUUUUAAAAGGAAUUAAAUACUAGGAAAUAAUUUAAAAAUGUACUAAAUCUCCUAAAAUAUGGAAAUUACCAAAGAGAAUAGAAUCCUAGAUAAAAUAGAAGAUCUUGCGAAUAUGGAAAAAUUCUAUCUCGAAAAACCGUGGUGCGAUCGCAUGGGCAAAACUGGUGCGAUCGCAUGGUUCUACCGGAUGCUGCUCCAUUAGGCUCGAACCCCUUCUAUGCAGCCGCAUGGCUAGGAAGGUUGCACAACUUCAUGUUUUGCCUCCGUUUUUUUCAGUUGUUCAACCAAGUUGUUCCAAAUCUUUUUGGCUCCUGAUCCCAACUUCAAUCUUGAACUUUGGCUCGUUGACUUCAUCAAUUUCUCAAAAUUUCUACCCCCCCUUGGAUCACAUCAGAUUAUCUACUAUACAAAUAUUUUGACAAGGGAAACUUCAGACUCUUUGCUACCUGUCAACCAUUUUGAAAACACCACAUAGCAUAUUAACGAAAAGCAAAUGAACAUGGUGCUUCUAACAACUGCCUACAAGAAAAUUACCUUUAAAGCCAUGUCCUAGGAGACUGCUGAUCUGUACCGAAUUGCUCCUUCCAAUGGGUAGCUACCUCAUUUGCUGAUGAAUUUAGCACUACAUAGACUAGAUAAUUGCAGGAGAACAUCAGACAUUAGUCCACUAUCCCAACCAUUGGCUCCUAGUCCAUCAAUUUGUGGCACUUCAUCACCGGAUGAAUAUUCUGCAACAGAAGAGAUACACAGAAAUAUUGCUAACAACCUUUAUAAUGGGAAAGUUCAUGGCCCUUUCAUGAGUAAUUCUUGUUCUUUACUUUCCUUCUUCUCUAUCGAUUUUUCAGAGCUCCUGAGUAGCAUAACUAGUAGAAAAUAUAAUCAAAUUACUUUCAUACUUUUUGAUGCAUAUUAGCUCCCGUUUGGCCCCCAUUUUGUGAAAAUGAAAAUGGGUGGAAUAGUGUUUAUUUUUUUUAUUUUUAAAAUGAGUGGUUGAAAAAGAAGAAAAAGUCUUUGAUUUACGUGUAACCUGUGAUGCUUGGACUAUUCAUUUCAGUCGGAGUACUAGUGUCGACACGACAUGACACGACACGACACGGGUACCGGUACGAAAUACGUGUCAGAUUCUUCCAAUUUCAAUUGGAGUCGGCAAGAAAUCCUAAGAAAAAUUGAAGAUUUACCUUAUUGGCUGGAGAUGGAAGAUGUGUGUAAAGAAAUAGCAGGUUAGCGCAGGCGAUCUUUCGUCCAAAAUAAAUCUCCGGGCUGUCUUCUGAUGGAACCCUAAAAUCGUGAAGGAGAAGAAGGAAGAGGGGGACUCGUCUGGGAGACAGGGAUGAAAGAAGAUACUUGGGUUUAAUUGGAGUUGGUCUAUUUUUAUUGGGGCUAAUAAUAUGGAGGUGGAUUGGAUUAAUAAUAUGGACGUGGAUGGAUUUAAGAGGAAAUGUCACCACACACUUCUUAUUUGAAAGUAAUUCUAUUUUUACAUUUCAGUUCAUUUUUCUCCAAAAAUACUGCAAAUUGGUCUAGUAUAUUUGGAAUUUGGGAAAUAUCUUUAUUUACGUAUAUAAAAUGUAUGGGCCUAAUUUAUGUGCAAGAAAUCCGCUCCAUUUUACGCUCCAGUACCCUACCCGCCCCAACUAACGUACCCUUCCAGAUCUUGUGUCAUCUUCCUAGUACAUAAUGCAAGAAAAUCCAAAAAAAUCAAAACCUUUGUUUUCUUCCCCAAAUCGCAACCACAAAAUCGUUAAAUCAGCUCUAGAAAUUUUUUUUUCGUAUCUCAAGAUCUGCUUCCACCAUAUAAUCCGUCCAAAAUCGCUAUUUGCCCACUGCAUUAUUAUCAGCCCCACGAAAAAAAAUUUGCUAUAUAAACCACAAUACCGAACCUGUAAUUUCACCAUUCCAACUUCAUUAUCAAUUAGUUCUUCCAUUCAUAAACCCUUCUAUAUACUCUUGAUUCGGAAGAUGACAUCAUCGAUUUCCCGAUUGUCUUUGGGUACUCACAAGAAGAAGAAUAUUGCAGUUGAUUCUUCAUUUGCAGCUGCUACUUCUCGCCGGUUGUGUAUGGGAUCUGAAAAUAUUCAGGGCCAAGUUGCUUUCACCAAUUCUUUUGUCCAGUUAUAUUUUUAUGGGGGAUUCAUUUAAAAGGCUUGGUCAAACUAAACAUUUGUUCAAAAAGACCAAGAACUAAGACUUUUAGUUGAAAGGCCUAAAGUUAUUAAAUAUGGAAAAUAGAAUUUGUAAAAGACUAAAAUAUCCUUGUAUGUGAAAUGAUGAUAUUGCCCUUAUUUUCAUUUCAAUUUCCUUUCAACCCUAAUCUCCUUCCCUCCCUCCUCUAUGAACGACUCAACCACUGUAGAUGCCUCCAUGCUGAUUUUCUUAUCAUCAUCUUCUUCUCUACUUAAUAAAAUCACAAAAUCUACAUUCUCAUUCCCUUGAACAUUCAUUUGGUUGAAGUGAAUAAUAAAGUCUUGCUAUAUUUUUAUUGGGCAUUUGGAGAAGAAGAGAGGGUAUGGUAAAUUUUCGAUAUUUGAGCCACUUUCUUUCUCCAUUGUUUUGAAUCAUCCGUUCGUGUUGUUGUAUAUGUGUUUGCGGUGUUCAUUUUUCAAUAAUGAUUUUGAAUUUAUUUUAUGAUUUGAUUGGAUCUUUAAAUGGGUUACUUCCCAAUCUUAUUCUCAUUACCCCUUAUUUGUAUUCCUUAGCAUUAAUUGAAGUGAAAUUUAAAGUGGGGAAGGAUGAUUGGCUUUUUUCACAUUGUUUUCACGUGAAACGUGUAUUUGAUUUUUUCAGUAUGGAAUGACAUUCAUAUCGUUUUAUGAAAUUGUGAACGACAUAGAUAUCGUUUUCUGAAAUCCAUGACAACAUACAUAUCAUUAUCAAUACUAUAUGAUGUUUGAAAUUUGAUGAAAUUUAUAUGUUGAGUUACAGGUUAUGGACACCAUGGACAUGGUAUGGAUAUCGGUUUGUUAUCCAAUUGAUUAUGAGCAGACAGUUGAAGGUGGAUGGAAAUGGAAGUAUUCUGAAAAUGGCAAAGGGAAAACAAUACCUAUUCUUGUUGCAAAAACAAUUUCUUACAUAUGAUAAAGUUAAGGAGGCACUGAAUAUCGAUACGAGUCUAUACAAAAUGGAGAUUUCAGCUCUUGUCCUGAUAAUGUCUAAAGCUCCAGCUGCACCAAUCAUAAUUGAUUGUGACAACAACGUAAAGUGGUUUAUAUCUGCAUAUACAGAAACUUUUCUUUGUGUAAGUAUUUUAAAUGAAGUUGUUGAGAAUCAGGAAGAUUUUGGUGAUGAAGGAUGUUUAUUAGUAAUAGAUGGUGGAGAACAAAUUGGAAAUAUGAACAACGAGGAGGAACAAGAUCGGGCAGACAAUGAUGGUAAUGAUGACAAUGGUGGUGGAAUAUUUGUAGAUUGUAAUGGUUUUGACGUAAGUGAAGAUAGUCCCCGAAGGGUAGAUGACGAAGUUAAUUCUCCUGUGGCAGAUGACAAUAAUUUUGAGUUACACACGCAUAAACCUUGCAGUAGGGAUAUAGUGAAUGGUAAUGAUGUUGAAUGUACUCAAAUUGUAUCUGAAAGUGUAAGUUCGCUCUGUUAUGAGACAUCAGUAAAAAUUUCGGAACGAUCAGAUGUGCGAGUCAACCAGUUGUUUCCAUCGAAAUAUGACCUAAUAUCAAAAUUACAGCUGCUAGCUAUGAAGUGCCAGUUUGAGUACAAAGUUAAGAAGUCAAAUAAGAGCACUAAUACAAUUGUUUGUAUCGAUGAAAAUUGCAAGUGGCGCUUACGGGCAACCAAAAUCGUAGAAAGUCCCAUUUUCGAAGUUCAAAAGUACAAUGGUCAUCAUUCUUGCUCCAUGAGUGUUCGUCACAGAGAUCAUAGGCAUGCUUAAUAUAUGAUUAUUGGAAACCACAUCGCUCCUAAGUAUGAAGAUGUCAAUCGAGUUUACAGACUAAGGGACAUUAUUAAUGACAUUCGUCGAGAGUUCGGCAUAACUGUAAGCUAUACUAAAGCGUACAUGGCUAAAAAUUUUGCUUGUGGAUUGAUACAUGGGAAACCCCGUGAGAGUUAUGCAAAAUUGCUAGCAUAUUGUCAUGUUUUGGAGAUGCAAAAUCCUGGUACACUGACAUUCAUUCAUACUAAUGAUGAUCGGCGCUUCAAGUACCUUUUUAUGGCAUUGGGACCAAGUAUACAUGGGUUCGUAAACUCAAUGCGAAAGGUAAUUUCUGUAGAUGGUGCAUUCUUGACAUCGAGAAUGAAAGGUACUCUACUCGUAGCAACUUCUCAGGAUGCAAAUUUUCAAAUAUUUCCACUCGCAUGGGAAGUAGUUGAUUCGGAGAAUGAUGAAUAUUGGACUUGGUUCUUUUAGAAGUUGUGGUUAAUAACAGAUGAUACGGAUGACCUUGUGAUUAUAUCUGACCAUGCAACGUGCAUAAAAAAUGGAGUUAGAAAUGUGUUUCGAGUUGCUCAUCAUGGUAAUUGUACAUAUCACUUGCAAAAGAACAUGAAGACAAAUUUUCCACGGUGUGAUAUUGCAACUUUGUUUAGGGCAGCGUCAGAGGCUUAUACUGUAACCGAAUUUGAGUCCUACAUGGCAACUCUAUGCAGUAAAAAGGAGGGCAUCAAAGAGUACCUAUUAGAAGAAGAUUUUCAAUGUUGGGCUAGAGCGCAUUUUACCGGGAUACGUUACAAUAUCAUGACUACAAAUAAUGCUGAAUCUAUAAAUGGUUUGUUGAAGAGUGCUCGAGAACUUCCCAUAGUUGGUUCACUAGAAUAUAUUCGUGAGAUACUACAAAGGUGGUUUUAUGAAAGACAUGUUGAAGCAGAAAAAUGUGUGACCCAACUCACGCCAGCAUUAGAGAAAAAGAUGUGCAUGACGUAUAAUGAGUCAAAUGUGUUCGAGGUAAAUCAGGUUUCUCCGGACAUUUAUCAAGUUGGUGACAAUUUAGAACACCACUUUGUGGAUUUUUACGAAAUGACAUGUACGUGUAGAAGAUUUGAUAUGUACAUUGAAAUUGUAUUCAAACUCCAAAAUAGCUACUACUCCAAAGCCAAAACAACCAAGUGACUACAUAAUGUUAUAAAAAUAUAAAAAAAUACGAGCAAAGCACAAUCUACGGCUCAAAAUCCCAAGCCAACCACUCUACAGCCAGUUUCUUUCUCCAUACUGGUACGUAAUCCGGUCGAAUUGUAUUUACAUCCAUAUUUGCGUGCAGAAAUUCUAUGAAUUUGAUAGCAAAUAUUCCACAAUCGGAUCUACAAAAAAGUUGUAAAAUUUUUGUAUUAAUUUUCAACACUCAAGAUAAUAUGGUACUACUAAUUAUGAAAUUAGUCAUUCCUAUCCGUUCACUUGUUGGGGAACAUCUUUUACGUUCACAAAUUUGAAGUUCUCCGUACUAUAUUUGCUUUCACUGGUGACAUGAGAUUUUAUUAUCAACGUAAUAAGCACCUGUAGAGGCAAAAGAUAAGCUUCCAACGCUGCCCGGCGAAUGUGACCCUUCAGACUAUCAAACAUUAAAAUGGCCCAUUCCUCCAUGUCGACUUGAACUGCAAACCAAUGGUCGCGGGUCCAACAAGAAAGAUACAAAUAUUUACAGUCCCUCCAAGGUUUACCGAGCUCCGGAGUAGCCCCUCUCACAUAAUUCAUUAGACUCUUACUACAUUUGAGCUCUUUACUUGACUGUAAUUGGCCAUAUGCAUUGACAACAAAUUGAUAGAAAUAAGUAUCCAAUAUGCAAUAGUCUUGCCGAAACAGAUUGGGAAAUCUGGAAGCCCUUUCUCGUAUCUGAUAUAGGGCCUCGUUCAUAAUCUACAAAAAUAAACUAAUAAAUUCAAACUGAAUUCUUUUGUGACAUUAUCGUAAAAUCAUUAAAGUUGGAUUACUUACACUGUCAUUAAUCCAACCAUCCUCUUUUGAAAGAUCCAUCAAACUUUUUGCUUGAACAUCAUAGAACAUACAACAAAAUCAACACGAAUUUAUAUUUAGGUAAUACUAUCAUUACUUUUACAUGUACUUACAACUAUAUGUAAUAAUUUACAACGAAGGUGUAGUUUCCAUCCAUUUGCAAAAAGCCUCAACCUUGCUGGGAUCUACUUCUCGAUAAGGAUCGUAUACAUUGAUGUCUGACAACUUUCUCCUCUUCGUCAGGUCAGUGUACGGAGAACACAGUAAGCGCGCUUUUCUCUUCUGACGAUACCCUCGUCCUUUCGAUGGAUCGGAUCCCGCCUCAUCGAUUUCUACAACGUCCCCUAUAUGUUGCAAAUAACAACAAUUAGAAGUGGAAAAUUUGUUUCAUUUGGAUAUAAAGAUGUAAAACUUAACUUUGAAUUCAUUUUUACAUACCUUGCAUGGAUUCAUUUGUAUCUGCAUCAUGCUUUUCAGGCGUCACAAAAUCAGCAAUCCCUUUCUCCAUGUCGAGAUGCUCCUCCUCUAAUAUUAUUUCUUUUCCAACACUCUUCUUGAUCAUUUUUUCAUUUUCUUGCUCAUCUAUAUCAUUCCCAGAUCCAGCUUCCUUUUUCAAGUCCUUCCUUCCUACAUUUUUGCCUCUAACCUCCUCCUCUAACUUUGGGUCCUCCUCACGCGCUUCUACAUUUGUUUCAGCGGCAGGCACAUCUUUCACAUCAUCAAAUCCAGGCUCAGUUUCCAACUCCUUCCCUCCUACAUUUUUUCCUCUAACCUCCUCCUCCUCCUCUAACUUUGAAUCCUCUUGAGGCAGAUGUACCUUUCUUUCAGUAGCAUGCACAUCUGUCACAUCAUCAAACCCAACCUCCUUUUCCAACCCAUCCUUCGGUUCAUUUCCUGGUACAUAAGCUGUGCUACUAGUGGCACCAUCAAAUGUACUAGUUGCUGGAUGGAACCGACCCGCCACAUCCAAUUCAACUAACCUGUCAACCUUUUUCUCCACCCGAUCAAGUUGAGUCGAUAUAACUGCUUGUAGCCUUCCCUCAAGUUUUUCAAUUUCCAUUCUCAAUAAAUCCUCUAUGUUAAUCUCAAAACCACGCUGUGGUGGUUGAGCUGCUCUAGGAGACUCUUCGUGGUAUGCAUGCUAUGGCUCGGCAUCUUGCUCAGCCUCGUCUCCUUCCGAAUGAUGUGAAACACUCUCAUCUUCUUCCACGAUUGGUUUCAACUCUUUCCAAUAGGCCUCCUCGAGUUCAGCUUCGGUGGGAAUCAAUGUGGAAUUAACCUCCAACUGCAAAUAUUAAAAGGUGCAAGUCAUUAGUCAUUCAUGAAGCUAAUUCCACAAUUUGUUCCCAUUAAACUUAAUAAAGACAAUUUUACCUCCUUCGAAUUCAACAUGUUCUCAAUGGCAGCAGACGUUAACCCCUUAGGCAUUUCUCAAGUGACCAUUCUUGGUAUUACAUCUCGAUAUUUCAUACCAAACUUCAUUCCCAAAGUUGGGAUCGCUUCAAAUGCCCAAAUCUAUUGCAAAACAAACAUUUAUAUUAUCUCACAACACAAAUUUAUAUAUAUUAAAAAAAAAUAUGAGUCAAGUGUAUUAUUUGUUCAUACCAUUAUAGCGAGGGGAAAGCCGUGCAAUGAAUAUCGGCAACGUGAUUCGCCUCCGACGUCCGAACUUUUCAAUUUAUCUCCCAUCUCACGUUUGAAUAUACUGAUCGUGUAUUCAAAUGAAAACUUUCCCCAUGGAUACGUCUCGAACCUAUCUAGAUCAUCCACCAAGUCUAGCCAUCAUAAAUCGAUGUAUGUAUUCUCCUCUAUAGCCCACAGGACGUACGCCAAGAUUACGAUCAAUCCUAACUUAUACUUAUCGCUCUUUCUUUUCUUGCAAAUUACAAAUGCAUUGUAAGCAUCUCCCUUCGUUAUCUUCUCCCCACUAUUCUUAAAAUACUCUUUCACGAUCCGACACUCUUCCCCAAAGGUCUUAUCUACGUCGUUAUCAUCACCCGUAUUUACGCCCGUAACUAAAAUAAAUUCUUCCAACCCAAAUUUUGCAUUUUUCUCUCCUAUCUUAAACUAAACUUCUUUUUUGUUGGUCCUUAUCUUUCGCAAUAACAACUGAUGUAUAACUUGUGAAGCCAACUUUAUGUCCUUCAACCUAAGAAGAGAUCCAAAGCAGCUUUCACUAAGCUUGUUUUUGUAAUUUGUAUCGAGCUUCUCAUACACAUCUCGCACUAUUUGCAAUCUACAUCUCGUCGUAAUCGUAGCAUCUACUUGAAGAAUCUUCUUCAUAGCACUGCAAAUUAUAAAAUAUGUACUAAUAUUAGAACUGAUGAUAGUAAAGCACAUAAUAACAAAUAUAAAAACUAGAAAUAUUAAAACAAGCUACCUAGUUCUUCUAGUUUUUCUUGUAGUAGAAUUUUUUUUUGAAUAUGAAAUUUAAUAGCAGGUAUUAUCAUUGCUAACGACAAAGUAUAUUUUAUUUGAUAUUCAUUUAUUAGGCGUUCUUAGCUUAUGUGCUUUAUAGAACUUGUAAGUACAAUGUAUUAUAAAUUGUGCAUGCGGUGGCUUUAUAGUUAAAUGCCUCACCUUAGUAUAGUAAUUUGUUUACAAAUUCAGCAUUUUCAUUUUCUAAAUCAUUUAAACCUAACAUAAAGAAGUCAUUUUUUCUUUUAAACAUUUGGUAAACUUUCUACAAAUUAUUCGAUCUUUUCUGGAAGAAUGAAAAGAGAUGGCUUUGGACUUGAAGAAAAAGAGUUAAAUGUCGAAAAUAGCCAAUAACCCAAACAAGAAUAAGAAACAAAAGAAUGAUGGAAACUAAAUAACCAUUAAAAAAAAUUACAGUAAAAAAUGACAAAGAAACCACAUUAGAAGCUAAAAGUAUUAAACAUAGUGUCUAACAGGUCAUUUGUUUUCCAAACUGGAUAAAUAAAAUGAUCGCCAAGACAUAUGAUUCACAGGUACAAGUAUCCCAAAAAUAAUGGACCAUAUUAAUUUCCUAGAUGAUUUUCCCACAUCUUCAAAAUAUAAGGGUCCGUUUGAUUGCAAAGGUGGAAUUUGGGUGGAAAGAAAACGAAUUCCAGGAAUUGAAUUGAUGGGAAAUUAUUUUCCUGUAAAUUGUAAAUUAUUGUGUUUGAUUGGUAUAAUUUUUCACAUGGAAAAUGUUUAAAUUAAAGUGUCUUUUGGGGUCCGUUUGAUUUUGUUUUACAUAAAAACUGUCAAUUAAAGGGAUAGAAUUUACUGGUAUUGGGAAUGAAAUUUGUUUCCGUUGCAAAAACCAAAAAAAAAAAAAUUCAAGAAAAUCAUCUAUUUUUGGGUGUUCGUUUGAUUUUGUUUUACAUGAAAAUCGUAAAUUAAAGGGAAAUAUUUUUUUACAAUAAAUCUUAGAAUUUGUUUCCACUGCAAACAAAAAAAAAAAGAAAAAGAAAAAGAAAAAGAAAAAAAAGGUGCUACAGUAAAUCGGGAAAACAAAGAAAACUUCAAUUCCCAAGAAAAGUUAGAAAAUGCAAUUCCAUGGAAAAAAAAAGGUAUCAAACACUCUUAAAGCUCAAAGUUGGAAUUGAUUUUCCACUUUCCCUAAAAAAUUUUGGCCUAUCAAACAGUGUCUAAGUUGUUAACUUGCUCACCAAAAAAAUAAAGUGGUUAAAAUGAUUUCUUGACAUAAUUUCAAAAAUAACCAAAUUCCUUUCAGGUAAAAUUUCAGAAAAGAAAAAGGGAAAUCACCACAUUCACAUUUGUUAUCAUGCACUAUGCUAUUCCUUCCAUAGUUACACAACUUCCUAAACAAAGUUCAUUUUUAUAAAAACUAUUUAGGAUCACCAUUCACAAGAAUUAAUCCCUAUAUUUAAAAUUGAAAUUCAAGACUCAGUUGGGAAAACCGGAAACAUUAUUUAACCAUCUCCCUUAUAUGUGGUCAGAUAAAAUUUGAAAAUCAUUACAACGAGAUUAAUCUUCUCUCAUCCAACCCACAAAUUUUUUUUCUCGCUUUCCACCAGAAUCCAAUCAAUUCUUAAAUUUAAAUAUCUUAUACCCCUAAAACACAAUAUUGGCGCAGUCAAGCACCGCGCAAGUUUAAUUAAAGUAAAAACAAUAAAGAGAAGAUUUCUUAAUCUCAGAAAUGUUAAAAAAAGAUUCCAAAAAAUAAGAUAGUAAGAUCCAAAGUAACAUUAACAAUUGCUAUAAGAGAAAUACCAUAAAAACCGUAUAUGAAAAUAAUCAGAUACAUGAGAGAACUUGGGAUCCGCUUAAAUUUGAAGCUUUAGUAUCUGAUUGAGACAAAACCCUAAGGCCGUGAAGCAGAAAGAAGGAAAUGAAAGGGUCCCCCUUCUUUCUUCUUUCGUUUGGGGAGAAAUAAUGGAAGGUUAUAAUUGUCUUUUUAAAUAUUUGCAUAUUUAUAUUUUAUGUUAUUUUCAAAAUUCUAGUCAAAGGCCUUUUAAACAAAACCCACCUGAAAGCAGCCUUCCCAACUCAUUUCCCCUAUUUUUAUGUUGUCAUAUGCAAUGUUUUUGUUCCCUGAGUUAUGUGUCUGUGUUUCAAUGUGUAUCUACACAAUGUCUGUUUGUGUAAGUAUAUAUACCAUCCAUGUAGUCAAUGCAUGCCAUUUAAAAAUCAGGCGCCACUGUUAUUGAAAUAAUAGUCCUAGAGUGUAAUAUCACCAAUUCUUUUGUUUCUAGUUGGAAAUGAUUUGGAAAAAAAUGUACAUUAUGCAACCCGUAAUCAGGGGCGGACCUUGGGGGGGGGGGGGUUUAUAGGGGCAAUUGACCCUCUAAAUUUUGAGGAAAAAAAUUAUUUUGCUUAGCUUUUUUUUUUUUUUUUUUUUUCUCCUUAACUUUUUUUUUUAUUAGAAGAUACCCUAUAAAUUUUAUUUUUGACCCCCUAACUCAAAUCGUCUGGGUCCACCCCUACCCGUAAUGUUGCGAUAAACAACUGUUGCUCCUCAGUACACAUAUUUUCGACAACAUGCACUCACAAAUGUUUUGUAUAUCACGUCUUAUUUUAUGCUGUAUGUGAUCACAACAUUUUGUAUCCUCAUGUCAUGUCUGUAAGAUAUCGUUUGACAGUUUUUACUAUCCAGAUCUUGCUAAGAAAUAUGUGAGACCCAAGAUUCAGGAUUACAUGCAAGCUUAUAUUCCCAGGUUUGGUUCACAAAGUAGCUCUUAAAACAUGUGAGUUACAGUACUAUGAACGAUGUAGCAUCACACAUUCCGUGCUGUUGCUUCUAAUAAAUGAUAUUUUCCCAAGUCGUUAAUAUUGUGCAUACAUUUCAUAAGUUGUGAUACGUAAACUGAUUGCUAUGCACUGAUGAGGUUUUGCUAUAUUAUGAACAUGUUCUAUCUUCACAACAUGGAUUAAUUCACUGCUGAGUGCAGGUGUCACGUUACAUUUUGUUUGCCCUGUUGCAAUUAAACUUUUUUUAAAUGAAAAUGUAGGUAGAAUCUUCAUUCUACAUUCCCCCCGAGAACAGAUUUGGUGCAAGCUUGAAUGUGUUCUUCAGGAAGAAGGUUAUAUCGAAGCUGAAUAGCAAGCUGACCACAUCACAAAAGGAAAUGUUUCGAUGCUUGUUUCGGACACUUCUUGCAAAUGAAUGACCUGCGCAUAUGUGUUACAGGCAGCUAUCAACGCUCGGCGCCUCAGGGGUGCAAUCUCAUUAUCACACAUAAACCUAAAAAUAUUCCGGUAAUCGCAUGUAUUACCUGAUCGCUCGGAGAAACCCCUGAAAAUUGAAGCCUUCAAAGAAUCGGUUGAACACAGAUCGAGAAUCUUGGGUGAUUACGGGCUAUUCCCACUACGAUUUUUUUGUUAUAUGUAACGAAGUAAUGUUCAAUGGUAAAUGGGAUUCAUAUUCUGCAGUAUCUCCCAGUUUGAAUUUUUGAAAACCCAUGUAAUUUGCAACCGUCCGUUUUAUUGGCCGUGAUAACGGCAUCUGUGUCUUCAGUUACAAUUCAAUAUUUGGAAGGUCAUGAGGGUAGUAUUUUUGUUUAUAAUAUAUCCCAAUUGUAGUAAGAAAGUUAUAUGUUUAUGCAUUUCAGUAUUUUUAGUAAUAGUUUGUUUUUCACAUGCAAAUACGAAAAUUUCCCUAAUUUCAACCUAGGAAUCCUGAUAGAUUGAUGGAGUGGGGUGAGGCUGGGCUGGGCUGGGUUGUGUGGACCGAGUGGUCAUUGGCUUCCACUGUCAAUAUUUCAGUUUGUCCACUGCCUAUUUUUUUCAAAGCAGCGUCAUGCAUACGCCUAGGCGCUACUAUCAACACUUAAAUUCUUCAUAAUUAAUGUAUUUGUUUUCUCUAUAUUAGUCAAUUGAAUAAAAUACUCAUUUCUUCUAUCAAUUAAUUCUUUGCAUUCUAUCUUGUUGUUUGUUUACGAUUAUAUACUUCAUACCCCUGUCAUAUGCAUUAUCUAGAUCCAUUUUAUUUCCCAAAAAGUGGUAUCAGGGCUAUUGGUUAUGAUUUGUUCAAUGCCUUUGUUAUUGAUGACAGUCAUGAAGUAUGAAAUUUCACUCUUCGAUUGCAAUACAAGAUUCUCAUUGUGGCAAUUGAAGAUGUGAGUUGUACUCCCUCAGAUGGAUUUGGAUGAUGCAUUCUUGAGAUUUGACAAAAUAUCCACAACUUAUGGAGGAGAAACAACGGAAGGGUUGAAAGGCACUUUUACAUAUCUAUCUUCAUUUUUCUAAUAAUAAUUUUCGGGACAUUUUAAGGGAGAAUGGCAGCAACAUUGUGGUUGAAGUUGGAGCAAUUGUGUAUAACUAAAAGUCUAAUAAGCAAAUUGCAUUUGAAGCAGAUGUUGUAUUUUCAUUGUUUGGCAAAAAGCCAAUCUUUGGAAGAUCUAGCUGUAUCCAAGGAGAUCUUGAGGAUUUGGUGACUUUAGAGAUAAAGUAUAACAAACAAUAUUUGGUCUUAAUCCUUUUGUGUUCGUUGCCUACUUCGUUUACUUGAUUUAGAGACAUGAUCUUUUAUCUUUCAAAACUCCGCAGCGACUCGGGAUGGAAGGUAACCCAACGCCGCUUACCCUAAGGGUCAUAUAAAAUUCUACACACAUUGAAUCGACAUGAUUUCAACUAUACUCAAUAGCUAAUGCCUGAGAUAUCAAACCUAAUUGGUUUCGUCCAAAAAAUUCAAGUAACGAGCGAGUUAUGAAUUUUGGAAACUAAGGGUAGAAGCUGAAUAUCAGCUGCACUUCCUAGUGCCGUCUACUUUAUGUGACAAUUAAAAUUCUACCAACAUCGGAUUGACAUGAUUCAAAAUUCAUUCAGUAGCUAACCUAUGAGGCUAUCCAACACCACUGGUUUUGCCUAAAAAUUCCAAGUAAUAAUUUAUAUACGAAUUUUUAAAGUCAAGGCAGAAACUGACAUUUUAAAGAAAACAGCAAACUUUAAAUUUCUAAAGCUUCUUUUUUUCCUAUGUAAACGGUGAUUUGUAAAAUGAUUUCUUGAUACAUAUCUACUUUUAAACAUAAUUUAUUCAUAAAGAAAUAUUCUUGAAAUAUCUCCAUAUAUGACGUCCAUAGAAAUCUAUUUAACAGAAAACAAACGCAAAUAUUUCAUAAUUAAAUUUAGAAUAUCAAGUCACCGGCUUUCUUCGUGGCAUGUCGCAUCAUCUUUUACUAUUAUCCACGCCCAAGGAAAUCCAUUCAACCUGAAGGAAGGGAAUUAACCCAUGAAUUUGAAACUCAAUAGAUAUCAUCGGUGUAAUUCGUUCUCAAAUUAGAAAUUUCAAACUAUAGAUUCAUACCGUUGCAUGUAGAUAGAUUUUUGGUAAAAUCCAAUUUCUAUAGCAUUAUUAUAACACGUAGAGCCAGAGAAUGAUCAUUCAAAUUGUUGUAGUGCCGAGGCACCAUACCCAGAGAUACUAUUUCAUUCAACCUAUAGUAGUGCCGAAGCACCGUACCCGAAGGUACCAAUUCGUUCAAAAUUUUAUUGAAAAAUCAAAAUUUGAAAACGAAAUAACACUUGCACCUCUAUCUACCUUCGUUUGAUGCUUUUGAAUCGAUAAAGUUGGUUGGUGAAUGUUGUUUCCCAACAGCACCCAAAGCUUAAGAAAUUUGCUCCUCUCCUAUGUCUUUCUUACUUUUGAAAUUUUCUUUUCUUGUUUCAAAUUGCGAGAAAUGAAAGUUUUAUCUUCUAAAAGAAAAACUCUUAUAAUCAAGUUUAUAAUUCUCACGUACUCCAAGUAAAUCAAUUGCCGUUCGGUUCUGUCACUUAAUUACAAAUGUAUGAGAUGCCAAUAAAAGAGUUUUAUGGGAAAACUUUAAAUUAAUUAUUAUAAAAGUUAAUGCUUUAACCAUGUUUAAUUUAUAACACCCUAUCCACUUCCAAGUAAUUGUAACAAAUUGAAAAAUGAAAGUAUUUUUUUCUUUUCCACACGUAACCUACAAAAUCUCGAAAGACACACAUAACUUACAAAAUUCAAAAAGGCAUAUUCAUGUUAAUUAGGACUAAUGAAAUUAAUCAAUCAAGAGUUUAAGUUGCAUAAUGUGUGUGUAUAUUUUUGGGAUUUAAAUGACUUGUUUGUACCAACUAAUCAGAUUAAUUGUUUGACCAUUCAAUCGAAAGUUAUUUUUAACGUGUAGUUGUUAUGUGUGUGUAUAUAAUACUAUAUAUUUGUCAUUUUAAAAAACUAACAUGUACGAAAAUCAAAUUUUUUUAACUAUACAUAAAAUAAAUUUUCACUGUUGGGUUCAAUCUUUGGGAAAAACAUUAAAUUAUUCCAUCCAACUUCAUCAAAUAAUUUUUUAAAAAUAUGUAUAGUGGCUGAACCUGGGUUGCGUGUUGAACCACCAAAAGAUUGUAAAUAAAUUCAUUUUAAAGUAUAUUGGACUAGUAUUGAGCUUUCAUUUCUUUUGUGGGUCGCGCAUGAGGUUCAUCUAUAGGCUAGGCUCGUGAUACUAGAUCGUCACAUUAAAAUAUGAGCCUAACUUCAUUUUUUUGGGCCUUUUACAUCCCUUGCACCUUAAAUAAAAUUUCGUCCUUGAAAUUUAUCUUAUGGUUGGACAAAGAGUGUCGGGUAUCUGUCUUUAACUUUUUCUUCUCUUUCCCAAGUAGCUUCUUCUACUCCACGAUUAUUCCAUUACAUUUUGACUAGUUGAAUCUCCUUGUUUCAUAAUUUAUGUACCUUUCAAUCCAAUACCUUAAUCGAUAAUUCCUCAUAAGAUAAGUCUUUUUAUACUCGCAAGGAUUGAUAAUUUACCACGUGAUUGGGGUCGUGCAUAUACUUUCUGAUCAUUCAUAUAUGAAACACAUUCUGAACUGUUGAUAGUUCAGGCGGCAAAGCUAAUCGAUAAACCACAUUUUCGACCUUGUUAUGUAUUUCAAAAGGCCCGAUAUAAUGAGGCCAUAGUUUGCCUUUCUCGCCGAACCUAAGUACACCCUUUAUUGCUGCCAUCUUUAAAAAAACUUUCUCUCCAACUUCAAAUUCCAUAUCUUUUUUCCUAGUAUUUGCAUGGCUCUUUUGUCCAUCUUGAGCAGCCUUUAUCCUAGUACGGAUUUUAUCAAUGACUUCAACUAUUCUUUCAAUGAUAUCUGGUUCCAAAACUCUCUUCUCUUCAAUUUCAUCCCAAUGAACAGGUUAUCUGUAUCUUCUACCAUAGAGAGCUUCAUACAGUGUCAUUCCAAUAGUUUCUUGAAAACUGUUAUUAUAUGCAAAUUCCACCAAAGGUAAAUACGAUUCCCAACUGCCUCCUAGAUCCAGAACAUAGGCCUUUAGCAUAUCUUCCAAAGUUUGAAUGGUCCUUUCAAACUGACCAUUGGAUUGAGGGUGAUACGCCGUACUGAAAUUCAAUUUCAUUCCCAAAGCUCCUUGUAAGCUCUUUCAAAACUUUGACAUAAAUCUCGGAUCUCUAUCUGAUACAAUGAACACGGGGACAACAUAUAAUCUUACAAUCUCUCUAAUGUACAAUCGUGUCAGCUGAUCUAGACUAAAUGUCAUUUUCACUGGAAGAAAUGAGUGGACUUUGUUAGACGAUCCACUAUUACCCAUAUAGCAUUGUGUCCUCUUGCUGACUUUGAAAAUCCUACCACAAAGUCCAUUACGAUAUUCUCCUACUUCCAUCAGGUAUGUCUAAUGGAUUUAAUAUCCCUGCUAGUCUUUUUAUGUUCUGCUUUAACUUGUUGACACACUAUGCAUUUUGCUACAAAUGAGCCUAUACUUCUUUUCAUAUUCCUCCACCAAAAUGUAUUUCGAAGGUCUCGAUACAUUUUCAUACUAUCGGGAUGUGCGGUGUAGGGGCGGAAUGAGCCUCAUCCAAUAUCUCCUUCCUCAAAAUUUCAUCCUUAGGUACACAAUUUCUUCCUUUAAACAAUAGUGCCUGAUCUGAAACUAUUUCAAAAUCCUUUCUCUUAUCAUUAACAAUCUCGUUCUUGAUCUUCUGCAAAAAUGGGUCUUUGUUUUGUGCUUCUAUGAUCCGAUCUUUAAGAGUAGAUAGAACCACCAAAGUUGCUAAAUAGGCAGUGACUUGUUUUGGUGUGGUAAUCACUUUGAUUCACAAAUUUUCCAAUUCUUUGAUCAACUCCAUUGGAAUAAUAGUUAAUGAUGCCAACUGUCCCAUCGAUUUUCUGUUUAGAGCAUCAGCAACAACAUUAGCCUUACCCGAAUGAUACUGAAUAGUGCAAUCAUAAUCAUUUACUAGCUCCAACCAUCGUCUCUGUCUCAUAUUCAAUUCCUUCUAUGUGAAGAAAUAUUUGAGACUCUUAGGAUCUGUGUAAAUAUUGCACUUCCCUCCAUAUAAGUAAUGACGCCAUAUCUUUAAUGCAUGAACCACCGCUGCAAGUUCUAGAUCAUGCGUCUGGUAGUUCUGCUCAUGUUGCUUCAAUUGUCUUGAAGCUUAGGCAAUUACUUUUCCAUACUGCAUCAUUACACAUCCGAAACCUUGUUUGAAUGCAUCACUAUAUAUAUUAAACCCUUCCGAACCUUCAGGUAUGGUUAACACAGGUGCUGUAAUCAACCGUUAUUUUAGCUCUUGAAAGCUUUGCUCACUUUUAUCUGUCCAUUGAAACUUUACUCAUUUCCUUGUCAAUUGUGUCACUGGUCUAACUAUUUUGAAGAAUCCUUCUAUAAAUCUUCGAUAGUAUCCAGCCAUUCCCUGAAAACUUCGAACUUCACCAGCAUUAGUCGGUGUCUUCCAAUUAGUUAUCACUUCCACCUUUACUGGAUCUACUUCAAUUUCUUGGGCAAUAACUACAUGACCAGGAAAUCCAACUCGCUCAAACCAAAAUUUACACAUUUUAAAUUUAGCGUAUAACUUUUCCUUGCGUAAUGUUUCUAACGUUAUUUUAAGAUGUUCUUUAUGUUGAUCUUUACUCUUGGAGUAAAUCAAAAUGUCAUCAAUGAAGACUAUAGCAAAUUUAUCCAAAUAUUGAUGAAACACUCGGUUCAUCAGAUCCAUGAACACUGUUGGAGCAUUUGUCAAUUCGAAUGACAUAACUGUGUACUUGUAAUGUCCAUAACGAGUUCUGAAAACUGUCUUAGGUAACCCAGGGCUCUUAUAAAAUUCUACACACAUCGAAUCAACAUGAUUUCAACUAUACUCACUAGCUAACCCUUGAGACUAUCAAAUCCAAUUGGUUUCGUCCAAAAACUUCAAGUAGCGAGUGAGUUAUGAAUUUUCGAAACUAAGGGUCCGUUUGAUUGCAAAGAUGGAAUUGAAUUGAAUUGAAUUGAAAAGGAAUUUUAGGGAAUUGAAUUGAUGGGAAAUUGAUUUCCUGGGAAUUGUAAAUUAUUGUGUUUGAUUGAUAUAAUUUUUCACGUGGAAAAUGUUGAAAUAAAAGUAUUUUUUGGUGCUCGUUUGACUUUAUUUUACAUGAAAAUUGUCAAUUAAAGGGAUAGAAUUUACUGGUAUUGGGGAUGAAAUUUUUUUCCAUUGCCAAAAAAUAAAAAAAAAAUCAAGAAAAUCAUACAUCUUUUGAUGUUUGUUUGGCUUUGUUUUACAUAAAAAUCGUCAAUUAAAAUGAAAUAUUUUUUUACAAUAAUUCGUAAAAUUUGUUUCCAUUACAAACACACACACCAAAAAAAAAAAAAAAUGCUACAGUAACAUGAAAUUCCAAUUCUCACCAAAUUGGUGAGAAUUGGUUUCCUUAUAAACCAAGAAAAGAUCAAUUCCCAAGACAAGCAAGAAAAGGUAAUUCCAUGGAAAUAAAACCCUAUCAAACACCAUAAAGUUGGAAAAUGAAAUUAUUUCCAUUUUCCAUGGAAAAAAAACCACAUAUCAAACACUACCUAAGGGCAGAAGCUGAUUAACAGCUGCACUUCCUAGUGCCGUCUACUUUAUGUGACAAAAUUCUACCGAUAUCGGAUUGACAUGAUUCCAAGUUCAUUCAGUAGCUAACCUAUGGGGCUAUCUGAUAAGAGUGUAAAAGAUAACAUUUUCCCCUCUUAAUUAUUUCAUUCGUGUGAUUAUUUGAUACCAAAAUGCACUCAUUAUACUUAUGUUUUGAUUCAGGUUGUAUUUUGGUAGAAAAGGUGAAAUUCAGAAGAAACAAGUGAAAAUGGACCAAAAUGGAAGAAAGCGAAAGUUCAGGAACCAAGUUGUAAAUAAUCCAAAGAUGAGACAAGAAAUGAAAUGAAGAUCCGAGAAAUUUAGGAGUCCAUUGGGUGCAAUUAGAAGUCAAAAGAAGUUAAAUAUGCCCACAAUAUUUUCACAAAUCAAAUUCCAACCGUAUAAGGAUUUUUCAGAUUUUCAGCCGAACAUUGAGAUCAACCUUUGACCUAGAAAGAUAUAUUUCCAGAAAAAUUAUAUUCAUUUGAGUUAGCUUUCCUAUGCAACUUGAAUCACCUCAAUUGGACAUCGGGGAACAAAGUUAUGGUCAAAAUACCAAAAGCAGUCGUAUAGAAAAUUCUGGCCGAAAAUUUACUUUUCUUAUUCGGUUCAACCUCUUUUGGAAACAUUUUGGCACACGACUUUUAACCCUAAUCUUGACCAGAAAACCCACCAGUCAGCCUCAUACACUUUUCUCUCAUCUUGGACACAAGAAACUCCAUGAAGAACUAAAAUCUUUGGUGAAGCCACCAAGGAACUCAUUGGAUUUGGAGAUUUCUUGUUAUAAUUUCAUGUAAUUCGAACUUUCAUUGCUUAAUAAUUUCUAGAUUUGGAUUUUCUCGUAAUGAAUUAGUAUUGAAAUUGGUUUAACUUUUACUAGAUUUUUUUUAUGGAUUCAAUCAUGCUUUUUCCAUUGUUAAAUUAAACUAUUUGUUGAGUUUUAAUUUCAAUUACUUAUUGUUGAGAUUGUUUUAACUUUUAUCAAAUCCUUCAUAGAUCUGAUCAUGCUCUUUCUAUCAAAUGAUUGAAAUAAUUGUUGGAUUUUAAUCUUAAUAUUACUUUACUGGCGGAUUGAUUACGUACUUAUGCUGGAUGUAUAUGGUCGAUUUUUGAUCUUGUUCCAAUAAAAAUGUGCGAAUGUGUUGUAGAAAAUCUAGAUUCUAGAAAUAUAAUUGGAAUUAAAUUGGACUUUAUUGUUAAAUCUUCUGAUUAGAGAGUUGGGAAGAAACCUCUAAUUGAGUAAAAAUACAUGAAUUAUUGAUGUUGAUUGAUCCAAUCUAAUGGGAGAAUUCCGACGCUUCACUAAUUUCGCAUAUUGAUAAUUAACUUUUAUUCCAAGUGACAAUCAUUCCCACGUAAAAUUAUGAAAAUCCUAGUUUGUUAGAUCCUUUGACAAAUUUCCCAUCUCCCUGUGGAUACGACACCCCAAAACUGUACUGCAACUACCGCAUUAUACUUUGGGCGUAAUCUAAUUUUGGCGUCCUUGUCGGGAGACGGUACAAGUGAUUGAAGGAUUCUCGAGCAAAAGGGUGACUUCGUUCCUCUUUUAUCAGUUAGUUAAUUUAUUUUCUUUAUUGUUAUUUUAUAAUUUUGCAUUUAAUUCCAUUUUUGUAUUUUAUGAACAGGAAUUAAGAAGAGCGAUGGCGAUUUGUUGAUAGGCCUCUACUAGAGUUUGAAUCACUUUCUAACCCUUUCUUUAACACUAUAUCUAUUGGCACGAGCACUACACCACACAACACAAUGAGUGAUAGUGAGCACAGCGAUGCGCCCUAUAGGACCCUACGUGAUUACCUUCACCCAACACGCACUUCCACGCCAUUUUGCAUUAUAUUCCCACCCAAUAAGUCACAUAUGGACCUAAAAUCGGGAAUGAUUAAACUUCUUCCCACUUUUCACGGACUUGAAAAUGAGAAUCCAUACAUGCAUAUUCAGGAAUUUGAGGAAGUGGUUGCAACCUUCCACAAUCAACGUGGUACAAUGGAUACAAUUAGGCUUAAAAUUUUCCCAUUUUUACUUGAAGAACGAGCAAAAAGCUGGUUGUACUCAUUGAAACCACGUUCGAUUGGGACUUGGGUUGAAAUGACCCAAGCUUUUUUUGGCAAAUAUUACCCCUAUCAUAAGACCACUGCUGUUAAGAAGCAAAUUUCUUCAUUUGCCCAAAAGGAUAGCGAAGCCUUAUAUCAAGCCUGAGAGAGAUAUAAAGAGUUGUAAACUCUUUGCCCCCACCAUGGAUAUGAGAAUUGGCGUGUGGUGAGUUACUUUUGUGAGGGCCUAACACGUAGGGAGCGUCAAUUUGUUGAAAUGAUGUGCAAUGGUGAUUUUUUACAAAAAGAUCUAGAUGAAGCCACAGAGUAUCUAGAUGACUUAGCUGAAAAGGCUCACACUUGGACUGGACCUAGUGCUUCUGAUUGUAAAAAUAGGUCACGACCAAUAGGAAACCCAACUAGCACAUGCAUUUAGCACCUUAGAGAGGAAGACAACCUUAAAGCCAUGGUAGAAACCCUUACUAGAGAACUUGAAGCUCUACGUGCUAAGGAAUAAAAAACAACCCAACUUGUUUCCCAUAUUGAGUCUUUAGAGCCUUGUUUUAUGUGUGGUGGAACGUAUCAUCCAGCACAAGAGUGUGACACCUAUGCUGAAAUGAGGGGACUUUAUGAGUAACACUGUAAUGCUUUAGGCAUAUAUCAAAAACCCUAUACUCCUUACUCUGAAUCCUAUAAUCUAGGGUGGCGGAAUCAUCCCAAUCUCAGCUAGAAAUCUUAAAACCAACAACCUAUCCCAUCUAAUAGAGCCUACACUAUAUCUCCAUAUCAAACCACAUCCUCUAGAAACUCUUUGGAAGACACCCUACAUGCAUUCAUAAAGGCACAAAGUAAAAUCAAGCAGAAAUUUGAGACUAUGAUUACCUAGAUUGUUGAGGAAAACAAGGAAAUCAAAACUCAUAUGCCAAAACUAACUAAUGCCUUAGCUAUAGAGGAGCAAGGAAAAUUUCCAGCACAAGCUCAACCAAACCCUAGGGGACAACAUACGGCACAAACCUUAAGACUCCAAGAAAACAACCUUAAAGAAGUUAAUGCCAUAACCACUCGGUCCGGUAAGGUUAUUGAAUCAACCCCAAAACCUAAGGAAGAUGAAAAGGACCCUAGCAAUUCAAAAGAGGAUACCCCUAGUGAGGAGGUAGUGAAAAAUCCACUGCGAGUACCCUUUCCUCAAGCUCUUAAUUUUACCUCGAAAUCUGUAUGUCAACAUAGUGAAAUCCUAGAGCACCUCAAACAAGUAAAAAUCAAUAUGCCGCUCUUGCACGUGAUUUCCCAGGUCCCCACUUAUGCUAAAGUCCUUAAAGACUUGUGUACUGUAAAAAGAAAGCACCAUGUUAGGAAAAUCGCUUUCUUGACUGAACAUGUGAGUGUCGUAAUUGAGCAAAGUGUUCCACCAAAGUAUAAGAACCCUGGUUGCCCACUAUGUCUUGCACUAUUGGGAACCAUGAUUUUGCACAAGCUCUUCUCGAUUUAGGGGCUAGUGUCAACAUUAUGCCUUAUGCAAUAUACUCGUUGUUAGGUCUAGGUGAGAUCAAACCACUUCAGUGGUCUUAUAAUUAGCUGAUCGAUCCGCUAUUAGGCCUAGGGGAGUAGUUGAGGAUGUGUUGGUACAAGUUGACAAAUUUUAUUACCUCGUUGAUUUCUUGGUUUUGGAUUUAAAAGAAGAUGUGAGUGUUAACUCCAAGAUUCUCAUUAUUCUUGGUAGACCUUUUCUUGCCACAGGUAAUGCUCUUAUCAAUUGCAGGAAUGGUCUAAUGAAACUAUCAUUUAGGAACAUGACCUUGGACGUCAACAUUUUUCAUAUCAUGAAAUAGCCUGAGGAAGAUGAUGAGUGUCAUCAAACAUACAUGAUUGAUGCACUCGUUCAGGAGGAAACACCUGCGAUUAUUGAUCCCGACCCUUUAAAUUUUGAAAUUCUCAUAGGGUAUGAUAGUGGAGAAUAUGCUACUUUUGAUUAAUUUUAGGAUUAUAGAACACCACCAGUGACUACUUCCAAUGAGUUUGGUUCAAUGCAAGGAAGAUUGACAACACCCUGGCUAGAUGCGGGCUAAAGAAAAAAAACACUGGGUCGAGCCAACGACAAUAAACAAAGGCGCUGCUUGGGAGGCAACCCAAGAGGAGUUCGUUCCCUUCUCUUUCUUUUUAUUUUCAUUUAUGCAUUCUCUCUAGGUUUAGUCCAUACAUUAUUCAUUGCAAUCCUUUUAUUUUCAUUUUCUGCACUAACCUUUCCAUCGAAGAUUUUUGGGCUUCUUAUACUUUAGCUCAUGUGAUUCACUUCGGUACUCAGGUAACAUCUUUUCUUACCUUUAUUUAGCAGACAUGUUUUUGCAUUGAGGACAAUGCAAUGUUUAGUUGGGGGGAGAGUUUAACUUAGAUUUUGUUGUGAAUUGCAUGUUUUUCAUGAAAUUUUGGCCUAAUUGUUUUUAAGUCCCUAAUGCGCUACAUGUUCUUGAAUGACAAUAUAUUUUACUAGGAAUUAAUAUUGUUUAUGAAAAUUUGGAUACUGAGACAUUUGCUAAAUCCUUUUGUGCACACAAGCUUUGUGGUAAGAUAGUGGUUUAACACAUGUAGUUAGAGGAGUCUCUUGUUGAAGUUUUCUUAUGUGAGAGUUGAUGAGGAUUGAGAGCUAUCACAUAUUAAAAAUGGCAGUAAGUGCUCAUUGGUUUUGUGAACUGGACACUUCUGUUGAGAAUAACAUUACACAGUCUGUGGUAAGACGGUGGUUUAUACUUGGGAAAUGAUAACGGUCAACAUAGGAUUGAAUUUGAGCCUUCAGACUAGUUCUUUUUCAUUAUUAUAAUUUCCUAAUAGCCACUUUGAGCCAAUACAAAUACAUAACCAUUUCAUUUCAUGUGCCUAAGUUAUCCAUACCUCCUUACAUUGGAAUAAAGUCGAUAAAUAUUCAAUUUUCUACCUUUAUGCUUCCAAGUAUAUAGUAGGUGUUAAAUGUCCAUUUCAGAAGAAAAGUAACAAGGAAAGUGAUAAGAGAUUAUAAGUGCUCGGGUGAAGUGAAAAAACACAAAAGGAAAGGGAAUUUGAAAAAUAAAAAAAAAACAAACAAACAACCAAACAAAAGAAAAGAAAAGAAGAAAAAAUGGAAAAAAAAAAAAGAAAUGAAAAAAAAAGGUGGAUUGUUGUUGGGAAUUAAAAGGUUGAGGAAUGCGUUGAUGUAAAGAAUUGAUAUGUUGAAAUACUUGUUGAGAUGCCUAGCCAGAUACUUGGAAGUCCUUAAAUUCUUUUUGCCCUACUUUUCAUAUAACCCAACUUAACCUUUUACACACCCUUUGCAUUGACUGUUUUGAUCUCAAGUAGGUUUGUGGUAAGAAGUUGAUGAAUUUUCAAUUGGAAGUAUGCCUAUCAUGUGAUCAAUGUUUGCUUGUUGCUUGUUCAUAAACAUUUAAGCCUCCAAAUUAUGAGUGUAUCCAUUUCUCAGCUCUAUAGAGAGAAAAUCACACUAAACACUUUGAUACACGUGAGUUGUGGAGCUGAACCUUUAGCUCGAGACAUACUUGAUGUUAAAUGUGUUAGGGUUGACAGUAAGAUGGCUAUAGCUUGACACACACUCACACAUUUAGCAAGUGUUUUUGACAUCUUGAUGAUCAUAACAUUGUUAUUUUCUUGUGGUGUUGAGUUUGAAAAGAGAAUGAACUAUUGACUUAGAACUUAACAAUUUCACUUGUAAUAUUGACCAAUCACUCAUUUGCUUUACUUUGCAUUAAAUUGCUCUAGCAAUAAGCAAGUCGGGGGUAUGAUAAGAGUGUAAAAGAUAACAUUUUCCCCUCUUAAUUAUUGCAUUCGUGUGAUUAUUUGAUACCAAAAUGCACUCAUUAUACUUAUAUUUUGAUUCAGGUUGUAUUUUGGUAGAAAAUGUAAAAUUCAGAAGAAACAAGUGAAAAAAGGACCAAAAUGGAAGAAAGCGAAAGUUCAGGGACCAAGUUUCAAAUAAUCCAAAGAUGAGACGGGCGAUGGAAUGAUGAUUUGAGAAAUUUAGGAGUCCAUUGGGUGCAAUUAGAAGUCAAAAGAAGUUAAAUAUGUCCAUAAUAUUUUCACAAAUCAAAUUCCAACCGCAUAAGGAUUUUUCAGAUUUUCAGCCGAAGAUUGAGAUCAACUUUUGACCUAGUAAACGUCCGAAUUUGGAAAGAUAUAUUUCUAGUAAAAUUAUAUUCCUUCGAGUUAUCUUUUCUAUGCAACUUGAAUCACCUCAAUCAGAUAUUGGGAGACAAAGUUACGGUCAAAAUACCAAAAACAGUCGCACAGAAAAUUCUGGCCGAAAAUUUACUUUACUUAUUCGGUUCAACCUCUUUUGGAAACAUUUUGGCACACGACUUCUAACCCUAAUCUCGACCAGAACACCCACCAUUCAUCCUCAUACACUUUUCUCUCAUCUUGGACACAAGAAACUCCAUGACAAACUAAAAUCUUUGGUGAAGCCACCAAGGAACUCAUUGGAUUUGGAGAUUUCACGUCAUAAUUUCAUGUAAUUCGAACUUUCUUUGCUUAAUAAUUUCUCGAUUUGAAUUUUUUCAUUAUGAAUUAGUAUUGAAAUUAGUUUAACUUUUACUAGAGUUUUUAUGGAUCCAGUCAUGCUUUUUCCAUUGUUAAAUUAAACCAUUUGUUGAGUUUCAAUUUCAAUUACUUACUGUUGAGAUUGUUAUAACUUUUAUCAAAUCAUUCAUAGAUCUGGUCAUGCUUUUUCUAUCGAAUGAUUGAAAUAAUUGUUGAAUUUUAAUCUUAAUAUUACUUUAUUGACGGAUUGAUUACUGCCUUAUGCUUGAUGCAUAUGGUCGAUCUUUAAUUUUGUUCCGAUAAUAAUGUGCGAAUGUGUUAUAGAAAAUCUAGAUUCUAGAAAUAUAAUUGGAAUUAAAUUGGACUUUAUUGUUAAAUCUUCUGAUUAGAGAGUUGGGAAGAAAACAUCUAAUUGAGUAAAAAUACAUGAAUUAUUGAUGUUUAUUGAUCCAAUCCAAUGAGGGAAUUCCGAGGCUUCACUAAUUUUGCAUAUUGAUAAUUAACUUUUAUUCCAAGUGACAAAUCAUUCCCACAUAAAAUUACGAAAAUCCUAGUUUGUUUGAUCCUUUGACAAAUUUCUCAUCUUCCUGUGGAUACGAUACCCCAAACCUGUACUAUAACUACCGCAUUAUACUAUGGGCAUAAUCACUAUCCAACACCACUAGCUUUGUGUAAAAAUUCUAAGCAACGAUUUAGAUACGAAUUUUUAAAAUCAAGGCAGAAAUUGACAUUUUAAAGAAAUUAGCAAACUUUAAAUUGCUAAUGCUUCUUUUUUUCCUGUGUAAACGGUGAUUCGUAAAUUGAUUUCUUGACACAUAUCUACUUUUAAACAUAAUUUAUUCAUAAAGAAAUAUUCUUGAAAUAUCUCCACAUAUGAUGUCCAUAGAAAUCUAUUUAACAAAAAAUAAACGGAAACAUUUCAUAGACGAAUUUAAAAUAUCAAGUCACUGGCUUUCUCUAGGGGAUGUCGCAUCAUCUUUUACCAUCAUCCACGCCCAAGGAAAUCCAUUCAACUUGUAGGAAGGGAAUUAACUCAUGAGUUUGAAACUCAAUAGUUAUCAUCAAUGCAUUUCAUUCUUAAAUUAGAAAUUUCGAAUUAUGGAUUCAUACCGUCACACGUAGAUGGAUUUCUGGAAAAAUUCCAAUUUCUGUAACAUUAUUAUAACACGUAGAGUCGGGAAAUGAUCAUUCAAACUGUUGUACUGCCAAAGCACAGUACUCGAAAGUACCAUUUCAUUCAAACUAUAGUAGUGGCAAAGCACCGUACCUGAAGGUACCAAUUCAUUCAAAAUUUUAUCGAAAAAUCAAAAUUUGAAAACGAAAUUGCAGUUGGGUUUUCUCACUUAAUUACAAAUGUGUUAGAUGCCAAUAAAAGAGUUUUAUGGGAAUACUUUAAAUUAAUUAUUAUAAAAGUUAAUGCUUUAACCAUGUUUAAUUUAUAACACCCUUUCCACUUCCAAGUAAUUGCAACAAAUUGAAAAAUGAAAGUUUUUUUUUUCUUUUCCACACGUAACCUACAAAAUCUAGAAAGACACACAUAACUUACAAAAUUCAAAAAGUCAUAUUCAUGUUAAUUAGGAUUAAUGAAAUUAAUCAAUCUAGAGUUUAAGUUGCAUAAUGUGUGUGUAUAUUUUUGGGAUUUCAAUGACUUGUUUGUACCAACUAAUCAGAUUAAUUGUUUGACUAUUCAGUCGAAAGUUAUUUUUAACGUGUAGUUGUUAUGUGUGUGUAUAUAAUACUAUAUAUUUGUCAUUUUAAAAAACUAACAUGUACGAAAAUCAAUUUUUUUAACCAUACAUAAAAUAAAUUUUCACCGUUGGGUCCAAUCUUUGGGAAAAGCAUUAAAUUAUUCCGUUCAACUUCAUCAAAUAAUUUUUUAAAUAUAUGUAUGGUGGUUGAACCUGGGUUGCACGUUGAACCACCAAAAGAUUGUAAAUAAAUUCAUUUUAAAGUAUAUUGGACUAGUAUUGAGCUUUCAUUUCUUUUGUGGGUCGAGCAUGAGGUUCAUCUAUAGGUUAAGCUCGUGAUACAAGAUUGUCACAUUAAAAUAUGAGCCUAAAUUCAUUUUUUUAGGGCUCCUAUACUUGAAAGGCUGUCUCACACGCAUCCGUCCAUUGAAACUUCUUACCUUGCUUCAAAAUCUCGAAGAAAGGUAGGCUUUUAUCAAUAGCUCUGGAGAUGAAGCGACUGAGUGCAACAAUCCUUCCAUUGAGGCUUUGUACCUCUUUUGGUAUCUGUGGUGAUCUCAUCUCUGACAAGGCCCUUAUUUUUUCUGGGUUUGCCUUAAUUCCUCUUUGAUUCACAAUAUAUCCCAAAAAUUGACUCGGCGCUACCUCGAAGGUACAUUUGAGAGGGUUCAACUUCAUUUUAUAUUUCCUUAGAAUUUGAAAAGUAUUGUCGAGGUGACUUAAGUGGUCCCUAGCAUGGAGGCUUUUGAUCAGCAUGCCAUCAGCAUAGACCUCCAUAGUUUUGUUAAUGAGGUCGACGAACAUCAUGUUGACCAGCCUCUGAUAUGUGGCGCCAUCAUUUUUCAAUCCGAAGGGCACCGCCUUGUAGUAGCACAAUCCCCUAUCCAUGAUGAACGAUGUGGCUUCCUCAUUAGGUCGGAACAUAGGUAUUUGGUUACACCCUGAGUAAGCAUCCAUGAAGCUUAGGAGUUCAUGUCCAACAGUGGUGUCCACAUGUUGGUCUACCUUUGGGAGAGUGAAACUGUCUUUUGGACAUGCUUUAUUUAAAUUGGUGAAGUCAACACAUACCCUCCUUUUCCCACUGGGUUUCUUUACAAGGAUCGGAUUGGAUAUCCACUUCGAAUAAAUGGCUUCUCUGAUGAAGCCAUUGCAGCUCAGUUUAUUGACCUCUUCUUUGAGCGCCUCAUAUCGCUCUGGAUUGAGUGCUCACCUUUUUUGUCGAUGUAGAGCAUAGGAGGAGUUGAUGUUAAGAUGGUGGCAACUGACCCUUGUGUCUAUUCCCACCAUGUCUUCAUGCUUCCAAGCAAAGACGUCCAAAUUCCUUUUCAAGAAAUUCAUCAGUUCUUCUUCCAUUUCAAGAGGCAGUGCUUUUCCUAUUCGUAAGACUUGAGUGGGGUCUUGAGAGUUGGUGGGGGAAAGUUUCAAGUUCUUCCAUUGGGGUUGCAUUCAGUUUGGACUCAAUAAUUCAAGGAUCCUAUUCAUCAAGAGGGUACCCUUCUUUGGGGGCCUCGGCCAUGUCGAAGUCUUUCUCCUGUUCAGAGGUAUACCUUUAUUUUGGGGCAUCGAGCAUUUCUAUGUCCAUGUCAGUUUCGUCUGCAACUUUAGUUAUAAUCACAUUAAUAGUGCGAGGCUCGAAUUUUCAUAGAGAGAUAAGAUAACAUGCUCUUGAGCCCAUUUGGUCGCCUCGAACAUAGGAAAUCCCAUGCUCAGUUGGGAACUUCAUACACAAGUAAUGAAUGGGGAUGAUAGCCCAAAGAUCUUUCUGGGCAGGUCGACUCAAUACUCCGUGAUAAGCUGAUAUGUGGUCUAAACUAAAAACUCUAUGAAGUGGUAAGCCACUAAGGGGGCUGAUCCCAUCUCGACAGGAAAGGUGAUUCGCCCAUGUGGGACAAUGCUGUCGCCUAUGAAUCCAAAUAUUGGGUCGGUCAUGGGGAUCAAUCCAUGUUCAAUUUGUAUUUUGUCAAAGGUAUAUUCAUCGAGCUUCAAUUGUCGAAAAUCAUGAGCUUGAGUCCGUUUCGAGCCACUAUGGCUCUUAUUACCAAUAGGGAUGGCAAUUUGAAUCGUCAAAACUAAAAACUGUGGUUAACCGAACCGAAUGGGAUGAAAAAAACCAAACCAAUGGUGCAAUGGGACGGUGUGGGUAUGGUAUUUACGCUGUUGAACCAAAAUCGAACCGAUUACCCGCAAAAAAUACACACACAAUUGAAUUGAUUAUUUGGCUUUACACCAUUUUUCUAUGCAGCACAAAACGAAAUUCCACAAAUUACAUCUACCUGACCCAGCUGGCCAACUUACUUACCAUUAGCCAAUAAUAAUAGCAUUAGUAUGACAGUAUAUAAAUGUAAACCCUACUCUCCACAGACCACAAACUCACGCACGGCUCCACUACCUCCACGGUCCAAGCCAUCGUUGCCUCCAAAAAAUUUUCCACACGACUUCAGUUUGAAUCAGAUUAGAUUUCAGUUUUAAAGAAAAGACAGGACCUCAAGUGAGGGGCCUUCUUAAUCAAGAUUAUUGGAACAAAAUUUUCAUCUCAAUCAUUUUUGUUGUAUCUGUAAUCUGAUUGCAUUUUAUAUCCAAUUCCAGGGAUGCAUUUUCAAGAUUUGAUGCAGAAAUUGUUUCAAUUUUUGUCGAAAAAAGGAUAAAUUCAAUCAGUACUAAUUAUAGUAUAGGCUUGAGCUAAGUCCGAGGCAUGGUCGACAACUCUAACCAAAUUCUUAAGGUUAGCAUUACUUUUAUAUUACAUUAAAGCCUUAGUUUCUUUUAUAUUAGAUUUGCUCUAAUGUUUUUGAAUUGCAGUGCAUAUAUUAAUGCUCAUUUUUUCUUUUUCUUUUUUAAAGCAUUGAUGGAUGUUUUGAUGAAUUGAUAUUGUUGUGGCAAGGUGCUGGGUAAGGUUGUGCAAUAUGAAUUGGUAUCUUAAAUGUUGAUUUAACACGAUAUUACUACUGGCAUCCGAGUCGACGUUUAGUACAAGUGGUAGAUUUGUCCACAUAGAAAUAGGCUUUACCCGAAGUCUCUAGAAGCUUUAAUGUGCGCUCAGGAUUGGCUUUGGACUGAUAUUCAUGAUAGAAUUUAUUGUUUUAUAUUUGUUAUUUAUACACUUCCUUUUAUUGUUAAUUUUUUUUAUUGUGUAGAAAAUUUUACUCCUUCAUCAUAGUCUGGAGCUUGUGCAAUGUUUAGCGAGGAGCAAGCUGACGAAGAGGUAUUUUUUUUAUUUAAAUCUUUGUUAAGACAAUUUUGGAAUAGGUAGUAUCGUUGUAUUGUCUAUUUACAUUUCUUAUUUACUGUAUAGGAAUCAACUUUGAGUGCUGAUUGAUACUAGUAAGACUUGUGGGGAAGAAUGAAUCAAGUAACUUCGAUGCACAACAAUCAAGAAUGAAGGAAAAGUUUAGUAUUGUUAUAUUCAUGAUAUUUUCGUUAAAUUUGUAUUUUGCAAUUGGAAAUUGGGAUAAUGUUUACAUCUUCGUUUGAUAAUGUUUGCAUUUUCGUUUGAUAAUGUUUGCAUUUUCGUUUGGAAUAUUGUGUUUUUGUUUUCAUUAAUUUUUUUCAUAAAUUGUUUUAUAACAAUUUGACUGAUGAACCUAUAAAAAAUAAUUUAUUUUCGUGGUUAUUAACCGAACCGAACUGUACCAAAUUGAGAUAAAAAUUGAACCGAAUCGAACCAAUUUACGUGGUUAUGGUGCGGUUAUGAUAUGAUCAAAAAAUUGGUGAUGCGGUUAUGGAUUUGGCCGAACUGGCCCAUAACCAAAAUGUUACCAACCCUAACUACCAACGUAUCACAAUGGGGGUGAUGAACACCUUGUGCAUUUUCUUGGGAGAAAGUGAUUAGGGCCAUUCUAUUGGCUUCUUGAGACUGAUCAACAAUGUAGGUAAUUAUUGGUGGAUCAUUUGCUUCUCGUGUAUAAUUCCUUUGGGCAUUUUUUGUGUUGCCCCUGAUGUGAGGUUCUACAAUGAUUGUAUCACUUUCUCGGAUAGUUUGGCCUCCAGUGGAUGGGGCCUAAUCCCUAUGCCUGGAUUCUCCUCUAUCCCUUGUUUUUCUCCUUCGAGGUGACUGAUUUCUUUGUCGCCUCUCCUCUCUAUUGGAAGAGGCGAAUCUACGCGGGUAUUCUUGAUAGUUAUCCCUCCUGGAGGACCUUAGGUUACACUGAUUUGAAGAUCGAGGAGCAUCCCUACAUUCGCUGGUGUCGUGGCCAUAGAGUUGGUGGAAUGUGCAGAACCUUGCCCCUUUUAGGGGUCUGUUUGAUCGCUUCUUCUUCUUGUGCCGAUUGUUGUUUGUCCCUCCAGAUGUUCUUACUUCAACAAUUGCAUUUUCAUAUGCUAAUAUUGACACUGCAUUUAUCAUGGCUGAUGCCAAUGCUUGUUCGGAUGUGGGAGCUACUGUGUGCCGUGGUUGGGUCCAUUGCUGGGGUCGACCUACCUGCCUCUGAGGCGGAUGGAGUCCCUAGGCUAUACGAUUUCGGUGGUCAAUCAUCUCUUUAUUGACGAUCUCCAUUCUCAUCAUCUCUACCAGGUCGUCAUAAGUGGCUAGAUUCUUGCUACACACAUCCUUCCAUAACAAAGUGUUCAUGUUGAGGCCUUCGUUCAGGGCUAAAAGAGCCUCUCUGUCAGUGACUUGCUCGCAAUAUGUGAUUUCAUCAAUAAACCUGAUGAGAUAGCUUUUCAGCGUCUCUCCAGGAGCUUACUUCAUAUCUUGUAAGCGUUGCACUGGGGCCUCUCAUUCUCUUCGCGAGAGGUACUGGUUUAGGAAUGCCUUCUUCAAAUCUGGCCAACUUCUAAUACUCAAAGGUGGCAGCCUACUGUACCACACUUUGACAGCUCUGGCAAGGUUAGAUGGAAGGCCCUGCAUUUCAGUGCAUGGGAGGCUCAUCUGAGGCUCAUUUGCGUCAUAUACUUGGUGAGGUGCUUUUCUGAGUCUCUCUUUCCCUCAUAUUUAGGGAUUUUAGGGGGCAUCAAGUUUUUAGGCAUUAAGAAGCUUCGGAUCUCCCUUGAGAAGGGGAGGUUGUCAUCAUCACCAUCAAUUUUAUAAGAGUGACAUGGCUUUUCAGUGCCUUUGUUAUCUUGCACGUUUUGGGGAGGUGAAGAUGCUUUUGCUCGACUGUCCCAAUCAACUAAAUUUCUCAUUUCCUGCCUAUUCCCAGGUGGAGGAGAUGCUUGUUCUUGUUCUUGCUCUUGUUGAGCUGAUCUCUGUAUGGAGCAGACCCUACUACUUAGGUUUUGUCCUAUUCGGUCGAAGACACUAAUCGAUCUUUGUGGCUUAUACUCUGGUGGGAAGUUUUCUCCCAGCUGUGGUUCUGCUGCUUGGCUCCCUUGUGCAUAAGAUAUGACAUCUACGCUCACUUUUCUUUCGAUGGGGUGUUACCUGCACUGGCUCGAAUAGCCUCAAUCAUGAGAUGUAGGAACUUGGUCUUUGAGCUGGGUAGGGUCCUUGUGGCAUUUGGAAGCUCUGAUGACCUUGGGCUUGCUUGAAGAGUUCACGCAUCGCCAUAUUUUAAGCUGCAAUGUCUCUUAUGUCUGCAGCUAUUUGAGUAAUUCCUUCAAUGAGUGUGGCCGUUCUUUCACCUCGGCGACGCCAGUGAUGGUGUCUCGGUGAGUGACAUUGGUUCGAAGCACCUCUUCUUCAAAGGCAUCCCUGAAUCUAGGAUUUGCAUCCUCAUUGGUAGAACUCAUUUUCUUGUCUCCUUUUUCAAGGGUAUUAAGAAUUUGUAUUGUAGGUUGACUUAGUACUUUUUCAAGAAUGUUCCCUUCUCAAGGUAAGUCGAUGGUUUUUCGACGGCUUUUUUGGUGGUAAAUGUGGAACUUUUUGGACGAAAAGAUUUUCCACAGACGGUGCCAAUCUAUUAUCAUGUGGCCAAUCAACAGCCACUCCACGCAAUCCUCCAUGCACAUAAUAACGAAAGGUUAGAAGCACACGGCCAGAACUAGCUAGGUGGUGGCCGCCGCAUACACUCCGACGGUCAAGUAAAUGAUCAUUGGUCAGAACAGUGCUCGAAUUGUGCAAGAGAGUGGGGAGGAGAAUAUAUAUAUUUCUUGAAUUUGGAGAGCUAAGUUGAGAGAGUUUCAUUACCCUUGUCUCUUGCCAAACCUCAGGUAUUUAUAGAUGAGAAGCCUCGUUGGAUGUGGAACAUGUGUAUGCAUCUGACGGUGUGAGGCAUCUGUUCAUAGGUAUCACUAAGCCGCGUCUAGAGUGGGCAGGUAAUUAAUUCUUAUGAGUUGAGUUGACAUAAAAUUGAUACAUCACAUCAAUUAGACCCAUGAAAAUGUCACAUCAAUUAACCCAUGGAGAUAAAGAAAGUCUUGACACAGAUAUAUUUCUGAAAUUAACGGCAGAGGGAUCUAUUAAGGAAGCACCUCGAAGUACCUAACUCUUCGGCAUCGGGGGACACUUCAGUUACUUUCAUGGAGUGCCCCAUGUUUCAGCAUCAAGGGACACUUCGGUUGCUUCAGUAGAUUUACUUUGUGAUGCUUGUGCCUUGCAGCACAUCAAGUUGAAGUUUGGCCAAGGUUGACGUCACUUUAGAACCACUUUGAAAGGACAUAUGUUGUCUCGUGGAAGAGUAUGCCUGACGUACAGAAGUGGUUUAGUGAGGGGUGUAACAGCUACUACAUUUGUGAAAGGUUGAGAAUGUCUAUAAUAAAAUGAGAGAUUUUAACUUUUAUUCAUAUAUUUCACAAAGGUUAUUUGGACCGCUACAACUUUUAGAAAUUAAGAAGAAAAAAGAGUAUACUAAUUAACAAUAACUGAAGCAAGUCGGCCUCAAAUCUCUUAUUGCACAAAUGAAAGCAGUAGAAUUACACUUGGAGCCUCGAAGGUUUCCAAUUAUUUCAACAUAAUAGCUACAAAUUAAUUAUAACUUUUCUUUAUGUCUCAUCCAACAAGAGAAUUAGUGAUGAAACUAAAGGAAUGUCUAGCAUGCAUCAAUGCUUGCAUUAUUCAACACAACUUUUCUAAAAAAAUCAAAGGAACCAGUAAUUGUUUAUUUUUAACACCGUCACAUCUUGACCUUCUCAUGAUACCAUGUCGUUCUUCUUCAGUUUUAACAUCAUGUUAACUUCUUAGGCUUUUUUAGGAAAUUCAUCCACAAGGUAGCUGAUCUUUUAGGAAAUUUACUGAGAACCGAGCUCCACGUAGAGGGACCUAUUUCACUGGCCCUUCCAGGUGAGACACAUGUGGGGGUAGGUGAUGUGAUCCCGAGUGUGCUACCAAUUACCAAGAAUUCCACUAGCAUUGGAAGGAAGAUCAAGGUGGAAACAAGCCUAAUGUUUGAACUAAAUUGGAGGCCAAAAGAAGGUGAUAAAGCUGGAAGAUUAUUUGAUCGAAAUUAUGAAGCGCUAAAUAUUGGAAUUAACGGGCUAAGUCAAAAGUUGGGGAUGAAAAUCACAAGCCAACGUCCAAGAUUAAUAUUGAGAUAGAUUGAGCAAUCAAGUUACAAGCCGAAAAAAUGAAUGCCAAAAUAAUUGGCACAGAUUGGUUGCAAAACAAUGGUUGAAUGGCUGUGAACUACAACUAUGCGACCGCAAGGUUGAACCACCCAUGCGGCCGCAUGAACCAUCACAGGGAUUUGAGACCAGGUCGCCAAGUAUUCCAUGCGACCGCAUAGGAAACAGCAAUGUGGUCGUAGCUUUUCUGGCAGGGAAAAUUUCCAGAAAUUCCAGAGCAUCACGGUAGUUUUCUUUUUCUCUUGGAGUCCAAUCUUUUCACGUUUUCUUCAUUAUUUUAGGGUUGUUUUUCCUUUUUAAAAUAGGAUUUUAAUAUUUUUAUUUCAUUUUUAUUAUUUUUAGGGUUUUAGUAUAAAUAGGAAAUUAUUUUCAUUACUGUAUUGGAAGUUUAUGAUGAAUUAAAAAUUAGAGAAUUCUCUCUUUAGAGGCUUGAUGCUUCAACCAUUGUCGAACUUAUCGGGAUGAUUUUCUCAUGGCAUUCAACAAAUCCGGGUGAGAUUCUUAAACUGUGUAUUCAAAAGUCGUUAAUUUAAUAUAUUAAUGGUUGUUUGAGUCAUUGUUUGGGGGUUAAAUCCAAAACCAUCGAUUCAUUGGCACUCUUGGAAACUAUGGCAAUCUUGUUGUGGGUUCAUGAGUGUUCGUUGCUCACGGGUUUGAAUCAGUAGGCCUCACAAUCUUUUUAAUACAUGGGAGGCCUGCCCCCAAAUAGUGAGGGGCAUGUGAGGCCCCUAUGAAGCUGUACCAUAUACAUGUAGCUUUAAUCAUUUAGUCAAACGUCCAUUCAGGAAGUCUACAUAAAAAAAUGCCAAAUCUAACAUUGUAUUUGUACCCUUGGGCCCAUUCAAAAUUAUCAAGCAAUGACCAUACGAAGUAACCCUUCACACGUACACCAUGACUGAGAAUGAAGGAAAAUUAAUCGAUUAAUUUCAAAACAUGCAGUUUUAUUUCAAAUUGAACUACCAUAUGUGUAAAACAAAUGAUGACUUACUCUAUUGCCUUUCUUAGGUAUGCGAGAUGGUCCCUGUGAUACUUAAUCCUAGUUUCAUCAAUACGAGCCUUUGAAAUUGUUAGGGCUUUACUGUUGACUUCAUCCAAGCCUACAAAAUAUCAUGGAAGAAUUCAACAAACCACUAAAUGCUAUGAAAAAAUUGUAAUUUUAAAAUAUUCUUUUGUAAUAUAAAUAAACAAAUGAACACGACUAUAUACCAUUUUAUGUAAUGAUAAUCUUGGGACUAUUAUAUUUUUUUCAUUAUAUGAAGCAUGAGAUGGAAAAUUGCCUUUCGAACGAUGUACAGCCACGGCCAACCAGCCUACCACGAAAUAAGAAAGAUUGUUAUUACAUUAGAUUAUACAUUAGCAUUGGAAAUUAUGUAAACAUAAUUUGUAUUUUAAUUUGUUGUGCCUCUAUUAUGAGUCUAUGUCACAAUCAUGUAUCAUCAUAAUUUUUUGAUAUUCCUAAAUUGUUGUUAGAAUAAUCUAUUCAUUUUCAAUUUUUUCUCACAAAAGGAUAAUGUUAAUGGCUCAGCCGCUGACCAAUCGACUUCCCAUUACAAUAAGCUACAAAAGAAUGAGAAGUAAACAUAUUGUUAUUAGUAGUGUCCAUUUUAUAUCAAGAUAAAAGAAUAUAUAACUGAAUUGUACUUACUGUGAUUAUGCUUGGGCGAGAGUUGGUUCGUUCAUUUUAAAGAGAACCGAACUAAACCAAAAAUUUUCNNNNNNNNNNNNNNNNNNNNNNNNNNNNNNNNNNNNNNNNNNNNNNNNNNNNNNNNNNNNNNNNNNNNNNNNNNNNNNNNNNNNNNNNNNNNNNNNNNNNNNNNNNNNNNNNNNNNNNNNNNNNNNNNNNNNNNNNNNNNNNNNNNNNNNNNNNNNNNNNNNNNNNNNNNNNNNNNNNNNNNNNNNNNNNNNNNNNNNNNNNNNNNNNNNNNNNNNNNNNNNNNNNNNNNNNNNNNNNNNNNNNNNNNNNNNNNNNNNNNNNNNNNNNNNNNNNNNNNNNNNNNNNNNNNNNNNNNNNNNNNNNNNNNNNNNNNNNNNNNNNNNNNNNNNNNNNNNNNNNNNNNNNNNNNNNNNNNNNNNNNNNNNNNNNNNNNNNNNNNNNNNNNNNNNNNNNNNNNNNNNNNNNNNNNNNNNNNNNNNNNNNNNNNNNNNNNNNNNNNNNNGGUUCGAACCAGACAUUUUGCCCAGCCCUAACUACGAUAUUCAACAUGCAGAUCAUUGUCAUAAUGGGGUUGUGGAGUUUUUUCACGUAUAUUUCUGGAAUAAUAAGUCAUGUAAUAAUUUAUACCUAAGAUGUCACAAGAUCCAUUCACUAGCGCCACCUCCUUUUGUUUAAUUUUGGGAAGACCUUUUCUUAUAUUAUUUCUCAUGUAUGGUGGAUAAUCACCAGUUAUUACAGGGGCUACAAACUUGAACAGGAGAAAUGAGGAUUACAAUAGAAGUACUAUCUGAAAUUCUAUAAAAGUAUAUCUGAUGUAUUCUCGAAAAGACACGUGAUUUAUACAAUAUAAAAACAACAAAAAUGUAUAAACAAGUUAAAAUAUAAACAAAAUAGAAGAGAAGAAAUUUUCGAUAAUGAAAUCACAUUUAAAUUACUUCCCUUCACACUAAUUUCAUUUGGAGAGUUAGGAAUUAACAGAGAUGAAGAGAAAUUUGUCUUGGUAACGAUAAACUUCUCAAGCACAUGUAGUAAUUACCAUCCUAACAUAAAAUCAAUUGCCUAUUGGAAAUAUUUCAGAAUUAAGGGAAAUGGAGAAGAAGCAAGAUAGAAAAUAUAUCAAGUAGAUGAAAAUGAUAAAGAAGGCUCGAACACGAUAUCGUUGUCUUCAAACGACAUUUGCCCCCUCUAAGAUACAAUUUUGGUACUUAUAGGGUUCCUAGGCAAAUGGUUUGAAUGAUUAAUCAAGCCUUGUAGAGAAUUUAACACUUAAUCAUUGAUGUAAUUCUACAAAACUCAAGAGCACAAAAGGAGAGGUUUGACCAUGAAUUUCAAUAUAAUUGUAAUGAAUAGUUUGAUCUUAAUUGUGGCUAUAGAUUUUUCAAUAUUUUUUCUAGGUUAUCAACCACAUAUUUAUAGCCUUCAAACAUGCCGUAUGAAGUCGUACCAAAAAAACCUUCAAAAGCUACCGAAAUUUUGAACAAAGAUGGCUACUAACGAUCCUAUGAUUAUUCUAUGUGGUUGCAUAGUAUUAACCUAUGCGACCGCAUAGGUUGUUCGAAAGCCUCUGUGUGUUUGCACCCUUUUAGGGUCUAUGUGGUCGCAUAGAUCAUGGGCUUGGCCCGUAUGUGGUCAUUUGUUUCCACUUUCAUUCCACACAUCUCACUUGUUGAUUUUGAACAACAAUUCUCAUCAAUCCCCACUUGUUCAAAAAUUCAUUAAAUCUCAUAUUCAAGGUUUACAAUGCUCAUGCAUAAGGAUUAGAUAACUUUCGAUUUAAAUCUAACCAUAGCGUAAUAUAAACAAAGUAAAGUCGGAAACAAAGGUAGCAUGAAGUUUUGAACUAGUUAUUCCAGGUGGCAAUACUGGUAAGAACAUAUACAAGUAUCACGCGUUCUCAACUUUCUCAAACUCGCUUAGCGCUAAUAUGGCCUUGCACUUAUCAUUUUUAACAAACUUUUGAGAGAAAAACUCCAACUCUUUAUUGAGGUGGCACCACCUCGAAGUUCUUUUAGGUGAAGUGAUGCAAACCCCGAAGCAACAGUGACUACGAAACCCACAACUAGAUUGAUGCAGAACCCAAGAACGCCAAUUGAUAAUUCGAUUUUGGAUUUGAACCCGACAAAUUGAAACAAGAAACCCAAAGAUAACUGUGAUGCGAUGAACCCCUUUUUUACAAAUUAAAGAACCCACGAUCCGAUGUUGAACGCCACAGAGAAUUAAUCUUUGAUAAGUUAAAAUGAUUGUUCGAAGAAGAACGAAGGAAGAAAGCAAAUUGCCUCUCCUCUUGAAUUCUAAAAAUAAUGUAAUACAAUGAAAAUGAAAUCCUAUUUAUACUAAACCUAAAAAUUAUGGAAAAACGAACUCAUAAUCUUCCAAUAUGGUAAGUAGUUCAAUUGGAAUAAAAUUCUGGCAGAAAAUGUGGAAAAUGCUUAAAAAAAUAAAAUUUCGAAUUUAAGCAUUGCUCGAGCGACAUCAAGCAAAAUUCGAGCGACAACAGCAUCUCUCAAGAGAAGACCCAACGAAAAGCAAGCGAAAUUGGUUUUGCUUUUCUCACUCAAGAGAGGGUCCAGCGAUGAGAGGGCGAAAUUCCUGCACUUCGUCAACUACGUUCUAGACUUGAAUUAAGUUCAACCACUUGGAUUUAGCUCCCGAGCUCAAAACCAAACUUGUUCCUUUUUGCUCCAAGACCAAUGUUUUUUCAACUGUUGAUUGAACUAGCAUUCCCAUUGCCUGGUUGACCAUCUUUGCCUUCGACUUAGUAUCGGACUAGCUCCAACGAUUAACAGAUCUCUACCUAGAUUUGAAUUCUCGACCUUCGGCUCCUAGAUCAUAUCAUCCCCUUUCUCUUCAAAAGGAUUCGUCCUCGAAUCUGCACUUGUAUAAAAAAAAGAUAGACCGGCAACAUUAAAUGUAGCCGAAACAUUAUACUCACCUGGCAGAUCCACUUUUUAUGCAUUAUCAUUGAUUUUCUCGAUGACUUGGAAAGGUCCAUCUCCUCGCGGUUGCAAUUUGGACUUUCUCUACUCCGGGAAACGCUCCUUCUUGAAAUGUACCUAGACCCUAUCUCCAGGCUCAAAUGUCACGCGUCUUCUCCCUUUGUUUACUUUUGAUGCAAUCAACUUACUCUUUUCUUCGAUCUAUAUCUUAACCUUCUCAUGGAGUGACUUUACCAACACAGCUUUUCUUUUACCAUUCAAGCUACCUCGUUCAUUUACAGGCAAAGGCAAUAAAUCCAAAAAAGUUAGUGGAUUAAAGCCGUAGGCUAUUUCAAAUGGUGAAAAUGAAGUAGUAGAAUGCACAGCUCUGUUAUAAGCAAACUCAAUAAAUGGUAAGCACUCUUCCCAAAAUUUUCAAGUUUUUAUUGAUCACAGUUCGAGGCAAUUGAGUUAUGGUCCUAUUUACUACCUCAGUUUGUCGGUGACAAGUUGUAGAAAAUAAAAUUUUAGUUCCUAACUUAUUCCACAAAACACGCCAGAAAUGAUUCAAAAAGUUACCAUCACGAUCAGACACUAUGCUCCUAGGGACUCCUUGCAAUCAUACUAUUUCCCUAAAGAACAAUCCUGCAAUGCUAGUGGCAUCAUCGGUUUUGUGACAUAGUAUAAAGUGUGCCAUUUUACUAAACCUAUCAACCGCUAAAAAGAUUGUAUCUCGACCUCUUUUUGCCCUAGGCAAACCCAACACAAAAUCUAUUGAGAUGUCAACUUAAGGUUCACUAGGUACUGGCAAAGGAAUAUACAAACCAUGAGGUAAAACCUUAGACUUAGCCUUUUUACAAGUUAUGCAUUUUUUUCAAACUCAUUCUACAUCACUUCGCAUUUUAGGCCAAUAAAAAUGUUCUCCUAACAUGUCUAAAGUCUUUUGAACCCUAGAGUACCCCAUUAAACCUCCACUAUGUGCUUUCCUUACCAACAAUUCACCUAUAGAACAAUUAGGUGUGCACAAUUUAUUUUCUCUAAACAAAUAUCCUUCAUGCCUAUAGCAUUUAUCAACAACUCUCUUAUCACAUAAUUCAUAUAUGCUAGAGAAAUCAAUGUCAUUUUCAUACAUGCUCUUUAUAUCUUCAAAACCAAGUAACUUUGUAUUUAAAGAAUUAAGAAGCAUGUACCUUCAUUACAACGCAUCCACAACCACAUUUUCAUUACCUUGUUUAUGCCUGAUGAUGUAGGAAAACAUCUCUAUGAACUCCAUCCACCUCGCAUGUCUCUUAUUCAACUUACCUUGACUUCAUAAAUGCUUUAGGGACUCAUGAUCAGUGUGCAUCACGAAUUCCUUAGGCCACAAGUAAUGUUGCUAAGUCUCCAAUGCUCGAACAAGUGAGUACAACUCCUUGUCAUAUGUCGAAUAGUUUAGUAUAGCUCCGCUUAACUUCUCACUAAAAUAAGCAAUAGGUCUCCAUUCCUAUAUUAACACUGCUCCAAUAUCUAUCCCUAAUGCAUCACACUCAAUCUCGAAUGUUUUAUCGAAGUUAGGUAAUGCCAAAAUAGGUGCUUUACACAAUUUGUCCUUAAUAAUGUUAAAUGCAAGUUCUUGUGCUUCACCCCAGUGAAAACCUACGCUUUUCUAAACAAUUUCAGUUAAUGUUGAUGUGAUUGUGCUAAAAUCUCUUACAAAUCGCCUAUAAAAACUAGCCAAACGAUGGAAACUCCUAACGUCAGUUAUGGUUUUAAGUGUUGGCCACUCUUUAAUAGGUUUUACCUUUUUUUCAUCUACUUCUACACCACUAGUACUCACCACAAAUCCUAGAAAGACAACUUUUUCCGUACAAAACGUGCAUUUCUUGAAAUUAGCAUAUAGUUAUUCUUUCCUUAACACAACAAGCACAUAUUUUAAAUGUUCCAAAUGCUCAUCUAGGUCUUUGCUAUAGAUUAAAAUGUCAUCAAAAUAAACUACAAACAAAUUUCCCUAUGUAAGCACGCAAAACAUGAUUCUUGAAACGCAUGAAAGUGCUCAGUACAUUAGUAAGACCAAACGGCAUAACCAACCAUUCAUACAAUCCAUAUUUAGUUUUAAAUACCGUUUUCCACUCAUCACCCUCCCUCAUACAAAUUUGAUGAUACCUGCUCUUAAGAUCAAUCUUACUAAAAAUGCAAGCACUAUGAAAUUCAUCUAGCAUAUCAUCUAGCCUAGGUAUUGGGUGACGAUACUUUACCGUUAUGUUGUUUAUAGCUCUGCAAUCCACACACAUUCUCCAAGUUGCAUCCUUCUUUGGCACCAAUAGAACAGGCACAACACAUAGACUUAUACUCUCCUUCACAUAUCCUUUGCUCAUCAACUCCUCCACUUACCUCUGAAGCUUUUUUUUUCUCGGGAUUGUUUCGGUAAGCUAGUUUGUUUGGAAUGAUAGCUCCAGGUAUGAAGUCGAUCUGAUGCUCGAUGCCUCCAAUUGGUGGUAAUCCACUUGGCACAUCCUCUAGAAGUAUAUAUUCAAAUUCCUGCAACAAAGACUUAACCAAACUAGGGAGGGGUGUGUUAGAUUCCUCAAAAUUGAGGAAUGACUCUUUUUAUACCAACAACAACAACAAUGUUUACCUUUUAUCAACUUACUCCCCUUCGCAAAAAAGUUUACUUUCAGCUUUUCUCUCCUCUCAACUAACUUUUUUUUCUCCACUCAACUGACUCUUUUUCUCUCCUUUCAUGUGACCUCUCUCUUUUUCCCACUCUCGGCCACCUCACAAUUUUCUCUCUUACUCAGUAUCUCACUAUCUUCUCUCUCUUUUCUAAGCUCUCUCACUCUUCUCUCUUCCUCAUUUUUUAGUUUAAUUUGGUCUUCAUACACCUGUGCCGAUGUUAACGGUGCAAGAGUAAUGGAUUUCCCAUCAUUGACAAAGCUAUACCGAUUCCUAUACCCAUCAUGUGUAACUUUCCUAUCAUAUUGUCAUGGUCUUCCCAACAAGAUAUGACCCGCAAGCAUAGGUAAUACAUCACGUACAACCUUGUCACUAUAACUCCCAAUCGAGAAAUUAAUUAAAACCAGUUUGUUCACCAUAACUUCUCCACUUUCAUUCAACCACUACAAUUUAUAAGGCCUAUGGUGUAUAAGUAAAGCUAAUCCUAAUUUCUCAACUAAAGUUGUGGUAGCUAUAUUUGUGCAACUUUCACCAUCAAUAAUCAAAAUACAUACCUUAUCGUAGAUAUGGCACCGAGUAUGGAAGAUAUUUUCCCGCUGCUACUCCGAAUCAUCCUCCUUGAUUUGAGUGUUAAAAGUUCGCCUCGAAACCAACAAGUCCCCAACAACAAACUCUACCUUAUCCUCUUCUAUGUCAUCGUACUCUCCUUCACUCUCACUCACUACUUCUCCAUUGUCUAGCAACACCAUCACCCGCUUAUUUGGACAUUGAGAAGCGAUGUGCCCAGACCUCAAGCAUCUAAAACACUUGAUUUCUUGACUCUUUGGUCGUUGUGACUCCAUUUUAGGCAUUGCUUUACUAGCAUCUUCAUCUUUUCCCUUUUGUCAUUCAUUCAUGCCUUUAGGUAUAGCCUCAUUUCUUUUACUAUUUUCCCUCCUCGAUUUCUAAGAUGAAUUAGAACCCGAAGUACCGAGUUGUUGCCUAGCUGUCCCUUUCCUCUUCAACCAUCUCUCCACCUUAAUGGACACAUGCAUCAUGUCUUCUAAUUUCUCAUAAUGCUGCAACUCAACUACAUUAGUAAUUUCCCUAUUUAAACCAUUCAAGAACCUUGCCAUAAUAGCUUCCCGGUCCUCCACCACAUUUGCUCUAAUAAUGAGUAUCUCCAUUUCCUUGUGGUAAUCCUCUAUACUCUUUGACCCCUGAUACAAGCUUUGCAAUUUUAAGUGGAUCUCCCUAUAAUAGUGGCUAGGAAUGAACUAUUUUCUCAUCAAUGCCUUCAACUCAUCCCAUGUGCUAAUUAGUCUUCCCCCACUCCUACAUUGUGAAGUAACCGCUUGAUCCCACCAGGUUAUGUCAUAGUCAAUGAAUUCUAACACUGCCAACUUGACGUUCUUCUCCUCCAAGUAGUUAUAACACUCAAAAACUAAUUCUACCUUUCUCUCCCACUCUAAGUAUGCUUCCGGGUCACUUCUCCCUUUAAACUGUGGAAUGGUCAUUUUGAUACUACCCAGAUUCCCAUCCAUCUCAUCUCCAUGAUUAUUCCUAACCCGUCUUUCAAACCUAUAGCCUCUAUUCGUCAUCCAUCCCAAAUCAAUGUCAUUAGCCUCAUACUCAUCUAGAUCACUAUCAUAUUCCUCAUACCUUACCUUCCUAGGUUCUCGCCUACUUAGUCCCCUAGCAUUUGACAUCUCUAUUGGCUGUCCCUUAUGAAGAUUAGCCACUGAUGCAUCUAACCUAGUCAUCCAAGCCUCCUGUUGAUCCAACCUAUCCCUCACAACUCCAAAAGUACUCUCAAAUCGCUGUAUCAAAUCAUUUAUUGCACCGUUAUGAUUGCUGUGUUGGCUUGAAUUGGGAUCUUCUCAUUUAGACAUCCUAAAACUAGAAAUUUUUAUUUGCCUCAUCCGUAUUCACUCGAAAAUCACAAAAUAUGGCUUUUACCCUCUAAUAAGCUCACCAUCUACCUUUUACCACUCAAUGAUUUCAAUAAGUGCUUCCAAGAACAAUCAAUGAACUCACCGGAUUCAAACUUUGUGGACUCAAGACCGAAUGCAAGUCAAGGAAUAUAAUUUAAGGGAUUUUCGAACAAUGGAAUUGGAAUUUUGAAAAGACUCAACUAAACAAUUUAACAAUGGAGGUGUAAUAAAGAUUUUAAAAUGAUUUUGACAACUUUGAAUUUUUUUUUUUUUUUUUUUUUGUGAAUCAAACUUGGAAUGUUGGUAGUAAACCCAUAAAAAAAAAAUUAUGUGAACAGUAACUCUUUUUUUUUUUUUUUUUAUAAAACAACAACAAGAUUAUACUACCAAAAAAAUUUCGAUCUAAGAACAAGGAACAAAGAAUGACUCUAGAACACAAAAGGAGAACUAGGAAACGAAAGAAAUUGGCGAACAAACAAGAAAACAAAGAUAUAACCUAAUUAUAUUGGAGCCAAAGCUCUAAUACCAAUUGAUGUGAACCCUGUAGCAACAGUAAUUAUGAAAACCCAUUAUUAGAUUGAUGCAGAACUCAAGAACACCAAUUGAUAAUCUGAUUUUGGAUUUGAACCCGACAAACUGAAACAAGAAACCCAAAGAUAAUUGUGAUGCGAUGAACCCCUCAUUUACAAAUUGAAGAACCCACGAUCCAAUGCUGGACGCCACAAAUAAUUAAUCUUUGAUAAGUUCAAAAGAUUGUUCAAAGAAGAACGAAGGAAGAAAGUAAAUUGCCUCUCCUAUUGAAUUCUCAAAAUAAUGUAAAGUUCUAAAUGCAAUGAAAAUAAAAUCCUAUUUAUCUCAUAAUCUUCCAAUAUGGUAAGUAGUUCAAUUGGAAUAAAAUUCUGCAAAAAUAUGGAAAAAUGCGUAAAAAAAUAAAAUCUUGAAUUUAAGCGUCUCUCGAGCGAUGUCGAGCAAAGACCCAGCUAAAAGCGAGCGACAUUGGUUCAACUUUUCUCGCUCGAGCGAGGGUCAAGCGAUGAGCAAGCGAAAUUUCGGCACUUCAUCAACUUCGUUUUGGACUUGAAUUAAGUUCAACCACUUGGAUUCAGCUCCUGAGCUCAACACCAAACAUGUUCCUUUUUGCUCCAAGACCGAUGUUUCUUCAACUGUUGAUUGAACUUCUUUGCCCUCGUCCAAGUCAUCGGACCAGCUCCAACGAUCAAUGGAUCUCUGCUCGGACUUGAAUUCUUGACCUUCACCUCCUGGAUCAUAUCAUGAAGUUCUUCUAGUAUCUUUGGUACAUUUAGAGAUACUUGUAUUUAGUACUUAACUUCAUUAUGAGCUUGAAGCCCAAUCCUCAAUCCAGUAACAACCAACAUUAUUUAAUUAGGAUAGGGUUAUCAUGGAUUUUUAUAAUGUUGAAACUAUCUAUAUAUCAAAUGAUUUGUUGUUACUCUUUGAACCCGUGGAUUACCCUUUGAGUAAUGACAGGUAGGGUUGCCGUCAUUGGUGGACCUUUUAAUUUAGGAGUUUCAACCUCAUUAUACUUGAAGUAGAUGCUAUUAAUUCUCUAUUUAGAGGUUUAGCUAAAGGAUCUACUAAGUUCUUGAUUGACUUUACAUAAUUUAAGAAAAUUGUUCCAUCCUUAAUUAAUUUCCUUAUGAAGUCACGUCUAAGACUUAUAUGUCUAGAUUUUCCAAUACGUGUGACUUAUUAUCUUAUCAAAUGUAGCUAGCCAAUGAUCAAUUCAUUUAAUAGAUACAACUUGUCACUAUCACGAAAUCCUCUUAUGAAGCUAUGUGCUUCUCACUAGCUUUAUCUAAAGCUUUAUUGAUUUCCAAACACGGUUGGAGGAUUCAAAUUAUCACAUUAGUCAAUCACUUUUGCUAGUGGAUUUCAUACAUGGGAAUUCAAUUCUCAUCAUUAAAAUAUUACAAUGACCUUCAAUAUUAUGAAUAUUCUUUAAAUAUUCCAUUUGUUUUUGCAAAUGCCAUAAUCGGCUUUAACCUAUUUCAUCCACUUUAGACUUAGUGUAUAUCAUCAUUAUAAUCGUAUAAGGAUUUUCUACAUUUUCUCCUCCAUAGACAUCUUUCUAUGAUUAAAACGGCACAAGAAACUGUGACUUUUAUACUAAGUUAGCCCUACAAUUCCUUAAUUAGGAAUACAAAUGCAAUCUAGUAAUGUUGCAUUCACAAGUCUUGAACUUCUCAUAUAAUUUCACAAGCAUUAAUGUUAACGCCCACAUUUUGGGUUAUAGUUGAACUCAGAGUUCAUUAAAUCUUUCAUAAUUUAAUUCAUUUAUCACUUUGAUAAUAUCCGUGAAAGUGUAUAUACUUUCAGAUAGUGUUUGUUAAGUCACAAUGUACUUCAAUCCAACAAUCUUUAAUUUUGAUCACACACAAUUUAAUCAAGGUCAUUUCAUAGAUCAAAAUGAUUUUCCAAGCAUAAACCAACUUAAAUGGUUCCACGAUUGAAGUUAAAUUUAACAAUGAAGAAGACUAAGCAUCUUGGUUCUCAAGAAUUGGUACUUCUCCAAAUAUAAGUGACUUAUCACUUUUGUGACCUUUCAUAAGUUAGCAUCAUAUCACAUCAAAUAAUGAGGUACAUAUUCACUUUAUUCAUAUUUGGAUAAAAUAACAUUUUGUCAUGUUCAUUUUCAAAUAUAAUUUUGUAUAAAUCAUCUCACAUAAUUUCAUCCAAUUAAUUGAAGCUAUCAUCAUAAUCAUAGUUAGUAUGAUUUUAACAAGAUGUGAAAAUUUAAAUUUCAACAAGAUCAAUCAUAUAAUUUUUCAUAUUUCAAUAAAAGGAAUAGUCAUGAAAGUUCAUAUACUUUCAACCAAUAUUUGGUAAUCUUCCAACAUUAUCAUCCCAUGCAUAUGAACCAUUUCCAAUUGUUACGAUAAAGUGAGAAUAAUCAAUUUAUUUCAUUUUCCACAUGCAGUAACAGUAACAUUCAUAAAAAAUUGGAAUAAGUCAAAACUUUGGAAAGUCAUAUCUUUUCAUCUUUCUUAUUAGGUUGAUACUUAUUAAAAGUAUUCUAUUUGUCACAAUUUAAAAAUAAUCAAUCAUAUAGAUCAAAAAACAUACUCUACAGUUUUACUCUGCCAAUGGUGAACAUAGUUUAUUACAUGAAUAGAUGCAAUUUGUAACUUUCAACCGCAUAUGGUUUUAAUUGACCAAUUUUCAAUUUCAACUUAAAAACCACAAAGGAAAUAACACAUUGCUUGUUAAACAUGAUAUCCAAACCAUAAACUAUGAAUGUUUACAAAUUUCAGCAAACGAUCAUGCACAUAUAUACUUUGACAUGAUAAAAUUGAACACAAACCAGAAUAUGCAAAUUUGGACCAAAAGUCAUGCAUAAAUUCGCCUUUUCACAUUAUAGCAAUGUAGGCAUUCAUAUAUUCUUUUUCUAUCAACAGCAAUCAUUUGACCAUUGAAAUAUAAUGCACACCAUAUAAAUUAAUAUCCAUUUGGUGGGUUUCAUCUCCUUUGUUUUUCAUAUGUCAAAACUAUAUUUAUAUAAUGAAAAUAGAUGUUCAAUCCGUUUUAUGCAUAUAAAAUCAGAUUAAUAUGUAGUCAAAACCCACAUAAAUUUUUUUUCAUGUGCGAAGAUCGAAUAAAAUUUCGACUUGCCAUAAUGGAAUUUGAGAAAACGAAAUGGUAAUUACUAGAAUCGAAUAUGUGAUGAUGGAUUCAAUCCUUUCCAAAACAUUAUCUCCAAUGCCGUUAGAAGAAACUCCAACUUGGCAUACCAUCUUGUGAAGUUUGUCCCACCAAAAUGGUCCAAACAAGAUCUUGAUUCAUCAACUUGAUCGUAGCCAUUAUGGUUUCAUUCUCCAUAGCAGAAAUAUCGUUUGAGAUCGUUGGAAAUAUUUCACAACCAAGGGAAGUAGAGAAGAAACAAGAUAGAAAAUAUAUCAAGUGAAUGAAAAUGAUGAUGAAGGCUUGAACAAUCCUCAAAUGAUACUUGCCCCCUCUAGGAUACAAUUUUGGUUCUUAAAGGGUUCAUUGGAAAAUGGUUUGAAGUAUUAAUCAAGCCUUAUAAAGAAUUUAGUACUUAAGCACUGGUGUAAUUCUCCAAAACUCAAGAACAUAAAAGGAAAGGCUUGAAUAUGAAUCUGAAUAUAAUUGGAAUGAAUAGUUUGAUCUUAAUUGUGGCUAUAGAUUUUUCAAUAUUUUUUCUAGUUUAUCAACCACAUAUUUAUAGCCUUCAAACAUGCCAUACGAAGUGGUGCCAAAAAACUUUUAAAAACCACAUGAAAUUUAAACAAAAUGGCUACUAAUGGUUACAUGAUUACCCUAGUAUUAGCCUAUGCGACCGCAUAGGUUGUUCAAAGCAGGGCUUGCUUCUAUGCGACCAUACCUUUAUAGGGUCUAUACGGUCCCAUAGAUCACGUGUUUGGCCUGUUUGUGGCUGCUUGUUUCCACUUUCAUUCCAUACACCUCACUUAUUGAUUUUGAACAACAAUUCUCGUGACUGCCCUCAAAGCAGCCUAUUCAUCCUCCUGGGUGUUGUCCCUUAGUGGAUAAAACCAUGUUGAAACAUUUGUCACCCCUUUUUUUGCCUCCUUGGUGUUCCUGUAUGUACAAAUGUAAUAAUAUUUAUAAUCAAUAGUUAAAUCUCAAAAGUGUUUAUUUAUAUGUGUGUUUGAAAUGAAAACUUGAUAAUAUUUCCUAUACAUAUAAACCGCAUGUGCGCGAGCAAGGAUCAAAUUGUGUGCCACAAUAUAUGGAUCAGUGCCCGGAUUUCCAUUUGAGAAAGUCUGGUGAGGCAAUUUUUGUGCCAUAGCAACUAUUUCUCCGAUUGGAUCUCUUUUAGAGGAAUCAAGUUCUCUGACCGGAUCACCUUCUGAAGAAGUAAAGUGAGGAUUAGUCAUUGGACAUAUGUGAUGAAGGAUCGAAGAAUGCAUCAAUUGUUUUAUUGAAGUUUCAUUUGCUAAAGUUGCACGAGGGGAGAAAUUGCCUGUCACAUAUCCAUAAUAAAUAAAGGCCCAUCGCUCAAUUUAGUGUGAUCCAUUGUUUUACUCGAUUACCGAAUUCCUCAAAGCACAUCUUAGCAAACUCACAAAACGCAACGUGAAACAAGUUAAUAUCAAGAUAUACGUGUAACGUGCACAUGAUAAAAAUUUUCACAUAUCAUGUUAAAUUCUCCCUAGCAUAGAACUAGAGAGCAGUAAACAAAAAAGAAAAUAUUGAAAUCAUCUCCCUAUCAUAGAACUAGACAGCAAUAAGAAGAAAAGAUACUCUCUAGCAUAGAAUUAGAGAGCGCAAAAAGAAGAAGAGAUAAAUUCAAUGUGAAAUCAUAUUGAAGAUUGGAAAAUAACCAAUGACUUAUAAGGUAUACAAGUGCUCUAUUUAUAGACACGGUACAAUAGCAUUAUAGCUGGACUUCAACAGAUUUAACUGACUAACUAUAUUUAUUCUAAGUAACCAAACUAACUAACCAACUAACUAACAUAACUACAUAACAGCUGGAAUCAAGAUUGGAAUCUGGUGAGCUGAACUGGAAGGGAUCUACUAAUAUGUAUUGUUUCUGGUUCUAUAUUGUAAGAGCCCCCCUCAAGAGGGGCAUGGAUGUUCAAAAUGCCCAUGUUGCAGAUAUUGGAAUGAAGCAUGACAGAUGAUAGAAACACCAUAUGGUUCAAUUUAGAUUCCAGCAGCUAAAUAUCCAAGAAUAGAUUUUUCAGAAUCACAUGGUACUUUCUGGAACACGUCAAUGGAAAGACUAUACCUCCGCGUGCUAUUCUUCAGUUUUUCACAACUAAUGACUUUGUUUUCAGUAAACAAAAGGUAAAGCCAAGAUCUUAACAGCUUAUCCUCAAUAAACUAAGAUCAGAUUUUAUCACAGAUAAGAAACCAAAAAGGAGUAACAAAGCAGAUUUCGAGAGAGAAAAUUAGGAAUUAUAUUUCAUGAUGGGUAAAAUAUAUAUGGAAACUAUAGAUAGAAUUAUGUAACUUCUAAUUUUUCGUGUCAUCCUAUAACACGAGAAUUAAUAGAGAAAGCAUAUUGAAGAGGAAGAUCUAAAACAUACAAAAGGAAUUCAAGAAUCAAGAAGAAGAAUUCAAGAAUCAAUAAUUAAGAAUCAAGAUUAAAGAUCCGAAAGUCAAGACUCAAAGAUUAUAAUUCAAAAUUAAUUAUUCGAGAGACAAAUUAAUGGAUCGAGGUAUGUUUUGCAUUAAUUAUUCUUUUUUGUUGAUUUGACAUGGAGAUCUUGACAAUUAUGUAAAGUUUAUAAAGUUUAAUUUUCAUAAAUAUUCAACAAGUGGUUUCAUAGCCAAUCCAUGUUAAACUAUUGAGAUUAAAGGAAGAGUUUUAAUGUUGAAAUUCAUAAUUAGUAUAUAUAUAUAUAUAUAUAUGUCGGAUAAGUAAAGAAGGAAUCAAAUGCUAUCCCGAUCUCAUAGAUGCACUUUUGGCUAUAUAUAUAACAUUUAAAUUGAGGAAAUUGCUUGGCAACGUCAUUCGAAGUUUCAAAACUUUUUGUCCUUUGAUCUAAAGAUAUCAUUUUUCUCGUCAAAAGUUUUUCUAAAUUUAUCUCAUCCUUUUCCAUGAGUUACUAUGCAAGAUUGUCGAGACUUUCUAGUCCAUUUAGACAACUGAGCCCUACUUUUCAGUGAGAACAAUAAACUCUACAUUGUCAACAAUCUCGUCUGCUUUGCCAAGUGAGGAUUUUGAUAAAAGGCAGUAUAGUCAUAUAAACUUUCAAGAAAAAAGCUCUUUGGCCUAAAAAAAUUAGAUUACUUGGAAAACUUUGCCUUUCAAAUAAAAUAAUGCACAAACUCUAAAUCUUCCACGUUUCAAUAUUGAAAUAAAAUAUCUAUUUUUAUAUUUUUAUUGAAGUAGAAUCCAAUACUUGGUAAGAUUCUGGACCAUGAGAUUGAAAUCUAUAAGAAUUCAAACCUUCUUCAUCAAAGCCACAUCUUCCUGCAAAAUUAUGAGCACAAUUAACAAUGAAACAGAUAAUUCUUGGUGUCUUAAAUUAGAGCACAGUCAAUCAUAAUGGAAAUAAUUUUUGUUUCUACCAUUUUUUUUUUCAAAAUUGAAAAUUUUGACUUCAAAUGUAACUAAGUAUCAACUCUGUUAGGUCUAAGAGUGUAAUUAGUGAUUUUGGGAAUAAAAGGGAUGUAAUUGAAUGUUUGUAAAAGUUAGGGACUCAAUUGAACAUUGAUGUAAAAGUCAGGGCCUUGCAUUGCAAUUUUGUAAAGUUGGGUAGGCUAGGGUUUACACUUGAGGCUAGGGUAAAGAUACACCAAAACUUCGCUGGCCGCUCGCCUGACCAAUGCUCGAGCAUAAAAAGAAGAGAGCUCGUCACUCGCUCUUCGUCCCCUCAUCGCUCGAGCGAUAAUGUUUUGCCAGUAAUUCUAAGUCUAAUUUUUCGAGACUUUCACAUGGCCCAGGACUCUCAUCUAUCCCCAGAUAUAAAUACAAAGGUCGUGAACGAAAGGAGGAGAUUGCCACAUUGUGCCUACAUUGCAAAACAUCUUCCUACAUUCUUUCAAGAGGUCCAAGAUUGAAUUGAUCAAGGAAUUCAUCUAUAAUAUCUUGUGAUUUGGGCAAUCUACCAUGGGAAAACAUCAAAGUUCGUGAAGACAAAACAACGUGUCUUCCUUCAUCCGUUGAGGAAGAGACUAUCUCAUUGGGGAUUGAGAGAGGUGGACGUCAAGCACAGUGAAUUGGACAAGAAUAGGCGAUUCUUGAAAUUCCAUUUUGUGAUACAAUCAGCUAAGGACUAGAAGGUUAUAGUGGAUCGUGAGACUGGAGCAGUGGGUUUGAUUGGGUACGAAGUUUGGUGUAACUUGUACUUGCUAAAUUGGUAUAGUAGACAUCACUGGCUUGGUCUUGGAGUUUUUUUUUCCACAUUGGGUUUCUCUGGCAACAAACUGUGAGUUGUGUUGAUUUAUUCUUUUACAUAUUGCAAAACGAUAGUUCAAUAUAGGAUUAACAUGACUUGUAUGUUUAACCAUCUAGAUUAAUUAGUGACUUUUUGCUAUUAAUUGUAUUAAUUCUGCACGUAAGGUCGAAUUGGUAACUUGGAACGUAAACUGGGUAAAGCAUAAAAUUUGAAUUUAGGAUUAGUUCAUUUUACAAGUAGUAUCCAAAGCGUUCCUAGAACUUUCAAGUGGUAUCAGAGCCUAAGCACGAGUCCUGACCUUACAUUGUCUAGAUGAGUAUGUCAUUGAGUAUGCCGCCCCAUUUUGAUGGGAAUAAUUUUGCGUAUUAAAAAGUAAGAAUGAGGGCAUUUUUGAAGCUAUCACUACAACAAAAAUGUGAUUUUGCGACAAGAUAUUUUGUGAUAUACGAAAAGUUGUCGUAAUAAGUGAUUUAGCGCAACACAUUUUUUAAGUUUGUCGCAAAGAUUGACAUGAAAAAAAUAAGUAACAAAAAAUAUAAGGCGACAUUAAAAGUUGUUGUGAAAUGUGAGAAGGUGCGACAAAUAAUAAAGAUUGUCACCAAAAACUGGAGAGAAGCAAAAUGCCAAAAAUAUUUUUGGUGGGAAAUUUAUGGCUACAAACUUUUUUUUUUGCAACAAAGUGUGUGUGAUGCAAUAGAGUCCACUUUUUGCGACAAGGAAUAUGUGUUGCUAAAAUUUCUAUAGAUAGAGGAAAAAAUCGUUACAAGAAAAACUAUUUUUUACAACGGACAAAAAAUGUAUCAUUAGGUCUUUCGCAACACUCACUCGUAUGUUGUAGGUUCUAAUGUUGUCGUAGAGUAGAAAGAUAUGGCAACAUGCAAUGCAUGUUUCAAAAGGUCUCAAAUCACGUUGUUGUUAUGUUUUUGCAAUGUACCGUGUCAUAGCUUUUAUUAUAUUUCGCAAUGCUCUUUGCCUAUUGCCUUAACUUCUUGCAAUGUUCUUUUAUUUUUUUGUAACAAAUGUUUAUUUUUCAUCUAGUUAAAGAUGACAUUUUAAUAUGUACUACAAUUUUUUUUUUAAAUUUUAAUUAUUUUUGACCAAGAGAAAAAUUAUUUAAUAAAAAUUUUGUAAACUGUCAAGAAUAACUUUAUCUUCAACCAAAAAAAAAAAAAAAAGUUCAUUAGACAAUAAAAGUUUCAAUCAUAUAAUAACUUAUAAAAAGAACUACUAUGCUGAACCAAUUAAAAAAAAAAAAAAUAAGCAGUAAAAAUGACCAUCUUUUUUUGGUAUUAAAAAAUUAAAAAAUUGUUUUGUUUUUUAAUUUUCUAUUUUACCCUUCAACCUAAUAAAAACACCCACGAUUAAACAUUAUUUUAUUCCCAGCCAAAUUUCGCAAGGGUUUCUUCCAAGUAAAAAUCCCCAAAUCCAUAUCAAUUGGCGGCACAGUCCAAUAGGCCACCACCACUCUUCUCACGCCUCCAUUGCCGUCAACCGCAUCCAAAGCGUUUUCUACUUACUGCUUAUCUGAGAAAUUUUAGUAGGUCGAUUUGCAUUUUUUUCCCCUUCUAAUCUGUUGAGGAGAAACUUAGAUUUACAAUUUUGGUUUCUUCUUUAUUUGGGUUUGAUAUGUGUAUGUUUAAUCAUACAUUUUUCUUGUUGAUUUGAUGGUUAAGCAAUGCACAAAUGUGCUUAUGAAUUUCUUUCGUUUUAAUAUACGAGAAGGGUGUUAAUAUUGGGUUUAAGUCCCUGAACGGUUACUUUUGCUCCCUUCUCUCAUCAUCUUAUUUCUAUAAUACUCUAUGCUAGAUUAGAUUAUAGAUAUGAUCUGCUAAACCAAUUAUUUUUGUGACUUAUACGCCAGUUUCUAUGUUGCACAAAGACAGAGUUUAACAAUGGCUUAUUAGAUUAGUCAAAACAAAUGAUACCACAGUUCUUGUUUUACAGUUCGAAGUUUAGUUGGCUGCCUUCCCAUUAUUGAUGUGUUUCAUAAUUAUUUCUGGGUAAUGGGUGGUUUUUUUAAAGGACGUGUCGUCACUCUUCAUGGAUGUUGUUAACUACAGGGAAAAGAAAAUUUGGACCUGGAAAAGCUAGUUUAUUUACAUCUCGUCGUAGUCUGAUCUUGUUAUACUUGACGUGAACACAACGGUGAAGGUAAUAUGCACUAAAAUGUCAAUCUUCUUCAAAUUGAUACAUUUUGAGCAUAUUCUUACACUUCUAGACUUACAAUUUAUGUUGAAUUAUGAUAUGAUUUUCCACCAAUUUCUUGCACUCAUAGAAUAUAUAGUUUGCAGAAGGUGGUCAUCUCAAAUGGAAGCCCAUUUGAACUUUGCAAGUUUUUUUAUUUUCAUUAACUUUAUAUAAUCUUCCUAGAAUAAGAUUGAAUUCUGUUGUCCAUGAGUUUAUUAGUCCUACAAAUUGCAAGCAGUUUUCCUAUUUGAGUUAUUAAUUGUUACUUGUACAAGGGAAGUACUUAUUCUACGAAAAAAAUAUGUAUACUAAAUUUGUAUAUGGGAAAAUAUGUAUUCUAGAACCGACCUAUUAUAGUAAAUAAUGCAGAUGUAUUUUGUUGGGGGCUAGUUUCAUGAGAACCAACUAUUUCCACCCUUGUUGCUUUCAGCUUCGUCACAAGAUCCUCAUUUGUUAAAUUCUCUAUUGUAUUUAGGUUGACUAUUAGAAUUUGUUUCAUGAGUUAAUUAUUGCACUAAAUUGGAAGUGUUCAAAAGAAUCUAAUUUUUAGAAUAUCCAUUCCAGUAGCUUAUUCUUUUGUUUUGGUUAACAUUGUUUGUUGUUUUCACUAAAAACUACUAACUAAAUAUUCUCUUUUGUAUGGUCUAUGUGAAUACAGAGAUAUACAUGCUAGAUAGGAGUUGGAUGCAACUUUGUAACAAAUUAAGUGAUCAAUAUUUAGAUGGUGUUAAUUCAAGAGGUAGCAAAACAAUGUUUGGAUGAGAACAACGAGGUUCAGUGUCCAUGUCGAAAUUGUCAAAAUGCAUUUAUGGUAGAAUCUCAUUUAUAUCAUCCCAAAGUCUCUGCAAGUUAUGAGAGAGAUUUUUCAUGGGGUGGAACUUGAGAAUGAUACGGAGGGUGUUGAAAGAAAUACAUCUAAAUUGGAUGAAGCAGAAAAUGAUGAUGAGAUGAUGAUAUGUUAGAAGACCUAUGUGCUGCUAAAGUCAUUUGAAGCUGGCCAAACUCGAGAGGGGGAAGCAUAUGGCAGAAAUCAUAAUUUCUCACAUAUGAUGAUGCAACAAACUCUCUGUGUUGUGAAAUAAAUUUAAUUACAAACAUCACUUGUUUUAUGAUAAACUGUAUUAUAAAUUUUGAAUAUCUUAAAAUAUAUUAUGCAACAUAUCAAAUGCAUUGUAAAUCAUAUUUCGCUACAAAUUUGACUUGUUAUUAAAUAUAUAUCGCUAUGAGCAUGUGUUGUUGCAAAAUAGAAUCGGUAACAAAAUUUAUACCUUUAAAAUAAUAUUCGCAAUAGAUAUUUUUCUUGGAAAAACUUUAUAGUAAUAAUUGUUGCAACAGACUGGCUUGUCGCCUUUUUAAUUUUUAGCGACAAAUAUGAGUUGCGACGACACUAUGAUGACAAAUAUUGUGUUGCUAUUUCAUACUUUCGCAUCAAAUAAAUAAUGUUGUGAGUUUAUUAAUGCGAUGAACCGGUGAAAGUUGUCGCAAAAUAUAUUUUGUGACUCAUAUAGCGUGAUAAUGCCUGCAACAAGCGUCUAGUUGUUGCUAAAUUUCUUUUGCAACAAAAUCUCAAUUUUUGCGACUAUUUUUUUGUCGCGAAAUCGGUUAUUUUUUUUUAGUGUAUGGAUGAGAGGAUAUGGUUAAGUGUUGUGAAUGGUUGGUCUGCCCCUAGUACCACAGUCGAUGGUGUUGUCACUCCCACCUCCAUAGAAAAUUGGUCUAGAGUUGAAUUAGAUAAAUGUAAUUGGAAUAGUAAAGCCUUGCAUGCCCUAUUUAUGGCUAUUUCCCCUGAAGAAUUUAGGAAAGUGUCCAUGUGCGAGGUAGCAAAGGAAGUUUGAAAUAUUUUAGAAACCACACAUGAAGGAACUCAGGCAGUUAAGAAUUCUAAACUGCAGAUGCUGGCCACUAGGCUUGAAGAGAUAAGAAUGAGAGAUGAUGAGAUGUUUGAUGUAUGCGAGCCUAAAUGACAAAGUGAAUUCGUCCUUCUAUUAAGGGUAGAAAAUCCCCGAGUCUAAGAGAGUGAGGAAGAUUCUUAGAUCCUUACCCGAACGUUUUAGGCCUAAAGACUCUGCAAUUGAGGAAAGUAAGGACAUAGACACUAUCAAUGUAGAAGAGCUAGUUGGAUCCUUCCAGACCUAUGAGCUUACCUUAAACAAUCUAGCUAAGGAAAAAUCUAUAGCCUCGAAAUUUGCUCGGAAUAACUGGAUGGAAUCUUCUGAUUCACAUUCACCCAACAAUGAGGAGAUCACCUACUAACUAAGAAAUUUCAAAAAAAGUUUAGGAAGAAGAAGCUGCAAGAGAAACUGAGAAGUAGCCUCAGUGACUCUAGGAGAAAGUCUAAAUCUGUGAGAUGCCAUAAGCGUGGAGGUUUUGGCCAUUUCAAGAGUGAGUACCCUAAUGCUAAGAUAGUCAAGAAGAAGGCUAUGAAUGCUACUCUCACUAAUGACGAGUGUAGCUCGAACAGUCAGAGUGAGAAAUCCACACAUGAGAAGAGUGGAAAAUAUAUGGCCUUCAUUGCUUGGUUAAGAGUGGAUCCGAACAAGGUAGUGAAAGGGAUGAUGAUAUAGAUGGUAGUGAAGAAUCUAGUGAUGAGAAUGGAAGUGAGAAAGAUCUUGAAGAAGCUUAUGAUAAAAUUUAUAAGGAAAGUCUCAAGAUCAUAGCUACUAACCAAGUGCUGAACAAGAAAGUGAAAGAACUUAGGUUAGAGAAAGAAUAUUUAGAGGCCCAAGUUAGUGAUCUCACCAGUAAGAAUGAUAUGUCCUCUAGGAGAGUAAGUGAGCUAACCGAUGGAAAUAAGACCUUAGCUAUUUGGGUCAAGCACCUUGAAAGUGAGCUUGAGUUGUCUAGUUCUCAGAUACUUGUCUUUUCUAGCAAUUUUGAAAAGCUAGAUAAUAUUUUAGGAAUAGGUAAGCCGAUGGGUGAUAAGGGAGGUCUAGAUUUUAAUAAUAAUGCUGCUAGUAAUUCACAAACCACUUUUGUUCGUGCUACUGACCAAUCUAACACUGUGGUUAGCCCCAUAACUAAUGUUGUGGAAUCUUUAGGACAGAGGUCUACCAAACAUCGUAGGAUCCAUCAACAUAGGAAUAGAACUCAGCGUCACCAUAACCAUAGUGCUAGGUUCAUCCCUACUUACUUUCACUGUGGAGAGUUAGGUCACAUACGCCCUAGAUGUCAUCAGUACUUGAACAAAAAUAGGAACAUGAACUUAAAUGAGAACAAAAAUUAGGUGUCUGUUGGUCAGAUUGGAUUCCUUACUGAGCUAGUGAAUUGUUUGACCAAGUUGGUGACACAACUGUCGGGGAACUGCUCUCUCGCGAGAUAGGUUUGGGUGAAAAGGAGUGAUCUACAGAAUCUGGAAGUGGAUCAUGAUGCUCUUAAAAAAAAUAACACUUAUAUAUCUAGAUAAUUAGGUAUAUGUGAUGCAUGCUUGCUCUUAAUUGACAAACGAGUGUUGCAUGCAUCACAUGAUUUUUGCUUAUUUUUGUCUAAUCUUUUUAUUUUAUGCAUGUGCAUUUUCAUUUUUUUGCUUUGACACAUGCAUAUUUAGUUUAAUCUUUGUGUGCUUGUCUUUAUUUUCUUUUGUGUGUGGAGCAUUCAUUUUAGGAAAAAUGAAAAAUACAAAAAAAAAAAAAUUGAAAAAGAUAAAAACGGUCAGUUAUGAAAAUUGCUAUAGCCUCUCCUCCCGAGCCUCAAUUCAAUCCUAUUGAAUUGAGUAAGGCUCGUACACCCACUGGGGCUGUCUAUCCAUGUAGGGCAGAAUAAUCUUGUGCGCGAACCCAACAAGGUAUGGAUACAGAUAGCGGUUCAUGAGGUCCGCGUGUGCCUCGCUGAAGAUUUUGAUCUUCGAAGUUAUGACCUGAUUUCUUAUGUAAACCAUAAGGAGAGAGUGACAGGUGCUUGGCCUGAUGGUUGAUGACCAACCUUCUCGUGACCUUGCUCGAUUUUCGCGUCUAUAGAGGUGCCCUUAUGUUAUUGUCUUUCGAUCAUUCGGUUUAGUUCUUCAUCGAACCUAUGAUUUCAGGGAUUGCUCCACUCCGAUUGUGUUACUGAUUCCGUUGUCGAAGAACAAUCAGACAUAUAAUUCUGAACUUGCUAGUUGUAAUCAUGUAUGAGCUAAAAUUGAUAAGAUGUAGAGUAAUUUUCAUUUCUUGGUUAGGUCUAUUUUGAUUAAUUUGUAUAAGUAUCUUCAUAUACCGUCUGUACUUUACACACUAUGAACUUUUUAGUGGGACUCUCCCGCGAGUGUGAGAUUUGGGAUGGUUGUCACGUGUUAAUGGGGUGACUUCAAACAUGAAUUGACCAUUUUUUUGUAGACAUUAACGUAAAAAAUUUCUCCCAUUUUAUAUUAGCUCAUAUCUUAAUGUCCUUCUUUGAGGCCUACUUGACUCAAGCAAUUAAGUCUACGGGGUCUCUUAAAACCUAGUAUCUAUCGUCAACUGACUUAGAUUAAUCAAUCUAAAGCUCGCUACGGGGUCAUCUCAGUCGUCUAAUGGAGGAGAUAAAUGAGCCCGGAAUAAAAUGUGAAAAUAUGAUGAGCUGAAAAAUGUGAAAAUGAAAAAAAUAAAUGCUCAUAGUAAGGGGGAGAAAAAAAAUAAGUAUAGGUUCUACUGCACGUCACAUGAUUUGACUUUCAUAAGUAGAUGAAUAUACUUAUUGNNNNNNNNNNNNNNNNNNNNNNNNNNNNNNNNNNNNNNNNNNNNNNNNNNNNNNNNNNNNNNNNNNNNNNNNNNNNNNNNNNNNNNNNNNNNNNNNNNNNNNNNNNNNNNNNNNNNNNNNNNNNNNNNNNNNNNNNNNNNNNNNNNNNNNNNNNNNNNNNNNNNNNNNNNNNNNNNNNNNNNNNNNNNNNNNNNNNNNNNNNNNNNNNNNNNNNNNNNNNNNNNNNNNNNNNNNNNNNNNNNNNNNNNNNNNNNNNNNNNNNNNNNNNNNNNNNNNNNNNNNNNNNNNNNNNNNNNNNNNNNNNNNNNNNNNNNNNNNNNNNNNNNNNNNNNNNNNNNNNNNNNNNNNNNNNNNNNNNNNNNNNNNNNNNNNNNNNNNNNNNNNNNNNNNNNNNNNNNNNNNNNNNNNNNNNNNNNNNNNNNNNNNNNNNNNNNNNNNNNNNNNNNNNNNNNNNNNNNNNNNNNNNNNNNNNNNNNNNNNNNNNNNNNNNNNNNNNNNNNNNNNNNNNNNNNNNNNNNNNNNNNNNNNNNNNNNNNNNNNNNNNNNNNNNNNNNNNNNNNNNNNNNNNNNNNNNNNNNNNNNNNNNNNNNNNNNNNNNNNNNNNNNNNNNNNNNNNNNNNNNNNNNNNNNNNNNNNNNNNNNNNNNNNNNNNNNNNNNNNNNNNNNNNNNNNNNNNNNNNNNNNNNNNNNNNNNNNNNNNNNNNNNNNNNNNNNNNNNNNNNNNNNNNNNNNNNNNNNNNNNNNNNNNNNNNNNNNNNNNNNNNNNNNNNNNNNNNNNNNNNNNNNNNNNNNNNNNNNNNNNNNNNNNNNNNNNNNNNNNNNNNNNNNNNNNNNNNNNNNNNNNNNNNNNNNNNNNNNNNNNNNNNNNNNNNNNNNNNNNNNNNNNNNNNNNNNNNNNNNNNNNNNNNNNNNNNNNNNNNNNNNNNNNNNNNNNNNNNNNNNNNNNNNNNNNNNNNNNNNNUUAAUUAGUGACUUCUUGCUAUUAAUUUUAUUAAUUCCGCACGAAAGAUCGAAUUUGUAACUUGAAAUGUAAAAUGGGUAAGGCAUAAAAUUUGAAUUUAGGAUUAGUGCGUGUUUCAAGCAGUAUCCAGAGCGUUCCUAGAAAUUUCAAGCUCAUUUUGAAUUUAAUGUUCCAAAUAAUGGUCACAAAUUUAUCAUUUUCAAUAACGGGAGAAAAUUUUUUCUUGCAUUAUUGAAUCAAAAAGGUUAUUUAAAUAGCUUAAAGUUGUUCAUUCAGUUCAUUUUUCACUCUAUUUAUUAAACUUCAUUGUAUCACUUGUAGAAAAUUUAUUUAGAUUUUCAUUUUGUGAAUGAACAAGUACUUCAAGCCACUUCUAGUGAUUCAAAUUCUAAAUAUGUCAAUUUUCUUAGUAUGGUGGUAGAAAAAUAUUAUUCAUUUCAUUUCUACCAACGUAUUUAUGAAACAUAUUAGAAAUAGUGGUAGAUUCAAAAUCAACAAUUUGGAGAGAAAAAUAUUGAAAAUAGAUGAGUAAAAAGAACUCAGGGGGACUCGUGGUAGUGUUUCUUAGAAAUGGUGAGUAUUUAUUUUGAUAUCAAUUUAUAGAAAAGUAGUAAAAGUAUAGAAGUUCUUCCAAAUAUGAGGGCCUACAUGACUGCCUCACUUAGUGUUUGAACUGGUAAGGAAUUUUGAUAAAGGAUUAAAUUAAAAGGGGCAACCUGCGUAUUGAUGAGGCGACUUCAGAUCUACGCCAACCUAGUGAGGCAUGGAUAUGCAUUGAUGUUAAUUUGUUGUAUAAGCUUCCAGAUAGGAUUUGGAUUGAGCGUGAAAAGCGCGAAGGAUAUUGGCAGAUAGUUGUGUACGAGAAGAAGCCAGAUUACUAUUUUUGAUGCAGACACUUUCGUCAUGCUGAGGACCAUUUUUUAGUUAGAUCACGCCCUGUACCACCACCAGCUAUAAUUGUUGACCCCAUCCCUAAACAUAAUAUAGAAGUGGCCCACGAUAAGGGAAAAGGAAAUUAGGUUGUCAUAGAACCUCCUAAGAGAUGGUUCCAGUUCAGAGAGACCAGAGGAGACAGCAUGCUACUAGCACAUCUAGAGUCCAGAUUUCGUCUUCUGUAUCUAUUCUUAUUACAUUAGCUACGCUUCCUACUGCCUCUAGCUCAUAUGUUCAGACCAGCUAGCUACUCCUUCAAUAGCUCUUCCAAUUGUUAUAACUUUGCAAAUUAUCAUCACAGUAGCUCAACAGCCCCUCCAGAAUCCCCUUCCGAUUUUGCAGCACCUCCAGCUACUUGGAGGUAGUAUAUCAUCCAGUUACUAUUACAUUUACUCUACCUCUAGUUCCUAUUCCCACUGCUACUACUGAGGUAUCCUCUGAGCCGACACAUAUUAGCUAUCCACCAUUGAAGACACAUACAAAUGGUACUCAAUCAACAUAAGGAUAAGAUACAGGAUCAGUUCCUUAUGCUGCUCUUGCAUAGGGGUUGUUGGCUGAGAUCAGCUCAGAGCGGCAUGGUGUCAAGCAAAUAUUGAUCGAUCACUUUAAGAGGGACCAUGGAAUGAAAGUUGGAUCUACCAUGGGACUUUCCAUUGAGGACUUGUGAUGUGAACCUGGAUAACUAGAUCGCUAUUAAACCCACAAAAAAAUGGCAUAAACCUCAAGAAAGCCAAAAAUCAAAGUUUAUGGAAUUCGACCCACAAUUAUGAAUUAAACAACCAACACAAUCACUAGGAUAUGCUAGCCUUUUGAUUACAAGAUUUAUGAAAUCAUACUUGGAAUUUUAAAGAUUGACUCGAAGAAUAAAAUGAACCAGAAACCAAAGCAAUUACUAGAAUACCUUGAUCUCGUGAUUGUAUAAUCCACGAAUAGCAUUUUGAUUGGUGAAUGCCAUGAGAAAUUAUCCCAAUAAGUUUGAUAAAUUGUUCUCAAAAAAUAAAGAUGGAAGUAACCUUGCCUCUGAUUAAUUCAAAAUACCAAAAGUCCUACAAUGUAUAAUAGGAAAAAGUAUUUAUACUACCCUAGGAAUAAUGAAAAAAAAUGAAUAUUAAGAGUCCUAAACUUAUAAAGUUACCAAAAAUAACAAUUUAAAUCAAAACAGAAUCCUCACGAAAAAAGGAAAAAGUCGCGUCCUGAAUGAACCAUGCGACCGCGUGGUUCUUUUAGCCGCGGUCGCAUGGAAGAAACGUGGGCUGCCUCUUCAAUCCCUAUCCUAGUCUAUGCGAGCGCAUGGGCUUUAAAGCCUUGUGGCCGCAUGGCUUUGUGUGUUGGCCCUAAUUUUGGUUUCUUCCAACGAUGCGUUCUUUAACUUAUCGGCCCUUGACCCUAGCAUUGAACUUGACACUUGAUAUGUUAUCUUCAACCCCAUGUGCCUCGCUUCUUGAGUAUGCAUUUAUAUGACCUUGGGUAUCAUCAUUGUUCCAUAUUACUCCCAAUUGAGCCCCUUGCACCUUUUCCAUGAACUUUGCUCCCUUGAUUGAUCUUGAUCGACCCAGGAUCAUAUCAAUUUGGUUUUCAAGCUAUUUGGUGAGGAACUUUCUAUGAGUAAAACUCCUACAUAUAAACCUUCACUUAGUCCUUCUAUCACGACUCCUACACAAAAUAAGGUAAAAGCACAUAUAUAGAGAGACAUGGAUGGCAUGGGCCUUGGAGACUACGUGCAAAAUGCAAAGGACGAUGUAGCCAUAGUCAUCAAAUCACUCUCCCAUGCUUCAGAUGUUGUAGCACAGAGCACCAUAAGAUCAAACGCACAUGCAACUAGCACUAUGAGAUUAGAUGUACUCGCUUUUAGCCCGACUUUUAGUUCACCAUCAUGUGGACAACAUUUUUCACCUAGGCAAGCCUCUUCAUGUAGGCGAGACCCCUCUCCAAUGAGCGAGCCAGACUACACAGACUACUAUGAUCCAAAAAUGUUUGAAACCAGGCUCAUGACCCAAUUAAUGUCUAUGUACUACCACCCAAAGAUCUACCAUUGGGAAUACCCUUGAGUAGUUUUAAUUAGUUUUUGUUCAUAUCUUGUUUACUGUUGAUUGCAAUUCAUUUUGAGAUAUUUGUUGCAAUUUACAUUUACUAGAGGUCAGGUCUGUGCCUCCUCUUCUAUUUGUAUUCUCGUUAUUAUUGUAUGAAAUAAUCCAUACUAGUGGUAUUUGCUAUAAAAAAAAAAGUCUUGACUGAAAAUAAAAAUAAAAAUUCUUUAAAUUUGAGUGAUAUUUCCUUUUAUGAUUGGUGCAAUAAAUGAGUGAUACAAUAUUAAAAUUAGAAAUUUCAUCUCAAAAUGUCAAUAUUAUUACGAUCAGUACCCGAAUCUUUUAUAUGUUGGUUAAUAUAUAUUUAACUGAUGUAGAAUUAUGUUAACAUCUAUAUUAAUACACAAAUACAUACUCUGUGAGAGAGAGAAAGAGAGAGACCAAGUUCAUUACUGUUUACUUUACCACCUGCAUUCCGAGCUUCUUUGACCUACAGUAAUUAAUUACGUGUUGGCAUGAGUUGUCAACAUACAAUAUUGAAAUAUGGUAGGGGUGGGUUAUUCCCCAGUUGUAAUAUAAAAUUUCCUUUGUUUAGCCGGAUUCUUAACCUAGAAUAGCUCUCUUUAUUUUACUCUCUACACUAUAUAUGUAUAUGAUUUUAUUCAUUCAAAAAAUAAGAAAAAUAAUCCCUUUGUUAUCAUGGUAUCAAAGCAAAAAAGCCUAGGAUUUCUGCUACAGCAAACACGUUACCAAAACUGAUCAGAAAUUAUGGUAGAACCUAAAUACGUGGUGGCAGACCAGAGACAUGAUGAGAACUCUACUACAACCAUCCUCGAUGAUUUAAUGACUCGACUAAUGUAAGCCCUAACCCAAAAUCAAACCAAGAAUUAAGUGCAGACCUAUGAACCUCCUGCUGCGCCGAUUGGGAUCAGGCUAGAUGGAUUAAACUAUGGUUUAUGGUCCCAAGUUGUUGAGAUAUCUAUCUCUGGCAAGGACAAAUUGGGAUAUAUUAAUGGAGACAUUCUAGAACCUGAAUCAUCAGACCCCAUGUUUCGAAAAUGGAGAAUCGAAAAUACAAUUUUGAAGGGAUGGAUAAUUAAUUCCAUAGACCUGACUCCAAUCGGAAAUUUUAUUCGAUUUUCUACUGCAAAAAUGGUGUGGGAUGCAAUUGCUACUAUUUAUUUCGAUGGAACAAACACUUCUCAAGUGUAUGGUUUGAAGAAACAUGUGACAAGAAUGAGACAAGCAGGAGGAUCCAUUGAAGAAUAUUACAAUGGUCUACAAGGCUUGUGGAGAGAUAUUGAUUUUUGUAGGUCAAACCCAAUGGAAUGCCCUGCUGAAAUAAAGAUAUACAACUUGGCUAUAUAGGAAGAUAGAGUCUAUCUCUUUCUUGAUGGGUUGGAUGAUCACCUAGAUAAAAUUAGGGCUGAUGUGUUCCAAAUCCGACCAUUCCCGACAGUUGAACAAGCUUAUGCUCAUGUUCAAAGAGAGGCUAUACGACAAUAUGUUAUGAAUUCAAACAUAGAACAUACACAUGCCACUGCUAUGGCCUCAAAAGGAGUUAAGACAUGACCAACACUCCAAAUAUCCAAGGGUGGACCUUCUUCAACAGGUGGUGGAAAGGCCAAUACAACCUAUAAGGGAAAAACACAAUCCAACAGAGGUUGUAUACACUGUGGGAACAUAAAGCAUGAUCGUGAAACCUAUUUCAGGUUAAACCCAAAGUGGUGGAAUGAACUUAAAGCACGAAAACAGGGUGAAUAGAAAGCUAACACCAAUGGUGAACCGAGACGAGCUGCUUGGGCAAAGGCAGAACAUUUACUUUCUUUUUACCCCACUGAUGGAACCAUCAGAUGAGUCAAAUUCUCUCAAUAACCAAGAUAAAUGCGGUCUUGCAUUAUUCGGUUCCAGUCAAGAUAAUUAUGGUGGUUGGAUUGUUGACUCGGGGGCAACCGAUCACAUGACCUUAGAUAGUAACGACUUUUCUAAGAUUACCCAACCAAAACGAAGUAGCGUUGCUAAUACUAAUGGAGUCACAUACCCUGUUAUAGGAGCUGGAACCGUUGGUUUAUCACCUUCUCUCUCUUUAUCCAAUACUUUACUUGUUCCAUCUCUCUUAAAUAAGUUAGUGUCCAUAGCCCAAGUCACUAAAGAACUAAAUUGUGUUGCUUUAAUAUAUCCUAAUUUUUAUCUCUUUCAGGAUAUUCUCACAUAGGAGAUCAUUGGGCAUGGCACUAAGAGAGGGGUUGUACCACAUAGAUGAUUUCAGCCUGGGGAAAACAAAUUAAACCUUAUAUCCUAUGCAAUUAGGAGUUCAACUUAUCUUAACGUGUGCAUGCAUGGAUAAUGAUAACUUAAUUGGAAACAAAUCAAUUCAAAGAAACGUAUUUAAUAUGUAUUUUUUAUAAUGUACCUUUUAAGAUAAUUAGCAAAAGAUUAUAAUAUUUUAUUAUACAAUCAAGUUUAAAAAUCUUAUUUAAAUUCUGUUUCCUCCAUUAGAUAUAUUAUUUUAAGAUUUAAUCUUAUCCCAAGUCUAUUUUUUUCAUUUGAAAUCCAUUGUAACAAAAGUUGGUUUCCACUUUUGGUGUGCGUGACUAGCAAAAGGCUUGUAUCUUUUAAGAUAAUUAGGAAAAAAAUAUAAUAGUUUAUUUAUAUAAUUAUAAUUACCAUAACUUGGAAAAUGAUUUAAUCAUAUCUCUGCCUUUCCAUUUGAAAUCCAGUACCAUAACAGAAUCAGUUUUCUCAUCCGUGUUGAACACGUGUUGUAUAUAAUUUAAUUUUCUCCUACAUUUGUAUGUGUUGGGUAUAAUUAUAUAUAAUGUAAUUUAUCUCUGUUUUAAUCCUAUCACUUGUGUUAUCCUUAUUUUGACAAUGAUUACUCUUGAUUUAUAAUUGUUCUUCAUAUAAUUUGGAUAGAUUUCAAUCUUAUAGAGGAUAAUAACUAACACAAUCCUGACCUAUAUCAGCUACUCUAUGUUUGCCUGUAAAUACUUUUGCCAUACACAUAUUUUUACCAUGAACCCCAUUUCCUUAGUUUUAAUUUCAUCCUUUAAGUUCAGUAGAAAUCCCCUAUUAUAUUCAUAUUCUACCAAAAUUAUAAUUCUCUUGCCUCUUUUCCAUCUAUUACAUGCACAUACAAUUCGUAAGCAAGAGAUAAAAGAAAACAAUUGGAACGUGACUCUUGAAUUUCUUUCAACAUUUAUUUGAUAAGGUAGGAUACUAUGUGCAAAUGAUUUAUCCUUGCAAUAUUAUAAUUUUUUUUACGUGAUUUAUUUCAUGAAAUGCUAAUUGACCUGCGGGUCCUUAUGAAAUGAAAUGUGAGAUCUCCUUCGAGUCUUCUCAAAUAUGUUAGAGUAUUCGAUGGAUCAUCGACUGCUCUUUAUGAAAUGAUGAUAUGAAAUGUUGUAAAUUCAUGUUUUAAAAAUUAUCAUAUUGUUUUGGACGUAUGUAUCCUAUUGAGUAUAAAAUACUCACUCCUUCAAUUUUAAAAUUUCAAGUUAGACAAAUCGACGUGGAUAGUGGCUGAGUGGUGCACGGGUUGCCAAGUAAAGAAACUUGACAAGAAAAUAUUUUAAAAUAAUUCUAUUAGGAUAUUAUGUGUUUCGGUUUAAUCCCGUUUAAUUUUCUAUGUUUACGUGACAUUAUUUUGGUAUUUGAGUAUUUAAUAUAUUAAGAGUUUUAAAGUUCCAAUUUAUAUUUUUGCUUGAUGUAUGUUUAUGAAAUGAUAUCAGAAAUACCUCAAAUUCUAGUCGAUAAAAUUUGGGGCGUUACACGAAGUAUCCAAUUGCCAACUAUAUAUAGACUCAAAAAUUGGAGAAACCCUUCAAGGUAUUUGUAUACAGUUUGCCUACAUGCCAGAUUCCUAAUGGAAUACAACAGGCCUUAGAGGAUCCAAAGUGGGCUCAAGCGAUAAAAGAAGAAAUGGAAGCACUACAAAAAAAUAAAACAUGGAAUCUUCUUUCAUUACCAGAAGGAAAGAAGAUAAUAGGGUGUAAGUGGGUUUCUCCAUCAAACAUAAGGCUAAUGGGUCCAUUGAAAGUUACAAGGCAAGACUUGUGGUGAAAGGAUAUACACAAACUUAUGGCAUAGACUAUGAAAAGACAUUUUCUCUGGUGGCAAAUCUAAACCAUGUGAGGGUCUUAUUAUCUCUUGCAGCAAAUUUAGAUUGACCACUACACCAGUUUGAUGUAAAGAAUGCCUUCCUUCAUGGUGAUCUUGAAGAAGAGGUUUAUAUGGAUAUUCCAUCAGGAUGCAGCAUUUCUUCAAAAUCAGGGGUUGUAUGCAAAUUGCAACGAUCACUAUAUGGACUAAAACAAUCAACCCGCGCAUGGUUUGGUCGUUUUAGCUUGGCUACGAAGAAACGUGGUUUUCAACAAAGCAACUUAGAUCAUACUUUAUUCCUGAAGCAUAGACGGGGAAAGGUAACAACUCUAAUAAUACAUGUGGAUGACAUGAUUAUUACAAGAAAUGACAUGGAAGAGAUCGACAGACUUCAAAAAAAUUUGGCAAAUGAAUUUGAAAUGAAGAACUUUGGGGGCCUAAAAUAUUUCUUAGGGAUUGAAGUAGCCAGAUCAAGAAAGGGUAUAUUUUUUUUCCCAAAGAAAAUAUGUGUUAGAUUUAUUAUCCUAAGUGGAUCUUCUUGACUGUAAAUUAGCCGAUACCCCAAUUGCUCAGAAUCAUAAGCUUGGAGAAUACCCAGAUCAAGUCCCAACUAAUAAGGAGAGAUAUCAAAGAUUGGUUGGAAAACUAAUUUAUUUAUCCCACACUCGACCUGACAUUACUUAUGCAAUGAGCAUAGUGAGUGAAUUUAUGCACUCACCAAGUAAAGAGCAUAUGGGUGCAGUAAUUCGAAUUCUUCGAUAUUUGAAAUCUGCACCAGGGAAAGGACUUAUGUUCUUCUAGAACAAUCACCUCAAUGUCGAUAGCUAUACCGAUGCAGACUGGGCUGGUAGCAUAUCUGACAGGAAGUCUACAUCAAGCUACUUUACAUUUGUAGGAGGCAAUCUUGUCAUGUGGAGAAGCAAGAAACAAAAGGUGGUGGCUUUAUCAAAUGCUAAAGCUGAGUUUAGAGGCAUAGCCAAAGGACUUUGUGAACUCCUUUGGCUUAGGAUGUUAUUGACUGAGAUUGGCUUUGCAUCCAAAUCUGCAAUGAACUUAUUUUGCGACAAUAAGGGAGCCGUUGACAUUUCUCAUAAUCCAGUUCAGGAAGAUAGGAUGAAACACGUUGAAGUGGAUUGACAUUUUAUCAAUCAGGAUCUCAAAUCAAAGAUAGUUCUCUUCCCAUUUCUAAAAUCUGAAGAUCAAUUAGUAGAUAUACUGACGAAAGCUAUCUCCAGCAAGGUCUUUCACGACUCACUUAACAAGUUGGGCAUUUACAAUAUCUAUGGACCAACUUGAGGAGAAGUGUUGGUGUGAGUUGUCAACAUACCAUAUUGAAAUAUGGUAGGGAUGGGUUAUUCCCCAGCUGUAAUAUAAAAUUCCCUUUGUUUAGCUGGAUUUUCAGCCUAAAAUUGCUCUCUUUAUUUUGCACUCUACACUAUAUGUGUAUGAUUGUAUUCAUUCAGAAAAUAAGAAAAAUAAUCCCUUUGUUAUCAUUACGAAACCCAUAAAACAAAUUAUAUAUCCAGAAAUUAAGAAGAAGAAAAUUUUUUAAUUACAUGUUAACGGACAUUCUGACAUAUGUACUCGCGCAUUGUAACAAUGGUUUUGGCGAAUCUUUAUUAUUCCUAGCAACAAUGGAAUAUUUAAUAAGGUGUAUUUAAUGGUACUGAAUAAUAUUAACAAAGUAAUAACUAUAGGCUACAGAAUUGUUUAUUUUUCUGUCCAAUUUUGCUUGCUACAAAAUAAUAAAAUAUACUAAUAACACACUUGAUAUGCCGAUGUUAUAGCGCCAAAGAUAAACUCCUAGAAAAAUUAGAUUGUUUGGCCUCCAUUUCGGUGGGAUAUGUUAGGAUUGUGACUCAAAUAGGAGUUUUGAAGUGGCAUAAUUCGACUUGAACUCUUAAAGCAUUGGAUUAGGGUUCAAGGAAACGAAGUUGAACAAAGAGAGGAGUUCUUGUUCUUCACGGUGAGAUGUAUGCGGUCACAUUCACAUGCCAUCACACCACGUGACCAAAUGGUAAAUGGCAGAGAGUUUUCAGCCUCUAUUAUGCAACCGCAUGAGAUGUAAUAUGCGGUUGCAUAGUACAUUUCUAGGCGCCGUCCUUGUUUUUCAAUUUUUAAGCAUUUUAACCAAAUUGUAAUAUAUUUUCUUACCCUUUAGGACUCUAUCAGGGUUUUGAUUGUGUACUAUAAAUAAGAGGCUCCUUUGCUAGUUUAUGUAGAAGCAAUUUUGCUAAAUUGUACUUGUUUUCUCCAUAUUGUUGAAUAAUAAAUAUCAUUCCUCCGCGAUUAAAUCUUUUGUUCUUCUUUACGUUAAAUCUUGUUUCGUGGUGUGAUCUUGAAUACUUCAUAAUUGUCAUUAAAUCUCAUUCUUUACAAUCCAUUUGGGUCCAACAGGAUCCAUCGGAAUGAAUGGGAUGACAAAUUUAACUAAUAUUACAAAGAAAUAUUUUGAACAUUACGUAUAGAUGUGACGACAUAGUUGGUUGGCCCAUCACAAAUCCCUUUGAUAUAUAAUCUUGCAUUCCGAUAAUGGUUUUAGAGUAUUUUCAUUUUUUUUUUCACACAUUAGUGGCAUGUUUGAUAAGAUGGUUGUAAAAUAGAGAUCACUGAUAACAAACUAAAAAUAGGCUAAACUCUUGUCCAUUCUUCCAUUCAAUACGACCUAGGAAAACAUACAAUAAUUGGUUGCUAUCACCUGAUAUGCCGAUGUAGCAACACCAAAGAUAAAAUUAUUGGGAAAACUAGAGCGUUCAACUGCAAUUUCGGAUGGAUCCAUUGGAAUGACCGGGAUAAGAUAUUAUAGUUAGCUGGGAUAGGUGUGUGGUUCAUCUAAUCCAUGUACUCUAAUUAUAGACUCUGAACCUAAUUUUGACUAAUUUGAUGGUUUUAACCGAAUUCGAGUAUUUUGACCAAUUUGGGUAUUUUUACCAUAUUUGGAUUCCAGUGAAAAUUAAGGGUUAACAUCAAUCUGGGAAAUCAGGGUUUGAACUUAAUCUAAUUUCAAUUAAAAUUAGGGCCUCACUUCAAAAAUAAAGUUUGACUUAAUUCUGAUUUUUAUUCAAUGUUGGAUUUUCGAUUAAAAUUAAAAUCAAAUUUUGCUAUCAAAUUAAUUAAUUAGUACUUAGUUUGAUAUAUGAAUAGAACUAUCAAACUGUAGUUUGAUUUGCUACUUUCAUCGUAUCUAAAGUUUUUAAUUUUGUAUAAUAUCCAAAACUUAUUUGGUUUGGUAUUUUAGGAUUAAAUUUAUAACAUAAAACUCAAAACAUAUUUUUUAAUGUUUUUAGUGUUUUUAGUAAAACCAUAAAACAUGAAAAAUAAAACUAAUCUAAUUCCUCCUUCCUUUAUUUGGAAAAUGACAGAAUUUUUAUUUGCUAAUCGUGUUCAACUAUAAAAUUGCAACUUAUUUCAUUUUUGUCCCUACUUCAUGAUUUUGGUAAUUUUUUGUCCAAAUCUUCAAUAUUGAUCCUAUAACUUUCAAAAGCUUCCACAUUGGUCCAUGAACCUGAAUAAUCUUUUAAAAUUCGUACUCCAAAAGUUCUACAAAUGUGCAAUUUAGUCUUGAUUUUUCGAUAAAUUGUAUUUCACUCCUGAUUUUUCCCUAAUACUUAUAAUUAAUCCUCUACAAUCCUCUUAGCCUUCAUUUCCUCCAAUUCAACUCCAGUCAGGCUAAAAUGAUUCAAUAGUUGUUUGUAUUUUAUUUUUGUAGUGGAAUUGUUUUUUAAGAUUCAUUAACUUUAAAAUUAUAUAUUACUUGAUGAUAUAUUAGCAUAAAAUUUCCUAUUUUUCCGAAUAAAUUCAGUGACUAAAAUGUCAUAAAAUAAUUUCUAAAAAUGCCAAACUAAUUAAAUAUGCUUUUCAGUUUUCUGCUUUGAGCAACAGUUUUCAGGAUCACAAACCGUUGCUACCUUUCCAAUCUUAUGUUUCUCCAUUGGUAAUAAAAGUUAGAUUUUGACAUUGUUGAAUUUUAAAGAAGACAAAGUCUUCGCACAAUAAAACUAGAGAGCAGAGAACCUAAUUGCUUCUUGGUGUCUUUAUUCAUCAAUCAAAUGGCCUUUAUAUAGGCAUUAACACAACAGAUAAAAGCAAGAAAAAAGGAACUGACUAACAAAUCCUAUAGACUUGGUAAUUACAAAACUAACUAGCUAAUGAUGCUAAAGAUUAGGUCAACAUGUAAAUUACUUAUUCAACAAUCCCUCCCUUAAAUUCAUGAUUAUAAUAUCAUUUAUUUCUUCAGCGUGCAAACUCCAAGCAAUUUCCCCAGCUUCUGAAAUGCAUCCAAUUUAAUGGCUUUUGUAAACAUAUCAGCAACUUGAUCAUCUCCUUUGCAGUAAAUAAGAUCAAUGGUUUCAUCAAAAUGAUACCUUCCAUCAAUAUGUUUGCUCCUUCCAUGUAGAACAGGAUUCUUGGACAACUUUAUAGCUUAAGUGUUAUCACAGUAGAUGUGAGUGGGUCCUUCUUGCUUGAAACAAAGAAACUCAAGAGUCCUCCAUAGCCAAAUUGCUUGACAUGCACAUGCUAUUGCUGCCACAAACUCUGCUUCUGUAGUUGACAAUGUUACAAUGGCUUGCUUCCUUGAGGACCAUGAGACUGCUCCUGUCCCAUCAUAAACCAGAUGUGCUUUUUCUAUCCUAUGGAUCACCAACAUAGUCACCAUAUGUAAAACCAAAUAAAUAUGAUUUUUCACCUCUUUCGUAAAGCAAACCAUAAUCAGCGGUGCCUUGUAAGUAUUUGAAAAUUAUUUUUGAAGCCAAGAGAUACAUCUCCUUUGGACACUUCAUAAAUCUGCUGAUGAGACUAACAACGUACAUUAUGUCAGUCCUUGUUCUUGUUAAAUACAUCAAGCUUCCUACGAUUUUCUUGUAAAGAGUAUUGUCAAUAUCUCUUCCUUUAGGUCCUUUGAUGAGCUUCACAUUUAUUUUUGUUGGUGUGCUAACACGAUUACAUUCAUUCAUUCCAAACUUGUCAAGAAUUUCUAGCACAUACUGUUCUGAGAGAUAAAAAUGCCAACAGUAGAUUGAACCACCUCUAUGCCAAGAAAGUAAUGUAUCAUGCCAAGAUCAGACAUAUCAAAUUCAAUCAUCAUGGACUUCUUAAAGUUCUUAAACAUGACCAGAUCAUUUCUAGCGUAGAUUAAGUUAGCUACAUACAUGCAAACCAUGAGCAUCUUGCCAUUAUCCUCCAAUUUCAUGAAAAGUGUGUGUUGAUAAGGACAUUUUUUAAAUCCUUCCUUCAAAAAAUAAGCUUUGAUAUGACUGUACCAAACUCAUGGGGUUUGUCAUAACCCAUAUAAAGCUUUUUUUUAGCUUAAGCACUUUACAUUCUUUUCCAAUCUUAACAUAUCCAGGAGGUUGAUUAACAAAUACUUGCUCUUCCAAGUCUCCAUGUAAGAAUGCUGAUUCAACAUCUAGUUGAAAAAUACACCAACAAUUUUGUAUUGCUAAUGCAAUCACCAAUCUGAUUGUGUCGUACCUUACAACUGGAGCAAAAACUUCUUUGUAGUCGAUGUUGAAUUCUUGUUUGUAGCCUUUGGCAACCAAGCGCGCCUUGUAUUUAUCAACUUCACCAUUUUCUUUCAGUUUUGUCUUGUAGACCCAUUUUACACCAAUAGUCUUCUACCCUUGAGGAAGUUCAGUCAAUGUCCAAGUAUUAUUAUUUUCAAUGGCUAUAAUUUCAUCAUCCAUUGCCUUUCUCCAUUUUGAUUGUUUGACAGCUUCUUCAAAAAUCAUAGGAUCACAAUCUGAAAAUAGAACAAAGUGUGCAAGUGAGUUUUCGAAUUGGUCAAUCCCUGUGAACUCAUAUUCAGCCAUCCAUGUGGGUUUUCUUCGGAAAUGUUCUGAUCUUGGUAUGCUAUGGACCCUUCUUGGAUAACUGUGGGUUGUGGUUCUUACUCUACAAUCUGCCGCCCUUCAAUAUGCUACCCUUCUUCAUUUUCUCCAUCAAUGUUUGUAGGGAGUUGUGAUGUUACUCCGUCUUCAUUCCAUGGCCACUUUCUUUCUUCAUUAAAGACUACAUCUCGACUGAUGACAAUCCUUUUAGUGAUAGGAUUAUAUAACUUGUAAGCUUUCGAAUGAUCACUAAUACCAAGAAAGACACAUUUUUCUCCUUUGUCAUCCAACUUCUUCCUGUUCUCAUUAGGUAUGUAAGCAUAAGCUAUACCUAAAAAUUAUCCACAUCUGGUCUUCGUCCUUUCCAAGCUUCCUCAGGUGUUAUAUUUUUAACAACAAGUGUAGGACUUCUAUUCAAUAUAUGAACACUCCAACUAACAGCUCUAGGCUCAAAACUUUUUGAAACACCACUCCUUAGCAAGAUGCUUCGCACCAUAUUUAAAAUUGAGCGAUUCUUCCUUUCACAAACGCCAUUUUGCUGAGGAGUGUAAGCUGCUAUAAGUUGCCUUUUAAUUCCAUGAGUCUCACAAGAUUUUGCAAAUUCCUGUGAGUUGUACUCUCUACUGCGAUCAGUACGAAGUAUUUGUAUUUCCUGCCCACCUCAUUUUCAACAUGCACUUUAAAGUUUUAAAAGCUGCAAAAGCUUCAAAUUUUCCUGUAAAAAAUACACCCAUGUUUUUCGACUAAAGUCGUCAACAAAGGUGAUUAUGUAUCUUUUACCUCCAUUAGAACAUGGUGUUAUUGGCCCACGAAUAUCAUAAUGAAGUAUUUCCAAUGCCUUAUUUGCUCUACAUGAUUUGCCUAGGGGGAAUGGAUUACGGUGUUGUUUGCUAACAACACAUUUUUCACGAGCUUCAGAAGGAGUUGUAAUUUGAGGAAGGCCUAUCACCAUAUGUGUUCUCAACCCACCAAAAUUUAGAUGACCAAAUCGAAAAUUCCAAAGCCAAACCACAUCUUGUAGUUUUGCUAUGAAGCAUGAUUGAUGAGUAUUAUUAAGAUAUACAUGAAACAUUUUGUUUGUAGUCAUUGUGGCUUGAGCAAUUAAACCUAAAUUAUCAUCUUGAACUUUGUAAACUGUUAGACAUCAUGUUGUCAAACGACCUCCCUGGCGAUGAUGAAAACUAAUUUAUCAGUCGACAUGAAUGAUUGAACGAUAAAUCAACACCGAAUAAUGGAUGAACCGACCUAGCGUUGCUUUACCUAUUGGAUGGCUAAUAAUCUUUGUGGCUUGUUGAUUUUCUAUUGGGACUUAACCCUAGUCGAACCUACUUACCAUAUUGUGACUUACCUUAUGUUGGCCAAUGAACUAAUAUAUAUAUUGGUAAUUGGUUCUUCUCCUGUGUGCCGUGCUUGAAGAGAACUCGAGAGAGAGAGGCGUUAUUCUUCUUCUUCUCCUUCAUACAUCCUGCCAAUUUAUCUUCCCUACCAAUUGCUUGAGGCUUUGUAACUCUUACCUGUGUGGUAUCCAUCCUAAGUGUGUGGUAGAAUCAACAAGCAAAAGAGAAAAGCAACCAUAGGAAGUGAGCAGUCCGGCGGUCGUUCAUCUCUCGGUUUGGUGUUUGAAUUUGAUGUUUAAUGGUUAACUGAGCCCGGAAAUCACUUUGAGCAGCUUGAGGAAGAUCCUAACAUCUGGUAUCAGAGCUUGGGUAGCAAAAAUUGGCUCAAAAUCGGCUGAUUUUUGGACAUGAACCUUAGAACCCGAAUCUGAAAAUUUCCAAUUACUCACAAACCAAAGCUCGGUUGGACAAACGGAGGCCAUACCCAUCACCAGCAGGUCGAGGCGCUCCCGGAGAGGCGGCGCGUGGACGAAGGCGACGGCGGGUGGGCUGACGGCGGCAGCACGUGGGCGACUGUCCAGCGACGUUGUCUUCAGGUAACUUGCUUGUUUCGAUCUCCUGAAUGCGCUGAUAUACUUUGUUUUGUGUUUCAGGUUACACAGAAAAAGUUGGACGAUUUUGCCCCUGUGCGACGCCGGCUGAAAUUCAACAGCAAGCUCGUUUUUCUCCACUCUACGGACUCAGAUAGGUCCGCGCUGGUAAAUUGGCUUAAUCCAUUUAAAUUCAGCAAUAGCAAGAUCAUCGUGCGGGGUGAUCGUUAGGUUUUGGGGUUACCGUGAAGGGGUAACCAUUGCUUGUGCUAGAACUAGGAUUACUUGCUUUUAUUGAGUGCUUGUUCUUUUGAUUUAAAGUGCUUGGUAUUUCUUGGUGGACGUAGCGUUUAGGUUAAUUGUUACUUUUACUAAGAAUUAACAAGAUAUUAUCUUAUCACGCUUCCCAAUACUACUUCGUGUGGCUUAAUUAGUGUGUUAACCAAUGACAACACAUAAUUUUGAUUUGGAAAUUUUUAACGGUAAAGGGGACUUCUUUAUCUGGCAACAAAAGAUGAGAGGCAUAUUAGUCCAACAAAAGGUGUCAAAAGUCAUCGAAGGCAAUUUUGCACCUGAUAUCUCAAAAGAACAAAAAGAGGAAGUCGAUGAGCUUGCCUAUACCUCAAUAAUAUUACACUUGUCUGACGCUGUCUUAAGAAAAGUGGGAAAACUAAAAACCACCAAAGAACUUUGGAAAAGACUAGAAGACUUAUACUUGCUUAAAUCUGUACCGAAUAAACUCUACCUACUCGAACGAUUCUUCAGCUUUAAAAUGGAUCCUUCAAAGGAUCUCGACGACAAUUUAGAUGUAUUUAAAAAAUUGGUGCAAGAUAUUGUCAAUUGUGACGAAGCCGUGUCUGAAACCUAUAAGGCCAUUAUCUUGCUCAAUUCAAUCCUNNNNNNNNNNNNNNNNNNNNNNNNNNNNNNNNNNNNNNNNNNNNNNNNNNNNNNNNNNNNNNNNNNNNNNNNNNNNNNNNNNNNNNNNNNNNNNNNNNNNNNNNNNNNNNNNNNNNNNNNNNNNNNNNNNNNNNNNNNNNNNNNNNNNNNNNNNNNNNNNNNNNNNNNNNNNNNNNNNNNNNNNNNNNNNNNNNNNNNNNNNNNNNNNNNNNNNNNNNNNNNNNNNNNNNNNNNNNNNNNNNNNNNNNNNNNNNNNNNNNNNNNNNNNNNNNNNNNNNNNNNNNNNNNNNNNNNNNNNNNNNNNNNNNNNNNNNNNNNNNNNNNNNNNNNNNNNNNNNNNNNNNNNNNNNNNNNNNNNNNNNNNNNNNNNNNNNNNNNNNNNNNNNNNNNNNNNNNNNNNNNNNNNNNNNNNNNNNNNNNNNNNNNNNNNNNNNNNNNNNNNNNNNNNNNNNNNNNNNAGACAACUUCACCGGUAAAAUUGAAAACGGUAUGUUUAAAAUGAUGAAGGGUGCGUUAAUCUCUAUUAAGGGAAUCAAGAAAACGACAUUUGCAUCACUACUGGGGAAGUGAUUAGAGGAUUAAACUCCUCUAUUUCUUCCGCCAAAAUCGAUCACACUCAUACAUGGCAUAGUAGGCUCGCACACGUAAGCAUUAAAGGACUUAAGCUACUUAAUGAAAAAGGUGCAUUUGGUAAUGACUGUGUGUCUGACCUAUCGUUCUAUAAUCACUGUGUGCUUGGAAAGCACCAUAGAGUGUCGUUCUCCACUAGUACGCAUAAGGCUAAAAGCAUGCUUGAAUAUGUGCAUUCUGAUCUGUGGGGUCCUGCUAGUAAUCCCACAUCGGGUGGGAAUAGGUAUUUCCUAUCUAUCAUAGAUGACUACACCAGGGAAAGUGUGGGUCUAUCUAUUGAAAGACAAAAUUGAAACCUUCCAUAACUUUAACAACUGGAAGAAACAAAUGGAAAACCAAACUAGCAAGAGGAUCAAAUUUUUAAGGACAGAUAACGGCCUAGAAUUCUGUAAUGCUGAAUUCGAUAGGAUGUGUAAAGAAAGUGGAAUAACAAGGCACAAAACGGUUCCUUAUACUCCCUAGUAAAACGGGGUAGCAGAAAGAAUGAAUAGGACCAUAUAGACAAAGUGCGCUGCAUGAUGUUAAGUUCUGGGGUUCCUAAGUCAUUUUGGGGUGAAGCCGUUGUCACUGCCUGUUAUUUAAUAAAUUUGACUCCAUCGGCUGCAUUAAAUGGUGAUACUCCACAUGAGAAAUGGUCUGAAAAAUUGGGUGACUACUCAAUGCUUAAAGCGUUUGGCUGUGCUGCCUUUUCUCAUCAAAGUGAGGGAAAGUUAGAACCUAGAGCCAGGAAAUGUGUCUUUCUAGGAUAUCCCGAAGGGGUUAAGAGCUAUAGGCUAUGGGAUAGAAACCAAAAAGGAGUUAAAAUCAUCGUGAGUAGGGAUGUCACAUUUAAUGAGAGUGAGAUGCCUUGUCUAAAGAAUGAAACCGAACCUAUAAGUGAAACUGAAUCAAGUGAAGAAAGAAAUCGGUUUAAGGUGGAGUUAGGAAAAUUUAACACAUCAGUACCUAGUACUUCGAGUGAGGUGGAGAUUCAGGUCCAAGAACCUGAAGAGAAAAAUGAAGUAGUGAUAGAAGAACAUCCUGAGGAAGAAAAUCCAUUAGCUAACUAUAACUUAGUUAGAGAUAGAGAGAGAAGACAAUCGAGAGAACCUAGGAGUUUCGAGUAUGAAUCUGAAUUGGAUUUUGCAUACGCUAGUUACGAAGAACUAGUUGAUAGGGAGCCAGAAACUUUUGAAGAGGCUAUGAAUAGUGGUCAAUCUAAGGAGUGGCUUAAGGCUAUGAAAGAAGAGAUGAGUUCUCUAGAAAAGAAUCAAACUUGGGAGUUAGUACUGAGACCUAAGAAUAAAUCAAUCGUUGAUUGCAAGUGAGUCUUUAAGGUUAAGGAAGGUACUAGUAGUACAGAACCCUUAAGAUUUAAGGCUAGGUUAGUAGCAAAGGGUUGCACACAGAAAGAAGGUGUUGAUUAUAACGAGAUUUUCUCACCAGUUGUCAAGUACACUACUAUUAGGGUCAUGCUCGCAUUGGUUGCGCUCUUUGACUGGGAACUUGAACAACUCAAUAUAAAAAUCGCUUUUUUACAUGGAGAGCUUGAUGAACAAAUCUUUAUGAAUCAACCAAAAGGUUUUAAAGAUAAGUUAAAACCUGAUUAUUUGUGUUUUCUGAAAAGAUCCCUAUACGGUCUAAAGCAAUCACCUAGACAGUGGUACAAGAGGUUUGAUUUCUUUGUACUCACUAUAGGAUUUCAAAGAAGUAAAUUCGAUCACUGCCUAUACUUUUAACACAACGAGACUGAUAACAAUUAUUUGUUCUUGUUGCUCUAUGUGGACGACAUGCUUUUAGUUGGAUCAUCUCCUAAGUGGAUAAACAAUAUAAAAGCAUAUCUGAGUGGAGAAUUUGACAUGAAAGACCUAGGAAAGGCUAAAAGGAUUCUAGGCAUGGAAAUAGAAUGAAAUAGGUCAAAUUCCAUCGUAUUCUUGCAUCAAUCUCCAUACAUAUCAAAGGUGUUGAAAAAGUUUAAUAUGAGUGACUGCAAACCUAUCACGUUGCCUCUUGCAAACCAUUUUGUUCUAUCAAAAGAACAAGCUCCCUGCAAUGAACGUGAAGUGGAAUACAUGAGUAAAAUUCCAUACUCAAAUGUGAUUAGUUCCAUAAUGUAUUUGAUGGUUUGCACUAGACCGGACUUAGGAUUCGCUGUUAGUACUCUCAGUAGGUACAUGUCUAAUCCAGGUCCUGAACAUUGGGAAGCAUUAAAGUGGCUUUUAAGAUAUUUGAAGGGUACAAGUGACGUAGGUCUAAAAUUUAGUGCUAAUAAGGAAGGCGUGAAAUUAAAAGGUUUUGUAGAUGCUGACCAUGCAGGAGAUAGGGAUGGUAGGAAAUCAACUUCCUCUUACGUAUUCACCUUAUCAAAUUCGUGUGUUAGUUGGAAAUCAUAGUUACAACACAUCGUUGCACUAUCCACUACAGAGUCAGAAUAUAUUGCCACCACUGAAGCAAUUAAAGAGGCUCUAUGGCUUAGAGGUCUACUUCAUGAAUUGAGUGUCUUGAAUGAGUAUGUGGUUGUGUACUCUGAUAGUCAGUCAUCCAUACAUCUGUGUAAGAAUUCUGUUUUUCAUGAACGCACUAAACAUAUCGAUGUUAGGUUACACUUCAUUAGGGAUAUAAUAUCACAAGAAGUAGUAAGACUCGAAAAAAUUCACAUACAAUAUAAUCCUUUAGAUAUGGGCACGAAAGUGCUGCCACUGGUAAAGUUUAGAAGUUGCAAGGAGCUUCUAAACAUCGGUACAGGUAAAUGAUUUCAAUUCUAUCGAUUUUCUGUUAGAGGUGUCACUAAUGGAAAACGUUUUUCUUUGCAGGUCCUUUGACACCAAGGUGGAGGUUGUUAGACAUCAUGUUGUCAAACGACCUCCCGGGCGAUGAUGAAAACCAAUUUAUCAGUCGACAUGAAUGAUUGAACGAUAAAUCAACACCGAAUAAUGGAUGAACCGACCUAGCAUUGCUUUACCUAUUGGAUGGCUAAUAAUCUUUGUGACUUGUUGUUUUUCUAUUGGGACUUAACCCUAGUCGAACCUACUUACCAUAUUGUGACUUACCUUAAGUUGGCCAUUGAACUAAUAUAUAUAUUGGUAAUUGGUUCUUCUCCUAUGUGCCGUGCUUGAAGAGAACCCGAGAGAGAGAGGCGUUAUUCUUCUUCUUCUCCUUCAUGCAUCCUGCCAAUUUAUCUUCCCUACCAAUUGCUUGAGGCUUUGUAACUCUUACCUGUGUGGUAUCUAUCCUAAGUGUGUGGUAGAAUCAACAAGCAAAAGAGAAAAGCAACCAUAGGAAGUGAGCAGUCCGGCGGUCAGUCAUCUCUCGGUUUGGUGUUUGAAUUCGAUGUUUAAUGGUUAACUGAGCCCGAAAAUCACUUUGAGCAGCUUGAGGAAGAUCCUAACAUAAACUCCAUCUUUGAUAGAAAUCUCAUAACCCUUUUCUUACAAUUGACCAAUGCUGAGGAAAUUGGUUUUCAAAUCUGGAACAAAAAGGACAUUGAAAAUAUUUUUAGUAGCAUUUUCAUUGGUAUGAAUAAUUACCUAUCCUUUUCCCAUAACUAGUACUUUAGAGUUGUCUCCAAACUUCACGUUAUCUCAGAAUGAUUCAUCUAGAGUGGAGAAAGAGUGGAGAAAAUUGACUUGUCUAUACUCAUGUGAUUAUUGCAGCCUGUGCCUUGAUACCACAAAUGCUUAUUGUUGGUUUCUUCCUUUGCAUGACUAACCAUCAAUAAGCAUACUUCCUAUUCUUCCUUCACUACAUAAUAAUUAGAUCUCUCCCCAUGACCUUUGGGUAAAUUAGUUCGACAUUCUGAUUUAUAAUGAUCAUACUUAUAACAUCUGUAGUACUCAACAUCAGACUUGUCUGCUGACUCAGGCCAGAAAGUAUUUGAGUGGUAGCCCCCUCUUCCUCUUCCACGAUUAUUGUAAUCUCUGCCUCUCUCUCUCUACCUCUACCGCAUUUGCCUCUUCCUUGGUCUCCUCUACUGGAUGUCAAGUGAUUUUCUAUUGAGGCCUUCAAAGCAUGCUCGUCUUUCUCGUGCUGGGUAAUUGUACGUUCAUGAACUAACAAAGAACUUUAUAAUUCAUCAAUUGAAAGUGCAUCAAUAUCAUGAGAUUGUUCUAUAGAACAGACAACAAAAUUAAAUUUUGGUGUUAGGGAUCGAAGAAUCUCUCAACAAUGGUGACAUCUUUCGUUUUGUCAUCGUGGGUAUGCAUCUUGUUGACAACUACCGUCGUCCAUGAGAAAUAUUUUGUAAACGACUCUCCUGAUGUCAUUUGAAGCAAUUCGGACUGCGAACAAAGUGAAAGUUGCUGCCUCUUUGUUCUUGUUGAUCCUUGAUACUUCUUUUUCAUAGUAUCCCAACUAUGCUUGGAGGUAUCUUUGCAAAGAAUGGUCUCCAAGAUUGAACGAUCAAUGGCUUGAAAGAGAUAAUUUUUUUCUUUGAGAUCUUUCAACUUCAGCCCUUCAAGCUCUGUCUUUUGAGCAUCAGUCACCACAGAAGCUUCUGCUGGUUCUGCUAUUCCAUUGACAACAACCGUCAAGUAUUCUUAAGACCUCAAGAAGUUCUCCAUGAGCAUGCUCCAAUGGUCAUAGUGACCACUGGCCAUCAAAGCGUGGUAUAGUUGGUUGCACAAAGCUGUCAGAAGCCAUUGUUUACUUCUGCUGCAAAAAGGUUGAGACUGAAUGCUGGGAGGGAGGACUUAUGAUAGAAAGUAAAAAUCUGCAGGCCCCUUUUUGGAGNAUGCAUCUUGUUGACAACUACCGUCGUCCAUGAGAAAUAUUUUGUAAACGACUCUCCUGAUGUCAUUUGAAGCAAUUCGGACUCCGAACAAAGUGCCUGAAGUUGCUGCCUCUUUGUUCUUGUUGAUCCUUGAUACUUCUUUUUCAUAGUAUCCCAACUAUGCUUGGAGGUAUCUUUGCAAAGAAUGGUCUCCAAGAUUGAACGAUCAAUGGCUUGAAAGAGAUAAUUUUUUUCUUUGAGAUCUUUCAACUUCAGCCCUUCAAGCUCUGUCUUUUGAGCAUCAGUCACCACAGAAGCUUCUGCUGGUUCUGCUAUUCCAUUGACAACAACCGUCAAGUAUUCUUAAGACCUCAAGAAGUUCUCCAUGAGCAUGCUCCAAUGGUCAUAGUGACCACUGACCAUCAAAGCGUGGUAUAGUUGGUUGCACAAAGCUGUCAGAAGCCAUUGUUUAGUUCUGCUGCAAAAAGGUUGAGACUGAAUGCUGGGAGGGAGGACUUAUGAUAGAAAGUAAAAAUCUGCAGGCCCCUUUUUGGAGUUAGGCUAUGGAAUAGAUACUAUUUCUUAUAGCAUGUGGAAAGACUUGUUUCUGCAAGAUUUAAAUCCUACUGGAUUGGAUUACUACUGUUGCAAUUUAUGGGAAAGAGGCGGUCAGAAAUUUUUGUAGAAGGUUUUGAAGAUAACCUGUUCUGAUACCACUGUUGAAUUUUAAAGAAGACAAAGCCUUCAUACAACAAAACUAGAGAGCAGAGAAGAAUAGAGAACAUAAUUGCUUCUUGGUAUCUUUAUUCAUCAAUCAAAUGUCCUUUAUAUAGGCAUUAAUGGAACAGAUAAAAGUAAGAAAAGAAGAACUGACUAACAAAUCCUAUGGACUUGGUAAUUAGCAAAACAAACUAGCUAAUGAUGCUAAAGAUUAGGUCUACAUGUAAAUCACUUAUUCAACAGACGUUGGUUUAGGUUUUAGAUUCUCAUUUGUGUUGGUGGUGGUAGGGUUGGUCUGUAAAAAUAGAAUAUAUAAUUAGUGUUUGCCAGCAUGAUACUGGGAUUCAGUUGGAGAGGAAGAUGAUGACGGUGGUGGCAGAAAUUCAAAUUUAAGUGGUUGGUGAUGGGUAGAGUUGAUGGUGGAGGUGGUGACAGCGAUGAGAGGCAAGGCAUGGCAAAAACGCCAUGUGUAGGGCCUGGGCGGCUAAUUAAGCGAUCAACGAAAGUGUUGACUGCUUAACACCAUCUAGGUGUUCAUUAUUAUUAUUAUUAUUAUUUUCAAUUCUUAAAACUAAAAAGGCUUUUUUCUUCGCUUUCUUGUUUGCCUUAUAAGUUAAAACAUAGCCAAUGAAGAGAGAAAGAGUCGCUUGAACAAAAGAAAAGUGCCAAAAAUUCCUUUCUCCUCCAAAUUCAAUAUCCACUUCGGCACUUGCUACGUUAAUUAAGCUGGUAAGAUCUCUAUCUCCAUCUUCAUCUAAAGAAGAAACCCGCCAUAAGGGGGAAUAAAAACUGAAUUCGGAUUUAUGCCUAGAAGAAAAGUGCUAUUGAAAGUUCUGUAAUAAAGUCAGUUUGUGUCUUUUGCCACUUUGCUUCAUGUUUCUUACCGUAUUAUUAAGACUAGUAAAGUUUUCUGUUUGAUUAGGUUCAAUGGUAAGUUUAAGGAUGGUCUUUUUUGCAAUAAUUAAAGAAACAGGUGAUUUUGGAAUACGAUAUGCAUUGCAUUUUAGCUGCUGCAGAUCAUAGCAUCAAAUAUGUGGUGUCCUGUGCACUGCCGAAUUGUUGUUAGUUUUGUUUACGUACUUCAAUUUAAAUACAAGCGGGGUAUUGUUCACUGGUUGUGUUUUAUUGUUUGCUUCUUAAUGUGUAUCUAUGUUUACUGUUAUGUAACCUUCUUAAGUUUCCGCAUAUAAACCCUUGGAGAAUUUGAGUGUAUGAUUAACUUAAUUUAAACAAUUUCUUUUUCUUUUUUUUUUUUUUUGGGGGAACCAAUGGAAGAAAAUGAUUCUUCAAUGACAUCAAAAUUCAAUGCUAGUCAAAUAAAAAGGGAUUCCAAAGAUGUUGGAUGGGAAAUCAUGAUUUUUGCAGAUCCUAAAAAUCUUAAUAAUAUGAAACGAUUUUUGCAAAUCCUAAAAAUCUUAAUAAUGUGAAAUGCAUAUUAUGUGAUAAUGUUACUAAGGGGGGAAUUUCUAGGCAUAAAAUUCAUAUAGCAGGAAUCAAGGGAAGAUGUGGUAUAUAUAUCAUGUCCUAGAGCAAGUGAAGAACGAAAAGCCAAGUGUGCUGAAGCUAUUCAAGGGACGAAGUCUAAAGCAAUAGAGAAGCUAUUGAAUGAUGUUAAGUUGAGGGAAGAUGUGGGUUGUAUCUUUGCCAGCAAUACAACAUGAAGAAGAUGAAAUUUCUAUUGGGACUAGGAAAAGGCCUAUUAAUGUGGGGCCUACAGAUCAAUUUGCAAGAUCUAUCAAUGUCAAUGAUGCUUCUAUGAGUGCAAGUAAGAAACUAAGACAACAAAAUGUGAAUGAUGCAAUUUAUAAAAAAAAAUGGUUUUUAAGGUUCAUUGAUACUUUACAAGAUGAGUUUAUGAAGCUGCAAUUCCUUUUAAUGCCGUUGACAAUGAUAGUUAUUAAACUAAUUGUGGAAGCUCUUGGUCAAUAUGGCUUGGCUUACCUUUCUUCUUCCCAAUACCAAGGGAGGCACUUUUAAAGGGAGAAGUGCAAAGGUCAAAAGAAACAAGAAAAAAGUGGAAAAAUAAUGGGUGUUCAAUCAAGACUUAUGCUUGGAGUGACAAGAAAAGGAGAAGCAUCAUGAAUUUGUGUGUGUAUUGUAAAUUGGGGACCACAUUUAUUUCAUCAAAGGAAGCUUCAAAUGAUGCCCAUACCGGUAAAUUUAUAUUUGACUAUUUCAAUUAAAGAUGUUGGGGUCGAAAAUGUGGUUCAAAUUGGGACCGACGAUGCCUCCAAUAAUAUGGCCACCGCAAAAUUGUUGGAAUUACAAAGGCCUAAAAUGUUUUGGACAUCAUGUACCACUCACACUUUACUUCUUAUGCGUGAAGGAAUCUCUAAACUUCCUAGCUUCAGAGAAGUGAUUAACAAGGGAAAAUCAUUCACUAUAUUCAUUUAUGCACAUCACAAGACUUUGGCGCUGAUGAGAAAGCUCACAAAAAAAGAGAUAGUUAGGUCGGGAGUCACUAGAUUUGCAUCGUCUUUCUUUACAGUGCGAAAUUUGCUUGAUAAAAAACAAUAGCUGAGAAAUAUGAUGACUAGCAAUGAAUGGGAUAAGAUAAAAUGGUCUAGGUAUAAAGAGGAAAAAGAUGCAUUUGAUAUUUUUGUUAUGAUCUUUGGAACAUGGUAAAGUCGUGUUUGAGAGUAUUCACUCCUGUAGUGAAAGUGCUUAGAAUUGAUUGUAGAGAAAAAAAAGCCUUAAAUGAGCUUUUUCAUGUAGAGCUACUAAUGACAAAGGAUGACAAUUAAAAGAUAACGAAGAGGGAGCAUGAUUAUAGGCUUGGACAUUAUUGAUGCUAAAAGCAAUAGUCACCUUGAUAGUACACUUCAUACUCCAGCUGAUUUUUUGAAUCCAUUCUAUUUCUUCAAAAAUCCAUAUAUCAAAGAUGAUCACUGAUGAUAAAUAACUUGACUGCUUUUGUUAAGAAAUUCUUUUCUAAUGAUCAAAUGCAACAUCAUGUGAUAAAUAUUGAAUUGCAAAGAUUUGUCCAAAAAGAAGGCUCAUUUGGAAGAAAGCUUGCAACAAGUUGAUGUUAGAACAAUGAUAAAAACUACAAUCUGGGUAUGUUAACAUAUUACUCUUUUUCUCGUGUCAUUAACGUUUUAAGUUAUUAUAGUAUGAUUAUAUAUAGAUAUUAAAUAACAUGUUUAUCUCUUUUAUUUAUUUUUAUUAGUUACUUGGUGAGAUUUUUAUGGCAAUGAAACACCAAAUUUAAAGACCAUGGAAAAAAUUAUACUUGGUUUGAGUACUAGUUCAUUGGAUUGUGACAGAAAUUGGAGUUCAUUUGAAGGGGUGACUAUUAAUUAGGUUGUCACAUUUUACUUACUAAUGAGUAAUGAAUAAUUCCUUGAAUAUGCUUUGCUCCAUUAAAUGUAACUUUCUUUUUCUUUUACUUCUUCUUCCCCAACCUUUGUGUGUGUGUGUGUGUGUGUGCGGAUAUACACCUAGGAAAGGAAUAAGCUUGACACUAAAAGGGUGAACAAUAUUGUUUGUCCAAUUUAAUACAAGGCUGGUGAACAAAAAGAAGAGAAAACGCAAAAUAGAUAUCUUACAAAGUACAAGAGUUACUAGAAAUGCUCAAAAUGAAAUAAAGGAGCUUGAGGAAAAGGAUUUUGUAUCGGACAACAUGGAGGACGAACUAGAUAAAGAAGAUGAUAUUGAAUUGGAGUUUGAUAAACAGGUAGAUAAGAUUUAAGUUUCUAUGAUAUCUACAUUAUGUAACUAUUAUUUUGAUACUUAUCUUUUUGUAUUAUUAGUUAGAUGUUUGGUAGGUAUUAUUUUAAUUAUUAAAUAAUUUCUAGAUUGAUUAAAAAUUAAAAAUAAUAAUAAAAUAAGAAAAUAAUUUUUUUUUUCACACGUAUCCUUGCCUAACCCGAAGCUUGACCUCUACACAGCCACGCAUUAUACCUUUUAGAAUAGUGGUUGUCAAAAGCAGUGGAACAAUGUGUUAUAAAUGUAAUACAAAUUAUUAUCAGUGGCAAAGGAGAGAAAUGCUGUCUAUACAAGUGGUGGUCACGAUAGCGAUGGCCACGAGUAAGAUGUUAUAUUACAAGUGUAGCAUAAUUUCUUACAGGUGGUGGUGAUGGUGGAUAGUUUUGGACGAAUGUGACAAAAUAUAUUAUUGUUAGAAAGUGUAGCAUAAAAGUAAAUUAAAAAUAAAUAUUGACAAAAAAAAGUUGGACGACAAGUUGAGGAACUGUUUGAUAAUUAUGCUUAUUUUUGUAAAGUACCCUACUUUAAUGUGGCCCCUUUGAGCCGUCAUUUUCUGGGUAGUGUUUCUUUUAAAUGAAAUUUACACAACACAACCUUUUAAAUAAAAUUUCCAGAUUAUACGGAUCAACUGUUUUAUUGCUAAGAAUACUAGAAAUAGUAUAUUUGGUAACUUAAAAAUCACAUAACUCCUUAAUAUAAUUUGGGAUAAUUAUAUUCACGCCACAAUUUCUUUUCUUGCUCCACAGUUUAAUUUACUUAAAGUUUUUAAUCUUUACUCAUUAUAAUACUAAUGUACCUAAUGAUUUUUAAAAUUAUUCUUAUAAUCAAACAUUUCAUUAGUUAACACAAUUUGUAUUUAAUAACAGUUUUAUGUUCAAAAGUAUGUUGAAAUUAUGCAAAGCAACUUAUUUUUCAUCAUAUAUUUUUUUAGAAAAAAUAAAUAAAAAGUGCUAAAAAUAUUUUUUUCCUCAUUUCAAAGCAUAAAAAUAAAAUAUUUUGAUAUAAAUCAUGAUCAAGGACGAAUCUUAAUUUCACACACAAUAAUAUUGCUCCAUUUUAAUCCCCUAUCUUUUACCCCAACUUUCAAUUCCCAAAAAACAAAAAAAAAAAAAGAAGGGGGAAAAAAGAAGAAGAAGAAGAAAAAAAAGGUCAAAAACCUAUAUUUUACUUCAAUUUCUUCAUUGAUUGUGAGAAUCAAAAAUAGAUUGUUGAGUGGAGAUCUUUCUUUUCCAUAUAUAUUAGGAUCUCCAAAGAUCCAUUGAAGAUUUUUGUCCACGGUUUAGCCUAAGCAUCAUCAAACCUCUAUUCUGCUUCAAUUUAUUCAUCAAUUGUGAUAAUCAGACAUCGAUUGUUGGCCUGAAGAUAUUAUUUUUCAUAUGCACUGAGAUAUUCAAAGAUCAAUGGAAGACUAUUCUUUCGACAUAGUGCAUCCAACCUCUAGAUAAGAAUUCGUUCUUAGGGAUUUCUGUCAUAUAUCAUACUUUUAGCCACUAAGUAAAGUGAUUUCACCCCCAAGAAGUAGCUAUAAAUACUGUGAAAUGGAAACCCUAAAAUACAUUUCAACCAUGGGUUCUGACAAGAAUAAGUAGUCACACCAUCACUGGCAGACACAAGGGGUGGCAUGGAGUCAUGUGACCCCCAACUUUUAAGCAAUUUGUUUUUUAUGGGACACGAAACGAAGUUGAAAUAUUACAUUCUUAACACCUGUUUGAUGGGUAUUAAAAUUAGAUUUUUAAUAUAUUUUGAUAAAAGUUGAUGAAAUGUGUGGUUGAAAAGUUUUGGGUUCCAUAAAAUGUGUGGUUUAAAUUAAUUGUUGAUUUUGAUUUAAAUCGAAAUCUAGAUUUCAAUUUAUACCAAACAAGGACUUAAUACUAUUUCAAAGUGCUCAUAGCUUAGUUUUCCAUGUCGUUAAUGGCACAUGAAACAAUCAACCAUAGCUAAUAUUGCGGCUAUUCAAAGUAGAUCUUUUCAGAUUAGUAUUUCGAGAAUUUCGAUAACAUGCUUUUAAAAAUUAUUCGACGAUUGCACACUAGUCGAAUUUUUAGAAUUGACUACGUGAUCUUGAAGCUUUUCGAGAACUACAUUAUAGACAUAUCGAACAGUCCAAAUGGAUAUUGAAAAUAGUUAAAGGUGCAUCAAAUUUCUUGAAAUUUUAAUUUUUUUGAAUUAUUUCAUUAAUUUUUAUUAUUAAUUAUACCCUACAAAUUCUCAAUUUAAUUUGCAUAGUUUUAUUAGAAAAUUUUAUAAGGGGUAUGACGUCAAUUUUUUUUGAAGUUUUACAUUCGGAAAAGUCAUAUACUAUAUAAAUUUUACAUGGGGUAUGACGUUUUCAAAUGUAAAUUUUUUAAUAUAAAUUUCUCACAACUUUUUUGUAAGUUUAAUUAUGUCCCCUAAUUUAAAUUCCUUCAAGAAGCAUUACAAUAAGUAAUAUCCCACAUGGAAGGGGUUAGUGUUUGUGGCAUGCUCGAAACUAAUUACAACAAGGAGUUGCAUAGAAGAUUACUCCAAUCAACCAUUCUUGUUCAGUCAUGCUACAUAUACAUAAUGGUUUACAUAAUAGUUUACACAUACAUGAUGUGAUGAAAUAUAAUUGGGUCAGAAUUUUUUCAACCGAAUAAAAAGCUUCUUCACUUUCUUUUUGACACAUCAUUUAUAUAUAAAUUAUUAUAUAACUCAAUUAUGUACCAGUAGCAUUAUUCAUUCUGAUUCAGCAUGGCACCUUGACGAAUGCAGCCUAGGCCUGCCCCAGCCCAUAUACAAAAUUAAGAGUAAAAUUUCAUUUUUUAGCCCAAAUAUUUUAUGUGUAGCCUGACUCUACUCUAGUCCCAAAAAAAGGGGCAACUUACAAAAAUACCCUUAAAAUUAGAGGUGUUUUGAAAAAUCAUAUGAAAAGUUUUUAGGAAGUAAAAAAUACUGUGUAAAAUGAAAAAAGUGACACAAUGUCACUUUUUUAUAAAAAUUGUCAAUUUUUUUUUUAAACAAACUCAAAAAAAGUGGCACGAACACUAAAAAAGUAAGAAACACCAAAAUAGCACCAUCCAUUUGGACAGUACCACUAAUCACAUUCUUAAUAUAAUCAGCAUAUCUAUGACAAUUCACGUGAGCGUAGUGGCGGUUCUUAACAUAAUCAACACGUGGAUUGUUAAUGUUCUAAUUAUGUUAGGAAAAUAUAACAUAUUAUGUCACUUUUUUAUCUUCUUCAAAAAGUGACAAAUAUUUAAAAAAGUGACAAAAACUUAGAAGGUGACAUAAAAACUCAAAAAAGUGACACAAUAUCAUUUUUAAAAGUUUGGUGUCACUUUUUUAUUAAAAAAUGACAUACAAUCUCACUUUUAUUAAAAAAAAAAUUAUGUUUGCCAUUGAAAAGGUGAUAAAAAUUUCAAGAAGUUGACUUAAAAAAAAGUAAUGAACAAUAAAUAAAAGUGACAAAAUUUCAAAAAAAGUGGCAAAAUUUCAAAAAAGUGAGAAAUUAAAAAAGUGACGAACACUAAAAAAAGUGGCGAAUUUAAAAAAGAGAGAGAAAUCAAGAAGGUGACAAACAUUAAAAAGUGACGAAAAUUCAAACAAAAGUGACGAAUUCAAAAAAAAUGCAACCAAGUUUACAGUAAGCUCACAAGUCACAACUAAUGAAAAUUGAUGACUAAACUAAGAUGUAAAUAUCAAAAAGUCAUAUAAACGCUCAUCACUAUUAAUCGAAUAAUAUUUUUUGCGGUCUUCAAGUCAUAACAUAUCCUACAGUUUGCAUACUGACCAAACAGUUUACCAAACUCGGACAAUAUUUUGAGUACCUGAAAAUCAUUGUAAUAUGGGAAACGUUGUUCUUCUGGGGCACUGCAUCAAAAAAUCCGCAUGCUAAUUUUAUCUUCCUGCAAUCUUGGUACCCACAGAUCAUAGCAUUCCAGGAAGCAAAACUAUUCCUUGGCAUCUGUUGAAACAAUGCAUAUCCCUGCUCCAUAUUCUUGCCCCUUGCAUAACUAGAAACCAUUUCAUUCCAAGAUAUCACAUCCUUCUUUGGCAUUUCAUCGAACACACUUUGAGCUGCUAAAGUUAUGAUUUGAACAGAAAUUUAGCUUUUGCCUUUUAGCAAACUGAUAAAAGGAGUAUAUAUAUAUUGCAUACCAAGUUGAAUAGAUGAGAAUUUAGAAUGUGUUUCUAGACAGAGAAACACAGAGAUGUAGAGAGAGAUGAGGCGCUCCAAAGGGGAUGGUGUAUUGAUGAAACCAUUGUAUUCCAAGAUAUCACAUCCUUCUCUGGCAUUUCGUCAAACACACUCUAAGCUAUUUCUAAAUCUCCCUGAUUUCACAUACCCUGCUAACAUCGAAUUCCAGAAACAACAUUCUUCCCCUCAAUUCCAUCGAACACCUGACGUGCAAUGUCCAUAUGACCCAUAUUCGAAUAGAAGUCCACCAGAGCAGUCUGAACAAACAACAUUACAAAAACCAUAUUUGAAUACAAAAACAAUAUUACAAAAACAUAUUCAAGUUCUCGUGCAACAUAGUUUCCAAUUUCCACCCAGGACCACGUCGCAACAGCCAUUGCAAACGAUAGUGAGGUGGUGUUCGCCUAGAAGGGUGAAACACUUCACGAGUGCAGGUGGUGCAGCGAGCGGGCUCUCGAUUGGGGAUCUGGUGGUGGAACCGAUUUGAGUUGUGAAUGACUGUGGCGAUGCUACUCCCCUCAUUCAUGAAGGCUUCAGGAGUUUGGAGGUUUGGGGGAGGUUAUAACGUAUUAAUUAUGUUGUUGAAUGAUUUUAUUAAUUAAAUAGGGUAUUAAUCAAAUUAGUAAUUUUUUUUAGGGCAUUGGGCCUAAUUUACCCAAAAAAAAAAACUUGCUCCCAGCCCAUAUACAAAAUUAGGUGAAAUUUUUAAAUUGGGAAAAUUACACCUAGACACGUUUUUUAAAAUUUCAAAUACAAUAAUCAGGCUUUAACUUUAUUAUUUCACAAAUCGGGUUAUAAUUUAAUUAUUUAGUAUUAAAUUUAUAAUAUAAUAUUACUAAUUAAAAUUAUAUUACAGUCAUUAUCCCUACAAGGGGGGGGGGGAAUUAUUUAAAGCAUUUCAAAACACUAUUCUUCUACCACAUCCAUUGAGAGGGAGAUUAUGGAUCCUAUUUCAAUCGAUUCAUCCACAUUCGUUGAGGAACAGUAACAAUUGGAGGACUUAAUUGUCGUUCGCCCACAAUUUCCCAUUUCCUAAUGUUCAGCAUAUUGUUAAAUAUUUUGAAUUAAUAUUUCAACCUUUUUUUCAACCAUAAAUCUAUACAAAUUCAACUUAAUGGGUUCGGCCAAAGAGAAAUACUCUAAAUUUCUAUAAAAUGGGGAAAACUAAUCGUGGAUUGUUUUUUUUUUUCUAAUAUAUUGAGAAGAAAGGCGAGAAUCGCUUCAAGUAUUUUUUAUGGCCCUUAGAAAAUGCAUUCGUGGAUUUUGAAAAGCGAUGCGAAUCUUAAUUCUAGUCGACAGUACAACCUUUAAGACUAGAUACGAAGGCAAGUUUAUUAUUGCAACAUAUCAAGAUGCUACUUCCAAAUUUAUCCCCUUACAUUCAGCAUAGUUGAUGGAGAGAAUGACUUAGCGAUACGUUGGUUCUACACGAAACUGAGGGAAGUAAUUGGGGACAUCGAGAACUUUGCAUUCAUAACUGUCUAGAGGUAGUUAAUAAUAAAUGGUAUUGCAGAAAUCUUUCCCAAGCACAUCAUGAUUAUUGUAUAUACCAUAUAUAUGGCAACUCAAAGACUAAGUAUCAGGGCAGUGGUAUUAUUGCAUUGUUUAGGAAAGCUACAGAGGCAUAUAAUUUUGAAAAGUUUAAUAAGGUCAUGGUCGAAAUAAAAAAUAAAUCACGUGCUAUAUAGGAUUAUCUAACAGAGAUGAUGAUCGAACAUUGGGCACAAUCACGUUUUCCAAGACGUCGAUAUAAUAUGAUGACGUUAAACAAUGUGGAGUCACUAAUGUAUUAUUUAAUAAGGAUCGAGAGUUACCAAUUCCUACAAUGAUUUAGUCCAAUCGUAACAAACUACUUAGUGGUUUCAUAAUCGGCAUGAGGAAUCCCGGCUCAGGAAGAUAAGACUUUAGAGAUGUUGAGAAAGGUAUCUGUGGAACCACUGGAUCAAUUUCACUUCUCCGUGAGAUGUGGACUUGAAUGAUAGCAUGUGCACAUGUAGAAAGUUUCAAUUGGAAAUUUUUUUCAUGUAUGUAUGUAGUGACAGUGGCUAUGCAUAAAGGAUUUCUAUCACACACCUUAUGCAGUUAUUAUUAUAUAGCUUAUUAUUGGAGAGCAACGUAUGCUGAAACUACCAAAUAAAGUCGAGUAGAAAGUUCUCAACUACAUUAUCCCACUUAAUAAUUUGUUGCCACCCGAAGUCGGACUAUGUACUCCUGAACAUACACGUACGUCUAGGAUACCAUCUACUGGAGAAUUUUUUCAAUCUUGUAAAUGCGGUAGGUGCGAGGCAAUAAGGUAUACUUGCCGAUUUUGUACAAGUAAGAUUCCUCUAUAUAACAAUUCAAUGAAUGUGUAAUGUAAUACCCCGAAUUUUUAUUUACUAUUUUCACAUGGGCCUAAAUUUAAAGUUAGUUAUUUAGUAAGUGGAAUAGUUCAUUAUUCUUCCCGUUAUUAAUAACACUUAAUUUUUAUUUAUUUUCACAUUAUGUCAUUAUUUAAUAGUUUUUUAUGUUCGAGCAUUUGACAUCCUAUAUUAAAUUUAAAUUGAUGGUUUGAAAUAGUAGUAUUUUUAGCUAUUUGUUUGCUUAUACAAUCAAGUUUAUUGUCAUAAAAAAAUAAUAAGAUUUUUAGUUAUUUGUUUGAUCAUACAGUCAAAUGUGCUUCGAAUCACACAUACAGUUGUGCUACAACACAUGUCACAAUAAAGUCAACAAUAUUUAUAUAUUUUUAAUAAAAUAAUACGUAAUGUACUAAGGAUCACAAUUGUAUGCAUACAAAUUGCAAGCUAACUUCAAUCUCUACAUAUCUAUGCAAGGUUGGUUUAUUGUAUCAACUUUGCGAACAAUAUUCAAAAACUCUAUAUACUUUAUUACGAAUAUAGCGCAAUCACCCCUGCAAGUAAAUAAUAUUAUAUUAGUUCGAUAACAUAUAUCUAAAAAUUAAGUUUUCAAAUUAAAAACUUGUAAAUACUUAAGACACUCUGUGUCUCGCUGUCGUCAUGUUAUACACAAUGGCUAAUUCGUCAUUUACUCGAAUCACUGUAUGUCUAGCUACAAUGGGAAUGAUCAUAAUCAUCAGAUCCAUUAUUUGCUCCAAUUAACCUUGUGUCUAACAGCUAUGAUCAGAGUUGUACACAUGGAUAGUAGAAUCAGGGAAUGCGAUCUCAACUGCAAAACAAUGUAAGUUCACGAUCACUAGAAUAUACAUACGUAUACAAUCUGUCCAUGGCUUUCACACGUCUGCUCUAGCCCAAUGACCCACUCGAAUAUGUAUUCUGACACCACAUAUAUAUUUUUCGUGAGUAGAAGUGUAAUAUGCAAUAUCAACAUGUGCAAACCUGGAGCUCAAAAUGACUCGAUCAAGAAUGUCACAAGAUCUCGGGUGUCUUUGAGCCAGAUUAUGUAACAUUUCCAUGGUUACGUCGAUAUGCUGAAGUAAAAAUACCAGCAAAAAGAGUGAGGAUCAUUUAAUUAAAUAAAUCAACAAAUUAUAUAAACAUAAUAAUAACAACAAGAAUACACUUACAUUAUCGACGAACCAAGCUAACUUCGUCAGUACAUCUUCAAACCACGUUCGAAAUUGUCUUCUCCCCAAUCUUUUAACUAUUUUUGAAAAAAUAAAAAAGUGAAAUUUUAACAAAAGUAUAGAUAAUCUCAUAUAUACUUUAGUAAAAAUUAUGAAAUACUCAUUCCGACUUAAAGGAUUUAAACCAUUCAAUGAACUUUUUGUGUUUAACUGGGUUGACCUCGUGGAAGAUAUUGAGGAAUGUCUUGUCCACAAAAAUCCUUCUCUUUGUCUCAACCAUGAAGGGAAAAAUGAUGUAAUGUGAAAGCAAUCUCUGCCUCUUACCAACUACACGCUUUGGCACGUCACCAACACGCUUCUUACCCUUCCUCACCUCCAUCAUCCCCUCCACGCAAAAAUUACAUCCUCAAUAGUGUCUAGCAUCCUCUCGUCCUCUGCCAUAACACUUCCUAUAUCCUUUCCAUCACAUCUCCUACCACCAUCACCAUCAAGAGCCCUUUGCCGCCUCUGUCGGGGCCAUACGUUUCUUUGUGUAUGAAAAUGAAUCGAAUGUAGCAUUCAAUAGCUACGACGAAUCAUCACACCGUAUCUGACCAUCUCCUCCAUCAUUCCCUUAUCCCUGAGAAUCGCAAGUCCCUCCGUCAACCCCUCCAUCUCCAUCGAAGCUAGUCUCUUCAUCAUCCACUCCAUCCCGAGAGCUACUAGUCCAUUCCAGGCCUGCUAUAUCACCUCAUAUCACUAUGAUCUCAGCAUGAAGAUAUCCUAAAUCGGCUCAUUGCAUCAUGACAUCAUGUCAUAUCUCCGCUACGUCGCCUCUCAUCUCCAUCAUAAAUGUAGGUAGAAGUUUGAACAAAUCAUCGGUGGAAGCAUCACAACUAUGUGCAUAAGAUCUACGUGGGACGAGUCUGGAUGUAGGAGUAGGUGAUCUCAUGUGUGAAGGUGACCUCCUUAGGGAAGGUGAUAUCGUCGGAAAAAAUGAUCUCCUUGAUGGAGGUGAUCUCCUCAUCGCAGGUGAUACCGACAUUUCACUGAUUUAAUGACCAUGUGUUGAGAUUUUGAAAGCACAUAAAUAUAAAUUGCAAAUGUAAACUACAUACCUCGGGAUCAUCAAAGAGUGCUGAUUAUUGUUUGGCAAAUGAUUUGUCUUGUGCUCGGCAAUGAUGCAUUUGAGGGUAGCAUGUCUCCUAUCUCUUCGGAUAUCGAUCAGCCAAGAUAGGGAUAGUCUAGUACACCCAUAUUUGUAAUAAUUACAAAUAUUAUAUAAAAUUUAAUUAAAAAAUAGAUAGUUCAUUAUGUUAAAUAUUUACUUGCAAAGCCAAAGGCAAGCCAUGUGCAUAGUACUUGUGCUCGGGCCUACCCUCUAGGCAUCGAAUACUCCAUCUGAAAGACAUGCAAAGUAUCCAUAAAACAUCUUUGCCCACGAAUAGUUGUUGAACGUAUCAAUGUCAUCAACAACUUCCAAAUGGAAAACAUCAAUUGACAUCUUCUUGUGAUGACUUCUGAGCACACUUUCAAGAAUAAGCAUCAAGCCUAGCUUGGUCACAUUCUCUAAAUGCAUCUCCUAACUAUACCAGAGUUACUAUCAUUUGUCCAUGAAAAUAUUCAUUUACCAGCCUCACGUUUCUUAAAAUAUGACCCUUACUACUUCUUCGCCUGUACAUCUCAAUUCGAUGAUGAGGGCAAACUCAAAUAUAGAGAAUGUAGCUACCUUAGCCCCAAAUCAAAAAGGAGGAUAUCUCUAUCAACUGGCUUAAGCAGUCAACAUAGUAAUGUAUUGAGCAACUGUCCAAAGAACUGUACGUCACGCAACGAAUAUAAGGGCCAUAAGCAGGAUCAAUGUAAUAUGUUUGUGUGUUCCUCAUCUAGCAAAUCUAGUACCAUCGUAAAUUGGAAAAGUCACAAUUCGAUGUAACUCUGUUAGCAAUCUGUCUAAUGGUAGUGUUUAAGUGGUAUUCUAUUCGGCAAAAUUUCAAAUGUUAGAACAUUUUGCAAGAAAUAAUGGAUAAAAUAUAAUAUUAGAAUAUUAAACUAACCGAUCUGUAACUACUAUACCCAAGAAUUAGCAUAUAAUAGAAAAAAGGAAAAUGAAAGUAAAUAAAAAUUAUAAAACAAAAUUAUAAAAAGUGAUAAUUAAUUUUUUUUUGUGAACAACAUUAAAAAUUCAAGAAAAAAUCAAACUAUAAUUAAUAUUAGUUAAAAUAUUAAAAAAGAAAUUAAAAUCAAAUAUGAAAUAAAUAAUUAAAAUAUCAAACGAAUAUUAAAUAAACAAUUAAAAUAAGUAAUUAAAUAUUAAAUAAUUAAUUAUAAAAGCGAUUACAUAUUAUAUAAACCUUUAAAAUAAAUAAUUCACAUAAAAAGAAAUAAUUAAAUAUUAAAUAAACAACUAAAUAAAGAAUUACAAAUUCAAUUAAAUAUUACAUAUUACAUAAACUAUUAAAAUAAUUAAUUAAAUGAUAAAAAACUAAAAUAAAUAAUUAAAAUAUACAAUUAAAAUAAAAAAAUUUAAAAAAUAAUUAAAAUAAAUUAUUACAAAAACAAUUACAAAUUAAAUAAGCAGUUAAACAAUUAAAAUAAACACUUAAAAUAAAUAAUUACAAAAACAAUUGCAUAUUAAAUAAACAAUUAAAAUAAAUAAUUACAAAACAAAUAAAAUUAAGCCCCCGUCUGGGCACGAUUUGUGAAAUGGGAGAAUCAAUUCUCCUGCCUUAUCAGCUGGCCCCACCUGAAGACAUUUUGGUUGUUCAAUGUAGAGGUCCGUGCAUAAAUUACAAGUUUGCCCACAUGACUUCAACUGUGCACUAACAUAAUGAAGAGACUUUUGACCGGCAAUGAUAAAGAAUUUGGGGAGAUAAUGCAUACAUGAUGGGUCCCAUUCAAACAUGAAUAUUUUUUGUCCAUCAAAUAUUUUUGACAUGGAAUUUCAUUGCAAGAAAACCAAUUGGGGACGUGUGACAUUAUUCAUGAUAACAUUUUUUUCCGAUUUUGACGUGAAACGACGUCCAUUUCUCUUGUCGAAAAACAUCCUACUUAAUCAACCCGUCUAGUUUCGACCAAAAAAAUACACGUAUUUAUUGUUGUGCCAAGUAAUUUUGAACAUGUCCCACUCAUCUCGUCGUGAUUCCGGUACAUUCAUUUUCGCUAAAGUUUUGUCACGUGCGCUUGGGAGCUCCACUUCUGCUGCGUCGGGGUCUGCCUCCGCUCAUAGGAAUGCUUCGUCCACCACGCCUGCCCAUCGAAGAAAGUUAUGAAUGGUCAUGGUUGCAAUUACAACAUGUGUUUGCACGUUGAACGCAUAACUUGGCAUACGAUCGAGUAUUUUCCACUGACUUUUCCAAAUGCCAAAUGCAUGUUCGAGGACGUUCCUACAGGACGAGUACCUGAAAUUAAAUUUUUCGCUUGCAUUGCGGAAGUUACGUCUGCGACCAGUGUCUCCGUCAUAGAAUUUUUGAAAAUGGUACAAUACAUCCGAACCCUUAUAGGGCACCAUAUACCCAGGUCAAUGAGUAAAUCCUGAGUCAACCAGGUAAUAUUUUCCAGGUGCAGGUUGCAGAAACUCAAUCUCAGGAUUAUGUAUUGCCCGAGCCAAGAUUCGAGCAUCGUAGGAGUUCUCCGUUGUACCUACAAGCACAAAUGUAAAGUAAAAAUUGAAAUCACAUGCCGCUAGCACAUUCUGGAUUGGAAUUCCUUUUCAUCCGAUAAAACUCACGUGCUGCUCCUGUGGAAGGACGACUCUAACGUGGGAUCUGUCAAUUGCACCAAUUCAAUCCCAAAAAAUGUGAUGCUUGUUCAGAUUCGGAAUGUGAUGCUUAGCAUAAUUAUUGUAGUUUGAAUCUGGUCGAAUUACUCAUCGAGAGAAUUCGAGAACCACUCAAAGCACAAGCUUGAAGUAGCAUCCGACGGUUUCCAAUGAAUGGUUGAAAGGGGUAUGUCCUAUCUGUACCCCUUUCCAUGCGCUAAUAUGCAAAGAAACAUACCAACAUGUUCAUAAAAAUCUAUGUGCUGAUGACUGCAAAGCCCAUACUCGUCACGCAGCAUAUGUACGAACGCUCGCAACAUCACGGGAUACAUGCAAAACUCGGCGUAGCAUUGUUGAGGACUACAAUUCAUUGCGUCCAACAUGAACAUAUGACCAUUUCGCACGAACGGAUAUCGUGAAACACGAGUGCUUUAUUCACGAUAGUAAUUUCUGAGAGUAACCUCAUUGAUUUGACAGUACCGAAACCACUACAUAAUGUCCACUUGCAAUUCUUACAUGAAUGCCUCGUCGCCCUAUUCGUCCUCCGCAUCAGAGGUCGAGUGCAACUCGUAGGUGAAAUCCGAAUGUGCCAUACGACCACAAUCACAAUAUGAUAUCCAUGACUAUGGCUUUUGCAUGUUGUAAACUUUUAUUGCAUUUAUGUGCCUUUUAUAGAACAAUUUGUCUUUCAAGCUAUGGCUAGGACAACCAAUAAUUUAUGUGAAAAUGGGACUGAUGUGACCAGUCCACCAACUAAUGGAGCACUUCUUUGACCCAAAUGUGAACAGCAUUCAAAAGUUUGUUUGUUUGCACAUCUGCUUGUAAUCUAACAGAAUCAAACUUUUGGCACGCAUAUGAAAAUAAAACGUUUCAACUGUAAAAAGCAAACUUAGGCAACUGUACCCCGUACAUACUAGACACAAAUAAAAUGUCUUCACAUCAAACAUAGUACAUGUAAACAUAAACAAUAGCAAGAAAAAUUUAAAACAUCCCAUGGACGUGUACGCAAUCUACACAAACAUAUAUAAUCGUGGCUGUGUUUUCCUAUAUCCCUGAUAGCUCCACUCCACCCAGGCAAUCUUGUCAUUUGCAUUGUCUUGCAUGUCCAGUACCUCUCUAUUGGCCUUUUGCGAAAGGAAUUUAAACGUGAAAAAGUACAGAUCCAUUUGUUUUUGGAGUCGACCCGUAGCCAAUAACUCGCUCAUGCAUGUCUUUGGGUUGGACACAACCACUCCGAUGAAGUAGUCAAUUUUUGCAGCAAUCUUCUCACUGGUGGAGGUAGCACAAUCCACAGAGUAGGACACGUCUCGAGAUGAAAACUUCUUCUUCUUCUCCUUCAAUCACUUUUCGACGGCCUUCCGUUUGUCCCCGCUAUACGAGUGUUCGCGAAAAUUAUUUGUUCUCGAUUUUAAAACCCACCGCAAGUGUAUUAACAAGUAGUAAAAUGGAUUAUGAGUCCAAGUAUCAUUCCCACGAGGAUUGAAUUAGCUCUAAUUAGACUAAUGUGACCUUAACCGAAUCUAAUUGAAUGAAAAUUUGGUUUAAAUUUGAAAAGCCCUAAUUUUGGAAGAAAUCCCCAAUUUGAAACCCUAAUUGCAAAGUAAACCCUAAUUUCAAAAUUGGAAACCCUAAUUUCGAAAUUUUCACUAAUCUAAUGAAAUAAACACGCAACUGAAAUGUAAAUAUGCAAUUUUAGAAUUAUUGUAUUGAAAUGAAUCGAAAUGAACUCAUUAAGAACUCGAAUCCCCAAUUGACUAUUAAAAACCCUAAUUUCACAAAUUCAACGAAUCGAUGGAACAAAAUUCCAAUUCAAUGUUCCUAAAUUAUCCAAUACACUCUCUCGAUAUAUAUUGAAUCUACUCUUACACACCACCAGCCUAUAUUUCUAUGGAUGAUGCAAUAUACAAGAAUGCAUGACUUUUUAUGAACAUUUUCAUGAAUUGCAUAAGGCAUAGAGGUAAGUUUCCAUCCCCUAUCGGACCCUAUGUCGAUUUAUAUUCUAUCGAAUUUAUUCCCCUUCUUUCGAAUGCUAAGAAUAAAUCAUCUACAAUCACAUAACAAUUGACCAAUUAAUUAUGGAAGCAUUCAAAUCAUAUAAAUCAAACAUUUGUCCAAUCGAAACUAAUGUUGAAUUUAUGAAAUAACGGAAAUUUAAAUCAUCAAAAGGUUCAUCAAAUUCCUAAUGAACAAAAACCCUAGCCUAUAAUCAUCAUUACAAAAUCAAGAAAUUGAAAAAAUGAAAUUAAAAGAUAAUAAGAAUACACCCGUAUGGAAUUUCUUCAAUCCGUGUGUAUAAUCUUCAAUCCCGUCUCGAACCCGUGCGAAAUUGAAUCCAAAAUCAAGUUUCUUGCCUCCAAUUUUGGUCUCCCCCUUCUCCCUGGUCGUUUUUCUCCUUAAUAUGAUGAUUUUGGGUAUUUAUAUCGCGUCCAAAUUAAGUAGGAAAGGAGUUUCAACCAAAACGAACAACNNNNNNNNNNNNNNNNNNNNNNNNNNNNNNNNNNNNNNNNNNNNNNNNNNNNNNNNNNNNNNNNNNNNNNNNNNNNNNNNNNNNNNNNNNNNNNNNNNNNNNNNNNNNNNNNNNNNNNNNNNNNNNNNNNNNNNNNNNNNNNNNNNNNNNNNNNNNNNNNNNNNNNNNNNNNNNNNNNNNNNNNNNNNNNNNNNNNNNNNNNNNNNNNNNNNNNNNNNNNNNNNNNNNNNNNNNNNNNNNNNNNNNNNNNNNNNNNNNNNNNNNNNNNNNNNNNNNNNNNNNNNNNNNNNNNNNNNNNNNNNNNNNNNNNNNNNNNNNNNNNNNNNNNNNNNNNNNNNNNNNNNNNNNNNNNNNNNNNNNNNNNNNNNNNNNNNNNNNNNNNNNNNNNNNNNNNNNNNNNNNNNNNNNNNNNNNNNNNNNNNNNNNNNNNNNNNNNNNNNNNNNNNNNNNNNNNNNNNNNNNNNNNNNNNNNNNNNNNNNNNNNNNNNNNNNNNNNNNNNNNNNNNNNNNNNNNNNNNNNNNNNNNNNNNNNNNNNNNNNNNNNNNCUAUCAAGCUUAUGAAUGGUUUGUUCCCGAUCCAUAAUGGUCAAAUUUAUCCUUACAUCACUCGAGAGAUACACAAAUUCCCCAAACUUAUUCUUUUCACUCAAUUAUCUUGGGGUGUUUUCUAAGGUUAGGAGUUCAACAACUAUAAUCCUUACCCUCUCUUAGUUUGGAUAGAUCUUACCCUUACUAGUACACAUAUCAACAAGUAGAGACUCUCUUUAGUCCCUAUUUGGCCCCCAUUUUUGGUAAUGAAAAUGAGGGGAAUAGUGUUUUGUUGAAAAAAUGAGUGGUUGAAAAAGAAGGAAAAUUUUUAGAUUUACGUGUAAUAUUAUUUUAUGGAAGAUUGUGUGGUUAAAAAUAGGAGAAAGAAAAAUAGAAUGUAAUUUAAUGGGGAUCAAACAGGGGCUUAAUUUGAUUGUUUCAACCUUUAAGCUCAAACUAAGCUACUUACCUCGCAUCAAGGUUAAAGUCAUAUCAACCAUAUGUCCAACAAGGGUUUUUUUAUUUUUUUUUCCUCCAUCUUCUCAUUUGCUUUCUAUAUAACCCAUAUAACGAGUUUUAGGCGAUGACUCCCAAACCCGUUGGUCUUAGGGCACCAGGUUUUAAACCGUUGCAGCCUUAUUCACCCGAGUUAUAAAGGCUCGAUAAGAUGAAUUUUUGUCAACUUCUCCUUUUUCUUGCUUUCUAUAUGACCCCUGUAACGAGCUUUAGGCCGAUAAUUCCCAAACCAGUUGGCUUUAGGAUAUCAGGUUUUAAGCCCUAACAGGCUUACUUGCUCGAGUCAUAAAGGCUUUAGAGAGAAGUGAUAAUUUUCCAAUUUUUAUUUUAUGCCCUCUACUUGUUUUUUUUUUUUUUCUAGACAUUUGAUUUCAACAACCAUCCUCAACUUAAAGCUUUCACCUAUUUCUCACCUUCUGGGUCUAGGCAAUCCACACAAUAUAAAUUCAUGCACUGAGCCUCUACUUAUCUCCAUGUUUACCUAUAGUGGCUCAACCAUCUCCAAACUAUCUUAUGGUGAUUUAACGGGUUAAUGAUAUAGAGGGUUAACCUAGGUUUCUCAUAUUUUACUCCAACAAACCCAUUCAAUAACUUAACAUGAAAACAUGAGUGGCGUGCAAAAGAAUGCCAAGCAUUGCAUCAAUGAGUAUCAGCUAAUUAAAUCCUGUACUAUAUCCACAGUUCUAUUUUACACCUGUCCAAUAAUCACAUCAUAGGCGGCAAGGCUACCAAACCCACACAAGCAUGCAAAAGUAAAAUCAACACUCAUUCAUCACGCAUGCAUCAUGCAAGAAGAUAGUCAAUUUAAUGAUUGAUUGUGAAAAUGCAUAUUAACUAAAUGCCGAAUAUUUGUUUGAAAAUUAUGCUACCAUCCCCCAAACUUAUACAGUACAUUGUCCUCAAUGUAAAUGUAAAGUUAGAAAAGCAUAAUUUAAAAAUAUAAACACAACUUGGCAAAUAGAGGUAAACAACACUCCCCUGAUCAAAGUGGUGGUCGCGGUGUGUAACUGGGACCCGCAGCAUGAUCUUCAGGAGGAGAUGGAAGGCGAGAUAGGAUUUCUCUCAUCAGUGCUGACUGCUGUGUCAUUUCAUCGUGGAUCCCCUCAACCCGUGCUCCAAAUGGCCUAAACACUCCCAAGUUUCAUUUACCCUCAGCUGGAUGCCAUCCACCCUGCCCACGUACACACUUAGUCGACCAUUCAUAGUGUCCAUCUCCCUCCUAGCUGCCUGGGCAUCCUGGCGAGCGGCACAUGACAUAUCAGUGGCAAUGCGGAUGUCACGGUGGGCUGUAUGCAUCUCAGUCGUCAAAGUUCCCAUAGCCUGCUGGAGACUCUGCACAUCACGGCUGAUCCCCGUGGUGGUGGUGAAAAUCUGCCUCAAAACCUGAUUGUCCAUAUCAACCUGGGGUGGUGGUGGAGGAAUUUGAGGCAUGUCAAGGUCUGCACCUGCUUGACCUUCCUCAUUCAAUUGCUGUCGUCGUCGUGCGUUUUCUAAUUUCUGUUGGUGCUUCAGUCUUGCUCGGUCUUGGGCCUCUAGUGUGGAUUGCUUGAUAAAGGGGCUUGGCUUUUCUGGUGCUUCCCCAGGUUGGAUUUGUAUCCCCGCUGCUCUACAUAUUCCACUUAUCAGACUGGGAAAAAUUAGUGAGUAGUGCCGAUCACCCCAAGUGCCUGUACCAUGAAUUUGGUGGUAGAUGUAUGUGGCUAGAUCAAUCUUGUUCCCUCUAACCAAAUGGUAUAUGAAUCCGGCCCUUGGAUUUGUAAAUGUUGUUCUGUGGGAUAUAGGCUCGAUGUUAUGGCACAUGAAUAACCAUAAAAUUGCUAUGGAUGUGGCGAGAUCUAUCUGAUGCCAGUCUGCUGUAGGUAGAGGCCAUACGUUUUCACGUCCCAACAAUAUUUCUGCAACCUCAUUCCAGUUGAAGUUCUCUGGGAUAGGGACCACAUUGUUCCAAGAUAACUGAUAAUAGUCAUGGAUUACCUCCGGUGAGAACAUAAUCCAUUUGCCCCUAACCCAUGUCUGAUGUAAGUGCUCCGAUCCGGGAGUGUCGAUUUCUGUGUUGAAAUUUGCAUAAAACUCCUUUGCUAGAUUCUCAUACACCAGAUGAGGUCUUUCUAUAACCUUUUCCCAACCACAAUUGUGAAUAAGAUAUGUCAAUUCAAAGUUGGGGAAGUCUUCUAACUUUACUGGCCUCUCGGGAAUGUUUGCCCAAUCACGCAUAACAUUGGCGUAUCGGGCUGCCGUAUCUGAUGAUAGGAAUCGUCUGACACCCCCUUCGAGUUCCCUUGUUCGGGUUGUUCCAGACGAUGAGCCGACUUUCUCUUUUCCCUUUGAACUUCGUUUCGGAGGCAUCCUGCAAAAGGAAAUACACAAUAUCACUCACUUGGUGUAAAAAAAAAAAAGGGCAUGAAUAAACUUUGAAUUCAUAAUCCCCUAAACUUUCUUCAAUAUGCACAUUUACGUGUGUUUAUGCAAUGUUUCAUAACAUGAAUCAUCAAUAUAACUCUAGCAUUGCAUAAGUAUGGAAAACUCAAAAUUUUGGCUCGAACAUGCAUUUCUAAAAAUUUUUACCCAUGAUCAAAUGACCAAGUUCGGCCCCGGGCAUCACUGAGAAAUAUCCAAAUUUUCCCAAGCAAGUUUUGGACAUGUGAAAGUACAUAAUGGUAUCUGGCAUAUAUCCAAAUUUCACCCUAAUCGGAGGUCGUUUGCAUUAGAAAACAUAGGGACGAAGGUAGUGACGUGAGUGGAUAUGUUGAACCAUGAAAUGCCUUUGUGAAUUCAAAUGUUAAGGUAAUGUUUUCUAUUGAAAUAUCACAUGAUUUUUCGACAAAAAUGCUACAGAAUAACGAUGUAAACUAUUACAUAAGUAAAAAGCCCAAAAAAUCAAAACAUGUGUUAAUGUGGCAUUUCGUCGAACACUUGGUGUGCAAUGUGAAUUACUUCCUAUUUCUUACAUACACUACCAUGAAAUUUCCCAAAUUCACAAUAGUACACCAAUCUACCACAAUACAUCCUAACUAAAUCCACACAUUGAAAGAGAAUGUAAGAAUGAAGCUCGAAAUUAAGGAUUAGAAGAACAUACCUUGUAUUUUCAAUUUUCUUGUUAAAUGAAAUGUUGAACUCAAUUUAUAGUCCAAUCCAAAUUGAGUGCUUGAAUUGUGAAUGUGUGAAGUAGGUGCAAGUGAGGAGUGAUAUGUGUGUGGUGUGCAAGUGUGAAGGUGGGUGAAGUGUGUGUGAGUGUCUCGAGUGUGAGGGAGAGGGGGGAAAAAUUUGGGGAGGAAUGGUGUGGUCACGGGUUACACUAUGCGACCGCAUAAUGUUGUACUAUGCGGUCGCAUAGUGCAAACCAAUGCCCCCCUUUGGCUUUCGGUUAAGGUCUAUGCGGUCGCAUAGACCAAACCGGGUUUCAAUUCAAAUUUUUUUUUUUUUAAAUGACUUAAACUUUAAACUCCCCCAAAAUCGGUUUUUUACUUAAAAUUUUGAAUCGAAAAGAGGAAUAUGCUUAUUGAAACUUGGCACUAAAAUCGAUUUUUCAUACAUGUUGUCCCGCAUUCUGAAAGCUUAACCAAAACGAACAUCUUCGCACAUCGAAAUGCGUGACACCCACUCGAACACCCAAACACUUUAUUCAGCACCCAUUCAUGCAACAUUAAACAUGUAGUGCCUAGGCUAUCAUGCAUAAUAUGAUCGAUGACCUACGAAACAAACUAAAAUCAAACAAAUUCCUAAACUAAUGCAAUGCAAUAAAAUAAAAGAUACAGUGGGUUGCCUCCCACUCAGCGCUAUGUUAUAGUCGAUAGCUCGACUUUACCGUAAUGCGUCAUUCUGGUGAUCCAAGUUGGACGGUAGACUUGUCCUUUGAGAAAUCACCGCCCCAGUAGUGCUUCAACCGCUAUCCAUUGACUUUGAAUGUCCCCUUGCUGUCGUGAGUGAUCUCAAUUGCCCCAUGUGGAAAUACUUGUGUAAUGGUAUAUGGACCAGACCAUCUCGAUCUCAAUUUUCCUGGAAACAGUUUAAGCCUGGAGUUGUAAAGUAGCACUUUCUGCCCCACCUUAAAGUCACGCGUUCUCAUAGGCUUCCAUUCUGAGUUCAUCAAGUUGAUUCAGUUGUAACAGCCGUUUUUCUCCUGCAGCCUACAAAUCCAAGUUCAACUUCUUCAUUGCCCAUUAAGCAUGAUGUUCGAUCUCGAGAGGUAGAUGGCAUGCUUUCCCAAAAACCAGUCGAUAUGGAGACAUUCCUAUAGGAGUCUUGAAUGCAGUCAUGUAGGCCCACAAGGCAUCAUCCAGUUCCUUUGACCAAUCCUUUCGUGAUGAGUUAACUGUGACUUCCAGAAUACGCUUCAAUUGCCUAUUGGAUACUUCGACCUGUCCGCUGGUUUGGGGAUGAUAUGAGGUGGCUAUGCGGUGCUUGACACCAUAUUUUGAUAACAACUGCUUGAACUGACGAUUGCAAAAAUGUGUGCCCCCGUCACUGAUUAUGGCUCUCGGUGUCCCAAAUCGGGUGAAAAUAUUCUUCUUCACAAACUCAAUCACCACUUUCCCAUCAUUUGUAGGCAAUGCAACCGCUUCAACCCACUUCGAGACAUAGUCCACCGCCACUAAAAUGUAUUGAUUUGAAAAAGAUGGUGGGAAUGGCCCCAUGAAAUCGAUCCCCCAGACAUCAAAUAAUUCCACCUCCAAGAUACUACUCAAAGGCAUCUCAUUUCUUCUAGAGAUGUUACCCGUGCGCUGACAUCGGUCACACCUCUUUACAAAUUCAAACGUGUCCUUAAAGAGUGUGGGCCAGUAAAAACCUGAUUGGAGAAUUUUNNNNNNNNNNNNNNNNNNNNNNNNNNNNNNNNNNNNNNNNNNNNNNNNNNNNNNNNNNNNNNNNNNNNNNNNNNNNNNNNNNNNNNNNNNNNNNNNNNNNNNNNNNNNNNNNNNNNNNNNNNNNNNNNNNNNNNNNNNNNNNNNNNNNNNNNNNNNNNNNNNNNNNNNNNNNNNNNNNNNNNNNNNNNNNNNNNNNNNNNNNNNNNNNNNNNNNNNNNNNNNNNNNNNNNNNNNNNNNNNNNNNNNNNNNNNNNNNNNNNNNNNNNNNNNNNNNNNNNNNNNNNNNNNNNNNNNNNNNNNNNNNNNNNNNNNNNNNNNNNNNNNNNNNNNNNNNNNNNNNNNNNNNNNNNNNNNNNNNNNNNNNNNNNNNNNNNNNNNNNNNNNNNNNNNNNNNNNNNNNNNNNNNNNNNNNNNNNNNNNNNNNNNNNNNNNNNNNNNNNNNNNNNNNNNNNNNNNNNNNNNNNNNNNNNNNNNNNNNNNNNNNNNNNNNNNNNNNNNNNNNNNNNNNNNNNNNNNNNNNNNNNNNNNNNNNNNNNNNNNNNNGGCUCCCACAGCAUAGUCACUGGCGUCACACAUUAAUUCAAAUGGCAGAUUCCAAUCCGGUGUGAUAAUUACAGGUGCUGAAGUCAACUUCUCUUUCAAAGUGUUAAAGGCCUGCAGGCACUCAUCAGUAAACUCAAAUGGGGAUUCCUUCAUCAGUAAAUAGCAGAGAGGUUUGGUAAUUUUUGAAAAAUCCUUGAUAAAUCUUCUGUAGAAUCCAGCGUGCCCAAGAAAACUGCGAACACCCUUCACUGAGGUAGGUGGUGGUAACUUCUCGAUCACCUGAAUCUUUGCCCUGUCCACUUCAAUACCCUUUGCUGAAAUUUUGUGUCCUAGUACGAUACCUUCUUGCACCAUAAAGUGACAUUUCUCCUAAUUCAACACCAAGUUGGUCUCCGUACACCGUUGUAGCACAAGACUUAGAUGCUCCAAGCACUCAUCAAAUGAAGAUCCAAACACAGAGAAGUCAUCCAUGAAUACCUCGAUGAAUUUCUCAAUCAUGUCUGAGAAAAUAGCCAUCAUGCAGCGCUGAAAGGUAGCGGGAGCGUUGCAUAAUCCAAAUGGCAUCCUUCUGUAUGCAAAGGUGCCGUAGGGGCAAGUGAAAGUGGUCUUCUCCUGAUCGUCUGGUGCCACUGGAAUCUGAUUAUACCCGGAGUACCCAUCUAGGAAACAGUAGUGCGAAUGCCCUGCUAAUCUCUCCAACAUCUGAUCAAUGAACGGUAAUGGAAAGUGAUCCUUUCGAGUAGCUGAGUUAAGCUUACGGUAGUCAAUGCACACUCUCCAUCCAGUCACUGUCCGCGUAGGAAUCAACUCAUUUCUCUCAUUUUCUAUCACUGUGAUUCCUCCUUUCUUGGGAACAACUUGCACUGCACUGAUCCAUGCACUAUCUGAUAUUGGAUAAAUAAUGUCUGCAUCAAGCAACUUCAAUACAUCAGCUCUAAUCACAUCCUUCAUGUGUGGAUUCAAUCUCCGCUGCCCAUCAAUGCUUGGUUUAAAUUUUUCCUCUAUGAGUAUCUUAUGCAUGCAUAUAGAUGGGCUGAUCCCCUUUAUAUCUGCAAUCGACCAUCCAAUAGCUGUUUUAUUCUCCCUUAACACCCGAAGUAGUUUCUCUUCCUCUACCUCACUGACAGUGCUUGAAAUAAUAACAGGUAGUGUAGAAGAUUCCCCCAUGUACGCAUAUCGAAGAUGUGGUGGCAGUUGUUUGAGUUUAAAUUUGGGUGGUUUCACAAUAGAUGGCACUGAUUUUGCAGUUCUAGUUCCCAGCUCUUCAUAGUAGCGUCUGCGCAUAUAUGGCUGGUUACUCUCCAAAAACCGAGCACAUGUCUCAAUCUCACUUGAUUCAGAAUGGGUGGAUUGUGAAUGUGCAAUGCAUGCCUCAUAUGCAUCGGAAGGAUGAUGUAGCCGAAAUGUGUCUUGAACUAUUCGGUCGACUACAUCGAUCUGGAAACAACUGUCUACCUCAGUAGGGAAUUUCAUUGCUUUGAACACGUUGAAUGAGAUUUGCUCGUCACCAAGCCUUAAUAUCAGCUGCCCCUUCUGAACAUCUACAAUUGCUCUCCCAGUGGCUAAGAAAGGUCGCCCCAAAAUGAGUGGGACAUCUUUAUCUUCUUUCAUGUCCAAGAUAAGAAAAUCAGCUGGAAAUAUGAACUUCUCCACUUUUACCAGCACGUCUUCAAUGAUUCCUCUUGGAUGUGUAAGGGAUCGAUCUGCUAACUGCAAUGUCACUGUUGUGGCUUUCGCUUCUCCCAAGCCGAGUUUCCUGAAAACAGAAAGAGGCAUUAGAUUAAUACUUGCUCCCAAAUCACACAAAGCUUUAUCAAAAUAACAGUCUCCAAUAGUGCAGGGUACAGUAAAACUCCCUGGAUCUUUCAGUUUUAGGGGUAGCUUUCUCUGGAUUCUGGCACUGCAUUCCUCAGUCAACAUUACUGUUUCGUGUUCUUCUAACUUUCGCUUGUUGGAGAGGAUAUCCUUCAAGAAUUUUGCAUAGCUCGGCAUCUGGACAAGUGCUUCAGCAAAUGGAAUGUUGAUAUGCAGUUUCUUGAAGACUUCAAGGAAUUUACUGUAUUGCUGAUCCAUUUUUUGCUUUCUCAACCUUUGUGGAAAUGGAAUAAGAGGCUCAUGAGGGCUAACAGGAUUAGUAUUUUUACCCUGUAAUGUCUUGGAGUUCCUCUUAACCUCAUCUUCUGUUGCAUUGUCAGUUUGCUCCACACUACCUUCUUCCAAGAUUGGCAUUGCUUCCUUGUUGGCUCCAGAACUUGUUACAUGUGGUUCCGGCAGUUGUACUCCACUUCUAGUUGUCCGACAGUUGUACUCCACUUCUGGUUGUUAUAGCCUUUGCAUGUUCCUUAGGGUUAACUUCAGUAUUGCUGGGUAGGUUUCCCGGUGCUCUACCUGUUAUGGAAAUUGCUAUCUGUCCCACUUGUGUCUCUAAGUUCUUGAUCGCUGCACUUUGAUCUUGAAGCGUUGUUUCCGUCCUUCGCAUAAAUUGGUUAUUGGCUUCCAUGUACAGAUUGGUGUGUGUCAUAAAUUUCUCGAACAUGUCCUCCAAAUUUGGCUUUUUGUCUUGCUGCUGAUAUUGCCCUUGUGGUCUAUUUUGAUUCUGGUUGCUCCAAGAGAAAUUUUUGAUUCUGGUUGUUCCAAGAGAAAUUUGGGUGUUUUCUCCAGCCUUGAUUGAAAGUUUCUGAAUGUGGGUUAUUCUGCUGGCGCUGACCCCAUUGUGCAAAUUCUGCAUGUUCUACUCCUUGUACCAGAAUUGGGCAAGUAGCAAUACUGUGAUCUACGCCACAUUCUUUACAACUCUGCUUCAUAACUUGCUUAGCAGUGGCGGUUUGUGAAAUGCUUUCAACCUUAUGGAAUAAGGAAUCUAUUUUCGCCGACAGUGCUGAGUAAGUAUCUACUUCAUACACCCCAGGUGCUCUCUUCUGAACUACUCGAUCUGUAGACCACAUAGCUGAAGUUGUAGCCAUCCUUUCAAACAACUCCCAGGCUCCGUCAAUUGUUCUUGUAGAGAUAGACCCGUCAGAUGAUGCAUCCACCAUACUCUUGAAUGAUGGGAGUAAUCCAGGGAAGAAAAAUAUGAUCUGAGUCUUCUUGUCAAAGCCAUGUUGUGGGCACUUCCUUAACAUGUUCUUGAAACGGUUCCAUGCCUCUUCAAAUGAUUCUGACUCGAUCUGGUUGAAUAUUGAGAUGUCAUGCCGCAUUUUAGCUACUUUAGCUGGCGAGAAGAACUUGGGGCAGAAUUUAUGAGCUAGCUCAUUCCAAGUGGUGAUGCUUCCGACAGAAAGUGAAUCCAGCCAUUCGAGUACUUUAUCCCUUAAGGUGUGCGGGAACAGACGCAGUCUUAUAGCAUCAUCAGAGAUACCUUGGUAUCUGAAGUGUUGACACAUAUCAAGAAAUCGAGAUAUGUGUGUAUGCGGAUUCUCACUAGCCAUCCCAUGGUAUUGAUGCCCAUUCUGAAACAGUUGAAUCACGUUUGUCUUCAGUUGGAAGUUCGGUUGCCCAAAUGGAGGAUAUACAAUACUAGAUUGACUUUGCACCACCAAUGGUGCCAUGAAAUCCCCAAGUACUGUAUUUCCAUCCUCUUCCACUGCCACACCUUCAUUGAGUGGAAUUCCCGGUCGAUUUUGCUCGUUAGCCAUUUGUUGUACCACUCUUGCUUCCCUUUGCCUGUGACGGAAUGUGCAUUCAAUCUCUGGAUCUAUAGAGACCAAGUCCUGAUCAGGUGCUCCUUGCAUGCAAGCCCUGAUAUGGCAAAAUUAACACAAAAAUUUAAUAUAAACAAUAAUUAAUAUAUCUAAUAAAAUUAAAAAGUACUGAAAUGAAUAAGUUCGAAUUAGUGUCACAAAAGAUAGAAUUUAAUCUAAAAUUUAAUCCCCAGCAACGGCGCCAAAAACUUGUUCGCGAAAAUUAUUUGUUCUCGAUUUUAAAACCCACCGCAAGUGUACGGUUCGUUAACAAGUAGUAAAAUGGAUUAUGAGUCCAAGUAUCGUUCCCACGAGGAUUGAAUUAGCUCUAAUUAGACUAAUGUGACCUUAAUCGAAUCUAAUUGAAUGAAAAUUUGGUUUAAAUGUGAAAAGCCCUAAUUUUGGAAGAAAUCCCCAAUUUGAAACCCUAAUUGCAAAGUAAACCCUAAUUUCAAAAUUGGAAACCCUAAUUUCGAAAUUUUCACUAAUCUAAUGAAAUAAACACGCAACUGAAAUGUAGAUAUGCAAUUUUAGAACUAUUGUAUUGAAAUGAAUCGAAAUGAAAUCAUUAAGAACUCGAAUCCCCAAUUGACUAUUAAAAACCCUAAUUUCACAAAUUCAACGAAUCGAUGGAACAAAAUGCCAAUUCAAUGUUCCUAAAUUAUCCAAUACACUCUCUCGAUAUAAAUUGAAUCUACUCUUACACACCACCAGCCUAUAUUUCUAUGGAUGAUGCAAUGUACAAGAAUGCAUGACUUUUUAUGAACAUUUUCAUGAAUUGCAUAAGGCAUAGAGGUAAGUUUCCAUCCCUAUCGGACCCUAUGUCGAUUUAUAUUCUAUCGAAUUUAUUCCCCUUCUUUCGAAUGCAAAGAAUAAAUCAUCUACAAUCACAUAACAAUUGGCCAAUUAAUUAUGGAAGCAUUCAAAUCAUAUAAAUCAAACAUUUGUCCAAUCGAAACUAAUGUUGAAUUUAUGAAAUAACGGAAAUUUAAAUCAUCAAAAGGUUCAUCAAAUUCCUAAUGAACAAAAACCCUAGCCUAUAAUCAUCAUUACAAAAUCAAGAAAUUGAAAAAAUGAAAUUAAAAGAUAAUAAGAAUACACCCGUAUGGAAUUUCUUCAAUCCGUGUGUAUAAUCUUCAAUCCCGUCUCGAACCCGUGCGAAAUUGAAUCCAAAAUCAAGUUUCUUGCUCUAAUUUUGGUCUCCCCCUUCUCCUUGGUCAUUUUUCUCCUUAAUAUGAUGAUUUUGGAUAUUUAUAUCGCGUCCAAAUUAAGUAGGAAAGGAGUUUCAACCAAAACGAACAACUACGCCCGAAGUUCAAAACUUAACUAUGCGACCGCAUAGAAGGGAUCUAUGCGGUCGCAUAGAUCAAAUUUUUUUGGCUCAUUGAAUCCCUGAAACCUUCUAUGCGGUCGCAUAGAAGUAACCAUCUAUGUGGUUUGUGCAAUUUGGUCCCUGAACUUCUUUGUUGCUUCUCUUGACUUCUUUCUUCGAUUUCUUCAUCUUUUCAACAAUUCUUAUCUUCCAAUUGAUGAUCGACACUUUCAAAUAUUAUGCCACUCAUUCGGCACAUCUUUUGAGUAUUUGCAUUUAGUCCUCCAACUUUCAAUUAUCUUCAUUUUAGUCCAUCUACCAUUCUUUCUUCCUCCACUUGUUUUGCUUUGUCAUUGAGCUCAUACUUGGCAUGUUUUUACUCUCGUUUUGCAUUUAGCUCAACUUUUCAAUAUUUACAUCUUUGGUCCUCGAACUAUCAAAUUGUUGCAUUUUGGUCCUUCUUCUGCUCUUUUCUCCUGAAUUCCACAAUUUCCAUUGAAUUACCUACAAUGCAUGAAUUUAACUGGAUUAAGUCACAAUUCAACCAUUUUAUCCAUGUUUAAGUCAUGUUUGUGAACCAAAUAAGUGUGUAAAAACACACUUAUCAACGGGCCAGAUUCAUCCAUGGUCGUCGAAGGCGGUGCAGCUACACCAUCCUCGUCGUUUGAGCUCCUACUCUCUACAUCAACUGGGAUCUCGUCGCGGUGGUCUUUGUGUCCACUGUCUUCGAACGUUGCGAAGCCAGUGUGGCUUGCUUGGCUUGGUGUGACUGCGUACUUAUCGUAGUCGAAAACAUCCCCGAAUAAAACCUUGUAUCGGUACAACUCUCGGCAAUCCUUGUCCUUGUACUCUUUGUACUCCUUCCUCUCCUGAAACAAUACAAACCAGACAAGGUUCACAUCUUUUGCAAACAAAGUGUGAAAGAAGCAAUUACAAUUGACUAAAACAAAAAAUUGUGGAUUGCAUCUAUUACAAAAAAUAACAACAAUGUCAGCCAUUCCUACCCACGUACAUAAAUGUGGAAAUGAAACAAAAACACAAUUACAAUAACAUUUGAAUGAAAUUCCAGGAAAAUGUCAAAAUCGACCAAGGUUAACUUGAAGAAGCCAAAACUAUUUUUCUUCACUUCCCACCGACGUGUAAGUCAAGCGUUUUGGUUUUUUCAUCGCUAGUGUCAAUUCAGCCAAAUGUGGACAGAAACAUGUUGAUGAGAAUAUGAUGGUACCUUAAUCUUUCGAUCCCACCACUCCAUCGAGACGCUGAUCAAGCUAGUGGACGUGUCGUACGCAACGCUACUGCUGUUGAUCAAUUCUUCAAAUCACUUGUGUUUCAAGCGGAGUGCAUCCCAUCGAUUUUUCAGUUGUCCCUUGCUCCAAUUGUGCCCAGAGUUAGUACUAAAUAAGUGAACCAAUGUCUGCCAUCCGUAUUUGGUGAAGCACUUCCCAUUUUGGUGUCCAUCGAGGAUUAUGGUCUCACAGGCAGCGACAAAAAUUUGCGUCUCAUAGUCAGUCCAUUGUGCAUGCUUACGAGGCCUCUCUCGAUGAGCAAAUUCUUUUCCGGCAAGUUACACGACCGUGUGUGUACCGGAGAAAUUGGGAUCACCUUUUACAGUUCAAAUUCAAGUGCAAAUGUAUUUUAUUUAUGUCAGGCCCUUGUGAAUCAAAUAGUUGAAACAAAUGUAUAGAUUGGUGAUGAGUGAGGAACGUGUAAGGGGAACGAAUAGAGAUCUAAGACACAGAUGCUUACCUACGAUUGAUGAGCAAAUUCUUUUCCGGCAAGUUACACGACCGUGUGUGUACCGGAGAAAUUGGGAUCACCUUUUACAGUUCAAAUUCAAGUGCAAAUGUAUUUUAUUUAUGUCAGGCCCUUGUGAAUCAAAUAGUCGAAACAAAUGUAUAGAUUGGUGAUGAGUGAGGAACGUGUAAGGGGAACGAAUAGAGAUCUAAGACACAGAUGCUUACCUACGAUGUUGCACGGGAAUGGGGAACUACGAGGACGUCGAUUGUGAUAGUAGUGCAGUCGCUUGUAUCGGUGGCCGAAGAAGGCGAACGUCGCACGACAUAUUGGGGGUUGAAGCUGUUGGCAGGGGCUCCAUCAACCCGCCGCUACAGUCGUUGGAGCAGGGUGGGGGCAAUCGGGUUGUUACAGAAACUGUUGCCGGCUGUCGGAAGAAUAUUUUCUCUCCAUCGGACAACAGAUGUAGCAGAUAUUGCUGUUGCCGAAAAGCAAGUAGUGUUGGCAGCUUCGUCCAGUGGAGGAGUGCAAACUGAGCAUCUUUUACUUUUUGAUUUCGCAGAAGACAAGAAAUGUGGUUUGGUUUGGCAUGUUAAUUGUGGGAGUAGAAAGGGGAAAAACUAGUUGACAUGGGUGUCAGUCUAUUUGAUUCCCAUAUCAGUAGAAGGUGGAAAUGUGGCUGUUGGACAUAUCAACGGUCAGAAAAUCACUUAAUUCUGACAAUAAAGUGUGCUCAAACAUGGCCUAAAUAAACAAUUAAAAUAAAUGAUUAAAUUUAAAUUAUCUAUUUAAAUAAAUUAUUAAAUAACUUUAUGUUAAAUUAAUAAUUACAAAACAAGUGCAUAUUAAAUAAACAAUUAAAAUAAAUAAUUAAAUAUUAAACAAACAAUUAAGCUAAAUAAUUACAUAAAUGAUUAAAUAUUCAAUAAAUAAUUAAGAAAAACAUAAUUAAACGUUUAAAUAAAUAAAAUAAGUAUAUAAUAAGCAAAAAAAAAAUCGAAGGCAGCCCAAUACAUAGAUCUAGACGGCCAUCUGGAUUUGGGUCAUCUAGAAAGACUGAAUUGCCAUUCCGGACACUGGAAACGACAGAGAUCACACCAUUCCUGAUGAUCUCCACCCCUAAAGUGUAUCAAAAUAAUCAAUUUCAUGUACAAUUUAUAAUCUACAACAAUUUCUACAACAAAUGAACAUAUAACAUGCUUUAUUUAUUCAAUUAAGGGUAUCUAAAGUUUCAAAGCUGACUUUCUACAGAGAAAUGACGAUCUUCGAUCUGGGUCGUCCGCUUCUUGGUGGUGUGGGUCAACGGUUUCUAGUUGGUUGUUUUCUACUCUUCUCUAUCUUCAAAAAUCAGUGAGGGUAUAAAUGGCUUUUCUAUGUUUUUCAUGGUUUUAAUAAUUUUUCCUUUUUUUCAAAAAAAUGGUUAAUGGCCAUUUUAGAAAGAUGGUCGGAUCAACCAAUCAUGAUGUGAACCCGCAUAGGCAGUCACUACAGAACCCAUGAACAAGAUGAAAAUCUUCUCAAGAAAGCCAAAGUAAGGUUUUGAAUUAAACCCAACGAACUUGGAACCUAGCAACCCAAAUCGCGAACGAUGUGCAGACCUCUUGAUUACACAAAUUAAUUGAAUACCACUUGAAAUUUUGGAUCCGACUCAAUAACUACGAACCAAACAACCAACACAGUUACAUGCACAUGCCGACCUUUUGAUUACAAAUAAUUAAUUGAAGUCACAGCCCAAUUCUGAACGCCAGGAGAAUAUAUUCCUGAUAAGUUCGGUAGAUUUGCCCAUUGAAGAACAAAAGUUUUGAAGUGAAGCUUCGAGAGAAAAUAUCUAAUUUAAUUCAUAUCAAAGUUCUGAAUACAAUUAUGAAAGAUAUUUCCUAUUUAUACUAAAGCAAGAAUAUAAUAUAAAAAUGAAAAAAAAUAAAUCCAAAAUAUAUUAAAGAUGCUAAAAUAUUAGAAUUCUAACUAAACUAGGAAAUUGCUAAAAUAUGGAAUUCUCGAAUCACAUUAGAUCCUCUCUAUUAGAAAGGAUUCGUCCUCGAGUCCUGUUCCAUAUUGUAGCCUUUGUCCCCAAUCAAUGCAAGAACAUGAAAUGGUCCGUCUCCCCUCGGAUGCAAUUUGGACCUCCUUUGACUUCGUAUUCGUCUUUUUCGUAAGUAAACCCAAUCUCCUUUACAUGGACUAAAGUGUGCUCACCUCGACUGCUUAAUCUUGCAAGUUGGAACUGCUCCAUUAACAAUUCCAUAUGAUGAAUAAUCGUGCAUUUUCCUUACUUUACUUGGCUCAAGCACUUGACACGAUAUCACUUCCAAUAUAUCCAUAUUAUCCUUAAGUUCAUCUUCCUCAAUCAACUCUCUACAUAUGUAAUUCAUCAAGUGCCUUUGAAACUCCUUUAUCUCCUUGGCAAUCACAAAGUCAACUUGUGGCAGAUAAGAAAAAUUCAACUGCAGCUCAAUUCUUGGAUCGGGUGGUAUUCUAAUAGGAUAGUUUGCUGAAUUAAAUCUUCGAUAACCUAUAAAACAGAAAUAUCCAAAAUAGGGAGGGAAUUGUUAGUUAUCACCAUGGCCUCCUCAACUUCAGGCUUCCUUUCAAUUAAACUCACUUACAACUCCUCCUUCCUUUCUCAAGACUCUUCUUCGUUUUCAUUCUGCAGAUCCACUUCCCUUUUUGUAUUUUCACUCUCAACUUCUUUUUCACUCUCUUGUGGCAUUUCUUCUUUUUUCUCACAAUCAACCACCUUACUAUUUUCUCUCUUACCCGUUUGUUCUUCCAUGUGAGUUUUCUUAAAGUUAAUCAUGUUACAAAUCUCUAAGAGUUCACGCUUAUAAUCCAACCAAACACUUUUGCUUGAUGUACUACCAAAACACCUCCCAAAAUAUGUUUUCUAUUCCCCUGGAUGCUCAUUCCCAUAACUUCUUCUGGGCUAAUCCUUAAAUUCUAUUUCUCGUCGAUCCCUCCUAUAAUAAUUUGGCUCAUGUCGUCUCCUCAUGAUCGCCCUCAACUCAUCCCAAUUCUCAAUCAGCUUUUCACCAUACCUUCGCCUAGAUUUCGUAAAUUCAUCAUACCAAGUUAUUGCAUAAUCUACGAAUGAGCUCACGACCAACUUCAACUCUUUCUCCUCGAAAUAAUUGUAGUGCUCAAACAUCAACUCAACCUUUUCUUCCCAUGCCACAUACGCCUCGGGAUCUUUCCUACCUUUGAAAGAUGGAAUUUUCAUUUUUAUAUUUCCCAAACUCCUAUUUAUAUUUCCCAAACUCCUAUUAACACCAUCCCCAGUAAAAUUUCUACUCUGCCUUUCAAGCCUAUCUAUUCUAUUUCCCAUAUCCUCCAUAUUUACCAACCUCUCCAAUAGCCGAAUCACCCUUUCAGUCAUAGUGAAUUAUAUUCCAAUUGGAAUGUGUGAGAAUUGUGACUCAAAGACUCAAAAGAAUUUUGAACUGGACAACUUUGAUUGUACUUUUAUAAAUUCAAGAAAGUGGUUCUUGAAUUGGAUUUGGACCGACAAACUAGAAUUUUGAUUCAAAGAAAUUAGUCGAUAAAUUUUUUUUUUUUUGGAAGAGUAUUGUACAAUGAACAGUAUCAUAUGGAUGAACUAUAAAAAUAUAUAUAUUUUUUUACUCUUUAGAAGGAAAAUCUGACUAUGACACUAAACGAAACAAACGGAAGUAGAUUUGGACUCAAAUUGAAUCCAAAAACAACUUUUGAAUUUUUUUUGGAAUUUUUUUGGAUCAAAUACUCAAAAUAAUGAUUGACUCGAAGAACAAUAAAGAAAAAGAACAACUGACUCAACAGAAUUAAAAAGGGAUAUAGCCUUCGAUUGGAGCCAAGCUUUAAUACAAACUGAUGUGAACCCACGUAGGCAGUCAUUACGGAACCCAUGAACAAGAUGGAAAUCUUCCAAAGAAAGUCAAAGCAAGGUUUUGGAUUAAAUCCAACGAACUUGGAACCAAGCAACCCGAAUCACCGACAAUGUACAGACCUCUUGAUUACGCAAAUUAAUUGAAUAUCACCCGAAAUUUUGGAUUUGACUCAAUAACUAUGAACCAAACAACCAACACAGUCACAUGGACAUGCCGACCUUUUGAUUACAAAUAAUUAAUUGAAAUCACAACCCAAUUUUGAACGCCACAAGAAUAUUAAUUCCUGAUAAGUUCUGUAGAUUUGCCCAUUGAAGAAAAAAAGUUUUGAAGCGAAGCUUCGAGAGAAAAUCUCUAAUUUAAUUCAUAUUAAAGUUCUGAAUACAAUUAUGAAAGAUAUUUCCUAUUUAUAGUAAAGCUAGAAAAUAAUAUAAAAAUGGAAAAAAAUAAAUCCAAAAUAUAUUAAAGAUGCUAAAAUAUUAGAAUUCUAACUAAACUAGGAAACUGCCAAAAUAUGGAAUUCUCGAAUCAUAUCAAAUCAUCUUCCACUGUUUUUCCUAUGCUCUACUCAUCUUCGACUGUUGUAAUCCAUCAUCGGUUGUCCACUCCAAUUGGCUGCACUCAACAUCACUAACAAUGUUUUCCAAAACCUACAAUCCCAAUCGCCACCCUAUGCUAUAACCGGAAUCUCUAUUAUGCCCUACCAUCACCCAUCUAUCAGCCUGACAUAUAAUAAAUGAAACCAACCUACUCCAAUCAUCGACGCAACCCACCUUUGACACAUGAUCCUACCCAAUUCCACAGCCAGUCGUACCUAUAACUCGCAGCUGCAAAACACAAUUGCCACCACAAUCUUGUGUCGGACGCACUCCACAGGGAUAAAAAUUUCUAUUCUCUCAUGCAUACAGAGAUAGCUCAUUUUAUUUUGACUGAAGGAAGGAGCUGAAAGAGAAAUUGGGACUAGAUUAUUAGGUUCGGGAAGAAAAAUAAAAAGGAGAGAAAUUGCAGCCAGGUAAACAGGCUUUUUUUUUCACAACAAGCCUCCUGUCGAGAGACAAGAAAAUCGAUGGCUAGUUAGCCAGGGAUUAUAAUAGCGACUCACUAUUUCUACUUAUCUUUGGAUUUAUACUAUUGUUUCAUUUAAAGUGUGUCUAUUAUUUUCUAUGUUGCUGUUAUCCUAGUGUAUUAUCCAAACUCAUUUGACUGGAUCCUUUGACUUCAUUAAAUCCCCACUCUUUACACCAUUUAUUUUAUGUAAUUAGGUUUUUAACUAGCAUUUGGCCUUUGCUUUGCUAUUUUACAUAAACCAGGAUGACUAACUUUCCAUAUUUGGAUUUGUUAAAUCCAAAAAAAUAAAUUAAAAUGCCCAAGUAGCUACUUUUUGUUAUUCGCACUUAUUGCUCAUUGAUCUUCCCAUUGCACGUCAUUUAGCUAUUAUUACAUUGCAUGUAGUUGCUUAGUAGUCAUAGUUCAUCUUUCGUUCUUAUAUUUUGACCAUGGACUUUGCUAAUUUGAUGCACUCACCCAAUAAAUAACUUAAAUUGCCACCGGUAGUAGUACACUUAAUUAGUGGUUGUCCAAAUUGAGAUGACUGCUGCUCAUGAACAGAGAGUGAACCUAGCUGCUAGAUUAAACAAGUUCAAGGAAAAUCCUCAUUCGACUAACGUUGAUAAUUUUGAGGUGUCCCAUAAUGGAUAAUAUCAUCAUCGCAAGGUGAUCAAAAAUAUUUUCGACACGAUUGAAUGGAUGGGGAUUAGAAUCGUGAGCUAGAACAAGUCUAUGGCCAUGAUGAUACUCAUUCUCUUCCUCGCCAUGAGGAGCAUUUCUUUAGAAAAUAAAGUUAAUGCUCUAACAUUCGAUGAUUCCUUAGAUCCUAAAGUUUUCACUCAAUGGAAUGCUUUAGGACAAGAAAAGCAGCUACUGACUGAGUAUAUCACUCAAUUUGCGAAAUUUCAAAUGAAAUAUCAUGCCAUUGAGGAUGAGGCCCUAACUUUGUGUAGAAUUAGACAAUGUCUAAGGGUCUAUUUAAUUACAAAGAUGGAAUUUGUGGGAAAAGAAAAUGAAUUUCAGGGAAUUGAAUUACCUGAAAAUUGUUUUUCUGAGAAUUGUCAAUUAUUGUGGUUAAUUGGUAUAAUUUUUCACCUGGAAAAUAUUAAAAUAAAAGUGUCUUUUGGUGUUCCUUUGACUUUGUUUUACAUGAAAAUUGUGAAUUUAAGGAAUAUCCACUUUUACAACUAUUCCUAGAAUUUGUUUUCAUUAUCAAAAAAAGGUCCAAAAAUCAUCGUUUGGCUUUGUUUUAUAUGAAAAUUGUCAAUUUAAGGGUUAGAGGUUUUUUACAAUUGUUCCUAAAUUUUUUUUCCAUUACUAAAAAAAAAAAGGUGGAAAACCAAAAGCCACCAAAAUGGUGGGAAAGCAAAUUCAAAGAAAUCCAAGAAAACGUGCACGUGUGGGAGAAAGGAAGAAAUGGAAUUGUCAAGAAAAUUUUUCAAAUCAAACAAGGCAAAAGUGGAAAAUGGAAGGAAAAAAAGGGGCUAUCAAACAGGCCCUAAGAGAUGAUCUUAGGCAUGAGCUUUUCUUUCGGGGUGUCACCACUCUUGAUCAUCCUCACUCUUUAGCUCGAGAUUUUGAGUUGAUUAUUGGUACGCCAUAUGAAAUGUGUAAUGACAACCGUAUAUCCAUCUAUCAGCACUCUCUCCUCUUAAGUAUAUUAGAAUACCUUCCUUAUCCAAUGUUCCUCAUUUGUUGGAAAAUAAGUGUAAAAUUCCAAAAUUUCCAAGGACUUUUCCUCACUUGUAGUGCCUCAACUAUGAGGACUUUGGCUACAUCUCUUCCAAAUGUCCUAGUUGCACUUUAGUCAUUCAGGAAAGAAAGAAUGUAAUAGAUGAACCAUUAGAAAUUCUCGUUUAUGAACUUAAAUUUGAAGAUUUUGAUGACUUUGAUAAAUGUGAGGACACCUACUUAUGUGGUAUCCGGACUCUUCUUGAGAAUCUAGAUAUUAUACCCCUUGUUCCCAACACUUCUCGAGUACAUGUUGUAUGUCGUACCUUUAUCCAACCUAAAGAGGUUGAUGAUUUCACUAGUGGAGCAACCUGUCGCAUAUGGUUAGCACUAAAAUGAAAUUCUUCACUGCAGACCACCCUUAGACUGAUAGUCAAAUUGAAGUUGCUAACUGGAGUCUUGGCAAUUUCUUAAAUUAUCUAGUCGAGGAAAAUCUUGGGAAUUGGGGCUUGAUCCUCCUAGCAGUUCAAAUUGCUUGUAACAAUUUUGUGAAUCAGUAAUAGGAGGCCUUUAGACCUUAUUCUUAUGUCCUCACAUGCUAGUGUGUCAAUGUCAGCUGAAGUUUUUGUACAUCAUCUUUAUGACUUGUAUAUUGAGAUCAAUAAACAACUUGAAGCAAGUAAUGCAUCAUAUGAACUUCAGACUGAUUUGCAUAAAUGACAUGUUUGAUUUAAUAUUGUGGAUUAUGUUAUAUUGCAAGCCUGUAGUGCUUUGUUCUUUCACAUGUGUUUUCUUCUUUCACUUUUUUUCUAUUUCUCAAUCCUUCCAAAUUUGCCACCAACUACAAGGAAUCAAUGUAUUUAAGUAUUACAAAUAUACUAUUUUUUAUUCACUCAAAAGAAUAUUAUUGCAUCACCAUUAAAUACACAUCUUUUGUCAGUUCCUUUGGGUGUAUUCUAAUGCUCCGUUUGGUAGAGGUUUUAUUUUUUUUUUUCAUUUUUUUUUUACUUCUACAUUUUGUAGCGAAAUUCUUUGAGCAAACUAUCUUAGGCCAACGUCCUCUAAAAUUUCUUCUAAUUUUGUAGAAAAUUAUUUAAACAUGUUCAAAAAUAUUUUCUUAGUUUCAAAAUUAACUUUUGAUUUUUCUAAAACAUUGCCAAAUGGGGCCUAGACCUUACUUAUUUCAAAUUUUUUAGGUAUCUUCUGAACAUAGAACAAAGAAUGAAGAAUGUAGAGUGAGAUAUUUAUGAAGAAUAAUCAAUGACACUCAUGCAACCCUAACCCUAGCUAUAUUAUAUAAGUCACUAUUAUUCCUUAGGUGAUUGUUUCUACAUACUUCCCACUCCUACCAGCUUACUCUAAACCAGGCAUUGCACCAAGGUCAAAAAGUAUGUUUUGUUAAUAAAAAGUAAAUUUUAAGUAAUUUUAGUUUAAACUACUAGUUAUAUCAAAAACAAAAGUUUAAUAUAAUUAUGAAUUUAAGUUUUAAUAAUACGUAGCAAGGGAUUUACUUAUGUGCUGUAGUGAAAGAUAUCAAAUUCUUGUCAAGCGCCCUAUGAAUCAUUUUAUUCUCAAGAUUAUCAACAUUUAUUGUUACAUCGUUUAUUUUUUUCCCCGAAUUGCACGAAUUACCCCUUAAUAGGUAAAUGUUAAUACCUUUUAGAGUUAGCGAUGAAUUCUAGAUGAUCAUGGAUGAAAUAUUCUGCCAUGAUUGCAAUUUUUCUACAGGCAGCAGUCUAGCAACAUAUGGAGAAACUAAAAAUUAAGAGGAAAUAAGAUAUUUAAUUACUAUGAAUAAGGUCAUGUUUGACCUCUAUUUUCUAAAAUUUAGUUUUUCUUAAACUCAUUUUCAGCUACAUAUUUUAUUGAUAAAUAAUUUUAUACGUUACCAUAAUUUUUUCCUAUUUUUAAACAAUUCAUUCCCCAAAAUCCCUUACACUAAAAUUCCAAAAUAAUAAUAAAUUACCAUGUACUAUAGUUUCUAUUUUUAAAAUUUAAAUUUCAUUACUACUACUACUACUACUACUACUACUACUACUACUACUACUAUUAUUAUUAUUAUUAUUAUUAUUAUUAUUAUCAUCAUUAUCAUUAUCAUUAUCAUUAUUAUUAUUAUUAUUAUUAUUAUUAUUAUUAUUAUUAUUAUUAUUAUUAUUAUUAUUAUUAUUAUAUUGUUCUCUCUCAUGAAUUCGCUAAUUUCACAAUUCAUGGGAAUUGAGGCUUAAUCCUUCCAGCAGUUCAAAUUGCAUGUAACAAUUUUGUGAAUCGGUAAUAGGACGCCUUUAGACCUUAUUCCUAUGUCCUCAUAUGCUAGUGUGUCGAUGUUAGUUGAAGUAUUUGUACAUCAUCUUUAUGACUUGUAUAUUGAGACCAAUAAACAACUUGAAGCAAGUAAUGCAUCAUAUGAACUUCAAGCUGAUUUUGCAUAAAUUACAUGUUUGAUUUAAUAUUGGGGAUUAUGUUGUAUUGCAAGCCUGUAGUGCUUUCUUCUUUCACUUUUUUCUGUUUCUCAAUCCUUCGAAAUUUGCCACCAAGUUUGAUUGAAAAUUCUUCUUCUAUUUUGGGUUUUUAAGUUCUUCUUGGUAGAUUUAAAAUUUACUUUUGUGGGUUGAGAGUUUUGAUCGAAAUUCCUACAUCUCUUAAGGUUUUCAAGUUUCUUCUUAGUAGAUUUACUAUUUAUUUUUGUGGAUUGGAGUUUGAUUGAAGUCUUGUAUCUCUGUUGGUAGAUUUAUUUAGUUUUGUGGGUGGGAGUUUGAUUGAAAAUAUGAAGAUUUGCAACUCGUCAGAAGGGAGAAGCCAACAUUAACGAUGGUGAUGAUGCAAAUAGUAUUUGCUAGAAUCGAUAUUGUUUAUAAAAUGACUGCAAGUGAUGGAAUGAAAUGUUGUCCAUUUUGGUUGGCUAUGGAUUCAUGUUUGGCCUGGUUUUAUGGUUUCGGUUGCCCUCUUGGUUAAAAGGUUCUAAUGAACAGAAGUAAAUUUCACCUUAUCAAAAAGGGACAGAGCUUGCAACCAACCAUUCUCAUUUUGACCCAUGAGAGUCCAAGGACUACUCCAUAAACUUGAUUGUAAAAGAGAUGUAGUUCCUCUAAUAACAAUGAAGCCUCCUCAAAUGAACUAUAGUGGCUCCGACCACAGAGAAAGCCAUGAAACUGACAUUAAUUAUCAAAUAAACAUAGGUUAUACAAAUAACUGGCAGAGAUAGAAAACUGAUCACUAAGAAAAAAUUGAGAUUAUGCAUUGGUAAAGGAAUAAAAUAAUAAUAAAAAUACACCAGUACUUGUAAAAGCACAUGAAUCCAAUUUGAAGGAAAGCCCAUGAAAUUUACAUUGAUUAAGUAUAAAAAGGGCUAUUGCCGCUAAAACAGUCUAAACACUAGAAUCCAAGUUAUAUAACCCAGAAAAUAAGGAGGACAAGAAGUUACAUAUCCUGAUACCGUUCAAAUACAAAUAUGUUUAAAUUGAACAGGAAAUCAUCUGGUGCAACUUAAAAUGCAUAGCUGCUCUUAGCACAUCUAAGGCAUAUAAAUGCUUUCAAAAAAAAGAACCACACCAUGGUGUCAAGAAUGCAGAGAUAUAACAAAAAUAUGCCAUUGCUUGGCUUUUAGAAAAUAUUUACUUCAAUAAAAAUUUAGGAAACACCUUCACCAUAUUACCAAGGAAUACAAGAAACAAGCAUUAUAUAUGAAUAAGUAUAGCCACCAUUUCAGUCUAACAAUUCUUAAAAUGUCCAUAGAAAUUUUAGAACACGUGAUCCCUAGAAAUUUUGAAAUGAAUUUAAAGCAAGUGGAUCAUUCCUCCAAAUUGGGUGCUAAUGUGUCUUUCACAUUCGCAAGUAAGUUGAGCAAGUUCCUUCUGUACAAUUUUAUGGGAAAAUAAUCAGAAAUUAAAAAAAAAAAUCUUAUAAACCACUUUCAAUAUUGUGCUCCUUCGCAAUAGAAGCAAAAAGAAAAGAACUGAUAUGAAUAUUUUAUGUAUAUCAAUGUAUUGGAUCUGGUUUAUUUGAGAAAAGGUCUUCAUACCUUGGGGAAGUUCAUACCAGAUGCAGCCAUUACAACAAAAGUUAAGCAAGAGGUUUACAACUUUCAUCUCUGCAAAUAAAUAUUUAUGAUUGUUGGCGAAUGUUCAUCCCUAUUUUGCUUAAUCUCAAUCAUAAAACUAAGAGUGAUAUUAAAAUAAAUUGAGACUAAGAGCCAAUCAUUCCCUAUCAUAGCAAGAAACGUCAAUUGUAAUUUAAUCGAUUAAAUCUAGACUGAAAAUAUGUAAAAUAUUGAGAGUCUUAACUACGCUCACAACUUCAAACCAAAACAUUUUUUUCCCUUUCGAUACUUAUUUGCAUGAAGUAGAUAUUAUAGGUAGCAGAACAUCAUAAACGAAUAGCACAUACAGCUAAAAUAAUAUUUAUCUACAUGUUUUAUAAUUUCACAAUUAUAGAGUAGUCAUUAGGUCAAAUUAAUGUAUGUUCAGAGCUAUAUAGUAGUCAUUAAGUCAAAUGAACUCAAAAUUUGUGGUUUAAUUGUCUUCCCAUCUAGCUCCACAGUCCUAAUUUUCUAUAGUAAUUAUGAAUAACUACAUUGAACCCCUAAUAAAAGCAGAGCUAAAGCCAUGAAAAUAACUAAACUAUUUUGUAAUCUAAUCAACAUAAAUAAAGGAAUUAUUGGAAUAACACUCACAAAAUCCACUCCAAUUGUGCUAAUAUAGCUGUCAACAUAUGAAUCAUCCUAAAAGCAUCAAAGAAUAGCAUCAUGUCCACUAUACAAUUCACCGAAAAGAAAAUUUAAUAAAACCCAGAGCUGAAUAUACUAACCCAACCAUAUUUCUAGAAGCAAAUCACUAAAGAAUAUUGAAAAGAAACCCAUUAUAAACCACGUGCAGAUGAAGAAAUCAAAUCUAUAGUUAUUGGAGAAAUCAAAAUUUCACCUUCCACCACUGCCUUUAGAGAUAUUUUAUGUCUGAUUUCUUCACACCAUCACCGUUAGCUAAACCAGCCGAUCAAACCUCAUCCCUCAUAGAUUCAUUCGCUACAACAUCACUUACCACAUCUUUAUCUCCAAUGAAUCAUUCGUUGAUGAAGAAGAUGCCUCCGCCGCCUACUUUAAUAUAUUAUUGUUAAUGGUUCAUGAUUUUUCUUUACAUUCUUUCAUGAAGUAAAUGACAUGGAUUGCAUUUAAUUAAGUUUUAAUCUUAGAAGAGCUUGUUUACUUGAAAAGUGUUAUUAAUGGAUGAAGAAAUUGGGGAUUUUCUUCACGUCCAUGUAGAUAAAUUUUGUGUAUAGAAAUAAAUCAACUUCAAGUAUGUGUGACUUUGUAGUUAUGGAUGGUGAAUCUCAUUAUCUGUUUUAGUUGACCCAAAAAUAUAUAUAUAUAUAUAUAUAUAUAUAUAUGGACAAACCUGGUUUUCCUCUAAAUGAAGGCAUUUGUAAAAUCUAUUAUUAUUUCUAAAGACCCUUCGGAUGCUAUUGUUCUUAAUUCUGAAUUUUGAGGUAAAGCUUUGUGUUCAUUCGAGAUUCACUUCUUUCUUUCAUGAUAAAUGUUGACUUUCAACAAUUAAAGUUAGCAUUUAAAGAACAAUAAAAGAUAUUUUUUGAUGACUAUAUAUGUGAAUUUGAAGCUAAUUUGAAUACAACCAAAUACUUCACAAAAUCUCUUUAACUCACAAUGCAAACAUUACAUCAACAAAUAGCUCACCAAUUCGAAGAAUUUUUAAACAUGAUGUUGAUAACCUAGCAAACAAAAAGAAAAAGUAGUAGUUAUCUGAGAAUUUCAAAUAUGUAUUUUGAUUUUCUUUUGCAUGCUUAUGUCUACAAUCCACCAUACCUCCAUUUGUCAUAAUAGAUUUUGUUUAUUAUAAUAUAAACAUGUUAAACCCAUGUAUCUAAUUACGGCAUGAAACAACUCUACUUUUUGCUUAAUAUUACCAUCAGCAAUGAAAAUACUUGUCGAGACAAUUUAUAUAAUCCAGUAUAAUCUUCAUGCAAAGCCAUUUUCAUUUUCCACUGAAAUCCCACAAAAUCGAAAUCCAACACUAUUAUUUACACUACAUUACCAACUACACGUGCAAUGCACGUGCAUUCACCAGUCUAACUAAAAGUAAAAGAGGCAUAUUUUAGUUACUAUUCACAAGCCGUUGGCUCAGCCAUUUUGGACUGAGCCGAGUUUGUCGAAUCAGUUGGAAAUAAGCUGAAUUUUUAAACGACAUCGUUUUGUGUGAUUAAAAGAGGAUAAGUUUUCCUUUCACUUUUUCUCUUUCUAGAACAUUCAUUUUGUCUUUGCUUUUCUCUUUGUUUUUAGAUCUGAAAACUUCCUUUGUUGAUUUGAUUUUCAUUUUCAAGAUAUCUUCGAAAUUUGGUUAUGGAGUGAUGUUUUCCAAAUUUCAGAGUUAGCGGCGGUGGCAACUUCCACUUCGGCGGUGGCAACUUCCACUUCGGCGGUGACAAUUGCCACCUUGGUGCUCCAUCUCCUCCUACCAUAUUCACUCACUUCUCUGCCUUGAGUUUUUUUAGAUAAACUUGUUCUAUAGAAAGAUUCAAGGUGCUAGCUCUAAAGCUUUUUGUUUGUGCUUAUUAAUUUUGCAUUUCGUGCUUAAUGUUUUGUCGAAUUACGGAAGUUGGUAGUGUUUCAUGGGAUUUUAGUUGGUUAAAGGUACCACUUCAAUGACAAGAAGCCCUAAAUUUUCUUAGAAUUUGUUCAUGAAUUAGCAAAAAAAAAUAAAACUCAUUUAUUAUUGGGUUUCAGUUUUGCUUUACUUUAUUGAUGCUUUCAAACAUCCUGAUUCACUUGACGUAUGUUAAAAAUAGUGUGUUUUCAUUCCAAUAUUUUGAUUCUGCUUGAAAAGCUCUUUUCUUAAUGUGCGAGCAUCAAUUUUUAUGCUUCCCAGACUAUCUGGAGGAUUCUGCAAGCAUGCAAGCUAGGCUGUAACAUUUGAGCAAUAUCCUUCUUUAGGUAAUUGUGUUGUGGGUACCUCCAAAUCUACGUACCUAGCAUAAUUGAAAAUGAAAACAUUAAGAGCAUAAUUGAAAAUGAAAACGUUAAGAACUAGAUAACAUAAUUCUUCUUCUCAAAUCUUUUGUAUGACUCAGCUCUAUACUGUUUAAUUAUCACCACAAAAAAUGAAAGCAAAGAAAUUCACAAGCAAUUAAUUUUAUAUCAUUCAAGUAUUUCCAUACCACUUAUAUUGCUUUCUGUAUUAGAAUUUAUUGAAUGAGAAACAAUGUAUUAAACUCCAUGAAGGAGAAGAUGAAUUACACUCCAUGAAAAGACGAAAUGAACAGCUUCAUAAAAGGAGAAAGACACUCCAUAAUAGGAGGAAAUGAAACCUCCAUGGAUGGAGGGAUUGGAGGACAAUCCAAUAGACUAAAAAUUCAUCCACGGUGCUGUACUUAUAGAGCAAAAUGGCUAAAGUAAUUAACUAACUAAUUAGCUAAUUAACAAUCUAAUCACUAACUAACUAACAACUAAGACAGCUGGACACAACCAUUUGGAAUCUGAUAUGUUGAGAUGGAAGUCUCUAGAAUCUGGUGCACACGUGAUGCUGGAAUCUGCUGAUGUUUGGUGCGUGUGUAUUCCAACUUUCUAUUCUUUAUCUAUGUCGUUUGAUUUUUGAUAAUUUUAAAGCAACGUUUAAAAUUCUCCAAAAGGGAUUGCUAUUAUGUUUCACAACCUUAAGUUGAUCAUAAUAACUUUGUAGUGUACGCUGUAAAAAGGAGUUGAAGUGAGUUUUUUCCUGUUGAGAUGAGCCAAUUAGUGGUAGAUUUAUUUGUGUUGUUGUGUAUGUAUUUUCGCAGUUUGUAUAAUAUAUCUGCAAGAACGUAGGAUUUGACUUUUGAAAAUAGCUCUGAUUCACCAUGUCUCAGAAACUGGUUUGACAUAUCCAGCAAGCGAGAACUGAUACAAAAAUUGAGACAACAAUUAAAGAGAAAAGAUGAUAUGAUGCUAGAAAUACAAGAUCAGAUUGCAAAACUUUGAGACUCUCUGUGAAGUGCUUUUGUAUUCUUCCCAUCUACAAUAGCUACUCAAUUCUACAAACAAGGAUCUGUUUGAUUCCAAAGGAAAAUAUAGAGAUUAAGAAAGGCAAUUGUAGAUAAUUAUGGGGGACAAGUGGUUUUUAGUGACAAUCCCCCUGCUGUUCAUCUAGUAGAAGGAAGGAAUGGCCACAUAAAUGGAUAUUCCAAGGUUGAAAGCAAUCUCGACUCUUAAGAAAAAGGGAAAGGAGAUUGGGAUAUAACAUUGAAACAUUAAGAAGGGAAGUCGGCGGGUGAAAAUAAGUAAUAAUCCAAAAUCUCGAAACUUUUGGGCCUUCGUAUCUUAUCUAAACUCAAAAUAUUAGAAAUUUCAAACAUAUGUUUUCUACGUGUGACAACGAUUAAGAAGAAAAGUAGAUGUUAUGGUAUCUUGUUAAUAUAUAACUAAGAAAACAUUUUGAAAAAAAAAAAAAUCAAAGAUAAUUAUUUUUAGAAGUGAAAAGUUACAUCUUUGAAUUAAUUUUCAUGUUAUUAUAUUUAUUCAAGACAUCUUUUGGUAAGCUUCCAAGAUUGAGCUUAUUUGUUCAUCUUUUGGAAUUAAUUGAUAACUGUAGGUGUUUAGUCAAGAAUGCUUGUUUGGUUUUGCCGUUCUUGAUUAAUCUUCAAAUUCGAUUGAUUUUCUUGAUUUUGGCUUUUUUUUUAUUAGUAAGCGAAAAGAAAAAAACAUUUUUGUUGUUCUGAUUAUAUGUCAUAAUUUAUUGUAUCUAUUUAAUGAGUUAAACCAUGUGGUAUUACCUAAUUGUUUCUAUGCACAACUGAAAAAUAAUGUAGUUUCGUUCUUCACAUGGUUUAUUACUAAAUGGUAUUUGAUCCUUUUUCACUUAGCUUGCACUUUACCGACAUGAGUUUUUGUUGACUUCCUUGAAGUGAGAUGUGUUUGAUGUGGCACUAAGACAUGAAUUUUCUAAACUAUACUUCAGAUUUUUAGCCUCAUUUGAGACCCAUUUACAACAUAGAAAACAUUCAAUUUGGAAAAUGAUUUCUAAAGAAAAAUUGUAGCUCUUUGAGUUAGCUUUCCAACGCACUUUGAAUUACCUCAAUCGGAUAUUGGGAGAAGAAGUUAUGAUAGAAAUACUAAAAGCUGUACAGUAUCAACCAAAGUACGCGAAAUAUGAAAAGUCAAAUUCCUACACGAUUAUCUAGCACCUUCUUAAACCUAUAACUCCCACAUAAAUGACACUCGUAUUAAUGAGUAUUAGGCCCUUCACUUGCCCUUAAGUUGUGAGAUUUUCACCUAUAAAUAGGCUUCAAUGCAUACACAUUUUUCACAUCAAGACAAAAGUUUCUAAGCAUAAAAGAGAGAGUUUUCAAGUCUAGAAAAAAGAGAAUGGAGACGGAGGAAAAUUAGUUUUUCCUAAAAGUUUUGGUGCUAUCAAGAAGUGUUUUCCCAGUAUCAAUUCUCAACGGAGUGUUUUUUUUGAAACAUCAAAGGAGUGCAUUUUUCAACAAGGUUCAAAGCAUCAAUCAAGGUAGGUAGAGGUGCAAAGUGUUAAUUCGUGUUAAGUUAUAAGUUUCUAGCAAAUGAAGAUUUAUGUUAAUGUUUGUAUGUCGAAUGGUACAUUCGGUAUGGCAUACACCUCCAUGUCUAAUGGUAGCUUCGGGUACGGCAUGUACUUCUGGUCAAGGCGUUGUGUUAAGUCAUGACUCUACGUGUUUGGGAUUCUACCGAAAAUCCUACUAUGAAAAGGUUUCUAAAGUUACAGCUUUGAAAUGUAUAGCUUGAUCACGAAUGUACCAAUGAUAUCUAUUGAGUUUUUCUAACUCAAGGAUUUAACCCCUUCUCUACAAAUUGAUAUAAUUCUACCUUGGGCCUGAAUAAUGGAAAAGAUGGAGAGUGGUGCAACGAGUCCAUGGAAAAAUCGGUGAACAAGUUAUUUAGAUUUAUUUUUGUGAACAUUUUCAAUGUUAUUUCUUUAAAGUAUUUGAAUAACGCUGCACGCGAGAACAAGUUGUGUUUUCUUCAAAUAAAUUAUGUUCCAUUAUUUUUUUAUUCAGUGUUUUAUUUAAAGUAUUCGAAAGGUUGUUGUUAAAAUUAUCAUUGUAAAAAUUACACUUCUGCUAAAACAUAUUCUCCUAUGACUAAAUCACCGGUUAGUUAAGUAAAGUAAGUAGCGUUCCGGUCUACAAGGGGUCAAGGCGUUACACUUCCAGAGUUUCAAGGACCACAUCAAAUUUUUUGAUUAAUAAACUUGAGAUUUAAUUUAAACAACCCAAUUUCAUGCAAUUUAUUAAGGAAGCUAAGGAUAUGGAUCAGGAUUUUUGGUAUUUUGUUGAACAAAAGAACAGAUAAUAACCAAUAUCGAUUCUCUAGUAUUUUAUAUUCCAUUUCUGACUUUUAGCAAGCGAACUUUUAUAGCUCUUGUAAGAGGUUUAGUACUUAGCACAAUAUUCAUUUUUUUGUAAUUGCAAUUUAGCUAAGACAUCUUGCAGUUGUAGCGUGGCAGGUAUUAAUCAGGGUUGAAAUUAUAAAAGAAAACGGAAAUAAUAUAACCAAUCUCUGUCUUCAAUAAACAUUACAUGCAUGCCAACCAACAAGUUGGAGGAAAACCAAAAAAGUGGAGAAGAGGAACUACAACAUUAGAUUUCACGAAUACGAAUUAUGAGUGCCCUAUUUGAGCCCCAUUUUUUCAAGAAUUCAUUAUUUCAAAUCUCAUUUUCAACCACACAUUCUCUCAUAAAAUAACUAUAUGCGUAUUUUAAAUAUUUUUCUUACUUUUUAGCCACACGUUCUACAAAAAAUCUCUAUUCUAUAAUACAUUUUAUGCAAAAAUGGGCAUCAAACGGGGACUAGAUUUCCGCUACAAAGUAAACUUUACCUUUCUCUUCAGUAUGUUGUCUUGGUCAGUGGCGGAUCCAAGAGUUGGAGCCAACUAGGGCAGUUGUAACCGUCGACUGACGCAUUUGCAAGAUCCUUUUUUAAAAUUUUAUUAAAUAAUAUUAAAAUUUUUUAAUUAAUAUAUAAAUACAGUAAAACGUAAAUCACAUAUUAACAAUCAUCAAGUUUCCAUUUUCAAAUUUCACAAAUACUAAUAGAUUCCAUAAGUCCACAAAUACUAACAGUUAUUUCCAAAAUCCCUAAUCUUCACGAAUUUCAUAGUCCACAUAUAUGAUAUCGCAUAUCCUCAAACUCAUGAAACCUCCAAUUUUCGUAAAUACUAUUGGAGGCUCAUAACUCACAAAGUCACAGACUAACAGUAAAUACUCAUAAAACAUAAAUUCAUAAAUCAUAACUGAUUAUUUUAACUGAUAAAUCAUAAUUUGAUAAAUAAUAAAUCAAUAAACGAACUAGACGAACAAAAACAAAAAAUAAAAAUAAAAAAUGAAGAGAGGCAGGAGGCUCACGACUCAUGUCCCGCCAUCACGAGUGGAAUUAGUUACCAGUGAUACAAUGGUGGUGUAGUGCUGCAGUUGCCGGUGGCUCGAUGUCGCUAAUUCUACGGUGGCUUAGCUUGAGUACUAGCAGCUAAAAAUAGGGUUGGAAAUUGGAAUUGGAUGGAAUUGCUUGAUUUUGGGUUUGAACUGCCGAGUGAUACGUGGCUUUGUGCGUUUGAUUUAUGAAGGGAAAAUUUCAUGAAACACAGUUAAUUUAUAUUAUUGUCUAUUCUACAUUGCCACUGUAUUCUUAUUCUAAUUAUACUACUUUUUAUAUAGUAUUUUGGAAAAUUGAAUGGGAGAACAAAUAAGCAGGUGUAUUAUAUCUUGCACUUUCCCAAAAAAUCCAUUUCAUAUUCCUCUCUCUCCAUCUUGCAGAAAACUAAACACCGCCGUCCAUGCAAAUCCAAGAUCCCCAAAUCAAUUAAUCAAGAAAAGGGGUUAGUUUACUACACAGAUCGAUCUCAUUACCUCACAUACCCAUGGGCUCCGUCUAUAUCCUACGGUCGGAAGUUGAAUGUUGUAAGUUGGCUAUCCCUUGACGGAAGUUGUCGCUGGCUUCCAAAGAGGGUAUUAAUGGAGGGGAAGCUUCGGUAUUUGUGGAGAUAGUGACGACGAAAAUGGAAGAUGCACGUUCUCCUUCGUGUCGAAUUACACGAUCUAUAGCCGUUCUGUCAGAAUAUAAGGAACGAGACCACCCAGCCGUCAAAGAAGUGUUUAAAACCUCAGCCAAUGUUGAUAAAAGUGAGAAGAGGCGACUAUGUUGACGAAGAAUCCUCUAUGAAGAAGAUGAAAAUGGCGUUGCAUUCGAACCCGAAAGAAGGAAAUUCUACGUCUCACGUAUUUUUUGGGGAUUUUUGAAAACUGUGAAUGUUAAUAUGCUAAAUUUUGUUUGUUAUCCUGAGGUUCACAUUUUAGAGACAAUGAAUUACAUAUGUAUGCGAUUUACGUGAAGUUCUCCUCCAUGCCUCUUUGACCUUGCUUAUUGUCUGUACCAAAACCAUUGGAUGACACACCGAAACGAGAAGAGGUGACUAUGUUGACGAAGAAUCCUCUAUGAAGAAGAUGAAAAUGGCGUUGCAUUCGAACCCGAAAGAAGGAAAUUCUACGUCUCACGUAUUUUUUGGGGAUUUUUGAAAACUGUGAAUGUUAAUAUGCUAAAUUUUGUUUGUUAUCCUGAGGUUGACAUUUUAGAGACAAUGAAUUACAUAUGUAUGCGAUUUACGUGAAGUUCUCCUCCAUGCCUCUUUGACCUUGCUUAUUGUCUGUACCAAAACCAUUGGAUGACACACCGAAACCUUACACUGCUGUGUGUGAUAUGUCGCGUUUGAAGAGUUUGAUAUGCUAAAAUUUACUUACAUCUUUGUGAUUGAUUGUGAAUAUUAAUUCUUCUUUUCUUAUGAUGACAACAUAUGCAAUAUAUAUAUAUAUAUAUUUUUUUUUUUUUUUUUUUUUUUUUUUUUUUUUUUUUUUUACAAUGUGUAGUGGAAACUCAUUUUACACUUGAUUGUGAUGUUCAGAUUGCACAUUGUCUAUUAGAAAAUGGAAAUCAGCUGCAGGUGAGUCAGCUUGGGAGUCAGCAAAGCACGUACACUCCAGUACACAUGGGCGACAAGCUGGACCAUAGAUGGAAGAAUAAAUCUAGAAAGAUGUAUCAUAUUUUCUAUUAUGUGGUUUUCCUUUCGUAACAGUGUUGUUUAUAUUGAUUCUUUUUUUUGCCUGCUGUAUAGGUUUUCCGUUAGGCUGGUACUCUUCUCAUUCUAUAUAUAGUGUGAUCUGUAAAGAAGUGAAUAUAGCAGAUUCAAUAUCAUGAGAAAAUUCUCCCAAAACUCUUGCACUCCACCUGCUCGAUAGUUUUUUUCUUUCGUUUAUUUCUUCUUUUCUUAUAUGGUAUCAGAGCAAGAUAUGGCACAACCUGAUUCUGCUAAUCCAAAUCCAGUUGAAUCUUCAAACACAAAUAUAAAUCAACACCCAAAUCCAAUCUCGGUUGAUCCCUCACAGCCAAACAGUCCAUACUCUAUUGGAGCUAAUGAUAGCUCUGGAUCCAUACUCAUUACUCAUGUAUUGGAUUCAAACAAUUAUCAUUCCUGGGAACGUGCGAUCCAAAGAGCACUCACGAUUAAAAAUAAGCUCGGUUUUGUUGAUGGAAGCAUUUCAGAGCCUAAUGAUGCAGACAGUCCACUUAUGGAGCAUUGGUUGAGAUGUAAUGAUAUAGUAAUCACUUGGUUGCAGAAUACUAUGGCACCAUGUAUGCUGAAAUGGCACAUUAUCUAUGGAAGGAACUUGAACAGAGGUUGGCACAGUAAAAUGCACCUAGGAUUUUUGAGCUCAAACAAAGUAUUGUAAACCUGAUACAAAAUCAAUUCAGUGUAAGUGUGUAUUUCUCAAAGCUGAAAACUCUUUUGGAUGAAUCGCUAAAUUAUGAAUCAGUACCCAAUUAUUCCUGUGGAGGUUUGAAGGUUGAGGUGAACAACCAACAAAGAGGUUGGGUUAUGAAAUUCCUAAUGGGUCUCAAUGAUACGUACAAGGGAUUAAAGGCUCAAAUUCUCCUCAUUAAGCCUUUCCCAAGCUUGAAUGAAGUAUACUCCAUAAUUUAGUAAGAAGAGAAGAGAAGGCAAAUAUCCACUGAUAGUUCACUUGAUGAAACUAUGGCACUACUUGCUAAGGGUAACCUUGAUGUGAGAAAACUAAACCAAUCCUCUCAGAAGAAGGAUAGGUACUACUGCACCUAUUGUAAGAUAGCUGGCCAUUCCCUUGAACUAUGCUUCAAGGCUAAUCCCAACAAACCAGCAUGCUCUUAUUGCCUAAUGCCUGGUCAUACAGUUGGAAAAUGUUUUGAGUUACACGGGUAUCCAUCGGGGCACAAAUCAGAAGGGAGAAACAAGCCAUCAACAUCAUUUGCUAAUCAGACUACUGCACUUAUGCCUCUUUUCCAGGAACAGGUAAAUAACAAAGCUCAAAUUCUUUAACUCGGGAGCAAUAUGAUCAGCUCAUGGCAUUGCGGAACCCACAAACUCAUCAAAACUUCAUCCCUUCUGCAAAUCAUGUUCAAACUUUAUUCCAACUCAUUCUGAUAAUGGUGAGAUGCCAAAAGUUUUAGGUAUAUCUCUAUGUCUGUUUGCCUUUAGCACUAAACUUUAUGAUCAUUCAGUUGCACCUUGGAUAUUAGACACGGGGUACAGAUCAUAUGAUCUGCUCAACCUCUCUUUUUACCAUAAUAAAGUCUAAAGUUUCAUAUUCAGUAGCUCUCCCAAAUGGUAAAGUUGUUCCUGUCACUCACAUUGGGACAGUAAAAUUUUCAGAAUCUUUCAUUUUGGAUAAUGUUCAUUAUGUUCCGUCGUUUUCUUUUAAUUUGAUAUCAGCUAGAAAAAUAACGCAGAACAUGAAUUGUUGCCUCCUUGUCUUCCUGGUUGUUGUUUUAUACAGGACCUUUUGACUUGGAAAAGGACUGGAAUGGGUGAAGUAAAGCAAGGACUCUAUCACUUGAUGCAAUAUGAAGUGUCUCCUUUUGCCUUGACCAAGAAAUUAGCCUAUCUAACUCAAAAGACACACAUAUCCGCUUCCUGUAUUUUCAAUAAUGGUGAAGAUUUCGAUCUUUGGCACUGUAGGUUAGGACACUCCACCUAUUCCAAGCUUAAUUUACCAGAAGACACCACAAGAUCCACCAAACAGCCUUGCCUUACUUGUCCUUUAGCCAAACUACAAAAAUUACCAUUUCCUGUCAGCCAGCAUAGAUCAGAAAAAUGUUUUGAUCUCAUACAUUGUGAUAUUUGGGGACCAUGUAAUGAGAUUAGUUAUGAUGAUUUUCGUUAUUUUCUAGCUAUUGUGGAUGAUUUCAGUAGAUGUACUUGGGUUUAUAUGUUGAAAUUCAAAUCUCAUGCUGGCAUUGUUUUGCAAAGUUUUUGCUCUAUGAUUGAAACACAAUUUGAAUGUAAAGUUAAAACUAUUAGAUCAGACAAUGGAGAUGAAUUUGAGAUGAAGAAAUUUUAUUCACGAAAGGGAAUCAUUCACCAUAAAACUUGUGCAGAGACUCCUCAACAAUAUGCCAUAGUUGAAAGAAGACAUCAACACAUUUUAAAUGUGGCAAGAGCUUUAAAAUUUCAAAGUGGCAUCCCAUUAAGAUAUUGGAGUGAUUGUGCUCUCACGGCAGUUUAUCUUAUAAACAGAACCCCUAUACCUCUUUUAGACCACAAAACACCCUUUGAAAUUCUUUUUCAAACCAGACCAGAUUACACUUAUCUUAGAGUUUUCGGAUGCCUAACAUUUGCUAGUACCCUAGUGAGUGGAAGACAUAAGUUUGAUCCUAGAGCUAGGAGAUGCAUUUUUUUGGGAUACCCAUUUGGAAUCAAAGGAUACAAAUUAAUGGAUUUCAACACAAAGGUGGUCUUUAUCUCUAGGAAUGUUAUCUUUCCACGAGAGUGUUUCCUUGCAAGCAAAAUGCUAUCAACAGUGCUUAUUUUAGUCCAAAUCCAACUUCAAAAAUAGAUUUCAUUUAUGAAAUUCCUAUUAUCUCAGAUCACAUAGAAAACAGCCCAAAUCAUUCUCUUAUCAACACUUCAGACAAAAUGCAGCAACAGACCACUCAACAGACUUUGAAUCUCUUUCAUUAGAACAAAAUCAUGGCUUAUCUGGACCUGCAAAUACAUUUAUAAUUGACAGUGAGCCAUCCCAAAAACAAGUCGUACCUUGAAGGUCAAAUAGAAUCAAGAGAACCCCUACAUAUCUCAAGGAUUUUGUCUGCCAACAGGUCACUUUGCUUCCCCAUUCACAGGCUUUGGACAAGCAAAGGGUCACCGUUCCCUCAGGUAAUCCCUAUCCUCUUGAGAAUAGUGUGUCAUAUCAUAAACUCUCCACUCCCUACAAGGCUUUUGUUGUUUCUAUCAGCACACAAACUGAACCAAAAAAUUUCCAAGAAGCACUAGAAUCUCUCAAGUGGUGUAAUGCUAUGAAAGCUGAAAUAAAUGCUCUCGAAUUAAAUGAUACUUGGAUAGUUGUUGAUCUAUCUCCUAGUAAGGAGGCCAUAGGGUGUAAGUGGGUUUAUAAAAUCAAAUUCAAUGCUAAUGGGACCAUAGAGAGAUAUUAAGGCAAGUUAGUGGUUAAGGGAUAUACACAACAACAAGGACUCGACUAUCAUGAAACAUUUUCUCCUGUGGCAAAACUAGUUACUGUAAGGACUUUGUUGGCUUUAGCUGCUAUUAAAGGUUGGCACUUAUACCAAUUUGAUGUAAACAAUGCAUUUCUACAUGGAGAUUUGGCGGAAGAAAUUUACAUGCAAUUGCCUCUGGGUUAUCCCACUGUUAAUGGGAUGAAAGCUUGCAAAUUGAAGAAAAGCUUGUGUGGCCUUAAACAAGUCUCUAGACAGUGGUAUUCUAAGCUAUCUAACUUCAUUAUUGAGCAAGGUUUUUCACAAUCUAAGGCUGAUUAUAGCUUAUUUACAAGAGCUACAAAACAUUCUUUUAUUGUCAUCCUCGUAUAUGUCGAUGACAUUAUAGUGUUCAGCAACUGCAUUGACUCUAUUAAUGUUCUCAAGCAUACCCUACAUGAGAAAUUCAAAAUCAAGGAUCAAUAUAGUUGAAAUACUUCCUUGGGAUGAAGUGGCUUGGUCAGAUCAUGGCAUCCAUAUAUGCCAAAGAAAGUAUGCCUUAGACAUCUUGACAGAUUCAGGCAAAAUUGGGGGCAGCACCAACUCGAAUUCCAUUGAUCAGAAUCUUAAGCUUUCUAAAGAGCAAGGCAAACUAAUAUCUAACCCAUCACUCUAUAGAAGGCUAGUUGGAAGAUUACUAUAUUUAACUAUAACAAGAUCGGAUCUAUCCUUUUCAGUGCAAUAUUAAGUCAAUUCAUGGAUAACCUUGGAUUACCACACCUUAAUGAAGCCUACAAGGUUUUAAGGUAUAUCAAAAAGGCUCCAGGAUAAGGUUUGUUUUAUUCUAUUGAAUCAAGCCUGCAGCUUAUAGGUUACUGUGAUUCAGAUUGAGGAGCAUGCCAGGACACAAGAAGAUCGGGUCAGUGAUUAUUGUGUGUUUAUUGGGUCUUCUUUGGUGGCCUGGAAGUCAAAGAAACAAGGGGUCGUGUCUAGAUCAUCUACGGAGACAGAAUACCGAGCAAUGGGUAACCUGUGCUGUGAAUUAACUUGAAUGAGAUAUUUACUUCAUGACUUGCAGAUUACACAUUCUCAGGCUGCCACUGUGUUUUGUGAUAACAAGGCUGCACUUCACAUCGCAUCAAACCCUGUCUUUCAUGAGAGAACCAUGAGAGAACCAAGCACAUUGAGCUUGAUUGUCAUCUCAUCCAUGACAAGAUUCAAGAUGGAAGCAUAACCACUGGUUAUAUUGGUAGUGGAUUACAAGUUGCAAACCUCCUAACUAAGGCCUCAAGUUCUUCUGUUUUCUAUACUCUUUUGCUCAAGAUGGGAGUAGAAGAUAUCUACUCUCCACCUUGCGAGGGGCUAUUAGAAAAUGGAAAUCAGCUGCAGGUGAGUCAGCUUGGGAGUCAGCAAAGCACUCACACUCCAGUACACAUGGGCAACAAGCUGGACCAUAGGUAGAAGAAUAAAUCUAGAAGGAUUUAGCAUCUUUUCUGUUAUGUGGUUUUCCUUUUGUAACAGAGUUGUUUAUAUAGAUUCUUUUUGCUGCCUGCUGUAUAGGUUUUCCGUUAGGCUGGCACUCUUCUCAUUCUAUAUAUAGUGUGAUCAACCUGUAAAGAAGUGAAUAUAGCAGAUUCAAUAUCAUGAGAUAUCCUGAUGAACGGUAGAUUUUCUAGUAGUGAUUAUAACAAACUUGCUGCUCGGAAAAUUGGACCGUUGGAAGUAAUUGAAAAUAUCAAUCCUAAUGCAUACAGGUUGAAGCUUCCAAGCCAUGUUGCGACCAGUAAUGUUUUUAACGUCAAGCACCUGGUUCCAUAUGUUGGUGAUUUGUCAAUAGAGGACUCGAAUUCGAGGACGAAUUCUCUCCAACCCGAGAAGGAUGAUGUAGAUCGAGUGGCCUAUAAUUUUAUUGAGAAGUAUGAGAGGAGGCUUGAGAAACAGGAAUAUUAAUUUUUUUGUUAUUUCUUUAUUAUGUCUGUCAAAUUAAGUUUCCUUAUUAUGUUGUCUAAGUUUCUGUUAUUAAAUUAUUCUGUCUUAUCACUUAUUUUAGGUAAGUUGUCUGUUUAGGGUUUAUAUAUUUGUAGUCUUCUGUAGCCGCAGACAGUUUUCUGGAGUUAUUAUGUUAUCAAUAAAAACUCUCUGCAAGAGUUUUAUUUGUUCCUGCAAUUCCUAGUCCCGAUUUCUAGGUUUGUGGAAGACUUGUGAAUUUAUUGUGUGCACAGAUUCUGCUUCUGUUCUUUCCGCUGCAUCAUUAGGGAUGGUAGUUGGUUGCUAGCUCAACUUUGAAGGAUCUUUUUUUUUUUUUUUUUUUGAAGACUCUCUUGUUGCUGUUUUAAAUUAUAUACAACGACUAGGAAUGCAUUUCUGAUUUCCCGGGUUUUUUCGUUAUCUUUUGGUAAUGUAAAUAUUCAUUAUGUAAUCUGAUGUAUUGCAUACUUCAUGGGUCGGAUCGUACACGUGAAAUGGUACCAAUUGAAGUGUCGAUUGUGUCCAAUUAUAUCGUAUUGCACAUGCAGCUGACAUUUAUGUUUUUAACCUCAAUGAAAUCUCCAUUGGUCUAUUUUUUUAGCGUAAUUAGUUUCCUCUAGUGUACUGGCAUGUGCAUUUUUCAAGAUUAAGCAUUCUUGCGACCAUCGUCUUGACGACAUCGAAUCAAUGUUUUUUCUUUAAAAAAAAAAACAUUUACACGUGUGACAUUACCGUUGUAAUGGAAUCAUUUUUUUUUUCUUAAAUAUACUUUAGAUGUGUGAAAUUAGCGUGUAAAAAACUUGUAAUGUAUGGCAUUCUGAAAACAUCAAUACACAAAUCUAUUGCUAUAAGCUCCCAUAAUACGGUAGGAUAUAGUAAGGUUAUAUACCUUGACUCAAUGGAGUAUACUAAUAGUGCACUCUAAUGUUCACAUUACGUCGAAUUUGCAAUAUUUAUAGGUCUAUCGUUCACCAUAGAUCUGGUUCUAUUUCCUACUUUACUAUCGUAUAUAGUCAGAAUGAUAUCUUGAUUUUUACAGAUUCACGUUUGCAAUACACGAGACUCCGUAGUAUUACAGAUUCAGACCAUCGAAUUCCAUUUUUUUAAUAUAUAACACAUGUCACAUUCGCACUUUCGAAAUAAGAUUGAUGCAGGUAGAUGUAGUUUACUAAUUUUGCAUAGAGACGAACACAUACUGACUAAUUUUAAUGUGGCAAAAAAUAUUCAUGUUUCAUUCAUAUUUACAUUGAUAUUGUAACGAACGCAUAUUUUCACUUACAGGUUUUCCCAGUGAUGAUUAAUCGUUUAGCAACCUCACAGCAAGAAGUUAUAUUUCAUGUCUGGUGAAUUGAGUGCGUGGAAGGAGCUGUCCGGCUAAUAAAGCAGAAAUCUGUAAUGGGAAGGUGUUGAGUCACAUUUAUUCAAUAUAUCAUGUUUCCGAAUUCACAAUUCAAAAUUCUCUUACGAGUUAUAUUAUACAAUCAAUACAUUCAAACACCUUCUAGGUUGUGUCAGACUAGAUAAAAACCUAAUAAAAAUUUUACCCUUAAAAUGCCGAUGUGUGCAUCUAUUUGCCGGGAGUUUAGAUGGGAUCCAUACAACAAAAUCUUUGCUACUACAUUUAUAACAGUUCACAAUGACGCUAACCAAAUGUAAAAGUUCAAUGCCCAUUAUUGCAGAAACACGAUAUUACACUUGGGACCUCGAAGGGGUCCAUUUAUUUGAAUAUAUUGACUAAAAGUUACAACAUUAAUUUAUUUCUUUGCCGACAAGAGAAUAAAGGACGAAACUAAAGGUAGAUCAAGCAUGCAUCCAUGCUUGUAUUAUUCAACACAACAUUUUUAAAUUAAUUAAAGUAAGCAGUAAUUGUUAAUUUAAACAUUGUUUCUUUUUGGCCUUUUUGCAGAACUGUUUGUUUUUCUUGAGUUUUGACAUCCUGUAGCCAUGGAGUCCUUUUAGUUUUUCAGGAAAUCCUUCCACCACUUAGCUGAAUCUUUAGGGUGUCUUUCCAAAUCAUUCUCGUUCUUGAAGUCUACAUAAUGAACUCCAAAUCUAAGAUUGUACCCUUGUGUCCAUUCAAAAUUAUCAAAAAAUGACCAUUUGAAGUAACCUUUCAAGCGUACACCAUCCCUGAAAACGAAAGACUAGUUGAUUAGUUUCAAAAUUUACAAUUUUACUUCGAAUUUAACUACAAUAUGUGAUUAAAGAUAAAAUAAAAAAAAAUGACGUACUCUAUUGCCUUUCUAAGUUGGUCAAGAUGGUCCUUGUGAUACGUAACCCUUUUUUCAUCUUUAACAGCCUCUGGAAUUGUUAGUUCAUCGUUUUUCAAUUCAUCCAGCCCUACAAGAGAUUAUAAAAGAAUUCAACAAAUCACUAAAUGCUCUAAAAAUUUAGUAUUUCUAAUGUAUAUUCUUGCUAUAUAAAUAAAUAAACAUGACUAUAUACCAUUCUCUGUAAUGAAAAUCUCGGGAUUAUCAUAAGUUUUCUUUAUAUAGAGCAUUAUCUCGUAAAUUCCCUCUGGAACUAUGUACAACCAUGACGAACCACCCUGACACGAAGUAAAAAAGAUUUGUAAUUACAUUAGAUUAUACAUAAGCAUCGAAAAUAAUGUAAACCAUUAUAUCUAUUUUAGUUCAUUGUGCCCGUAUAUUAGGAGUCUAUGACAUAAUCAUAUUUCACCAAAAAUUGUUGAUAUGCCUAAAUUGUUAGAAUAAUCCAUUCCAUUGUCUAUAUUCUUUUUCUAAGGGAGGGUACUAUUAAUGACUCACCUUAUCACCAAUCGGCUUGUCAUUGCAAUCAUGAGCUAAAAGAAUGAAAAGUAAACAUCUUGUUAGAAGUAGUGUCCAUUUUUUGUCAAGGUAAAAAGUUAUAACUGAACAUGAGAAAAGGUCCCAGUACUUACUCCUCUCAUCAACAUGCAGAUCAUUCUCAAAAUGUGUUUUUGAAGAAUCUCGAGGUACAUUUUGGGCAUAACGAGCCGUGUAAUAAUUUAUGCCCAAGAAGUCACAGGAACCUUUCACUAGUGCAACCUCGUCUGGUUUAAACAUGGGAAGACGUUCUCCUACAUUGAUUCUCAUGGAUAGUGGAUAAUCACCUGUUAUUACAGGGGCUACAAACCUGAACAGGAGAAAUGUGUUAAAAUUAGAAUUAUUAUCGAUGUACUAUAUACCUAAACUUCUACAAAAAUAUAUCUAUAAUGUAUUCUCUUAAUAAGGCAUAAACAGGCUAAAGGAUAAAAAGAAUAGAAGAGAAGAAACUUCCGAUAAUGGAUUCCAAUUUAACGAAUUUCCCAGGCACUAAUUUCAUUGGGAGAUUUAGGAAUUUAUAGAGAUGCAGAGUAAUUGCUCGUGGUAAAGAUAAACUGCUCUAACACAAGUAACAAUUACCAUCCUAACAAAAAAUCAAGUGCUCUCGAAGCAGCCUCGACAUCCUCUUUGUUGUCUUCCUUAAAUGGAUAAUACCAGAUUGAAACGUUUGUCAUCCCUAUUUUGCCUCGUUGGCUUUCCUGUAUGUACAGAUGUAUUAAUAUUUGUAAAAUUUCAAAAGUGUGUAUUUACCUAUUUAUUUUUGUACAUGUGUGAAAUAUUAAAAUAAAAACCUGAUAUUGUUUCCGGUAUAUAUUAACCGCAUGCGCAUGAGCAAGGAUCAAAUUGUGUGCCACUAUAUAUGGUUCUGUUCCCGGAUCUCCUUCAAAGGAAGUACCAUCUUCAGAGGAUGCAGUGUAAGGCACAUUGAGUGCCUCAGCAAUUACUUUUCUCGCUGCAUCUCGUUCAGAGGAAGGAAUGUUGUCCGAAUUGUAUGCGAUAUCAACUAGUUCACUGAUUGGAUCUCUGGCCAUAUAUCCUCUUGAUGAAGGAAACAGAGGAACAUUGAUGCUGCUUCUAUGCUGAAGGAUCGAGGAACGACACAUUCGUUCCAAUGAUUCUCGAGUGCGAUCCGAUGCUGAUGCCGAUGCUCCAAGUUGAUAACCUCGACGAGGGGGAAACCUUGGAUGCACAUAUCCAUAAAAAGUGAAGGACCGUGGCUCAUUGAGCGUGACCCAAUAUUUCACUCGAUCACCAAAUUUCGAAAAGCAUAUGUCAGCAAACUCACAAAAAUGUUUCCUAUUAUGACAAUGUAAAGAAAGUUAAAUUUCAACAUAUAUGUCUGUAAUAAAACCAUAGAUGGUUAAAAAAAUUCACUUAUGUCUUUUAUCUUUGCACAAGAGAUCAAUCUGCUUAUUAUUAUCCAUUUUCUUUGAAGAAAAUAUUUCUGCUUUUUCCUUCAAAAUAUAGAUUUUGAGAAAAUAACUUUGCUUAAUUCAUCUGUUAAACAUCUAGCACACGAUGUUCGAUGCUAUGCAAGAUCGUUUACUUACACAAUUUGAUGAUCUAAGAAGCCGCCAUAUUCAUCUUCCAAUUUUUGUGGAACAUCCCAAUGGAAGAGAGUUGCACAGGGCUCAAUGCCUACACAAAAGUAAUGUAGAGAAAUCAAUGUACAUGAUAUCUUUAAAUUUUAUAUUUUAAUUUAUAAGAAAAGAAAUGAUUUCAAUGGCAUAUCAAUUUGAACUUCCAAUCAUGUACUAAUUAAAUAUAAAAUAAGAAUAAUUUUCUUAAAGAUACAAUAAACACGUGAAUUCAAAGAAGUCUAACCUUCUUUCAAAAGUUCGUCUAUAAGAUUGUUAUAGAAUUGGAUUCCUUUUUCGCUUAUGCCAUCGCAUCGUCUACCACCUAAAAUAUCAAUAUAAAUUUAUACUCAUAUUAAAAUAAAGAACUAAUUUAGUUGUAUAUAAUGAGGUGUAUCUAAGGGUGUACACCCCCCUCACAUGGAGUCUGGGAUCCACCCGAAUAAGUGUUUUUUUUAUUCGGGUGGAUUCCACACCGCAUGUGAGAGGGGUGUACACGCUUAGGUACACCCCAAUGUAUUACUAGCACCACCGUAAAAUAAAGUCAAGGAACUUCUAUUGAUAUCCAAUAUUGAGGAAAUUACUUGGUGAGGUCUCAUAUUAGAGACUACUUCUGGUUUUCUAAAUACUUCUAUUUUUCAAAAUAUUUUGUCAAAAUACUUCUAACGAGAACUUUUUCUUGUCAAGAGUUUUUCUACAUUUUUCUCUUCCUUUUCUUUGUGUUCGACUUGAAAACUAGGCAAGGUUUAUGAGGCUUUCGAGUCCAUUUAGAAAUCCUAGUCAAACUUAUCAAUGUAGACCAUUAACUCUAUAUUGUCCAGAAUCUUUUCCACUUUGUCUAGCCCUUUAUAGUCAUUUAAAAAAUUUUAAGCAGAAAACAUCACUUUAGCUUAAAAAUUAAAUAAUGUACAAACGCUACAUCUUUGACGUUUCAUUAUUGAAGUGAAAAAAAAAACUGUUUUUCUAAAAUCAUUUAAGCACAAUCCGGUACCUGGUAAGAUUCUGGACCAUGAAAUUGAAAAUCUAUAAGAAUCCAAACCAACUUCCUUCAUCAAAGCCACAUCGUCCUGCAGCAUUAUUGACAGUGAGUACAUUAUACAUUCAAAAAUAUUAUUCUUGGUGGCUUAAAUUAGAAUACAAUCAAUUAUAAUUGAUUUUUUUCUUUCUUGUUUCUUCCACUUUUUUUCAAAAUAGAACUUUUUGACUUCAAGCGCCAACAAAGUAUCAACUUAUUUUGAAUGCUAUGUUCCAGAUAAUAGUCAUGUUUGAACAAUGGCAAUGAGCAUUUUUUUUUUCAUUAAUGGAUCAAAAGAGUUAUUUAAUUCAUUUACAGCUAUUAGUUCAAUUCAUUUUUCACUUACUUAAAUAUUGUAAAUGGAUGAGUAAAAAAAGAACACUGGUGGACUGGUGGUAGGUUUUCUUAGAAAUGAUGAGUUUUUAUGUUGAUAUCAAUUAGAAGAAAGUGGUCAAAUUAUUAUUAUUUUUUUUUUUUUAUAAGGGCUUUAUCACUUGGCCCCCACCUCAUCCCCUGGACGUCCAAGGGGAUUGUCCCUGAAGCAUGGCUCUUUUUAUAAAUUUAGACCUUAAUAAAAUAUAAGGGAUCAGAUGAUCCUCGCUUAAUGCUUGAAUAGAUAUAGAAUUUUGAUACGGUAAUAUAAAUGAAUUAACAUCACUAUCUGCCACGAAAAAUUAAAUAGCUGAGCGCAUUUACCUUGAACUUGUUAUAGUGAUUGAUUGCCACUUGUCCAUUUGAACCAUCCGCAAUGCUAUCUGCCACACAGACAUUUUAAAUUAGGAGGGCACAAUCAAACUUUGUACAGAUCGAAUACUUUAUUCUUAAUUUUUGAAUGAUUCAUACUUGACUCGAAAAAAAGAAGAUUUACGUUUAAAAAAAAUCCCUUCAUUAAGAUUUUGGUCAUCAUUUUCAUUCAUUUGAUUUCAAACAGUCAUUUUAUUAAUAUUUUGCUCAUCACAAAAGAAUACAUAUUUAUGUUUAAAAAAUUUAUAGUGUAUUUGAAAUUUUGAUUUAAACAAUCAAUUAAAAUGAUCGAUUCAAAUAAUCGAAAGAAAAAAUAUUUAACAAAUAUUCAAUACUAAUUAAUAAUCAAUCAAAUAAACACAAUUCAUUAAAUAUAAGUAAAAUUGGACAUAAUCACUUCAGACACAUUUUGUAUACACAAUUUGAUAGGAAAAGAUAAUCUAUAGGUUCUAAUUAAUUGAAAAUUUGAUUGAGAAGUGAAGAAUUGUAAUAGAUGUGAUAAUCUACAGAAAAAUUAUAGAUAAAUUUUUAAAAAUUAGAAGAUUUAAGAAUUUGAUAAAAUGCGUGAGGGAGAAAGUAGCGAAAGAGAAAGAUACAAGAAAAAAGUUCGAAUCUAUUAUGAUUUUUAGUAGAUUUUGAUAAAGUUAAAAUGUUAUGGAUUUCAUGAAAUAUUCUAUUAAAAUUAAUUAUUAACUGUGAUUCAUAUUAAAAUUUAGAUUUUAAUUCAUACCAAACAUGACUUAAAAAAAAUCCCAAAAAUAAACUACCAGGACCCCGUCUCCACCGCUGCACGUACAUGUGCGUGUGUAAAUUAAUAUGUUCUAUUUUAAAAUGAAAACUUUGGUAAAAAGAGUUACACAAGCCUUCUUCUGUUGAUUGAUAUAUUUAACUGAUAAGAGAUUAUACAUUUAACAUGCCUCUACAGGAUAAUGACUUGUUAAAAAACUUCAAUCCUUGAACUCGAACGCUUGUUUGAGUUUGAGAUGGAUCAUGUUACUUAUUUGAGCUUGUUGGACGGUGAUAAGAUACUUAGAAUAGAGAUUUUAUCUCAAAUGGACAACCAUAUAUAUAGGAGUAGCUGAGCUCUUUUAUGUUAAUUUAUAUUUUAUAUUUAGUGAUUUUAAACACACAAGACUAGAGAGAGAGAGAUUGAAGAGACCAGGAUGCUUUUCUGUCAUAUCAUCCCAAUUACUCGGGCCUUUACCAUCUACAUUCCAAGCACCUUCUACCUGAAAUAAAUUAUACAUCCACAAAUUAAGAACUCAAGAAAGUUAAAUUGCAUGUGAUGGACCGUCUAACAUAUACAUUCCCACAUGAUCGUUUCAGCAAAUCUUCAUUAUUCUAAACUAUAAUGGAUUCUUUUAUAAGGUACAUUUAAUAAUAUUUCACAUUAUUAACGAAUAGUACGGUUUGCCCAUUUUUCUGACCAAAUCUGCCUGAUACAACAUACUAAAACAUACCAAUUACUCACUUGAUAUGCCAGUGUUAGCACCGAAGAUAAACUCGAAAAAUCAGUUGCAAACCUGAUAUGCCGAUGUUGCACCACCAAAUAUAAAAUCCUUGGGGAAAUCAGAGCGUUUGACCUCGGUUUGGGAUGUAGCCAUUUGAAUAAGCAGGAUGAGAUAUUAUAGUCAGUUGGGAGAGAUGUGUGGUUCCUCUUGUCCAUUCACUCUAUUUAUAGACUAUGGGUUUCAAAUACUUGUAUCAUACCAUUAGACAACAAGCAUAAAGUAAGUAUAAUAUAUUGGGAAAGGUAUCAAUACUUAUCUUAAAGGUUGAACCCCAACCUUGAAGGCCCCCACCGUCCCGCCCCUAGAGCUUUGUGAGGGAGGUAAAUCACAGGAUGUGCCCCAACAGAUCAGGGAACAAGAGUUGCAUGUACACUGCGCGUACAAGGAGUCCAAUUCCAUGUCUUAGGAAUCGAACCCUCAUACUGCGACUGUCAGCAAGGCGUGUGACAACCUCACUCCGGUCCUUUGCACCACUAGGCUAUAUCCCGGGAGGCAUAUUAAUGCUUUUCUUUAUUCUACUUAAAGUAAAUACAAGUAUAUGUAAACCUUUAAGUAAUUCUUUACUUCCUUCUCAUUACAUCUCAAGACCUUUCUUUGAUUCUGCACUUUUAAGUCAUUCUUUACUUCAUUCUCAUUAAAUCUAAAUACCUUUCUUUGAUUAUCCAUAUUAUACCUCUUGAGUUAAUUACGAUUUUUGUGUCUAGAUAUUUUUCUAUUUGGGUUACUAUUAGUAAGAAUAACUCUUAAGUUUGUAAGGGACAAAAUAAAAAACUUAAUUAAUACAACUUUUUAUCAAUUAAUUGGCAACACAAAGGGGUAGCAAUCAAAGUCAAGUUUUUUUAUCCAAUUGCUGAGACGUAUUGGAUAUGUAAUUAUUGAAUUAAACGUGCGAUUUCACUCGUUUAGUGGAACAGUUUUCGAAAUUAAUAUUCAAGCCCGAGUUUAAAAUAAGAUGAUUUGGAGCUUGAAUUGUGUCAAGUCAUUGGCUUCGAUGAAGCCACACUAUUGGGUUGAUAGAAGGAUGAGAUUCACAAUAAGACGACAAACCUCGUGGGAUAUAAAUAAGAUGAUUACUUUUGUACUUUAAGAUGAUUUCAAUCUCCGUAAUCUUAUUUCUUUAGAUUUGCACGGUAAAUACUUACUCUUAAAUCAAAUUAAUACACUGACAUGAGGACACACCACUUUGUUAGUAAAGAUAGGAGAGACGCUCCAGGUGUACCAAGGGUAUAGUAAUUUCAACAUUGUCAUGGAUAAAUCAGUGAAUGACGAAAUCCUUGGACAACCCGCCAUGAAGCAUGCAAAUAUAAUCAUCUUCCUCCAUCAAUUGCAUGUGAGGUAUUCCAUGAAUAAAGGUGAAAUGUUCUUAAAGUAUAAUCAAAGAAACCUGCUUAUGAACCAUAAAAUCAAUAAAAAAAUGAGACAUGAAAGCUUUUCCGUUAGCUCAACAGAUGCGAGUAAAGCUUUAAAAAUUGGCAAGGAAUUGAGUGAACCCAUAAAAGGAUUGUUAAAAAACAUCCUAGUUGCUAACAUAGGUAUAUUCCCUUGGAAACAUGCUGACAUUAUGAGGAUAGAUCCCAAAGUCGCUUCUAUGCAAAAAUUAAGCCUAAGAUGCAAAGGUGGAUAAACUAUUAGAGAAUGCUUUUAUUCACAAAGCUUAAUAUCUAGCGUGGGUAUGUAAUUCAGUUAUAGUACCAAAGAGCAAUGGAAAAUAAAGAACGUGCCAAAAUUUUAAACUUUGUUCUAAGGACAUGAUGCGAACCCGUGAGCAACAAACACUCGAGAACCGACAACGAGAUUGCCACAGUUCCCAAGAACGUCAAUGGAUCGAUGGUUUUGGAUUUAAUCCCUAAACAAUGACUCAAACAACUGUUAAUAUAUGAAAUUAACGACAUUUUGAAUACACGGUUUAAGAAUCCCACCUGGGUUUUGUUGAACGCCAUGAAAAAAUCAUCCCAAUAAAUUCGAAUUGUCCAUCAAAGACAAGGUUUUGAAGCAACGGCUUCGGAAGAAAAAACUCUCAUUCAUUAAUUCAUCAAAGUCUCGUUACAAUGUAGAAUAAAAUUCCUAUUUAUACUAAGACUAGGAAACUAAUUAAAAAAACCUAAUUAAAAAAUAAAUAAAUAAAUAAAAUAAAAUUAUAAUAACACCUAGAAUCCUAGUCUAAAAGGAAACUAAUAAUAUACCACUAAUUAACAUCCUAAUUAACUUAAAGAUAUUAAAAAUAUUAGAAUACUAAUCAAAUAAGGGGACAAAUAUUAAAGGAUCACCCAAACUGUCGGCCAUAUAGAAUUAUGUCAAUUUGGUAACUAGCGCCCAAUUGAAACUUUCCGCCUUUGGCAUAACUGUGCAAAUUUGGAAUAAAAUCUGCUUCGGACUCCACUGUGCGACGGCACCGUUACCUGUAUUGCGGCCGCAUGGCUCACAUGUUGAGUCUCCAAAUUUUCCCCGCAUGUUUGGUGCGACCGCAAGGCUUGGAGAGCUAUGCGGUCGCAUAGCUCUUGGUUUUUGGCUGCACUUUCGGCUGGAAUUAACAAGCUGUUCCCAAUUGAUUUGGACCUCGGUUCCUUCUUCAAACUUACUCAUUGACUUGUGAAAUUCAUGGUUUUGAACCCCGUUGAUUGAAUAUAUAAGUGACCAGCGUUAUUAGCUUCUUUGAAGUCUCGACUUGGCUCAAGUCCUUCAACGUUUACACCUACACUUCUCCAACCGGUUUUGCCAUUCACGCCCAGCAUGAAUAGUGACAUUUGGCUCAAUAACUUCAACAUCUUGAAUUCCAUAGCUUGAUCAGGAGUUUUGCCAGCUUGAUCAACCCUAAUUGGCCUCCAAAUGAGCGUGAACUUUGGUAUCUAUCGACCUCCAACAAUCUUCAAAUAAUUGAUAAUUAGUGGCGUAACCUGAUUUAUAUCAGGACAGCUCUCCUCUCCCCAGAAUUGAUCGGCUAGUAGAUGCCACUGCGGGACACGAACUGUUAUUGACCUGACAAGGAAUAUACCACAUUUGUAAUAGAUCAGGGACUAUACUGUUUAAUAUUAUGUCAUUUGAACUAAAAAAUAUUGGGACUGAGUGCCAAAGAUCAGUGAAAAGAAUGUUCCUAGAUCGGAUAGAAAAAUGGUGGAAGUAUACGUUGAUGACAUACAUGUAAAAAACCUUCAGGUUGGAGACUUUUUAAAACAUCUAGAAGAGGCUUUCAACAUAUUGGGAAAAUAAAGGAUGAAACCUUAUCCGUUGAAAUACUCCUUUGGAGAACCCCGACAAAAUUCAGGCCCUCAUAAAAAUAUGUCCCCAUCUAAAUCAAAGGAGGUACAAAACCUAAAGGAAAGAGUCGUCGAUCUAGGAUAUUUUGUAUUACGUUUGAUAAAUUGCUGCCUAACCUCUUGUAUUUAUCAUUUUUUACAGACAAUUAUAUGAUUUGAAGUGAAUUUGAAAGAAAGAACGAAAUAUUGGUGAAAAUGGAUAAAAUUCAAGGUUCGGGGAUCAAAUUGAAAUUAUCUAGUAGUUAAUUCAGAUCACAAAGCGAUAAUUGGAGAUAGUAAGAAGUUAAAAAGGAAUGAAAUAUAAUCAAAGAAUCUUCACAAAUCAAUUUCUAAUUGCAUAAGGCACAUUCCAGAUUUUAAGCCAGAGUUUAAGACUCAUUUUUGGAAUAGUCAAAGUUCGAAUUAGAAAAAUUCUUCUUCUGUAAGAAUUAUAGCCCUUUGAGUUAGUAUUCCAACACAUUAUAAAUCACCUUAAUCGGAUAUUCGGAGAGAAUGUUAUAUCCAAAAUAUUGAUGACUAAGCAAGGACAUAAUCAUGCGUGCACAAAAGGCAAUUUUCAUAUGUUAUUGCAACUCUUUUGGGAUCCAAUUUGGACAUGACUUUUGACCUAAUUUUGCCAUAUAGAAUACAUAACAUAAGCAUCCAUUAAAAGAUCUCUCUCUUAACUUUCAAAUUACAUCCCUAUCAUAAAAUCAUUUAAGAAUAGUGGGUAAAUUCAAUAUAAGUUGGAGAGUAGAAUAAAUCUUGUAAGAAAUUGAAUCAAGACACAUCAAAAACUUGAAGAAUCAAAUUUUGAGGUUGAUAAUUAAGAACAAGAGUUGGACCGUGACAAUUUCUUUCUUUUUUUCCUUUUUUUUUUUUGUAUUUAUAAAUUUCAGAUGAUGUUCUUCCAUUCUUCUUAUUGUUUUAUCAUUAGAAACAUAGUUAGCUAGGUUUCUUUGUGUUGAAUGAAAUUCAACUUUAUUGUUAUUUAUUUUAAAUUCAAGUUCCGAGUUAUUUAGUAAAUUUUUUCGUGAUUGAUCUCAUAUGCCUGCUGCAUUAUUUGAUUACUUGAUCACCAAUUAAAUAAUUAAUUACUUGUUGUAGUAGUGGAAUGCUCACAAUAGUUUUAAAAAACUAAAAUUUCAACACACAGGCGAUAGAUGUUAGGAAUAGCAUGUAUGUCAUAUGAAAUCUUGUCGACAAUCAUGUGAUUGAAUAAGUGUUAUGCAUAUAAAUUUGGAAUAGGAAGAUGAUUUGGUCGUGUUUAGGAUAUAAUUAACUUAUCUUGGAAAAUAAAGUUAAAUAAAAUUGAAUUACUGAUUGUCAUGUAUGCACAAAUUAUGUUAAAAUAUAUAUGUAGAGAAUUGAAAAUAAAAUAAUAAUAGGUGAAUUAGAAUUCCAACACAUACAACCCAUAUUUAGUUAGAAACAAUUGUAGAUAAUUUAGCUAUAACCAAAACAUCCCUUUUGUUAUUUACAUUCGAAUUUGAUAGCGAGUUGAUAAAUUUCAAUAUAAUGCUUAUUUCUCGUGGGACGAUACUCUUAAUUCACUUAAUCUAUUACUUGUCAACGACCACAUAUACUUGCGGAUUUUUUUGUCAGAACGAGUCUUUGGAGCUGUUGCACAGGAAUAAAGUUUUUAAACUCAAUUUAUUAAUUUGAACUGGAUUUAUUUUAUUAUUUUGUUAAUUUUAGCUAUCCAUCAUGAUCUCUCUUGUGUUUGGUGGUUUUUAUAUAAUACUCAAUAGUAUAUGUAUGAUUCUAACAAUUACAAGGGAGUAAAAUGGUUGUAAUAAGCAAUCUCGACAUGGAUGAUAAUAAUAUGCUUGUAGAAGAUAUAUAUUGUGAGCUUUUUUAUAAGAUGCAUUAUAUUGAGCAUUGUUUAUAAACAUGCCAGACUCUCGCAAGUUAAAGCUUCUGUAGUUUAUAAGAUGUCGAAAACAAAUAAUUGACAAAUAUAAUGAAAUCUACAUGAUUGUGGGAGAUUAUGCAUCUAUCGAUUGUGAUGAGGAUAUCAUACUUGUGGGAGAUGGUCCUCCUUUGUCGAAGAAAAAAGUACUUGCAGAAUAUUUUAAUAAACGUACCAAGUUGGAUGAUAGCAACACACAUGUGGGAGAUGGGAUAUACCGGCUUUAAUUUAAGAGGAAGGGACAUAAUUCACUUGAAACGGUUGAAAAUAAAGAGUUAUUAUUGCCCAUGGAUUUAGACUGGGAACCGACUAUUCAACCUUAAGGAACAUCAACUAUUAAAAAGAGCAUAAAGAGAAUGAUAAAUUAUUCACAAAGGAACUAAACAAAUAAGUGAUAAUUAAUGAAGAUAAAAUUAACAAACAUUCUUUCGACUUCAUCGAUUUCCCAACAAUUGAAUUUAUGAUUAAGUUUGAGGAGGAGGUACAAGUAUAAAUAGUUGAUUUUGAAAUGGAUAGAAUAGGCAAGUCUUAUCACAUUGAAAUAGGUAGUGUUUUAUUUGGAGAAUCAACGAAAAGUGGAUCCAAGUCAAAAGAAGCAAACUGUGCAAGGCAUUACAGGAUUUCUUUAGAAUUUCAUGGUGUAGGUUACCAAAGUCAAGCUAAUGACUACAAACAAGCGUUUAUUGGGAAGCAACCUGAUUUUCUUCCCUUUUAUUUAUUAUAAUUUCUAAAAUAAUAGGUUGAGUUAUUCCAUUUUACUAGAAUCAAAUCGACAAAAUGAGUUGGCAAAUUGUGAUUGGAUGAUUGAAAAAUGUUUUUUACCCAACUACCCAUGAAAUGCCGCUAGAUGUUAAUGUGGGUCAAUUAUGGUAAAAUCAAUCUAGUAAUGUAGUAUGACUCUAAUAGGUUAGAUAUUUUAAAUUGAUUUUGUGUGUUAGUUAGUAAUUUAAGUAUCUUCAUCCCUAUAUUGUCCUAUAGAUUGUUUUUGAGCUUAUUAUAAAUUAUUUCAUAUUAUUAUGAUUGAUUUCUCUUUAUUAUGUAGGAACAUGACAAUUGAAAAUGUAACUAACAAUGGAUAAGGAAAAUAUUAAUUGAUAUUUAUCGAUGUGAAUUUUGACACUCUUUAAGUUUAGCAUUAUAAAGGAAUGAGUUGAUUCAUAUUUGAUAGGUUGAAAACAGUGGCCUUAGAUGCUGAACAAAACAAUCACUAUAAUAUAUAUCCUUAAACAAAUUUUAGGAUGGUUUAGAGGAGAUUGAACUAUUGUAGGAAGAUAUUGAGAUGAAUUGGGAUUUUAUGUGUACAAACUCUUAUGUGAAUUGUCUAAGGCCAAUAAUAUGAAAAAUAGGUUAAAAUCUUGAGUUAAAGACUGCUUUAUGAGAAUGAGGGUUUAAUAAAGGGUAUUGUAUUGAUCAUUAUAUGGAAAGGGAAAAAACUACCAUGUCGUGAACCUACCCUGUAAAAGAUCCCAAAUGAGGACACUUGUUGAAAACACCAAAAAGAAAACUAAAAAAGGGGAUCAAGUUUGUGCAUGAAAUAGAAGACAUACUAAAUGUCUUGAUUAAGCCCUAAACAUUUAUUUGAGUGAAUUAGACAUUUGGAUAGGAAUUAUUAGAUAAGCUGAUUCUUAAAGGCUGAAACAAUCAAAAUAAAAAAGAAUCCCUAUUUCUUGAGCUAUUGACUUGCCAUUAGUAAGGUCUAUCCAAAUUCGAGAGUGCAAGAAUUAGUAUAUAAAUUCAUCCUUAGAAUAUAGCUUGGAAAUGUGAGUUAAAAGAAUAAGUUUCAGGGUGUGUAUCUUAAAAGUGAUAACCAAUAUGGGUUGUUAAAUGAAACAACUUAUGAAUUUAUGAUGUUUUACUUAAUUUUCCAUAUGCAUACAUCAAUUUUGCAUUGGAUAAGUAGAAAUUGAUUUAUGUAUUGUGAUUUUGAAGUUGUUCAUGAAUUUAAUACAAUGAUUAAAAAUAAGAGCAAAUGACAAGCUAUUAUUGCAUUACUUGAUUGACUAGCCACCAUUAUGUAAUUAGCAUUGCAUGCUUGUUCGUUGAUAAUAUUUAUUAUUAUUAUUAUUAUUAUUAUUAUUAUUAUUAUUAUUAUUAUUAUUAUUAUUAUUAUUAUUAUUAUUAUAUACUUAAUAGGCCAUUAAACUAGAAUAUUUUGUAUUACUUUUGAUAAAUAUAGUGUAACCUCUUGUAUUUUUCAUUUAUUAGAAACAACUCAAUGACUUGAAGUGAAUUUGGAAGAAUGAACAUAAUAUUGGUGAAAUGGAUGAAACUCAAAGUUCACGGAUCAAAUUGCAAUUAUCUAUAGUUGAUUUGGAUCACAAAUCGAUAAAGGAGAUUGUUAGGGUCAAUUGGAUGCAACAAAAAGUCAAAAAGGAAUGAAAUAUAAUAAAAGGAUAUUCACAAAUCAAUUUCCAACCUAAAUCAAUUUUCAAAUGAUUCACUUGAUCAGUAAGAAAUCCAAUCUGACUAACAAACACCUAAUUCUUGUUCUUUUUCAAGUUCAUGUUUUUUCUUUUGUUCAAGUACCGAUGACAUCUAGGGCAGAUAUGACCUAACUCACAACAAUGAUAGCAUGUAGGGAUAAACCAAGGACCUGUGUUAUCUGAGCGCUGACGCCUAUUCCUAGGUCGACUGGCUCUAUGCUUUCUAGUAGACCUCUGUUCUACAGAUCCCUUGUCUUUAGGUUCAGGGUUAGGUACAUUUUUAGGCUGGUUUGUGGCAGGGACAAAUGUGUCUUGGAUGUGCUAGCAACAUUAUGAUUUUUACACUUUUAUCCCAGACUUCCCUUAUUGCCAGUCGGCUUACCCAUUCCUAGAAUAUUAUCUAACUGUAACGAACCACAAGUGAAGGCAAGCAGUUGAGACUUAGAAUGUUCUAGAUUGCUCACAAGGUUUUUAAAUUGGAUUUCUAAAGUCUCAUUCUUGGUGGUCAGCUCAUUAACUUUCCAAGAGGGCCUCUUGAGCUCACUGGUAAGAUUUUUAACCUAAGACUCUAAGGAUUCAUUCAUCAUUUUAAGUUCACUCAGGAUUGUGGAAGAUUCCUUAGUGUAUGCUACUAACUUCUCUUUCUCCAACUGAAGCUCCUUAACUGUCAUACUUAAGGUGUUGUUCUUACUAAGAAUUUUAAGACUCUACUGAUACAUUUUCUCAUAUGCCUCUUUAAUAUCUUCAUCAUUUACAGACUCAUCACAAGAAUUCUCACCACUAUCUAUGUCCUCAUCCCUCUCAUUCCCAUGUUUGGAUCCACUCUUAACCCUAUCAAUGAAGGCAACAUAUUUUCCACUUUCCACACGAGUGGAUUUUUCACUCUGAUUGUCCGAGCAAGACUCGUCAUCAGUGAGAGUAGUAUUCAUAGGCUUCUCUUCGACUUUCUUAGAAUUAGGGCACUCUUUCUUAACAUGACCUAUACCUUAACAAUUAUAGCGCCUCAAAAAUUUGGAUCUUCUCCUAGAUUCACUCGCACCACAUCUCGAUCUCUCUUGCAGUGUCUUAUUCCUAAACAUCUUAUGAAAUUUUUUAGCUAGGUAGGUCAUCUCCUCAUCAUUGGGUAAAUCUUAGUUUGAAGAUUCGAUCUGAUAAUUCCUAGCAGAUUUGAAGGCCAAGGGCUUUUCCUUAGCUAAGUUGCCUACAAUCAGCUCAUAGGUCUGGAUGGAUCCAACUUGCUCUUCUAGCUUAAUAGUCUCUAUCUCCUUACUUUCCUCAAUUGCCGUGACUUUAGGCCUAAAAUGCUUGGGUAAGGAUCUAAGGAUUUUUCUCACUAUUUUAGGCUUGGAGAUUUUCCUACCUAGGUUGAAAGAUGAAUUCACAAUGUCGUUUAGGCAUGCAUAGAAUACAGCAAGGUCUCAUCCUGAUCUCUUCAAACCUAGUAGCCAAUAUCUGCAAUUUCAAGUUCUUAACUGCUUGUGUUCCCUCAUGUGUGAUUUCUAAAAUAUCCCAAACUUCUUUCACUACCUCACACAUGGACACUCUCCUAAAUUCCUCAAGAAAAUAUCCAUAAAAAUGGUAUAAAAGGCUUUUCUAUUCCAGCUGUACCUAUCUAGUUCAGCCUUAGACCAAUUUUCUAUGGGGAUGGGAGUAAUGACAUUGCCAACCAUUGUACUAGGAAUAGACCUACCGUUAACUACGCUCAACCAAAUCUUUUAAUCCAUAGAUUUCAAGAACACCCUCAUCCUAAUUUUCCAGUAGGCAUAAUUAUUACCAUCAAAAUAGGACGGCACGCUCAACAAGAUACUCAUUUGGACAAUGAAUGGUCAGGAAACAUGUUUAGGCACUGAUACCACUUUUUGAGAAUUUGUAACAUUCUAAUAUCACUUUAAGUUUUAGAGUUACCAAUUUUACGUUCUAGAUUACCGAUUAGUUUGACUUUACGUGCGGAAUUGACUAAUUAAAGCAAACACGUCACUUCUAAUUAGUUUCUAGAUGAUUAAGCAUAUAAUUCAAUUAAACCUAUGUUUGAUUACAACAAUUUGUAAUAAAUUACUAGAAAUUAAAGAAUACAAAAUUUGAUGACGGAGAAACCCAAUGUGGGAAAAACUUCGGGAUCAAGCCAGUUACUUCCACUAUAGACAGCUCAGGGGAUACACAACAAUUUCAACUCUUGUAUCCACUAAGACCCCCUGUCACAGUCUUACGAUCUACUUCCGUAAAUACCUCUAGCCUGCUAGACCUCCUGUAGCCUCCUGCUAGACUUCCUAAUCUAUCUUCUGCACUGAAUGUCUCUCCAAGUGGAACACUCUGUUCUUGUGCUUGUAACUGCGCUUCUAUCCACCUCUCUCACUUCUCCAAUGAGAGAGUCCCUUGCUUUAUCAAUUAAGGAAGCACGGUGUUUUGUAUUCACAAGCCUUGAUGUUUUCUCAUUUCUAGGUUACUAGAUCACAAGAUGAAUGUGUUUGAUUCUCCCAAUUGUAUUUCGUUCUUGGAUCACAAUGAUGAUAUGAAAGUUAUGGAGAUGAAGAAUAAUGUGGCAAAACCCCUCUCUCACAUCCCAGACUUUGCUUUUUAUAAUUGGGGGUAAAUAAGUGUCUUGGGCCGAAUGAAAUUAUCCAAAACACGGUCUAGGAAUUGGCCACGUAACACUGUCAUUCGAGCAACACUUCAGCAAGAAGUGAGUGAUAGCUUCUUCGCUCAAACGAUUCCUGGGCGAACAAUGAGGGACGAUGGUUCUGCUUCCUCCGCUCGAGCAAUACCUUGGCUAGUAGCUAGCGAAAAAAUCGACGAGUCUUCUACCUUGUUCCAAACUCAACCCUAGCCUAAACCAUCUAUACAAAUUGCAAUCCAAGUCACUGACUUUUACAUCAUGUUCAAUUUAGUCCCUUUUGUUCAUAGAGUUACCAAUUACAAUAUAAAACCUAGCACUCUUACCUUUCAAGUUACAUCCAUAUUAUAAAAUCAUUCAAGAAGAAGGACAAAUUCAAUAUAUAUUGGAGAGAAGAACAAAUCUAGCACGGGAUUGAAUCACAAAACAUUAGGAACUUGAAGAAUCAAAUCUUGGGAUUGAUAAACAAGAACAAGAAUUGUACCAUAACUUCUCCUUUUUGUAUUUAUAAAUUGGAUAACCCUUGUGGUGCAUCACCCUUGGUACACAAGGGUGUCCACCUGUACCCAUAGAUCAACCCUUAUAAAUUUCGGGUGAAGUUCUUCCGUCAUUCUUUUUGUUUUAUCAUUAGAAACAUGUUUAGAUAGGCUUGUUUGUAUUGAAAGAAGAUGAACCUUAUUAUUAUUUAUUUUUAAUUCAAAGACCAAGUAGUCUAUUAAAUUUGUUUUCUUGAUUGAUCCUAUAAGCUUAUUGCAUGUUUUAAUUGCUUGAUCACUAAUUAAAUAAUUAGUUGCUUGUUGUCGUGUUGGAAGUCUAACAAUAGGUUUAGAACACAAAAGUUUCUACGAAUGAGCAAUAUAUGCUAGAAACAAAUGUAUGUCGUGUGAAAUCUUGUUGAUAAUCGUAUUAUUAAAUGCAUGCUAUGUAUAUAAAUUUGGAAUAUGAAUAGAACCGGGCUGUGUUUAGCAUAUAACUAGCUUAUCUUGGAAAAGAGAGUUAAAUAAGUUUGGAUUAUCGAAUCUAGUGCUUACAAAAAUAAUGUUCAAUUAUAUUGGUCAAGAAUUGGAAAUAAAAUAAUAAUAGUUGAAUUGGAAUUCCAGCACAUACAUCCCAUAUUUAAUUAGAAACAUUUGUAGAUAAUUUGGCUAUAACCAAAUCAUUCAUUUUGUUAUUUACAUUUGAAUUUGAUAACGAGAUCAUAAAUUUCAAUUUGAAACUUAUUCUUUGAGGAACGAUACUCAUAACUUACUUAAUCUAUUACAUGUCAACGAGCCCGUAUGCUUGCGGGUUUUGUCUGAACAUGUACUACAUAAGUAAAGCCCUUCAAAAAGCCGAGGCAAGAUAUAUGAAUAUUGAAAAGAUGGCCCUCGCCUUAGUUAUAGCGUUGCAAAAGUUUUGACCAUAUUUUUGGAGUCACAACAUUGAAGUACUAACUAAUUUCCUAAUCAAGCAAGUAAUGCAAAAACUUGAUGCAUUAGGGAGAUUAUUGAAAUGUGCUGUAGAGCUGAGUCAAUUUGAAAUAAGAUACAAAAGCGAUCCGCAAUCAAAGAACAAGAAUUAGUUGACUUUAAUGUGGAAUUGUAAAUUGUUACCGUUCUUGAGGAAGAGUAUGAAGAGUGAAUGUGAAAUUUAUUUGAGGAUAGAUCAUUUGGAGAAAUCGAUUGUGGAAUAGUCAUAAUCUUGACAAGCCGAAAAUGACAUUAAAUGAAUCGUGUAUUAAGGUUCACAUUUUAAAGAAAUCAACAACGUGGCUGAAUAUGAAGCUUUAUUGGUAGGUUUACAACUGGAAAAAGAAAUGUGAGCUAAAAAAAUAAAAUUAAAAAGUUACUCAAGAUUGGUAGUAAAUAAAGUGAAAUGAAAGUUUACAACCAAGGAUAAAAUAAUAGUUGUUUGCUGUGUAGAAGACAUAAGAUCAUUUCAGUGUUUCAACAAGUUCAAAUUCAAUCAAAUCUAUAGAGAGGAGAAUAAAUACACGAUGCCUUGUUGAAAUUGGCAAGUUCAGAGGACACAUAAACUAUUUAAGACAGAACGUGAUGUGAACCCGAUCAGCAAUGUUGCAAUCAAGCCCACAGAGGAAUGACUCAAACCCCAAAAAAGAUAGAAAACAAAGUUUAUGGAAUUAACCCACAAUUAAUGAAUCAAACAACCAACAGAAUCACUAGGAUAUGCUGACCUUUUGAUUACAAUAUUUAUGAAAAUCAAAUCCAAAAUUUAAAGUUUGACUCGAAGAAUUAAAUGAACCAGAAACCAAGACAAUUACUAGAAUACCUUGACCCCAUGAUUGCACAACCCACGAAUCGCACUUUGAUUGUUGAACGCCUCGAGAGAUUCUCGAUAAGUUUGGAAUUGUUCGCGAAGAACAAAGAAAGGAAGUAAACAUGCCUCUGAAUUAAUUCAAUUGUCAAAAGUCUGAAUACAACUAGAAACAAAAUCCUAUUUAUACUAAGCCCUAAAAUGAAUGGAAAAAUGUGCAAAUAGAGUCCUAAAAACUAUAAAGUUGCCAAAAUAGGAAAUUUAGUAAAAUUAAAAGUCUCACGAAAAAAAAAAAUCCUAUUUAAAUAUGUUGCUCAAGCGACAUCGAGCGAGAAGCGAGGGACGCUAUGUUGCCCGAACAAAACCCCCACGAAGAGUGAGCGAAGUUGAUUUUACUUUUCUCGCUCGAGCGAGGUUCCAGCGGACGGCGAACGAAAAUUUGGCAAGUUUUUAACCUCGUUCCAAAUUGUUUUAAUUGCUUCUUUGACCCUCGAACUUUCACUAACAUGCUUCUUAACUUGUAAACUUCAUCUCACUGAAUUCCAACACUUGAACAAGUAAUUGUAUGGCUCGUACCCCCUCUAAUUAGCCUCGAUCAUGCCCUUUGCAGCUUCUCCAUGAACACUGAAUUCUUGAUCACCUUCGGCCUAGCCCAGUUCACACAGACCCUUUCUCUUCAAGAGGUGGUUCAAAGACUUUGCAACUUCCAUCUGCUUGGCCAUAACUCAGUUCUUGAUUGUGACUUCGAUAUUCCACCAGGUUGUUGUAGAAUGAUUCUCCCAUGCUCAUAAAAUCCUCCAAUGGCAAUACAUAAACUGGAUAUUCAAAUGGGAAUAUUCCUUUGGCAAAAUCUUCAUGCAAUAACAUUUUAUAAUCCUGCAACAAAGAAUUAUGAAAACUGGGGAGGGAUAUGUUAGCCUUUACCAACUCACUUCCACCACCAAGCUCACUCUUCUUUACAAAUAAGAUCUCCUUUCGUUUGUCUUUCACUUUUCCCUCAUCGCCUUUCAACCUCAACUAAUCAUCAUACCUAUUUCUAUUCCCAUCAUGCUUCACCUUCCUAUCGUAUUGCUAAGGCCUACCCAAUAAGAUAUGCCCCGCAUCCAUUGGCACAACGUCAUACAAUACCUUAUCCUUAUACCUCCCAAUUGACAAAUUAACCAACAGCCUCCUAUUAACCUUAACUUCUCCUUUAUCAGCUAACCAUUGCAAUUUAUAAUGUUUUGGGUGUUUUUAUCAUCUCUAAUCCCAACUUUUUUACAAGUGUGUAACUAGCUAUAUUUGUACAACUACCCUCAUUAAUAUUCAAGUUGCAUACCUUAUCAUUGAUGUGGCACCGUGUAUGAAAGAUAUACUUUCGAUGCUCUUCUCCGUCAACCUUGAUUUUUGCUUUGAGUGCACGCAUCAAGACAAGCGCUUCUCCUUCAACCGGAUAUUCCACUACAUCACCAUUACUAACUUCUUCCAACUUAGGCAUUUCUUUCUCAUCACUGUCACUCACCACUUCUCCACUAUCCUUCAAGCUCAUAGCUCGUUUGUUUGGACACUAGGAAGCAAUGUGUCCUGUUCCCAAGCACUUGAUGUCUUGACUCCUAGGUUGUGGUGGUUCUGCCUUCAGUUCAACCUUGCUGGCAUUGUCAUCCAUUCUCCUAGGUGGUUCAAUUUUAUUGCUGCCACUAGCCCCACCAACCUUUUCUUCAUCCCAUCUAGACCUCCACUAUGAAUUAGGCCCUGUUUGACCUCUAGCUGCCCCCUUUUGCUUCAACUGCCUUUCAACCUUCAUCGCCACAUGUAGCCUAUCCUCCAAUUCCACAUAAUGCUGUAAUUCAACAACAUUGGAGAUGUCUCUGUUUAACCCAUUCAAAAAAUGAGCCAUAGUGGCUUUCCUAUCCUCCUCCACAUUAGCCCAAAUAAUUAGAAUUUUCGUUCCUUUGAGGUAAUCUUCCACACUCCUCGACCCUUGGUACAACCCCUACAACCUUUGAUGAAGCUCUCUAUAACAGUUGUUAGGAAAAUAUUGUAAUUGGCAAUCUGUGACCAAAAGGACCAAUUUGUCAAGUUUGUGAAGUCAAGGACUAAUUUGUAAAGGUCUAAAAGUUCAGUGACUUGUGUUGCAAUUUAGCAAAAAUUAUGGUAUAGGUCUAGGGUAAAGUUGGGUGCCUUGAAGAUGAAAACGGCGCAAGAUCACUUAGAGUUUCGCCUUAACCUCGCUCGAGCUUAAAUAACAGAACCUAUCUCGCUAGAGUUUCGCCACUGCUUCGCUCGAGCGAAAAUGCGCCGCUAGAGUUUCGCCGGCACUUCGCUCGAGCGACAGUACUAUCUAACUUUUGGUAAUUUUCCUUCCUUGCAAUUUUUAGAUGCUCCAUACUGCCAAAAAUGACCUCAUAUAUAUUCAGAAGUCCCAUUUUUCAUACAUAACCUUUGGAAAAACACAAUUGAAAGAUUUUUCUUCUCGACCAAAGGAUCAACUUCAUAAUUCCUUCUUUUCAUCACAUGUCUUAUUGAAGAAAAACAUCAAACAUCUCUUAAAACAAAACACCUUUCAAAAAUCCUCACUACUUCCAGAAGAUUGACUGAUUGAAGAUUCGGGAAGGAGAUUGAUUGAAGAACUGGAGUUCUUAUUGAUUCACGGGAAAUAGAAGAAGAACAAGGCUGGGAUUUUGGGGCAGAUCUGUAAAAUCCAGGAGAGCUUUUGUUGAUACAGUAAGGAUGUCAGAGUGUUGCUAGAUACAGUCAUGUCUGGCGUACUGUAAGUUGAAGUCAUCUAUAGUGAAUCCCUACUGGCUUGUGCCAAGAGUUUUUACCCAGUUGGAUUUUCUCCGUCAACAAUUUAUUGAGUUAUUUAUUACUUUAUGUCAUUUUUAAUUCAACUGGAAAUUCAACAUAGGUAGUUAAAUUAUGUGAAUGAAUCUGGACAAAGUUUAAUUUAUGUGACUUGUUGCAUAAGUUGAUUGAAUUGUUAAAAUCCACAUAAACACCUAUUCACCCCCCUCUAGGUGUUGUUUGGGUCGAACUAUAGUCUUUUCAAGUGGUAUCAGAGCCAAAUCUCGAGUCCUGACCCAUAGUUGUCUAGAUGAGUCAAUCACUUUCUGUACCUCCGUACUUUGACGGAAGUAAUUAUGCUUACUGGAAGGUUAGAAUGCGUGCAUUUCUUAAGUCUCUAGAUGAGCAUGUUUGGGUGAGUGUGCAAAAUGGCUGGAAACCUCUCUCCACUACCGUAUCAGGAACUAUUAAUCUUACUGAUAUAUCACUAUGGACUAAGGAUGAGAUAGCUGAGUGUAAUUGGAAUAGCAAGGGACUUCAUGCCUUGUUUAUGGCCGUGUCUCCCGAAGAGUUUAGGAGAGUGUCAAUGUGCGAAACUGCUAAAGAAGUUUGGGACAUUGUUGAAACUACAUAUAAGGGAACUAAAAUGGUAAAGAACUCGAAAUUACAAAUGCUAGCUUCUAGGUUUGAAGAAGUAAGGAUGAAGGAUGAUGAAACCUUUGAUGAAUUUUAUGCAAAACUGAAUGAUAUUGUUAAUUCUAGUUUCAAUCUAGGCGAGAGAAUUCUCGAUUCUAAAAUUGUUAAAAAAGUACUUAGGUCUUUGCCCGAGAGAUUUAGGCCUAAAGUUACCGCCAUUGAGGAAAGUAAGGAUCUAGAUGAAGUUAAGAUUGAAGAACUUGUAGGGUCCUUGCAAACUUAUGAACUCACUGUCACACAACCUAAGAAAGGAAAGUCCAUUGCUUUAAAAUCCAUCAAAGAGGAUGAAUCUUCUGAUACUGAGUCUCUUAGGGACGAUGAAUUGCAUAUUUUAUUAAGAAAUUUCAAAAGGUUCUCAAGAAUAGGAGAAAGCAUCAGGAUAGAAAAAGUGGAGACCCUAGCAGAUUCUGAAAGGAAAAAAUUGAAAGGUUCAACAAUAAAGGUUCUAGUGAUAAACCACAUUUGGUUAGGUGCCAUGAAUGUCAAGGUAUAGGUCACUAUAGGAAUGAGUGUCCUAGUUAUAAGAAGAAUCAAAGAAAAGGGAAAGGUAAGGCCUUAGUUGUUUCACUUAUAGAUAACGAAUCUUAGUCUAGUGAUAGGUAGGAAUCAUCUAGUAGUGAAGAUGAAGGGAACUAUAUAACAUUUGUGUCGACUGUUAAGAGUGAAUCUGAUAAGGAGAGUGACAAGGUUGAGGAAGAACUUCACAACAAUAAUUCUAGUAAUGAGGAUGAGGAUGAUAUAGACAUGCAAGAGGCCUAUCAACUCUUGUUCAAGGAGAGUCUUAAAAAAAAAGGUCAAUAAAGCCCUACUCAAAAAGGUUGAUGAACUUGAAAGAGAAAAAGAGAGACUUGCUAGUAAUCUUCAGAAUUCACUUAAGAGUGUUAGUGAGUUAAAAUGUGUCAAUGAGAAGUUAGAAGACAAGGUUAAGACAUUGACUAGUGAAUUGGAGAAAUCUAAUGCUCAUCUUCAGACUUUCAUAAGUGGGACUAAGAAAUUGGAUGAUAUUUUAGGAAUGAAUAGGCCUGCGGGAGAUAGGAAAGGUCUAGGAUAUGUUGAGGAUAAUACACAUAUUGCUAGUCCAUCUAGGACUGUAUUUAUUUCUGCCUCUAUGACGUCUAACGUUGUCAGCAAUCCAAAUAAGGGUAAGAAUGUUUCGAGGGAACAGAGUCAUCAAUCAUGAAGGAAUAUCAUGCCCAGAUACCCACAGACACGUACUUUUGAGCCUAGGUUCAUUUCCACCUGUCACCACUGUGGAGCUCUAGGACACACUAAGCCUAGAUGUUAUAAGUUAGGCAAUGAGCGUAGAAAUCAGAAUAUUCCUAGUCAGGUUAGCUUUCUGUCUAAUCAAGUUAGUCAUUUGACUGAGAUGCUCACUAAGCUAACUAGGAGUACCUCAUCGUCUAAGAAAGUUUGGGUUAAAAAGGGGGAUCUAGCUGGACAUUCAGGUCAGGUAAAUUGUUAUGUUGCUCAUGUUGCAUUAAAAGCCCAAAAUUACAAUAUGUGGUACCUUGAUAGUGCAUGUUCUAGGCAUGUGUGGUAAAAAAGGCUUUAUUCACUACUCUUGAUGAAUGCAAUGGGGGUAUGGUUACCUUUGGAGAUGGGGGUUUUGCACCUAUUCUUGGCAAAGGUACUGUACAAAUGCAUGGAUUACCUGUGAUUUCAAAUGUACUUUAUGUGAUAGGUUUAAAGUCGAACUUAUUAAGUAUUAGUCAGAUUUGUGAUGCUGAUUUUGAGGUUAGCUUUGUGCAAAAGAGAUGUACCGUGUAUGAUUCAUCUAGUGGGGUGGUCCUUGAAAAUGCUAGAACGUCUAAUAACUGUUAUACCUAAUUCUAACUAUGUGUGUAGGAGUGCAAAAAUUGAUGUGAGUGAACUCUGGCACAAAAGAUUGGGUCAUUUAAACUAUAAGAGUCUAGUACAGCUAGCUAAAAAGGAGUUGGUAGAUGGUUUGCCUAAAAUAGGUCCUAGUGAAAAUGUUGUGUGUGGACCAUGUCAAAUAGGUAAACAACUUAAGGGAAGCCAUAAAAAGACUUCUAAAAUUCGGACCAAAAGACCCCUGGAAUGGAUACACAUGGAUUUAAUGGGACUAUCUAGGACUGAGAGUCUAGGAGGUAAGCGGUAUAUUUUGGUUGUGGUAGAUGAUUUCUCGAGGUUCACAUGGAUAGAAUUGUUUAGGGAAAAAUCUGAUGCAUGUGAUCUUAUAAAAUCUUUGUGUAAACGGCUUAGUAAUGAACUCAAUCUCAAAGUGUCCAGAAUGUGUAGUGAUCAUGGAAAAGAGUUUGAAAAAUUUAAUCUUGAGAGUUUCUGCAUGGAUGAAGGGAUACUACAUGAGUUCUCUUCCCCUAUCACUCCUCAACAAAAUGGGGUGGUUGAAAGAAAGAAUCGUAUUCGUCAGGACAUGGCUAGAGCCAUGCUUCAUGGCAAGGGACUAGCCUUACAUUUUUGGGGAGAAGCUGUUAAUAAUGCAUGCCACAUAAUCAAUAGAGUCUACCUUAGACCCAAAAUCGAUCAGACUCCAUAUGAAAUUCUAAAGGGUAAAAAGCCUAUUGUUAAAUACUUUCGUGUGUUUGGGAGUAAGUGCUACAUUUUGCAUGAUAGAGAGAACUUGAGUAAGUUUGAAUCUAAGAGUGACGAAGGAAUUUUCUUAGUGUACUCUAGAAAUAGCUGAGCAUUCCGAGUAUAUAACUCACGUACUCGUGUUGUGAUGGAGUCAGUCAAUGUUGUGAUAGAUGAUAGUGUGAGUGAAGGGGAGAAUGUUGAAAAUUGUGAUAGGAUGGACGAUAGAAACGGUGAUCUUAUAAGGUCUAGUGAUCCUACUGAACCACCUGUGUCUGAAUCAUCUCUUAGAAUACCUGAAACACCUGAAAGGGAAACACAUCCACAAGAUCGAGACAAAAAUCCUAAGGAACCAUCGUCUAGGGUCAAGUCCAAUCAUCCUAAGGACAAUAUCAUUGGGGAUCUAGAUGAAGGUAUGAGGCUUCGUAAGAGGGUACUGAACAAUCUAGCGUAUACUAGCUAUGUUUCACAGGUUGAGCCCAAGAAGGUCGAAGAGGCGAGUGUUGGGUGAAUGCAAUGCAUGAGGAACUAAAUCAAUUUGCUAGAAACAAUGUGUGGAUUUUAGUUCCUAGACUUGAAAACUGUAAUGUUAUUGGUACUAAGUGGAUCUUUAAGAACAAGAAAGAUGACCAAGGUACUAUACCAGAAAUAAGGCCAGAUUAAUUGCUCAGGGUUGUACUCAAGUUGAGGGAAUUGAUUUUGAUGAGACUUUUGCUCCUGUUGCACGACUUGAGUCCAUUCGGAUUCUGCUUGCUGUUGCCUGUACCCUAAGGUUCAAGCUUCAUCAAAUGGAUGUUAAGAGUGCCUUCUUGAAUGGACUUCUUCAAGAAGAAGUCUAUGUUGAACAACCAAACGGAUUUGUUGAUCCAAAGUUUCCCCACUAUGUCUACAAACUCCACAAAGCACUCUAUCGUCUAAAACAAGCUCCUAGAGCUUGGUAUGAGAGACUUACGUCAUAUCUUGAGGAACAUGGGUUCUCUCGAGGUGGUGCUGAUAGGACUUUAUUUAUUAGACAUAUUGAAGAAACUAUCACUAUUGCCCAAAUUUAUGUCGAUGUCAUCAUUUUUGGUUCUCCUGUUAAGUCUCUAGCGUAUGAGUUCGCCGAGUGUUUGAAGCAAGAAUUUGAGAUGAGUAUGGUUGGUGAGUUGAAUUACUUCCUUAGACUUCAGGUCAAAUAGAUUGAGGAUGGGUUGUUUAUUUCACAGUCUAAGUAUGCAAAGGAUUUAGUUAAGCGCUUUGUGUUAGACAGUAAGAAGCAUACUAGGACACCUAUGAGUACUAGCUUGAAGUUAGGUCGUGAUCCUUCAGGUAAGAGUGUAGAUCCUUCACUAUAUCGAAGUAUGAUAGGUAGUCUUCUCUAUCUCAUAGCUACUAGACCUGACAUUGCUUUCAGUGUUGGAGUGUGUGCUCAAUUUCAGGCAGAUCCCAAAGAAUCACACUUAAGCUCGGUUAGACACAUCAUUAGAUAUGUGAGUGGUACCGUUGAUCUAGGCAUUUUCUAUUCUAGAGAUUCUAAUCUUGAUUUGGCUGGCUACUCUGACGUCGAUUGGGCCGAGAAUGUAGAUGAUAGAAAAAGUAUGUUUGGGAGCUGUUUCUACAUGGGUAGCAAUCUCGUAGUCUGGUUAAGUAAGAAACAAAUUCCAUAUCCCUAUCCACGACAGAGGCCGAAUACAUAGCAGCUAGGAGUUGCUGCACUCAGCUUCUCUGGACGAAGCAGAUGCUGAGUGAUUAUGGGAUUAAUCAAGGGACCAUGACUAUUUUCUAUGACAAUACCAGUGCUAUAAAUAUCUCUAAGAAUCCUAUUCAACAUUCUCGAAUGAAAUAUAUUAACAUACGACAUCAUUUUAUUCGUGAACUUGUUGAAACACAUGUUGUCUCCCUAGAUCAUGUCUCUACUGACAACCAAUUGCCCAAUCUACUUACGAAACCACUAGAUGGGUUGAGGUUUGAGUCGUUUCGGACGGCUGUUGGUAUUUGUUUGCCUAUCUGAUCAUGGAUUCAUGCCUAUUCAUGCAUUUAUCACAUCUACACUUAUUCACUUCAUAUCUUGCAUGUGAUCAAUGUGUGUGUGGUGCAUUUUGAUUGUUGGUUCGUCUUUUAGUUUUGUUUUGUUUACUAAGUUUGUGUGCUUUACAAAAAAAAAAAAAAAAAGGAUUUUCUUUUUGUGUGCCUCUUGUGUGACUUUAUGACGUUUGCAUUUAGAAUUAAACUCUAUCUUUCAUCAUAUGUACGAGUCUGAGGUUCCAUCGUAGUUCUCAUUUUCUGUGGAGUUCUUGGUAUAUGGCUCAUUAUGCAUUUUCACACAACACACUGUAGUUCUGUAGGUGAGUCUUGACCACAUGGGUGAGACUUGGGAUGGUAUUCUUCUGUGAUUGGGGUUGUUUGUCCAUUUGACUUGAUCUGUGGCGAGUGUAACCUAUUCAAUUCUGUCUUUCCCCAUUUUCUAUGUUAUUAUCUGAACUUAUGUCUAUCUUCGGGGUCUAUUUGACUCGAACAAUUAAGCCUUAGGGGGUUCUAACCUGGUGCCCUAUGGUCAUUUGGCUUGGGAGUCACCGGCCUAAAGUUCGUUACCGGGGUCAUUUCUAUCGCCUAAUGAGGGUACAAUUACACCUAAGUUCUUAUGUUAUAUAUAUAAAAUUAAAUGCUGCCUCAUUAAAACCUUGCUAAGAAAAUUCAAUGGGACAAAACCUAAGCGAAGGAAAAAGAGUACAGCUACUCCCCCUGAUGUUGCUCACAGAAAAUCUUUGAGUCGGUGCAUUCAAAUCUCAUGAACUAAUUUCUUGAAUGUAGAUGUUGGCAGUGCUUUUGUGAAUAGAUCAACCACAUUGUCACUUGAGCGAAUUUGUUGAAUAUCAAUGUCACCAUUCUUCUGAAGUUCAUGUGUAUGAAAGAAUUUUGGAGAAAUAUGCUUCGUCCAGUUGCCUUUGAUAUAGCCUCCCUUGAGUUGUGCGAUACAAGCUGCAUUAUCUUCAAACAAAAUUGUUCGACUAUCUUUUGUUGAAGUCAAUCCACAUGAUGAUUGGAUAUGAUGGGUCAUAUUCCUCAACCAUACACAUUCUCGCCCUGCUUUAUAGAUUGCAAUAAUCUCAAAAUGAUUUGAGGAUGUUGCUGUCAAGGAUUGCUUCAUAGAUCUCCAUGAUAUAGCUGUUCCUCCACGUGUAAACACAUAUCCUAUUUGUGAUUUAGCUUUAUGUGGAUCGGAGAGAUAACCUGCAUCUGCAUAUCCCACUAAAGCAGAUCCUGACUUUUGAGAAUAAAAUAGUCCCAUAUCAAUAGUACCUUUUAGGUAACGAAAAAUAUGUUUAACACCAUUCCAAUGCCUUUGAGUUAGUGUAGAGCUAUAUCUUGCAAGGAGAUUUACAGAAAAAGCUAUGUCAGGUCGAGUGCAAUUUGCAAGAUAAGUUAAUGCUCCAAUUGCACUAAGGUAUGGUACUUCAGGACCAAGAAUCUUUUCUCCAUCUUCAAGUGGACGAAAUGAAUCGUUUUUAACAUCAAGUGAUCGAACAACUAUAGGUGAUGGCAAUGGAUGUGCAUUAUCCAUAUAAAAGCGUUUCAAGACUUUUUCUGUAUAAGUAGAUUGAUGAACAAAUAAUCCCUCUGGAAAAUAUUCAAUUUGUAAUCCAAGACAAAAUUUGGUUUUCCCCAAAUCUUUCAUCUCAAAUUCAUUUCUCAAAUAAUCUGCAAUUUUGUUGAGCUCUUCAGGAGUUCCAAUUAAAUUUAAAUCAUCAACAUAAACUGCCACAAUUGUAAAUCCAAUAUUUGUUUUCUUUAUGAAAACACAUGGGCAGAUAUCGUCAUUUUUAUAACACUCUUUCAACAAAUAUUCGCUAAGGCGAUUAUACCACAUGCGUCCAGAUUGUUUCAAUCCAUAUAAUGAUUUUUGCAAUUUAAUUGAGAACAUAGUUCUCGGACAUGUAUAAUUUAUUCCUGGCACCUUAAAUCCUUCAGGGACUUUCAUAUAUAUGUCACUGUCAAGUGAACCAUAUAGGUAGGCAGUUACUACAUUCAUAAGGCGCAUAUCGAGCCCUUGUGACACGGUUAAACUAAUUAAGAACCUAAAGGUGAUGGUAUCCAUUACGGGAGAAUAUGUUUCCUCAUAAUCAAUUCCCAGUCUUUGGGAGAAACCUUGAGCCACUAGUCGGGCUUUAUAUCUUGUAAUUUCAUUAUUCUCAUUUCUCUUUCGUACAAAAACCCAUUUGUAUCCAACAGCGAUUACAUUUUCAGGUGUUCGAACUACUAGUCCAAACACUUCUCGUUUCUCCAAAGAAUUCAAUUCUGCCUGUAUGGCUUUCCAUUUUGGCCAAUCAUUUAUAUUUCGACAGUCAUCAACAGACUGUGGUUCAGGAUCCUCAUUUUGCAUAAUAUCAAAAGCCAUGUUAAAGGCGAAAAUAUUGCCUAUAACAAUAUUAUUCCAUUCCCAUAAUUUAUGAGAUGUCAUAUAAUUUAUUGAGAUCUCAUUAUUUUUGGACACCUUUAGUUUUUCAGGAACCGUACAUUCAAUAUUUGAUUGAUCAAUCUUUUCUAAUGUGAUUUAUUCUGAAGUUUUUGGUUAGUUUUUCUCUUGUACUCUUCUUUUUCGAGGUACAGAGUCUUUUGAACCAACUGGUCGACCACGCUUCUGGCGUAUUUGAGAUUCAUUUGCUACAGCAGAUUAUCUUGGAGGGACAUUAAUUUUUGCUGGAAUAUUUUCUGCUGGAAUAUAUGACUUUGUCAUUUCUCUCGUGUCAACAAAUACAUCAGGUAGUUGAAUUGCAACUCUUUGCAAAUGAAUGAUUUUUUUCAACCUUUUGUUCACAUUGAUUGCUGCUGGGAUUAAAGUGAGAUAGAGUUGUCUCAUUCCAAGAAAUUCUAUCUUGUUUUUCAGGAUGUACUUUUUCUCCUCCCAAAGUUGGGAAAGUCAUUUCAUCAAAAUGACAAUCUGCAAAACGUGCAGUAAAUAAGUCAUCCAUUAAAGGUUCAAGAUAUCUAAUAAUAGAUGGUGAAUUAAAACCCACAUAAAUGCCAAGUUUUCGUUGGGGACCUAUUUUAGUACGUUUUGGGGGUAAAAUAGGAACUUGGAUAGCACAACCAAAAACCCGUAGGGGAGAAAUAUCAGGUUCAUGACCAAAUGCAAGUUGCAAAGGUGAAUAUUGAUGAUAGGCAGUUGGUCUUAUACGAACCAAUGAUGCAACAUAUAAUAUGGCAUGACCCCAAACAAUAGUUGGGAGUUUUGUUUUCAUAAGUACUGGUCUAACAAUAAGUUGUAGAUGUUUAAUAAACGAUUCUGCUAGACCAUUUUGUGUAUGAACAUGUGCAACUGAAUGUUCAAUUUCAAUCCCAAUUGACAUACAAUAAUCAUCAAAUACUUGUGAUCUAAAUUCACCAGCAUUGUCAAGACGAAUAGUCUUGAUUGAGUAAUUGGGGAAUUGUGCUUGCAAUUUUAUGAUUUGAGUAAGUAGUCUAGCAGAUGCUACAUUCCUAGUUGACAGUAGGCAAACAUGUGACCAUCUUGUAGAAGAAUCAAUUAAUACCAUAAAGUUGUGAAAUGGUCCACAUGGUGGGUGUAUUGGCCCACAUAUAUCUCCAUGUAUUCUUUUCAAGAAAGUUGGAGAUUCAAUAUUGACCUUUGUAGUUGAAGGUCUAAUGAAUAGCUUACUUUCCGAACAAGCUACACAUGGAUAAUCAUUAGAUAAAAGAAUCUUCUGGUUCUUUAAAGGAUGUCCAUAUUAGUUGUUUAUUAUUCGACGCAUCAUUAUGGCUAUUGGAUGUCCAAGUCGAUCAUGCCAAAGUAUAAAAAUUUUUGAAUCAACGAACUUCUGGUUCGUAACAUUAUUUGAUUUGACCAUUUUUAUAAAUGUAAAAUACAUGCCAGAUGGGAGUGCAUGAAAUUUUUUUUUUAUCUGCUUCUUGCCAAAUACAAAGGAAGUGAUGCAAAGAUAUUCAACAUUAUUUUCUUGCAUCGUCUUAAUGUGAUAUUCAUUGCAGCGAAUAUCUUUAAAACUAAGCAAAUUUCUUCUGAAUUUCCUAGAAUAAAGUACAUCCUCAAUAUAUAAUUUUGUAUUAUUUGGUAAAAUAAUACAAGCUCUUCCAGAGCCUUCAACGAUAUUCGACACACCCGAUAUCGUGUUAACAUUAUUUUCAGCUAAUAUGAAGUCCAAAAAGUAUUUUUUUUGUCUUGAAGAAUAGAAUGUGUAGUUGCACUAUCAAUUAAGCAGCUGUCUUGACUAUCCAUCAUAAAUCUAUAAAUAUAACAAAAUUAACAAAAUUAAAAAAACUUAAAUUUACAUUUAAAGAAGUAAACAUUACUUAAUAUCAUGAAAUAAACGAUGCAUAAUAGAGUUUUUUUUUAUUUUUGUGCGGAAAAGUAAAAACAUAUUUCAGACUGAUUUUUAAAACGAAAGAAAUACUAGUAAAUUAAUCUAUAUCUUUUAUCACACCACCCCCAACCAAAUGGUCAAUAUUUCCAUUUGGAUCAGUAAAGAAAUCGGAGACAUCCAAAUGAGUCACAUCAGUUGGACCAUCAUAAUCAGCAAAAUUAGUCACCAAUUUUUCUUUUCCCUUGAUUGAUCUCUGGUAAAGAUCCACAAGAUGUUUUGAGGUACGACAUGUACGUGCCCAAUGCCCUUUCAUUCCAUAUCUGAAGCAACUUUCUUCAUGCUCCCUUUUAGAUUUGCCACUCUCGUUUGCUUUGUGCCUUUUGAAUUUAUUGCCUUGUUGUUGAUAACUUUGUUGAUUAUUUCUUUCGUGAUUUAUUCCACGUACACGUCUGUGUCCGUGUCCGUGUCCGUAUCCAUGUCCAAAUCCAUGUCCACGUCCAUGUCCAUGUCCAUGUCCUUGUCUUGAUAUUGUAUUUGCUUCAAACAAUGUAGUACCAUUUGCUUCAGGCAAUGGUACAGAAUCAGUUGGACAUAAUCCAUGAUUUUUCAUCAACAAUUCAUUAUUUUGUUCAGCAACUAGUAGGCAAGAUAUAAGUUCUGAGUACUUUUUAAAGCCACGCUCACAAUAUUACUGCUGCAGGAGCACAUUCGAGGCAUGAAAGGUGGAGAAAUUUUUUUCCAGCAUAUCUUCAUCGGUGAUUUUUUCUCCACACAAAGCCAACUUUGAACAUAUUCUGACCAAUUUAGAAUUGUACUCACUAACCGUUUUAAAGUCUUGCAAACGAAGGUGCAUCCACUCAUAACGGGCUUUGGGAAGGGCUAUAGUCCUCUGAUGAUCAAAUCUUUCAGUUAACUUUUUCCAAAGAACUUGUGGAUCUUUCUUAAUGAGAUAUUCAAUUUUUAAUCCAUCGUGAAGAUGGUGACGGAGGAAAAUGAGUGCUUUCGCACGAUCCUGCAGGGAUUCAUUGUUUCCUUCUUUUAUUGUCUCUCCCAGACCCUUUGAGACGAGAUGGAUAUCAGCAUCCAGUAUCCAUGAUAGAUAAUUUUUACCAGGUAUGUCAAGCAACAAACUCAAGUUUCGUAAUGUUUGCCAUUUGUUUAACUACACAAUAAAAAAAUACAAUUAGUAUCGAAGAAUAUGAUUAAUUAUUACAUGUUAAUCAAAUAGUCAAUAUCAACAUGACUUUAAGUUACGUAUUUUCCUCUGGGGAUAAACACUAAUUUGAAAUAAUAUGUUCUUCAAAACAUAUGUUACUUCUGGAGCACAUUAUAUUUUACUAUUAUUUCUUCAAGUGCAAUAUGUCAAUAUUCUUCUGGAAUAUUGAGAGUUAUAAUUUAUGCUCUUCAGGAGCAAAUAAUAUUCUUAUAAUGUUGUGCUACUUUUGGAGCAACAACGAAUAAAUCUAUGAUUAAUAUUCUUCUGGAAUAUUAAUUAUAAUGUUGUGCUACUUCAGGAGCAACAACAAUUAAAAAUAAAUUUAAUGUAAUGUUUCAUAACUAAACAUAAAAAAAUGAUAAUACAUCUAAUUGCUCACCAUUAAUUAAUAUACAAACACAUGUAAAAUAUUAUUUUGAAUUAAUAAUGUGAGUCGAGUGAAACACAAAAAAAACUGGUGACAUGUAGAAACCUAUUCACAUAUUAUGGUACGAAAUUCUAAUUAUGUGCAAUUAAAAGAAUUAAAUUCGUAUUAACCAAUUAAGGCAUGUAAUUUGCAGAAACCAAUGGAUUUGAGAGAAAAGAUGAGUUGGGUACAGUUAUUUGUUAAUUGUAUAUUGUAUAUAUAUAUGGAAUCAGCCAAAAUAGAGAUCUAGAAUUGAAGCUUACUUAUAAAGAACAUUGACCAAUUAAACCAAAAAAAAUUAUAAGCAUGUGUAGAACGUAAAUGGCUAAUCUAAAUAUAAGGAGGGUAUAGGAACAUGAAUUAAUGUAUAUCAAUUGAUUUAACAUAAAUAUAUCUCCAUAAAAAUGCACGUGGAUUGAUGUAAAGGAAAAAAAACAUUAAUUAAUUCAAAGAGAGGUACAAAGAAAACAUAAUGAUCAAGAAAGAUAAGAUCACGUAUUGCAGAUUCAACAUAUAUAUAUGUAAAAUUCACGUAUUAUCAAAUUAAUUUUGAUAUACGUGAUAGAUGAUUAUGAAAAAAAAUUACUACCUUCUAAGAGCUUCGUGCUGAUAACGUGUUAUAAAAUGAGAGGAAAAGAGAAUAGAGAAAACUCAAUAAACUUUUUUCAGUAUUAUUGAAAACCAAAGCUCUAUAUUUAUAGGUAAGAAUCAGGGAUACAAUGGUAAUAAUUUCUAGGGCUACAUGGUACAAAUGUCAUUCACCAAUAAACUUUAAUGGACUUUCCAUUUACAACACAUUUCAUUAUUUUUAGUAAUAGUUUGUUUUUCACAUACAAAUACGAAAAUUUCCCUAAUUUCAACCUAGGAAUCCUGAUAGAUUGGUGGAGUGGGGUGAGGUUGGGCUGUGUGGACCGAGUGGUCAUUGGCUUCCACUGUCAAUAUUUCAGUUUGUCCACUGCCUAUUUUUUUCAAAGCAACAUCAUGCAUACGCUUAGGUGCUACUAUCAACACUUAAAUUCUACAUAAUUAAUGUAUUUGUUAUCUCUAUAUUAGUCAACUGAAUAAAAUACUCAUUUCUUCUAUCAAUUAAUUCUUUGCAUUCUAUCUUGUUGUUUGUUUAUGAUUAUAUACUUCAUACCCCUGUCAUAUACAUUAUCUAGAUCCAUUUUAUUUCCUAAAAAGUGGUAUCAGGGCUAUUGGUUAUGAUUUGUUCAAGGCCUUUGUUAUUGAUGACAGUCAUGAAGUAUGAAAUUUCACUCUUCGAUUGCAAUACAAGAUUCUCAUUGUGGCAAUUGAAGAUGUGAGUUUACUCGCUUAGAUGGAUUUGGAUGAUGCAUUCCUGAGAUUUGACAAAAUAUCCACAACUUAUGGAGGAGAAACAACGGAAGGGUUGGAAGGCACUUUUACAUAUAUAUCUUCAUCUUUCUAAUAAUAAUUUUUAGGACAUUUUAAGGGAGCAUGGUAGCAACGUUGUGGUUGAAGCUGGAGCAAUUGUGUAUGACUAAAAGUCUAACAAGAAAAUUGCAUUUGAAGCAGAUGUUGUAUUUUCAUUGUUUGGCAAAAAGCCAAUCGUUGGAAGAUCUCGCCGUAUCCAAGGAGAUCUCGAGGAUUUGGUGACUUUAGAGAUAAAGUAUAACAAACAAUAUUUGGUCUUAAUCCUUUUGUGUUCGUUGCCCACUUCGUCUACUUGAUUUAGAGACAUGAUCUUUUAUCUUUCAAAACUCUGCAGCGACUCGGGAUGGAAGGUAACCCAACGCCGCUUACCUCAAGGGUCAUAUAAAAUUCUACACACAUUGAAUCGACAUGAUUUCAACUAUACUCAAUAGCUAAUGCCUGAGAUAUCAAACCUAAUUGGUUUCGUCCAAAAAAUUCAAGUAAAGAGUGAGUUAUGAAUUUUGGAAAGUAAGGGUAGAAGCUGAAUAACAGCUGCACUUCCUAGUGCCGUCUACUUUAUGUGACAAUUAAAAUUCUACCAAUAUCGGAUUGACAUGAUUCAAAAUUCAUUCUGUAGCUAACCUAUGGGGCUAUCCAACACCACUGGUUUUGUCUAAAAAUUCCAAGUAACAAUUUAUAUACGAAUUUUUAAAGUCAAGGCAGAAACUGACAUUUUAAAGAAAACAGCAAACUUUAAAUUGCUAACGCUCCUUUUUUCCUAUGUAAACGGUGAUUCGUAAAAUGAUUUCUUGAUACAUAUCUAGUUUUAAACAUAAUUUAUUCAUAAAGAAAUAUUCUUGAAAUAUCUCCAUAUAUGACGUCCAUAGAAAUCUAUUUAACAGAAAACAAAUGCAAAUAUUUCAUAAUUAAAUUUAGAAUAUCAAGUCGCCGGCUUUCUCCGAGGCACCUCGCAUCAUCUUUUACUAUUAUCCACGUCCAAGGAAAUCCAUUCAACCUGAAGGAAGGGAAUUAACCCAUGAGUUUGAAACUCAAUAGAUAUCAUUGGUGUAAUUUGUUCUCAAAUUAGAAAUUUCAAACUAUAGAUUCGUACCGUUGCAUGUAGAUAGAUUUUUGGUAAAAUCCAAUUUUUGUAGCAUUAUUAUAACACGUAGAGCCAGAGAAUGAUCAUUCAAACUGUUGUAGUACCGAAGCACCAUACCUAGAGAUACUAUUUCAUUCAAACUAUAGUAGUGCUGAAGCACCGUACCCGAAGGUACCAAUUCAUUCAAAAUUUUAUCGAAAAAUCAAAAUUUGGAAACGAAAUAAUACUUGCACCUCUACCUACCUUCGUUUGAUGCUUUUGAAUCGAUAAAGUUGGUUGGUGAAUGUUGUUUCCCAACGGCACCCAAAGCUUAAGAAAUUUGCUCCUCUCCUAUGUCUUUCUUACUUUUUAAAUUUUCUUUUCUUGUUUCAAAUUGUGAAAAAUGAAAGUUGUAUCUUCUAAAAGAAAAACUCGUAUAAUCUAGUAUAUAAUUCUGACGUACUCCAAGUAAAUCAAUUGCCGUUCGGUUUUGUCACUUAAUUACAAAUGUAUGAGAUGCCAAUAAAAGAGUUUUAUGGGAAUACUUUAAAUUAAUUAUUAUAAAAGUUAAUGCUUUAACCAUGUUUAAUUUAUAACACCCUUUCCACUUCCAAGUAAUUGUAACAAAUUGAAAAAUGAAAGUAUUUUUUUCUUUUCCACACGUAACCUACAAAAUCUAGAAAGACACACAUAACUUACAAAAUUCAAAAAGGCAUAUUCAUGUUAAUUAGGACUAAUGAAAUUAAUCAAUCAAGAGUUUAAGUUGCAUAAUGUGUGUGUAUAUUUUUGGGAUUUCAAUGACUUGUUUGUACCAACUAAUCAGAUUAAUUGUUUGACCAUUCAAUCGAAAGUUAUUUUUAACGUGUAGUUGUUAUGUGUGUGUAUAUAAUACUAUAUAUUUGUCAUUUUAAAAAACUAACAUGUACGAAAAUCAAUUUUUUUUAACUAUACAUAAAAUAAAUUUUCACCGUUGGGUUCAAUCUUUGGGAAAAACAUUAAAUUAUUCCAUCCAACUUCAUCAAAUAAUUUUUUAAAAAUAUGUAUGGUGGCUAAACCUGUGUUGCAUGUUGAACUACCAUAAGAUUGUAAAUAAAUUCAUUUUAAAGCAUAUUGGACUAGUAUUGAGCUUUCAUUUCUUUUGUGGGUCGCGCAUGAGGUUCAUCUAUAGGCUAGGCUCGUGAUAUUAGAUCGUCGUAUUAAAAUAUGAGCCUAACUUCAUUUUUUUGGGGCUCUUACAUUCCUUACACCUUAAAUAAAAUUUCGUCCUUGAAAUUUACCUUAUGGUUGGACAAAGAGUGUCGGGUAUCUGUCUUUAAUUUUUUCUUCUCUUUCCCAAGUAGCUUCUUCUAUUCCAUGAUUAUUCCAUUGCACUUUGACCAGUUGAAUCUCCUUGUUUCAUAAUUUAUGUACCUUUCAAUCCAAUACUUUAAUCGAUAAUUCCUCAUAAGAUAAGUCUUUUUGUACUCGCAAGGAUUGAUAAUUUACCACGUGAUUAGGGUCAUGCAUAUACUUUCUGAUCAUUCAUAUAUGAAACACAUUCUGAACUGCUGAUAGUUCAGGCGGCAAAGCUAAUCGAUAAACCACAUUUUUGAUCUUGUUAUGUAUUUCAAAAGGUCCGAUAUAAUGAGGCCAUAGUUUGCCUUUCUUGCCGAACCUAAGUACACCCUUUAUUGAUGCCAUUUUUAGAAAAACUUUCUGUCCAUCUUCAAAUUCCAUAUCUUUUUUCCUAGUAUUUGCAUAGCUCUUUUGUCCAUCUUGAGCGGCCUUUAUCCUAGUACGGAUUUUGUCAAUGACUUCAACUGUUCUUUCAAUGAUAUCUGGUUCCAAAACUCUCUUCUCUUCAAUUUCAUCCCAAUGAACAGGUGACCUGCAUCUUCUGCCAUAGAGAGCUUCAUACAGUGUCAUUCCAAUAGUUGCUUGAAAACUGUUAUUAUAUGCAAAUUCCACCAAAGGUAAAUACGAUUCCCAACUACCUCCUAGAUCCAGAACAUAGGCCUUUAGCAUAUCUUCCAAAGUUUGAAUGGUCCUUUCAAACUAACCAUUGGAUUGAGGGUGAUACGGCGUACUGAAAUUCAAUUUCGUUCCCAUAGCUCCUUGGAAGCUCUUUCAAAACUUUGACAUAAAUCUCGGAUCUCUAUCAGAUACAAUGAACACGGGGACAACAUGUAAUCUCACAAUCUCUCUAAUUUACAAUUGCGCCAGCUGAUCUAGACUAAAUGUCAUUUUCACUGGAAGAAAUGAGUGGACUUUGUUAGACGAUCCACUAUUACCCAUAUAACAUUGUGUCCUCUUGCUGACUUUGAAAAUCCUACCACAAAAUCCAUUGCGAUAUUCUCCCACUUCCAUUCAGGUAUGUCUAAUGGAUUUAAUAUCCCUGCUGGUCUUUUUAUGUUCUGCUUUAACUUGUUGACACACUAUGCAUUUUGCUACAAAUGAGCCUAUACUUCAUUUCAUAUUCCUCCACCAAAAUGUAUUUCGAAGGUCUCAAUACAUUUUCCUACUAUUGGGAUGUGCAGUGUAGGGGCGGAAUGAGCCUCAUCCAAUAUCUCCUUCCUCAAAAUUUCAUCCUUAGGUACACAAAUUCUUCCUUUAAGUAAUUUUGCCUGAUCUAAAGCUAUUUCAAAAUCCUUUCUCUUAUCAUCAAUAAUCUCGUUCUUGAUCUUCUGCAAAAAUGGGUCUUUGUUUUGUGCUUCUAUGAUAUAAUCUUUAAGAGUAGAUAGAACCACCAAAGUUGCUAAAUAGGCAGUGACUUGUUUUGGUGUGACUUUGAUUCACAAAUUUUCUAAUUCUUUGAUCAACUCCAUUGGAAUAAUAGGUAAUGAUGCCAACUGUCCCAUCGAUUUUCUGUUUAGAGCAUCAGCAACAACAUUAGCCUUACCUGGAUGAUACUGAAUAGUGCAAUCAUAAUCAUUUACUAGCUCCAACCAUCGUCUCUGUCUCAUAUUCAAUUCCUUCUAUGUGAAGAAAUAUUUGAGACUCUUAGGAUCUGUGUAAAUAUUGCACUUCCCUCCAUAUAAGUAAUGACGCCAUAUCUUUAAUGCAUAAACCACCGCUGCAAGUUCAAGAUCCUGCGUCGGGUAGUUUUGCUCAUGUUGCUUCAAUUGUCUUGAAGCUUAGGCAAUUACUUUUCCAUGUUGCAUCAGUACACAUCCAAAACCUUAUUUAAAUGCAUCACUAUAUAUAUCAAACCCUUCCGAACCUUCAGGUAUGGUUAACACAGGUGCUAUAAUCAACCGUUAUUUUAGCUCCUGAAAGCUUUGCUCACACUUAUCUUUCCAUUGAAACUUUACUCAUUUCCUUGUCAAUUGUGUUAUUGGUCUAGCUAUUUUGGAAAAUCCUUCUAUAAAUCUUCGAUAGUAUCCAGCCAAUCCCUGAAAACUUCGAACUUCACCAGAAUUAGUCGGUGUCUUCCAAUUAGUUAUCGCUUCCACCUUUACUGGAUCUACUUCAAUUUCUUGGGCAAUAACUACAUGACCGAGAAAUCCAACUUGCCCAAACCAAAAUUUACACAUUUUAAAUUUAGCGUAUAACUUUUCCUUGCGUAAUGUUUCUAAUGUUAUUUUAAGAUGUUCUUUAUGUUGAUCUUUACUCUUGGAGUAAAUCAAAAUGUCAUCAAUGAAGACUAUAGCAAAUUUAUCCAAAUAUUGAUGAAACACUUGGUUCAUCAGAUCCACGAACACUGUCGGAGCAUUUGUCAAUUCGAAUGGUAUAACUGUGUACUUGUAAUGUCCAUAACGAGUUCUGAAAAUUGUCUUAGGUAACCCAGGGCUCUUAUAAAAUUCUACACACAUUGAAUCGACAUGAUUUCAACUAUACUCACUAGCUAACCCUUGAGACUAUCAAAUCCAAUUGGUUUCGUCCAAAAACUUCAAGUAACGAGUGAAUUAUGAAUUUUUGAAACAAAAGGUCCGUUUGAUUGCAAAGAUGAAAUUGAAUUGAAUUGAAAAUGAAUUUCAGGGAAUUGAAUUGAUGGGAAAUUGAUUUCCUAGGAAUGGUAAAUUAUUGUGUUUGAUUGAUAUAAUUUUUCAAGUGGAAAAUAUUGAAAUAAAAGUAUUUUUUGGUGCUCGUUUGACUUUAUUUUACAUAAAAAUUGUCAACUAAAGGGAUAGAAUUUACUGGUAUUGGGGAUGGAAUUUUUUUCCAUUGCCAAAAAAUAAAAAAAAUCAAGAAAAUCAUACAUCUUUUGAUGUUUGUUUGGCUUUAUUUUACAUAAAAAUUCUCAAUUAAAGGGAAAUAUUUUUUUACAAUAAUUCUUAAAAUUUGUUUCCAUUACCAACACAAAAAAAAAAAAAAAAUGCUACAGUAACAUGAAAUUCCAAUUCUCAUCAAUUUUUGGUGAGAAUUGGUUUCCUUAAAAACCAAGAAAAGAUCAAUUCCCAAAACAAGCAAGAAAAGGUAAUUCCAUGGAAAUAAAACCCUAUCAAACACCAUAAAGUUGGAAAAUGAAAUUAUUUCCAUUUUCCAUGGAAAAAAACCACAUAUCAAACACUACCUAAGGGCAGAAGCUGAUUAACAGCUACACUUCCUAGUGCCGUCUACUUUAUGUGACAUAAAAUUCUACCGAUAUCGGAUUGACAUGAUUCCAAGUUCAUUCAGUAGCUAACCUAUGGGGCUAUCUGAUAAGAGUGUAAAAGAUAACAUUUUCCCCACUUAAUUAUUGCAUUCGUGUGAUUAUUUGAUACCAAAAUGCACUCAUUAUACUUAUAUUUUGAUUCAGGUUAUAUUUUGGUAGAAAAGGUGAAAUUUGGAAGAAACAAGUUAAAAUGGACCAAAAUGGAAGAAAGCGAAAGUUCAGGAACCAAGUUGUAAAUAAUCCAAAGAUGAGACAAGAAGUGAAAUGAUGAUUUGAGAAAUUUAGGAGUCCAUUGGGUGCAAUUAGAAGUCAAAAGAAGUUAAAUGUACCCACAAUAUUUUCACAAAUCAGAUUCCAACCGUAUAAGGAUUUUUCAGAUUUUCAGCCGAGCAUUGAGACCAACCUUUGACCUGGAAAGAUAUAUUUCCAGAAAAAUUAUAUUCAUUUGAGUUAGCUUUCCUAUGCAACUUGAAUCACCUCAAUUGGACAUCGGGGGACAAUGUUAUGGUCAAAAUACCAAAAGCAGUCGUACAUAAAAUUCUGGCCGAAAAUUUACUUUUCUUAUUCAGUUCAACCUCUUUUGGAAACAUUUUGGCACACGACUUUUAACACUAAUCUCGACCAGAAAACCCACCAGUCAGCCUCAUAAACUUUUCUCUCAUCUUGGACACAAGAAACUCCAUGAAGAACUAAAAUCUUUGGUGAACCACCAAGGAACUCAUUGGAUUUGGAGAUUUCAUGUAAUUCGAACUUUCUUUGCUUAAUAAUUUCUCGAUUUGGAUUUUCUCGUAAUGAAUUAGUAUUGAAUUUGGUUUAACUUUUUCUAGAUUUUUUUUAUGGAUUCAAUCAUGCUUUUUCCAUUGUUAAAUUAAAUUAUUUGUUGAGUUUCAAUUUCAAUUACUUAUUGUUGAGAUUGUUUUAACUUUUAUCAAAUCCUUCAUAGAUCUAAUCAUGCUCUUUCUAUCGAAUGAUUGAAAUAAUUGUUGAAUUUUAAUCUUAAUAUUACUUUAUUGGCGGAUUGAUUACUGCCUUAUGCUUGAUGUAUAUGGUUGAUCUUUGAUCUUGUUCCAAUAAAAAUGUGCGAAUGUGUUGUAGAAAAUCUAGUUUCUAGAAAUAUAAUUGAAAUUAAAUUGGACUUUAUUGUUAAAUCUUCUGAUUAGGGAGUUGGGAAGAAACCUCUAAGUGAGUAAAAAUGCAUGAAUUAUUGAUGUUGAUUGAUCCAAUCCAAUGGGGAAAUUCCGACGCUUCACUAAUUUCGCAUAUUGAUAAUUAACUUUUAUUCCAAGUGACAAAUCAUUCCCAUAUAAAAUUACGAAAACCCUAGUUUGUUAGAUCCUUUGACAAAUUUCCCAUCUCCCUAUGGAUACGACACCCCAAAACUGUACUGCAACUACCACAUUAUACUUUGGGCGUAAUCUAAUUUUGGCAUCCUUGUCGGGGAGACGGUACAAGUGAUUGAAGGAUCCUCGAGCAAAAGGGUGACUUCGUUCCUCUUUUAUCUGUUAGUUAAUUUAUUUUCUUUAUUGUUAUUUUUUAAUUUUGCAUUUAAUUCCAUUUUUGUAUUUUAUGAACAGGAAUCAAGAAGAGCGAUGGCGAUUUGUUGAUAGGCCUCUCCUAGAGUUUGAAUCACUUUCUAACCCUUUCUUUGACACUAUAUCUAUUGGCACGAGCACUAAACCACACAACACAAUGAGUGAUAGUGAGCACGGCGAUGCGCCCUACAGGACCCUACAUGGUUACCUUCACCCAACACGCCCUUCCACGCCAUUUUGCAAUAUGUUCCCACCCAAUAUGUCACGUGUGGACCUAAAACUGGGAAUGAUUAAACUUCUUCCCACUUUUCACGGACUUGAAAAUGAGAAUCCAUACAUGCAUAUUCGGGAAUUUGAGGAAGUGGUUGCAACCUUCCACAAUCAACGUGGUACAAUGGAUACAAUUGGGCUUAAAAUUUUCCCAUUUUUACUUAAAGAAUGAGCAAAAAAGCUGAUUGUACUCAUUGAAACCACAUUCGAUUGGGACUUAGGUUGAAAUGACCCAAGCUUUCUUUGGCAAAUAUUACCCCCAUCAUAAGACCACUACCGUUAAGAAGCAAAUUUCUUCAUUUGCCCAAAAGGAUAGCGAAGCCUUAUAUCAAGCCUGGGAGAGAUAUAAAGAGUUGUAACCUCUUUGCCCCCACCAUGGAUAUGAGAAUUGACGUGUGGUGAGUUACUUUUGUGAGGGCCUAACACCUAGGGAGCAUCAAUUUGUUGAAAUGAUGUGCAAUGGUGAUUUGUCACAAAAAGAUCCAGAUGAAGCCACAGAGUAUCUAGAUGACUUAGCUGAAAAGGCUCACACUUGGAUUGGACCUAGUGCUUCUGAUUGUACCAAUAGGUCACGACCAAUAGGAAACCCAACUAGGACAUGCAUUUACCACCUUAGAGAGGAAGACAACCUUAAAGCCAUGGUAGAAACCCUCACUAGAGAACUUGAAGCUCUACGUGCUAAGGAAUAAAAAACAACCCCGACUUGUUUCCCAUGUUGAGUCUUUAGAGCCUUGUUUUAUGUGUGGUGGAACGUAUCCAGCACAAGAGUAUGGCACCUAUGCUGAAAUGAGGGGACUUUAUGAGUAACACCGUAAUGCUUUAGGCAUAUAUCAAAAACCCUAUACUCCCUACUCUGAAUCCUAUAAUCCAAGGCGGCGGAAUCAUCCCAAUCUCAGCUGGAAAUCUUAAAACCAACAACCUAUCCCAUCCAAUAGAGCCUACACUAUAUCUCCAUAUCAAACCACAUCCUCUAGAAACUCUUUGGAAGACACCCUACAUGCAUUCAUAAAGGCACAAAGUAAAAUCAAGCAGAAAUUUGAGACUAUGAUUACCUAGAUUGUUGAGGAAAACAAGGAAAUCAAAACUCAUAUGCCAAAACUAACUAAUGCCUUAGCUAUAGAGGAGCAGGGAAAAUUUCCAGCACAAGCUCAUCCAAACCCUAGGAGACAACAUAUGGCACAAACCUCAGGCCUCCAAGAAAACAACCUUAAUGAAGUUAAUGCCAUAACCACUAGGUCCGGUAAGGUUAUUGAACCAACCCCAAAACCUAAGGAAGAUGAAAAGGACCCUAGCAAUUCAGAAGAGAGUACCCCUAGCGAGGAGGUAGUGAAAAAUAUACUACGAGUACCCUUUCCUCAAGCUCUUAAUUUUACCUAGAAAUUUGUAUGUCAACAUAGUGAAAUCCUAGAGCACCUCAAACAAGUAAAAAUUAAUAUGCUGCUCUUGCACGUGAUUUCCCAGGUCCCCACUUAUGCUAAAGUCCUUAAAGACUUGUGUACUAUAAAAAGAAAGCACCAUGUCAGGAAAAUCACUUUCUUAAUUGAACAUGUGAGUGUCGAAUUGAGCAAAGAGUUCCACCAAAGUAUAAGGACCCUGGUUGCCCACUGUGUCUUGCACUAUUGGGAACCAUGAUUUUGCACAAGCUCUUCUCGAUUUUGGGGCUAGUGUCAACAUUAUGCCUUAUGCAAUAUACUCGGCAUUAGGUCUAGGUGAGAUCAAACCCACUUCAGUGGUCUUAUAAUUAGCUGAUCGAUCCACUAUUAGGCCUAGGAGAGUAGUUGAGGAUGUGUUGGUACAAGUUGACAAAUUUUAUUACCUCGUUGAUUUCUUAGUUUUGGAUUUAAAAGAAGAUGUGAGUGUUAACUCCAAGAUUCUCAUUAUUCUUGGUAGACCUUUUCUUGCCCUAGCUAAUGCUCUUAUCAAUUGUAGGAACGGUCUAAUGAAACUAUCAUUUAGGAACAUGACCUUGGACGUCAACAUUUUUCAUAUCAUGAAAUAGCCUGAGGAAGAUGAUGAGUGUCAUCAAACAUACAUGAUUGAUGCACUCGUUCAGGAGGAAGCACCUGCGAUUAUUGAUCCCGACCCUUUAAAUUCUAAAAUUCUCACAGGGUAUGAUAGUGGAGGAUAUGCUGCUUUUGAUUAUUUUCAGGAUUAUAGAACACCACCAGUGACUACUUCCAAUGAGUUUGGUGCAAUGCAAGGAAGAUUGACAACACCCUGGUUAGAUGCGGGCUAAAGAAGAAAAUACUGGGUCGAGCCAACGACAAUAAACAAAGGCACUGCUGGGGAGGCAACCCAAGGGGAGUUCGUUCCCUUCUCUUUCUUUUUAUUUUCAUUUAUGCAUUCUCUCUAAGUUUAGUCCAUGCAUUAUUCAUUGCAAUCCUUUUAUUUUCAUUUUCUGCACUAACCUUUCCAUCGAAGAUUUUCGGGCUUCUUAUACUUCAGCUCAUGUGAUUCACUUCGUUACUCAGGUAACAUCUUUUCUUACCUUUAUUUGGCAGACAUAUUUUUGCAUUGAGGACAAUGCAAUGUUUAGUUGGGGGGGAGAGUUUAACUUAAAUUUUGUUGUGAAUUGCAUGUUUUUAAUGAAAUUUUGGCCUAAUUGUUUUUAAGUCCCUAAUGCGCUACAUGUUCUUGAAUGGCAAUAUAUUUCACUAGGAAUUAAUAUUGUUUAUGAAAAUUUGGAUACUGAGAUAUUUGCUAAAUCUUUUUGUGCACACAAGCCUUGUGGUAAGAUAGUGGUUUAACACAUGUAGCUAGAGGAGUCUCUUGUUGAAGUUUUCUUAUGUGAGAGUCGAUGAGGAUUGAAAGCUAUCACAUAUUAAAAAUGGCAGUAAGUGCUCAUUAGUUUUGUGAACUGGACACUUCUGUUGAGAAUAACAUUACACAGUCUGUGGUAAGAUGGUGGUUUAUACUUGGGAAAUGAUAAUGGUCAACAUAGGAUUGAAUUUGAGCUUUCAGACUAGUUUUUUUUCAUUAUUAUAAUUCCCUAAUAACCACUUUGAGCCAAUGCACAUACAUAACCAUUUCAUUUCAUGUGCCUAAGUUAUCCAUACCUCCUUACAUUGGAAUAAAAUCUAUAAACAUUCAAUUUUCUACCUUUAUGCUUCCAAGUAUAUAGUAGGUGUUAAAUGUCCAUUUCAGAAGAAAAGCAACAUGGAAAGUGAUAAGAGAUUAUAAGUGCUCGGGUGAAGCGAAAAAACACAAAAGGAAAGGGAAUUUGAAAAAAAAAAACAAACAAACAACCAAACAAAAGAAAAGAAAAGAAGAAAAAAUGAAAAAAAAAAAGAAAUGAAAAAAAGGUGGAUUGUUGUUGGGAAUUGAAAGGUUGAAGAAUGCGUUGAUGUAAAGAAUUGAUAUGUUGAAAUACUUGUUGAGAUGCCUAGCCAGAUACUUGGAAGUCCUUAAAUUCUUUUUGCCCUACUUUUCAUAUAACCCAACUUAACCUUUUACACACCCUUUGCAUUGACUGUUUUGAUCUCAAGUAGGUUUGUGGUAAAAAGUUGAUGAAUUUUCAAUUGGAAGUAUGCCUAUCAUGUGAUCAAUGUUUGCUUGUUGCUUGCUCAUAAACAUUUAAGACUCCAAAUUAUGAGUGUAUCCAUUUCUCAGCUCUAUAGAGAGAAAAUCGCACUAAACACUUUGAUACCUGUGAGUUGUGGAGUUGAACCUUCAGCUCGAGACAUACUUGAUGUUAAAUAUGUUAGGGUUGGCAGUAAGAUGGCUAUAGCUUGGCACACACUCACACAUUUAGCAAGUGUUUUUGAUAUCUUGAUGAUCAUAACAUUGUUAAUUUCUUGUGGUGUUGAGUUUGAAAAGAGAAUGAACUGUUGAAUUAGAACUUAACAAUUUCACUUGUAACAUGGACCAAUUACUCAUUUGCUUUACUUUGCAUUAAAUUGCUAGGGACUAGCAAUAAGCAAGUCGGGGGUAUGAUAAGAGUGUAAAAGAUAACAUUUUCCCCUCUUAAUUAUUGCAUUCGUGUGAUUAUUUGAUACCAAAAUGUACUCAUUAUACUUUUAUUUUGAUUCAGGUUGUAUUUUGGUAGAAAAGGUAAAAUUCAGAAGAAACAAGUGAAAAAGGACCAAAAUGGAAGAAAGCGAAAGUUCAGGGACCAAGUUUCAAAUAAUCCAAAGAUGAGACGGGCGAUGGAAUGAUGAUUUGAGAAAUUUAGGAGUCCAUUGGGUGCAACUAGAAGUCAAAAGAAGUUAAAUAUGUCCCUAAUAUUUUCACAAAUCAAAUUCCAACCGCAUAAGGAUUUUUCAGAUUUUCAGCCGAAGAUUGAGAUUAACUUUUGACCUAGUAAACGUCCAAAUUUGGAAAGAUAUAUUUCUAGAAAAAUUAUAUUCCUUUGAGUUAGGUUUUCUAUGCAACUUGAAUCACCUCAAUCGGACAUUGGGAGACAAAGUUAUGGUCAAAAUACCAAAAACAGUUGCAGAGAAAAUUCUGGCCGAAAAUUUACUUUCCUUAUUCGGUUCAACCUCUUUUGGAAACAUUUUGGCACACGACUUUUAACCCUAAUCUCGACCAGAACACCCACCAUUCAUCCUCAAACACUUUUCUCUCAUCUUGGACACAAGAAACUCCAUGAUGAACUAAAAUUUUUGGUGAAGCCACCAAGGAACUCAUUGGAUUUGGAGAUUUCACGUCAUAAUUUCAUGUAAUUCGAAGUUUCUUUGCUUAAUAAUUUCUUUAUUUGGAUUUUCUCGUUAUGAAUUAGUAUUGAAAUUAGUUUAACUUUUACUAGAGUUUUUAUGGAUUCAUUCAUUCUUUUUCCAUUGUUAAAUUAAACUAUUUGUUGAGUUUCAAUUUCAAUUACUUAUUGUUGAGAUUGUUAUAACUUUUAUCAAAUCAUUCAUAGAUCUGGUCAUGCUUUUUCUAUCGAAUGAUUGAAAUAAUUGUUGAAUUUUAAUUUUAAUAUUAGUUUAUUAGCGGAUUGAUUACUGCCUUAUGCUUGAUGUAUAUGGUCGAUCUUUGAUCUUGUUCCGAUAAUAAUGUGCGAAUGUGUUAUAGAAAAUCUAGAUUCUAGAAAUAUAAUUGGAAUUAAAAUGGACUUUAUUGUUAAAUCUUCUGAUUAGAGAGUUGGGAAGAAAACCUCUAAUUGAGUAAAAAUACAUGAAUUAUUGAUGUUUAUUGAUCCAAUCCAAUGAGGAAAUUCCGAGGCUUCACUAAUUUCGCAUAUUGAUAAUUAACUUUUACUCCAAGUGACAAAUCAUUCCCACAUCAAAUUACGAAAAUCCUAGUUUGUUUGAUCCUUUGACAAAUUUCUCAUCUUCCUGUGGAUACGACACCCCAAAGCUGUACUAUAACUGCCGCGUUAUACUUUGGGCAUAAUCACUAUCCAACACCACUAGCUUUGUCUAAAAAUUCUAAGCAAUGAUUUAGAUACGAAUUUUUAAAAUCAAGGCAGAAAUUGACAUUUUAAAGAAAUUAGCAAACUUUAAAUUGCUAACGCUUCUUUUUUUCCCUGUGUAAACGGUGAUUCAUAAAUUGAUUUCUUGACACAUAUCUACUUUUAAACAUAAUUUAUUCAUAAAGAAAUAUUCUUGAAAUAUCUCCACAUAUGAUGUCCAUAGAAAUCUAUUUAACAGAAAACAAACGUAAACAUUUCAUAAUCGAAUUUAAAAUAACAAGUCACCGACUUUCUCUAGGGGAUGUCCCAUCAUCAUUUACCAUCAUCCACGCCCAAGGAAAUCCAUUCAACCUAUAGGAAGGGAAUUAACUAAUGAGUUUGAAACUCAAUAGUUAUCAUCAAUGCAUUUCAUUCUUAAGUUAGAAAUUUCGAAUUAUGGAUUCAUACCGUCACACGUAGAUGGAUUUCUGGAAAAAUCCAAUUUCUGUAGCAUUAUUAAAACACGUAGAGCCGGGGAAUGAUCAUUCAAACUAUUGUAAUGCCUAUGCACAGUACCCGAAAGUACCAUUUCAUUCAAACUAUAGUAGUGGCAAAGCACCAUACCCGAAGGUACCAAUUUAUUCAAAAUUUUAUCGAAAAAUCAAAAUUUGAAAACGAUAUAACACUUGUACCUCUACCUACCAUCGAUGAAGUUGGUUGUGAAUUUUGUUUCCCGACGGCACCCAAAGCUUAAGAAAUUUGCUCCUCUCCUGUCUUUCUUACUUUUGAAAUUUUCUUUUCUUGUUUCAAAUUGUGAGAAAUGAAAGUUUUAUCUUCUAAAAGAAAAACUCUUAUAACCAAGUAUAUAAUUCUCACGUACUCCAAGUAAAUCAAUUGCAGUUGGGUUUUCUCACUUAAUUACAAAUGUGUGAGAUGCCAAUAAAAGAGUUUUAUGGGAAUACUUUAAAUUAAUUAUUAUAAAAGUUAAUGCUUUAACCAUGUUUAAUUUAUAACACCCUUUCCACUUCCAAGUAAUUGCAACAAAUUGAAAAAUGAAAGUUUUUUUUUCUUUUCCCCACGUAACCUACAAAAUAUAGAAAGACACACAUAACUUACAAAAUUCAAAAAGUCAUAUUCAUGUUAAUUAGGAUUAAUGAAAUUAAUCAACCAAGAGUUUAAGUUGCAUAAUGUGUGUGUAUAUUUUUGGGAUUUCAAUGACUUGUUUGUACCAACUAAUCAUAUUAAUUGCUUGACUAUUCAAUUGAAAGUUAUUUUUAACGUGUAGUUGUUAUGUGUGUGUAUAUAAUACUAUAUAUUUGUCAUUUUAAAAAACUAACAUGUACGAAAAUAAAUUUUUUUAACCAUACAUAAAAUAAAUUUUCACCGUUGGGUCCAGUCUUUGGGAGAAGCAUUAAAUUAUUCCGUCCAACUUCAUGAAAUAAUUUUUUAAAUAUAUGUAUGGUGGCUGAACCUGGGUUGCACGUUGAACCACCNNNNNNNNNNNNNNNNNNNNNNNNNNNNNNNNNNNNNNNNNNNNNNNNNNNNNNNNNNNNNNNNNNNNNNNNNNNNNNNNNNNNNNNNNNNNNNNNNNNNNNNNNNNNNNNNNNNNNNNNNNNNNNNNNNNNNNNNNNNNNNNNNNNNNNNNNNNNNNNNNNNNNNNNNNNNNNNNNNNNNNNNNNNNNNNNNNNNNNNNNNNNNNNNNNNNNNNNNNNNNNNNNNNNNNNNNNNNNNNNNNNNNNNNNNNNNNNNNNNNNNNNNNNNNNNNNNNNNNNNNNNNNNNNNNNNNNNNNNNNNNNNNNNNNNNNNNNNNNNNNNNNNNNNNNNNNNNNNNNNNNNNNNNNNNNNNNNNNNNNNNNNNNNNNNNNNNNNNNNNNNNNNNNNNNNNNNNNNNNNNNNNNNNNNNNNNNNNNNNNNNNNNNNNNNNNNNNNNNNNNNNNNNNNNNNNNNNNNNNNNNNNNNNNNNNNNNNNNNNNNNNNNNNNNNNNNNNNNNNNNNNNNNNNNNNNNNNNNNNNNNNNNNNNNNNNNNNNNNNNNNNNNNNNNNNNNNNNNNNNNNNNNNNNNNNNNNNNNNNNNNNNNNNNNNNNNNNNNNNNNNNNNNNNNNNNNNNNNNNNNNNNNNNNNNNNNNNNNNNNNNNNNNNNNNNNNNNNNNNNNNNNNNNNNNNNNNNNNNNNNNNNNNNNNNNNNNNNNNNNNNNNNNNNNNNNNNNNNNNNNNNNNNNNNNNNNNNNNNNNNNNNNNNNNNNNNNNNNNNNNNNNNNNNNNNNNNNNNNNNNNNNNNNNNNNNNNNNNNNNNNNNNNNNNNNNNNNNNNNNNNNNNNNNNNNNNNNNNNNNNNNNNNNNNNNNNNNNNNNNNNNNNNNNNNNNNNNNNNNNNNNNNNNNNNNNNNNNNNNNNNNNNNNNNNNNNNNNNNNNNNNNNNNNNNNNNNNNNNNNNNNNNNNNNNNNNNNNNNNNNNNNNNNNNNNNNNNNNNNNNNNNNNNNNNNNNNNNNNNNNNNNNNNNNNNNNNNNNNNNNNNNNNNNNNNNNNNNNNNNNNNNNNNNNNNNNNNNNNNNNNNNNNNNNNNNNNNNNNNNNNNNNNNNNNNNNNNNNNNNNNNNNNNNNNNNNNNNNNNNNNNNNNNNNNNNNNNNNNNNNNNNNNNNNNNNNNNNNNNNNNNNNNNNNNNNNNNNNNNNNNNNNNNNNNNNNNNNNNNNNNNNNNNNNNNNNNNNNNNNNNNNNNNNNNNNNNNNNNNNNNNNNNNNNNNNNNNNNNNNNNNNNNNNNNNNNNNNNNNNNNNNNNNNNNNNNGGCAGGUCGACUCAAUACUCCGUGAUAAGCUGAUAUGUGGUCUAAACUAAAAACUCCAUGAAGUGGUAAGCCACUAAGGGGGCUGAUCCCAUCUCGACAGGAAAGGUGAUUCACCCAUGUGGGACAAUGCUGUCACCUAUGAAUCCAAAUAUUGGGUCGAUCAUGGGGAUCAAUCCAUGUUCAAUUUGUAUUUUGUCAAAGGUAUAUUCAUCUAGCUUCCAUCGUCAAAAAUCAUGCGUUUGAGUCCAUUUCGAGCCACUAUGGCUCUUAUUACCAAUAGGGAUGGCAAUUUGAAUAAUCAAAACUAAAAACUGUGGUUAACCGAACUGAAUGUGACGAAAAAAACCAAACCAAUGGUGCAACGGGAUGGUGUGGGUAUGGUAUUUACACUGUCGAACCAAAAUCGAGCUGAUUACCCGCAAAAAAAUACACACACAAUUGAAUUGAUUAUUUAGCUUUACACCAUUUUUCUAUCCAGCCCAAAACAAAAUUUCCUAAAUUACAUCUACCUGACCAAGUUGGCCAGCCUACUUACCAUUAGUCAAUAAUAAUAGCAUUAGUAUGACAAUAUAUAAAUGCAAACCCUACUCUUCACAAACCACAAACUCACGCACGGCUCCACUACCUCCACGGUCCAAGCCGUCGUUGCCUCCAAAAAAUUUUCCACACGACUUCAGUUUGAAUCAAAUCAGAUUUCAGUUUUACAGAAAAGAUAGGACCUCAAGUGACGGGCCUUCUUUAUCAAGAUUAUUGGAACAAAAAUUUCAUCUCAAUCAUUUUUGUUGUAUCUGUAAUCUGAUUGCAUUUUAUAUCCAAUUCCAGGGACGCAUUUUCAAGAUUUGAUGCAGAAAUUGUUUCAAUUUUUGUCGAAAAAAGGAUAAAUUCAAUCAGUACUAAUUAUAGUAUAGGCUUGAGCCAAGUCCGAGGCAUGGUCGACAACUCUAACCAAAUUCUUAAGGUUAGCAUUGCUUUUAUAUUACAUUUAAGCCUUAGUUUCUUUUAUAUUAGAUUUGCUCUAAUGUUUUUGAAUUGCAGUGCAUAUAUUAAUGCUCUUUUUAUUAAAGCAUUGAUGGAUGUUUUGAUGAAUUGAUAUUGUUGUGGCAAGGUGCUCGGUAAGGUUGUGCAAUAUGAAUUGGUAUCUUAAAUCUUGAUUUAACAGGAUAUUACUACUGGCAUCCGAGUCGACGUUUAGUACAAGUGGUAGAUUUGUCCACAUAGAAAUAGGCUUUACCUGAAGUCUCUAGAAGCUUUAAUGUGUGCUCAGGAUUUGCUUUGGACUGAUAUUCAUGAUAGAAUUUAUUGUUUUAUAUUUGUUAUUUAUACACUUCCUUUUAUUGUCAAUUUUUUUUAUUGUGUAGAAAAUUUUACUCCUUCAUCAUAGUCUAGAACUUGUGCAAUGUUUAGCGAGGAGCAAGCUGACGAAGAGGUACUUUUUUAUUUAAAUCUUAGUUAAGACAAUUUUGGAAUAGGUAGUAUCGUUGUAUUCUCUAUUUACUAUAUAGGAAUCAACUUUGAGUGCUGAUCUAUACUAGUAAGACUUGUGGGGAAGAAUGAAUCAAGUAACUUCGAUGCACAACAAUCAAAAAUGAAGGAAAAUAUUUUCGUUAAAUUUGUAUUUUGCAAUUGGAAAUUGGGAUAAUGUUUGCAUUUUCAUUUGGAAUAUUGUGUUUUUGUUUUCAUUAAUUUCUUUUCAUAAAUUGUUUUAUAACAACUUGACGGAUGAACCUAUAAAAAAUAAUUUAUUUUCGUGGUUAUUAACCGAACCGAACCGUUCCAAAACGAGAUAAAAAUUGAACCGAAUCGAACCAAUUUACGUGGUUAUGGUGCGGUUAUGACAUGGUCAAAAAAAUUGGUGAUACGGUUAUGGAUUUGGCCGAACCGACCUAUAACCAAAACGUUGCCAACCCUAACUAGCAACGUACCACAAUGGGGGUGAUGAACACCUUGUGCAUUUUCUUGGGAGAAAGUGAUUAGGGCCAUUCUAUUGGCUUCUUGAGACUGAUCAACAAUGUAGGUAAUUAUUGGUGGAUCAUUUGCUUCUCGUGUAUAAUUCCUUUGGGCAUUUCUUGUGUUGCCCCCAAUGUGAGGUUCUACAAUGAUUGUAUCACUUUCUCGAAUAGUUUGCCCUCCAGUUGAUGUGGCCUAAUCCCUAUGCCUGGAUUCUCCUCUAUCCCUUGUUUUUCUCCUUCGAGGUGAUUGCUUUCUUUGUCGCCUCUCCUCUCUGUUGGGGGAGGUGAAUCUACGAGGGUAUUCUUGAUAGUUAUCCCUCCUGGAGGACCUUAGGUUACUCCGAUUUGAAGAUCGAGGAGCAUCCCUACAUUCGCUAAUGUCGUGGCUAUAGAGUUGGUGGAAUGUGCAGAAUCUUGCCCCUUUUGGGGUCUGUUUGAUCGCUUCUUAUUCUUGUGCCAAUUGCUGUUUGUCCCUCUAGAUGGUCUUGCUUCAACAAUUGCAUUUUCAUAUGCUAAUAUCAACACUGCAUUUAGCGUGGCUGAAGCCAAUGCUUGUCCGGAUGUGGGAGCUAUUGUGUGCCGUAGUUGGGUCCAUUGCUGGGGUCGACCUACCUGCCUCCGAGGUGGAUGGAGUCCCUGGGCUAUACGAUUUCGAUGGUCAAUCAUCUCUUUAUUGACGAUCUCCACUCUCAUCAUCUCUACCAGGUCUUCAUAAGUAGCUAGAUUCUUGCUACGCACAUCCCUCCAUAACAAAGUGUUCAUGUUGAGGCCUUCGUUCAGGGCUAAAAGAGCCUCUCUGUCAGUGACUUGCUCACAAUAUGUGAUUUCAUCAAUAAACCUGAUGAGAUAGCUUUUCAGCGUCUCUCCAGGAGCUUACUUCAUAUCUUGUAGGCGUUGCACUGGGUCCUCUCAUUCUCUUGCCAUCUUCAAAUUUGGCUAACUUCUAAUACUCAAAGGUGGUAGCCUACUGUACCACACUUUGAUAGUUUUGGCAAGGUUAGAUGGAAGGCCCUGCAUUUCAGUGCAUGGGAGGCUCAUCUGAGGCUCAUUUGCGUUAUAUACUUAGUGAGGUGCUUUUCUGAGACUCUCUUUCCCUCAUAUUUAGGGAUUUUAGGGGGCAUGAAGUUUUUAGGCAUUAGGAAGCUUCGGAUCUCCCUUGAGAAGGGGAGGUUGUCAUCAUCACCAUCAAUUUUAUAAGAGCGACAUGGCUUCUCAGUGCCUUCGUUAUCUUGCACAUUUUGGGGAGGUGAAGAUGCUCUUCCUCGACUGUCCCAAUCAACUAAAUUUCUCAUUUUCGGCCUAUUCCCAGGUGGAGGAGAUGCUUGUUCUUGUUUUUGCUCUUGUUGAGCUAAUCUCUGUAUGGAGCAGACCCUACUACUUGGGUUUUGCCCUAUUCGGUCGAAGACACUAAUCGAUCUUUGUGGCUUAUACUCUGGUGGGAAGUUUUCUCCCAGCUGUGGUUCUGCUGCUUGGCUCCCUUGUGCAUAAGAUAUGACAUCUAUGCUCACUUUUCUUUCGAUGGGGUGUUACCUGCACUGGCUCGAAUGGCCUCGGCCAUGAGAUGCAGGAACUUGGUCUUGAGCUGGGUAGGGUCCUUGUGGCAUUUGGAAGCCCUGAUUACCUUGGGCUUGCUUGAAGAAUUCACGCAUCGCCAUAUUUUAAGCUACAAUGUCUCUUAUGUCUGCAGCUAUUUGAGUAAUUCCUUCAACGAGUGUGGCCGUUCUUUCACUUCGGUGACGCCAAUGAUGGUGUCUCGGUGAGUGACAUUGGUUCGAAGCACCUCUUCUUCAAAGGCAUCCCUGAAUCUAGGAUUUGCAUCCUCAUUGCUAGAACUCAUUUUCUUGUCUCCUUUUUCAAGGGUGUUAAGAAUUUGUAUUGUAGGUUGACUUAGUACUUUUUCAGGAAUGUUCCCUUUUCAAGGUAAGUCGAUGGUUUUUCGACGGCUUUUUUGGUGGUAAAUGUGGAACUUUUUGGAGGAAAAUAUUUUCCACAGACGGCGCCAAUCUAUUGCCACGUGGCCAAUCGAUAGCCACUCCACGCAAUCCUCCCUGCAUACAAUAACGAAUGGUUAGAAGCACAUGGCUAGAACUAGCUAGGUGGUGGCUGCCGCGUACACUCUGACGGUCAAGUAAGUGAUCGUUGGUCAGAACAGUGCUUGAAUUGUGCAAGAGAGUGGGGAGGAGAAUAUAUAUAUUUCUUGAAUGUGGAGAGCUAAGUUGAGAGAGUUUCAUUACCUUUAUCUCUUGCCAAACCUCAGGUAUUUAUAGAUGAGGAGCCCCGUUGGAUGUGGAACAUGUGUAUGCAUCUGACGGUGUGAGGCAUCUGCUCAUAGGUAUCACUAAGCCGAGUCUAGAGUGGGCAGGUAAUUAAUUCUUAUGAGUUGAGUUGACAUAAAGUUGAUACAUCACAUCAACUAGACCCAUGAAAAUGUCACAUCAAUUAACCCAUGGCGAUAAAGAGGGUCCUGACAUAGAUAUAUUUAUGAAAUUGACGGCAGAGGGAUCUGUUAAGGAAGCACCUCGAAGUACAUAACUCUUCGGCAUCAGGGGACACUUCAGUUGCUUUCAUGGAGUGCCCCAUGUUUCAGCAUCGAGGGACACUUCGGUUGCUUCAGUAGAUUUACUUUGUGAUGCUUGUGCCUUGCAGCAUAUCAAGUUGAAGUUUGGCCGAGGUUGACGUCACUUCAAAACCACUUCGAAAGGACAUAUGUUGUCUCGUGGAAGAGUAUGCCUGACGUACAGAAGUGGUUUAAUGAGGGGUGUAAUAGCUACUACAUUUGUGAAAUGUUGAGAAUGUCGCUAAUAAAAUGAGAGAGUUUGACUUUUAUUCAUAUAUCUCACAAAGGUUAUUUGGACUGCUACAACUUUUAGAAAUUAAGAAGAAAAAAGAGUAUACUAAUUAACAAUAACUGAAGCAAGUCGGCCUCAAAUCUCUUAUUGAACAAAUGAAAGCAUGAGAAUUACACUUGGAGCCUCUAAGGUUUCCAAUUAUUUCAACUUUAUAGCCACAAAUUAAUUAUAACUUUUCCUUAUGUCUCAUCCAACAAGAGAAUUAGUGACGAAACUAAAGGAAUGUCUAGCAUGCAUCAUUGCUUGCAUUAUUCAACACAACUUUUCUAAAAAAAUCAAAGGAACCAGUAAUUGUUUAUUUUUAACACCAUCACAUCUUGACCUUCUCAUGAUACCAUGUCGUUCUUCUUCGGUUUUAACAUCAUGUUAACUUCUUAGGCUUUUUUAGGAAAUUCAUCCACAAGGUAGCUGAUCUUUUAGGAAAUUUACUGAGAACCGAGCUCCACGUACAGGGACCUAUUUCACUGGCCCUGCCAGGUGAGACACAUGUGGGGGUAGGUGAUGUGAUCCGAGUGUGCUACCAAUUACCAAGAAUUCCACUAGCAUUGGAAGGAAGAUCAAGGUUGAAACAAGCCCAAUGUUUGAACUAAAUUGGAGGCCAAAAGAAGGUGAUAAAGCUGGAAGAUUAUUUGAUUGAAAUUAUGAAGCGCUAAAUGUCGGAAUUAAUGAGCUAAGUCAAAAGUUGGGGAUGAAAAUCACAAGCCAACGUCCAAGAUUAAUAUUGAGAUUGAAGGCCACUUCAUUUAGAAGCAAUCGAGUUACAAGCCGGAAAAAUGAAGGCCAAAAUAAUUGGCACAGAUUGGAUGCAAAACAAUGGUUGAAUGGCUGUGAACUACAACUAUGCGACCGCAAGGUUGAACCACCCAUGCGGCCGCAUGAACCAUCAGAAGGAUUUGAGACCAGGUCGCCAAGUAUUCCAUGCGACCGCAUAGGAAAUAGCAAUGCGGUCGUAGUGUUACCGACAGGGAAAAUUUCCAGAAAUUCCAGAGCAUCUUGGUAGUUUCCUUUUUCUCUCCAAUCUUUUCAUGUUUUCUUCAUUAUUUUAGGAUUUUUUUUCCUUUUUAAAAUAGGAUUUUAAUAUUUUUAUUAUUUUUAGGGUUUUAGUAUAAAUAAGAAAUUAUUUUCAUUACUGUAUUGGAAGUUUAUGAUGAAUUAAAAAUUAGAGAAUUCUCUCUUUCGAGGCGUGAUGCUUCAACCAUUGUCGAACUUAUCGGGAUGAUUUUCUCGUGGCAUUCAACAAAUCCGGGUGAGAUUCUUAAACCGUGUAUUAAAAAGUCAUUAAUUUAAUAUAUUAAUGGCUGUUUGAGUCAUUGUUUAGGGGUUAAAUCCAAAACCAUCGAUUCAUUGGCACUCUUGGGAACUGUGGCAAUCUUGUUGUGGUUUCGUGAGUGUUCGUUGCUCAUGGGUUCGCAUCAGCAGGCCUCAAAAUCUUUUUAAUACAUGGGAGGCCUAUCCCCCAAUAGUGAGGGGCAUGUGAGGCCCUUAUGAAGCUGCACCAUAGACAUGUAGCUUUAAUCAUUUAGUCAAACGUCCAUUCAGGAAGUCUACAUAAAAAAAAUGCCAAAUCUAAUAUUGUAUUUGUACCCUUGGGUCCAUUCAAAAUUAUCAAGCAAUAACCAUAUGAAGUAACCCUUCACACAUACACAAUGACUAAGAAUGAAGGAAAAUUAAUCGAUUAAUUUCAAAACAUGCAGUUUUAUUUCAAAUUGAAGUACCAUAUGUGUAAAACAAAUGAUGACUUACUCUAUUGCCUUUCUAAGGUAUGAGAGAUGGUCCCUGUGAUACUUAAUCCUAGUUUCAUCAAUAUGAGCCUUUGAAAUUGUUAGGGCUUUACUGUUGACUUCAUCCAACCCUACAAAAUAUCAUGGAAGAAUUCAACAAACCACUAAAUGCUGUGAAAAAAUUGUAAUUUUAAAAUAUUCUUUUGUAAUUUAAAUAAACAAAUGAACACGACUAUAUACCAUUUUAUGUAAUGAUAAUCUUGGGACUAUCAUAUUUUUUUCAUUAUAUAAAGCAUGAGAUGGAAAAUUGCCUUUCGAACUAUGUACAGCCAUGGCCAACCAGCCUACCACGAAAUAAGAAAGAUUGCUAUUACGUUAGAUUAUACAUUAGCAUUGGAAAUUAUGUAAACCAUAAUUUGUAUUUUAAUUUGUUGUGUCUCUAUUAUGAGUCUAUGUCACGAUCAUGUGUCAUCAUAAUUUUUUGAUAUUCCUAAAUUGUUGUAAGAAUAAUCUAUUCAUUUUCAAUUUUUUCUCACAAAAGGAUAAUGUUAAUGGCUCAGCCGCUGACCAAUCGACUUCCCAUUACAAUAAGCUACAAAAGAAUGAGAAGUAAACAUAUUGUUAUUAGUAGUGUCCAUUUUAUGUCAAGAUAAAAGAAUAUAUGACUGAAUUGUACUUACUGUGAUUAUGCCUGGGCGAGAGUUGGUUCGUCCAUUUUAAAGAGAACCGAACUAAAGCAAAAAAUUUUGGGUGUUUAGUAAAUGGAACCGUCGGAUCCAAAUAUAUUUAUGGAACUGUUCGGGUUCUGUAUCAUUCGGUUCUAUUCGGUCCGAAUCGGUUCCAUUCUAUAAUUAAAUCUUUUAUCAUUUAUAACGACACUGCAUAAAUACAAUUAAUAAUACAUUCAAUAGUAGUUUUUACAAAUUAAUGUAGUUCAAUUUAAUAACAUAUAAAUGACAAGUUGUCCAACAAGAGUAAUUUACCAAUGCAUACAAAUACAAAAAAUUAGAUACCAAUACUAAAACUUCAAUGAUCCAUUGAAUGAUUCAUUUACUUCAAACCUUUAAGUCUACUUGAAAAAUGAAAUAUAAAUUAGAAGUCAUAGAGAUAAAAUAUUUUAAAGUAUUGUUAAUACUUACCAACUAUUUGAAUUGCCUAUCAAUUGUUUGACUUGCCAUACUCACAACUAAGAAACUCUACAAGAAAAAAUUGAAAAGUACAAUUAACAAACAUAAAUAAACUAAAAAUUGGAGCAUUAAUCACUUAAUUAGAUAAUUUUAUAAUUUAUUUAGAAAAAAUUAAAAGAAUUUGAUUUAUUCAGUUCUUCGUCUAGAACCGAGAACAGAACCGAACUUGUUGAUUCUUGAUUCAAAUACCCAUUCGAGCAUUUAACUUAAGAAAAACCGCAUGGUUCGAACCAGACAUUUUGCCCAGCCCUAACUGCGAUAUUCAACAUGCAGAUCAUUGUCAUAAUGGGGUUGUGGAGUUUUUUCACGUAUAUUUCUGGAAUAAUAAGUCAUGUAAUAAUUUAUACCUAAGACGUCACAAGAUCCAUUCGCUAGUGCCACCUCCUUUUGUUUAAUUUUGGGAAGACCUUUACUUAUAUUAUUUCUCAUGUAUGGUGGAUAAUCACCAGUUAUUACAGGGGCUACAAACCUGAACAGGGGAAAUGUGUUAACUAAAGGAUUACAAUAGAAGUACUAUCUGAAAUUCUAUAAAAGUAUAUCUGAUGUAUUCUCGAAAAGACACGUGAUUUAUACAAUAUAAAAACAACAAAAAUGUAUAAAGAAGUUAAAAUAUAAACAAAUUAGAAGAGAAGAAAUUUUCGAUAAUGAAAUCACAUUUAAAUUACUUCCCUUCACACUAAUUUCAUUUGGAGAGUUAGGAACUAACAGAGAUGAAGAGAAAUUUGUCUUGGUAAUGAUAAACUUCUCAAGCACAUGUAGUAAUUACCAUCCUAACAUAAAGUCAACUGCCUAUUGGAAAUAUUUCACAAUUAAGGGAAAUGGAGAAGAAGCAAGAUAGAAAAUAUAUCAAGUAGAUGAAAAUGAUAAAGAAGGCUCGAACACGAUAUCGUUGUCUUCAAACGACAUUUGCCCCCUCUAAGAUACAAUUUUGGUACUUAUAGGGUUCCUAGGCAAAAGGUUUGAACAUGAAUUUCAAUAUAAUUGUAAUGAAUAGUUUGAUCUUAAUUGUGGCUACAGAUUUUUCAAUAUUUUUUCUAGGUUAUCAACCACAUAUUUAUAGCCUUCAAACAUGCCGUAUGAAGUCGUACCAAAAAACCUUCAAAAGCUACCGGAAUUUUGAACAAAGAUGGCUGCUAACGAUCAUAUGAUUAUUCUAUGUGGUUGCAUAGCAUUAACCUAUGCGACCGCAUAGGUUGUUUGAAAGCCUCUAUGUGUUUGCACUCUAUUAAGGUCUACGUGGUCGCAUAGAUCAUGGGCUUGGCCCAUAUGUGGCCGUUUGUUUCCACUUUCAUUCCACACAUCUCACUUGUUCAAAAGUUCAUUAAAUCUCAUAUUCAAGGUUUACAAUGCUUAUGCAUAAGGAUUAGAUAACUUUCGAUUUAAAUCUAACCAUAGUGUAAUUUAAACAAAGUAAAGUCGGAAACAAAGGUAGCGUGAAGUUUUGAACUAGUUAUUCCAGGUGGCAAUACUGGUAAGAACAUACACAAGUAUAACGUGUUCUCAUGUUUCUCAAACUCGCUUAGCGCUAAUAUGGCCUUGCACUCAUCAUUUUUAACAAACUUUUAAGAGAAAAACUCCAACUCUUUAUUGAGGUGGCACCACCUUGAAGUUCUUUUAGGUGAAGUGAUGCAAACCCCGAAGCAACAGUGACUACAAAACCCACAACUAUAUUGAUGCGGAACCCAAGAACGCCAAUUGAUAAUUUAAUUUUGGAUUUGAACUCGACAAAUUGAAACAAGAAACCCAAAGAUAACUAUGAUGCGAUGAACCCCUUUUUUACAAAUUGAAGAACUCACGAUCCGAUGUUGAAUGCCACAAAGAAUUAAUCUUUGAUAAGUUAAAAUGAUUGUUCAAAGAAGAAUGAAGGAAGAAAGCAAAUUGCCUCUCUUAUUGAAUUCUAAAAAUAAUGUAAUACAAUGAAAAUAAAAUCCUAUUUAUACUAAACCUAAAAAUAAUGGAAAAAAUGAACUCAUAAUCUUCCAAUAUGGUAAGUAGUUCAAUUGGAAUAAAAUUCUGGCAGAAAAUGUGGAAAAUGCUUAAAAAAAUAAAAUUUUGAAUUUAAGCAUCGCUCGAGCGACGUUAAGCAAAAUUUGAGCGACAGCAGCAUCGCUCAAGAGAAGACACAACGAAAAGCAAGCGAAAUUGGUUUUGCUUUUCUCACUCAAGCGAGGGUCCAGCGAUGAGCGGGCGAAAUUCCUGCACUUCGUCAACUACGUUCUAGACUUGAAUUAAGUUCAACCACUUGGAUUUAGCUCCCGAGCUCAAAACCUGGAAUAAUUUCUUCAACUAUUGAUUGAACUAGCAUUCCCAUCGCCUGUUGACCGUCUUUGCCCUCGACUUAGUAUCGGACCAGCUCCAACGAUCAACAGAUCUCUACCAAGACUUGACUUCUCGACCUUCGGCUCCUAGAUCAUAUCAUCCCCUUUCUCUUCAAAAGGAUUCAUCCUCGAAUCUUCACCUGCAUCAAAAAAGAGAUAGACCAGCAACAUUAAAUGUAGCCGAAACAUUAUACUCACCUGGCAGAUCUACUUUGUAUGCAUUAUCAUUGAUUUUAUCGAUGACUUGGAAAGGUCCAUCUCCUCGCGGUUGCAAUUUGGACUUUUUCUGCUUCGGGAAACACUCCUUCUUGAAAUGUACCUAGACCCUAUCUCCAAGCUCAAAUGUCACGCAUCUUCUCCCUUUGUUUACUUUUGAUGCAAUCAACUUACUCUUUUCUUCGAUCUAUAUCUUAACCUUCUCAUGGAGUGACUUUAACAACACAGCUUUUCUUUUACCAUUCAAGCUACCUCGUUCAUUUACAGGCAAAGGCAAUAAAUCCAAAGAAGUUAGUGGAUUAAAGCCGUAGACUAUUUCAAAUGGUGAAAACGAAGUAGUAGAAUGCAUAGCUCUAUUAUAAGCAAACUCAAUAAAUGGUAAGCACUCUUCACAAAUUUUUCAAGUUUUUAUUGAUCACAGAUCGAGGCAAUUGAGUUAUGGUCCUAUUUACUACCUCAGUUUGCUCAUCGGUUUGUGGGUGACAAGUUGUAGAAAAUAAAAUUUUAGUUCCUAACUUAUUCCACAAGACACGCCAAAAAUGACUCAAAAAGUUACCAUCACGAUCAGACACUAUGCUCCUAGGGACUCCUUGCAAUCAUACUAUUUCCCUAAAGAACAAUCCUGCAAUGCUAGUGGUAUCAUCGGUUUUGUGACAUAGUAUAAAGUGUACCAUUUUACUAAACCUAUCAAUCGCUACAAAGAUUGUAUCUCGACCCCUUUUUGCCCUAAGCAAACCCAACACAAAAUCUAUUGAGAUGUCCACUUAAGGAUCACUAGGUACUGGCAAAGGAAUAUACAAACCAUGAGGUAAAAUCUUAGACUUAGCCUUUUUACAAGUUAUGCAUUUUUUACAAACUCAUUCUACAUCACUUCGCAUUUUAGGCCAAUAAAAAUGUUCUCCUAACAUAUCUAAAGUCUUUUGAACCCCAAAGUGCCUCAUUAAACCUCCACUAUGUGCUUCCCUUACCAACAAUUCACCUAUAAAACAAUUAGGUGUGCACAAAUUAUUUUCUCUAAACAAAUAUCCUUCAUGCCUAUAGCAUUUAUCAACAGCUCCCUUAUCACAUAAUUCAUAUAUGCUAGAGAAAUCAAUGUCAUUUUCAUACAUGCUCUUUAUAUCUUCAAAACCAAGUAACUUUGUAUUUAAAGAAUUAAGAAGCAUGUACCUUCAUUACAACGCAUCCACAACCACAUUUUCAUUACCUUGUUUAUGCCUGAUGAUGUAGGAAAACAUCUCUAUGAACUCCAUCCACCUCGCAUGUCUCUUAAUCAACUUACCUUGACUUCAUAAAUGCUUUAGGGACUCAUGAUCAGUGUGUAUCAUGAAUUCCUUAGGCCACAAGUAAUGCUGCCAAGUCUCCAAUGCACGAACAAGUGAGUACAACUCCUUGUCAUAUGUCGGAUAGUUUAGUACAACUCCGCUUAACUUCUCACUAAAAUAAGCAAUAGGUCUCCGUUCCUACAUUAACACUGCUCCAAUACCUAUCCCUAAAGUAUCACACUCAAUCUCGAAUGUUCUAUCGAAGUUAGGUAAUGCCAAAAUAGGUGCUUUACACAAUUUGUCCUUAAAAGUGUUAAAUGCAAGUUCUUGUGCUUCACCCCAGUGAAAACCUAUGCUUUUCUUAACAAUUUAUGUUAAUGUUGAUGUGAUUGUGCUAAAAUCUCUUACAAAUCUCCUAUAAAAACUAGCCAAACGAUGGAAACUCCAAACUUCAGUUAUGGUUUUAAGUGUUGGCCACUCUUUAAUAGCUUUUACCUUUUUUUAAUCUACUUCUACACCACUAGUACUCACCACAAAUCCUAGAAAGACAACUUUUUUCUGUACAAAACGUGCAUUUCUUGAAAUUAGCAUAUAGUUAUUCUUUCCUUAACACAGCAAGCACAUAUUUUAAAUGUUCCAAAUGCUCAUCUAGGUCUUUGCUAUAGAUUAAAAUGUCAUCAGAAUAAACUACAAACAAAUUUCCCUAUGUAAGCACGCAAAACAUGAUUCUUGAAAUGCAUGAAAGUGCUCAGUACAUUAGUGAGACCAAACAGCAUAACCAACCAUUCAUAUAAUCCAUAUUUAGUUUUAAAUAUCGUUUUCCACUUAUCAUCCUCCCUCAUACAAAUUUGAUGAUACCCGCUUUUAAGAUCAAUCUUACUAAAAAUGCAAGCACUUUGAAAUUCAUCUAGCAUAUCAUCUAGCCUAGGUAUUGGGUGACGAUACUUUACCGUUAUGUUGUUUAUAGCUCUGUAAUCCACACACAUUCUCCAAGUUCCAUCCUUCUUUGGCACCAAUAGAACAGGCACAAUGACUUAUACUCUCCUUCACAUAUCCGUUGCUCAUCAACUCCUCCACUUACCUCUGAAGCUCCUUUAUUUUCUCGGGAUUGUUUCGGUAAGGUAGUUUGUUUGGAAUGAUAGCUCCAGGUAUGAAGUCAAUCUGAUGCUCGAUGCCUCCAAUUGGUGGCAAUCCACUUGGCACGUCCUCUGGAAGUAUAUAUUCAAAUUCCUGCAACAAGGACUUAACCAAACUAGGGAGGGGUGUGUUAGAUUCCUCAAAAUUGAUAAAUGACUCUUUUUAUACGAACAACAACAACAAUGUUUACCUUUUAUCAACUUACUCCCCUUCGCAAAAAAGUUUACUUUCAGCUUUUCUCUCCUCUCAACUAACUUUUUUCUCUCCACUCAACUGAGUCUUUUCUCUCCUUUCAUGUGACCUCUCUCUUUUUCCCACUCUCGGCCACCUCACCAUUUUCUCUCUUACUCAGCGUCUCACUAUCUUCUCUCUCUUUUCUAAGCUCUCUCACUCUCCUCUCUUCCUCAUUUUUUAGUUUAAUUUGGUCUUCAUACACCUGUGCCGAUGUUAACGGUGCAAGAGUAAUGGAUCUCCCAUCCUUGACAAAGCUAUACCGAUUCCUAUACCCAUUAUGUGUAACUUUCCUAUCAUAUUGUCAUGGUCUUCCCAACAAGAUAUGACCCGCAAGCAUAGGUAAUACAUCAAGUACAACCUUGUCACUAUAACUCCCAAUCGAGAAAUUAAUUAAAACUCGUUUGUUAACCAUAACUUCUCCACUUUCAUUCAACCACUAUAAUUUGUAAGGCCUAGGGUGUAUAAGUAAAGCUAAUCCUAAUUUCUCAACUAAAGUUGUGGUAGCUAUAUUUGUGCAACUUUCACCAUCAAUAAUCAAAAUAUAUACCUUAUCAUGGAUGUGGCACCGAGUAUGGAAGAUAUUUUCCCGCUACUGCUCCGAAUCAUCCUCCUUGAUUUGAGUGUUAAAAGCUCACCUCGAAACCAACAAGUCCCCACCAACAAACUCUACCUUAUCCUCUUCUAUCUCAUCGUACUCUCCUUCACUCUCACUCACUACUUCUCCAUUGUCUAGCAACACCAUCACCUGCUUAUUUGGGCAUUGAGAAGCGAUGUGCCCAGACCUCAAGCAUCUAACACUUGAUUUCUUGACUCUUUGGUCGUUUUGACUCCAUUUUAGGCAUUGCUUUACUAGCAUCUUCAUCUUUUCCGUUUUGUCAUUCAUUCAUGCCUUUAGGUACAACAUCAUUUCUUUUACUAUUAUCCCACCUCGAUUUCUAAGAUGAAUUAGAACUCGAAGUACCUAGUUGUUGCCUAGCUGUCCCCUUCCUCUUCAACCAUCUCUCCACCUUUAUGGACACAUGCGUCAUGUCUUCGAAUUCCUCAUAAUGCUACAACUCAACUACAUUAGUAAUUUCCCUAUUUAAACCAUUCAAGAACCUUGCCAUAAUAGCUUCCCGAUCCUCCACCACAUUCACUCUAAUAAUGAGUAUCUCCAUUUCCUUGUGGUAAUCCUCUACACUCUUUGACCUCUGAUACAAGCUUUGCAAUUUUAAGUGGAUCUCCCUAUAAUAGUGGCUAGGAAUGAACUGUUUUCUCAUCAAUGCCUUCAACGCAUCCCAUGUGCUAAUUGGUCUUCCCCCACUCCUACGUUGUGAAGUAACCUCUUGAUCCCACCAGGUUAUGGUAUAGUCAAUGAAUUCUAACACCGCCAACUUGACGUUCUUCUACUCCAAGUAGUUAUAACACUCAAAAACUAAUUCUACCUUUCUCUCCCACUCUAAGUAUGCUUCUGGGUCACUUCUCCCAUUAAACCGUGGAAUGGUCAUUUUGAUACUACCCAGAUUCCCAUCCAUCUCAUCUCCAUGAUUAUUCCUAACCUGUCUUUCAAACCUAUCGCCUCUAUUCGUCGUCCAUCCCAAAUCAACGUCAUUAGCCUCAUACUCAUCUAGAUCACUAUCAUAUUCCUCAUACCUUAUCUUCCUAGGUUCUUGCCUACUCAGUCCCCUAGCAUUUGACAUCUCUAUUGGCUGUCCCCUAUGAAGAUUAGCCACUUAUGUAUCUAACCUAGUCAUCCAAGCCUCCUGUUGAUCCAACCUAUCCCUCACAACUCCAAAAGUACUCUCAAAUCGCUGUAUCAAAUCAUUUAUUGCGGCAUUAUGAUUGCCAUGUUGGCUUGAAUCGGAAUCUUCUCAUCUAGACAUCCUAAAACUAGAAAUUUUUAUUUGCCUCAUCCGUAUUCACUCGAAAAUCACAAAAUAUGGCUUUUAUCCUCUAAUAAGCUCACCAUCUACCUUUUACCACUCAAUGCUUUUACUAAGUGCUUCCAAGAACAAUCAAUGAACUCACCGGAUUCAAAAUUUGUGGACUCAAGACCGAAUGCAAGUCAAGGAAUAUAAUUUUUAAGGGAUUUUCGAACAAUGGAAUUGGAAUUUUGAAAAGACUCAACUAAACAAUUUAACAAUGGAGGUGUAAUAAAGAUUUUAAAAUGAUUUUGACAACUUUGAAUUUAUUUUUAUUUUUGUUAAUCAAACUUGGAAUGUUGGUAGUAAACCAAUCAAAAAAUUAGAAAUUUUUUUUUUAUGUGAACAUCAACUUUUUUUUUUUUUUUGAACAGCAACCUUUUUUUUUAUAUAUAAAACAACAACAAGAUUAUACUACCAACAAAAUUUCGAUCUAUGAACAAGGAACAAAGAACGACUCAAGAACACAAAAGGAGAACUAGGAAAUGAAAGAAUUUGGCGAACAAACAAGAAAAAAAAGAUAUAACCUAAUUAUAUUGGAGCCAAAGCUCUAAUACCAAUUGAUGUGAACCCCGUAGGUACAGUAAUUAUGUAAACCCAUUAUUAGAUUGAUGCAGAACCCAAGAACACCAAUUGAUAAUCUGAUUUUGGAUUUGAACCCGACAAACUGAAACAAGAAACCCAAAGAUAAUUGUGAUGCGAUGAACCCCUUGUUUACAAAUUGAAGAACCCACGAUCUGAUGCUGGAUGCCACAAAGAAUUAAUCUUUGAUAAGUUCAAAAGAUUGUUCAAAGAAGAAAGAAGGAAGAAAGUAAAUUGCCUCUUCUAUUGAAUUCUCAAAAUAAUGUAAAGUUCUAAAUGCAAUGAAAAUAAAAUCCUAUGUAUCUCAUAAUCUUCCAAUAUGGUAAGUAGUUCAAUUGGAAUAAAGUUCUGCAAAAAUAUGGAAAAACGCGUAAAAAUCUCGAAUUUAAGCGUCGCUCGAGCGAUGUCGAGUAAAGACCCAGCUAAAAGCGGGCGACAUUGGUUCUACUUUUCUCGCUCGAACGAUGAGCAAGCGAAAUUUUGGCACUUCGUCAACUUUGUUUUGGACUUGAAUUAAGUUCAACCACUAGGAUUAGGCUCCCGAGCUCAACACCAAACUUGUUCCUUUUUGCUCCAAGACCGAUGUUUCUUCAACUAUUGAUUGAACUUCUUUGCCCUCAUCCAAGUCAUCGGACCAGCUCCAACGAUCAAUGGAUCUCUGCUCGGACUUGAAUUCUCGACCUUCAGCUUCUGGAUCAUAUCAUGAAGUUCUUCAAGUAUCUUUGAUACAUUUAGAGAUACUUGUAUUUAGUACUUAACUUCAUUAAGAGCUUGAAGCCCAAUCCUCAAUCCAGUAACAACCAACAUUAUUUAAUUAGGAUAGGGUUAUCGUGGAUUUUUAUAAUGCUGAAACUAUCUAUAUAUCAAAUGAUUUGUUGUAACUUUUUGAACCCGUGGAUUACCCUUUGAGUAAUGAUAGGUAGGCUUGCCGUCAUUGGUGGACCUUUUAAUUUAGGAGUUUCAACCUCAUUAUACUUGAAGUACGUGCUAUUAAUUCUCUAUUUAGAGGUUUAGCUAAAGGAUCUACUAAAUUCUUGAUUGACUUUACAUAAUUUAAGAAAAUUAUUCCAUCCUUAAUUAAUUUCCUUAUGAAGUCACAUCUAAGACUCAUAUGUCUAGAUUUUCCAAUACACGUGACUUAGUAUCUUAUUAAAUGUAGCUAGCCAAUGAUCGAUUCAUUUAAUAGAUACAACUUGUCACUAUCACGAAAUCCUCUUAUGAAGCUAUGUGCUUCUCACUAACUUUAUCUAAAGCUUUAUUGAUUUCCAAACACGGUUGCAGGAUUCAAAUUAUCACACUAGUCAAUCAGUUUUGCUAGUGGAUUUCAUAUAUGGGAAUUCAAUUCUCAUCAUUGAAAUAUUACAAUGACCUUCAAUACUAAGAAUAUUAUUUAAAUAUUCCAAUUGUUUUUGCAAAUGCCAUAACCGGCUUUAACCUAUUUCAUCCACUUUAGACUUAGUGUAUAUCAUCAUUAUAAUCGUAUAAGGAUUUUCUACAUUUUCUCCUCCAUAGACAUCUUUCUAUGAUUAAAAUGGCACAACAAACUGUGACUUUUAUACUAAGUUAGCCCUACAAUUCCUUAAUUAGGAAUACAAAUGCAAUCUAGUAAUGUUGCAUCCACAAGUCUUGAACUUCUCAUAUAAUUUCACGAGCAUUAAUGUUAAUGCCCACAUUUUGGGUUAUACUUGAACUCAGAGUUCAUUAAAUCUUUCAUAGUUUAAUUCAUUUAUCACUUUGAUAAUAUCCAUGAAAGUGUAUAUACUUUCAGAUAGUGUUUGUUAAGUCACAAUGUACUUCAAUCCAACAAUCUUUAAUUUUGAUCACACACAAUUUAAUCAAGGUCAUUUCAUAGACCGAUAAUGCUUUUCCAAGCAUAAACCAACUUAAUUGGUUCCACGAUUGAAGUUAAAUUUAACAAUGAAGAAGACUAAGCAUCUUGGUUCUCAAGAAUUGGUACUUCUCCAAAUAUAAGUGACUUAUCACUUUUGUGACCUUUCAUAAGUUAGCAUCAUAUCACAUCAAAUAAUGAGGUACAUAUUCACUUUAUUCAUAUUUGGAUAAAAUCACAUUUUGUCAUGUUCAUUUGCAAAUAUAAUUUUGUAUCAAUCAACUCACAUAAUUUCAUCCAAUUAAUUGAAGCUAUCAUCAUAAUCAUAGUUAGUAUGAUUUUAACAAGAUGUGAAAAUUUAAAUUUCAACAAGAUCUAUCAUAUUUCAAUAAAAGGAAUAGUCAUGAAAGUUCAUAUACUUUCAACAAAUAUUUGGUAAUCUUCCAACAUUAUCAUCCCAUGCAUAUGAACCAUUUCCAACUGUUACGAUAAAGUGAGAAUAAUCAAUUUAUUUCAUUUUCCACAUGCAGUAACAGUAACAUUAAUAAAAAAUUGGAAUAAGUCAAAACUUUGGAAAGUCAUAUCUUUUCAUCUUUCUUAUUAGGUUGAUACUUAUUAAAAGUAUUCUAUUUGUCACAAUUUAAAAAUAAUCAAUCAUAUAGAUCAACAAACAUACUCUACCGUUUUACUCUGCCAAUAGUGAACAUAGUUUAUUAUAUGAAUAGAUGCAAUUUGUAACUUUCAACCGCAUAUGGUUUUAAUUGACCACAAAGGAAAUAACACAUUGCUUGUUAAAACAUGAUAUCCAAACCAUAAACUAUCAAUGUUUACAAAUUUCAGCAAACGAUCAUGCACAUAUAUACUUUGACAUGAUAAAAUUGAACACAUACCGCAAAUUUGGACCAAAAGUCAUGCAUAAAUUCGCCUUUUCACAUUAUAGCAAUGUAGGCAUUCAUAUAUUCUUUUUCUAUCAGCAGCAAUCAUUUGACCAUUGAAAUAUAAUGCACACCAUAUAAAUUAAUAUCCAUUUAGUGGGUUUCAUCUCCUUUUUUUCAUAUGUCAAAACUAUAUUUAUAUAAUGAAAAUAGAUGUUCAAUCCGUUUUAUGCAUAUAAAAUCAGAUUAAUAUGUAGUCAAAACCCACGUAAUUUUUUUUUCAUGUGCGAAGAUCGAAUAAAAUUUCGACUUGCCAUAAUGGAAUUUGAGAAAAUGAAAUGAUAAUUACUAGAAUCGAAUAUGUGGCGAUGGAUUCAAUCCUUUCCAAAACGUUAUCUCCAAUGCCGUUAGAGAAACUCCAACUUGGCAUACCAUCUUGUGAAGUUUGUCCCACCAAAAUGGUCCAAACAAGAUCAUGAUUCAUCAACUUGAUCGUAGCCAUUAUGGUUUCAUUCUCCAUAGCAGAAAUAUCGUUUGAGAUCGUUGGAAAUAUUUCACAACCAAGGGAAGUAGAGAAGAAACAAGAUAGAAAAUAUAUCAAGUGGACGAAAAUGAUGAUGAAGGCUUGAACAAUCCUCAAAUGAUAUUUACCCCCUCUAGAAUACAAUUUUGGUUCUUAAAGGGUUCAUUGGAAAAUGGUUUGAAGUAUUAAUCAAGCCUUAUAAAGAAUUUAAUUCUUAAGCACUGGUGUAAUUCUCCAAAACUCAAGAACAUAAAAGGAAAGGCUUGAAUAUGAAUCUGAAUAUAAUUGGAAUGAAUAGUUUGAUCUUAAUUGUGGCUAUAGAUUUUUCAAUAUUUUUUCUAGUUUAUCAACCACAUAUUUAUAGCCUUCAAACAUGCCAUACGAAGUGGUGCCAAAAAACUCUCAAAAACCACGUGAAAUUUGAACAAAAUGGCUACUAACGGUUACAUGAUUACCCUAGUAUUAGCCUAUGCGACCGCAUAGGUUGUUCAAAGCAGGGCCUAUCUCCUUGCGAUCAUACCCUUAUAGGGUCUAUACGGUCCCAUAGAUCAUGGGUUUGGCCUGUUUGUGGCUGCUCGUUUCCACUUUCAUUCCAUACACCUCACUUAUUGAUUUUGAACAACAAUUCUCAUCACUGCCCUCAAAGCAGCCUAUUCAUCCUCCUGGGUGUUGUCCCUAAGUGGGUAAAACCACGUUGAAACAUUUAUCACCCCUUUUUUGCCUCCUUGGUGUUCCUGUAUGUACAAAUGUAAUAAUAUUUAUAAUCAAUAGUUAAAUCUCAAAAGUGUUUAUUUAUAUGUGUGUUUGAAAUGAAAACUUGAUAAUAUUUCCUAUACAUAUAAACCGCAUGUGCGCGAGCAAGGAUCAAAUUGUGUGCCGCAAUAUAUGGAUCAGUGCCCAGAUUUCCAUUUGAGAAAGUAUGGUGAGGCAAUUUUUGUGCCAUAGCAAUUAUUUCUCCGAUUCGAUCUCUUUUAGAGGAAUCAAGUUCUCUGAUCGGAUCACCUUCUGAAGAAGUAAAGUGAGGAUUAGUCAUUGGACAUAUGUGAUGAAAGAUCGAAGAAUGCAUCAAUUGUUUUAUCGAAGUUUCAUUUGCUAAAGUUGCACAAGGGGAGAAAUUGCCUAUCACAUAUCCAUAAUAAGUAAAGGCCCAUCGCUCAAUUUAGUGUGAUCCAAUGUUUUACUCGAUUACCAAAUUCCUCAAAGCACAUCUUAGCAAACUCACAAAACGCAACGUGAAACAAGUUAAUAUCAAGAUAUACGUGUAACGUGCACAUGAUAAAAAUUUUCACAUAUCAUGUUAAAUUCUCCCUAGCAUAGAACUAGAGAGCAGUAAACAAAAAAGAAAAUAUUGAAAUCAUCUCCCUAUCAUAGAACUAGACAGCAAUAAGAAGAAAAGAUACUCUCUAGCAUAGAAUUAGAGAGCGCAAAAAGAAGAAGAGAUAAAUUCAACGUGAAAUCAUAUUGAAGAUUGGAAAAUAACCAAUGACUUAUAAGGUAUACAAGUGCUCUAUUUAUAGACACGGUACAAUAGCAUUAUAGCUGGACUUCAACAGAUUUAACUAACUAACUAUAUUUAUUCUAAGUAACUAAACUAACUAACCAACUAACUAACAUAACUACAUAACAGCUGGAAUCAAGAUUGGAAUCUGGUGAGCUGAACUGGAAGGGAUCUACUAAUAUGUAUUGUUUCUGGUUCUAUAUUGUAAGAGCCCCCCUCAAGAGGGGCAUGGAUGUUCAAAAUGCCCAUGUUGCAGAUAUUGGAAUGAAGCAUGACAGAUGAUAGAAACACCAUAUGGUUCAAUUUAGAUUCCAGCAGCUAAAUAUCCAAGAAUAGAUUUUUCAGAAUCACAUGGUACUUUCUGGAACACGUCAGUGGAAAGACUAUACCUCCGCGUGCAAUUCUUCAGUUUUUCACAACUAAUGACUUUGUUUUCAGUGAACAAAAGGUUAAGCCAAGAUCUUAACAGCUUAUCCUCAAUAAACUAAGAUCAGAUUUUAUCACGGAUAAGAAACCAAAAAGGCGUAACAAAGCAGAUUUCGAGAGAGAAAGUUAAAGAGGAGUGCAAGUGCACUUAAGAAGAACCAUGUCUUGUGAACCUUCACAAAGGUUUGGUUGGGUGGACUAUACAACAAUUUGCAUAGAUUUUGAAGUACUAAAGGAUGUUGUGAGAUACAGCAGACAAGAACUUGAGGUAGCCUGCGAAGAUUUCAGUAACAUCAUUGGAUCCUCUCCAGAUAGCCUCGUAUACAAAGGCACCAUGAAAGGUGGGCCUGAAAUUACUGUUUUAUAUAUAUAUAUAUAUAUAUAUAUAUAUAGGAUAAGUAAAGAAGGAAUCAAAUGCUAUCCCGAUCUCAUAGAUGCACUUUUGGCUAUAUAUAUAACAUUUAAAUUGAGGAAAUUGCUUGGCAACGUCAUUCGAAAUUUCAAAACUUUUUGUCCUUUGAUCUAAAGAUAUCAUUUUUCUCGUCAAAAGUUUUUCUAAAUUUAUCUCAUCCUUUUCCAUGAGUUACUAUGCAAGAUUGUCGAGACUUUCUAGUCCAUUUAGACAACUGAGCCCUACUUUUCAAUGAGAACAAUAAACUCUACAUUGUCAACAAUCUCGUCUGCUUUGCCAAGUGAGGAUUUUGAUAAAAGGCAGUAUAGUCAUAUAAACUUUCAAGAAAAAAGCUCUUUGGCCUUAAAAAAAUUAGAUUACUUGGAAAACUUUUCCUUUCAAAUAAAAUAAUGCACAAACUCUAAAUCUUCCACGUUUCAAUAUUGAAAUAAAAUAUCUAUUUUUAUAUUUUUAUUGAAGUAGAAUCCAAUACUUGGUAAGAUUCUGGACCAUGAGAUUGAAAUCUAUAAGAAUUCAAACCUUCUUCAUCAAAGCCACAACUUCCUGCAAAAUUAUGAGCACAAUUAACAAUGAAACAGAUAAUUCUUGGUGGCUUAAAUUAGAGCACAGUCAAUCAUAAUGGAAAUAAUUUUUGUUUCUACCAUUUUUUUUCAAAAUUGAAAAUUUUGACUUCAAAUGUUAACUAAGUAUCAACUCUGUUAGGUCUAAGAGUGUAAUUAGUGAUUUUGGGAAUAAAAGGGAUGUAAUUGAAUGUUUGUAAAAGUUAGGGACUCAAUUGAACAUUGAUGUAAAAGUCAGGGCCUUGCAUUGCAAUUUUGUAAAGUUGGGUAGGCUAGGGUUUACACUUGAGGCUAGGGUAAAGAUACAGCAAAGCGUCGCUGGCUGCUCGCUUGACCAAUGCUCGAGCAUAAAAAGCAGAGAGCUCGUCACUCGCUCUUCGUCCCCUCAUCGCUCGAGUGAUAAUGUUUUGCCAGUAAUUCUAAGUCUAAUUUUUCGAGACUUUUACAUGGCCCAGGACUCUCAUCUGUCCCCAGAUAUAAAUCAAAGGUCGUGAACAAAAGGAGGAGAUUGCCACAUUGUGCCUACAUUGCAAAACAUCUUCCUACAUUCUUUCAAGAGGUCCAAGAUAGAAUUGAUCAAGGAAUUCAUCUAUAACAUCUUGUGAUUUGGGCAAUCUACGAUGGGAAAACAUCAAAGUUCUUGAAGACAAAACAACGUGUCUUCCUUCAUCCGUUGAGGAAGAGACUAUCUCAUUGGGGAUUGAGAGAGGUGGACGUCAAGCACAGUGAAUCGGACAAGAACAGGCGAUUCUUGAAAUUCCACUUUGUGAUACAAUCGUGAGACUGGAGCAGUAGGUUUGAUUGGGUACGAAGUUUGAUGUAACUUGUACUUGCUAAAUUGGUAUAGUAGACAUCACUGACUUGGUCCUGGAGUUUUUUUUUUCCACAUUGGGUUUCUCUGGCAACAAACUGUGAGUUGUGUUGAUUUAUUCUUUUACAUAUUGCAAAACGAUAGUUCAAUAUAGGAUUAACAUGACUUGUAUGUUUAACGAACUAGAUUAAUUAGUGACUUUUUGCUAUUAAUUGUAUUAAUUCUGCACGUAAGGUCGAAUUGGUAACUUGGAACGUAAACUGGGUAAAGCAUAAAAUUUGAAUUUAGGAUUAGUUCAUUUUACAAGUAGUAUCCAAAGCGUUCCUAGAACUUUCAAGUGGUAUCAGAGCCUAAACACGAGUCGUGACCUUACAUUGUCUAGAUGAGUAUGUCAUUGAGUAUGCCGCCCCAUUUUGAUGGGAAUAAUUUUGCGUAUUAAAAAGUGAGAAUGAGGGCAUUUUUGAAGCUAUCACUACAACAAAAAUGUGAUUUUGCGACAAGAUAUUUUGUGAUAUACGGAAAGUUGUCGUAAUAAGUGAUUUAGCGCAACACAUUUUUUAAGUUUGUCGCAAAGAUUGAUAUGAAAAAAAUAAGUAACAAAAAAUAUAAGGCGACAUUAAAAGUUGUCGUGAAAUGUGAGAAGGUGCGACAAAUAAUAAAGAUUGUCACCAAAAACUGGAGAGAAGCAAAAUGCCAAAAAUAUUUUUGGUGGGAAAUUUAUGGCGACAAACUUUUAUUUUUGCAACAAAGUGUGUGUGAUGCAAUAGAGUCCACUUUUUGCGACAAGGAAUAUGUGUUGCUAAAAUUUCUAUAGAUAGAGGAAAAAAUCGUUACAAGAAAAACUAUUUUUUACAACGGACAAAAAAUGUAUCAUUAGGUCUUUCACAACACUCACUCGUAUGUUGCAGGUUCUAAUGUUGUCGUAGAGUAGAAAGAUAUGGCAACAUGCAAUGCAUGUUUCAAAAGGUCUCAAAUCACGUUGUUGUUAUGUUUUUGCAAUGUACCUCAUCAUAGCUUUUAUUAUAUUUCGCAAUGCUCUUUGCCUAUUGCCUUAACUUCUUGCAAUGUUCUUUUAUUUUUUUGUAACAAAUGUUUAUUUUUCAUCUAGUUAAAGAUGACAUUUUAAUAUGUACUACAAUUUUUUUUUUAAAUUUUAAUUAUUUUUGACCAAGAGAAAAAUUAUUUAAUAAAAAUUUUGUAAACUGUCAAGAAUAACUUUAUCUUCAACCAAAAAAAAAAAAAAAAGUUCAUUAGACAAUAAAAGUUUCAAUCAUAUAAUAACUUAUAAAAAGAACUACUAUGCUGAACCAAUUAAAAAAAAAAAAAAUAAGCAGUAAAAAUGACCAUCUUUUUUUGGUAUUAAAAAAUUAAAAAAUUGUUUUGUUUUUUAAUUUUCUAUUUUACCCUUCAACCUAAUAAAAACACCCACGAUUAAACAUUAUUUUAUUCCCAGCCAAAUUUCGCAAGGGUUUCUUCCAAGUAAAAAUCCCCAAAUCCAUAUCAAUUGGCGGCACAGUCCAAUAGGUCACCACCACUCUUCUCACGCCUCCAUUGCCGUCAACCGCAUCCAAAGCGUUUUCUACUUACUGCUUAUCUGAGAAAUUUUAGUAGGUCGAUUUGCAUUUUUUCCCCCUUCUAAUCUGUUGAGGAGAAACUUAGAUUUACAAUUUUGGUUUCUUCUUUAUUUGGGUUUGAUAUGUGUUUGUUUAAUCAUACAUUUUUCUUGUUGAUUUGAUCGUUAAGCAAUGCACAAAUGUGCUUAUGAAUUUCUUUUAUUUUAAUAUACAAGAAGGGUGUUAAUAUUGGGUUUAAGUCCCUGAACGGUUACUUUUGUUCCCUUCUCUCAUCAUCUUAUUUCUAUAAUACUCUAUGCUAGAUUAGAUUAUAGAUAUGAUCUGCUAAACCAAUUAUUUUUGUGACUUAUACGCCAGUUUCUAUGUUGCACAGAGACAGAGUUUAACAAUGGCUUAUUAGAUUAGUCAAAACAAAUGAUACCACAUUUCUUGUUUUACAGUUCGAAGUUUAGUAAGCUGCCUUCCCAUUAUUGAUGUGUUUCAUAAUUAUUUCUGGGUAAUGGGUGGUUUUUUUAAAGGACGUGUCCUCACUCUUCAUGGAUGUUGUUAACUACAGGGAAAAGAAAAUUUGGACCUGGAAAAGCUAGUUUAUUUACAUCUCGUCGUAGUCUGAUCUUGUUAUACUUGACGUGAACACAACGGUGAAGGUAAUAUGCACAAAAAUGUCAAUCUUCUUCAAAUUGAUACAUUUUGAGCAUAUUCUGACACUUCUAGACUUGCACUUUAUGUUGAAUUGUGAUAUGAUUUUCCACCAAUUUCUUGCACUCAUAGAAUAUAUAGUUUGCAGAAGGUGGUCAUCUCAAAUGGAAGCCCAUUUGAACUUUGCAAGUUUAUUUUUUUUUUCAUUAACUUUAUAUAAUCUUCCUAGAAUAAGAUUGAAUUCUGUUGUCCAUGAGUUUAUUAGUCCUACAAAUUGCAAGCAGUUUUCCUAUUUGAGUUAUUAAUUGUUACUUGUACAAGGGAAGUACUUAUUCUACGGAAAAAAUAUGUAUACUAAAUUUGUAUAUGGGAAAAUAUGUAUUCUAGAACUGACCUUUUAUAGUAAAUAAUGCAGAUGUAUUUUGUUGGGGGCUAGUUUCAUGAGAACCAACUGUUUCCACCCUUGUUGCUUUCAGCUUCGUCACGAGAUCAUCAUUUGUUAAAUUCUCUGUUGUAUUUAGGUUGACUAUUAGAAUUUGUUUCAUGAGUUAAUUAUUGCACUAAAUUGGAAGUGUUCAAAAGAAUCUAAUUUUUAGAAUAUCCAUUCCAGUAGCUUAUUCUUUUGUUUUGGUUAACAUUGUUUGUUGUUUUCACUAAAAAUUACUGACUACAUAUUCUCUUUUGUAUGGUCUAUGUAAAUACAGAGAUAUACAUGCUGGAUAGGAGUUGGAUGCAACUUUGUAACAGAUUAAGUAAUCAAUAUUUAGAUGGUGUUAAUUCAGGAGGUAGCAAAACAAUGUCUGGAUGAGAACAACGAGGUUCAGUGUCCACGUCGAGAUUGUCAAAAUGCAUUUAUGGUAGAAUCUCAUUUAUAUCAUCCCAAAGUCUCUGGAAGUUAUGAGAGAUGGAUUUUUCAUGGGGUGGAACUUGAGAAUGAUACGGAGGGUGUUGAAAGAAAUACAUCUAAAUUGGAUGAAGCAGAAAAUGAUGAUGAGAUGAUGAUAUGUUAGAAAAUCUAUGUGCUGCUAAAGUCAUCUGAAGCUGGCCAAACUCGAGAGGGGGAAGCAUAUGGCAGAAAUCAUAAUUUCUCACAUAUGAUGAUGCGACAAACUCUCUGUGUUGUGAAAUAAAUUUAAUUACAAACAUCACUUGUUUUAUGAUAAACUGUAUUAUAAAUUUUGAAUAUCUUAAAAUAUAUUAUGCAACAUAUCAAAUGCAUUGUAAAUCAUAUUUCGCUACAAAUUUGACUUGUUAUUAAAUAUAUAUCGCUAUGAGCAUGUGUUGCUGCAAAAUAGAAUCGGUAACAAAAUUUAUACCUUUAAAAUAAUAUUCGCAAUAGAUAUUUUUCUUGGAAAAACUUUAUAGUAAUAAUUGUUGCAACAGACUGACUUAUCGCCCUUUUAAUUUUUAGCGACAAAUAUGAGUUGCGACGACACUAUGGUGACAAAUAUUGUGUUGCUAUUUUGUACUUUCCGCAUCAAAUAAAUAAUGUUGUGAGUUUAUUAAUGUGAUGAACCAGUGAAAGUUGUCGCAAAAUAUAUUUUGUGACUCAUAUAGCGCGAUAAUGCCUGCAACAAGCGUCUAGUUGUUGCUAAAUUUCUUUUGCAACAAAAUCUCAAUUUUUGCGACAAUAUUUUUUUGUCGCGAAAUCGGUUAUUUUUUUUUAGUGUAUGUAUGAGAGGAUAUGGUUAAGUGUUGUGAAUGGUUGGUCUGCCCCUACUACCACAGUCGAUGGUGUUGUCACUCCUACCUCCAUAGAAAAUUGGUCUAGAGUUGAAUUAGAUAAAUGUAAUUGGAAUAGUAAAGCCUUGCAUGCCCUAUUUAUGGCUAUUUCCCCUGAAGAAUUUAGGAAAGUGUCCAUGUGUGAGGUAGCAAAGGAAGUUUGAAAUAUUUUAGAAACCACACAUGAAGGAACUCAGGCAGUUAAGAAUUCUACACUGCAGAUGCUAGCCACUAGGCUUGAAGAGAUAAGAAUGAGAGAUGAUGAGAUGUUUGAUGUAUGCGAGCCUAAAUGACAAAGUGAAUUCGUCCUUCUAUCAAGGGUAGAAAAUCCCCGAGUCUAAGAGAGUGAGGAAGAUUCUUAGAUCCUUACCCGAACGUUUUAGGCCUAAAGACUCUGCAAUUGAGGAAAGUAAGGACAUAGACACUAUCAAUGUAGAAGAGCUAGUUGGAUCCCUCCAGACCCAUGAGCUUACCUUAAACAAUCUAGCUAAGGAAAAAUCUAUAGCCUUGAAAUUCGCUCGGAAUAACUGGAUGGAAUCUUCUGAUUUACAUUCACCCAACAAUGAGGAGAUCACCUACUAACUAAGAAAUUUCAAAAAAAGUUUAGGAAGAAGAAGCUGCAAGAAAAACUGAGAAGUAGCCUCAGUGACUCUAGGAGAAAGUCUAAAUCUGUGAGAUGCCAUAAGCGUGGAGGUUUUGGCCAUUUUAAGAGUGAGUACCCUAAUGCUAAGAUAGUCAAGAACAAGGCUAUGAAUGCUACUCUCACUAAUGAUGAGUGUAGCUCGAACAGUCAGAGUAAGAAAUCCACAUAUGAGGAGAGUGGAAAAUAUAUGGCCUUCAUUGCUUGGUUAAGAGUGGAUCCCAACAAGAUGAUGAUAUAGAUGGUAGUGAAGAAUCUGGUGAUAAGAAUGGAAGUGAGGAAGAUCUUGAAGAAGCUUAUGAUAAAAUUUAUAAAGAAAGUCUCAAGAUCAUAGCUACUAACCAAGUGCUGAACAAGAAAGUGAAGGAACUUAGGUUAGAGAAAGAAUAUUUAGAGGCCCAGGUUAGUGAUCUCACGAGUAAGAAUGAUAUGUCCUCUAGGAGAGUAAGUGAGCUAACCGAUGGAAAUAAGACCUUAGCUAUUUAGGUCAAGCACCUUGAGAGUGAGCUGGAGUUGUCUAGUUCUCAGAUACUUGUCUUUUCUAGCAAUUUUGAAAAGCUAGAUAAUAUUUUAGGAAUAGGCAAGCCGAUGGGUGAAAAGGGAGGUCUAGAUUUUAAUAAUAAUGCUGCUAGUACUUCACAAACCACUUUUGUUCGUGCUACUGACCAGUCUAACACUGUGGCUAGCCCCAUAUCUAAUGUUGUGGAAUCUUUAGGACAGAGGUCUACCAAACAUCGUAGGAUCCAUCAACAUAGGAAUAGAAAUCAGCGUCACCAUAACCAUAGUGCUAGGUUCAUCCCUACUUACUUUCACUGUGGAGAAUUAGGUCACAUACGCCCUAGAUGUCAUCAGUACUUCAACAAAAAUAGGAACAUGAACUUAAAUGAGAACAAAAAUUAGGUGUCUAUUGGUCAAAUUGGAUUCCUUACUGAGCUAGUGAAUUGUUUGACCAAGUUGGUGACACAACUGUCGGGGAACUGCUCUCUCGCGAGAUAGGUUUGGGUGAAAAGGAGUGAUCUACAGAAUCUGGAAGUGGAUCAUGGUGCUCUUAAAGGAAAUAACACUUAUAUAUCUAGAUAAUUAGGUAUAUGUGAUGCAUGCUUGCUCUUAAUUGACAUACGAGUGUUGCAUGCAUCACAUGAUUUUUGCUUGUUUUUGUCUAAUCUUUUUAUUUUAUGCAUGUGCAUUUUCAUUUUUUUGCUUUGACACAUGCAUAUUUAGUUUAAUCUUUGUGUGCUUGUCUUUAUUUUCUUUUGUGUGUGGAGCAUUCAUUUUAGGAAAAAUGAAAAAUACAAAAAAAAAAUUGAAAAAGAUAAAAACGGUCGGUUAUGAAAAUUGCUAUAGCAUGACAUAUAAUUCUGAACUUGCUAGUUGUAAUCAUGUAUGAGCUAAAAUUGAUAAGAUGUAGAGUAAUUUUCAUUUCUUGGUUAGGUCUAUUUUGAUUAAUUUGUAUAAGUAUCUUCAUAUACCGCCUGUACUUUACACACUAUGAACUUUUUAGUGGGACUCUCCCGCGAGUGUGAGAUUUGGGAUGGCUGUCACGUGUUGAUGGGGUGACUUCAAACAUGAAUUGACCAUUUUUUUGUAGACAUUAACGCAAAAAUUUUCUCCCAUUUUAUAUUAGCUCAUAUCUUAAUGUCCUUCUUCGAGGCCUAUUUGACUCGAGGAAUUAAGUCUACGGGGUCUCUUAAAACCUAGUAUCUAUUGCCAACUGACUUAGAUUAAUCAAUCUAAAGCUCGCUACGGGGUCAUCUCAAUCGUUUAAUGGAGGAGAACCUUAACUUAAAAUGAAAAAUAAAUGAUCCCGGAAUAAAAUGUGAAAAUAUGAUGAGCUGAAAAAUGUGAAAAUGAAAAAUAUAAAUGCUCAUAGUAAGAGGGAGAAAAAAAAUAAGUAUAGGUUCUACUGCACGUCACAUGAUUUGAAUUUCAUAAGUAGAUGAAUAUACUUAUUGGUAGUAAUUGGCAUGUCUCACAAAAGGUUUGGAAUCCUGCUUGCAUUGGAUUAGUGACACGUUACACAAAUGAGUCACUUGUACUUUUCACUCCAUUUUGAUCUGAACUGAGUAUGUGGAGAGGUCUACUACUUGUUAAUUUUACUUUUCCUUGCUAUCAACUGCAUUUGUGAGGUAUUAUAUGUUAUUGCUCAGUUCGUUCUUAAUAUUAUUCCGUUCAGCAUUUGUAACAAAAAUGAGUAGAGGAAUGUGUAACUAAGGGGGAGAAAAAUAAUGAAUGAGCAUAUAAAUAGAGAGCGACUACAUUUGCAUGGCACAUGAUUUCACCGAUUGAUGUUACUUACAUUUUGCAUUGCUAUGUCUAGGGGUCGUUGGGGGAGAGACAUAGAUGCAUUGAUAUAUAGCAUUACAUUCAUGAGUACUUGCAAAAAAGUGAGAGUAUUGCAUUACAUUCCAUAUCACAUCCAUUUGUUUGAGUUUGUUUUUUUAUUUUUAGUGGUGUUGAUGUUUCGGUUGGUGUUUUGACUAGCAUCAAUAUCACGUCUCAACCUAGCAUGUUAUGUGUUUGUGAUUAAGUGUGUUAACCUUUUAUAUUUCCUAUAUCACGUGUUUUUACACUGGGCAUAUGAGUUUGAAAAUUUCAGAAAACAGGUACAAGAAGGAAUGCAAGACUCAGUUUUUGGAAUUACCGGGUAGUAUUGUUUUGUGUGUCAAGCCCAAGCUUAUUUUUUGUAUAGACCUAACUUAUAUUGUGUAGUUCUGUCACAGAAUGCCAAAGGAGGAGUUUAUGAAGUCUAAGAGUUUCAUUGGCGAUUUUGUGAACAAAAUGGAUGUAAUUGAAUGUUUGUAGAAGUCAGGGACUCAAUUGAACAUUGAUAUAAAGGUUAGGGACUUGCGUUGCAAUUUUAUAAAGUUGGUUAGGCUAGGGUUUACACUUGAGACCAGGGUAAGGAUACGUCGAAACUUCGUUGGCUGCUUACCUGACUAUCGCUCGAGCAUAAAAAGCAAAGAGCUCUUUGCUUGCCCUUCACCUCCUCGUCGCUCGAGCAAAAACACAUCUCUCACUUUUCACUUGAGCGGCAAUGUUAUGCUACCGAUUCUAAGUCACAUUGUUCAAGACUUUCACCAGGUCUAGGACUCUCAUCUAUCCCUAGAUAUAAAUACAAAGGUUGUGAACGAAAGGAGGAAAUUGCCCCAUUGUGCCUACAUUGCAAAAAACAUUCCUAUAUUCUUUCAAUAGAUCCAAGGUAGAAUUCAUCUAGAAAUUCAUCUAUAAAAUCUUGUGAUCCGGGCAAUCUAUGGUGAGAAAACAUCAAAGUUCUUGAAGACAAAACACCGUGUCUUCCUUCAUUUGUUGAGGAAGAGACUCUUAUUGGGGAUUGAGAAAUGUGGAUGUCAAGCGCAGUGAAUCAGACAAGAACAGGCGAUUCUUGGAAUUUCACUUUGUGAUGCAAUCAGUUAAGGACCAACAUGUUGUAGUGGAUAGCAAAUUGAACUACAGGAGGUAGAUUAGGAAGUCUAGCAGGAGGCUAGAUACAUUUACGAUAAUAGAUCGUGAGUCUGGAAUAGCGGGUCUAAUUGGGUAUGGAGUUUGGUAUAACUUGUACUUGCUGAAUUGGUAUAGUAGACAUCACUGGCUUGGUCCCAAAGUUUUUCCACAUCGGGUUUCUCCAUCAACAAACUGUGAGUUUGUUGAUUUGUUUAUUUUGCAUAUUGCAAACCAGCAGUUCAACAUAGGAUUAAUCGGACUUGUAUGUUUAACCACCUAGACAACAAUUAAUUAGUGACUUCUUGCUAUUAAUUUUAUUAAUUCCGCACGAAAGAUCGAAUUUGUAACUUGAAACGUAAAAUGGGUAAGGCAUAAAAUUUGAAUUUAGGAUUAGUGCGUGUUUCAAGUAGUAUCCAGAGCGUUCCUAGAAAUUUCAAGCUCAUUUUGAAUUUAAUGUUCCAAAUAAUGGUCACAAAUUUAUCGUUUUCAAUAAUGGGAGAAAAUUUUUUCUUGCAUUAUUGAAUCAAAAAGGUUAUUUAAAUAGCUUAAAGUUGUUCAUUCAGUUCAUUUUUCACUUUAGUUAUUAAACUUCAUUGUAUCACUUGUAGAAAAUUUAUUUAGAACUUCAUUUUGUGAAUGAACAAGUACUUCAAGCCACUUCUAGUGAUUCAAAUUCUAAAUCUGUCAAUUUUCUUAGUAUGGUGGUAGAAAAAUAUUAUUCAUUUCAUUUCUACCAACGGAUUUAUGAAACAUAUUAGAAAUGGUGGUAGAUUCAAAAUCAACAAUUUGGAGAGAAAAAUAUUGAAAAUAGAUGAGUAAAAAGAACUCAGGGAGACUCGUGGUAGUGUUUCUUAGAAAUGGUGAGUAUUUAUUUUGAUAUCAAUUUAUAGAAAAGUAGUAAAAGUAUAGAAGUUCUUACAAAUAUGAGGGCCUACAUGACUGCCUCACUUAGUGUUUGAACUGAUAUGGAAUUUUGAUAAAGGAUUAAAUUAAAAGGGGCAACCUGCGUAUUGAUGAGGCGACUUCAGAUCUACGCCAACCUAGUGAGGCAUGGAUAUGCAUUGAUGUUAAUUUGUUGUAUAAGCUUCCAAAUAGGAUUUGGAUUGAGCGUGAAAAGCGUGGAGGAUAUUGGCAGAUAGUUGUGUACGAGAAGAAGCCAGAUUACUAUUUUUGAUGCAGACACUUUGGUCAUGCUGAGGACCAUUUUUUAGUUAGAUCACGCCCUACACCACCACCUGCUAUAAUUGUUGACCCCAUCCCUAAACAUAAUAUAGAAGUGGCCCACGAUAAGGGAAAAGGAAAUUAGGUAUUCAUAGAACCUCCUAAGAAAUGGUUCCAGUUCAGAGAGACCAGAGGAGACAGCAUGCUACUAGCACAUCUAGAGUCCAGAUUUCAUCUUCUAUAUCUAUUGUUAUUACAUCAGCUACGCUUCCUACUGCUUCUAGCUCACAUGUUCAGACCAGUUAGCUACUCCUUCAAUAGCUCUUCCAAUUGUUACAACUUUGCCAAUUAUCAUCACAGUAGCUCAACAGCCCCUCCAGAAUCCCCUUCCGAUUUUGCAGCACCUCCAGCUACUUAGGAGGUAGUAUAUCAUCCAGUUACUAUUACAUUUACUCUACCUCUAGUUCCUAUUCCCACUGCUACUACUGAGCUAUCCUCUGAGCCGACACAUAUUAGCUAUCCACCAUUGAAGACACAUACAAAUGGUACUCAAUCAGCAUAAGGAUAAGAUACAGGGACAGUUCCUUAUGCUGCUCUUGCACACGGGUUGUUAGCUAAGAUCAGCUCAGAGUGGCAUGGUGUCAAGCAAAUAUUGAUCGAUCACUUUAAGAGGGACCAUGGAAUGAAAGUUGGAUCUACCAUGGGAUUUUCCAUUGAGGACUUGUGAUGUGAACCUGGAUAACUAGAUCGCUAUUAAACCCACAAAAGAAUGACAUAAACCCCAAGAAAGCCAAAAAUCAAAGUUUAUGGAAUUUGACCCACAAUUAUGAAUCAAACAACCAACACAAUCACUAGGAUAUGCUAGCCUUUUGAUUACAAGAUUUAUGAAAUCAUACUUGGAAUUUUAAAGAUUGACUUGAAGAAUAAAAUGAACCAGAAACCCAAGCAAUUACUAGAAUACCUUGACCUCGUGAUUGCAUAAUCCACGAAUAGCAUUUUGAUUGGUAAAUGCCAUGAGAAAUUAUCCCAAUAAGUUCGAUAAACUGUUCUCUAAAAAUAAAGAUGGAAGUAACCUUGCCUCUGAUUAAUUCAAAAUAUCAAAAGUCCUAUAAUGAAUAAUAGGAAAAAGUAUUUAUACUACCCUAGGAAUAAUGGAAAAAAAAUGAAUAUUAAGAGUCCUAAACUUAUAAAGUUACCAAAAAUAACAAUUUAAAUCAAAACAGAAUCCUCGCGAAAAAAGGAAAAAGUCGCGUCCCAAAUGAACCAUGCGACCGCGUGGUUCUUUUAGCCGCGGUCGCAUGGAAGAAACGUGGGCUGCCUCUUCAAUCCCUAUCCUAGUCUAUGCGAGCGCAUGGGCUUUAAAGCCUUGUGGCCGCAUGGCUUUGUGUGUUGGCCCUAAUUUUGGUUUCUUCCAACGAUGUGUUCUUUAACUUAUCGGCCCUUGACCCUAGCAUUGAACUUGACACUUGAUAUGUUAUCUUCAACCUCAUGUGCCUCGCUUCUUGAGUAUGCAUUUAUAUGACCUUUGGUAUCAUCAUUGUUCCAUAUUACUCCCAAUUGAGCCCCUUGCACCUCUUCCAUGAACUUUGCUCCCUUGAUUGAUCUUGAUCGACCCAGGAUCAUAUCAAUUUAGUUUUCAAGCUAUUUGGUGAGGAACUUUCUAUGAGUAAAACUCCUACAUAUAAACCUUCACUUAGUCCUUCUAUCACGGCUCCUACACAAAAUAAGGUAAAAGCACAUAUACAGAGAGACGUGGAUGGCAUGGGCCUUGGAGACUACGUGCAAAAUGCAAAGGACGAUGUAGCCACAGUCAGCGAAUCACUCUCCCAUGCUUCAUAUGUUGUAGCACAGAGCACCAUAAGAUCAAACGCACAUGCAACUAGCACUAUGAGAUUAGAUGUACUCGCUUUUAGCCCGACUUUCAGUGCACCAUCAUGUGGACAACAUUUUUCACCUAGGCAAGCCUCUUCAUGUAGGCGAGACCCCUCUCCAAUGAGCGAGCCAGACUACACAGUCUACUAUGAUCCAAAAAUGUUUGAAACCAGGCUCAUGACCCAAUUAAUGUCUAUGUACUACCACCCAAAGAUCUACCAUCGGGGAUACCCUUGAGUAGUUUUAAUUAGUUUUUGUUCAUAUCUUGUUUACUGUUGAUUGCAAUUCAUUUUGAGAUAUUUGUUGCAAUUUACAUUUACUAGAGGUCAGGUCUGUGCCUUCUCUUCUAUUUGUAUUCUCGUUUUUAUUGUAUAAAAUAAGCCAUACUAGUGGUAUUUGCUAAAAAAAAAAAGUCUUGACUGAAAAUAAAAAUAAAAAUUCUUUAAAUUUGAGUGAUAUUUCCUUUUAUGAUUGGUCCAAUAAAUGAGUGAUACAAUAUUAAAAUUAGAAAUUUCAUCUCAAAAUGUCAAUAUUAUUACGAUCAGUACCCGAAUCUUUUAUAUGUUGGUUAAUAUAUAUUUAACUGAUGUAUAAUUAUGUUAACAUCUAUAUUAAUACACAAAUACAUACUCUGUGAGAGAGAGAAAGAGAGAGACCAAGUUCAUUACUGUUUACUUUACCACCUACAUUUCGAGCUUCUUUGACCUACAGUAAUUAAUUACAUGUUGGCAUGAGUUGUCAACAUACAAUAUUGAAAUACGGUAGGGGUGGGUUAUUCCCCAGUUGUAAUAUAAAAUUUCCUUUGUUUAGCCAGAUUCUUAACCUAGAAUAGCUCUCUUUAUUUUACUCUCUACACUAUAUAUGUAUAUGAUUGUAUUCAUUCAAAAAAUAAGAAAAAUAAUCCCUUUGUUAUCAUAGUAUCAAAGCAAAAAAUCCUAGGAUUUCUGCUACAGCAAACACGUUACCAAAACUGAUCAGAAAUUAUGGUAGAACCUAAAUACGUGGUGGCAGACCAGAGACAUGAUGAGAACUCUACUACAACCAUCCUCGAUGAUUUAAUGACUCGACUAAUGUAAGCCCUAACCCAAAAUCAAACCAAGAAUUAAGUGCAGACCUAUGAACCUCCUGCUGCGCCGAUUGGGAUCAAGCUAGAUGGAUUAAACUAUGGUUUAUGGUCCCAAGUUGCUGAGAUGUCUAUCUCUGGCAAGGACAAAUUGGGAUAUAUUAAUGGAGACAUUCUAGAACUUGAAUCAUCAGACCCCAUGUUUCGAAAAUGGAGAAUCAAAAAUACAAUUUUGAAGGGAUGGAUAAUUAAUUCCAUAGACCUGACUCCAAUCAGCAAUUUUAUUCGAUUUUCUACUGCAAAAAUGGUGUGGGAUGCAAUUGCUACUAUUUAUUUUGAUGGAACAAACACUUCUCAUGUGUAUGGUUUGAAGAAACAUGUGACCAGAAUGAGACAAGCAAGAGGAUCCAUUGAAGAAUAUUACAAUGGUCUACAAGGCUUGUGGAGAGAUAUUGAUUUUUGUAGGUUAAACCCAAUGGAAUGCCCUGCUGAAAUAAAGAGAUACAACUUGGCUAUAUAGGAAGAUAGAGUCUAUCUCUUUCUUGAUGGGCUUUUUUUUUUUUUUUUUUUUUUUUUUUAAGCAAAUACCACUAGUGUGGUUUAUUUUAUAUAAUGAAAAGCGGGAAAACAAAGAGAGGAGGGGGGCAUGGACCUGACCUCCAGCGAAUGUAAAUUGUAACAAAUAUCUGAAGAUAAAAUGCAAUCACAGUAAACAAGAUACGAACAAAAACAAAUGAAAGGUACUUAAGGGUAUUCCCGAGGGUAAAUCUUCGGGUGGUAGUACAUAGACAUUGAUCUUGUCAUGCGUCUGGUUUGAAACAUUUCUGGAUCAUAGUAGUCUGCGAUGUCUGGCUCGCUCGUUGGAGACGGGUCUCGCCUGCGUGUAGGAGCCUGCUUUGGUGAUAAGUACUGUUCGGAUGGUGGUGCACUGAAUGUUGGGCGAAAAGCGGGUGCAUCUGAUCUCAUUGUACUAGUCGUAGGUGUGUCUAAUCUCAUGGUGUUCUGUGCUACGACAUCUAAAUCGUGGGAGAUUGACUUGCUUGCUGUAGGGACAUCGUCCUCUGCAUUUUGCAUGCAGUUUCCAAGGCCCAUGCCAUCCAUAUCUCUCUGUAUAUGUUCUUUCACCUUAUUGUGUGUAGGAGCUGUGAUAGAAGGACCAGGUGAAGGUGUAUGCGUAGGAGUCUUACUUACAGAAGGUCCCUCUCCAAAGAGCUUAAAAACCAAGUCUUCAAUAGCAAAUCUCAUGGUAGAUCCAACUUUCAUUCCAUGGUCCUUCUUAAAGUGAUCAAUCAACAUAUGCUUGACACCAUGUCGCUCGACUCUGUCACAACUGCGGUAGUAGUAGUGGGAAGCACAGAAGGCACUGCUGAAACUGGAACCCACUGCUUCUUUGGCUCCACAAACGUCACCUUGCCCUUAUCCUUAUCAGUCCUAGUAAUAGGGGGCCGAACAGGGGGGUGCGCAACAACUGCAGGAGAAGGAGGAGGAACCGUAGUACACUGAUCAUAAGAAUGACCCAAGUGUUUACAAGAGAAGCAAAAAAUUGGCCGCUUCUCAUAGAUAACUGUCUGCCAGAAGCCACGGUUACCAGCGCGCUCAAUAUAAACCCUGUCGGGCAACUUAUGUCCCAAAUUUACCUCAAUGCACACCCUUGCCUCACUAGGUCGUCUCAAGUCGGUGGUGGCCUCAUCAAUUCUCAAGGGCAUUCCUAUUGCCCCAGAUAAAGCGAAAAGGAACCCCUUCGCACGUAAAUGUACUGGAAGCAGAGGGAACGAUACCCAUACGGGAACUAUCGGAGUCUCUUGCUCAGGUGUAAAGUCACAUGUCCACUUAAGGACUCUCAUCGGACAACCAUCAAUAUACUAUGAAGGUUUAAGAAAAAGCCUGCUGUAAUCCUCCUCAUGUGUAAGGUGUAUAAGAAUGUGUGUUGUGUUAAUCAAUCCCACCUCGAAACAACCAUGGAACCCAAACUUUGAAAAAAUCUCACGUACCUUCCUCAUGGUUGGCUUGCGAUGUGGAAAUUUCCCCACAAGUGUAUACUUGUAAGGAUCAGCGAGUGUAGCCUCCUCGGACUCAAUCAAAACUAUUGCCGGCUCACCCAUAUGUAUAAAGGGGUCUUUAGCAGCAAACCCAGUAGUGGAAGAGUCAUCUAUACCCUGUAUAACCGAUGCAAACGACUUUCGUGAACUCCGUUCAGCUUGAGACAGGCCCGGACGGCCAGAAACUGCAGUAGCAUAGGUCUUUCGGCCCUGAUUGAGCACUGUCUGGGCCUCAUGUGGAAAAACCGAUGAUGGAAUUGGGUCCGUAACAAAAUUCCCCACAUUCUGGUGAAGUUUCACCGGCGCGUGACCACCACGCGCCGGCCGUUGACCGGCCGUUGACCGGCGGCGAUUUUCCAACGUUGUCAGAAAAUUAUGAUUUUUCACAGGCAGAUGCGUAAUUUCAUGCUGAUCAUCACGGUAUGUUCCGUUUUCCGAAAUGAGUUCAGGAUUGGCCGGAAUCUGCGAUUUUCCGAGUGACUGGCCGGAACUUGCGAUCGCCGGCAAGGGCGCGUCCGACGUCUGAAUUGGAUGAUUUUUUAGUCGAAGGUUCGCCUUUUCAUGGGAAAUCUGAUGGUCAGGCGCGUGUCCCUGUUUGAGCUCUGUGGAAGGGUUAAUUGAAAAAUCAGUUUUCGGCCCCUCGGGAUUCGAUCUGUCAAUUUCGGGCGAUUUGGACGAAAUCUCUACCACCCCCAGGGUUUUCGGCCCUUCUGGAAUCAUUGGUGAUGGUCCCAUAUCCAAAUUCUGAUCAGAAGUGGGUGUUUCGACGACCUUGGGAUUCGUGCCAUGAUUUUUCAAACUCAGAUCUAUUGAGUUGGGGGAUGAAUCUGAUAUUGGUGUUAUUGGAGAUGUUUGGGUGUUUGUUGGUGAUGAUUUUCCACCACUUAGAGUGCUGCAAUCCGGUGGUUUUGGUGGUGGAUCAAGUUUGUUGGAGUUUUGGAGGUUUUCUCCCAUUCUAGAGAGAAGGGAGAGCGUUUUGGAGGUAGAGAGAGAAAGUUGGUUUUUGGUUUGGUUUAGGGUGAUCUCUUUCUUGAUGGGCUGGAUGAUCACCUAAAUAAAAUUAGGGCGAUGUGUUCCAAAUCUGACCAUUCCCGACAAUUGAACAAGCUUAUGCUCAUGUUCAAAGAGAGGCUAUGCGACAAUAUGUUAUGAAUUCAAACACAGAACAUACACAUGCCACUGCUAUGGCCUCAAAAGGAGUUAAGACAUGACCAACACUCCAAAUAUCCACGGGUGGACCUUCUUCAACAGGUGGUGGAAAGGCCAAUACAACCUAUAAGGGAAAAACACAAUCCAACAAAGGUUGUAUACACUGUGGGAACAUAAAGCAUGAUCAUGAAACCUAUUUUAGGUUAAACCCAAAGUGGUGGAAUGAACUUAAAGCACGAAAAUAGGGUAAAUAGAAAGCUAACACCAAUGGUGAACCGAGACGAGCUGCUUGGGCAAAGGCAGAACAUUUACUUUCUUUUUACUCCACUGAUGGAACCAUCAGAUGAGUUAAAUUCUCUCAAUAACCAAGAUAAAUGUGGUCUUGCAUUAUUUGGUUCCAGUCAAGAUAAUUAUGGUGGCUGGAUUGUUGACUCGGGGGCAACCGAUCACAUGACUUUCAAUAGUAACAACUUUUCUAAGAUUACCCAACCAAAACGAAGUAGCGUUGCUAAUACUAAUGGAGUCACAUACCCUGUUAUAGGAGCUGGAACCAUUGGUUUAUCACCUUCUCUCUCUUUAUCCAAUACUUUACUUGUUCCAUCUCUCUCAAAUAAGUUAGUGUCUGUAGCCCAAGUCACUAAAGAACUAAAUUGUGUUGCUUUAAUAUAUCCUAAUUUUUAUCUCUUUUAGGAUAUUCUCACAUAGGAGAUCAUUGGGCAUGGCACUAAGAGAGGGGUUGUACCACAUAGAUGAUUCAUCCUGGGGAAAAUAAAUAACAUGCACCAUUCAACCACUAUCAAUGAGAGGCAGAUUUGGCUACGGCAUUGCGGAUUGGGACAUUCGUCUUUCAGUUAUAUAAAGUAUUUAUUUCCAAACUUAUUCUCAACCUUACAUGAUUCAAACUUUAAGUGUGAAACUUUCAUUUUAGCUAAAAGUCAUCGUCUAUCUUUUCCAAUAAGCUUGAAUAAAAGUGACGUUCCAUUUGCUUUAAUCAAUUCUGAUAUUUGGGGACCCUCUCCAAUUAUUACUUUUUCUGGAAUUUGUUGGUUCAUGAUACUUGUUGAUGAUUGUACUCAAAUGGCUUGGUUAUAUUUGUUGAAACAUGAAAAAUGAUGCCUUUCAUGUGUUUAAGUCCUUUCAUGCAAUGAUCAAGACUCAAUUUCUAGCAGAACCAAAGAUUCUUCAUUCUGACCAUGGUACGGAGUAUGUUAAUUAGGAUUUUCAAGCUUAUUUCCAGAGUCACAGUCUUCUUCAUGAAACCUUCUGUACUUAAACGCAACAAUAGAAUGGGGUGCCCGAACGAAAAAAUAGGCACAUCUUAGAAACUGCUCAUGCUUUAUUGAUUGGAGCACAUAUGUCGAAUAGAUAUUAGGAUUCUAUUGUGAUCACAACAGUACAUCUAUUGAACUGUAUACCUUCAAAAGUAUUGAAUUUUAAAACUCCAUUACAAACUCUAUCCCGUCACAUUUCUCUACCAUCUAUUUUGAUGAUCCCAACUCGAGAGUUUGGAUGUGUAACCUAUGUUCAUCUCCAUAAAAAUCAACACACUAAGCUUGAUCCAUGUGCGAUAUGAUGAAUUUUUUGGGGUAUGCUACACCAAAAAGGUUAUAUGUGCUACAAUCCUGCCACACAAUGUACCUAUGUCACCAUUGAUGUUACUUUCAUGGUGUCUAAAAGUUUUUACUCCUCGUCAGCAUCUAAUUCUUCUCGUUAGGGAGAGAUAAAAUAUGAAGAGCAGAAUUGAUGGAAUUGUGAGGUUUUUGAAGACACCCACAACUUAGUCCAGUUCGAAGUUGGGUCAGGAGGCAGGAUUAGUAAUGAUACUAUACAUGACAGUACACAAGAAGUUGAAGCUGAAAUUACACAAGUUAAGACUGAAGACAACAUCCUCAUCCUCUUCAGUGCCCAACGACCAAUCUCCUAAGAAUAUUCCUAAGGUAAGCUCUCCAACUACACCAGCUCUUGUUCAGAUAUUUUUGUUGGUUAUAACUUGCCUUUCAGACAUAAUCGUGGAAAACUCUCAAAUCGAUAUUCACCAAAUUUAGAGGAAAGGAGAUCGAAGUGUAACACCCUGAGAUAUUAUAGAAAUUUUGGGUCUAGUCAAGUCCUUCGGCAAGUCAAUUGGCUAUGCUGAAUAUUUAACAUGGAUCACGAUGAAGAUCUUUAUAGUUGAGGAAACAAAGUGGAAACAAAUAUAAAUUUGUACUUUUAUUGAGUCAAAAUGGUUAACUAUUGAUGGAGUUAAUUACCCUAACAAUAUUAGGCUCCUUUCAAAGCUCGAAUUAAAUGAUGAAUUGUGGAGCCAUAAUAAUAAUAACUACGUAGUUAAUAAUAUUAGUUAUCGAUUUAGACCAUAUUACUAUAGCAAUAUUAGACUCAUUUGAUUGGUCAAAAUUAAUUAUGUAUAUUAGAAUCGAGAUAAAAUUAAUAUGGAUAAGACUAAAUUAAGUUAAAGAGAUCAAAUAUUAAGGGAUUAAUUCGCUAAGCAGUAGGACGUGACUUGGAUUCCCUUAUUAGUUAGCUAGGGAAGGAUUAGGAAUCAGGUAUAAGUAAACUAGAAUUUAUGUGAUUAAGUCCCAUUGCAAUAAAAUUCUAUUAAAGUUCUCCACUUUUGCUCUCGGUUUGACAAAAAAUAAAAAUAAAUGUAAAUUUAAUAAGAGUUUUAUUAGUUAUAUUGUUCGUUCGUUUGCAUUAAAACAAAUUAAACCUUAUAUCCUAUGCAAUUAGGAGUUCAACUUAUCUUAACGUGUGCAUGCAUGGAUAAUGAUAACUUAAUUGGGAACAAAUCAAUGCAAAGAAACGUAUUUAAUAUGUAUUUUUUUAUAAUAUACCUUUUAAGAUAAUUAGCAAAAGAUUAUAAUAUUUUAUUAUACAAUCAAGUUUAUAAAUCUUAUUUAAAUUCUGUUUCCUCCAUUAGAUAUAUUAUUUUAAGAUUUAAUCUUAUCCCAAGUCUAUUUUUUUCAUUUGAAAUCCAUUGUAACAAAAGUUGGUUUCCACUAUUGGUGUGCGUGACUAGCAAAAGGCUUGUAUCUUUUAAGAUAAUUAGGAAAAAAAUAUAAUAGUUUAUUUAUAUAAUUAUAAUUAUCGUAACUUGGAAAAUGAUUUAAUCAUAUCUCUGCCUUUCCAUUUGAAAUCCAGUACCAAAGCAGAAUCAGUUUUCUCACCCGUGUUGAACACGUGUUGUAUAUAAUUUAAUUUUCUCCUACAUUUGUAUGUGAUGGGUAUAAUUAUAUAUAAUGUAAUUUAUCUCUGUUUUAAUCCUAUCACUUGUGUUAUCCUUCUUUUGACAAUGAUUACUGUUCGCAAAAUAUUUCUUCUCGAUUUUAAAAACCCACCGCAAGUGUACGGUUCGUUAACAAGUAGUAAAAUGGACUAUGAGUCCAAGUAUCGUUCCCACGAGGAUUGAAUUAGCACUAAUUAAACUAAUGUGACCUUAACCGAAUCUAAUUAAAUGAAAAUUUGGUUUAAAUGUGAAAAACCCUAAUUUUGGGAAAAAAUCCCCAAUUUGAAACCCUAAUUGCAAAGAAAACCCUAAUUUCAAAAUUGGAAACCCUAAUUUCGAAAUUUCACUAAUCUAAUGAAAUAAGCACGCAACUGAAAUGUAAAUAUGCAAUUUUAGAACUAUUGUAUUGAAAUGAAUCGAAAUGAAAUCAUUAAGAACUCGAAUCCCCAAUUGACUAUUAAAAACCCUAAUUUCACAAAUUCAACGAAUCGAUGGAACAAAAUGCCAAUUCAAUGUUCCUAAAUUAUCCAAUACACUCUCUCGAUAUAUAUUGAAUCUACUCUUACACACCACCAGCCUAUAUUUCUAUGGAUGAUGCAAUGUACAAGAAUGCAUGACUUUUUAUGAACAUUUUCAUGAAUUGCAUAAAGCAUAGAGGUAAGUUUCCAUCCCCUAUCGGACCCUUUGUCGAUUUAUAUUCUAUCGAAUUUAUUCCCCUUCUUUCGAAUGCAAAGAACAAAUCAUCUACAAUCACAUAACAAUUGGCCAAAUAAUUAUGGAAGCAUUCAAAUCAUAUAAAUCAAACAUUUGUCCAAUCGAAACUAUUGUUGAAUUAAUGAAAUAACGGAAAUUUAAAUCAUCAAAAGGUUCAUCAAAUUCCUAAUGAAAAAAAACCCUAGACUAUAACCAUCAUUACAAAAUCAAGAAAUUGAAAAACGAAAUUAAAAGAUAAUAAGAAUACACCCGUAUGGAAUUUCUUCAAUCCGUGUGUAUAAUCUUCAACCCCGUCUUGAGCCCGUGCGAAAUUGAAUCCAAAAUCAAGUUUCUUGCCUCCAAUUUUGGUCUCUCCCUCCUCCCUGGUCGUUCUUCCUCUUAAUAUGAUGAUUUUGGGUAUUUAUAUCGCGUCCAAAUUAAGUAGGGAAGGAGUUUCAACCAAAAUGAAAAACUACGCCCGAAAUUUCAAAACUUAACUAUGCGACCGCAUAGAAGGGAUCUAUGCGGUCGCAUAGAUCAUUUUUUUUCUCUCAUUUAAUUUCCUGAAACCUUCUAUGCGAUCGCAUAGAAGGUUACACUAUGCGGUCGCAUAGAAGUAGCCAUCUAUGUGGUUUGUGCAAUUUGGUCCCUGAACUUCUUUGUUGCUUCUCUUGACUUCUUUCUUUGAUUUCUUCAUCUUUUCAACAAUUCUUAUCUUCCAAUUGAUGAUCGACACUUUCAAAUAUUAUGCCACUCAUUUGGCACAUCUUUUGAGUAUUUGCACUUUAGUCCUCCAACUUUCAAUUAUCUUCAUUUUAGUCCAUCUUCCAUUCUUUCUUGCUCCAAUUGUUUUGCUUUGUCAUUGAGCUCAUACUCGGCACGUUUUUACUCUCGUUCUGCAUUUAGCUCAACUUCUCAAUAAUUGCACGAUUGGUCCUCGAACUAUCAAAUUGUUGCGUUUUGGUCCUUCUUCGGCUCUUUUCUCCUGAAUUCCACAAUUUCCAUUGAAUUACCUACAAUGCAUGAAUUUAACUGGAUUAAGUCACAAUUCUACCAUUUUAUCCAUGUUUAAGUCAUAUUUGUGAACCAAAUAAGUGUGUAAAAACACACUUAUCAAAUCCCCCAAACUUAAACUAUUGUUUGUCCUCAAACAAUGUAGUGACUCAACGUUAAACAAACAUGGCUUAGUAGCUUGCCGUGUCUCAGGAUUGGAACUUAGCAAUACAAUAGAACAAUAUCAAUAUUGCAAGAAUAAAAUUAACCUUUUCUCAUCAAAUGCAAUACUCAACGUGUGUGUGUGAACUCAUGCCAACAUAUCAAGCUUAUGAAUGGUUUGUUCCCAACCCAUAAUGGUCAAAUUUAUCCUUACAUCACUCGAGAGAUACACAAAUCCCCCAAACUUAUUCUUCUCACUCAAUUAUCUUGGGAUGUGUUCUAAGGUUAGGAGUUUAACAACUAUAAUCCUUACCCUCUCUUAGUUUGGAUACAUCUUACCCUUACAAGUACACAUAUCAAUAAGUAGAGACUCUCUUUAAUUUGAUUGUUUCAACCUUUAGGCUCAAACUACGCUACUUACCUCGCAUCAAGGUUAAAGUUAUAUCAACCAAAUGUCCAACAAGGGCCCCCCCAAUUUUUUUUUUUUUUGUGUCAUCUUCUCAUUUGCUUUCUAUAUAACCCGUGUAGCGAGUUCUUAGGCGAUGACUCCCAAACCAGUUGGUCUUAGGGCACCAGGUUUUAAACCCUUGCAGCCUUAUUCACCCAAGUUAUAAAGGCUCGAUAAGAUGAAUUUUGUCAACUUCUCCUUUAUCUUGCUUUCUAUAUGACCCCUGUAACGAGCUUUAGGCCGAUAAUUCCCAAACCAGUUGGCUUUAGGAUAUCAGGUUUUAAACCCUAACAGACUUACUUGCUCGAGUCAUAAAGGCUUUUGAGAGAAGUGAUGAUUUUCCUAUGUUUAUUUUAUGCCCUUUACUUGUUUUUUUUUUAUAGACAUUUGAUAUCAACAACCAUCCUCAACUUAAAGCUUUCACCUAUUUCUCACCUUCUGGGUCUAGGCAAUCCACACAAUAUAAAUUCAUGCACUGAGCCUCUACUUAUCUCCAUGUUUACCUAUAGUGGCUCAACCAUCUCCAAACUAUCUUAUGGUGAUUUAACGGGUUAAUGAUAUAGAGGGUUAACCUAGGUUUCUUAUGUUUUACUCCAACAAUCCCAUUCAAUAACUUAACAUGAAAACAUGAGUGGCGUGCAAAAGAAUGUCAAGCAUUGCAUCAAUAAGUAUCCGCUAAUUAAAUCCUGUACUAUAUCAACAGUUCUAUUUUUCACCUAUCCAAUAAUCACAUCAUAGCUGGCAAGGCUACCAAACCCACACAAGCAUGCAAAAGUAAAAUCAACACUCAUUCAUCAUGCAUGCAUCAUGCAAGAAGGUAGUCAAUUUAAUGAUUGAUUGUGAAAAUGCAUAUUAACUACAUGCCGAAUAUUUGUUUGAAAAUUAUGCUACCAUCCCCCAAACUUAUACAGUACAUUGUCCUCAAUGUAAAUGUAAAGUUAGAAAAGCAUAAUUUAAAAAUAUAAACACAACUUGGCAAAUAGAGGUAAACAACACUCCCUUGAUCAAAGUGGUGGUCGUGGUGUGUAGCUGGGACCCGCAGCAUGAUCUUCAGGAGGAGAUGGAAGGCGAGAUAGGAUUUCUCUCAUCAGUGCUGACUGCUGUGUCAUUUCAUCAUGGAUCCCCUCAAUCUGUGUCUCCAAACGGCCUAAACGCUCCCAAGUUUCAUUUACCCUCAGCUGGAUGCCAUCCACCCUGCCCACGUACACACUUAGUCGACCAUUCAUAGUGUCCAUCUCCCUCCUAGCUGCCUGGGCAUCCUGGCGAGCGGCACGUGACAUAUCAGUGGCAAUGCGGACGUCACGAUGGGCUGUAUGCAUCUCAGUCGUCAAAGUUCCCAUAGCCUGCUGGAGACUCUGCACAUCUUGGCUGAUCCCCGUGGUGGUGGUGAAAAUCUGCCUCAAAACCUGAUUGUCCAUAUCAACCUGGGGUGGUGGUGGAGGAAUUUGAGGCAUGUCAAGGUCUGCAUUUGCUUGACCUUCCUCAUUCAAUUGCUAUCGUCGUUGUGCAUUUUCUAAUUUCUGUUGGUGCUUCAGUCUUGCUCGGUCUUGGGCCUCUAGUGUGGAUUGCUUGAUAAAGGGGGUUGGCUUUUCUGGUGCUUCCCCAGGUUGGAUUUGUAUCCCCGCUGCUCUACAUAUUCCACUUAUCAGACUGGGAAAAAUUAGGGAGUAGUGCCUAUCACCCCAAGUGCCUGUACCAUGAAUUUGGUUGUAGAUGUACGUGGCUAGAUCAAUCUUGUUCCCUCUAACCAAAUGGUAUAUGAAUCCGGCCCUUGAAUUUGUAAAUGUUGUUCUGUGGGAUAUAGGCUCGAUGUUAUGGCAAAUGAAUAACCAUAAAAUUGCUAUGGAUGGGGUGAGAUCUAUCUAAUGCCAGUCUGCUGUAGGUAGAGGCCAAGCGUUUUCACGUCCCAACAAUAUUUCUGCAACCUCAUUCCAGUUGAAGUCUUCGGGAAUAGGGACCACAUUAUUCCAGGAUAACUGAUGGUAGUCAUGAAUUACCUCUGGUGAAAACAUAAUCCAUUUGCCCCUAACCCAAGUCUAAUGUAAGUGCUCCGAUCCGGGAGUGUCGAUUUCUGUGUUGAAGUUUGCAUAAAAUUCCUUUGCUAGAUUCUCAUACACCGGAUGAGGUCUUUCUAUUACCUUCUCCCAGCCACAAUUGUGAAUAAGAUAUGUCAAUUCAAAGUUGGGGAAGUCUUCUAACUUUACUGGCCUUUCGGGAAUGAUUGCCCAAUCACGCACAACAUUGGCGUAUCGGGCUGCCGUAUCUGAUGAUAGGAAUCUUCGAACACCCCCUUCGGGUUCUCUUGUUCGGGCCGUUCCAGAUGAGGAGCCGACUUUCUCUUUUCCCUUUGAAGUUCUUUUAGGAAGCAUCCUGCAAAAGGAAAUACACAAUAUCACUUACUUGGUAUAGGAAUAACGGGCAUUAAUAAUCUUUGAAUUCAUAAUCCCCCAAACUUUCUUCAACAUGCCAAUGUACGUAUGCUUAUGCAAUUUUUCAAGCCAUGAAUCACCAAUAUAACUCUAACUUUGCAUAAGUUUGGAAAACUCAAAACUAUGGCCCGAAUAUGCAUUUUUAGAAAAUUUGACCCAUGACCAAGUGACCAACUUCGGCCCCGGGCAUCACCGAGAAAUAUCGAAAUUUCCUCAGGCAAGUUUUGGACAUGUGAAAGUACUCAAUGAAAUCUAGCAUAUAUCCAAAUUUCACCUUAAUCGGAGGUCAUUUGCAUAAGAAAACAUAGGGACGAAAGUAGUGACGUGGGUGAAUAUGAUUAGCCAUGUUGUGCCUUUGUGAAUUCAAAUAUUGAGGUAGUGUGUUUUCAAAUGAAAUUGCACGUGAUUAUUCGGCCAGUAAGUUACACAAUAACGAUGUAAACUAUUGCAUAAGUGAAAAGUUCAAGAAUGUAAAACAAUCGUCAAUGUGGCAUUUCGUCGAACAUGUGGUGUGCAAUGUGAAAUUCUUCCUAUUUCUCCUAAAACACCACCAUGAAAAUGCCCCCAAUUCACAACACCAUGUCAAAUUACCUUAUUCCUUCUAACUAAUGCCAACACAAUGAAUGAUAACCGGAAAAUGAAGCUCGAAAUUAGGGAUUAGAAGAACAUACCUUGAAGUUCCAAUUUUCUUGUUAAAUGAAAUGUGGCACCUCAAAGUAGAAUCCAAUCCAAUUGAAUGAAGNNNNNNNNNNNNNNNNNNNNNNNNNNNNNNNNNNNNNNNNNNNNNNNNNNNNNNNNNNNNNNNNNNNNNNNNNNNNNNNNNNNNNNNNNNNNNNNNNNNNNNNNNNNNNNNNNNNNNNNNNNNNNNNNNNNNNNNNNNNNNNNNNNNNNNNNNNNNNNNNNNNNNNNNNNNNNNNNNNNNNNNNNNNNNNNNNNNNNNNNNNNNNNNNNNNNNNNNNNNNNNNNNNNNNNNNNNNNNNNNNNNNNNNNNNNNNNNNNNNNNNNNNNNNNNNNNNNNNNNNNNNNNNNNNNNNNNNNNNNNNNNNNNNNNNNNNNNNNNNNNNNNNNNNNNNNNNNNNNNNNNNNNNNNNNNNNNNNNNNNNNNNNNNNNNNNNNNNNNNNNNNNNNNNNNNNNNNNNNNNNNNNNNNNNNNNNNNNNNNNNNNNNNNNNNNNNNNNNNNNNNNNNNNNNNNNNNNNNNNNNNNNNNNNNNNNNNNNNNNNNNNNNNNNNNNNNNNNNNNNNNNNNNNNNNNNNNNNNNNNNNNNNNNNNNNNNNNNNNNNNNNNNNNNNNNNNNNNNNNNNNNNNNNNNNNNNNNNNNNNNNNNNNNNNNNNNNNNNNNNNNNNNNNNNNNNNNNNNNNNNNNNNNNNNNNNNNNNNNNNNNNNNNNNNNNNNNNNNNNNNNNNNNNNNNNNNNNNNNNNNNNNNNNNNNNNNNNNNNNNNNNNNNNNNNNNNNNNNNNNNNNNNNNNNNNNNNNNNNNNNNNNNNNNNNNNNNNNNNNNNNNNNNNNNNNNNNNNNNNNNNNNNNNNNNNNNNNNNNNNNNNNNNNNNNNNNNNNNNNNNNNNNNNNNNNNNNNNNNNNNNNNNNNNNNNNNNNNNNNNNNNNNNNNNNNNNNNNNNNNNNNNNNNNNNNNNNNNNNNNNNNNNNNNNNNNNNNNNNNNNNNNNNNNNNNNNNNNNNNNNNNNNNNNNNNNNNNNNNNNNNNNNNNNNNNNNNNNNNNNNNNNNNNNNNNNNNNNNNNNNNNNNNNNNNNNNNNNNNNNNNNNNNNNNNNNNNNNNNNNNNNNNNNNNNNNNNNNNNNNNNNNNNNNNNNNNNNNNNNNNNNNNNNNNNNNNNNNNNNNNNNNNNNNNNNNNNNNNNNNNNNNNNNNNNNNNNNNNNNNNNNNNNNNNNNNNNNNNNNNNNNNNNNNNNNNNNNNNNNNNNNNNNNNNNNNNNNNNNNNNNNNNNNNNNNNNNNNNNNNNNNNNNNNNNNNNNNNNNNNNNNNNNNNNNNNNNNNNNNNNNNNNNNNNNNNNNNNNNNNNNNNNNNNNNNNNNNNNNNNNNNNNNNNNNNNNNNNNNNNNNNNNNNNNNNNNNNNNNNNNNNNNNNNNNNNNNNNNNNNNNNNNNNNNNNNNNNNNNNNNNNNNNNNNNNNNNNNNNNNNNNNNNNNNNNNNNNNNNNNNNNNNNNNNNNNNNNNNNNNNNNNNNNNNNNNNNNNNNNNNNNNNNNNNNNNNNNNNNNNNNNNNNNNNNNNNNNNNNNNNNNNNNNNNNNNNNNNNNNNNNNNNNNNNNNNNNNNNNNNNNNNNNNNNNNNNNNNNNNNNNNNNNNNNNNNNNNNNNNNNNNNNNNNNNNNNNNNNNNNNNNNNNNNNNNNNNNNNNNNNNNNNNNNNNNNNNNNNNNNNNNNNNNNNNNNNNNNNNNNNNNNNNNNNNNNNNNNNNNNNNNNNNNNNNNNNNNNNNNNNNNNNNNNNNNNNNNNNNNNNNNNNNNNNNNNNNNNNNNNNNNNNNNNNNNNNNNNNNNNNNNNNNNNNNNNNNNNNNNNNNNNNNNNNNNNNNNNNNNNNNNNNNNNNNNNNNNNNNNNNNNNNNNNNNNNNNNNNNNNNNNNNNNNNNNNNNNNNNNNNNNNNNNNNNNNNNNNNNNNNNNNNNNNNNNNNNNNNNNNNNNNNNNNNNNNNNNNNNNNNNNNNNNNNNNNNNNNNNNNNNNNNNNNNNNNNNNNNNNNNNNNNNNNNNNNNNNNNNNNNNNNNNNNNNNNNNNNNNNNNNNNNNNNNNNNNNNNNNNNNNNNNNNNNNNNNNNNNNNNNNNNNNNNNNNNNNNNNNNNNNNNNNNNNNNNNNNNNNNNNNNNNNNNNNNNNNNNNNNNNNNNNNNNNNNNNNNNNNUCCAUGAAUUUUUCAAUCAUGUCUGAGAAAAUAGCCAUCAUGCAGCGCUGAAAAGUAGCGGGAGCGUUGCAUAAUCCAAAUGACAUCCUUCUGUAUGCAAAGGUGCCGUAGGGGCAAGUGAAAGUGGUCUUCUCCUGAUCAUCUGGUGCCACUGGAAUCUGAUUAUACCCGGAGUACCCAUCUAGGAAACAGUAAUGUGAAUGUCCCGCUAAUCUCUCCAACAUCUGAUUAAUGAACGGUAAUGGAAAGUGAUCCUUUCGAGUAGCUGUGUUAAGUUUACGGUAGUCAAUGCAAACUCUCCAUCCAGUCAUUGUUCGUGUAGGAAUCAACUCAUUUUUUCAUUUUCUAUCACUGUGAUACCCCCUUUCUUGGGAACAACCUGUAUGGCAUUGAUCCAUGCUCUAUCUGAUAUUGGAUAGAUGAUGCAUGCUGAUAUUAGAUAAAUAAUGCCUGCAUCGACCAACUUCAAUAUCUCAGCUCUAACCACUUUCUUCAUGUGGGGAUUCAAUCUCCGCUGUCCAUCAAUGCUUGGUUUAAAUUUUUCCUCCAUGAGUAUCUUAUGCAUGCAUAUAGAUGGGCUGAUCCCCUUUAUAUCUGCAAUCGGCCAUCUAAUAACUGUUUUAUUUUCCCUUAACACCCGAAGUAGUUUCUCUUCCUCUACCUCACUGACAGUGUUUGAAAUAAUAACAGGUAGUGUGGAAGAUUCCCCCAGGUAUGCAUAUCGAAGAUGUGGUGGCAGUUGUUUGAGUUCCAAUUUGGGCGGUUUCACAAUGGAUGGCACUGAUUUUGCAGUUCUAGUUCCCAGCUCUUCAUAGUAGCGUUUGCGCAUAUAUGGCUGGUUAUUCUCCAAAAACCUAGCACAUGUCUCAAUCUCACUUGAUUCAGAAUGGGUGGAUUGUGAAUGUGCAAUGUAUGCCUCAUAUGCAUCGGAAGGAUGAUGUAGCCGAAAUAUGUCUUGAACUAUUCGGUCGACUACAUCGAUCUGGAAACAACUGUCUGCCUCAGUAGGGAAUUUCAUUGCUUUGAACACGUUGAAUGAGAUUUGCUCGUCACCAAGCCUUAAUAUCAGCUGCCCCUUCUGAACAUCUACAAUUGCUCUCCCAGUGGCUAAGAAAGGUCGCCCCAAAAUGAGUGGAACAUCUUUAUCUUCUUCCAUGUCCAAGAUAAGAAAAUCAGCUGGAAAUAUGAACUUCUCCACUUUUACCAGCACGUCUUCAAUGAUUCCUCUUGGAUGUGUAAGGGAUCGAUCUGCUAACUGCAAUGUCACUAUUGUGGCUUUUGCUUCUCCCAAGCCGAGUUUCCUGAAAAUAGAAAGAGGCAUUAGAUUAAUACUUGCUCCCAAAUCACACAAAGCUUUAUCAAAAUAACAGUCUCCAAUAGUGCAGGGUACAGUAAAACUCCCUGGAUCUUUCAGUUUUGGGGGUAGCUUUCUCUAGAUUCUGACGCUGCAUUCCUCAGUCAACAUUACUGUUUCGUGUUCUUCUAUCUUUCGCUUGGUGGAGAGGAUAUCCUUCAAGAAUUUUGCAUAGCUCGGCAUCUGGACAAGUGCUUCAGCAAAUGGAAUGUUGAUAUGCAGUUUCUUGAAGACUUCAAGGAACUUACUGUAUUACUGAUCCAUUUUGUGCUUUCUCAACCUUUGUGGAAACGGAAUAGGAGGCUCAUGAGGGUUAACAGGAUUUGUAUUUUUACCCUGUGAUGUCUUGGAAUUCCUCUUAACCUCAUCUCCUGUUGCAUUGUCAGUUUGCUCCACACUUUCUUCCUCCAAGGUUGGCAUUGAUUCCUUGUUGGCUCCCGAACUUGUUACAUGUGGUUCCGGCAGUUGUACUCCACUUCUGGUUAUUAUAGCCUUUGCAUGUUCCUUGGGGUUAACUUCAGUAUUGCUGGGUAGGUUUCCCGGUGCUCUACCCGUUAUGGAAAUUGCUAUCUGUCCCACUUGUGUCUCCAAGUUCUUGAUCGCUGCACUUUGAUCUUGAAGCGUUGUUUCCGUCCUUCGCAUAAAUUGGUUAUUGGCUUCCAUGUACUGAUUGGUGUGUGUCAUAAAUUUCUCGAACAUAUCCUCCAAAUUUGGCUUUUUGUCUUGCUGCUGAUAUUGCCCUUGUGGUCUAUUUUGAUUCUGGUUGCUCCAAGAGAAAUUUGGGUGUUUUCUCCAGCCUUGAUUGAAAGUUUCUGAAUGUGGGUUAUUCUGCUGGUGCUGACCCCAUUGUGCGAAUUUUGCAUGUUCGACUCCUUGUGCCAGAAUUGGGCAAGUAGCAGUACUGUGAUCUGCUCCACAUUCUUCACAACUCUGCUUCAUAACUUGCUUAGCAGUGGCGGUUUGUGAAAUGCUUUCAACCUUAUGGAAUAAGGAAUCUAUUUUCACCGACAGUGCUGAGUAAGUAUCUACUUCAUACACCCCAGGUGCUCUCUUCUGAACUACUCGAUCUGUAGACCACAUAGCUGAAGUUGUAGCCAUCCUUUCAAACAACUCCCAGGCCCCGUCAAUUGUUCUUGUAGAGAUAGACCCGUUAGCCAUCCCAUGGUAUUGAUGCCCAUUCUGAAACAGUUGAAUCACGUUAGUCUUCAGUUGGAAGUUCGGUUGCCCAAAUGGAGGAUAUACAAUACUAGAUUGACUUUGCACCACCAGUGGUGCCAUGAAAUCCCCAAGUACCAUAUUUCCAUCCUCUUCCACUGCCAAACCUUCGUUGAGUAGAAUUCCCGGUCGAUUUUGCUCGUUAGCCAUUUGCUGUACCACUCUUGCUUCCCUUUGCCUGUGAUGGAAUGUGCGUUCAAUCUCUAGAUCUAUAGGGACCAAGUCUUGAUCAGGUGCUCCUUGCAUGCAAGCCCUGAUAUGGCAAAAUUAACACAAAAAGUCAAUAUAAACAAUAAUUAAAUAAAUCUAAUAAAAUUAGCAAGUACUAAAAUGAAUAAGUUCGAAUUAGUGUCACAAAAGAUAGAAUUAAAUCUAAAAUUUAAUCCCCGGCAACGGCGCCAAAAACUUGUUCGCAAAAUAUUUCUUCUCGAUUUUAAAAACCCACCGCAAGUGUACGAUUCGUUAACAAGUAGUAAAAUGGACUAUGAGUCCAAGUAUCGUUCCCACGACGAUUGAAUUAGCUCUAAUUAAACUAAUGUGACCUUAACCGAAUCCAAUUGAAUGAAAAUUUGGUUUAAAUGUGAAAAACCCUAAUUUUGGGAAAAAUCCCCAAUUUGAAACCCUAAUUGCAAAGAAAACCCUAAUUUCAAAAUUGGAAACCCUAAUUUCGAAAUUUCACUAAUCUAAUGAAAUAAGCACGCAACUGAAAUGUAAAUAUGCAAUUUUAGAACUAUUGUAUUGAAAUGAAUCGAAAUGAAAUCAUUAAGAACUUGAAUCCCCAAUUGAUUAUUAAAAAAAAAACCUAAUUUCACAAAUUCAACGAAUCGAUGGAACAAAAUGCCAAUUCAAUGUUCCUAAAUUAUCCAAUACACUCUCUCGAUAUAUAUUGAAUCUACUCUUACACACCACCAGCCUAUAUUUCUAUGGAUGAUGCAAUGUACAAGAAUGCAUGACUUUUUAUGAACAUUUUCAUGAAUUGCAUAAAGCAUAGAGGUAAGUUUCCAUCCCCUAUCGGACCCUAUGUCGAUUUAUAUUCUAUCGAAUUUAUUCCCCUUCUUUCGAAUGCAAAGAACAAAUCAUCUACAAUCACAUAACAAUUGGCCAAAUAAUUAUGGAAGCAUUCAAAUCAUAUAAAUCAAACAUUUGUCCAAUCGAAACUAUUGUUGAAUUAAUGAAAUAACGGAAAUUUAAAUCAUCAAAAGGUUCAUCAAAUUCCUAAUGAAAAAAAACCCUAGACUAUAACCAUCAUUACAAAAUCAAGAAAUUGAAAAACGAAAUUAAAAGAUAAUAAGAAUACACCCGUAUGGAAUUUCUUCAAUCCGUGUGUAUAAUCUUCAACCCCGUCUUGAGCCCGUGCGAAAUUGAAUCCAAAAUCAAGUUUCUUGCCUCCAAGUUUGGUCUCUCCCUUCUCCCUGGUCGUUCUUCCUCUUAAUAUGAUGAUUUUGGGUAUUUAUAUCGCGUCCAAAUUAAGUAGGGAAGGAGUUUCAACCAAAAUGAAAAACUACGUCCGAAAUUUCAAAACUUAACUAUGCGACAGCAUAGAAGGGAUCUAUGCGGUCGCAUAGAUCAUUUUUUUCUCUCAUUUAAUUCCCUGAAACCUUCUAUGCGACCGCAUAGAAGGUUACACUAUGCGGUCGCAUAGAAGUAGCCAUCUAUGUGGUUUGUGCAAUUUGGUCACUGAACUUCUUUGUUGCUUCUCUUGACUUCUUUCUUCGAUUUCUUCAUCUUUUCAACAAUUCUUAUCUUCCAAUUGAUGAUCGACACUUUCAAAUAUUAUGCCACUCAUUCGGCACAUCUUUUGAGUAUUUGCACUUUAGUCCUCCAACUUUCAAUUAUCUUCAUUUUAGUCCAUCUUCCAUUCUUUCUUGCUCCACUUGUUUUGCUUUGUCAUUGAGCUCAUACUCGGCAUGUUUUUACUCUCGUUCUGCAUUUAGCUCAACUUCUCAAUAAUUGCACUGUUGGUCCUCGAACUAUCAAAUUGUUGCGUUUUGGUCCUUCUUCGGCUCUUUUCUCCUGAAUUCCACAAUUUCCAUUGAAUUACCUACAAUGCAUGAAUUUAACUGGAUUAAGUCACAAUUCGACCAUUUUAUCCAUGUUUAAGUCAUGUUUGUGAACCAAAUAAGUGUGUAAAAACACACUUAUCAAUUACUCUUGAUUUAUAAUUGUCCUUCAUAUAAUUUGGAUAGAUUUCAAUCUUAUAGAGGAUAAUAACUAACACAAUCCUGACCCAAAUCAGCUACUCUAUGUUUGCCUGUAAAUACUUAUGCCAUACACAUAUUUUUACCAUGAACCCCAUUUCCUUAGUUUUAAUUUCAUCCUUUAAGUUCAGUAGAAAUCCCCUAUUAUAUUCAUAUUCUACCAAAAUUAUAAUUCUCUUGCCUCUUUUCCAUCUAUUACUUGCAAUACAAUUCGUAAGCAAGAGAUAAAAGAAAACAAUUGGAACAUGACUCUCGAAUUUCUUUCAACAUUUAUUUGAUAAGGUAGGAUACUAUGUGCAAGUGAUUUAUCCUUGCAAUAUUAUAAUUUUUUUUACGUGAUUUAUUUCAUGAAAUGCUAAUUGACCUGCGGGUCCUUAUGAAAUGAAAUGUGAGAUCUCCUUCGAGUCUUCUCAAAUAUGUUAGAGUGUUCGAUGGAUCAUCGACUGCUCUUUAUGAAAUGAUGAUAUGAAAUGUUGUAAAUUCAUGUUUUAAAAAUUAUCAUAUUGUUUUGGACGCAUGUAUCCUAUUGAGUAUAAAUUACUCACUCCUUCAAUUUUAAAAUUUCAAGUUAGACAAGUCGACGUGGAUAGUGGCUGAGCGGUGCCUGGGUUGCCAAGUAAAGAAACUUGACAAGAAAAUAUUUUAAAAUAAUUCUAUUAGGAUAUUACGUGUUUUGGUUUAAUCCUGUUUAAUUUUCUAUGUUUACGUGACAUUAUUUUGGUAUUUGAUUAUUUAAUCUAUUAAGAGUUUUAAAGUUCCAAUUUAUAUUUUUGCUUGAUGUAUGUUUAUGAAAUGAUAUCCGAAAUACCUCAAAUUCUAGUCGAUAAAAUUUGGGGCGUUACACAAAGUAUCCAAUUGCCAACUAUAAAUAGACUCAAAAAUUGGAGAAACCCUUCAAGGUGUUUGUAUACAGUUUGUCUGCAUGCCAGAUUCCUAAUGGAAUACAACAGGCCUUAGAGGAUCCAAAGUGGGCUCAAGCGAUAAAAGAAGAAAUGGAAGCACUACAAAAAAAUAAAACAUGGAAUCUUCUUCCAUUGCCAAAAGGAAAGAAGACAAUAGGGUGUAAGUUGGUUUUCUCCAUCAAACAUAAGGCUGAUGGGUCCAUUGAAAGAUACAAGGUAAGACUUGUGGCGAAAGGAUAUACACAAACUUAUGGCAUAGACUAUGAAAAGACAUUUUCUCUGGUGGCAAAGCUAAACCAUGUGAGGGUCUUAUUAUCUCUUGUAGCAAAUUUUUUUUGACCACUACACCAGUUUGAUGUAAAGAAUGCCUUCCUUCAUUGUGAUCUUAAAGAAUAGGUUUAUAUGGAUAUUCCACCAGGAUGCAGCAUUUCUUCAAAAUCAGGGGUUGUAUGCAAAUUGCAACGAUCACUAUAUGGACUAAAACAAUCAACCCGCGCAUGGUUUGGUCGUUUUAGCUUGGCUACGAAGAAACGUGGUUUUCAACAAAGCAACUUAGAUCAUACUUUAUUCCUGAAGCAUAGACGGGGAAAGGUAACAACUCUAAUAAUAUAUGUGGAUGACAUGAUUAUUACAAGAAAUGACAUGGAAGAGAUCGACAUGCUUCAAAAAAAUUUGGCAAAUGAAUUUGAAAUGAAGAACUUUGGGGGCCUAAAAUAUUUCUUAGGGAUUGAAGUAGCCAGAUCAAGAAAGGGUAUAUUUUUUUCCCAAAGAAAAUAUGUGUUAGAUUUAUUAUCCUAAGUGGGUCUUCUUGAUUGUAAAUUAGCCAAUACCCCAAUUGCUCAAAAUCAUAAGCUUGGAGAAUACCCGGAUCAAGUCCCAACUAAUAAGGAGAGAUAUCAAAGAUUGGUUGGAAAACUAAUUUAUUUAUCCCACACUCGACCUGACAUUACUUAUGCAAUGAGCAUAGUGAGUGAAUUUAUGCACUCAUCAAGUAAAGAGCAUAUGGGUGCAGUAAUUCGAAUUCUUCGAUAUUUGAAAUCUACACCAGGGAAAGGACUUAUGUUCUUCUAGAACAAUCACCUCAAUGUCGAUGGCUAUACCGAUGCAGACUGGGCUGGUAGCAUAUCUGACAGGAAGUCUACAUCAAGCGACUUUACAUUUGUAGGAGGCAAUCUUGGCAUGUGGAGAAGCAAGAAACAAAAGGUGGUGGCUUUAUCAAAUGCUAAAGCUGAGUUUAGAGGCAUAGCCAAAGGACUUUGUGAACUCCUUUGGCUUAGGAUGUUAUUGACUGAGAUUGGCUUUGCAUCCAAAUCUGCAAUGAACUUAUUUUGCGACAAUAAGGGAGCCGUUGACAUUUCUCAUAAUCCAGUUAAGGAAGAUAGGAUGAAACACGUUGAAGUGGAUCGACAUUUUAUCAAGCAGAAUCUCAAAUCAAAGAUAGUUCUCUUCCCAUUUGUGAAAUCUGAAGAUCAACUAGUAGAUAUACUGACAAAAGCUAUCUCCAGCAAGGUCUUUCACGACUCACUUAACAAGUUGGGCAUUUACAAUAUCUAUGAACCAACUUGAGGAGGAGUGUUGGUGUGAGUUGUCAACAUACCAUAUUGAAAUAUGGUAGGGAUGGGUUAUUCCCCAGCUGUAAUAUAAAAUUCCCUUUGUUUAGCCGGAUUCUCAGCCUAAAAUUGCUCUCUUUAUUUUGCACUCUACACUAUAUGUGUAUGAUUGUAUUCAUUCAGAAAAUAAGAAAAAUAAUCCCUUUGUUAUCAUUACGAAACCCAUAAAACAAAUUAUAUAUCCAGAAAUUAAGAAGAAAAAUUUUAAAUUAUAUGUUAACGGACAUUCUGACAUAUGUACUCACACAAUGUAACAAUGGUUUUGGCGAAUCUUUAUUAUUCCUAGCAACAAUGGAAUAUUUAAUAAGGUGUAUUUAAUGGUACUGAAUAAUAUUAACAAAGUAAUGAUUAUAGGCUACAGAAUUGUUUAUUUUUCUGUCCAAUUUUGCUUGAUACAAAAUAAUAAAAUAUACUAAUAACACACUUGAUAUGCCGAUGUUAUAGCACCAAAGAUAAACUCCUAGAAAAAUUAGAUUGUUUGGCCUCCAUUUCGGUGGGAUAUGUUAGGAUUGUGACUCAAAUAGGAGUUUUGAAGUGGCAUAAUUCGACUUGGACUCUUGAAGCAUUGGAUUAGGGUUCAAGGAAACGAAGUUGAACAAAGAGAGGAGUUCUUGUUCUUCACGGUGAGAUGUAUGCGGUCACAUUCACAUGCCAUCACACCACGUGACCACAUGGUAAAUGGCAGAGAGUUUUCAGCCUCUAUUAUGCAACCGCAUGAGAUGUAAUAUGAGGUUGCAUAGUACAUUUCUAGGCGCCGUCCUUGUUUUUCAAUUUUUAAGCGUUUUAACCAAAUUGUAAUAGAUUUUCUUACCCUUUAGGACUCUGUCAGAGUUUUGAUUGUGUACCAUAAAUAAGAGGCUCCUUUGUUAGUUUAUGUAGAAGCAAUUUUGCUAAAUUGUACUUGUUUUCUCCAUAUUGUUGAAUAAUAAAUAUCAUUCCUCCGCGAUUAAAUCUUUUGGUCUUCUUUACGUUAAAUCUUGUUUCGUGGUGUGAUCUUGAAUACUUCAUAAUUGUCAUUAAAUUUCAUUCUUUACAAUCCAUUUGGGUCCAACAGGAUCCAUCGGAAUGAAUGGGAUGACAAAUUUAACUAAUAUUACAAAGAAAUAUUUUGAACAUUACAUAUAGAUGUGACGACAUAGUUGGUUGGCCCAUCACAAAUCCCUUUGAUAUAUAAUCUUGUAUUCUGAUAAUAUGAUUCUUAGUCAAUGUUGGAUUUUCGAUUAAAAUUAAAAUCAAAUUUUGCUAUCAAAUUAAUUAAUUAGUACUUAGUUUGAUAUAUGAAUAGAACUAUCAAACUUUAGUUUGAUUUGCUACUUUCAUCGUAUCUAAAGUUUUUAAUUUUGUAUAAUAUCCAAAACUUAUUUGGUUUGGUAUUUUAGGAUUAAAUUUAUAACAUAAAACUCAAAACAUAUUUUUUUGAUGUUUUUAGUGUUUUUAGUAAAACCAUAAAACAUGAAAAAUAAAACUAAUCUAAUUCCUCCUUCCUUUAUUUGGAAAAUGACAGAAUUUUUAUUUGCUAAUCGUGUUCAACUAUAAAAUUGCAACUUAUUUCAUUUUUGUCCCUACUUCAUGAUUUUGGUAAUUUUUUGUCCAAAUCUUCAAUAUUGAUCCUAUAACUUUCAAAAGCCUCCACAUUGGUCCAUGAACCUGAAUAAUCUUUUAAAAUUUGUACUCCAAAAGUUCUACAAAUGUGCAAUUUAGUCUUGAUUUUUCGAUAAAUUGUAUUUCACUCCUGAUUUUUCCCUAUUACUUAUAAUUAAUCCUCUACAAUCCUCUUAGCCUUCAUUUCCUCCAAUUCAACUCCAGUCAGGCUAAAAUGAUUCAAUAUUUGUUUGUAUUUUAUUUUUGUAGUGGAAUUGUUUUUUAAGAUUCAUUAACUUUAAAAUUAUAUAUUCCUUGAUGAUAUAUUAGCAUAAAAUUUUCCUAUUUUUCUGAAUAAAUUCAGUGAAUAAAAUGUCAUAAAAUAAUUUCUAGAAAUUCCAAACUAAUUAAACCUGCUUUUCAGUUUUCUGCUUUGAGCAACAGUUUUCAGGAUCACAAACCGCUGCUACCUUUCCAAUCUUAUGUUUCUCCAUUGGUAAUAAAAGUUAGAUUUUGACAUUGUUGAAUUUUAAAGAAGACAAAGUCUUCACACAAUAAAACUAGAGAGCAGAGAACCUAAUUGCUUCUUGGUGUGUUUAUUCAUCAAUCAAAUGGCCUUUAUAUAGGCAUUAACACAACAGAUAAAAGCAAGAAAAAAGGAACUGACUAACAAAUCCUAUAGACUUGGUAAUUACAAAACUAACUAGCUAAUGAUACUAAAGAUUAGGUCAACAUGUAAAUUACUUAUUCAACAAUCCCUCCCUUAAAUUCAUGUUUAUAAUAUCAUUUAUUUCUUCAGCGUGCAAACUCCAAGCAAUUUUCCCAGCUUUUGAAAUGCAUCCAAUUUAAUGGUGUGAGAAAUAGAGUAGCAGGUGCCUAUGCGCCAUGAGUGGGCGCCUAGGUGCCCCCUAGUUCUGUUGAAGCAGAAACUAGGCACUUAGGUGCCAUGUGUGGGCGCCUAGGCACCCAAUUUCUACAAAGUGGGCAGAAACUUGGCGCCUAGGCGCCCGAUUUAGCUAUAUAUAGAGCUGAUUUUUCCUUUCAUGAUCGAUCCGAUUUUUAGAGAGAAAAUAGAAGAGAGGGCUUGGAGAGAAUUUAACAAGAAAGAUGUUGUUCUUUUUGGGUAUAAAUUCAAAGCUCUUUUUCUUUCUUGGGAAUUAACUUGAGGCUUGUUCAAGUAAUCAAAAUCUAUUGUUCAUCAUAUAUAUUGAAAAUCAUUUCUUCUCCAAUUUUCUUUUCUUUUCUUUUCAUCUUCAAGUGGUUGGGAUUUUCACAUUACAAGUUUAUUUGAUUUUGGGCAAUCUUAGGAGGUGUUUCUUCCCAACAAUUUGGUAUCAGAGCUUCUUCUUAAAUCAGGGUGGUUAAGCUCCGAUUUUUUGGUGGUUGGCUUGAACUUUGUUGUGCACACAAGGUGUUUGUGAAAAUUUCCAAGUGAACUUUGUUGUUUUAUUUUCGGUAAACAAGUAGAUAAAUCAUGUCUACUAGAGGAAUGGUGAAGAUUGGGAAGUAUGAGAUAGAUAAAUUCAAUGGAAAGAAUGACUUCUCAUAUUGGAGAAUGCAAAUGAGAAAUUUGUUAAUUUCUCAAAAGUUGCACAAGGCAUUGGCGGGAAAGGAGAAGAAGCACAUAGAUAUGUUUGAUGAGGAUUGGGAAGAUCUAGAUCUUGAGGCACGAGCGUCUAUCAUUAUUUGCCUUGAAAGAGAUGUAGCUUUCUUGGUUGAUGGUGAGGAAACGGCGGCGGAGGUGUGGACAAAGUUGGAGGCAAACUUCAUGACGAAGACUCUAACAAAUCGGAUUUAUUUGAAGUCCAAAUUGUAUACUUGCAAGAUGGAUGAAGGUACACGAAUCUGGGAGUACGUCAACAAGUUUGAUAGGUGCAUAUCAAACUUGAAGGACAUUGAUGUGAAAGUAGAUGAUGAGGAUCAAGCACUUCUACUACUUCUUUCAUUGCCUAAGUCUUAUGAGCACCUAGUACAAACAUUGAUGCUUGUAGGUGAUAAACUUGUGAUGGAAGACACUUGAACGUCACUUCUAGCGGAUGAUCUUCGAAAGAUUGCAACUAGUGGCAUGUCUACCAUUGGUAAUAAGGAGCAAGCUCAAGGAUUUUUUGUAAGAGGUAGAAGCAACGUGCAACCAAAGGGCAAGGGAGAAAAGUCUAGAUCGAGUUCUAGACCUCUUGCGGAAAGGCCUUGUUUCAAAUGCGGCGAGCUUGGGCAUUUCAAGGCGAAUUAUACUAACAACAGGGGUUGGAAGAAGAACAAUAAGAGCAACAAUAACGGGAAGGUGCAAGUCAAGCAAGAGGUUAGCUAUGCCUCGGAAGAAGGGGAAAGCGAUGAGUGCUACACCAUCUCUUGUGAUGAAGAAAUCUCCGGUAAGUGGAUCUUGACUCUGGAUGCUCUUACCAUAUGUGUCCAAAUAGGAAGUGGUUUACUAGCUAUAGAAGCACUGAUGGUGGAACCGUGUUGAUGGAUAAUAACCAUUCCUGAAAAAUAGUGGGGGCUCGGUUCAAUUAGAAUCAAGAUGUAUGAUGGAGUGGUUAGAACAUUGAUUGAUGUUAGACAUGUUCCUGAUUUGUGAAAGAACCUUAUCUCUGUUGGUGCUUUAGACUCUGGUGGUUCCAAGAUUGUAACAUGGAAUGGCGUAAAGAAGGUUGUUUGUGGUUCUUUGAUUGUGAUGAAGGGUAUUCGUGAAGGCAAUCUCUAUGUUCUUCAGGGUACUACAGUUACAGAAGAUGUAGCGGUUGGAACAAGUGGAAGUGGUGGAGACCCAUGUGAGUGCACUCGGCUAUGGCAUAGGAGGCUUGGAAAUAUGUCUGAAAAGGGGUUAGAUCUGCUAGUCAAGAAAGGUUUGCUAAAGAACUUGAAUAAGCCUUACAUGGAUUUUUACGAGCAUUGCGUGUACGGUAAAGCACAUCGAGUUCAGUUCCAGCCAAGCAAACAUAGAAGCAGAGGUAUUCUAGACCAUGUGCAUACGGAUGUAUGGGGUCCAGCUUCUGUCACUUCCGAAGGCGGUUCUAGGUAUUUUGUGACAUUUGUUGAUGAUUAUUCUAGAUAUGCUUGGAUUUAUUUUUUGAAGCAUAAGAAUGAGGUAUUCGACACUUCAAGAAGUGGAAAGCAAUGGUUGAAAACAAAAUAGGAAAGAAAUUGAAGACACUGCGAUCUGAUAACGGUACUGAGUAUACAGAUGGUGCUUUCAAGGAGUUCUAUGGUAAGGAAGGCAUUGCGAGACACUGGACAGUUAGGAAUACACCACAAUAGAAUGGGGUCACAGAAAGACUGAAUCGCACAUUUCGAGAUAAAUCGAUGUGUAUGCGAUCCUAUACUGGUUUGGGCAGAGUUGGUUGCAAAUGCUUGCUACAUUGUGAACCGAUCUCCACAUUUAAAGUUAAAUGGAGAUGUACCUUACAAGGUAUUGACAGGAGAACAUGUAGAUUAUGAGAAACUCAGAAUAUUCGGAUGCACAGUCUACUAUCACGUCAACGAGGGAAAGUUUGAUGCAAGGGCCAAGAAGGGUAUAUUCUUGGCAUAUGCAGUACGUGUAAGUGGCUAUCGCCUAUGGUGUGUAGAGGAUUCUAAGUUCAUAAUCAACAGAGAUGUUACUUUUGAUGAGAACUCCAUGAUAGCUUCGUUGAAUGCUACAGUGCCCACUGGUGAUGAUGUUGAGACUACAAAGUCUCAAGUUGUUGACAUAGAACAUAGAGAUCAACCUGGUUCCAAUCAUGUUCAAGAGGAGCACCAUGUAGACACUCAAGAUGAGAGUGAUGAUGAUGAGCUUGAACAAGAGGCGGUUCAGCAAGAGAAUAUACAGGCACAUCAACAAUAGCAGCUUGCAGAUAACUUGGCUUCCUCUAGGCCACGGCGUACUUACAAGCAAGUUCUAAAGUUGGGGUCAGACGAGCCUUUGAGGCACUAUGGGCAGAUAAAUUUGGUUGAGUAUGCACUCUUGGUGGAGGAUAAUGAGCCUGCCACUUUCAAGGAAGCUAUUUUAAACAACAAUAGUAAGAGUUGGUUGGCAACGAUGGAAGAAGAGAUGGAAUCACUUCACAAGAACCAAACAUGGGAGGUUGUCCUAUUGCCCAUAGGUAAGAAAGUUAUUGAUUGGAAGUGGUUGUACAAAAAGAAAGAUGAUCCUACCAAGCUCGGUGGUACAAGAUUCAAAGCAAGGUUAGUGGCUAAGAGGUUUGCACAAAGAGAGGGAGUUGACUACAAUGAGAUCUUUUCUCCGGUGGUCAAGCAUACUUCCAUUCGGGUGCUAUUGAGUAUUGUUGCUCAUCAUGAUCUUGAGCUGGAACAACUCGUGUCAAAACCGCCUUCUUGCACGGGGACUUGGAUGAGGAAAUCUAUAUGCAUCAACCUGAGGGCUACAAGGUUGAGGAUAAGGAACGUCAGGUAUGUCGCUUGAGAAAAUCACUAUAUGGAUUGAAACAAUCUCCUCGGCAAUGGUACAAGUGAUUUGACUCCUUCAUGCUAAAGCAUGUUUCUCCAGAAGUGAGUAUGACUGUUGUGUUUAUAUUCGAAAACUUCGGGGAGGUAACUAUAUCUAUCUUCUUUUGUAUGUGGAUGACAUGCUUAUUGCUUCGAAAAGCAAGGUAGAGAUAGAUAGGUUGAAAUCUCAACUUGGUAAAGAGUUUGAGAUGAAGGAUAUGGGGGCUACUAGGAAAAUACUAGGUAUGGAGAUUAGAAGAGAGAGGACGAACCGACGAAUUUUCUUAAGUCAGAAAGGCUACAUUGAGCGGGUUAUUGCUAGGUUCGGGUUGCAAGGUGCAAAGUCGGUGGUGACUCCAUUGGCUCCACAUUUCAGGCUCUUUGGUAAACAAUAUCCUACUACAGCGGAAGAAAAAGGUACGCAUGGAUCGUGUACCUUAUGCUAGUGUAGUUGGCAGUUUGAUGUAUGCCUAGUGUGUACACGCCCAGAUAUUUCACAGGCGGUUAGUGUGGUCAGUAGAUUCAUGGCGAAUUCGGGGAAGGCACAUUGGGAAGCUGUGAAGUGGAUCCUGAGGUACUUAAAAGGUACCGCAGAUAUGGGUUUAUAUUUUGGUGGAGAUGCAUGUCAGAUAAGUGGGUUUUUGGACUCGAAUUAUGCAGGUGAUCUAGAUAGACGACGAUCUACUACUGGAUAUGUGUUUUGCAUACAUGGUGCCCCAGUUAGUUGGCGAUCGAUGUUACAGGCUACAGUAGCUCUUUCUACUACAGAGGCCGAGUAUAUGGCCAUGGCAGAGGGAGUGAAGGUAGCAUUGUGGUUGUGGGGUCUUCUAGAUGAUUUGGGGAUUGAGCAGGAUUGUGUGGACUUGUGGUGUGAUAGCCAGAGUGCGAUUCAUUUGGCUAAGAAUUAGGUUCAUCAUGCUUGAACUAAGCAUAUCGACGUCAGGUAUCAUUUUGUGCGUGAUGUCAUAGAGGAAGGUGAUAUUUCUCUCUUGAGGUACACACAAAUGAGAACCCAGCAGACAUGUUAACCAAAGUGGUAAUGGGUAGCAAGUUUCAGCAUUGCUUGGACUUGCUUCACAUUAGUCCAUGCUGAUAUGCCCGAGUGGGCAUGGCCUUUUGGGGUGGGGUUGAAAUGAGGUGAAGAGUAUAUGAAGAUGGAGGUGAACUACGAAGGCUUGAUCCCGAGUUUUGGGUACGUAGGCAACCAUGGUUUGAAUGGUGCAGCCGAGUUUGGCGCUUGUUGCUUCUUCUUGUGUUCGUCCAAAAUUUGAGGUCUAUCAAAUGAUGUACAAAGUGGAGAAUUGUGAGAAAUGGAGUAACAGGCGCCUAGGCGCCCCCAGUUCUGCUGAAGCAAAAACUGGGCGCUUAGGCGCCAUGUGUGGGCGCCUAGGCGCCCAGUUUCUCAAAGUGGGCAGAAACUUGGCGCCUAGGUGCCACUCAUGGGCGCCUAGGCGCCCGAUUCAGCUAUAUAUAUAGCUGAUUUUUCCUUUCAUGAUCGAUCCAAUUUUUAGAGAGAAAAUAGAAGAGAGCGCUUGGAGAAAAUUUAACAAGAAAGAGGUUAUUCUUCUUGGGUAUAAAUUCAAAGCUAUUUUUCUUUCUUGGGGAUUAACUCGAGGCUUGUUCAAGUAAUCCAAAUCCAUUGUUCAUCAUAUAUAUUGAAAACCAUUUCUUCUCCAAUUUUCUUAUCUUUUCUUUUCAUCUUCAAGUGGUUGGAAUUUUCACAUUGCAAGUUUAUUUGACUUUGGGCAAUCUUGGGAGGUGUUUCUUCCCAACAAAUGGCUUUUGUAAACAUAUCAGCAACUUGAUCUUCUCCUUUGCAGUAAAUAAGAUCAAUGGUUUCAUCAAAAUGAUACCUUCCAUCAAUAUGUUUGCUUCUUCCAUGUAGAACAGGAUUCUUGGACAACUUUAUAGCUGAAGUGUUAUCACAAUAGAUGUGAGUGGGUCCUUCUUGCUUGAAACAGAGAAACUCGAGUCCUCCUUAGCCAAAUUACUUAGCAUGCACAUGCCGUUGCUGCCACAAACUCUGCUUCUAUAGUUAACAAUGUUACAAUAGCAUGCUUUCUUGAAGACCAUGAGACUGCUCCUGUCCCAUCAUAAACCAGAUGUGCUUUUUCUAUCCUCUGGAUCACCAACAUAGUCACUAUAUGUAAAACCAAAUAAAUAUGAUUUUUCACCUCUUUCGUAAAGCAAACCAUAAUCAGCGGUGCCUUGUAAGUAUUUGAAAAUUCUUUUCGAAGCCAAGAGAUACAUCUCCUUUGGACACUUUAUCUCUUCCCUUAGGUCCUUUGAUGAGCUUCACAUUUAUUUUUGUUGGUGUGCUAACACGAUUACAUUCAUUCAUUCCGAACUUGUCAAGAAUUUCUAGCACAUACUUUUUCUGAAAGAUAAAAAUGCCAACAGUAGAUUGAACCACCUCUAUGCCAAGAAAGUAAUGUAUCAUGCCAAGAUCAGACACAUCAAAUUCAAUCAUCGUGGACUUCUUAAAAUUCUUAAACAUGACUUGAUCAUUUCCAGUGUAGAUUAAGUCAGCUACAUACAAGCAAACCAUGAGAAUCUUGCCAUUAUCCUCCUAUUUCAUGAUAAGUGUGUGUUCAUAAGGACAUUUUUUAAAUCCUUCCUUCAAAAAAUAAGCUUCGAUACGAUUGUACCAAACUCGUGGGGUUUGUCAUAACCCAUAUAAAGCUUUUUUUCAGCUUAAGCACUUUACAUUCUUUUCCAAUCUUAACAUAUCUGGGAGGUUGAUUAACAAAUACUUGCUCUUCCAAGUCUCCAUGUAAGAAUGCUGAUUCAACAUCUAGUUGAAAAAUACACCAACAAUUUUGUGUUGCUAAUGCAAUCACCAAUCUGAUUGUGUCGUACUUUACAACUAGAGCAAAAACUUCUUUGUAGUCGAUGUUGAACUCUUGUUUGUAGCCUUUGGCAACCAAGCGCGCCUUGUAUUUAUCAACUUCACCAUUUUCUUUCAGGUUUUUCUUGUAGACCCAUUUUACACCAAUAGUCUUCUAUCCUUGAGGAAGUUCAGUCAAUGUCCAAGUAUUAUUAUUUUCAAUGGCUAUAAUUUCAUCAUCCAUUGCCUUUCUCCAUUUUGAUUGUUUGACAGCUUCUUCAUAAAUUAUAGGAUCACAAUCUGAAAAUAGAACAAAGUGUGCAAGUGAGUUCUCGAAUUGGUCAAUCCCCGUGAACUCAUAUUCAGCCAUCCAUGUGGGUUUUCUUUGGAAACGUUCUGAUCUUGGUAUGCUAUGGACCCUUCUUGGAUAACUGUGGGUUGUGGUUCUUGCUCUACAAUCUGCCGCCCUUCAAUAUGCUACUGGGAUUGGUAUGUAAAAAUAGAAUAUAUGAUUAGUGUUUGCCAGUAUGAUACUGGGAUUCGGUUGGAGAGGAAGAUGAUGGUGGUGGUGGCAAAAAUUCAAAUUUAAGUGGUUGGUGAUGGGUAGAGUUGAUGGUGGAGGUGGUGACAGUGAUGAGAGGCAAGGCAUGGCAAAAAUGCCACGUAUAGGGCCUGGGCGACUAAUUAAGCGAUUAACAAAAGUGUUGACUGCUUAAGGUGCAUCUAGGUGUUCAUUAUUAUUAUUAUUAUUUUCAAUUCUUAAAACUAAAAAGGCUUUUUUCUUCGCUUUCUUGUUUGCCUUAUAAGUUAAAACAUAGCCAAUGAAGAGAGAAAGAGUCGCUUGAACAAAAGAAAAGUGCCAAAAAUUCCUUUCUCCUCCAAAUUCAAUAUCCACUUCGGCACUUGCUAUGUUAAUUAAGCUGGUAAGAUCUCUAUCUCCAUCUUCAUCUAGAGAAGAAACCCGCUAUAAGUGGGAAUAAAAAUCGAAUUCGGAUUUAUGCCUAGAAGAAAAGUGCUAUUGAAAGUUCUGUAAUAAAGUCAGUUUGUGUCUUUUGCCACUUUGCUUCAUGUUUCUUACCGUAUUAUUAAGACUAGUAAAGUUUUCUGUUUGAUUAGGUUCAAUGGUAAGUUUAAGGAUGGUCUUUUUUGCACUAAUUAAAGAAACAGGUGAUUUUGGAAUACGAUAUGCAUUGCAUUUUAACUGCUGCAGAUCAUAGCAUCAAAUAUGUGGUGUCCUGUUCACUGCCGAAUUGUUGUUAGUUUUGUUUACGUACUUCAAUUUAAAUACAAGCGGGGUAUUGUUCACUGGUUGUGUUUUAUUGUUUGCUUCUUAAUGUGUAUCUAUGUUCACUGUUAUGUAACCUUCUUAAGUUUCCGCAUAUAAACCCUUGGAGAAUUUGAGUGUAUGAUUAACUUAAUUUAAAAAUUCAAUGACAUCAAAAUUCAAUGCUAGUCAAAUAAAAAGGGAUUCCAAAGAUGUUGGAUGGGAAAUCAUGAUUUUUGCAGAUCCUAAAAAUCUUAAUAAUAUGAAAUAAUUUUUGCAAAUCCUAAAAAUCAUAAUAAUGUGAAAUGCAUAUUAUGUGAUAAUGUUACUAAGGGGGGAAUUUCUAGGCAAAAAAUUCAUAUAGCAGGAAUCAAGGGAAGAUGUGGUAUAUAUAUCAUGUCCUAGAGCAAGUUAAGAACGAAAAGCCAAGUGUGUUGAAGCUAUUCAAGGGAUGAAGUCUAAAACAAUAGAGAAGCUAUUGAAUGAUGUUAAGUUGAGGGAAGAUGUGGGUUGUAUCUUUGCCAGCAAUACAACAUGAAGAAGAUGAAAUUUCUAUUGGGACUAGGAUAAUGCCUAUUAAUGUGGGGCCUACAAAUCAAUUUGCAAGAUCUAUCAAUGUCAAUGAUGCUUCUAUGAGUGCAAGUAAGAAACUAAGACAACAAAAUGUGAAUGAUGCAAUUUAUAAAAAAAAUGGUUUUUAAGGUUCAUUGAUACUUCACAAGAUGAGUUUAUGAAGCUGGAAUUCCUUUUAAUGCCAUUGACAAUGAUAGUUAUUAAACUAAUUGUGGAAGCUCUUGGUCAAUAUGGCUUGGCUUACCUUCCUUCUUCCCAAUACCAAGGGAGCACUUUUAAAGGGAGAAGUGCAAAGGUCAAAAGAAACAAGAAAAAUGUGGAAAAAUAAUGGGUGUUAAAUCAAGACUUAUGCUUGGAGUGAUAAGAAAAGGAGAAGCAUCAUGAAUUUGUGUGUGUAUUGUAAAUUGGGGACCACAUUUAUUUCAUCAAAGGAAGCUUCAAAUGAUGCCCAUACCGGUGAAUUUAUAUUUGACUAUUUCAAUUAAAGAUGUUGGGGUCGAAAAUGUGGUUCAAAUUGGGACCGACGAUGCCUCCAAUAAUAUGGCCACCGCAAAAUUGUUGGAAUUACAAAGGCCUAAAAUGUUUUGGACAUCAUGUGCCACUCACACUUCUUAUGCAUGAAGGAAUCUCUAAACUUCCUAGCUUCAGGGAAGUGAUUAACAAGGGAAAAUCAUUCACUAUAUUCAUUUAUGCACAUCACAAGACUUUGGCGCUGAUGAGAAAGCUCACAAAAAAGAGAUAGUUAGGUCGGGAGUCACUAGAUUUGCAUCUUCUUUAUUAACAGUGCAAAAUUUGCUUGAUAAAAAACAAUAGCUGAGAAAUAUGAUGAUUAGCAAUGAAUGGGAUAAGAUAAAAUGGUCUAGGUAUAAAGAGGAAAAAGAUGCAUUUCAUAUUUUUGUUAUGAAUGAUCUUUGGAACAUGGUAAAGUCUUGUUUGACAGUAUUCACUCCUUUAGUGAAAGUGCUUAGAGUUGAUUGUAGAGAAAAAAAGCCUUAAAUGGGCUUUUUCAUGUAGAGCUACUAAUGACAAAGGAUGACAAUUAAAAGAUAUCGAAGAGGGAGCAUCAGAAUGUACCUUUCUUUUUCUUCUUCUUCCUCAACCUUUGUGUGUGUGUGUGUGUGUGUGUGUGUGUGGAUAUACACCAAGGAAAGGAAUAAGCUUGACACUAAAAGGGUGAACAAUAUUGUUUAUGUCCAAUUUAAUGCAAGGCUGGUGAACAAAAAGAAGAGAAAACACAAAAUAGAUAUCUUACAACCUACAAGAGGUACUAUAAAUGCUCAAAAUGAAAUAAAGGAGCUUGAGGAAGAAGAUUUUGUAUUGGACAACAUGGAGGAGGAACUAGAUAAAGAAGAUGAUAUUGAAUUAGAGUUUGGUAAACAUGUAGAUAAGAUUUAAGUUUCUAUGAUAUCUACAUUAUGUAACUAUUAUUUUGAUACUUAUCUUUUUGUAUUAUUAGUUAGAUGCUUGGUAGGUAUUAUUUUAAUUAUUAAAUAAUUUCUAGAUUGAUUAAAAAUUAAAAAUAAUAUUAAAAUAAGAAAAUAAAUUUUUUUUUUCACUCCUAUCAUUGCCUAACCCAAAGCUUGACCUCUACACAGCCACACAUUAUACCUUUUAGAUUAGAGGUUGUCAGAAGCAGUGGAACAAUGUGUUAUAAAUGUAAUACAAAUUAUUAUAAGUGGCAAAGGAGAGAAACGCUAUCUAUACAAGUGGUGGUGACGAUAACGAUGGCCAUGAGUAAGAUAUUAUAUUACAAGUGUAGCAUAAUUUCUUACAGGUGGUGGUGACGGUGGACAGAUGUGGACGAAUGUGACAAAAUAUAUUAUUGUUAGAAAGUGUAGCAUAAAAGAAAAUUAAAAAUAAAUAUUGACAAAAAAAAGUUGGACGACAAGUUGAGAAACCGUUUGAUAUUUAUGUUUAUUUUUGUAAAGUACCCUAUUUUAAUGUGGCCCUUUGAGCCGUCAUUUUCUGGGUUGUGUUUCUUUUAAAUGAAAUUUACACUACACAACCUUUUAAAUAAAAUUUCCAACCUAUUUUAUUACUAAGAAUACUAGAAAUAGUAUAUUUGGUAACUUAAAAAUCACAUAACUCCUUAAUAUAAUUUGGGAUAAUUAUAUUCAUACCACAAUUUUUUUUUCUUGCUCCACAGUUUAAUUUACUUUAAGUUUUUAAUCUUUACUCAUUAUAGUACUGAUGUACCUAAUGAUUUUUAAAAUCAUUCUUAUAAUCAAACAUUUCAUUAGUUAACACAAUUUGUAUUUAAUAACAGUUUUAUUUUCAAAAGUCCGUUGAAAUUACGCAAAACAACUUAUUUGUUGUCAUAUAUUUUUAAUAAUAAAUAAAUAAAAAGUGCUAAAAAUAUUUUAUUUCCUCAUUUCAAAGCAUAAAAAUAAAAUAUUUUGAUAUAAAUCAUGAUCAAGGAUGAAUCUUAAUUUCACAUACAAUAAUAUUGCUCCAUUUUAAUCCCGUAUCUUUUACCCCAACUUUCAAUUCCAAAAAAAAAAAAAAAAAGGGUCAACAACCUAUAUUUUACUUCAAUUUCUUCAUUGAUUGUGAGAAUAAAAAAUCGAUUGUUGAGUGGAGAUCUUUCUUUUCCAUAUAUAUAUUAGGAUCUCCAAAGAUCCAUUGAAGAUUUUUGUCCAUGGUUUAGUCUAAGCAUCAUCAAACCUCUGUUCUGCUUCAAUUUAUUCGUCAAUUGUGAUAAUCAGACAUCAAUUGUUGGCCUGGAGAUAUUAUUUUUCAUGUGCACCGAGAUAUUCAAGGAUCAACGGAAGACUAUUCUUCCAACAUAGUGCAUCCAACCUCUAGAUAAGAAUUCGUUCUUAGGGAUUUCUGUCAUAUAUCAUACUUUUAGCCACUAGGUAAAGUGAUUUCACCCCACGAAGUAGCUAUAAAUAUUGUGAAAUGGAAACCCUAAAAUACAUUUCAACCAUGGGUUCUGACAAGAAUAAGUCGUCACACCAUCACUAGCAGACACAAGGGGUGGCAGGGGGUCAUGUGACCCCCAACUUUUGGACAAUUUGUUUUUUAUGGGAUAAGAAACAAAGUUGAAAUAUUACAUUCUUAGCACCUGUCUAACUGGUAUUAAAAUCAUAUUUUUAUUAUAUUUUGAUAAAAGUUGAUGAAAUGUGUGGUUGAAAAGUUUUGGGUUCCAUAAAAUUUGUGGUUUAAAUUAAUUGUUGAUUUUGACUUAAAUUGAAAUUUAGAUUUUAAUUUAUACCAAACAAGGACUUAAUACUAUUUCAAAGUGCUCAUGGCUUAGUUUUUCACGUCAUUAAUGGCACAUGAAACAAUCAAUCGUAGCUAAUAUUGGGGCUAUUCAAAGUACAUCGUUUCAAAUUAGUAUUUCGAGAAUUUCGAUAACAUGCUUUUAAAAAUUAUUCGACGAUUGCACGCUAGUCGAAUUUUCAGAAUUGACUACAUGAUCUUGAAGCUUUUCGAGAACUACAUUAUAGACAUAUCGAACCAUCCAAAUGGAUAUUGAAAAUAGUUAAAGGUGCAUCAAAUGUAUGUCUUGAAAUUUUAAAUUUUUUGAAUUGUCUCAUUAAUUUUUAUUAUUAAUUAUAACCUACAAAUUCUCAAUUUAAUUUACACAAUUUUAUUAGAAAAUUUUAUACGGGGUAUGCGUCAAUUUUUUUUGAAGUUUUACAUUCGGAAAAGUCAUAUCCUAUAUAAAUUUUACAUGGGGUAUGAUUUUUUCAGAUGUAAAUUUUCUAAUAUAAAUUCCUCACAACUUUUUUGUAAGUUUAAUUAUGUCCCCUAAUUUAAAUUCCUUCAAGAAGUAUUAUUUGCUCAAUAAGUAAUAUCCCACAUGGAAAGGGUUAGUGUUUGUGGCUUGCCCGAAACUAACCGCUCACAACAAGGAGUUGUAUAGAAGAUUACUACAAUCAACCAUUCAUGUUCAGUCGUGCUACGUAUACAUAAUGGUUUAUAUAAUAGUUUACAUAUACAUGAUGUGGUAAAAUAUGAUUGGGUUAGAAUUUCUUCAACUGAAUAAAAAGCUUCUUCACUUUCUUUUUGACACAUCAUCUAUAUAUAAAUUAUUAUAUAACUCAAUUAUGUACCGGUUGCAUUAUUCAUUCUGAUUCAGCAUGGCACCUUGACGAAUGUAGCCUAGGCCUGCCCCCAACCCAUAUACAAAAUUAAGAGUAAAAUUUUAUUUUUGGGCCCAAAUAUUUAUGUGUAGCCUGACUCUACUCGAGUCCCAAACAACUUGCCCCCAACCCAGAUACAAAAUUAAGUGAAAAUUUUAAAUUGGGAAAAUUACACCUAGACACGUUUUUUUUAAAUUUCAAAUACAAUAAUCAGGCUUUAACUUUAUUAUUUCACAAAUCGGGUUAUAAUUUAAUUAUUUAGUAUUAAAUUUUUAACAUAAUAUUACUAAUUAAAAUUAUUUUACAGUCAUUAUCCCUACAAUGGGGGAGAGAAAUUAUUUAAAGCAUUUCAAAACACUAUUCUUCUACCACAUCCAUUGAGAGGAAGAUUAUGGAUCCUAUUUCAAUUGAUUCAUCCUCGUUCGUUGAGGAAGAGUAACAAUUGGAGGACUUCAUCGCUGUUCGUCCACAAUUUCCCAUUUCCUAAUGUUCAGGAUACUGUUAAAUAUUUUGAAUUAAUAUUUCAAACUUUUUUUCAACCAUAAAUCUAUAAAAAUUCGACUUAAUGGGUUCGGCCAAAGAGAAUUACUCUAAAUUGCUAUAAAAUGGGGAAAACUAAUCAUGGAUUGGUUUUUUUUAUUGAGAAGAAAGGCGAGAAUUGCUUCCAAGUAUUUUUUAUGGCCCUUAGAAAAUGCGUUCGAGGAUUUCGAAAAGCGAUGCGACCCCUAAUUCUAGUCAACAGUACAACCUUUAAGAUUAGAUACGAAGGCAAGUUGAUUAUUGCAACAUAUCAAGAUACUACUUUCAAAUUUACCCUCUUACAUUCAGCAUAGUUGAGGAGAGAAUGACUUAGCGAUGCGUUGGUUCUACACGAAAUUGAGGGAAGUAAUUGGGGAUGUUGAGAACUUUGCAUUCACAACUAUCUAGAGGCAGUUAAUAAUAAAUGGUAUUGCAGAAAUCUUUCCCGAAGCACAUCAUGAUUAUUGUAUGUACCAUAUAUAGGGCAACUUAAAGACUAAGUAUCGGGACAGUGGUAUUGUCGAAUUGUUUAGGAAAGCUGCAGAGGCAUAUAAUUUUGAAGAGUUUGAUAAGCUCAUGGUCAAAAUAAAAAAUAAAUUACGUGUUGUAUAGGAUUAUCUAACAGAGAUGAUGAUCGAACAUUGGGCACAAUCACGUUUUUCAAGACGUCGAUAUAAUAUGAUGACGUCAAACAAUGUGGAGUCACUUAAUGCAUUAUUUAAUAAGGAUCGAGAAUUACCAAUUCCUACAAUGAUUUAGCCCAUUCAUAACAAACUACUUAGUGGUUUCAUAAUCGGCGUGAGGAAUCCCGACUUAGGAAGAUAAGAUUUUAGAGAUGGUGAGAAAGGUAUGUGUGGAACCAUUGGAUCAAUUUGACUUCUCCAUGAGAUAUGGACUUGAAUGAUAGCACGUGCAUAUGUAGAAAGUUUCAAUUGGAGAAUUUUCCAAUCACGCACGUAGUGACAGUGGCUAUGCACAGAGGAUUUUUAUCACACACCUUAUGCAGUUAUUAUUAUAUAGCUUAUUAUUGGAGAGCAACGUAUACUGAAACGAUAUUUCCUAUACCAAAUAAAGUCGAGUGAAAAGUUCCCAACUACAUUAUCCCACUUAAUAAUUUGUUGCCAUCCAAAGUCGGAGCAUGUACUCCUGGACGUAGACGUACAUCUAGGAUACCAUCUACUGGAGAAUUUUUUCAAUCUCGUAAAUGCAGUAGGUGCGACGCAAUAAGGUAUACUUGCCGAUUUUGUACAAGCAAGAUUCCUCUAUAUAACAAUUCAAUGAAUGCGUAAUACAAUACCCAGAAUUUUUAUUUACUAUUUUCAAAUGGGCCUAAAUUUAAAGUUAGUUAUUUAGUAAGUGGAAUAGUUCAUUAUUCUUUCUAUUAUUAAUAACACUUAAUUUUUAUUUAUUUUCACAUUCUAUCAUUAAUUAAUAGUUUUUUUUAUGUUCGAGCAUUUGACAUCCUAUAUUAAAUUUAUAUUGAUGGUUGAAAUCGCAGUAUUUUUAGCUAUUUGUUUGCUUAUACAAUCAAGUUUAUUGUCGUAAAAAAAAUAAGAAGAUUUUUAGUUAUUUGUUUGUUCAUACAGUCAAAUAUGCUCCGAAUCACACAUACAGUUGUGCUACAACACAUGACACAAUGAAGUCAACAAUAUUUAAUUAUUUUUAAUAAAAUAAUACAUAAUGUACUAAGGAUCACAAUUGUAUGCAUACAAAUUGCAAGUUAACUUCAAUCUCUACAAAUCUAUGCAAGGUUGGUUUAUUGUAUCAACUUUGUGAUCAAUAUUCCAACACUCUAUAUACUUUAUUAUGAAUAUAGCACAAUCACCCCUGCAAGUAAAUAAUAUUAUAUUAGUUCGAUAACAUAUAUCUAAAAAAUAAGUUUUCAAACUAAAAACUUUUAAAUACUUACGACACUCUGUGUCUCGCUGUCUUCAUGUUACGUACAAUGGAUAAUUUGUCAUUUACUCAAAUCAUCGUAUGUCUAGCUACAAUGGGAACGAUUAUAAUCAUCAGCUCCAUUAUUUGCUCCAAUUAAUCUUGUGUCUGACAGCUAUGAUCAGAGUUGUACACAUGGAUAGUAGAAUCAGCGAAUGCGAUCUCAACUGCAGAGCAAUGUGAGUUCACGAUCACUAGAAUGUACAUACGUAUAUAACCUAUACCCUUUCCAUCAUAUCCCCUACCACCAUCACCGUCAAUACCUCUUUGCUGCCUCUGUCGGGGCCAUACAUUUCUUUUCUGUGAAAAAUGAAUCGAAUGUAGCAUUCAAUAGCUACGACGAAUCAUCACACCGCAUUUGACCAUCUCCUCCGUCAUUCCCUUGUCCCUAAGAACCGCAAGUCCCUCCGUCACCCCGUCUAUCUCCAUGAGGCUAGUCCCUUUGUCGUCCGCUCCAUCCCGAGAGCUACUAGUCCAUUCCAGGCCUGCUAUAUCACCUCAUGUCACUAUGACCUCAGCAUGAAGAUCUCCUAAAUUGGCUUGUUGCACCAUGGCAUCAUGUCAUAACUCUGCUACAUCACUUCUCAUCUCCAUCAUAAAUGUAGGUAGAAGUUCGAACAAAUUAUCGGUGGAAGCAUCACAACUACGUGCAGAAGAUCUACGUGUGAGGUUCUGGAUGUAGGAGUAGGUGAUCUCAUGUGUGAAGGUGACCUCCUCAGGGAAGGUGAUAUCGUUGGCAAAAAUGAUCUCCUUGAUGGAAGUGAUCUCCUCACCGGAGGUGAUACUGGAUUACACUCCUAAAAAAUGAACAUUACAAACGAAUAGCUUAAUCAAAAAUCAAAACGAUAAUCAAAUUAUAUUCAAUUAACACACCUUAUCUCGAUCGACAAUGUCUUCGGGCAUUUGAUUUGUCUGGCAUAGCUGGAACAGAUAGAUCACACAGAUAACUCUGACCCUUCUCUUUGAUCGACGGUCUCAACUCGAAAAGGACUUAAGCCGACGUAUUGACAUUUCACCGAUUUAAUGACCAUCUAUCGAGAUUUUGAAAGCACAUAAAUAUAAAUUGCAAAUGUAAACUACAUACCUUGGGAUCGUCAAAGAAAGCUGAUUAUUGUUUGGCAAAUGGUUUGUCUUGUGCUCGUUAAUGAUGCAUUUGAGGAUAGCAUGUCUCCCAUCUCUUCGGAUAUCGAUCACCCAAGAUAGGGAUAGUCUAGUACACCCAUAUUUGUAAUAAUUACAAUUAUUAUAUAAAAUUUAAUUAAAAAAUAGAUAGUUCAUUAAGUUAAACAUUUACUUGCAAAGCCAAAGGCAAGCCAGGUGCAUAGUACUUGUGCUCGGGCCUAUCCUCUAGGCAUCAAAUACUCCAUCCGAAAGACGUGCAAAGUAUCCAUAAAACAUCUCUGCCCCACGAAUAGUUGUUGAACGUAUUAAUGUCAUCAACAACUUCCAAAUGGAAAACAUCAAUCGACGUCUUCUUGUGAUGACUUCUAAGCACACUUUCAAGAAUAAGCAUCAAGCCUAGCUUCAACUUGUCUAAAAUCUGGUCACAUUCCCUGAAUGCAUCUCCUAACUAUACCAGAGUUACUAUCAUUUGUCCAUGAAAGUAUUUAUUUACCAGCCUCAUGUUUCUUGAAAUAUGAGCCCUUACUGUUUCUUCGCCUGUAUAUCUCAAUUCGAUGAUGAGGGCAAACUCGAAUAUAGAGAAUAUAGCUACCUUACCCCCAAAUCAAAAAGGAAGAUAUCUCUAUCAACUGGCUUAAGCAGUCAACAUUGUAAUGCACUGAGCAACUGUCCGAAGAACUAUACGUCAUGCAACUCAUGCAACGAAUACAGGGGCCAUAAGCAGGAUCGAUGUAAUAUGUCUCUGUGUUCCUCAUCUAGCGAAUCUAGUACCAUCGUAAAUUGCAAAAGUCACAAUUCAACUUAACUUUGCUAGGAAUUUGUUUAAUGGUAGCGUUUAAGUGGUAUUCUAUUCUGCAAAAUUUCAAAUGUUAGAAAAUUAAACUAACUGAACUGUAACUACUACACCCAAGAAUUAACAUAUAAUAGAAAAAAGGAAAAUGAAAGUAAAUAAAAAUUAUAAAACAAAAUUAUAAAAAGCAAUAAUUAAUUUUUUUUGUCAACAACAUUAAAUAUUCAAGAAAAAAUCAAGCUAUAAUUAAUAUUAGUUAAAAUAUUAAAAAAGAAAUUACAAUCAAAUAUUAAAUAAAUAAUUAAAAUAUCAAACGAAUAUUAAAUAAACAAGUAAAAUAAAUAAUUUAAUAUUAAAUAAUUAAUUAUAAAAGCGAUUACAUAUUAUAUAAAUCUUUAAAAUAAAUAAUUCACAUAAAAAUAAUAAUUAAAUAUUAAAUAAACAACUAAAUAAAGAAUUACAAAUUCAAUUAAAUAUUAAAUUAAAUAUUAGAUAUUUACAUAAACUAUUAAAAUAAUUAAUUAAAUGUUAAGAAACUAAAAUAAAUAAUUUAAAUAUAAAAUUAAAAUAAAAAAAUAUUUAAAAAUAAAUAAAAUAAAUAAUUACAAAAACAAUUACAAAUUAAAUAAACAGUUAAACAAUUUAAAUAAACACUUAAAAUAAAUAAUUACAAAAACCAUUGCAUAUUAAAUAAACAAUUUAAAUAAAUGAUUACAAAACAAAUAAAAUUAAGUAAAAAAUUAAAAUAAAUAAUUAAAUUUAAAUUAUCUAUUUAAGUAAAUUAUUAAAUAAUUUUAUGUUAAAUAAAUAAUUAAAAUAAAUAAUUACAAAAACAAUUGCAUAUUAAAUAAACAAUUAAAAUAAAUAAUUAAAUAUUAAACAAACAAUUAAAAUAAAUAAUUACAUAAAUGAUUAAAUAUUCAAUAAAUAAUUAAGAAAAACAUAAUUAAAUGUUUAAAUAAAUAAAAUAAGUAUAUAAAAAAUCGAAGGCAGCCCAAUAAAUGGAUAUAGACGGCCAUCUGGAUUUGGGUCGUCUGGAAAGACAGAAUUGCAAUUCCCGACUUUGGAAACGACGGAGAUCACACCAUUCCUGAUGAUCUCCGUCCCUGAAGUGUAUCAAAAUACUCAAUUUCGUGUACAAUUUAUAAUCUACAACAAUUUCUACAACAAAUGAACAUAUAACGUGCUUUAUUUAUUGGUAUCUAAAGUUUCAAAGCUAUCUUUCUUCAGAGAAAUGACGAUCUUCGAUCUAGGUCGUCAACUUCUUGGCGGUGUGGGCCGACGGUUUCUAGCUGGUUGUUUUCUACUCUUCUCUAUCUUCAAAAAUCAGUGUGGGCAUAAAUGGCAUAAAUGUUUUUCUAUAAAUGGCAUAAAUCGUCAACUCUCUCUAAAGUUACAUAUGUUUUUCUAUGUUUUUCAUGGUUUUAAUAAUUUUUCCUUUUUCUCAAAAAAAUGGUUAAUGGCCAUUAUAGAAAGAUGGUCGGAUUAACCAAUCAUAAUGUGAACCCGUAUAGGCAGUCGCUACAGAACCCACUUACAAGAUGGAAAUCUUCCCAAGAAAGUCAAAGUAAGAUUUUGAAUUAAACCCAACAAACUUGGAACCAAGCAACCUAAAUCGUCGAUGAUGUGUAGACUUCUUGAUUACGCAAAUUAAUUGAAUAUCACCCGAAAUUUUGGAUCUAACUCAAUAACUAUGAACUAAACAACCAACACGAUCACAUGGACAUGCUGACCUUUUGAUUAUAAAUAAUUAAUUGAAGUCACAACUCGAUUUUGAACGCCACAAGAAUAUUAAUUCCUAAUAAGUUUGGUAGAUUUGCCCAUUGAAGAACAAAAGUUUUGAAGCGAAGCUUCGAGAGAAAAUAUCUAAUUUAAUUCAUAUCAAAGUUUUGAAUACAAUUAUGAAAGAUAUUUCCUAUUUAUACUAAAGCUAGAAUAUAAUAUAAAAACGAAAAAAAAUAAAUCCAAAAUAUAUUAAAGAUGCUAAAAUAUUAGAAUUCUAACUAAACUAGGAAAUUGCCAAAAUAUGGAAUUCUCGAAUCACAUUAGACCCUCUCUCUUCGAAAGGAUUCAUCCUCGAAUUAUGUUCCAGAUUGUAGCCCUUGUCUCCAAUCAAUGCAAGAACAUGAAAUGGUCCAUCUCCCCUCGGAUGCAAUUUGGACCUCCUUUGACUUUGUAUUUGUCUUUUUCGUAAGUAAACCCAAUCUCCUUCACAUGGACUAAAGUGUGCUCACCUCGACUACUUAAUCUUACAAGUUGGAACUGCUCCAUUAACAUUUCCAUAUGAAGAAUAACCGUGCAUUUUCCUUGCUUUACUUAGCUCAAGAACUUGAUGCGAUAUCACUUCCAAUAUAUCCAUAUUAUCCUUCAGUUCAUCUUCCUCAAUCAACUCUCUACAUAUGUAAUUCCUCCAAUGCCUUUGAAACUCCUUUAUCUCCUUGGCAAUCACAAAGUCAACUUGUGGCAGAUAAGAAAAAUCCAACUGAUGUGAACCCACGUAGGCAGUCGCCAUGGAACCCACGAACAAGAUGGAAAUCUUCCCAAGAAAGCCAAAGUGAGGUUUUGGAUUAAACCCAACGAACUUGGAACUAAGCAACCCAAUCGCCGACGAUGUGUGGACCUCUUGAUUACGCAAACUAAUUGAAUAUCACCCGAAAUUUUGGAUCUGACUCAAUAACUACAAACCAAACAACCAACACAGUCACAUGGACAUGCGAACCUUUUGAUUACAAAUAAUUAAUUGAAAUCACAACUCGAUUUUGAAGGACACAAGAAUAUUAAUUCUUGAUAAGUUCGGUAGAUUUGCCCAUUGAAGAACAAAAGUUUUGAAGCAAAGCUUCGAGAGAAAAUAUCUAAUUUAAUUCAUAGCAAAGUUCUGAAUACAAUUAUGAAAGAUAUUUCCUAUUUAUAGUAAAGCUAGAAAAUAAUAUAAAAAUGGAAAAAAAAUCCAAAAUAUAUUAAAGAUGCUAAAAAAUUAGAAUUCUAACUAAACUAGGAAAUUGCCAAAAUAUGGAAUUCUUGAAUCACAUCAAAUCAUCUUCCACUAUUUUCCCCAUGCUCUACUCAUCUCCGACUGUUGUAAUCCAUUGUCGACUGUCCACUUCAAUUGGAAGCAUUCAACAUCAUCGACAAUGUUUUCCAAAACCUACAAUCCCAAUCGCCACCCUAUGCUAUAACUGGAAUCUCUAUUAUGCCCUACCAUCACCCAUCUAUCAGCCUAACAUAUAAUAAAUGAAACCAACCUACUCCAAUCACUGAAGCAACCCACCUUUGACACAUGAUCCUACCCAAUUCCACAACCAGCCGCACCUAUAACUCGCUACUGCAAAACACAGUUGCCACCACAAUCUUGUGUCAGACGCACUCCACAGAGACGAAAAUUUCUAUUCUCUCAUGCAUACAGAGAUAGCUCAUUUUAUUUUGACUGAAGGAAGGAGCUGAAAGAGGAACUGGGACUAGAUUAUUAGGUUUGGGAAGAAAAAUAAAUAGGAGAGAAAUUGUAGCCAGGUAAACAGGCUUUUUUUUUUCACCACAAGCCUCCUGCCGAGAGACAAGGAAAUCGAUGGAUCGUUAGCCAGGGAUUAUAAUAGGGACUCGCUAUUUCUACUUAUCUUUGGAUUUAUACUAUUGUUUCAUUUAAAGUGUGUCAAUUAUUUUCUAUGUUGCUGUUAUCCUAGUAUAUUAACCAAGCUCAUUUGAUUGGAUCCUUUGACUUCGUUAAAUCCCUACUCUUUAUACCAUUUAUUUUACGUAAUUACGCUUUUGACUAGCAUUUGGCACUUGUUUUGCUAUUUUACAUAAACCAGGAUGACUAACUUUCCAUAUUUGGAUUUGUUUAAUCCAAAAAAAUAAAUUAAAAUGCUCAGGUAGCUAUUUUUUGUUAUUUGCCCUUAUUGUUCAUUAAUCUUCCCAUUGCACGUCAUUUAGCUAUUAUUACAUUGAAUGUAGUUGCUUAGUAGUCAUUGUUCAUCUUUUGUUCUUAUAUUUUGACCAUGGACCUUUGCUAAUUUGAUGCACUCACCCAAUAAAUAACUCAAAUUGCCACUGGUAGUAGAACACUUAAUUAGUGGUUGUCCAAACUGAGAUGACUGCUGCUCAUGAACAGAGAGUGAACCUAGCUACUAGAUUAAACAAGUUCAAGGAAAACCCUCGUUCCACUAACGUUGAUAAUUUUGAAGUGUCCCAUAAUGGAUAAUAUCAUCAUCACGAGGUGAUCAAAAAUAUUUUUGACACGAUUGAAGGGAUGGGGAUUAGAAUCGUGAGCUAGAACAAGUCUAUGGCCAUGAUGAUACCCAUUCUCUUCCUCGUCAUGAGGAGCAUUUCUUUAGAAAAUAAAGUAAAUGCUCUAACUUUCAAUGAUUCCUUAGAUCCUAAAUUUUUCACUCAAUGAAAUGCUUUAUGACAAGAAAAUCAGCUACUGACUGAGUAUAUCACUCAAUUCGUGGAAUUUCAAAUGAAAUAUCAUAUCAUUGAGGAUGAGGCCCUGACUUUGUGUAGAAUUAGACAAUGUCUAAAGGUCUAUUUGAUUGCAAAGAUGGAAUUUGUGUGGAAAGAAAAUGAAUUUCAGAGAAUUAAAUUACCUGUAAAUUGUUUUCCUGAGAAUUGUAAAUUAUUGUGUUUGAUUGGUAUAAUUUUUCACUUGGAAAAUGUUAAAAUAAAAGUUUCUUUUGGUGUUCGUUUGGCUUUGUUUUACAUGAAAAUUGUCAAUUUAAGGGAUAUCUCCUUUUACAACUGUUCCUAAAAUUUGUUUCCAUUACUAAAAAAAGGUCCAAAAAUCAUCAUUUGACUUUGUUUUAUAUGAAAUUUGUCAAUUUAAGGGUUAGAAUUUUUUACAAUUGUUCCUCAUAUUUGUUUUCAUUGCCAAAAAAAGGUAGAAAACCAAAAGCCACCAAAAUGGUGGGAAAGCAAAUUCUAAGAAAUCUAAGAAAAUGUGCACGUGUGGGAGAAAGGAAGAAAAGGAAUUGCCAAGAAAAUUUUUCAAAUCAAACAAGGCAAAAGUGAAAAAUGGAAGGAAAUAAAGGGGGCUAUCAAACAUGCCCUAAGAGAUGAUCUUAGGCAUGAGCUUUUCCUUUGGUAUGUCACUACUCUUGAUCAUCUUCACUCUUUAGCUCGAGAUUUUGAGUUGAUUAUUGGUACACCAUAUGAAAUGUGUAAUGACAACCGUACAUCCAUCAAUCAGCACUGUCUCUUCUUAAGUAUAUCAAAAUACUUUCCUUGUCCAAUGUUCCUCAUUUGUUGGCAAAUAAGUGUAAAAUUCCAAAAUUUCAAAGGACUUUUCCUCACUUGCAGUGCCUCAACUAUAAGGACUUUGGCUGCAUCUCUUCCAAAUGUCCUAGUUACGCUUUAGUCAUUCAAGAAAGAAAGAAUGUAAUAGAUGAACCAUUAGAAAUUCUCGUUUAUGAACUUAAACUUGAAGAUUUUGAUGAAUGUGAGGACACCUACUUAUGUGGUAUCCGGACUCUUCCUGAGAAUCUAGAAUUAUACCCUUUGUUCCCAACACUUCUCAAGUACAUGUUGUAUGUCUUACCUUUAUCCAACCUAAAGAGGUUGAUGAUUUCACUAGUGGAGCAACCUGUCGCAUAUGGUUAGCACUAAAAUGAAACUCUCCACUACAGACCACCCUUAGACUAAUGGUCAAAUUGAAGUUGCUAACCAGAGUCUUGGUAAUUUCUUAAAAUGUCUAGUCCAGGAAAAUCUUGGGAAUUGGGGCUCGAUCCUCCUAGUGGUUCAAAUUGCAUGUAAAAAUUUUGUGAAUCGAUAAUAGGAGGCCUUUAGACCUUAUUCCUAUGUCCUCACAAGCUAGUGUGUCAAUGUCAGCCGAAGUAUUUGUACAUCAUCUUUAUGACUUGUAUAUUGAGAUCAAUAAACAACUUAAAGCAAGUAAUGUAUCAUAUGAACUUCAAGCUAAUUUUCAUAAAUGACAUGUUUGAUUUAAUAUUGGGGAUUAUGUUAUAUUGCAAGCCUGUAGUGCUUUCUUUUUUCACUUUUUUUCUAUUUCUCAAUCCUUCCAAAUUUGCCACCAACUACAAGGAAUCAAUGUAUUUAAGUAUUACAAAUAUACUAUUUUUUAUUCACUCAAAAGAAUAUUUUUGCAUCACCAUUAAAUACACAUCUUUUGUUUGUUCCUUUGUGUGUAUUCUAAUGCUCCGUUUGGUAGAGUUUUUGUUUUCUACUUCUAUAUUUUGUAGUGAAAUUCUUUGAGCAAACUAUCUCAAGCCAAUGCCCUCUAAAAUUUCUUCUAAUUUUGUAGAAAAUUAUUUAAACAUGUUCAAAAAUAUUUUCUUAGUUUCAAAAUUAACUUUUGAUUUUUCUAAAACAUUGCCAAAUGGGGCCUAGACCUUACUUAUUGCUAAUUUUUUAGAUAUCUUCUGAACAUAGAACAAAGAAUGAAGAAUGUAGAGUGAGGUAUUUAUGAAGAAUAAUCAAUGGCACUCAUGCAACCCUAACUCACUCUCUGUAUUAUAUAAGUCACUUUUAUUCCUUAGUUGAUUGUUUCUACGUACUUCCCACUCCUACCAACUUACUCUAAAAAAGGCAUUGCACCAAGGUCAAAAAGCAUGUUUUGUUAAUAAAAAGUAACUUUUAAGUAAUUUUAGUUUACACUAGUAGUUAUAUCAAAAACAAAAAUUUAAUAUAAUUAUUAAUUUAACUUUUAAUAUUACGUAGCAAGGGAUUUACUUAUGUGCUAUAGUGAAAGAUACCAAAUUACUGUCAAGUGCCCUAUGAACCAUUUUAUUCUCAAGAUUAUCAACAUUUAUUGUUACAUCAUUACCUUUUUUUCCCCGAAUUGCACUAAUUCCCCCUUAAUAGGUAGAUGUCAAUACCUUUUAGCGUUAGCAAUGAAUUCUAGAUGAUCAUGGCUGAAAUUUUCAGCCAUGAUUUCAAUUUUUUUACAGGCAGUGGUCUAGCAACAUAUGGAGAGACUAAAAAUUAAAAGGAAAUAAGAUAUUUAAUUACUAUGAAUAAGGUCAUUUUGACUUCUAUUUUCUAAAAUUUAGUUUUUCUUAAACUCAUUUUUAGUUACAUAUUUUAUAGAUAAAUAAUUUUAUACGCGACCAUAAUUUUUUUGUAUUUUUAAACCAUUCAUUCCCCAAAAUCCCUUACCCUAAAAUUCCAAAAUAAUAAUAAAUUACCAUGUACUAUUGUUUCUGUUUUUAAAAUUUAAAUUUCAUUAUUACUAUUAUUAUUAUAUUGUUCUCUCUCAUGAAUUCGCUGAUUUCACAAUUCAUGGGAAUUGGGGCUUGAUCCUCCCCGCUGUUCAAAUUGCAUAUAACAAUUUUGUGAAUUGGUAAUAGGAGGCCUUUAGUCCUUAUUCCUAUGUCCUCACAUGCUAAUGUGUUGAAGCAUUUGUACAUCAUCUUUAUGACUUGUAUAUUGAGAUCAAUAAACAACUUGAAGUAAGUAAUGCAUCAUAUGAACUUUAGGCUGAUUUGCAUAAAUGAUAUGUUUGAUUUAAUAUUGGGGAUUAUCUUAUAUUGCAAGCCUGUGGUGCUUUCUUCUUUCACUUUUUAUGUUUCUCAGUCCUUCCAAACUUGCCACCAACUACAAGGAAUUUACUUAUUUGCUAUGGUGAGUUGGGAGUUUGAUUGAAAAUUCUUCUUCUGUCUUGGGUUUUUAAGUUCUUCUUGGUAGAUUUAAAAUUUACCUUUGUGGGUUGAGAGUUUUGAUUGAAAUUCUUAUAUCUCUCAAGGUUUUCAAGUUUCUCCUUAGUAGAUUUACUAUUUAUUCUUGUGGAUUGGAGUUUGAUUGAAGUCUGUAUCUCUGUUGGUAGAUUUAUUAUUUUUGUGGGUGGGAGUCUGAUUGAAAAUAUGAAGAUUUGUGACUCGUUAGAAGGGUGAAGCCAACAUUAUUGAUGGUGAUGAUGAAAAUAGUAUUUGCUAGAAUCAAUAUUGUUUAUAAAAGGACUGCAAGCGAUGGAAUGAAAUGUUGUCCAUUUUGGUGGGCUAUGGAAUCAUGUUUGGCCUGGUUUUAUGGUUUCGGCUGCCCUCUUGGUUAAAAGGUUCUAAUGAGCAGAAGUAAAUUUCACCUUAUCAAAAAGGGACAGAGCUUGCAACCAACCAUUCUCAUUAUGACCCAUUAGAAGUCCAAGGACUACUCCAUAAACUUGAUUGUAAAAGAGAUGUAGUUCCUCUAAUAAUAGUGAAGCCUCUUCAAAUGAACUAUAGAAGCUCCGACCACAAAGAAAGCCAUGAAACUGACAUUAAUUAUGAUAAGCGAGAUUAUAAAAAGAAACGUAGGUUAUACAAAUAACUAGCAGAGACAGAAAACUAAUCACUAAGAAAAAAUUGAGAUAAUGAAUUGGUAAAGGAAUAAAAUAAUAAUAAAAAUACACCCAGUACAUAUAAAAGGACAUGAAUCCGAUUUGAAGGAAAGCCCAUGAAAUUCACAUUGAUUAAGUAGAAAAAGGGCUAUUGCUACUAAAACAGUCUAAUUACUAGCAUCCAAGUUAUAUAACCCAGAAAAUAAGGAGGACAACAAGUUACAUACCCUGAUACCAUUCUAAUACAAAUAUGUUUAAAUUCAAUAGGAAAUCACCUGGUGCAACUUAAAAUGCAUAGCUACUCUUAGCACAUCUAUAGAUGCCUAAGGGUAUAUGGUGGUUUUGUACGAGGGAUGUGGAGUGUGACAUUUGGAUCACGAGUGGAGAUGUGAUCAAAUGUCUAGGAUCAUUUAUCUGAAAUGAGACCCUGAUCAGGUGGAGUGUGAGAGAGACACUUCUAUCACUUCUGUUAGGUGGAGACCCAUUAUCCACGUAGGUUGGGAGAAGUGAUGUGGAGAUAGAGGAUUAUCGCGUGGACUUAGGAUCUAUCAUGACUUACUAGUUAGACAUGAGUUGAGUGAUCUGUCUAGUGAGCGUGGUGGGCAAUGAGAGGAGAUAUGUGUUCUCGAGGUGUGAGCAACAUGGAAUGGGAUAGGAUAAAUGUGGUGAGAUCUUUUCUUAGGGUCAUUUAUGCAUGUGUUGCAUAUGUGGUUGACUGUGGUUUGAUUGACUUGGUGUUAAUCUAUGGUUCUAUGUGAACGUGUUUCUGAAAAGAUCUGUGUGUGUUAUCUUAUAGUAUAUCGUCAUCGCAUGCAUAUUUGCUCUUGAUUUUUUACUGUUAAAUAUUUGCUUCUACUUGGGUGUUUUUUUUACCUUAGCCCCAGUGAGUACAUGGAAUAGGUAUGGUAUGUGUUUCAAAUUGGAAACAUGAGGUAAGGUCUGUUAUCCAAUUUUAUUGGCUACCUUGAUUAUGCAAGUGUUAACUGUGUAUUUUUUGAUUGCUUGCAGAUUUAUUGGGCAUCAAGGUGGAGAUUUGUUGGGUUUUUGAUACCCAAUAAAUCCCGGGCUAUGAUGUUAACGUGGGUUAAUAUUAUUUCAUAGGCAUAGGCCGAUGAAUGAAAUAAGUCCAAUAACCAAGUCCAUGAGCUACACCCGGCCCAAUUGUAUUCCUUAUGGAUGGCUUGAAUCUUAGCCCGUUUACCCCUUUAAUGGCCCUACAUAAAGCCUAACCCUAGAGUAUAUAUUUGGUUAUAACCCUAGCCACUUUGAUAUGAUGAUUGUGUGAUUUUGAGAGAAGAAACAAGAGAAUCCCGGCUGCCCCUCUUUGUGUGAGAAAAAAGGUGUCCAGAAGUGUCCAGAACGCUGGUAUAACGUGUGCAAUUGGUGGUUCUUUCAUGGUAUACCUUUGUGGUGUCUUCUCUUAGCCUUUUUGGCGAUAAAUCAUCAUCCUUUCUUGUCAUACAUGGGUAAGAUUGAAUAAUAACCAAGGUGAAUCAAUUCGUUGUGGUUUGGAGCCAUUUGUAUUGGUUGUUGGUAGAGAAAGGUACGUUGGACCGAGCCUAAAAAACCACCGUUUGAAGAUCUUUUGAGAGAGCUUCCGCAACAACAUCUAAGGCAUAUAAAUGCUUUCAAAUAAAAGAACCACACCAUGGUGUCAAGAAUGCAAAGAUAUAACAAAAAUAUGCCCAUGCUUGGCUUUUAGAAAAUAUUUACUUCAAUAAAAAUUUAAGACACACCUUCACCGUAUUACCAAGGAUUACAAGAAAGAAGCAUUAUAUAUUAAUAAGUAUAGCCACCAUUUCAGUCUAACAGCUCUUAAAAUGUCCAUAGAAAUUUUAGAACGCGUGAUUCCUAGAAAUUUUGAAAUGAAUUUAAAGCACGUGGAUCAUUCCCUGAAAUUGGGUGCUAAUGUGUCUUUUAGAUUCGCAAGUAAGUUGAGCAAGUUCCUUCUAUAUAAUUUUAUAGGAAAAUAAUCAGAAAUUUAAAAAAAAAAUUCUUGUAAACCACUUUCAAUAUUGUGCUCCUUCGCAAUAGUAGCAAAAAGAAGAGAACUGAUAUGAAUAUUUUAUGUAUAUUAAUGCAUUGGAUCUGGUUUAUUUGAGCAAAAGGUCUUCAUACCUUGGGGAAGUUCAUACCAAAUGCAGCCAUUACAACAAAAGUUAAGCAAGAGGUUUACAACUUUCAUCUCUGCAAAUAAAUAUUUAUGAUUGUUGGCAAAUGCUCAUCCCUGUUUUGCUCAAUCUCAAUCAUAAAACUAAGAGUGAUAUUAAAAUAAAUUGAGACUAAGAGCCAAUAAUUCCCUUUUAUAGCAAGAAACGUCAAUUGUAAUUUAAUCGAUUAAAUCUAGACUGAAAAUAUGUAAAAUAUUGAGAGUCUUAACUGUGCUCGCAACCUCAAACCGAAACAUUUUUUCCAUUCCGAUACUUAUUUGCAUGAAGUAGAUAUUAUAGGUAGCAGAACGAUCAUAAACGAAUAGCACAUACAACUAAACUAAUAUUUAUCUACAUGUUUUUAUAAUUUCACAACUAUAGAGUAGUCAUUAGGUCAAAUUAAUGUAUGUUCACAACUAUAUAGUAGUCAUUAAGUCAAAUGAACUCACAAUUUGUGGUUUAAUUGUCUUCCCAUCCAGCUCCACAGUCCUAACUUUCUAUAGUAAUUAUGGAUAACUACAUUGAACCCCCAAUAAAAGCAGAGCUAAAAACAUGAAAAUAACUAAACUAUUUUGUAAUCUAAUCAACAUAAAUAAUGGAAUUAUUGGAAUAACACUCACAAAAUCCACUCCAAUGGUGCUAAUAUAGCUGUCAACAUAUGAAUCAUCCUAAAAGCAUCAAAGGACAGCAUCAUGUCCACUAUACAAUUCACCGAAAAGAAAAUUUAAUAAAAACCCAGAGCUAAAUAUACUAACCCAACCAUAUUUCUAGAAGCAAGUCACUAAAGAAUAUUGAAAAGAAACCCAUUAUAAAGCACACGUAGAUGAAGAAAUCAUACCUAUAGUUAUUGGAGAAAUCGAAAGUUCACCUUCCACCACUGCCUUUAGAGAUAUUUUACGUCCGACUGCUUCACACCAUCAUCAUUAGCCAAACCAGCCAAUCAAGCCUCAUACCUCACAGAUUCGUUCGCCACAGCAUCACUUACCACGUCUUUAUCUUCAAUGAAUCAUUCGUUGAUGAAGAAGAUGCCUCCACCACCUACUUUAAUAUAUUAUUGUUAAUGGUUCAUGAUUUUUCUUUACAUUCUCUCAUGGAGCAAAGGACAUGGAUUGUACUUUCUUUUUCUUUUAUUUUUUGGUAAAUUAAGUUUUAAUCUUAGAAGAGCUUGUUUACUUGAAAAAUGUUAUUAAUAGACGAAGAAAUUGGGGAUUUUCUUCACAUCCAUGCAAAUAAAUUUUGUGUAUAGAAAUAAAUCAAGUAUGUGUGACUUUGUAGUUAUGGAUGGUGGAUCUCAUUAUCUGUUUUAGUUGACCCAAAAUAUAUAUAUGCACAAACCUGUUUUUCCUCUAAAUGAAGGCAUGUGUAAAAUCUAUUAUUAUUUCUUAAGACCCUUUGGAUGCUAUUGUUCUUAAUUCUAAAAUUUGAUGUGAAACUUUGUGUACAUUCGAGAUUUGUUUCUUUCUUUCUUGAUAAAUGUUGACUUUCUACAAUUAAAGUUAGCAUUUAAAGAACAGUACAGGAUAUUUUUCGAUGACUAUAUAUGUGAAUUUGAAGCUAAUUUGAAUACAACCAAAUACUUCACAAAAUCUCUUUAACUCACAAUGCAAAUGUUACAUCAACAAAUAGCUCACCAAUUCAAAGAAUUUUUAAAUAUGACGUUGAUAACCUAGCAAACAAAAAGCAAAAGUAGGAGUAGUUAUUUGAGAAUGUCACAUAUGUAUUUUGAUUUUCUUUUGCAUGCUUAUGUCUACAAUCCACCAUACCUCCAUUUGUCGUAAUAGUUUUUGUUUAUUAUAAUAUAAACAUGUUAAACCCAUGUAUCUAAUUACGGCAUGAAACAACUCUACUUUUUGCUUAAUAUUACCAUCAGCAGUGAAAAUACUUGUUGACACAAUUUAUAUAAUCCAAUAUAAUUUUCAUGCAAAGCCGGUUUCAUUUUCCACUGAAAUCCUACAAAAUCAAAAUCCAACACUAUCAUUUACACUACAUUACCAACUACACGUGCAAUGCACGUGCAUUCACUAGUCUAACUAAAAGUAAAAGAGGCAUAUUGUAGUUACUGUUCACAAGCCGAUUGCUCAGCCAUUUUGGACUGAACCAAGUUUGUUGAGUCAAUUGGAAAUAAGCUGAAUUUUUAAAUGACAUCGUUUUGUGUGAUUAAAAGAGGAUAAGUGUUCCUUUCGGUUUUUCUCAUUCUAGAACAUUCAUUUUGUCUUUGGUUUUCUCUUUGUUUUUAGAUCUGAAAACUUAUUUUGUAGAUUUGAUUUUCAUUUUCAAGAUAUCUUCAAAAUUUGGUUAUGGAGUGAUGUUUUCCAAAAUUUCAGGGUUAGCAGCGGUGGCAACUUCCACUUCGGCAGCGACAAUUACCACCUAGGUGCACCGUCUCCUCCUACCAAAUUGACCCACUUCUCUGCCUUGAGUUUUUUUUAGAUACACUUGUUCUGUAGAAAAAUUCAAGGUGCUAGAUCUAAUGCUUUUUGUUUGUGCUAAUUAAUUUUGCAAUUUGUGCUCAAUGUUUUGUCGAAUUACGAAAGUUGGUAGUGUUUCAUGGGAUUUUAGUUGGUUAAAGGUACCACUUCAAUGACAAGAAGCCCUAAAUUUUCUUAGAAUUUGUUCAUGAAUUAGCGAAAAAAAUAAAACUCAUUUAUUAUUGGGUAUAAGUUUUGCUUUACUUUAUUGAUGCUUUCAAACAUCUUGAUUCACUUGAGGUAUGUUUAAAAUAGUGUGUUUUCAUUCCAAUAUUUUGAUUCUGCUUGAAAAGCUCUUUUCUUGAUGUGCGAGCAUCAAUUUUUACACUUCACAACCUAUCUAGAGGAUUCUGCAAGCGUGCGAGCUAGGCUGUAACAUUUGAGCAAUAUCCUUCUUUAGGUAAUCGUGUUGUGCGUACCUUCAAAUCUAUGUACCUAGCAUAAUUGAAAAUGAAAACAUUAAGAACUAGAUAACAUAAUUCUUCUUCACAAAUCUUUUGUAUGACUCAGCUCUAUACUGUUUAAUUAUCACCACAAAAAACAAAAGCAAAGAAAUUCACAAGCAAUUAAUUUUAUAUCAUUCAAGUAUUUCCAUACCACAUAUAUUGCUUUCUAUAUUAGAAUUUAUUGAAUGAGAAACAAUGUAUUAAACUCCAUGAAGGAGAAGAUGAAUUACACUCCAUGAAAGGAGGAAAUGAACAGCUCCAUAAAAGGAGGAAGACACUCCAUAAUAGGAGGAAAUGAAAUCUCCAUGGAAGGAGGGAUUGGAGGACAAUCCAAUAGACUAAAAAUUCAUCCACGGUGCUGUAUUUAUAGAGCAAAAUGGCUAAAGUAAUUAACUAACUAAUUAGCUAAUUAACAAACUAAUCAAUAACUAACUAACAACUAAGACAGCUGGACACAACCGUUUUGGAAUCUGAUAUGUUGAGAUGGAAGUCUCUAGAAUCUGGUGCACACAUGAUGCUGGAAUCUGCUGAUGUUUGGUGCAUGUGUAUUCCAACAUUCUAUUCUUUAUCUAUGUCGUUUGAUUUUUGAUAAUUUUAAAGCAACGUUUAAAAUUCUCCAAAAGGGAUUUCUAUUAUGUUUCACAACCUUAUGUUGACCAUAUUAUCUUUGUAGUAUACGCCGUAAAAAAGAGUUGAAGUGAAUUUUUUCCUGUUGAGAUGAGCCAAUUAGUGGUAGAUUUAUAUGUGUUGUUGUGUAUGUAUUUUCGCAGUUUGUAUAAUAUAUCUGCAAGAACGUAGGAUUUGACUUUUGAAAAUAGCUCUGAUUCACCAUGUCUCAGAAACUGGUUUGACAUAUCCAGCAAGCAAGAAGUGAUACAAAAGUUGAGACAACAAUUAAAGAGAAAAGAUUACAUGAUGCUAGAAAUACAAGAUCAGAUUGCAAAACUUUGAGACUCUUUGUGAAGUGCAUUUGUAUUCUUUCCAUCUACAAUAGCUGCUCGAUUCUACAAACAGGGAUCUGUUUGAUUCCAAAGGAAAAUAUAGAGAUUAAGAAAGGCAAUUGCAGAUAAUUAUGGGGGACAUAUGGUUUUUAGUGACAAUUCCCUUGCUGUUCAUCUAGCAGAAGGAAGGAAUGGCCACACAAAUGGAUAUUCCGAGAUUGAAAGCAAUCUUGAUUCUUAAGAAAAAGGGAGAGGAGAUUGGGAUAUAACAUUGAAACAUUAAGAAGGGAAGUCAGGGGGUGAAAAGAAGUAAUAAUCCAAAAUCUCAAAACUUUUGGGCUGUCGUAUCUUAUCUAAACUCAAAAUAUUAGAAAUUUCAAACAUAUGUUUUUUUACGUGUGAUAAGGAUUAAGAAUAAAAGUAGAUGUCAUGGUAUCUUGUUAAUAUAUAACUGAGAAAACAUUUUGAAAAAAAAAUAAAAUAAAAGAUAAUUAUUUUUAGAAGUGAAAAGUUAUAUCGUUGAAUUAAUUUUCAUGUUAUUAUAUUUAUUCAAGACAUCUUUCGGUAAGCUUCCAAGAUUGAGCUUCUUGUUCAUCUUGUGGAAUUAAUUGAUGAUUGUAGGUGUUUAGUCAAGAAAGCUUGUUUGGUUUUACCGUUCUUGAUUAAUCUUUAGGUUCGAUUGAUUUUCUUGAUUUUGGUUUUUUUUUUCAUUAGUAAGCAAAAAGAAAAAAAAAACAUUUUUGCUGUUCUGAUUAUAUGUCAUAAUUUAUUGUAUCUAUUUAAUGAGUUAAACCAUGUGGUAUUGCCUAAUUGUUUCUAUGCACAACUAAAAAACAAUGUAAUUUCGUUCUUCACAUGUCCUAUUACUAAAUAGUAUUUGAUCUUUUUCACUUAGCUUGCACUUUAGCAACAUGAGUUUUUGUUGACUUCCUUGAAGUGAGAUGUGUUUGAUGUUACAGGUGCCUUCCAGAAUUUCAGGGACUACAUCAAAUUUUGUGAUUAAUAAACCCGAGAUUUAAUUUAAACAACCCAAUUUCCUGCAAUUUAUGAAGGAAGCUAAGGAUAUGGAUCUGGAUUUAUGGUAUUUUGUUGAACAAAAGAACAUUUAAUAACCAAUAUCGAUUCUCCAGUAUUUUAUAUUCCAUUUCUGACUUUUAGCAUGCGAACUUUUAUAGCUCUUGUAAGAGGUUUAGUACUUAGCACAAUAUUCAUAUUUUGUAAUUGCAAUUUAGCUAAGACAUCUUGCAGUUGUAGCAUGGCAGGUAUUAAUCAGGGUUGAAAUUAUAAAAGAAAAUGGAAAUAAUAUAAUCAAUCUCUGUCUUCAAUAAACAUUACACGCAUACCAACGAACAAGCUGGAGGAAAACAAAAAAGUGGAGAAGAGGAACUACAACAUUAGAUUUCAGGAAUACGGAUUAUGAGUGCCCUAUUUGAGUCCCAUUUUUUCAAGAAUUCAUUUUUUCAAAUCUCACUUUCAACUAUACAUUCUCUCAUAAAAUAAAAUACGUAUUUUAAACAUUUUUCUUGAUUUUUAACCACACAUUCUCCAAAAAAUCACUAUUCUAUAAUCCAUUUUACCCAAGAAUGGGGAUCAAACAGGGACUAGAUUUCCAUUACAAAGUAAACUUUACCUUUCUCUUCACUAUUUUGUCUUGGUCAGUGGUGGAUCUAGGAGUUGGAGCCAACUAGGGCAGUUGGUAACCGUCGACUGAUGCAUUAACAAGAUCGUUUAUUAAUAUUUUAUUAAAUAAUAUUAAAAAAAUUUAAUUAAUAUAUAAAUGCAGUAAAACGUAAAUCACAUAUUAACAAUCAUCAAGUUUCCAUUUCCAAAUUUCACAAAUACUAGUAGAUUCCAUAAGUCCACAAACACUAAUAGUUUUUAUUUCCAAAAUCCCUAAUUUUCACAAAAUCCUCAAUUUUCACGAAUUUCAUAGUCCACAUAUAUGAUAUCGCAUAUCCUCAAACUCAUGAAGCCUCCAAUUUUCGUAAAUAAUAUUAGAGGUUCGUGACUCAUGAAGUCACAAACUAACAGUAAAUAUUCAUAAAACAUAAAUUCAUAAAUCAUAACUGAUUAUUUUAACUGAUAGCUCAUAAUUUGAUAAAUAAUAAAUCAAAAAACGAACAGAAACCAAAAAAAAAGAAAAAAAGGAGAAAUGAAGAGAGGCAGGAGACUCACCACUCAUGUCCCGCCAUCACGAGUGGAAUUAGUUACCAGUGAUACAGUGGUGGUGUAGUUCUGUAGUUGCCAGUGGCUCAACGUCGGUGAUUCUACUGUGGCUUAGCUUGAGUGCUAGCAGAGAAAAAUAGAGUUUGGAAAUUGGAAUUGGAUAGAAUUGCUUGAUUUUGGGUUUGAACUGCCGAGUGAUAUGUGGCUUUGUGCGUUUGAUUUAUGAAGGGAAAAUUUCACGAAACACCAGUUAAUUUAUAUUAUUGUCUAUUCUACAUGCCACUGUAUUCUUAUUCUAAUUAUACAGCUUUUUAUACAGUAUUUUGGAAAACUGAAUGGGAGAACAAAUAAGCAGGUGUAUUAAGUUGGAAAGCAUCAAUUACGGUCAAUUCAAUUCUCCCAAUAUCUUGCACUUUCCCAAAAAAUCCAUUUCAUAUUCUUCUCUCUCCAUCUUGCAGAAAACUAAACACUACCGUCCAUGCAAAUCCAAGAUCCCCAGAUCAAUUAAUCAAGAAAAGGGGUUAAUUUACUACACAGAUCGAUCUCAUUACCUCACAUACCCAUGGGCUCUGUCUAUAUCCCACGGUCGGAAGUUGAAUGUCGUAAGUUAGCUACCCCUUGACGGAAGUUGUCGCUGGCUUCCAAAGAGGGUAUUAAUGGAGGGGAAGCUUCGGCAUCUGUGGAGAUAGUGACGACGAAAAUGGAAGUGCUUGUUCUCCUUAACGUCGAAUUACAUGAUCUAUAACCGUUUUGUCAGAAUAUAAGGAACGAGACCCCCCAGCCAUCAAAGAAAUGUUUAAAACCUCAGCCAAUGUUUAUAAAAGUGAGAAGAGGCCUCCUGACUAUGUUGACGAAGAAUCCUCUAUGAAGAAAAUGAAAAUGGCGUUGCAUUCGAACCCGGAAAAAGGAAAUUCUACGUCUCACGUAUUAUUUUUGGGGAUUUUUGAAAACUGUGAAUGUUAAUAUAUGUUAAAUUUUGUUUGCUAUCUUGAGGUUGACAUUUUUGAGACAAUGAAUUACGUAUGUAUGUGAUUUACGUGAAGUUCUCCUCCAUGCUUCUCUGACCCCGUUUAUUGUCUGUACCAAAACCAUUGGAUGACACACCGAAACCUUACACUACUGUGUGUGAUAUGUCGCGUUUGAAGAGUUUGAUAUGCUAAAAUUUACUUACAUCUCUGUGAUUGAUUGUGAAUAUUAAUUCUUCUUUUCUUAUGAUGACAACAUAUGCAAUACAACCCAUGUUUGUUACCGAGUAACGUUAACAUUUCUAACCUUACAUUUCAUCAUUUGCAUUUCCAUUUUUUUUUUGUAAUCUGCAAUAUGUAGUGGAAACUCAUUUUACACUUGACUUUGAUGUUCAGAUUGCACACUGUCUAUUAGAAAAUGGAAAUCAGCUGCAGGUGAGUCAGCUUGGGAAUUAGCAAAGCACGUACACUCCAGUACACAUGGGCGACAAGCUGGACUAUAGGUGGAAGAAUAAAUCUAGAAAGAUGUAGCAUAUUUUUUGUUAUGUGGUUUUCCUUUCGUAACAGUGUUGUUUAUAUAAAUUCUUUUUCCUGCCUCCUGUAUAGGUUUUUCGUUAGGCUGGUACUCUUCUCAUUCUAUAUAUAGUGUGAUCAACCUGUAAAGAAGUGAAUAUAGCAGAUUCAAUAUCAUGAGAAAAUUCUCCCAAAACUCUUGCACUCCACCUGCUCGAUAGUUUUCUUCUUUCAUUUAUUUCUUCUUUUCUUAUAUGAUAUCAGAGCCAGAUAUGGUACAACCUGAUUCUGCUAAUCCAAAUCCAGUUGAAUCUUCAAACACAGAUAUAAAUCAACACCCAAAUCCAAUCACGGUUGAUCCCUCACAGCCAAACAGUCCAUACUAUAUUGGAGCUAAUGAUAGCUCUGGAUCCACACUCGUUACUCAUGUAUUGGAUUCAAACAAUUAUCAUUCCUGAGCACGUGCGAUGUAAAGAGCACUCAGGAUUAAAAAUAAGCUCGAUUUUGUUGAUGGAAGCAUUUCAGAGCCUAGUGAUGCAGACAGUCCACUUAUGGAGCAUUGGUUGAGAUGUAAUGAUAUAGUAAUCACUUGGUUGCAGAAUACUAUGGCAGUUGAAAUAAAAUGCAGCACCAUGUAUGCUGAAACGGCACAUUACUAUGCAAAGAACUUGAACAGAGAUUGGCACAGCAAAAUGCAUCUAGGAUUUUUGAACUCAAACAAAGUAUUGCAAACUUGAUGCAAAACCAAGACAGAGUGUGUGUAUUUCUCAAAGCUGAAAACUCUUUUGGAUGAAUUGCUAAAUUAUGAAUCAGUACCCAAUUAUUCCUGUGGGGGUUUGAAGGUUGUGGUGAACAACCAACAAAGAGAUUGGUUUAUGAAAUUCCUAAUAGGUCUCAAUGAUACGUACUAGGGAUUAAAGGCUCAAAUUCUCCUCAUUAAGCCUUUCCCAAUCUUGAAUGAAGUAUACUCCAUAAUUCAGCAAGAAGAGAAGAGAAGGCAAAUAUCCAUUGAUAGUUCACUUGAUGAAACUAUGGCACUACUUGCUAAGGGUAACCUUGAUGUGAGAAAACAAAACCAAUCCUCUCCGAAGAAGGAUAGGUACUACUGCACCUAUUGUAAGAUAGCUGGGCAUUCCCUUGAACGAUGCUUCAAGGCUAAUCUAAACAAACCAACAUGCUCUUAUUGCCAAAUGCCUAGUCAUACAGUUGGAAAAUGUUUUGAGUUACACGGGUAUCCAUCGGGGCACAAAUCAGAAGGGAGAAAUAAGCCAUCAACAUCAUUUGCUAAUCAGACUACUACACUUAUGCCUCUUGUCUAGGAACGGGUAAAUAACAAAGCUCAAAUGUCUUUAUCUCAGGAGCAAUAUGAUUAGCUCAUGGCACUGCUGAAACCACAAACUCAUCAAACCUUCAUCCCUUCUGCAAAUCAUGUUCAAACUUUAUUCCAACUCAUUCUGAUAAUGGUGAGAUGCCAAAAGCUUCAGGUAUAUCUCUAUGUCUGUCUGCCUUUAGCACUAAACUUCAUGAUCAUUCAGUUGUACCUUGGAUAUUAGACACAGGGGCUACGGAUCAUAUGAUCUUCUCAACCUCUCUCUUUACCACAAUAAAGUCUAAAGUUUCCUAUUCAGUAGGUCUCCCAAAUGGUAAGGACAGUAAAAUUUUUAGAAUCUUUCAUUUUGGAUAAUGUUCUUUGUGUUACGUCGUUUUCUUUUAAUCUGCUAUCAGCUAGAAAAAUAACGUAGAACAUGAAUUGUUGCCUCAUUUUUCUUCAUGAUUGUUGUUUUAUACAGGACCUUUUGACUUGGAAAACGACUGGAAUGGGUGAAGUAAAGCAAGGACUCUAUCACUUGAUGCAAAACGAAGUGUCUCCUUUUUCCUUGACCAAGAAAUUAGCCUAUCUAACUUAAAAGACACCCAUAUCCACUUCCUCUAUUUUCAAUAAUGGUGAAGAUUUCGAUCUUUGGCACUGUAGGUUAGGACACUCCACCUAUUCAAAGUUUAAUUUACCAGAAGACACCACAAGAUCCACCAAACAGCCUUACCUUAAUUGUCCUUUAGCCAAACUACAAAAAUUAUCAGAAAAAUGUUUUGAUCUCAUAUAUUGUGACAUUUGGGGACCAUGUAAUGAGAUUAGUUAUGAUGGUUUUCGUUAUUUUCUAGCUAUUGUGGAUGAUUUUAGUAGAUGUACUUGGUUUUAUAUGUUGAAAUUCAAAUCUGAUGCUGGCAUUGUUUCGCAAAGUUUUUGCUCUAUGAUUGAAACACAAUUUGAAUGCAAAGUUAAAACUAUUAGAUCAGACAAUAGAGAUGAAUUUGAGAUGAAGAAAUUUUAUUCACAAAAGGGAAUCAUUCACCAUAAAACUUGUGUAGAGACUCCUCAACAAUAUGCCAUAGUUGAAAGAAAACAUCAACACAUUUUAAAUGUGGCAAGAGCUUUAAAAUUUCAAAGUGUCAUCCCAUUAAGAUAUUGGAGUAAUUGUGUUCUCACGACAGUUUAUCUUAUAACUAUAACCCCUAUACCUCUUUUAGACCACAAAACACCCUUUGAAAUUCUUUUUCAAACCAAACCAGAUUACACUUAUCUUAGAGUUUUCGGAUGCCUAACAUUUGCUACUACCCUAGUAAGUGGAAGACUUGAAUUUGAUCCUAGAGCUAGGAGAUGCAUAUUUUUGGGAUACCCAUUUGGAAUCAAAGGAUACAAAUUAAUGGAUUUGGAAACAAAUAAGGUCUUUAUCUCUAGGAAUGUUAUCUUUCCAUGAGAGUGUGUUUCGCUGCAAGCAAAAUGCUAGCAUGAGUGCUGAUUUUAGUCCAAAUCCAACUUCAAAAACAGAUUUCAUUUCUGAAAUUCCUACUAUCUCAAAUCACAUAGAAAACAGCCAAAUCAUUCUCUUAUCAACAUUUCAGACAAAAUGUAGCAACAGAUCACUCAACAGACUUUGAAUCUUCUUCAUUAGAACAAAAUCAUGACUCAUCUGAACCUGCAAAUACAUUUAGAAUUGAUAGUGAGCCAUCCCAAAAACAAGUUGUACCUUGAAGGUCAAACAGAAUCAAGAGAACCUCUACAUAUCUCAAGGAUUUUGUCUGUCAAUAGGUCACUUUGCUUCCCCAUUCACAGGCUUUGGACAAGCAAAGGGUCACCAUUCCCUCAGGUAAUCCCUAUCCUCUUGAGAAUAGUGUGUCAUAUCAUAAACUCUCCACUCCCUACAAGGCUUUUGUUGUUUCUAUCAACACACACACAGAACCUAAAAAUUUCCAAGAAGCACUGAAUCUCUCGAGUGGUGUAAUGCUAUGAAAGUUGAAAUAAAUGCUCUCGAAUUAAAUGAUACUUGGCUAGUUGUUGAUCUGCCUCUUGGUAAGGAGGCCAUAGGGUGUAAGAGGGUUUAUAAAAUCAAAUUUAGUGCUAAUGGGACCAUAGAGAGAUAUAAAACCAGAUUAGUGGUUAAGGGAUACACACGGCAAUAAGGACUCGACUAUCAUGAAACAUUUUCUCCUGUGGCAAAACUAGUUACUGUAAGGACUUUGUUGACUUUGGUUGCUGUUAAAGGUUGACACUUAUACCAGUUUGAUGUAAACAAUGCAUUUCCACAUGGAGAUUUGGAGAAAGAAGUUUACAUGCAAUUGCCUCCGGGUUAUCCCACUGCUAAUGGGACAAAAGUUUGCAAAUUGAAGAAAAGCUUGUAUGGCCUUAAACAGGCCUCUAGACAGUGGUAUUCUAAGCUGUCUAACUUCAUUAUUGAGCAAGGUUUUUCACAAUCUAAGGCUAAUUAUAGCUUAUUUACAAGAGCUACAAAACAUUCUUUUAUUGCCAUCCUUCUAUAUGUCGACGACAUUAUAGUGUUCAGCAACUGCAUUGACUCUGUUAAUGUUCUCAAGGAUACCCUACAUGAGAAAUUCAAAAUCAAGGAUCUAGGAUAGCUGAAAUACUUCCUUGGGAUUGUGGCUAGGUCAGAUCGUGGCAUCCACAUAUGCCAAAGAAAGUAUGCCUUAGACAUCUUGACAGAUUCAGGCAAAAUUGGGGCAGCACCAACUCGAAUUCUGCUUGAUCAGAAUCAUAAGCUUUCUAAAGCGCAGGGUAAACUAAUUCCUAACCCAUCACUCUAUAGAAGGCUAGUUGGAAGAUUACUAUAUUUAACUAUAACAAGAUCGUAUCUAUCCUUUUCAGUGCAACUAUCAAGUUAAUUCAUGGAUAACCCUAGAUUCCCACGCCUUAAUGAAGCCUACAAAGUUUUAAGGUAUAUCAAAAAGGCUCCAGGACAAGGUUUGUUUUAUUCUACUGAAUCAAGCUUGCAACUUAUAGGUUACUGUGAUUCAGAUUGGGGAGCAUGCCAGGACACAAGAAGGUCGGUCAGUGGUUAUUGUGUGUCUACUGGGUCUUCUUUGAUAGCCUGGAAGUCAAAGAAACAAGGGGUCAUGUCUAGAUCAUCUACAGAGGCAGAAUACCGAGCAAUGGCUAACCUGUGCUGUGAAUUAACUUGGAUGAGAUAUUUACUUCAUGACUUGCAAAUUACACAUCCUCAGGCUGCCACUAUGUUUUGUGAUAACAAGGCUGCACUUCACAUCGCAUCAAGCCCUAUCUUUCAUGAACGAACCAAGCACAUUGAGCUUGAUUGUCAUCUCAUCCGUGACAAGAUUCAAGAUGGAAGCAUAACCACUCGUUAUAUUGGUAGUAGACUACAAGUUGCAGACCUCCUAACUAAGGCCUUAAGUUCUCCUGUUUUCUACUCUCAUUUGCUCAAGAUGGGAGUAGAAGAUAUCUACUCUCGACCUUGUGAGGGGCUAUUAGAAAAUGGAAAUCAGCUGCAGGUGAGUCAGCUUGGGAGUUAGUAAAGCACGCACACUCCAGUACACAUGGGCAAUAAGCUGGACCAUAGGUGGAAGAAUAAAUCUAGAAGGAUUUAGCAUCUUUUCUGUUAUGUGGUUUUCCUUUCGUAACAGAGUUGUUUAUAUUGAUUCUUUUUCCUGCCUGCUGUAUAGGUUUUCCGUUAGGUUGGCACUCUUCUCAUUCUAUAAAUAGUGUGAUCAACCUGUAAAGAAGUGAAUAUAACAGAUUCAAUAUCAUGAGAAAAUUCUCCCAAAACUCUUGCACUCCACCUGCUCAAUAGUUUUCUUCUUUCAUUUAUUUCUUCUUUUCUUAUACCGUCUAACAAUCAUUUUAUUUUAUUUCGUUUCCAUUUUUUUUAUGCAAUCUGUGAUUUAUAGUGGAAAUGAAUUAAACUGGGUUUUGAUGUUCAAACUGCAUGCUAUUAACAUGUUAUUUCCAUAACGAAAUAUUAGUUCUUUUUUUUCUUAUGAUGACAAUCAAUGCAAUACAGUCCUUGUGUAUGUUACCGAGUAACGUUAACAUUUCAAACCUUACAUUUCAUCAUUUGCAUAUCCAUUUUUUAUGCAAUCUGCAAUGUGUAGUAGAAGCUCAUUUUACACUGGCCGGUGAUGUUCAGACUACUCACUGUUUAACAUUCUUAUUAUUCUAUUUCCAUUUCUUUUUUAAUGCAAUCUGCGAUGUAUAGUUGAAACAAAUUACACUGGGUUUUGAUGUUCAGACUGCAUGUUAUUUCCAUGAUGAAAUAUUAAUUCUUCUACCUUACAAUGACAGAAUUAUUCAUUCAUCAUCCACUCGGAGAACCGAUUCGGUGGCACUAUAAAUGUGUUCAAUAAGAAUGAUGUGAGAACAAUAUCGAAAGCGAAAAUGAACGGUGCAGAAAGAGACGUUCAAAAAUUCGUGUUUUGGACACUUUCUUCAGAUGAGUGAAAUGCGAAUACAACAUCAAGUUAUUCACAAGAUGCUGAUGUUGGAAAUCAGGCAACCGAACAAAGACGAAAUAUGGUUUGAACUAGAAGGGAAGAUUAUAAGAUUCUCAAUUCACAAGUUUUGCAUCAUUAGCGGGCUGAAAUGUGGUCAGCUAAUUAUUUUGGUCAUUUGUGCGCCUUUCUUUUUGUGCCAGCUUAGGUGAUGUAGAUCGAGUGGCCUAUAAUUUUAUUGAGAAGUAUGAGAGGAGGCUUGAGAAACAGGAAUAUUAAUUUUUCUGUUAUUUCUUUAUUAUGUCUGUCAAAUUAAGUUUUCUUAUUAUGUUAUCUAGGUUUCUGUUAUUUAAUUAUUCUGUCUAUCACUUAUUUUAGGUAAGUUGUCUGUUUAGGGUUCACUUAGUUUUCAUAUAUAUUUGCAGUCUUCUGUAGCCGCAGACAGUUUUCUGGAGUUAUUAUGUGAUCAAUAAAAACUCUCUGCAAGAGUUUUAUUUGUUCCUGCAAUUCCUAGUCCCGAUUUCUAGGUUUGUGGAAGAGUUGUGAAUUUAUUGUGUGCAUAGAUUCUGCUUCUGUUCUUUCCGCUGCAUCAGCUGGUAUCAGAGCCUUGCUGAUUUCCUUUUUUCCAUGGUGCAUAGAGGAAUUUGUGGUGGAAGGCAUGUACCAUUGGGCUAGGUGAACGAACGCGAUGAGGUGACACGUGAGGCACAACUGGAGGCACGAAUACUGCAACAGGUGGAUGAGCGAUUUGUUCAGAUGGGUCACCGAUUUGGUGCCCUGACUGAACAACUGGUGGCUCUGAGUAUUGGAUAUCGUCGACACCAAGUGCGAGAUGAUGAUCGCUUUGCUGGAGAAAGUGAUGAUGGAAGUGAUGGAGAAGAGGCUCAAAACCCGUUUGCUGAAUUGAGAGAAAGGAGAGCACGUCCUGUGGUUCAACAAAAUACCAGCAGGUGGGAGUCGGGUUUUAAACUGGACAUUCCAGAAUUCCAUGGCUGCCUUCAACUUGAGGAGUUCCUGGAUUGGGUUGCUGCUGUGGAGGAAAUAUUGGAGUUCAAGGGAGUACUGGAUGAUCGAAGAGCUUUUCUAGUAGCCACAAGAUUUAGGGGACAAGCCGCUGCUUGGUGGCAGCAAACUAAAUAGACCUGAGUGCGCCGAGGUCGGCCGAAAAUCUGUAGUCGGGAGAAAUUUUUAAAACAUAUGAGGGCAGCAUUUUUACCCCAUAAUUAUAUGAGAAUUAUGUACCAACAACUUCAUAACCUUAGGCAAGGAACAAGAUAUGUAGAUGAAUAUACUACGAAAUUUUAUAAAUUGGUAGCAUGUGUGGAGUUGGCUAAAUCUGAUGAUCAGUUAGUGUCACGGUAUAUUGGAGGGAUGAGACUGCAAUUUCAAGACUCCUUGAACUUUUUUGACCCUGUGAACGUUUCUGAAGCCCAUCAGCGGGCUCUACACUUGGAGAAGACCUUAUCUUGGGGGAGAUGGAGUGCUGGUGGAGUGAGCAUUGGUGGUAGUACUGGAACAAAUCGAUCAGCUCUUCCACGUGUUGCAAUUACUCCGUCUUCACAGAAUAAAGUGGAAACUAAUGUCCAGUUGAGCAGGGGCGUAGCAUCGAGUUCCCAGGCACGAUGUUUUAAGUGUGGUGAGCAGGGUCACCGUAUGGUAGACUGCAAAAAAAGUGGUAAAUAUGGUAUGGGGCUGUUCGUUAAUUCUGGAGAGUUAGCUGUUGGUAGCGCGGAAGAUGUCAAUCAGGAACCUGUUUAUGAUGUUGGAGAGGAGGAGUAUGAAGAAAAGCAGGUUGCAGGUGAUGAAGGUCCUUUGUUGGUAGUGAGGAGGACAUGCUUGGCACCUCAUAAGGAUGAAGGUGAUGAUUGGUUACGUCACAAUAUUUUUCAGUCAACUUGUACCAUUGGUGGCAAGGUUUGCAAGCUUAUCAUUGAUUCAGGUAGCUAUGAGAACGUGAUUUCUGAAGAGGAUGUUAAGAAGUUGGGAAUGGAGACGGAGAAGCAUCCUAGUCCUUACAAAUUGGCUUGGCUCAAGAAAAGGAGUGAGGUAACUAUUUCUAAGCGUUGCUUAGUAUCAUUUUCUAUCGGUGCAAAGUACAAGGAUAAAAUUUGGUGUGACGUGAUAACCAUGGAUGCAUGUCAUCUUUUUUUGGGUCGAUCAUGGCAAUAUGAUAGCGGUGUUAUACACGAUGGAAGGCAGAAUACAUACAGCUUUGUGUUCGACAAAGGGAAGGUUGUUUUACUACCUAACAAGAGGGAAGAACCCCAACAUCCUUCAGGGAAGGGACAAAUUUUGUUGGCUAAGAAGGAGUUUGAGAUAGGGGACUUUGUAUGGGCUAUCCUGACGAAAGACAGAUUUUCUGGUAGUGAUUAUAACAAACUUGCUGCUCGGGAAAUUGGACCGUUGGAAGUAAUUGAAAAGAUCAGUCUUAAUGCAUACAGGUUGAAGCUUCCAAGCCAUGUUGCGACCAGUAAUGUAUUUAACGUCAAGCACCUGGUUCCAUAUGUUGGUGAUUCGUCAAUAGAGGACUCGAAUUCGAGGGCGAAUUCUCUCCAACCCGAGGAGGAUGAUAUAGAUUGAGUGGCCUAUAAUUUUAUUGAGAAGUAUGAGAAACAGGAAUUCUCUCCAACCCGAGGAGGAGGCUUGAGAAACAGGAAUAUUAAUUUCUGUUAUUUCUUUAUUAUGUCUGUCAAAUUAAGUUUCCUUAUUAUGUUGUCUAAGUUUCUGUUAUUUACUUAUUCUGUCUAUCACUUAUUUUAGGUAAGUUGUCUGUUUAGGGUUUACUUAGUUUUCAUAUAUAUUUGCAGUCUUCUGUAGCCGCAGACAGUUUUCUGGAGUUAUUAUGUUAUCAAUAAAAACUCUCUGCAAGAGUUUUAUUGUUCCUGCAAUUCCUAGUCCCAAUUUCUAGGUUUGUGGAAGAGUUGUGAAUUUAUUGUGCGCACAGAUUCUGCUUCUGUUCUUUCCAGUGCAUCAUUAGGGAUGGUAGUUGGUUG